AGGCUUCUCCAUAGCCAUCCUCCACACCAACUUCAACUCCCUCAAUCCUUCAACCCUAAACCCACACUUCACCUACCAUUCAAUCCCUGUUGGCUUGACAGAAAACGAAGCCUCCAUCAAGGAUCCCACCCUUCGUCUUUCUAUUCUAAAUGCUAAAUGUGUUGAGCCUUUCAGAGAAUGCUUGGCCGGGUUGUUAUCCGACGAUGUUAAUUCGGAGGACCCCAUUGCAUGCUUGAUCUUGGAUCCUAUCUUCGACUUCACUCGAUCGGUUGCAGAGAGCUUUAAGCUGCUGAGGAUCGUGUUAAGGACCGGGGGUGCCGCUUCCUUCACUGUUUAUGCUGCAUUUCCACUUCUCAAGGAAAAGGGUUACCUGAUAAACCUAGUUCGGAAACCCUAAUGAACAACCGGUCCACGUCAGCACCACCAAACCUUCCCGCUGCAAUCUGCAACUGAAAGGAUCAUAACUGUUAAACCACUAGCUGUACACCCUGGACAAAAGGAAUGGUGCACAAGGACACAACAUUCCUUUACAGCUUGUCUACCACAUGGGUUCUGCACUUGUGUUCUGAUUGCUGCAUCGUGGGCAGCAAGGACAUCACUUGCAUUGCAUUUGUUUAUUGCAUGCGUGUCUGUAACAGUGUAUAUAAAUAUAAACUCUGCUGUCCAUUGUAGUUAGUGCAGUGAAAUAAUAAAACAGUUUCGAAUACAAAGUUUUUCAUUACCUACCAAUACCAGGUACAAUCUCAAGCCAACAAAACCCUAUUAUCAAAUGUCUUUUUAUCUCAUCGUUGUUACUAAUAAAUGCAAUAUAAGUAGAUUGAAAACUCACACCGAGACUAAUAACGCGUUUCAAAUUCUUUUUAUACGUAGCACUUUUGUUCUUUGUUCAUAAGAGAUUGUGCAAUAUGUGCGUUUAUUAUAAACAUGUCAUUAUUAAAAACUCAGGUGCUUCUUAGGAAAAAAAACUUCAAAGUGAUUCUUCUUCUUCUUCAUAAAUUACUGUAUAAAUCCAAAAAUGUUUUCUGUUACUAGAAAUCACUUUUAGCACUUCUAGAAGCGAUACUAGAUUGGCACUUAGACAACUCAGAUUUGAGUUAGGCUAGUUAUCCCGGUUAGCAUUUUUAUUCCUUGCUCUACCUCCUCAUAAAUUAGCAUUUGAGGACAUGCAUUAAAAGGCAAAAUAUAUAUACUUACUAGGAACCUUAUAUUUGGCUUUUUAUUUUGACAAUUAGAUUCUCGAUUAGAAGAGCCGGUAACAGAACUUUCACGUAUCAAAGUUAAAGAUCUACCAGUGAUGCCCAAUUGCGACCCUGAAGAUUUCUAUCAACUGAUAACCAACAUGGCAAAUGAACCCAAGGCUUCUCAUGGACUUAUCUUCAAUACUUUUGAAGAUCUUGAAGGACAAGCACUUGCCACACUUCUCCAAGAAUAUUACCCCAAUAUUCCAAUUUUCUCACUAGGUCCAUUUCACAAGUGUGGCCAUACAACCUCUUCUUCUUCAACUAGUUUGUUAGCACAAAAUCAAAGUUGCAUUUCAUGGCUAAACACUCAAGCGCCAAAAUCUGUUGCUUGUGUUAGCUUUGGGAGCAUUGCCAAGAUAGAUCAAGUUCAAUUUUUGGAGGUUGCUUGGGGGUUGGCCAACAGUGGCCAACCUUUUUUGUGGGUGGUUCGACUUGGAUUAGUUCAAGAGUUGGAUUGGUUUGAAGCAUUGCCUAAUGAGUUCCUAGAAGCGUUGAACGAGAGGGCCCAUGUCGUGAAAUGGGCUCCACAAAAAGAAGUGUUGGCCCAUCCAGCAAUCGGAGCCUUUUGGACUCACUGUGGUUGGAAUUCUACGUUGGAGAGCAUUUGUGAUGGUGUGCUUGUACGCCAUGCUUCCGUGAUUAAAUGGUGGAUGCAAGAUUUGUGAAUGAUGUUUGGAAGGUAGGGUUGCAGUUGGAGCAUGGGAUUGAGAGAGGUGAGGUUGAAAGAACAAUUAGAAGACUGAUGGUUGAGAAAGAAGAAGGGCAAGAGAUCAAAGAGAGAGCCUUGAAGUUGAUGGAAAAGGCAAAUCUUUCCCUCAAAGAAGAUGGCUCUUCGUACCAAUCAUUAGAUGGCUUGGUUAAUUAUAUUUUAUCCUUAUAAAUCGUUUGUUUGAAAAUGGUAAUUCAUCAUCUUUAUCAUAUCCUUCGAAUUCUUCCAUUUUUUUCUCUUGCCCGCUUACAAUGGUUCAUUAUCUUUUUCUUUAUACAAAGUACCAUUGAUUAAAAGAUUUAUCUACACUAAUUAAUAAGAGAGUUUUAACGAAACACUCCCGGUACUGUUCACUUUUAACAAAAAAAGACAUUUUACCUUUCCUGUUACUAUUCACUUACAUAUUUAUUUGUCAUUUUUCAUUAAAACUAAAUAGUACAGAGGACUUUUCAUUAGUUUUCCUUACUAAUAAACAUGCUCAAGAGUAAUGUACAUACUAAUAAACAGUAAACCACUGGGCUUAGCAAUCCAAUCCGCCUCCUUUGUAAACAAUCCAAAUCAUAUUGACAUAUGUCAUCUUGUAUUUGAGAUAUAGAUGGAAAUACUUUGUAAUCCAAUGUAUUUAUACGUCGUCAAUGAAUGAAUAUGAGCUAUGCAUGCAUGAAUCACAUUCUGGCAAUAUCUUUCAUAGUUCGAUUUAGAUCUCGAUCUCUUAUUAUUUUUAAUUAUAUAAAUGUUUAAAUCUAUGAUCUAAAUCUCCAAUUAUGUCAUAAAAUAAUGAAUGUCUAUGAUUUUUAAGUAAGCUGACAUAUAGCAAUAUAAAUCAUAAUCUUGAGACGUAGUUGUCAGUAUUAAUAUUGGAUAAUCAAACAUUCCUAUUCGAAAUAAAAAACCAUAGGGUUUUAGUCGGUCCCCUGAGAGCAGAGUGACGGAGUGAGAAUCGGACAAGGUGAUUACGAUGGCUUUCUUAAGUAAAAUUGGGAGCAUACUUAGACUGCAAACAAGCAGAUCAGGUCUGAAGUAUCUCCUUUCAAACUGUCCAUCCAUCAAGCUAUAAGAUGCAUGUCAUCCAUGGGAAGCUCAAAGCUCUUCAUCGGAGGUGUUUCGUACCAGACAGAUGACCAGAGUCUGAGGGAGGCUUUUCAAAAAUACGGUGAAGUUGUAGACGCAAGAAUCAUCAUGGACCGUGAAAGUGGUAGAUCAAGAGGAUUUGGAUUCGUUACUUUCACUUCUAAUGAGGAGGCAGCUAGUGCUCUCGAGGCCUUGGAUGGGCAGGAGCUUCAUGGCCGACGAGUAAGGGUGAAUUAUGCUACCGAAAGGCCUCGCCCCAGCUAUAAUAAUUACGGUGAUGGUCAAAAUAGUUAUGCACCUGGUGGUGGAUUUAGUAACUAUGGACCCGGUGGAGGUGACAGCUAUGGAAGAGGAAACACUGGAUAUGGUCCAGGAAGCUACAACAGUCCUAGCAAUUAUCCAAGUGCAAACACUUACGAUGCUCCCAGUGGAAGUAGCAACAAUUUUGGUGUUGGUAGUGGUGAUAACUUCGGUGUUGGUGGUGACAACAGCUUUGGCACUCCUGAUGCUCCAUUUGGAGAGAACAAACCUGGCUUUGGCCUGGAUGAUUCAUUGGAAGCAAACGAUAAGGACGAUGAUGACGCGGGUGACUUCGCCAAGAGGGCCUGAUUAUAAUUAUUAGAUUUCAGGGGCCAAACUUAGUUUGCUUCUCCGGCAGUGCUACAAGUAGAUUGUUUUCUGCUUAUGUUACAGCCAUCUAAUCUUCCCUUCCUCCUCUCUCUGAACUAUUUUAUUUCAUUUUAUGUCGUAUUUGCCUGUCACAAUCUUCAUGCACUUUUUGUGUGCGCUUUGUUAAAAAAAAAAAAAAAAAAAAAAAGGUUUUUUAAUCAAAGUGGUACUAGAUAUUGGCAUCUCCUCUCAGAUUUAAAAUCUAUAAAACUGAUUCCUGAGUUUGUCUACCGUCAAUCAUUUUGGUCAUUCUGUGACAAAUCUCCGUUAAAUAAGAUAAAAUAACAAAAGUAUCCUCAAAUUUUGUCAAAUCACUUUGGUCCAUUGUUUAUUAAAUUGAGAGUAAUUUUGUCAUUUUCAUCUUUAUUUAACAAAUUUUUCUUCCAAAAUGAUCAGAAUGAUGGACGGUGGACAAAGCCAAGAACAUGUUCUAUCAAUUUUAAAUUUCAAAGAACAAAGUAAAAAAGAUAUGUAAAUCUCAAAACUACUUUAGCUAAAAUGCCUAAAUUAAAUUGCAGUCCUUGUUACAAAGUCAACAACACGAGUCUUUUUUUCUUUUUCUUACUUUUCGUGAAACAUGUGGCCUGGUGUAAAAUAAUAAUAGGAAUUUCAUUAGCUGACAAGUCAUACAAAACUAAGCAGACUUUUCCAAAAAAAAAAAAAAAAAAAAAAACUAAGCAGACACGAACAUUCCCGCUUCAACUCCCUCAACCCUCAACCCUAAACCCAAACUUUACACACCAUUCAAUCCCUGUUGACUUAUCCGAAACCGAGGUGACCAUGAAGGAUGCCAACGUUAUUCUUUCUUGUCUCAAUGCUAGAUGUGUCGAGCCUUUCAAAGAAUGUCUGGCCAGAUUGUUGUCAGAUGACUGUAAUUCAGAGCACCCGGUUGCUUGCUUGAUCUCCGACACUUACUUUCACUUCACUCGAUCCCUUGCGGAAAGCUUUAAGCUUCCAAGGAUCAUGUUAGAGACCGUAUGUUUCACUACCUUGGUUGUUUAAGCUGCGUUUCCUAUUCUCAAAGAAAAAGGAUACUUUCCAAUACAAGGUACAUCAGAUAUAUGCUUAUUUCUUUCUAUGUUGGUUACAGGAAAAUAGCUCUACACUGUUAUCAGUGGCACAUGAUAAGGUUGGUAGAAGUUUAAGGCAUUGAUACUUGUUCCUACUGAUUAUUCCACACAGAUAGUGCUUUUAGUUUUACCGGAAUAAUUAAUCCGACAAAGCCUAAUAUUACAAAGUGCCUUUUUACUCAUCAUUGUUUCAUAAUGUUACUUAUUCACAUGUUAUAAGCAUAAGCGAAUGUACAAAUACUUGAACAACUUACAUUUUCUAUUAUCUUGGCAAUUAUUGGAUUCUCGACUAGAAGAGCUAGUGACAUAAUUGUCACCUAUCAAAGUUAAAAGACCUGCCAACGAGUCCCAAUUGCGAUCCUGUGGCGAUCUCCAACUGAAGGGUCCCAGAGGGCUAGAGGGCUCGUGGGCCCCACAUAAUCUUAAAGGGCCAAAGGGCUGGCCACAUGCAGCCAGCCCGGGGCUGGCCAAGAUUUUUGUUAUUUCUGUCGGAUUUAACCGACAAGAAUAAAAGAAAUAGUGCCGGUUAUAACCGACACAAAUAGAAUGGAAAAUUUUGAAUCCAACAACUAGUUACCAUUGAAUUCAAUUUUUUUUUUUGUUUUUUUGGGCCAAAUUUUUUUUUUAAUGAAUUUAAAAAAUUCCCCUUUUUUUCCUAUACAUACCUAAGUAAUUCCUACACUAUUUCUAACAUAAUUUUCACCCUAUUUAAAUUUAAGUUGUUGUAGUUUUUAAAUUUAAAUAAUAAAUUAUGUUUGGCCCUCGGUUGGAGAUGGUUUUUUGUGAUAGGGCUAAAAUGAGCCCUAUGGCCCUUUGACCUUCGGUUGGAGAUAGAGGCAAAUAUGACAUUGUACUGUUCAUUAAAAUAUUAAUAUCUUGGAGGGCCAGAGGGCUAAAAUGAGUCAUCUGGCCAUCCCUCGGUUGGAGAUGGCCUGAGAAACUUUAUCAACUAGUCGUCGACGUGGCAAAUGAACCAAAGUCUUCUUAUGGACUCAUCUUAAAUACAUUUGAAGAUCUUGAAGGACAUGCUCUAGCCACGAUCCGCCAAGAACACCUGCCCAAUGUUCCCAUUUUCCCAAUAGGUCCAUUUCACAAGUGUUGCCGUACAGUAUCCUCUUCAAGUAGUUUAUUGACACAAGACUAAAGUUGCAUUUCAUGGCUGAACACUCAAGCGCCAAAAUGUGUUGCUUAUGUUAGCUUUGGGAGUGUUGCCCAGAUAGAUCAAGUUCAAUUUUUGGAGAUUGCUUGGGGGUUGGCCAACAGUGGCUAACCCUUUUUGUUGGUGGUUCGACCCGGAUUAAUUCAAGAGUCGGAUUGGCUUAAAGUGUUGCCUAACAAGUUUUUAGAAGAAUUCAACGAGAGAGCUUACAUUGUGAAAUGGGCCCCACAAAAAGAAGUGCUGGCUCACCCGUCAGUCGGAGCCUUUUGGACUCACAGUGGUUGGAAUUCUACAUUGGAGAGCAUUAGUGAGGGGAUCCCUAUGAUUUGCACGCCAUUUUUUAGUGAACAAAUGGUGAAUGCAAGAAAUGUGAGGGAUGUUUGGAAGGUAGGGCUGCAGUUGGAGCAUGGGAUUGAGAGAGGUGAGGUUGAAAGAACAAUUAGAAUACUGAUGGUUGAGAAAGAAGGGGAAGAGAUCAAAGAGAGAGCCUUAAAGUUAAUGGAAAAGGCAAAUCUUUGCCUCAAAGAAGGUGGCUCUUCGUGCCAAUCUUUGGCUGGCUUGGUUAAUCACAUUUUAUCAUUAUAAAUCGUUUGUUUUAUAAACUAAAACCCAUAUGUUGUUUUUAAACUCCUUUCAUGGAUCAUGUAUUAUAUCAUGAACUGUCAUGAUGCAUCUGUCUCAUUGUAUUUAAAGAAAGUGGUGGUCCAUCAUCUGUGAUGUAGGACAUAUAUGAAUAAUUGGCUUCUAUAUCCUCUAUGUUCCCUGGAAUUAAUUUGGCUCAUUAAUGAAUGAGGAGGAGUAUCUCUUCAAUUCGUUACGGGACUGGUUUACGGAAAUUCAUGCUUAUAAUUAAAAUGAUUCAUAUUAUAAUGCACUUUGUAAAACUAUCUCUGCAAUUCAUCAAAAUAUGAGUUUGUUAAGUCAUCGAACUGUGUGAAAAUAAAUGGACGAAUUCGGUUGAAAUAUUAAGAACUAUCUAUCUAUUUAAUACAAUUAAUUGACUAAUUUUUUUUAAUUUUAAUUGACUUUUUUACAAAUAGCAUUUAUAGAGAGAUUUAUAGUAUAACAAUUUUGACUAUAAACAUAAAUUUUAUAAAUCGGCUAUUAAGUGAAUUUGAGGACGAGUUCCUCCUCAACCUUGAAAGAGCCAAGCAUUCCUCAUAUUUCUAGAGGAGUGUUUAUCAUAUAAGUUGCUGAGUUGUACUUUUGCAAUUAAAUGUUCUCAGAAGUUCGGCCACUUUCGUGAGAGAUUUUUCAGUGUGACCGGUACACGGGAUGGUAUAUCACAUGUCACUAUACAAAUGGUGAGAUAUGUGUGUUAAAAAGUUAAUAACUUAAAAAAUAAAAUUUCCCACUACUUAUAUAAAAACAUGUGGUGUACCCUCGUGUUCCGGUCACAAAAAAAAAAUUCUCCACUUUCGUCAUCCAUUUUCAGCUUGCCAUUAGGUGUAUAUCUGCCCACCAUUAUCAAGUGCGGGUAAUACUCAUUGUUUCAUUUAUUUUCAUUAAAUGAGUUUAAAUUUUAAGAUUUGUGUGUAUUUAUAAUACAAAAAUCAAAAUUUUGAAUUCUUCUAAAAGUGAUAAAUAAGGUGAUGAAUAUCAUCAGUACUUAAGGGCUUUGAGCAAAAUAUUUCGUUACAGGCAUAAUUGGUAAUUGAAAAUGACAAACAUUCAUACAAAAAUAGGUUGACUCAUCAACUAGAAAUGGAAAUAAGCUGAGCUGGAAAUAUGAUCAAUAGACCUAAACUGAUAAGAAAAAUACCUUGGAUAAUCCUAAUAACCGAUAAGAAAAACACCUUGGAUUAAUCUUAUUAUCUCUUAACUAAAUUCGGAUUUUGUGAGUGUUCAAAUCCUUGGUAAUUGCUUGCCAUGACUGCUAAUUGAUUCUGAUUUUGGUGCGGUGGGUAUAUUGAGAAUAAGGUGGCAGUUCUGUAAUUGUGGUGGUGUUUUGUGGUUCCGGAUGUUAUAGGAGGAGGACGGAGGAGAAAGAAGUGUUCAACUAAUUAUAUUAUAACACUUAGUAAUCUUGAUAAUCUUAGUUCGAUGAGAAGAUUUUCAAAGAGAAGAAGAGUAGAGACCAUUGUGGAAUCUGACACGUGGCGGAAGAAGAGUAGAGACCAUGCUCGUUGUGGUUGUACGUUUGGGGUAGUUGAAUCAUUUUAGUUAUUGGACUGCGAAGGAAUACGAGGAGGACAUGCCCAUAGACAAAGUGAAAGGCUCUAUAGAAAAUAGGGAACUUUAAUGAAAAACACCCGGUACUGUUCACUUUAAUGAAAAACAUAUUUUUACACUAAAAAGUCAAUCCUGUUACUAUUCAUUUUACCCUUUAUUUUGUCCUUAUCAUUAAAACUCAAAGUUUUCAAACCCUUUUCAUUAGUUUUUCUUAAAAAAUAAGCCUAAAACCCAAUUUGUAAAUAUUGACAGUGAUAUUCCUGGUGUAUCUCUGUAAGCAACCACAUAAAAGAAGUCACGACAAAAGGAGCUGGUGGUGGAAAAAAACCAAAUUCGACAGAGCCACUGGCUCUGAGCCAGCAAUAUUGACUAAAAAAAAAAAAAAACAGCCAUCAAUAAGAUAAGAUUCCAGGGUUGCGUCAUGCGUGAGCGAAUUUUCCAAGCUCAGCUGCCUCAGUAUUCACCAAUAAGUUCACAAGUCACAUAAAGCUAAGCAAACGUAAACAUUGUCGAUUAAAAAUGGAGCAAAGCAAAGGCAGGAGAGUGAUCCUCUUCCCGAUGCCCUUCCAAGGGCACAUAAACCCUAUGCUGGAACUAGCCAACAUUCUGCAUUCCAAAGGCUUCUCCAUAGCCAUCAUCUACACCAACUUCAACUCCCUCAAUCCUUCAACCCUAAACCCAAACUUCACCUACCAUUCAAUCCCUGUUGACUUGACAGAAAACGAGGCCUCCAUCAAGGAUCCCACCCUUCGUCUUUCUAUUCUAAAUGCUAAAUGUGUUGAGCCUUUCAGAGAAUGCUUGUCCGGGUUGUUAUCCGACGACGUUAAUUCGGAGGACCCCGUUGCAUGCUUGAUCUCGGAUCCUCUCUUCGACUUCACUCGAUCGGUUGCGGAGAGCUUUAAGCUGCCGAGGAUCGUGUUAAGAACAGGGGGUGCCGCUUCCUUCGCUGUUUAUGCUGCAUUUCCACUUCUCAAGGAAAAAGGUUACCUACCAAUACCAGGUACAAUCUCAAGCCAACAAAACCCUAUUAUCAAAUGUCUUUUCAUCUCAUCAUUGACCCACGUAGACUGAAAACACCACACCAAGACUAAUGACUCUUUUGGAAUUCUUUUUAUAUGUAGCACUUUUGUUCUUUGUUCGUAAGAGAUUAUGCAAUAUGUGCUUUUAUUAUAAACAUGUAAACUUUCUUAUUAAAAACUCGAGCACAUGGAAAAAAGCUUCAGAGUGAUUCUUCUUCUUCUUCUGAAAUCACUUCAUUGAUCCAAAAAUGUUUUUGGUUACAAAAAACACUUUAGCACUUCUAGUAGCAAUCCCAAAUUAGCAUUUUGACAAUUUGUGCGGAUUUGAGUUAGGUUAGCAUUUUUAUUCCUUGCUCUGCCUCCUCAUAAAUUAGCAUUUUAUAAUAUGCAUUAAUUAAAAGGAAAAAUAUAAAUACUUAUGAGGAACCUUAAAUUUGGUUUUCCAUUUUGACAAUAAUUAGAUUCUCGACUAGAAGAGCUGGUGACGGAGCUUUCACCUAUCAAAGUUAAAGACCUACCUGCAGCGAUGCCCAAUUGCGACCCUGAAGAUUUCUAUCAAGUGAUAACCAACAUGGCAAAUGAACCCAAGGCUUCUCAUGGACUCAUCUUCAAUACUUUUGAUGAUCUUGAAGGACAAGCACUUGCCACAAUUCGCCAAGAAUAUUACCCCAAUAUUCCAAUUUUCUCACUAGGUCCAUUUCACAAGUGCGGCCCAACAACCUCUUCUUCUUCAACUAGCUUACUAUCACCUGACCAAAGUUGCAUUUCAUGGCUAAACACUCAAGCGCAAAAAUCUGUUGCUUAUGUUAGCUUUGGGAGCAUUGCCAAGAUAGAUCACGCUCAAUUUUUGGAGAUUGCUUGGGGGUUGGCCAAUAGUGGCCAACCCUUUUUGUGGGUGGUUCGACCUGGAUUAGUUCAAGAGUUGGACUGGCAUGAAGCGUUGCCUAACGGAUUUCUAGAAGCGUUGUAUGAAAGAGCCCAUGUCGUGAAAUGGGCUCCGCAAAAAGAAGUGUUGGCCCACCCUUCAGUUGGAGUCUUUUGGACUCACUGUGGUUGGAAUUCUACAUUGGAGAGCAUUUGUGAAGGGGUCCCUAUGAUUUGCACGCCAUGUUUCAGUGAUCAAAUGGUGAAUGCAAGAUUUGUGACUGAUGUUUGGAAGGUAGGGCUGCAAUUGGAGCAUGGGAUUGAGAGAGGUGAGGUUGAAAGAACAAUUAGAAGACUAAUGGUUGAGAAAGAAGGGGUAGAGAUCAAAGAGAGAGCCUUAAAUUUGAUGGAAAAGGCAAAUCAUUGCCUGAAAGAAGGUGGCUCUUCGUACCUAUCUUUGGAUGGCUUGGUUAAGCACAUUUUAUCGUUAUAAAUCGUUUGUUUAAGAGAGUCAGUAUUAGCUAUUCAAUAAAAUAAAAAAUAAGGGCUUUAAGUAAUAUAUUAACUACAUAUUUUAGAGAGUUUUAAUGACAAGGGUCUUAUAGAAUAAAAUCUUAACUAAAACACUCUUUAUUGGUUACUUUAAUAUAAUUCCUAAUUUCAGUUUUUGUUGGAAAUCAAAACUGAUGCAUUAUAACGUUGGUUUUAUACUAAGUCUAAUAUUAUUAGUUAGCCAUUUGAUCAUGUGCAGCACACCAUGUCCUAAUAUCAGUUUUCCUUCUUAAACAAAAACUGAUAUAUUUUCUUUGUAUCCUAACGUUGGGGGUAAUAAUGAUUCUGCUACCCGAUUUGCAAAGCUUUGUUCCUGCUACCCGAUUCGCACAUUUCAACUUAAUCUUCAAUCCAUUCAACCAUUUGAUAUACCUCAGAAAACCAACAAAACAAAACAAUAAUGGGUUAAUAAGAUGGGAGCAAGUUGUCUUGGAGCCUCAUAUACCGCAUCCAAUCAAUCUACAUAACAGCCAAAAAAAUUAGGGGUCCUUCGUCACAACGAAUGCAUUCAAUCAAUAUACAUACAUAAGAGUCAUCGUAUUUACAUUGUCUACUUUUAACUGAUCCAAAAUACUGGCAUAUUGUUCCUUUGGAUGCUUCUACUUGCUAUCAAAUGCUUUUCCAAUAGCUUUACCCCAGCUCUCUAUCAGCAGAUACUCCUCUGUUUCUGAUGCCCUAUGAUGCAUGAACAUGGUGGUAUCCCCUCGUAUCCUCGUAUCGUAUUGUGUGGUAUUUAUGUGUCGUGUCAUGUGGUAUCCUCGUGUCUAUGUCCAUACAUCUUGAUAGGUUGCCUUGUAGAAAGAUAUGACAUAAACAAAAAGACAUUUGUAGUUAGAAGAUGUUGUUAGAAUAAUUGGGUUGUCAGUGGUUGGCUAACCAUCCAUAGAUGAUUUGUGUCUUAAUCUUUUAGGGAAACGCCCUGAGGGGAACAAGAGUUUCAUCAUCGUGAAUGGCUGAAGCCAGUAUUUAUUUGACAUGUUAAUCUUGAAAGAGAAAUAAUCAAGCAUAAGAUUGUAAAGGGCUAAAAGAGUUAUUGAUGCUUAACUCAGUUAAAUCUGAGAGAGAUAGUAAGUUUGUAUUUAUAGAGAUGAUUUACAUCAAUAAGUUACAAGUAGUGUUUGACACAAAUAACAAUACUAUAAAUCCCAAAGAUAGGAGAUAAUACAAGAGAGCAUAUCAGAUAACUCUCAGCAGAGGUAACUUGAGUGAAGGAGUCAUAUGGAUUGGAGACUUAUAGUUUAUCACGCCCCCGCAAGCUGAUUGGACGACCAAGAACGGGAAGCUUGGAAAGAAGAACCAAAACCGAUUGGAAGACAAACCCUUUGUGAGAAAGUCAGCCACCUGAUCUUGAGAAGCAACAUAGCCCACAACAAUUUCCUUUCGAGUAACCUUUUCACAAACAUAAUGAUAAUCAACUUCUACAUGUCGCAUUCGUGCUUGAAAAACAGAAUUGGAAGCCACAGCAGGAGCACUUAUAUUAUCACACCAUAAUUGAGGUGGUGUAAGAUAAAGAUGAAGAUCAUGAAAUAAGUUUCGAAACCAGGACAAAGUAACGGCAGUAUAUGCUAGUUGAUUAUACUCGGCUUCAGUGCUUGAGCAAGAAACACCACGUUGCUUCUUCGAGCACCAGGAAAUCAAAUUAGAACAGAGAAAAAUACAGUAACCUUUUAUGGACCGACGAUCAUUAGGAUCACCGGCAUAAUCGGCGUCGGCAUAAGCAGUGAUAGAGAGAGAACUCGGACGAUAGAGCAUGCCAUGAUCAUGAGUGCCCUUAAGAUAACGCAAAAUGCAUUUAACAGUAGCCGAGUGUACUGUUGUGGGAGAGUGCAUAAACUGGCAGACCUGGUUGACGGAGAAGGCAAUGUCAGGAUAGGUGAAGAGUAAAUAUUGAAGAGCACCUACAACACUGCGAAACUCCGUGGCAUCAGAGACUGGUUCCCCGUCGUGCAAAAAAAGGCGACGGCCAGAUGAAGAUGGCGUGUAAAUGGGUUUACAAUCUGCCAUGUUUAUGCGUGUGAGAAGGUCCUUAAUGUAUUUAGCCUGAGCUAAAUGAAAACCAGAAGCUGUUCGAGUGACCUCCAUACCCAGAAAAUAAUGGAGGGGCCCAAGAUUUUUCAUGGAAAACAUUAAACUAAGCUGAGCAAUGAGUUUUGUAAUCUAUGAAUUGCUAUUGCCAAUAACCAAAAUGUCAUCAACACAAAUCAACAAAUAUAUAAUUGUGGUGUUAUCAAAGUAGGUGAAUAAAGAAGAGUCAGCUUAAGAGGCAACAAACCCGAGUUCCUCGAGAUAAUUGGAAAAACACUGAAACCAUGCUCGUGGAGCUUGUUUGAGACCAUAAAGAGAACGUUGUAGCUUGCAAACAUGAGUGGGAAAUUGCGGAUCAACAAAGCCCUGGGGUUGGCACAUAUAAACAUCUUCAAAGAGGGAACCAUGUAAGAACGCAUUAUGUACGUCCAACUGGCGAAUGGACCAAUUAUAGUGAAUAGCAACAGAGAGAAUUAAUCUGAUGGUGACGUGCGUAACCACGGGACUAAACGUUUCUGCAUAGUCGAUGCCUUCCUGUUGGUGGAAGCUGUUAGCAACAAGACGGGUUUUGAACCGUUCGAUGGACCCAUCGGAGUUGCAUUUGAUCUUGUAGACCCAUUUAUUUGGAAGAACAUUGAGAUGUGGUUGAAAUGGCACAAGUGUCCAGGUACCAGUUCGUUGUAAUGCCGUGAACUCCUCAGCCAUUGCCCGACGCCACUGUGGACAUUUGUUAGCCUGUGUAAAUCUUGUAGGCUCAACUAAAGUAUUUAUGUCAGCAAGUAAGGCAUAUCGAGGAUUUGAUUUUCGAAUGCCAUAUUUGGCCCAUGUAGUCAUGGGAUGAGAUGGAGGAAUAGUCAUCACAGGUGAGGUAGUUGAGGUCCCAAUAGUCGUAGGAGAAGAAAAGGGAUGGGUCGUAUAGGGAAGAUGAGAGUCUCUAGUAUUAGGUAUGUGGAGGGCCGGGAUAGGAGGAGUAGGUAGGGAUUGAGGUGAUGUGUCUUUAGGUUGAGCAGGUGGGGUAUUGGUGAUCGAGAUAGGGAGAGUAGGUAGAGGUGGAGAUGGGGUAGGGUUAUGGGAUAAGGUGGCAGGAUUGCGGGUGACUAGGUAGAGUCGGAGGUCGGGUAGGGUUAUAGGAUAGGUGGCAAGAUUAUGGUGCAGGGGAGUAGAAUAGGGGAUAAAGUUAGGAGGUGUCACGAUAGUGUCAAAAUGUAACAUGUCUGUGGAUAUGGAAGUCUGAGCUGGAGUAAGAAGCAUAUCCUUGUAGGGAAAACAUUUUUCAUCAAAAAUAACAUGACGAGACAUGAAAACUUUGCCCAUGGAGGGAUCAAAACAACGAUAACCUUGCUGAUUUAAAGAAUAUCCUAGGAAAAUACAUUUUUUAGACGAAACUGAAGUUUAUUUUGAUUAUAUGGGCGAAGAUAUGGAAAACAUGCACAGCCAAAAACCUUUAAAAAGUCAUAUUGUGGAGGACUAGAGAAUAAUUUUUGAAAUGACGAUUCAUUGUGCAAAACUUUGAUGGGUAAGCGAUUAAUCAAAUAAUUGGCAGUGUGAAAAGCCUCUACCCAAAACGUGAUUGGGAUUGAUGCAUGAGCAAGUAGAGUAAGGCCAGUUUCAACCAAAUGACGAUGUUUACGUUCUGCAAGUUCAUUUUGUUCAGGGUGAUGAGGGCAUGUAAAGCGAUGAUGUAUGCCUUUAGAUGUUAAAUAAUUUUUAAAAAUGUGACUCAUAUAUUCUCCACCUCCAUCAGUUUGAAACGAUUUUAUUUUCCUACUAAACAUAUUUUCAACUAGUUUCUAAAAAGAAACAAAAAUAUUAUACACGUCGGAUUUAAGUUUUAGAAGAUAUAUCCAAGAGUAACAUGAAUAAUCAUCAAUAAAAACCAAAUAAUAUUUAUAACCAUCAAUCGAGUAAGACGGGAAAGUCCAUAUAUCGGAAUGAAGUAAUUCUAAAGGAAAUUUUGAAAUUGAACUAGAAAGUGAAAAUGGAAGUUUGUGACUUUUGCCUAGAGGACAAGAAUGACAGAGCAGAAGUCACUGGGCCAUGAAUAGGCAAUUUAUUCUUAGCAACUAAAAACUUUAAAUAGAACCAGAUGGAUGGCCCAGUCUAGAAAGCCACACUGUAUCAAACACGCGACCACCAAAAAAAUGCAAAAAUGCCAUGUUGUUAUUUGGAUGAAAUACUGGAAAAAUGAUAGAACCCAUACUUACUCCGGCCUUGCAAAAGGAUCCUCCAUGUGGUGAGAUCUUGAACACGAUAAGAAUGGGGAUAUAAGGUUAGUGAAUAGUUGUUGUCCAUGAUAAAACGAUUUAUAGAAAUGACAUUGGUUGAGGCAUUGGGACAAUAUAAAGUAUUGGAAAGAUUAAAGGUUUUUGUGGGAGUGCGAAUACUGGAGUGACCAAUUUUAGAAAUAAGCAAACAUGUGCCUCCAACUACACCAUUCACAUGAUUAUUGCCAUUGUAUUCUCAGGCUUUAGCUACCUGUGUCAAGUCAAUUGUAAUAUGGGUAUUAGCUCCAGAGUCAAAAAGCCAAUUUUGAACCUGGGAAGUAGCCAUGGGUGGAGGGUCAUAUGCAUGAGCAGUAGCGGCAAAAGCUUGAAGUUUGGGAGCGGAAACACGUCAUUCGUAUGCCAUGUUCAUACGAUUGUAGCAAUUGAUAGCAAAAUGACCAGGUUUGUGGCAGAUUUGGCACUGAACACGUCCAUUUGAAUUAAAAGCAUUCCCUUGUUGAGGAGCAGUACCAAGGAAGCCAUCGUUAGGAGCAUGAGCUCCUGGCUGGCCAAGCAUGCCACGACCACCACGACCAGCGGCAGCCUGAAAACCACGUCCAGCAGGCUGAAGGCCAUGACCAGCGUCGGCCUGAAAACCACACCAUCCAAGUCCAGCAACAAGGGCAAUAGGAGCAGCAUCGUCGUGGAAGACAUAACUCAUUUUUUGUCGACGUUCGGCGCCGAGAAGCAAGGCUUCCAAAGCGCCAUAAGAGAUGGCAUCUUCUCGAGCUUAAGCAGCCGACAAUGUGCUUUCAUACGCAGGACAAACGUUAUUGAGAACGAUGGCCACUAAAUCCGAGUCUGAAACAGGAGACCCCGGGAGGGAAAAGGUGUCAGCGAGAGAGUUCACACGAUCCAAAAAAUCAGCAAUGGAAGAAUCACCAUGUUGAGUGUUCAUCAGGUCACUCCGGAGUUGCAAAAGACGACCAGUGGACGUCAAAGCAUAACUCUCGUGAAGAGAAGUCUAAGCGGAGUGAGAACUAGUUUUCUCAAUAAGAGAGGCCAAAACCGUGGGGUGAACGAAACUGUUGACCAUGAGAGAACCAUGGCAUCCUGCUGCAUCCAGACUUCGAAGGUUGUGUUGACAUCAUUGGUGAGAUUACCUGAGGUAUCUUUGAGAAACGCCGAAAGACACUGACUAGUGCCAUCAACAAAUGGAACUAGGUUCCUGCUAUGAAGUAGGGGUAGAAUUUGUGCAUGCCAAAGGGGAUAGUUUGUACGAUCAAGUUUGAUCGUCAAAAAAUUGGAGACAUUAGGAAGAGCGGCAAUGGGUAGGGUAGAAGAAGAUGAGUUUGAGGAGGAGGAGGUUGAGGAGGCCAUGUAAAAAAAAAAAUUGCUUUUGUUGUCGUGAUACUUUCUUAGCUCUGAAAUACCAUGAAAGAGAAAUAAUCAAGCAUAAGAUUGUAAAGGGCUAAAAGAGUUAUUGAUGCUCAACUCAGUUAAAUCUGAGAGAGAUAGUAAGUUUGUAUUUAUAGAGAUGAUUUACAUCAAUAAGUUACAAGUAGUGUUUGACACAAAUAACAAUACUAUAAAUCCCAAAGAUAGGAGAUAAUACAAGAGAGCACAGCAGAGGUAACUUGAGUGAAGGAGUCAUAGCAAACAACUUUGAGGAUAUGGAUUGGAGACUUAUAGUUUAUCAAAUCUCUGGUUAGACGAGGGGAUUUUCAGGGAGAAGAAGAGACCAUUGUGGAAUAUGACACGUGCCGGAAGAUCAACGGGGAGCAUUAUCGUGCUGGUUGUGGUUGUACAUUUUGGGCUAGUUGAAACAUUUUACUUAUUGGACUACGGAGUACGAGGGUGCCCAUAUACAAAAUGAAAGGCUCAAUAAAUAAAAAAAAGCCCAAAACCUAAUUGGUAAAUAUAUUCCUUGUGUAUAUUUAAGUAACCACAUAAAAGAGGUAAUGACAAAAGGAGUUGGCGGUGGAUGGAUGUGACAAAGCUCGGCCAGGGGUGAGUUCACACUUAAUCUCUUUGAAAUUAGCCCUUGAAAAGUGUUUUUCCUUCUGAAACACCUUUUGCAACAACCUACCUGAUUAUUCUCAUAAGUUUGCUGCCCAUAGUUGUCACGUCAUAAUCAUAAUUUUAAAGGAACUUUAACGAAAAGCUCCCGGUACUAUUUAUUUUAACGAAAAAUUACAUUUUUACACUAAAAAGUCAAUCAUGAUACUAUUCAUUUUAUCCUUUAUUUUAUCAUUAUCGUUAAAACUCAAAGUUUUUAAAUAUUUUUUUAUUAGCGAGCUUAUUGGGCCACAAAGUGAGAUCAGUGUUUAAUUUUGACCCAAACAAAUAUAAUUUUCAUGAAUCAUAAAAUAAUUUAAUUCAUUUUGAAUUAAAUUUUCCAACAUUGAGGAAGGAAAUGUUGUAAUAAAAUAUACGAAAUUCAUAAGCUCACAAUCUAAGCAAAACAAUCGUUCUUAGAAAUUCAAAUGGAGCAAAGCAAAGGCAUGAGAGUGAUACGUUUCCUACUGCGCGCCAUUCAAGGCCAUAUAAACCCCUGUUCUAGAGCUGGCCAAAUAUUCUACACUCCAAAGGCUUCUCCAUAACCAUUAUCCACACCUGCUCUAACUCUUCCAACCUUUCAGCUCUAAACCGGCACUUCACCUACCACUCCAACAAAAAUCAUCAAUAGAAUAUACAAUCAAAUAGAAAAAUCACCAAUUUGCCUUAGCUUUUAGGGUGCGUUUGUUGCACCGGACUAUCUGACUGGACUAACUUCAAGAACUAAGUUGGAGGAGCUUGGCAUAAACUAAAUAGUAUUAGAAUUGUGAAAUGUUAGGUGCAAUACCUGACUAGCUAGGACUAUUUUUUUUUUAAUUACAAAAACUCCCAAUUUUUGUUGUCUGACUCUCUCUCCCAUCUGUCGCUCCCGUUCCUUUCCUUUGCACUCCACUAUUUUCCUUUCCUUUCCUCUACACUCCUUUCCUUUCUUGCAGAUUCAAAAUUUCCCGGAUUUCCAGUUAGCAACUGUAGAAAUUUGGUUUCAAAGUGUUUUCUAUUUCAUGAGUGAUUCUGAAUGUACAAUGCAGUAUAUAUCUAGAAGAGAGAAACAGAUGGUUACAAGCAACCAUCUUUACAUGAAACCCUAGAGACCGGUUAAACCUAGGACACAAGCUUUUCCUUAAUUUAAGGUGAUUUACAUCAAAUCCAAGACUAAGAAGUAAUCAACAAGUUAAGUGCCUUAAAUCAAGGAGCUGGAAAACUGGCAGUUGACUUGUGUGUAUCCAUGAUUACUUGUAGACUUGAAAUGAGAUGACAUGCUAGGGUUGCUGUUGCUAAGGUUUAGUGUGACUGGUUCCAACACUUCCCCUCAAGCUGGAUCAUGAAGUGUAGUCGAGCCAAGCUUGCUCAAAAGUCUGUGUAACUGAGAAGAGGGUAAAGGCUUAGUGAAUAAGUCAGCCAAUUGAUCAUGGCUUCUAGUGAAUUGAGUUUGGAUAACUUGUGUUUGAACUUGAGCUCGGAUGAAAUGGCAGUCCACCUCAAUGUGCUUGGUUCUUUCAUGAAAACAGGAUUAGUUGCAAUGUGCAUGGCAACUUCGUUAUCACACAUGAGAGACAUGGGGGCUUGAUGUGAGAACCCUAAAUCUGAAACCAAGCCUUUAAGCUAAAUCAGUUCGCAUGCAGUGGCUCCCAUUGCUCGAUACUCCGCUUCAACACUAGAUCGUGCUAUAACAGUUUGCUUCUUACUCUUCCAUGUCACAAGGUUUGCCCCAACAAAAGUGCAAUAUGCAGUGGUAGAUUUUCUGUCAAUUGUAUUAUCUACCCAGUCUGCAUCGGUGUAAGCACUGAUUUCUGUGGACUGAUUGUUUGACAUAAAAAUGCCUCUAUCCAAUGAACCUUUGAGAUAACGAAGAAUACGUUUAACAAGGUGAAAAUGUUGCAUAGUGGGAGCAUGCAUAAACUGACUAACUAAGCUAACAUCAUAAGUGAUGUCUGGACGUGUGAUAGUGAGGUAGAUAAGCUUACCAACCAAUCUUUGGUAGUAGCUUAUGUUGGGGAGAGGUUCCCUAGUAGAAUCAAUCUUCAUUUUGCUGUCAACAGGUGUGGUGGCAGGCUUGCAAUCUAUGAGCUUAGCCUCAGUAAGUAAAUCAACAACAUACUUUCUUUGACUGAGAAACAACCCCUUGUGAGACGUGGCCAUUUCAAUGCCAAGAAAGUAUUUUAAUCUCCCAAGAUCUUUGAUGGCAAAGGUGUGGCGUAAGGAGUGUUUCAAGGCUUUGAUUUCACUCUCAUUGUCACCGGUGAUGAUUAGAUCAUCAACAUAGAUGAGAACCACAAGUUUUCCACUUGAACCACUUCGAAUAAAUAACGAGGAAUCAGCAUUGCUUCUUAUGAACCCUGUCUUUUCUAAGAUAGAACUUAGCUUUGCAUAUCAUGCUCUCGGAGAUUACUUAAGUCCAUAGAUAGCCUUAUGUAGCUUACAAACCAUUCAUUUUUCCACUUAAGUAUAACCUGGUAGGGGUUACAUGUAGACUUCUUCUUGAAGUUCUCCAUGGAAAAAGGCAUUUUUUACAUUCAUUUGGUACAAAGACCACCCACAGUUAACUACUAUCGGGAGUAAUAUCCUAACAGUAUUCAUUUUUGCCACUGGGGCAAAGGUUGCCUUGUAAUCAACCCCGAAUGUCUGAGUGAAGCCACGAGCCACAAGUCUGGCUUUAUGUCUUUCUAUUGAACCAUCUACCUUGAGCUUGGUUUUGUAAACCCACCUGCUUCCAACAGCCUUCUUUCCUGGAGGCAACUUGACAAUGCUCCAGGUAUUGUUUUCUUCCAAAGCAUUUUGCUCUUCAGCCAUAACUAGUUUCCAAUGUGGCAAGGAAGUAGCUUCUUGGAAUGUUCUUGGUUCAGCAGUCUUAGAGACUUUAGUGAGAAAUGCAUGGUGAGAAGUCGAAUACUUUGAGUAAUGUAAUACAUCAUAGAUAAGGUACCUUGAGGCAUAAAUGACAUAGUCCAACAGCCUUGCUGAAGGCUUUCUUGUUUGAGCAGGAUUUCUUCGUGCACCUUGAGUUGGCCGUGAUAAUUGUACAUUGUCAACUUGAUCUUCAGAGCCAUGCUCAACGUCUUCUUGUGAGAAGACAUGUGGAUUUAAGGGGUUUGUGACUUGGUGCAAUUCCUCAUUGAGUUGAGUGUCAUGUCUUGCUGGAACAUCCUCAUCUUGUUCUGUGUACAUAGGUAACGGGAACAAGUCAUGCAAAGACUCCCCAUCACCAGGAACAUGCCUUUGUGGUUGGAAGAAGGGAGUGUCUUCAUCAAAAAGGACAUAUAUGGAGACAAUACACUUGUUGGUGAGGGGAUUGAAGCAUUUGUACCCCUUUUGUGUAGAUGAGUACCCUACAAACACACAUUUUGCAGCCCUAGCCUCCAAUUUGUCACGAAGUUGAGGCUGCACAUGGACAAAGCAUGAGGAACCAAACACUUUCAAGUGAGAUAGGUUGAUAGACCUUUUUUCUAGAGUUUCACAAAGAGAUUUAAACCCUAGAAUAUGGCUUAGGAGUCGGUUGAUGAGGUAUGUAGCUGUCAAGACUGCAUAGGACUAAAACUUCUUUGGAACAUUCAUAUGUAACAUCAAUGCACGAGUUUUUUUCAAGUAGGUUUCGGUUUUUCCGUUUAGCAAUCCCAUUUUGAUGUGGGGUUCCCACACAACUAGUUUGAUGUACAAUUCCUUUUGAGCUCAAGUAUUUAAUCAUUGUGUUGGAUAAAAACUCAAUGCUAUUAUCUGAUCUUAGUGUUUUAAUAGUUGAGUGGAAUUGGUUUGACACAAGUGAAUGAAAGUCUUGAAAGAUAGUUGAAACUUUACUUUUAGCUUUCAUGAGAUAAAGAAAAGUGACACGAGUACAAUCAUCCACAAAUAUGACAAAAUAUUUGUAACCUUCCAUUGAUUCAAUAGUAGGACCCUAUACAUCGGUGUGAACAAGUUCAAAAGGUAUGCUAGACUUAGACGUUGAGGUUUUAAAAGGUAACCUAGCAAACUUUGAGAAAUAACAAGUAUCACACUUCAUCAAUGGGUGACAAAACUUGGGGAAUAGUUUUGCCAAAACAACUUUGAAUGGAUGGGCUAGCCUUUGGUGCCAAAGUUGUUGAUCCUUGGAAGAGCUUGGUUAAACUUGAAAGCCUUUUGACAAAAUGGGCUUCUUGCAAAAAUAGUAGAGACCAUUUUGAUAGAAUCCUUCACCAAUCAUUCUCUUGGUGAGAGCAUCCUGAAAGAUUACAUUUUUGGGUGAGAAUAUGACUAGGCAAUUUAGAGUGUUAGUGAGUUGUCCUACGGACAUCAACUAAAAUGGAAAAGAGGGUACGUAUAAGGCAGUAGACUCUAUGGUGUUUGAGACUAAACCUAGUUUUCCUUUUCCCAUGACUAAGACAUUUUUUUCCAUUUGCAACUGACACAUGAGAUGGUUUUGACUAGGGAUGGGCAAAAUACCCAUGGAUAUGGGUAACCACGGUUACCCGUCCAUUUAAAGUUGACGGUUAUGGUUAUGGGUAACCGUUUAGACAAAUAAACGGUUAUGGGUAUAACCGUUUAUCUAUGAAAUUUAAAUGGCCGGUUAUGGGUAUUAUCCGCGGUUAUAACGGGUAUCCAUCGGUUAUGGGUAAUAUUCAUGGUUAUAACGGGUAUCCAUUUACCCAUUUAAUUUAAUAUAUGUAAAAUUAAAAAAAAAAUUAAAAACCCUCAGAUAAAAAAUUACAACUCUAUCACUCUCUCUCUCCGUCCCUCUCUCUCUCCGCCUCUCGACUUCGUAACUCUCUCUCUCCGUCGCUCUCUCUCUGCGCCUCUCUCUCUCUCCGCCUCUCGACUUCGUCACUCUCUCUUUCUCCGUCGCUCUCUCUCUCCGCCGCUCGCUCUCUCUCUCCGUCGCUCUCUCUCUGCGCCUCUCUCUCCCUCGCUCUCGCUCUGAGGCAGUUGCUGAAGAGCCUCUGCAGCAAUUCGCCUUGGAAUUAUUCAGUGUUUUGGAAGCUCAAGCACCAGAGUGAUUUGUAAGCUUCUUUCCUUUUCCUCGGUUUUUGCUAUGAAUUAUACUCUUGUUGAAAAUUUUAAUCUGUUUAUCCGUCCUUAGAAUUCGGAAAGUAAUUAAUUAGUUAGUAAUUUAGGGUUUGAGAUUUAGGGUUUGUGAAAUUUAAAUGACUAAGAACUUUUUGCUGUAAUGUGAGAUUUAGGGUUUGUGGAUUUGUGAGUUGUAAUUCGAAAUUAGGAUCUGGGUCUUUGCAAUUUCGGGAUUUCUGAUGUGGGUUUUCGUAUUUAAGUGAAAGGGAGAUUGAUAAAUUUUAAUGUGUUUGUGUACUAUUUGAAGAAACUGCACCUCCUUUGGUUAUGGUUCUGACAUUGUUGGAUUCUCUGUUCAAAUUUUGUAAGUUAUUAUAAAACUUGAAUUAUUUAGUUGGAAGUGAAAAAAAACAGAUGAGGGAAUUGGUUGAACAGUUUUAGUGGUAAACGAAGGUUUCCGGUAGAAUAUUUCGAAUUUGUGAUGGAUAUAAGAAAUUAAGAACACAAUUUUGUGUAUAAGAUUUAGAAAUAGGUCCUUAAGUACUUUGUUUCUUAACAACUUCUGAUACAAUUUCUGUAUUCUAUCCCCACUACCUAAUAAUGACAAUGUGCUAAUGCCCUAAUCAAUGAUUUGGGGUUUUCCGGGUUUAUAAGUACCCCUAUAUUAGUGGAUAAUAAUGUUUAUACUUGAUUUCAUUGACAUAAGACUGAGUUGUAUGAAAUGAACGUUUAGCUGGAGUGAGCUUUCGGUUUACAUAGUCAUAAGUGGGGCUUUCUGAACUCUACACACUGAUCGUGACACACAUAUCGGUUCAUUCUGUUAGAAUAAUUUCAUUUCUUUUCAGAGUUUUUGUGUUAACGCCUCCAGUAGAUGGGAUCUCGUAAAGUUUUUCACUAAACGUGUCAUGUUGAAUUUUGAUACUAUAUUUUAAUUUUACUAGCAAGUUUCUUAAAAAAGAAUCUAAUAUGUUUUCCAAGCCUGUAAUUCUGCAUGGGUUUUCUUUUAUGAUUUUAUUUAAUAUUCCAGUAAGCCUGCUGUCACUUUUGUUUGUGUGCCAAGAUUACCAUGUACUGUUGUAGAGAUGUCCUUAUUAUGUUCAGACCGAGUGUGUUAUGAUUUUUUGCUCUAGGCAUCCAAAAUGUUGAAGAUUUUUGUUUGGCCUGUGGCGAUGUUUUGAUGACUUUGUUUGCUUUAAACGAGAACCAGAACCCCCAAUUAUGACAGUAUAGUGUUCUUUUGUUCAAUUGAUAUCCUGUUUUUCUUUUAUAUUCUGAACUUGUAUUCAACUAGUUCCAAGAUGGAGACUCAAAGCGAGAACCAAGAUAUUGAACCAAUUAAUCUUGAUCAAGAAUUGGACCUAAGUGAAUCAAGCUUUGAUGACACUGGUAGGAAGAGAAAAAGAACCUCAGUUGUCUGGCAGCAUUUUGAGGAAAAAAGUUUUUGUGGGGAGGUGAAGGUUGUCUGUAACCAUUGUAAAGCUAGGCUAGCAUCGGGCUCCACUGUUGGUACUUCAUCUUUACUUUCACUUGUUAGAACAUGUCAUGUAUUGAGGACAAAGAAAAAGAGUCCAGUUAUAACCGGUGAUGGGUCUGUUAAACAUGGUGCAUAUAGUUUUGAUGAAGGUAAUGCUAGGAAAGAGCUAGCUUAUAUGAUUAUCUUACAUGAGUAUCCUUUAUCUAUGGUGGACCACUUGGUUUCGUAUGAUUGUUUUUUGUUAUCAGAAACACAGAUUUAUGAGCUGUUGCUAUAGGGUCUGUUGCUUUAAAAAUCAUUCGGGAAUUCAGAAAUAAAAAAGCUCUACUUUUACUCUUCCUUUAGGCUCAAUUUUCUCAAGUUCCUGAACUUCCAUAAUUUAUUGGUUGCUAUUCAGAAUAAAAAAAAAACUGAUUGGUUGCUAUACAGAAAAAUAUCGUUCGUAAACUAUUAUUUCAAUUAUUGGAAUUAUAUGAGGACUUAAAUGAUUAAAAUAGGGAAAUGUAUGCUAAAAUGUACUUAUAACGGUGUUUAAUUGUCAGAAAAUAAAAAUUAUGACAAAUUUUUCUUUUGUAAUUUUCAAAUUGUUAAAAAAAAUAAUGUAGACAGGUGAAAAAAAAGGUAAAUGGGUAAAAAAAGGAUAAAUGGGCGAAAAAAUAGGUAAACGGGUAAAUGGUUAUGGUUAUGGGUAAAUGGUUAUGGGUAAAUGGGUACACGGUUAUGGGUAUGGAUAACCGUUUAUAAACGGUUAUGAUUAUGGGUAUAACCAUUUAUGUAAUUACCCAACGGGUAAACGGUUAUGCGAGUAUGAACAUAAACGGUUAUGGGUAAAAUAACCGCGGUUACCCGCCCGCAUAACCAUUGCCCAUCCCUAGUUUUGACAAGACUUGAAAAUCAUGCAAGUUUAAGGCUUUAUUUGUCAUGUGAUCAGAGGCACCCGAGUCAAUUAUCCAACAAUCACAAUUAAAACUAGUUUGUAGUGCAGUUGAGAAUGCUUUGGAGAUACCUGGGACUGCAUCUCAUGAAACAUGAUCAUGAUCAGCAAGAAAUCCUGCAAACUGUCCAAGAAGUGCAGUUUGUUUGUUCCCGUCACCCUUUGACGUUUGUGCAGUUCUCCAUGAUUCUUGGUGUGCAAGUAAGUUGCAAACUCGUUAAUAAGAGUAAUAGGAUUGGUUAUGAAAUCUGUUAAGCCAUGAAUGGGUGAGCUGGUAGCAUGGUUGGCCAGAUGCUAAGCCUUAAGAUGAGCCACUGAUGAGGAUCUUGGGACCAUCAUCAUGUUGUCUUUAAAUUUAGGCUUGAGUCGGGGUGCAGCUCUCAACAUCUCUCUUCUGUGUGACCAGAAGCAUUGCAAUACUUACACUUUAGAUGUGGAUUCUUUCCUCUGUACAUUUUGGCAUCAUGGUUCUUGUGGUUUGCAACAUACCCUCAAGCCUUAGAUAGCUUGAGAUUAGGCUCUAGAUUCAUCGCCCUUAUUCUUGCUGCUUCACGUUGCACCAUGGCACAAAUAGUCUUGAAUGAUGGUAGCCCCACACUCAUUAAUAUGUGACUCCUGAGAUCCUCAUAAUCUGAGCUGAGGCUUGCGAGCAGUUGGUAGAUCUUAUCCUCCUCAGCUCUUUUAAGAAGAAUAGUAGGAUUUGUGGUGUGAGGGAGGUACACAUCAAGCUCAUUCCACAUAGUCUUCAAAUUGCCAAAGUGUUGGACAAAAUACUUCUUUUCUUGCUAGAGGCAAGCAAUAUCUAUUUUCAACUGGAAUACCUGAGCAUAGUUGUUCUGGUUUCCAUACAUAUCCUUCAUAGAUUUCCACAAAUCCUGUGAAGAUUCAGGAUAACUAAAUAUCUCAGCAACAUGUUUCUCCAUGGUGUUGAGCAACAAGGACAUAACAAACUGAUCCUUGCACAGCCAUGCUUCAUAGGCCUGAGAAGAGGAGUCUGGAGCUUCAAUACUUCCAUUGAUGAACCCUAAUUUUCCCCUGCCUCCUAGAGCAAGUGAAACUGCCCUAGACCAAGGAAGGUAGUUGAGCUCAUUCAGCAACACCGAGCAUAGGCGCUGGUUGGUAUUAACUUCAGAGUCUAAGAAACUCGAAGGAGCUACCUGCGAGCUUUCUCCCUCAAUAUUAAUUGAGCUUUCCUCAGCCAUUACAGAAGCUCACAAGAAUAGCAGCAGAAAUUAAACGGGCAGAGACAGGUUAAGGAUGACACUACUCUGAUACCAUGUAGAAAUUUGGUUUCAAAGUGUUUUCUAUUUCAUGAGUGAUUCUGAAUGCACAAUGCAGUAUAUAUAUAGGCGAGAGAAACUGAUGGUUACAAGCAACCAUCUUUACAUGAAACCCUAGAGACCGGUUAUACCUAGGACACAAGCUUUUCCUUAAUUUAAGGUGAUUUACAUCAAAUCCAAGACUAAGAAGUAAUCAACAAGUUACGUGCCUUAAAUCAAGGAGCUGGAAAACUGGCAGUUGACUUGUGUGUAUCCAUGAUUACUUGUAGACUUGAAAUGAGAUGACAUGCUAGGGUUGCUGUUGCUGGGUUUAGUGUGACUGGUUCCAAUAACAACCCAGAAACCAAAACAGCCACGUCCCUCAUAAAUUUCAAAAAGCCAUGUCCCUGAUUAAUUUCGGAUUACCAAAAAAGCCGUAGCCUUUGGAUCGGACGGUGUUCUUAUCGGUGAUGACCACGACCAGGGCCUAUCCAAACAUUCCGGAGGCCUUGGGCAAAAAUAAAAAAGGGGCCCACAAAACAACAACUGUGAAAAAAAAUUUUGCGUUUUUUAUGUGAUUUUUCCCUCCUUUUCUACUAGGUAUUUAAAGGAUUAUAAAAUAUUUGAAGGUAUUUUUCUUUGUAGUCAUACACAAAAACAAAGUUACAUCAUAAUACUUGGUCAAUUGGUCAUAAAGAAAAGAAGAUUGUCAUGUUGUAAAAAAGUACUAGUCUAUCUGUUAGUUUGUGUGAGUGGCAAUUUUCUUAUACCAUCGUCAUGCGCUUCUAAAAUUAAGGUAUAAAUAAAAUUACAUUCUUCAUCCUUAAUAUUAAAGUAUAAGGAAUAAGAGAAUAAGUAAACAAAAAUUAUUUCCAAAAAUCAUUUUAUGUGACUGCAAUAUCGAUGAGUAACUUUUUCUUUCUCUUCCUUCACACAAAAAGGAAAAGCAAACCAGCAACUCAAGCAGGCAAAACGAAGUACAGCGAAACAUAAACAAGCUAUCUAAUAGACGAGCAUCUGCAUUGUUCUCUUAUUUUUCUACUUCUUAUUUUUCCAUUGCAUCUUCGUCUUCUUCCCCUGCCUCUGUUAAUUGUGGCAUUUCAGGUUCUGAAUCACUUAGGAGUAAUCUAUCAGGAUAAAUCCUAACCUCAAUCGAGCAAUACUUGAUGCCUAAAGUGUCUAAGUGCCUUUGACAAUGCAAUUUUCUGACUAAAUUUCUUAUAGAUUUGGUGUAAGAGAAAGUUUCAAAAUUUUCAGCUGAUUGAAAGUGGUCUCAUUUUUUUAAGCCAAAUUAAAUUUGUGAAUACAUACAUACAUUAAUUUGUUGAAUGUUAAAAUUGAAUUAGAAUGAAUGUAAAAAAUGUGCAACCCAAUGGAGCUAGUAAUUAUAAUCGAAGAUAAAAAGAAAUUAACAAUAAAAAAAUUAGUAAAAAAUCAAAGGUAAAAACAAUUUAACAAUUAAACAAAAAAUAGUAAAAAAAGGGAAAGAAAAAGGCGUGCUCAAACCCAAGACCUCGUUGUUAUUAGUACACAAUAAAACCAACGCCUCUAAAUAUACUUUUUGAUGACUUAACCAAACAUUUUUUAAAUUUAUACGGUUAUGAAAACAUGUAUGGAUAUACUACCCUAAUAAAUUUUUUGUGCCCCUGAUUUUUUGAGGCCUUAGACGAUCAUCGUUAGGGCCGGGGCCGACCCUGACGACAACCACGAAAAUGUCCCUGAACUUAGACCUGGCAAUUUCUUACACGACCCUUUAAUACGACACGUAAAUGACACAAAAAUAAUGGGUUUCGGGUCAAUAUGAUAACUAAUUGAGUCAUUAUCGGGUCACACUAUAAUAACCCGUUAAUAACGGGUAUAUUAUAAAUAUUGAGAUUAAAAAUCAUAAAACACAUUAAAAAUAAAAAUAUCAAGUAAUUUAAAAAUACCAAACACAUUAAAAAAAAUUAUAAUAAUUCAUUUACAUGUGCGAAAAAUAUGAAAAAAUAUGCAAACGCUCGUAGUCGCAUCCUCUACGUUUGAGGAUGGGUAUAUGAUCGUUUGAAUUUUUAAAACCAUACAAACUCUCAUGAAUAGUAUUUUUAAGGGAGUUCAAAAUAAACAAAAUUCAUAAUCAUUAAUGUAUAAAGUCUGAAAGAUGUGAAAGCAUAAUAAACGUUCAUAAUUGCAUCAUCAAUGCUUAGACGAUGGUUACAUGGUUGUUUAGAUUUUUAAAACCAACAAUGUUUUGUAUUUGAGUGCAAAAUUAAUAAAAUUAAUAAUAAUUAUUGUAGAAGUGUGAAAAAUGUAAAUACUCGUAAUGAAAAACUUUACAACUUUCAUGAAGGGGUCAAUGUAAUGACCCGUCCCUAAAAAUUAUGAUUUUUAUAAUUUUAAUACGCGGGAUUACGAAAAUGCCCUUCGAGGCAAAUACGUUGACUUAUGUUGACCACCUUGUCGUGUCAUGUAAGGUUCAUUUUCUUGGCGUAUUCAGGUAGUACUCGUCAACACGAGCGUAUGAGCGCAAACGAAACUUGAUUUGGAGUUAUACGAAGAUUAUACGAACUUUUAAAUGUCGAUGGCAUUUUGGUAAUUUGCCAUUUGAAACACAUGUUGUAUCUAGAGUAGUGUGUCACGUGGGACCCACAAAUUGGUCCCUAAUCUUCUGGAACUCUCCUUCUCUUCUUUCUCUCCCGUGACUCUAUUUUCUCUCUCAUAGCUCUCAUUCUCUUUCUCUCUUGGCUCCCUUUCUUCCCGUGGAAACCAAACCAGCACCAAUCAUUUUUCCAGCGAAUUAGACCCUGAAAACAUCAUAAUCAUGUCCCUAGAAUCCCUGGAAUUGUGAAUCCAUAGUUGGUUUCGAGAAUUUUUGUGGCCGAAGGCAAGUUAGAACUCACUUUUUGGAGCUGCGGGUUUCCCUUCAAUUUUAGAUAAUUUCCAGCCAUAUCUUGAACUCUAAACAGUUUCUGGUGAACCCGUGACCUUCCAGACCAUUUUCCGACCAAACCACGGCGAGUUAGCCAUCAUUCAAGGUUGCCCAGAAAUUUCGAUGAGUUACCAGUUUUCCCGUGGACAGCCGUCUUUCAGGCCAUUUUCUGGCCACAUACGACCAUUAUUUGGACUCCAAGCUGGCGCCAAUCGUUCGUGCUAGGGAGUUGUACUGCAGACUCCAGGUUUUAGCUGCUGAAAGUUCGUAUCGACGAGGGUUCUUGGCGAAUCUCAGUAUAAGUGGCUACCUCUGAGCACAUAAUCCUUACCUACACUACUAUACUUUACUUAUGCUCCGACGUCGUGUGUGAAAUGGGUUCAUUCCCGCUUAUAGCUCACUCUUGUCUUUAGGCACUUUUAGGUUUAAAUUUAAUCACAUUUUCCAUAUCACCAUACUUUAUGGCUUCAUCACCUUCUAGGUGUCAGCCAGCAUAGCUUGAUUCGAAGUCUUAGUGGACAUUCUGGGUCGGGGUAUGUCAGUUUGGUAUCAGAGCAUAAGUUAGGCAGUAUUGCGUUCAUCACACGCGUGAUGUAAUCAUUCUUGGUUCUUGAACCUAAAUGUCGAAUCUUGCCACCUCGUCGAAUACAAAAAAAUGUAUUAGCUUUUUCUAAGUCUUGAGUGACUUAGUCGACUUAUCGACCUUUUAGAAAAUCAUUUUGGCGAAUGCCUCUAAAUUAUAAGUGAAGAAAUUCCCUCCCAAGAAAAGAUGUAAAUUUAAGGCAAGUUGAUGGCCUUCAAGCAGGGCUAAUGUAUCGAUAAAUGUGUAUCAUCAGAGACUUUACCAAUCAAUUUCAUCACUAUUCUCUAGCCAUAUGUACUAAACCUUUCGAGAUUGGAAAUCAUAAAUAGUUUUGAUUCCUUGGCAGUAUCCGUUAGAAUACCACCUAUUAGAAUCUCUAUGAAGUUUUAAUUUUCGUCGAAAUUUCCAUAAUUGUCUUGAGUGACAGUGGGGUGCUAAAAGGGUAGCACUUGAUGUAAGACCAUCAGGGGGACAAUCACUUUUGGUCCAUGGUAGCACUAAUCUUUCCAAACGCACUAGUGAUUAUUCUGGAUCUUCAGGGGGAAGAUCGACUUCCUCUAAGUCUGUCCUAAAGUAGAUUAUUAGAAAAUUCUUUUUCGGCCUUAGGACAUUCCAACUAACACUAGUUCCCGAGUUCUCUUUUGGUGACUUACUCGUCAUUUCGACAAGCAUAGGCAUCGAUAUAUGAGUUGUUACCUACAGUUAGUAAAAAUCCCUGAAGUAGUAAGUAUUUUCUUUAGAAUUAAUGAAACCACCUCACCGGGCCAAUUCUUUACCAAUCGUCCAAAACCAAUUAUCUAAGUGGGCUUUAGCUUGUGAUCAGCCUAUGAUGGCGCUAUUAACUGACUUUCCUGUCCAAUAUCCAGAAACUGUCAACUAAUAUUCUGGUGGUUGGUAUAACUUCUGAUAUUGGACAUAGGCUAGUAUCCGGGAGUGAUACCCUUAUGCCAGGACGCUGAUUUACAGUUUCAGGGUAGCGAACAAUAUCAAAAUAUCGUAUAUGCGUCAAUUAGCGGCGCAACUGGUGGACUGAUUAACAGUGACUACUUGAGCCGAAUAAAUUAAAUUGUGGAAACUUAAGAGUAGACCUUGUAUUAAGACAGUAAACUCACGGUUAUGUUAACCAUAUUACCUAUUUAGGUAAUCAAAACUUCUUCAACCAACCACUUCUCGAUCACUUUCACAGAUAAAUAGUAGGAUCAAAAUACGAAAUGACAUCUCACUGUUAGAAUGUUUGGAGUGUCAAGAAAACUGUGAAAACCUUUUAGUUCAUGUCGUAGAGUUGUUAGCAGUUUAGCACGGUCUGAGGAGGUAUACCUUUGGCAUCAUUUUUCAAAAUUCUAACGAAGGCCAAGUGAGACUUGGCUGAAGUCGCCAUUAAUACUAGGUACUUAUGGUAUUUUCCUAGUAAAGAAUAAUGCUACCAUUUUACUUAGAUGAUAGUAAACUGCAGUCGCUGAUAAGAGCAUGGUCAGUAAAAAUGGUCAAAGCGUGAACACGUAUAAGCCGAACCACAGACUAACGACAGUUUAAAAACUUUUGUAAACUACAGUUGGAAAGUAAAGAGUAAUUAGGAUUUGAUACUCGGUUAUGAUCCAAUUUGUGUAGCCAACGAGAUCUUACAUCAUCAAGAUCAAGUGGGAGAUAUUAAAAUAUGAUGGGGUGUGCUAUCCACACACCCCAUUUUACUUCUCACACACAUUUUGAUAAUUUAUGUCCGUUGAUCUUCUUUAAUUCAUUCGAUUCGAUUGUCGAAAAUUAAAAAUGUGUGUGAGAAAUAAAAUUGGGUGUGUGGAUAUCACACCCCAAUAUGAUCAUGAUGAUGUUGGCUUUACUAUGCAUAUAUUUGAUGUAUGGAGGUGCAUCGUAAGAAUGGUGUAUUGAUAUACACUUAACCAAAAAGUAUGUUAAGAGGUAUGACUUAAUAAUGAUUAUACCAAGUGUCUUAUCAUGAAAGGAUAAGACUAUUCAGAGAUGUCUCAUAACUAUCUGAAAAAGGGUGCGAUGAAAUCUAUAAAAAGAUGAUUCAUUCCUCAGACAAAUCAAUCCAAAGCGAAAUACAUUUUAUCUUCUUCCCUUUGGUGUGCUAUUUCUCCCUUGGCACUACUGCAUAGUAAUCAAUAGUCUAACGACAUUAGAGAUUGAUCCUAAUCCAUAAAAUUCUAUAUUGAAAAGCAUUUAUGAGGGAGUCGCUAUGAUUUGCACGCCAUGUUUACUGACCAAGUGGUGAAUGCAAGAAAUGUGAGUGAUGUUUGGAAUGUAGGGUUGCAGACGGAGCAUGGAAUUAAGGGCACGUUUACUAAUCUAUAGUUAGAUUGAGAGGAAUUGAAUUGAGGAGGAAUUGGAUUGAGGAGGAAUUGGAAUGAGGUGGAAGUAGAAUCAGAUUCCUGUUGAAGUUGUUUACUAAAACUGUCUGGAAUCGGAGAGGCAUGAUGUUGGUUAUAUAUAAGUUGUUUACUAAUUCACUGGAAUCGGAAUUAAAACUAGCUUGAUUACUAAAUUGCCCUUAUUUAAAUAAAUUAUUUUUAUACUAAUUAAUCAAACUAAUUUAUUGCGCAAAAAAAAAAAAAAAGAAAACUAAUUUUAUAUACCAAAAUUUAUCUAUAUAAAAAAUAAUUAAAGAUGUUUCUUUUUGUUAGAAGAUGGUUAUUUCCAUUUGCCCCCACCACAUAAAACCAUCCUGAAAGCUUUAUUUUCCCAGUCGCAACAACCUUCCCCCAUCCUCGCUUUUCCAUGCCCUCCACCCCACUUACCCCUAUAGCCACCGCCCCUAGCCCCAAUUUCUUAAACCCUUUAUCUCUCUCCUCUAUGCCCUCCCUCUCCGCUUUCUCGGUUACUCCCGCCAUGGUUUGCAAUGUCGUUCAAUCCAACGCAUCUGUGAAAGCUGGUGAGUGGGUUGAAGUUCAGAGAUCUUAUAUAUGCUUCCUGAGUGGGUUGCCUACUAUCGAUCGUAGUGGGUAUGAUGUUUGGCUGAUGGGUUCUUUUUUUUUUCUUUUCAUUUUCUCUAAAUUUGAAAUUUUGAUUGUUGAAGUCAAGGAUGGGUGCGAUAAUUCUACAUAUGGUGGCUGUUAUAUUUGUGGUGGUUUUAGGAGGGGUUGUGAUAGGCCUGGUGGGUACGGUUGUUAUUGUGUCCAUUAAUGGUGGUAGAUUUGGGAAAGACAAAAGAUUGAGUGGGUGGUCUGGGCUUGUAGAGGAGUUGGAAAGUAAAACUGCAAGGAGUGUUUCGAAAUUAGAAAAAAAAACUAUGGGGGUAAUAUUGGUACAUAAGGUGGAUUCUUGAUAGGCUUCAUUUCGGGGAAUUCAAUUACCACCUCAAUGUCGAGAAUUGAAUUCCGGGAGUUUGGGGAGUCUGAUUCCCUAUAUUAAGUGGGGUCCCACACAUUUUUUUCAUUCCCAAGUGUUAGUAAACGGAGGAAUGAUCAGGAAUGGGGAAUGACUCCCAUUCCGCCAUAUCCAUUCCCUAUAUGUAACCACGCCCUAAGAUAGGUGAGGUUGAAAGAACAACUAGAAGAUUGAUGGUUGAGAAAGAAUAAACCAAGAGACAGCCCUAAAAGUGCAGGACAUGAAUGCUUCAUCAUCCUUCACGACUUGAACAUCGCACCACAGUGAUUGCAUCCACAUAAAGGAAGCCAAUGGGAAGAGGCUACCGACAAGCUACAUAGCCAAUAAAGGCGAAGACAUGGAAGAAGGUGGUGCGAACACCCGAGCUGAAGCUCUACGCACCUUCCAAAUAAAACACAAGUCGCUAAGGCCAUCUCCAACCGAAAGGGUCCAGAGGGCCAGAGGGCCGAAAAUAACCCCGAAAACCGUCUUCAACCGAGGGCUAGGCCAGAGGGCUCUGGAAUCUGGGAGGGCCCCACGGAAUCGAAAAGGGCUGGAGGGCUGGCCAUUUUUUUUAUUAAUGUUUUGUUAUUACUGUCGGUUAUAGCCGACAGGAAUACCGACAGUAAUACAUUUAUACUAAAUAAUAUAAAUGUAUUCCUGUCGGUUAUAACCGACAUGAUUUCUUAAGAAAGAAUUCAAAUGCAACGGCUAGCUGACUAGCCGUUGCAUUUGAUUUUUAUUUUUUUAUUUUUUUAUUUAUUUUUUUACAGUUUUAUUAUUAUUUUUUAUUUACAAAUUUUUUCAUAUAACUUCUAUUUUUUCCUAUAACUUUUAUUUUACAAAAUUUGUUUCAUAUUUUUUUUAAAUUCCAUUUUUUCCUAUAACUUCUAUUUCAAAAAAUUUGUUUCAUUUUAUUUUAAGUUGUAGUUUUUAAAUAAUAAAUUAUGUUUGGCCUUAUGGCCCUCUGACCCUCGGUUGGAGACGCUUUUUUGUGACAGGGCUAAAACGAGCCAUCUGGCCCUCUGGCCCUCGAUUGGAGAUGGAGGAAAAUAUGGUCUUGUACUGUUCAUUAAAAUAUUAAUAUCUUGGAGGAUCUUAGAGGGCCAGAGAGCUAAAACGAGCGCUCUGGCCAGCCAUCGGUUGGAGAUGGCCUAAGAAGAUCAAUUGCAAACAUGGUUUGAUGUUGAAUCAAAGGAGGACUAGGAGCAGGGAGAAGGGUGAGGAUUGGAUUCAUGAGAUUCAUGGUGGUGGGUGGGCAGCAGGAAGUGGAGGAAAGGAGAAACAGGGAGUUUGAAACAAAAUUAGGGCUAAGAAAUCUAAGGCAAGAGGGAGUGGAGGUCAAGGGAAAUCCGAGAUGCAAAGCAAGAAAAACCAAACUAAAAAAAAGGAAACAAGAAGAUACAGGACUGCCACCCCAGGCCGCAGCUAGGAUCGGCGGUUGCAACGUUUGGAGAAAUAAAGAAACUCUCACAAGCGGAGAGAAGUGCUUUCACAGAGAGAGAAGAGCUUGGACCCCUAAAAUAUGCCUAUUUGCCAUUUUGGUUAAGCACAUCUUAUUGUUAUAAAUCGUUUCUUUAAGAAACUCGGUGUAAUUUAUUCAAUAAAAUUAAAAUUAAAAUUGUUGGGUUGAAUUAUGUGUAUACAUAAAUAUAGAAUUUUAGCAAUGUACUAACUACGUUUUUUAAGAAAGUUUUAAUAAAAAGGGUCUUAUUGUGAUAUACAUUUUAAUACGUGUGGUUGUGCAAAUCUUAAAUAGAGAUAAAUUAUGAAUCCUUUGGAAGCUAGAAGAUCUUUAAUAUUAAACUUUGUAUAACCCGAAGAGCAAAGCAAAGUUUCUCUCAUGUUUAUUAUUAUAUAUAAAGACACUAGGUCUAAGCAAUAACACAUAAUUUUUCAAGCUUAUUCUCCAUAUCUCUUUCUCUCUUGUCGUGUUCCCUCUCCCUCUUCUCAAUUAAUCAUGUUGCAAACCUCAUCGACAAAGAGGGAGAUUGAGUUUUCAUGUUUUUUUUUCAUUCAAUUUUAUUAUUAUUUGAUAUUUCUUUUAAAUUUAAAUUAGCAUUUUCCUUUUUAGUGAUAAUACACUCAUCAUCCAAGUUAAUUAAUGUUUAAAAAUCUUCAAAUCACUCUUAAUCAAGAUCAUUGGGUGUUAUAAGAUUUAAAGACUACAAAGAAGUGUUAAAAUAUUUAUCAAAAUAUUUAUAACUUGAUCUUAUCCCUUUAAUUAUAAAUGUGUAAAUAAUAUGAUCUAAAACUCCAAUGAUGACAUAUCCCGAGUAGCUGGUAUAAAUAAGCAACUUUGGCCAUCAAUCAACCGCAUAUUCAGGCCAAGCAACCACAUAUUCCCUAUUAUUACGACAGUAGCACAUUAAGUCAUAAAUCUUCAACGAACUACAUUUGUGUUGAACUCUCCUAUGGCACAGUGAACUUGUAUGACCCUACCAAUUUAAUUGAUUUAGGGCACAAUACGUUGAGACCUUUCAUAUACAUGUAUAAUUGGCCUCCUGUCCUCCACACCUGCCCCCUGUAUACAAUUUAUUGACAUUGUUGAACAAAUAUCGCGGCCGAUCAUGACACACCACUUCACAUUAAUGGUAUUGUCGUGAAUGAUGAAUAUACUUUCUGUUUUGUCGAGCCCCACAUUGCCGAGCCCCUUAUCAAUUUAACGAGAUGGGAUCCUCAUCAGAUUUUUUUGGAAGGAUCUCGAGGAUUCUUUAACUCUUUUUUUUAUCGUAUAUCUUAUAGUUCGAAAUUAUUUUAAAUUAUAUUAUUUAAAAUUAAAUACAAAUAAUACAUGAUAAAAACUGACCGCACGAUGUACGAUAAAUAGACAUAAUUAAAAGAUCUCCGAAAUCCUCACAAAGAGAAUAUGGCGAUGAUCCUAUCUCCAAUUAACCACAUAUUAUUAGUUGUGAAGUUUUAUUACAAAAUGUUACGAUAAUAUUAGUAGUCAACCUCCUAUAGUUAAACUGUAUUAUAUAUUAUUUUGGUAUUUUUUUAAUGUGAUGCUCUAUUCUCCAACAAAUUCUCUAUGUAAGUAACAUUAACUCAAAAUUUUCAUUUAGUAUUCGGAAGAACUUAAGUCAGGGCAUUGAGUUAUUCAUGAAAGUCGAACUUAAGACAUCUUUUACUAAUAAAAAUAAAUAUUAUUAGACUGUGAUCAAUGCUAAGUAACUUUUUAUGGACUAUUUCUCAAUGUCCCCGCAAAUACUUGAAAAAGGAUUGGCCUCGUAUAACGCUAGCCAGGUAUAUGUGUGUAACGUGUAAAUAAUCAGUCCACAUUAUCAUUCUUUAGUGCAAGUUUUUCUAAAUAAUGUACGUUUAAAUUUGGGAUCCAAUAAAAUAAGAAUAAUGCUACACUUAUUAUAUUUUUUGUGGAGUACAAUUUUCUCCCUUCCACAUUCCUCCCCUUCAUUCCCCCCCCCCUCUCUCUUUCCUUUUUGUCUCUCUCUGUAAAAAAAAAGUCCACAUAAUAUGUUGACAUGACUUAAUCAUAAUCGUUUAAAUAGAAGGUGAAGAAGGAGAUGAGAAAAUCUUACUCUAUUUUUCAUACCACAUUUGUACUACAUUUCUAAUAAAAGUAGGAUCCACCAAUACAAAUGAUUUUCAUCUCUAUUAGAAGAAUUAUACUAUAAUAUAAAAAUGUAGUAUUUUUGAUAAAAUAAUGUACUCCUAUCAUUGUUUUUAAGUAAAAUGACAUGUAGCUACUCAAAAUAUCGAUAACAUUAAUGAUAUAAACCCCUGUUCUGAUUCUAUCCCCUCCUAAUCUCUCUCUCCCCUUCCCUUCCCUCUUACUUGAACGGUUACGAUUAAAAAUCCUACGCCCUGUUCUAGAGCUGGUCAAUAUUCUACACUAUAAAGGCGUCUCCAUAACCAUUAUCCACACCCGGUCCAACUCCAUCAACCUUUCAGCUCUAAACCCGCACUACACUCUACCACUCUAAACAAAAAUCAUCAACAGAAUAUACAAUCAAAUAGAAAAAUCCUAGUUUUUCAACCACAAGUUACAACUACUGAUCCGAAAUCACCAAAACCCAAUUGAAGCACAUAAGCCAAAUUCAAAAUCAACGCACCAAUUUGUCUUCACUCUUAAAGGUUUAAUGUUUAAUAGUCACAGUCAGUCAGUCAGUCACCACCCUGUCCUUUGCCUACCUCCUAUCGUUGGCGUGGCACCAUUUGUCUAACGUGUAUUGAGGAAAGCCUCUGAAUUGGCUUAGUAGAAGAAAGUAUUUGGUCGAAAUUUCAAUGUAGGUCAAGUUGGACUUGAUUGAAUUUGCCAUUAAUACUUGGUACGGAUGGUAUUUUCUUAGUCAAGAGUAAUGCUAUCAUUUUACUUGAACGCUAGUAAAAUGGAGUCACUGAUAAAAGUGUGGUCAGUAAAAGUGGUCAAAUUGUGAGUACGUAUAAGUCAAACCACGGACUAACAAAAGUUUACAAAUGUUUGUAAACUAUAGUUGGAAAGCCCAGGGCAAUUGGGAUUUGAUAUUCGGUAAUGAUCCAAUCUGCGUAGCCAACGAAAUCUUACAUCAUCAAGAUCAAGUGGGAAAUGUUGGAAUAUGAUCAUGAUGAUGUUAGCUUUACUAUAUAUGUACUUGAUGUAUGAAGGUGCACCAUAAGAAUGGUGUAUUGACAUACACUUAAUCAAAGGGUAUGAUAAGAUGUAUGACUUAAUAAGGGUUAUACCCUUCUAUAAGUGAAUUGUCUUAUCGUGAAAUGAUAAGAUCAUUUAGAAAAGCUUCACAACUCUCUGAAAAUGGUACGAUGAAGUCUAUUAAAGGAGGAUUCAUUCAUCAGACAAAUCAAUCCAACUUGAAUUGCAUUUUCUCUUCUUCCCUUUGGUGUGCUAUUUCUCCCUUGGUUCUACCGCAUAGUAAUCAAUAAUCUAAUGACAUUAGAGAUUGAUCCUGUAAUCCAUCAAAUUCUACAUUGGAAAGCAUUUGUGAGGGUGUACCUAUGAUUUGCAUACCAUGUUUAUUGACCAAAUGGUAAAUGCAAGAAAUGUGAGUGAUGUUUGGAAGGGGGGCUGCAGUUGGAGCAUGGAAUUGAGAGAGGUGAGGUUGAAAGAACAAUUAGAAGACUGAUGGUUGAGAAAGAAGGGGAAGUGAUCAAAGAGAGAGCCUUAAAUUUGAUGCAAAAGGCAAAUCGUCGCCUCAAAGAAGGUGGCUCUUCGUACUAAUUUUUGAAAGGAUUGGUUAAACACAUCUUAUCGUUAUAAAUCAUUUGUUUAAAAAACUCAGUAUCAUUUAUUCAAUAAAAUUGAAAUUAAAAUUGUUGGGUUGUAUUAUAUGUAUACAUAAAUAUAGAAUUUUAGCAAUGUAUUAACUAGGUUUUUUAGAAAGUUUCAAUAAAAACGGUCUUAUUGUGAUAUACAUUCUAAUACGUGUGAUUGUACAAAUCAUAAAUAGAGAUAAAUUAGGAAUUCUUCGGGAUUUAGAAGAUAUUUCCUAUUAAACCUUGUAUAAUCUGGAGAGAAGUUUCUCUCCUGCUUAUUGUUAUAAAUAAAGACACUAGAUUUGAGCAAUAACAUACACACAAAAUUCCUCAAACCUAUUCUUCAUCUCCCUCUCUCUUGCCGUGUUCCCUCUCCCUCUCCCUCUCCUCAAUUAAUCAUAGAAGAGUCUUCAUCCAAGGCAUGAAAGUUGCAGACCUUAUCCACAAAGAGGGAGAUGGAGUUUUCAUGUUUUUGUUUUUUAUGUUUUUCUUAUUUUUUUCAAUUUUAUUAUUAUUUGAUAUUUGUGUUUUCCUUCUUAGUGAUAAUACACUCAUCAUCCAAGUCAUUUAAUGUUUAAAAACUGCAAAUCACUCUUAAUCAAGAUCAUUAGUGUUAUAAAAUUUAAAUACUACAAAGAAGUGUAAAAAUGUUUGUCAAAAUCUUUUUUCCCCUGAUCCAACCCUUUAAUUAUAAAUGUGUACAUAUUAUGAUUUAAAUCUCCAAUCAUGGCAUUUCCCAAAUAGCCAGUAUAAAUAAGCAACUUUGGCCAUCGAUCAACCACAUAUUCAAGCCAAACAACCACAUAUUCCCUAUCCUUGAGAUAGUAGCACGCUAAAUCCUAAGACUCCAACGAACCACAAUUAUGUUGAACACUCCCAUAGUUGAUAUGGCACAUGAACUUGUAUGACUCCACUAAUUUAAUUGAUUUAUGACUCAAUACGAUGAGGCCUUUUGUAUGAGAAAUUUUUCAUUGUGACCAGAACACGGGUAAUACAUUAUGUUUUUUUUAUAUAAAUGGCGGGAAAUUUUAUUUUUUAAGUUAUUAAUUUUUAAACAUAUAUAUCCACCAUUUAUAUAAUGACACGUGAUGUACUAUCCUAUAUUCUAAUUGCAUUAAAAAACCUCUCCGUUAUAAUUGGCCUCCUGCCCUCCAUGCUUGCCUCCUGUAAACAAUUUAUUGACAUUGUCAAACAAAUAUCGCGGCACAUAAUGACUCACCACUUCACAUUAAUGGUAAUGUUUAAUUGUCAUCACCAUCCUCUCCUCCACACCUAACUCCUAUGUGUGUACAACGUAAACAAUUUAUGCGAUAGAAUAAAUAUCGCGGCCCAUCAUGACUCAACUUUACAUUAAUAGCAUUGUCGUGAAUUUAACACAUUGUUUUAAAAAUUUCCGUCUAACGUUGCUUACUCCCCGUCUAGGUGCUGCGAUGCUAGGCGGCUGGCCACCGUUUUGAUUAGUUCCUAUACAUUUGAAAAUUAAGAAAAUACGCAUAGACCUGCCCGAUGAUUUCUGGUUAUGGCCAGAAAAUAGCCUAAAAGGUGACUGGUCUGCGGGAAAACUGGAAAACUCGUCGAAAACUGUGUAAACUUUAAACGUUCAUAACUUCUUCAAUACUCAACGAAAUCGAGUGAUUCAAAAUGAAAAUCAUAUUUCUUGACGAGACGAAGAGAAUGAAAUCUUUCUUGACUGCUAACUCGCCGUGGUUUGGCCGGAAAACUGCUCGAAAGUGGCUAACUCAAAAAUGGUUAGCCAUUUUCGAGCCGUUGUCCGACCAAACCAAGGCGAGUUAGCCUUCGAAAAAGGUACCAUUCUCUUCGUCUCAUCAAGAGGUAUGAUUUUCAUUUUUGAAUCACUAGAUUUCAUUGAGUAUUGACAAAGUUAUGAACGUUUAAAGUUUACCCAGUUUCCAGCGAGUUUUCUUGUAUCACCUUUCAGGCUAUUUUUCGGCCAUCUCCGGCAACCAUUGGGCUUCCAAAUAGGUAUAAUCUUAUUCUACACUUUCCUAUCUUCAUUUUGAUAUAUUAUGGGUCGAAUUUGGUUAAGAAACGAUUGAGUUACAAAACUAUGAAAAUUGCCCAAAGAGUUUUUAACGGAAUGACCAAAAUCAUGGAUGGUGGACAAUCUCAGGGGCCAUUUCUAUUGAUCAUGCAAAUCUCAAGGACUAUUUUGUAUAAUAACCCUAAUCUAUAUGUAAUUUUAUUUUACAAUUGCUGUAUCACAAUACAAUUAUGUAUUUUUUUUAAAGUAUAAAUAGACACUUAUUAUCAGUGACUUUUAAAAAUAUAUUGAAAAUGCUCUCUAGGGUUUUCUAGGUUUUCUCUCUAGGGUUCCCUAGGAAAGCGACGGCAAGGAAAUUAUGGCGGGCAGCGCCGAAGGGUUUUUAGUUCACGAUUUCACAAUUGGAUAUGGAGGCGUAUUCUUCAUUUGGGGAGGGAAAAGUGCUGGGGUCUAUUCAAGGGCGGUGUGCAGUUUAUGCAGAGGCGUAUGGAGGAUAUGUUGGAAAAUUUCGCAACUAGGCUGGUGCUUACUACUGAAGAGCAAAUGGUGGUUGUGGUUGAUGACAAUGAGGGUUUAUCCCUCAAAACAUCCAAAGUGUUCUUAGUAGGAAAGGUUCUUUCUCAUAAGCCUGUUGGGAAGGAUAGGUCUAGGAGACGUAUGAUGCAUCUUUGGUGUCCAAAGGCUCGGGUAACGGUGGUAGAAUUGGAUGAUGAUUUGUUCUUGUUUGGCUUCGAGAAUAAACAAGAGCAAACAAUGGUGGUAAAAGGCAGUCCUUGGUUGUAUGACGGGGCUUUGUUGCUAUUGGCAGAAGCUGAUACAUUGGCUAACCCUAAUAAGAUUCCACUCUACGCCCAGGAGUUUUAGGUUCAAAUCAAGGGUUUGCCUCUUGGGUAUAUGACGCAGAAUAUGGGGUAAUUUAUCAGAAAUCAGACAGGUAAACAUAUUCUCACGGAUCAAAGCUGAAAGGGAGAAUUGGAAGGUCGAGUGCUACGUAUACAGGUGAAGUUGGAUGUUAUGAAACCUUUUCGCAUGAGUUUGCUACUUUAUAUUGAGGGUUUCGUGGUGAGUGUUGAUCUUUGCUAUAAGAAGCUUCCAAUCAUACGAUAAUUAUGUGGACUUGUUGGUCAUAUGGAAGAACGAUGUGAGAAGUUUUCAGCGAAGAAUGAAGAUAAUUUAACGAAACCUUACGGUCGAUGGUUCCAGAAUGAUGUUCUUGAAGCCAACUACCGUCGAACACAGGGUACUCGUUUUGGCUUGGAGCCUUCACAUGGAUGGUCAACGAAAGCAUCGAUGGACGUGAAUGAGGAGGAGUUUAAUUACUCUUCGAUGGUUCGGCCUCCAGGACGGCUGUGUCUAGAUUAGUGGCGAAGGGGGAUGAUGAAUUGGAAAACAGUACAGUGGGGAAUGAUCGGAAUAAUAGGAUCAAUAAUGAGGGCGUCGACUUAGAUGAGAUGUCCAUUGAUGACCUAGCUGUUGUCCAUUUUCAGGAACUUCCAGUUGAUCUAGCGUUGAUGGGGACUAAUCAGGGGGACAUAUCAAUUGACUCAUGUGGUUUGAGACUCUUUGGGUUUGAUUUGAAUGUCCCGAAUGUUGAUAAUGACAUGUUUCGAGGAGUACAUGCUUGAUGUUAACUGAUGGGCCCAAUGAAGCAUACAAUAAGGAUGAGGUGAGAGGGAGUGGGCUUAUGUUUAGUUCUAAUAUCGUUCAGCAUCAGGUAUCCUUUCAUCAGGGGCUGCCUCCUCAUAGCAGGCAGUUUGAGGAGGGAUCUAAUGUUGUGGGGUUUGGAAAGUUUGAGAUGGGGUCUGACCCAUUUAACCUUAUGCCAAUUGUUGAACAAUUGCAGACAAAGAGGAGGAGGAAGUCAAAACGAGUUAGGAGGGUGAGGGGCACAGCUCAACGUGGUACCCCCUCUUCUGCUCAAGUAUCCACAAGUACAAGGCUACCGGCUUUAGGGAAACGUGCUGAGCGUGAAGAGAAUGAUAUUUUGGCACCUUCUAGUGAACGUAGAAUGAUUAUGGUCAAUGAGGUUGAUUCUAUUUUAUCAGCAGAGGUUGACGGUGGUCAAACCCGCCGGUCUCAAUAAGUUGCAUGAGUUGGAACUGCCGGGGGCUUGGGAACCUCCGUGCAGUUCAUGCGCUUCAACGUUUGAUUUUGAAUAAAGAUCCCACCGUGGUGUUUCUUUGUGAGACGAAGAGCAACGUUCGUUACUUGGAACGCCUACGGAUGAAGUUGAAUUAUGAUAGAAGUUUUACAAUUGCUAGUAAUGGAAAUUCGGGAGGUUUAUGUGUAUUAUGGAAGGAAGAGAUUGACUUGAGAUUGUAGUCUUAUUCAAAUAACCAUGUUGACUUUGAUGUGGAGGAGCCUGGGGAUCGUAGAUAUUGGAGGCUGACUAGGUUUUAUGGCUAUCCGGUGGUUUGUGAUAGGUAUAAGUCAUGGCAGCUAUUGGAUACACUCUAUGGCGAUGAGUCAAGUCCUUGGUUGUGCAUAGGCAAUUUUAACGAAAUUCUGCAAGUACACGAACAUGUGGGGGUAAUAUUCGGAGUGAGAAUCAAAUAGAGGGCUUUCAAAACAUUGUAGAGAGGUGUCAUUUCAACUAUUUGGAUUAUUCUGGGAACAUCUUUACGUGGUUUACAACCAGAGGGGGUGGUAUCAAGGUACAUCUGGAUCGUGCUUUGGGUACACAAGCUUAGUUUGAUUUGUUUCCGAGGUUCAGGUUGUAACACUUAAAUAAAACAUCUUUUGACCACGUCCCAAUCCUGCUCACAUGGGAUGAGAGGUGUAUUAGCCGAGGGAAGAGACAUUUCUGGUAUAAGAAGGCCUGGAAUAUGCAUGAGGGAUGUGAUGAGGUGAUAGGGCAAGGUUGAGAUACUAGUGUGGAAGGCUCGACUAUUUUUCAGGUGACUGAGAAGAUCAAAGCCACAAGAAUGUUGUUGAAUAGGUGGGCUCGAAGUAACAUAAGGUUAGGGCCGCAAGAAAUUAGGGAAGUUAAGGAUAAACUCACGAGUUUGCUGGGGCAGCCGUUGACAAGUGAGUCCAUUAAACAAAAGAAAGUACUGGUAGGACGGUUGAAUCUCUUACUUGAGCAGGAGGUACUCUUCUGGCGACAGAGAGUGAAGGAAAAUUGCGUGAGGCUUGGGGAUCAGAAUACGAAAUAUUUUCAUCAGAAAGCUAAUAAAAAAAAAAAAAGGAAUUGGUUGCAUGGCCUUACGGACAAGGGUGGGGUGUGGCAUGAGGACCAAAAGGGUAGGGAGAAUGUCGUGCUUUCCUAUUUUACCAGCUUGUUUACAUCGAAUGAUGCUACCAUGUUUGAAGAAGUUUUGAGUAACAUAACGCCUUUGGUAAUGGAGGAUAUGAACGUUGAGCUCAAGAGACCUAUGUCGGAUGAUGAAGUAAAGUGUGUUGUGUUUCAAAUGCACCCUACUAAGGCUCUGAGGCCUGAUGGCAUGACUCCAGGGUUUUACCAAAAGCAUUGGGGAAUUGUAGGGUUGGAUGUAUGUAGAGGAGUUUGUGAAAUGGUGUUAUCUGGUCAUAUACUACGUAAGAUCAAUUACACUCAUGUCACUUUGAUUCCCAAAGUGAAAGAAGUUACGAAGAUGUCUCAGUUGUGACCUAUCAGUUUAUGCAAUGUAAUUUAUAAAAUUAUGUCGAAGCUGUUAACAAAUCGUUUGAACUCUGUUCUUCCUCGUAUAAUUUCCCUCACUCAUAGUGCGUUUAUUCCUGGGAGGUUGAUUUCAGAUAAUUAUUUGGUGGCGGCGGAGGUUGCUCACUAUAUGCAUAAAAAUCCUCGAGGAUGAAUGGUUUUAAGGCAUUGAAGCUGGAUGUUAGUAAGGCCUACGACCGGUUGGAAUGGCAUUUUUUGGAGGCCAUCAUGACUCGGAUGGGUUUUUCACCGAGUUGGGUUCGAAUGGUUAUGUUAUGUGUGACCAUUAGUUACAACUUCAAUGUAACUGUCUAAUCCAAAUUAGUUUGAAUCUCAUUAGGUUUCCCUCCAAGACUUUAAAUCCGGAUAUUGCAUUAGUGCAUUAGUUAGGCUAAGUUCAAUAUAUAUAACUCACUUAACUUAUAAUGUUACACUUGUCAAAUGUUUGAUGAAACUCACAUUAAGUUUCUUACACAAAUCACCCCAGAAAAGUGUGUAGGAAGAUGAGAAUAUUUUGAGUUGAUUUUAUUGUGAUUGUCUUCUUACACCAUUCAAAUUCAAAGUCUAAGUAAGUUAAUGAUGCUGCUUCUGGAUCCUAAUAUGGUAGCAAUGAUACUGAAGAACUAAUUAGGUUUUAGUUUUAGGUGUAAUUAAGUUUUAGUUUUGAGGGUCAUUAGGUCUAUUUAAGUGAAUUUUUUACUAUAUUUGAAUUGUUUUAUAAAAAAUGAUAUUUAAGAAUUUGUGGAGUAAAUUUUUGCUAUAAAUGAUAAAAACCCCGGCAAAUCUCACCCUCUGGUACCACUCUCCUCCGUCGAACACUAACGUACCCCUUCCUCCAACCUUUCCGUUGAUUCUAGCCCUAGUAGUUCUACCAACCUCUCUUCUCUGUCGAACCCUCUCCUCCGCUGAAACCUCCAUCUUCCGUCGAACCGAUCCCCAAUUCCUCCUUCGUGGAGCCCAUCCCCAAUCCCUCAUCCGUCCUCUCCUCCAUUUGAUUCACAGUCGACCUCACUCAUCCACCGAAUCAGAUCACCUAAUAAACUAAAUCAGUCAUUUCUAAUGAACUAGAAGCAACAAUAUACAUGGUUUCAAUGAUUUUGAGGUUAAGGUCAUUUUCUAAAAAAUCAUGCAUCAAAUUGUAUCUGGGAUGCGCAGAACUAUGGUUGCUCGCGAGAAAGAAUGAGUGUGUUUGGUUACGCAUGAAAGAAAAACAGGAGUACUGGCAACCAUGGCAAAGUGAUAUUCUCUAAUAGCAACUCUAGCCCUAUCUUUUAGGGCUGAUUUGGUAGUACUUUGCUUAAAAAAAAAAAAAAAAACUAUUUAUGCUAUGUUGUGAAAAUAAGAUCAUUUUUGCUGCUUCACGUUUUUAGUUUUUUUUUCACCCAAAGUGAAAAUAAGUUGUUUUUAAGUGUUUACCAAACACUUUUUUAAGCUCAGUUUUUUUUUUAUACCCACUUUUUAUAAAAGCACAUUAGUAUCAAAUCAGUACUUAGGCUGGCCCAAAGCCUACAAAAUAGGCUGGUACCCAAAAACUCCACCCCACUCUUAAAAAUAUGCCGGUCCAAAGUCUAAGUCAGUUUGUAGGUCGAUCCAAAAUAAACUGAGGUAGGAACUGACCUAUCUAACGUCAUACUGACACCAGCAUAACGUCAGCGAACAAUAGGGUUGGAGUUGCUCUAAGUGGUCCACUUAAUAAGUUGGCCAGAAUACUCGUCCAUCAAUAAAUUCUACUUUGGACCAUUGGAGAGCAUUUAUGAGCCGGUCCCUAUGAUUUGCAUGCUAUGUUUUACUGACCAAAUGGUGAAUGCAAGAACUGUAAGUGACAAUUUAUUCACGUUGUCGAACAAAUAUCGUGGCCAUCAUGACUCACCACUCACGUCACAUUAAUGGUAUUGUCAUGAAUUUAACCACAUAUUAUUAGUUGUAAAGUUUUAUCACAUAUUAUUAGUUGUAGAGUGGUGUGAGUUUAUGGGUUUUAUAUGUACAACGUGAGACCCAACCACUUCUUGUUUUUCUCUAUUUUAUGAUUGGCUACCUAUUUUCUUUUUCUUGUUAUUUAUUUUAUAGGCUUGACACUCAUGAGUUUAAUAUAUUGAACUUAAAAAUAGAAUCACCCUCAUAGCACUCAGAUUUUUGGGCAUAUUGUAAGAAAUUAAUUCCUAUAUUAUUGGUAUCAUACUUACUUUUCUGGUCUGUUGUAGAAGGUUUUAGCGGGAUUAUACAAAUAUGAUAUUUAAAAUGUGGUAGUAGUAAUAUUUUUGAUAAACUAAUGUAUGUCUAUCAUUUUUUUUAAAUAAACCGACAUAUGGUUAGUCAAAAUAUCAACAAUAUUAAUGAUAUAAAUAAUAGUCGUGAACCCAUGAAAUAUUAACGUAAUUAUCAGUAUUAUUAAAUAAUCAGACAUGUGACAUAAUGAGACAACAUAACCUAAAUUGCACUCCUUGUUAUAAAGUCAUAAAGUUGUGAAACUUUUUUUUUGUUUCUGCUAAAGGUGACACGCUUAACUUGUGGUAAAACAAGAGUUUCCACUGACCCAGUAAUCUAUAUAUACAUGAAAUUCAUAAGCUCACAAGUCACACAAAGGUAAGCAAAAACAACAUUCUUUGACCAAAAAGAAAAAAAAAAGCAAAAAGAAACAUUCUCGAUUCAAAAAUGGAGCAAAGCAAGGGCAGGAGAGUGAUCCUCUUCCCACUGCCGUUUCAAGGCCACAUAAAUUCUAUGCUAGAACUGGCCAACGUUCUACACUCCAGAGGCUUCUCCAUAACCAUUAUUCACACACGCUUCAACUCCCUCAACCCUUCUACCCUAAACCCACACUUCACGUACCAUUCAAUCCCUGUCGACUUCUCCGAAACCGAGGCCGCCUCGAGGGAUCCCAAAGGUUUUUUUUAUCUUCUCAAUGUUAGAUGUAUCGAGCCUUUCAGAGAAUGCCUGGCCAGGUUGUUAUCGGAUGAUGUUAAGUUGGAAGGCCCCGUUGCUUGCUUGAUCUCAGACACUCUUCUUCACUUCACUCGACCCAUUGCGGAGAGUUUUAAGCUUCCGAGGAUCUUGUUAGAUGUCUCGUGCGCCACUAAUUUUGCUGUUUUGGCUGUGUUUCCGCUUCUCAAGGAAAAGGGUUACCUCCCAAUACAAGGUACAUCAGAUAUAUGCUUCUUUCUUUCUAUGUUGGUUACAACAAAAUAACUCAUUACCAUUAUUAGUUGCAUAAAAUAGAGUUGCUAAUUUUUUUUUUUUUGACACAGAUAGUGCUUUUAUCAGAAUAAUUGUCAAAUAUUACAAAAUGUCUUUUUACUCGCCAUUGGUACAUAGUAUUACUAGUUCACUGGUUAUAAACAUGAUUGAACUGAUGAUAAUAUACAAAUACUUGAACAACUUAUAUUUGGCUUUCUAUUAUAUUGGCAAUAAUUAGAUUCUCGACUAGAAGAGGUAAUCACAGAACUAUCACCUAUCAAAGUUAAAGACCUGCCAAAGGCGCCCGGUUCCGAUCCUGAGAAUUAUUAUCAACUGGCCAUCCAAGUGUCAAAUGAACCAAAGUCUUCUUAUGGACUCAUCUUAAAUACAUUUGAAGAUCUUGAAGGACAUGCUCUGGCCAGAAUCCGCCAAGAACACCUGCCCAAUGUUCCCAUUUUCCCAACAGGUCCAUUUCACAAGUGUUGCCGUACAAUAUCCUCUUCAAGUAGUUUAUUGGCACAAGAUCAGAGUUGCAUUUCAUGGCUGAACACUCAAGCGCCCAAAUCUGUUGUUUAUGUUAGCUUUGGGAGCAUUAUUCAGAUAGAGGAAGCUCAAUUUUUGGAGAUAGCUUGGGGGCUGGCCAAUAGCAAUCAACCUUUUUUGUGGGUUGUUCGACCCGGGUUGGUUAACGGGCUUGAUUGGCUUGAAGCGUUACCUAACGGGUUUUUGGAAGCAUUGAACGGGAGGGCUUACAUUGUAAAAUGGGCUCCACAAAAAGAAGUGUUGGCCCACCUAGCAGUCGGAGCCUUUUGGACUCACAAUGGUUGGAAUUCUACAAUGGAGAGCAUUUGUGAAGGGGUCCCUAUGAUUUGUACACCAGGUUACAUUGAGCAAAUGCUGAUUGCAAGAAAUGUGAGUGAUGUUUGGAAGGUAGGGCUGCAAUUGGAGCAUGGGAUUGAGAGAGGUGAGGUUGAAAGAACAAUUAGAAGACUGAUGGUUGAGAAAGAAGGGGAAGAGAUCAAAGAGAGAUCCUUAAAGUUGAUGGAAAAGGCAAAUCGUUGCCUCAAAGAAGGUGGCUCUUCGUACCAAUCUUUGGAUGGCUUGGCCAAGCACAUUUUAUCGUUAUAAAUCGUUUGUAUAAGAAACUAAGUGGUAUUGCAAGUAGCUCUUUACCACAGUGGUGAAAAUAAGUUGAGCCCUUGCAUGAAGGCAUGAGUUUAAACCCUGUCGGUGACUAAAUAAAAGAAAAUAUAUCGUUUAACCAAAAAAAUAAUAAUAAUUACUAAGUGGUAUUAUUUAUUCAAUAAAAUAAAAAUAAAAUUGUUGGGUUGCAUUAUGUGUUUACAUAAAUAGAGGCUUUUAGCAAUGUGUUAACUACAUUAUGUGUAUAAAAUAAAAUCUCGACAAAAGCCAGUCUUCACUUUACUACCCGAUUCGCACAUUUCAACUUAAUCUUCAACUCAUUCGAACAUGUGAUGUAGGUCAGAAUACCAAUAAACCAAAACAAUAAUGGUUCUAAUUAGGCCUGACAAUUUUGUAAACGACACGAAAAUAAUAAGUUUCGGAUAAUUACUAAGUUACCCAUUAAUAACGGGUUUACACACAGGUAACUGGUGGUUAACCCAUUUCGACCUGUUAAGAAAAAAAUAUUUUGAUGAUUUGAAAGUUAAGCUACUAAACAAACUUACUAUAAAAUAUAGUAUAUAUUGUAUAUUAAAUAUGUAUUAUUGUAUUACUAUUCUACGUAAGUUAAAAAAAAAAGUUUUAUUUAUUUAUUUUUAUUAUGAGAGUUUCUUAUCAUUACUACGAUAAAUUUUACUUGACAUGGUAUCCUAAAUUCAAAUCAACUAGUAUAAUAUUAGUAUAAGCAAAAUGACAGACUUUCAAUUUCAGAGUCAACGACGUAGCAAAGUUUUUACUCUCUCUUAUACAAUCAUACUCAUAAAUGUUUCAUCCUCUUAAAAGUGAGAUUAAAACAUUAUAAAACACAUUAAAAAAUUAAAUAUCAAAGUAAUUUAAAAACACCAAACAUAUUAAAAAGUAUAAUAAUUAAUUUACAAGUGCAAAAAAUGUGAAAAAAGAAUAUGCAAAUACUUGUGAUCACAUCCUCUACGCUUUGAGAUGGGUACAUCAUUGUUUGAAUUUUUAAAAACGUACAAAGCCUCAUGAAUAAUAUUUUUAGGGGAGUUCAAAAUAAAUAAAAUUUCGUAAUAAUUAAUGUACAAGUGUGAAAAAUGUGAAAGAAUAUAUAAACGCUCGUGAUUGCAUCCUCCACGCGUAGAUGAUGGAUACAUUGUCUUUUAGAAUUUUAAACCCUCCAAACCCUCAUGAAUAGUGUUUUUAUUUGAGUUCAAAAUUAAUAAAAUUUGUAAUAAUUAUUUUAUAAGUGUGAAAAAUGUGAAAAAAAUAUACAAUCACUUAUAAUGAUAAGCUUUACAACUUUCGUGAAGGGAUCAACUCCGAAAUCUGACACCAUAAUCCAUGAACCUUUGAUUUAUAUUUAAUCGUUGAUUAUUGUUUACGCUUUACUCUUUCACUAAAUUUUUUUUUUUCAUAUUUUCUUUUUUAAAAACAUGAUCUUUUAACGGAUACAGAAAAAUGAACGGUUCGGAUUGUUGAUAUUACGUUCCAAUAUUUACGGUUACCUGAAUAUGAGUCGAUGUUAUAUAGUUUUUGGAGACUUUAUAAACUCUAAGCAAUAAUUUCGCUAAUGGUAAAACUUUGAAUGUAAUAUCAAUGAUCCGAAUCGUUCAUCUUCCUGCAUCCUCUAAAAGAUCAUGUUUUCAAAAAAGAAAACCUUAAAAAAAAAAAUUGGUGAGAAGAAUUGAGCGUAAAUGUAAAUGAUUAUCAACGAUUACAUUUCAAUCUAUAGUUUAUGUGAUUAUAGUGGCGAAUUUUGAAGUUAAGCCCAUUAUGAAAGUUGUAAACCUUGUUAGUACGAGCGUUUAUAUAUAUAUAUAUAUAUAUAUAUAUAUAUUUUUUUUUUUUAAUAUCUUACACAUCUUUCACACUUAUCCAUUAAUUAAUAUUUAUGUGAUACGUGAAAGACAAAUGUGUUUUUAUGUUUUGAAGUAAUAUUUAUAUGAUAAUGUGGUAUGUAUAUACCAAUUUAGUAUUAUGUUUUUUAUUUGAUUAUUUACUGGUUUAAAAUAAAUUUUCUUUAAAGGAUAAUGGGUCGGGUUAUAUUACCUGUUAAUAUUAACAGUUCAAGUUCGGACUGGGUCAUAUUACUCGUUCAUUUUAACAGGUGUUGCAUGACACAACCCAUUAAAAUAUCAAGUAUGACAUGAAAACAACACGAACAUGAAAAACACAACACGAAUGCAGUUUUAAUAACAUGGGAGAAAGUUGUCUCAGAGCCUCCUAUAUGGCAUCCAAUAUAACAACCAAAUUAAAAUUUAGGGUUUCUUCGUCACAGUGAAUGCUUCCAAUCAAAAUAUACAUAUAUAGUAAUCAUCAUACUUACAUUGUCUACUUUUUGUUGAUCCAAAUUAUUGGCAUACAGGAAUUGCGGCAAAAAAACUCUUUCCGUGUGAGUUCUUCUCUCUUCCUGAGAGUCGUUCUCACUAUUGUGUGAGUGGUUUCCCUUCCGUUUGAUAAUGUCAUUGUCGGUCCUUGCUGUGGCGGAGAUCGGUAACAGAUCAUUCCAGUUAAUCUGCGUCAGAAUAUUAAUUGGGAAGCUAAAGUUUGUGCUUUAUUGAUAAUGGGAACUGGGACAAAGUCCAACUUUCUCAAGUAUUAGAUUUAGAUGUUGUGAAAAAAAAAUCUAUUUGGUAACUAUUCCCUUGCAUAAUAAGGAAGUUUACUUCAUUUGGGAUCAUUCAUCAACUGGUGAUUUCUCAAUUAAAUCAGCUACUUGGAUUCAGAGUAGUCAAAACCAUGAAGUGAAUAGACAAAGGCUCCUUAAGAGGUUGUGGAGGUUAAUCAUUCCCCCUAAGGUAAAAAAUUUUGCAUGGUUGCUUAUUCAAGGAAAAUUGCAUACUAAGGUAAGAUUGAGUAAAUUCAUUCAAAAUGCUAUUAAAGAUUGCUCGUUAUGUGGCAAGGAGGAAGAAACACAAAGUCAUCUUUUUCGGAAUUAUGAUUUUGCAAGAGAAGUCUAGAACAGAUCCCCCGUUAAAUACAUGAUGGAGUAAUGUUGGUCAUACGAAUGAGUUUUUAGAUUGGUUAGAAUUAAUUAACAAUGAUGAAUUCAAUGGUUUGAGUGAGCUUAGUAAGGCUCAUCUAAAUUGUCGGCAAAUUUGGAAUGACAUGAAUAAUAAAGUUUUCAGAAGCAUAAGUCCUCAUCCUGCCAGAAGUAUUGCCAUUGCCGCUAGAGUGGGUUUAUAUUAUUUUGAGGCCAAUUGCAAAAGGACUAACAAAAGCAACCUUUGUAAUCAAGCAAACAUUCGUUGAGAGCCUUCGCCCCAAGAUUUGGUGAAGUUAAAUUUUGAUGGCUUGGUUUAUUUAAAUAAAGCGGUUGCUAGGUUUGUUUUAAGGAAUGAGGCUGGACAACCUGUUGGAGCUGGUGCUUUUAAUCUCGAUGGGGCCACCACCUUGCUCGCAGAAGCCACUGCUUUAAAGGAGGGUCUUUCUUUUGCCAGGCUCAAAGGUGCGAGAAAGCUUGUUAUGGAUGGAGAUUCCAAGCUCAUCAUUUAGGUGGUGCAGGGGGAGUGGAACCCCCCUUGGCAUCUUAUACCGAUCAUUGAGGACAUCAAGUGGCUAGUAUCGGGAUUUCAGUGCAUUAGAUGGCAUCAUAUUUUUAGGGAGGCAAAUUUUGUUGCGAACAAAUUAGCUCACGUGGGUCUAGCAGUGACGAAUCCAUAUUUUAAGGAUAUUACGUUCCUACUUCGGCCUUGGAUGCUUUUAGAUUUGAUUGUUUGGGAAUCGGUUGUACUAGAGGCUUUUCUGUUUAAUGAAAUCUUUUUUCCUAUAACAAUAAAAAAAACAUAUUUAAUUUUCCAAAAUUUUUAAUAAGCCUUUUAAAAAUAAAAAUAAAAAAUAAAAAAUAAAAAAUAAAACAAAACACCACAAUUCCAAAUUAUUACUUUAGUCUAAAGAAGGCUUUUCAAUUGCACUGUACAAAUGAACAGUGUUUUGAACCACAUUUCAACUUAUUUACAAGAUUGCCACUGCCUCUUCAGUUUCAGAUUGAAAAUUUUGAUUUAUUUACGAAAUUGCCACCCUUCAGAGUGCACGUGUCGACGAUCGUAGAAAGGGUGGGGGAUGGAUGCAAACCCGAUUUUGUUCCAGAGAUCUCUUCGACGACAAACCCAUUUUGCUCCAGAGCUCUUCAACGACAAAGUCGAUUCGGCGCCUCGCCGCCGCACUCCUCGCCAGAACUCGAAUCAAUGGUAACGUGCCAAUUGUAUAUAUUUUUUGUCAAUUUUUAUCAUUAUUCUGGAAAUUAGGGUUUGAUCUAAAUUUGGUGUGGCUGUGCUUCAGCCAAAACUCACGGAUUAGGCUGAGAGAGAUAUAUAUGGGAGGAUUUGUGGACGGAUUUCAGGGAGAGAGGUGUGGGAUGGCAGGGAGGGGAAGGAAGAGGGAUGAGUGAGGCUGCCAAAAAGGGGGUUAGGGUUGAUUUUUUUCUCCUCAAAUCAAUUGUGGUGUCGGUGAUUGAACGAGCAUUGGUUAGAAGGGAACUUUCGUUUCCUUUGUUUCUGAACCGGAAUGGGGUCGAUGGGACCAUGCUCUGUUGCACGUUCAGAUGAGUGAUUUCAGGGAUUUGGGGGUAGGGAGAGUGAUUUCAGGGAUUGGUAAUCCCAUCCCGUGUUUUCCCUUCAUCUCUGUCACACUCAACCUCUCUCUAAUCCUUUCUCUUUCACUCUCUUGCCAUGGAUUUGGAGGGGACUGAUGGGAGGGAGAAGGGCGAGGUAAUCAGAUUGAGUUUUAUUAGGGGGUUUGUGGGGUUUUUUUAGAGAUUUUUCUGUGAAAGCAUUGUUGUUGUAUGAAUUUUUUUUAUUGUGGGUUUUGAUUGUUUGGUUAUAAUUUUGGGUAUCUGUUUUGGUUUUUUCAAUCGGUUUUUGUGUAAGUCAAAGUUUUAUGCGGAUGAUCGUUGGUUCUAAACCAACCGAGCUACAUAUAUGGCUUUGCUUCCCAUCUACUGACAACGUUACCCUUCUUCGCUCUACAAAUUCCCUUCUAACUGUCCACACUUUUACAAAACCAAAACCAAUUUUAUAAAUUUUGAUCAGAUUUUUCUUCAGAUUAGAGAGAAAGGGUCAUAUAUUUUUGCUAUUUUCAGAGAGAGAGGAUUUGAUGGAAAAAGGCUAUAUUAGCAAAUAGAUGAUAUUUCAAAAUUACAGUCGUCUGAUUCACUUAUUUUUGUUCAUAUCUAAUAUUUCUGGAUUUUUCCAUGUACAUUAUAGAAUUUAGUGACAUUUGAUAAACAUUGAAUGAAGUCCUUCAGUGAAUCUCUCAAGGCGCUCGAAUCUGAUAUUUAGUUCGCCAACACUGUAAGAACUCCAAUUCUUUCUCUACUUACACAAUUCCAAAGCAAUGUGUAAUAAACAGUGGAAUUUUGAUUCAAGUUGUAGUAAUUGCCCUGCAAUUGUUUUUCCAAUAUGUUUAUACACUUACGGUACUCCAAUCUCUCUCUCUAUAUCUGUCUCUCUCAUUUCUUUUCGGUUUUGCAAAUCUCUGACUUUCGGUGGUUUUGUUUUCUUCCAGUUGUCGAUGAAUUUUAUGGACUUCCUUUGUAAUCCUUGCUGCAGAAAGCAAUCUCGACGCCGCUGUGGGCGAAGGAACGCCAUCAUACGAGCCACCACGCUACUGUUGGUAAUUUUACUUUUCUGAUUUUAUAUGAGUAUGUGGUUUGUUUGAUGAGAAAAUAUGGAAAACGAGAGAUUUUUUUUUGAAUUUAGGGUUGCUAUAACAUGAAUUUUCACCAUGAUUUGUGAUUGGUUUUGGGUAUCUUUCCUCUCUUAUGCUUUUUACACUGCCUGCAUCAACCCCUUUUCGUUUUUUGUCUUCUCUUCCAACUUAUGCCCUCAAUAAUGAUAUUAGAUAAGGCAUUUUAAAAUUUAUUGCUAAUAUUUUGAAAUUUGUGUUGUACUAAUGCCAUAAGGCAUUUUGAUUUUUGACAUUUUGUUAUGUUGGUUGGAAAGUUGGAGACUUUUCCUCUCUUUGCAUUUUGCUAUGCUGGUUGGAGACUUGCGAACUAUUGAUUUUGAAUGCUAUUGCUCUCUUUAUUCUUUAAAAUCGAGUAUUGGAAUUUUGAAUGGGACAGGAUUGGAUUUAUGACUUUGUGCUUUCCUGAAUGGGUUUAGUUUUGUACAGCUUGAAAUGUUGGUAUUGUUUUUGUUCAUGUAACUUUGGUUCAUUGUUCGUUGUGGGAUGAGAUUUGGGAUCUAUUUUUUUGUUUCAGUUUUUACAUAUCGAAUUUUCGAGAGCUAUUUGAUAACAGUCAGGCCUGUUUAGAGUCAGGUUUUAUAACUCAAACCAAUUCCAAUAGCUAUUUGGUAAUAGGAUGAGUAAUUAAGUAUCAAAGAGUGGGGAAUUCAAUGUCUUAUAUUGUCAAAUAUAAUGUUAUUGUGUAUGUAUUUACUUUGCAUAAACUUGGUCUCACUUUUGAUUGAAUUGUUGCAGUUCUUGGUAUAAGGAGCUAUAGCUCCAUUGAAGAAGUGAGAGGCAUACGACAAUAUUUCUUUAGUCUGGUAUGUCAUUUUAACGAUUGGAAUUCCACAAUUUGAUUAGUUUUGAUAAUUUCCGGAAGAAGAAGAAGGCCCUGUGUCCAAGUUUUAAAAAGCACACUUUGUAAUGCUUCAAAAUUUCAUGCUUUUUUUAGGAAUUCAGACAGGCAGCAUGCAGAUACUUCUGACUUUAUCAAGGUUAGUGAAUUAUGUGGUUUCUCCACGGGGUGCAGUUUUGUUGUUACACUUUGUAAAGCUUCAAAAUUUCAUGCUUUUUUCAGGAAUUUAGUAGUCCCCAUCAUCAUCAGUUUGUCUGCUAUUGCAGUUAGGGAAGCAUUCCACAGAAGAAGGCGGGGUUACACCUUCAGUUUAUUCACGCAAAGAACCAGUAUGUCGAAAAAUAUAUGUUACUCAAUUCUUAAAAACUUUAUGGCGUGACAAAAUAAAUUUGCAAAUUGCUAAUUUUUCUGUUUUGUAUAAAAUCUUUGUUCACUCUACCUGAACAGGUACACAUGUUAAGUUUUCUUUCAUCUUAUCUUUGGCACAGAAGGCACCAUCAAAAUUUAAACUUUUUUAUUUUUUUAUUUUUUUUCAUUCGGCUGUUGAUGAAGGGAUUGUUGUUGGUGGAUGAAACCUUUAGGUAAUUAUCUGUUGCUUAUUGAACUCCCCCAAUCAUGAGUUUUGACUCGGAAGAAGAUUUUGAUGAUGACAGAUACUAAAUUAAAUUUUGGCUCAAAUUGUAUUGAAAAUUGCAGUUCAGAGCAAUUUUAUGAGGAAGAAGGAUGAAUCCUAAACAUAUGUAUGAAUUUAGUCAAUUUCUACACGCUCCAUUCAGUAGAUGAAUUGUAAACAUAUGAAUUUCAAGCACCUGAAUUGAAUAGAUGCUUUUAAUUCUUCUCUCAUCUAAACCUUAGAUUUUUCUGCAAUUUUAUUUCUUUGUUGUUUAUAUCAUCGUUGUUUGAAUAUAUGGUUAAACUUAUUUCAUUAAUUGUUGAUGCCGUGUGUUGAUAAUCAUGGAAAGGUAGGGGUGCGAUGGUCGUUUUAGUCUGUAGGGUUUCGAACGGAUUGGGUGGGUUAGGGCGACUUUCAUUUCCUUUCUUUCUAUGAGCUGUAGAGGGACUCGGUGAGAGCAUGCCGUCAGAGAGAGAGCGGGAGGGAUAGAGAUAGGGAUUUGGUGGGAACUCAUAAUGUAGUAGAUAUUCCUCAAUGCAAAGGUCCCAAUCCUAAUGACUUUAUAUUUGAUAUUUAAUCCUUGGAUUAGUGUUAAAUUCUAUAUUUUUUAGUUUAAUUUGUGUUUUCUUUUCUGUUUUUGCAGCUCAUCCUCCAAGUAUAAAUGCUGCUGUGGAGCUGCUUAAACAAGGUCCCUUUUCGGUUAUUAAAACUCAAUGUUACUUGCUUUCAUUUCUAGUUUUUGAGUCUUCUAUUUGUUUGCUUGCUGCAAUUAUUCAACUUAUGCCGCUAUAAUAUUUGUUUCCUUCUGUUUUGUCCUCGCAUUAACUACCAUUUGGAUCAUGUGAAUGACAACUUUCAUGUAUAUUUCGAAUAAUGAGCAGUUUAUUGCUGUUAAUCUUUUGAUCACUGUAUAUGUUGCUAAUUUGCCUUCUCAAACAACGUAGAUGUAAACAUUGAUAUAUAAAACUUAUAUGUUAAUCAACCAAUUUAAAAUUGGGAUUUUAACUGAUGGUCGUCCAUGGUUCCUUACUUUCCAGAUAUUGCAACAUGCAUAAAUUCACCUGGAAGUUAUUCAUGUCAAUGUCCCAAAGGAUACAAACAUGAAGGCAUGGAUGAAAAGAGUUGUAUCAAAGACAACAAAGGGUCAAAGGCCAUUCUCCUCAUUAUUUCAUUAGGUAUGCAUGUUUUUUUCACAUGUUAAUAUAUUGCAUAUACGAGUCUAAAUUUAUUUUAUUGGAGCCACUUUUGGAUCCAAAAUUCUCAUAAAGUAUGUCAUUGAUGAAAGUUAUAUUCUGCUGUCUUUUAGUGAUCUUUGAAUAGUCUCAAGCAGUAUUAACUAUCAGGGAUUUGUUUUCAUAUUGCAUGAAAUUUCCACUUUUUUCAUCUUUGAAUAGUCUCAAGCACGGUAAAUAUAAUAGCACUAGAAAGUGAGGAAAUCCACUUUAUUUGGUCAGGUUGGAUUCUCUACUAUGACUGCCAUUUUUAUCUCUAAACAAAAUUUUAAUGGUAUGUAUGAUAUAAUGGUAAAUUUAACUAUUUUGGUUUCGUUGUUCUCAUACUUUGGUGCCUCGAGUUUUAAUUUUUCAUAGCUGUGUCUGAGUUGUUUUCCAGUUACAAUUCGGGUGCCAUUGGCAACUUCUAGGGGACCAAAAUUGUUUUCAGGUCAAAAUACAGGAACCAAAUUGUAACUAGGCUAGGAGAUUACAUUACCAAAGUAGGAAAGUUUGGUCUUGAUUCAUAGUUUGGCAACACAAUAUGUAUGUAGGAUGUUGUUUUGGAACCGUUUGGUAAGUGUUAAAUACAUCCUAUAACAUGAUUGACUAACAAGCAUGGUCGUUCAGAUAUACAUGCAAUUGAGAUCACUGACUAAAUCAGGUUUCUUUUAUAUUGAAGCAAAUCUUGCCUAUUAGGUGUUUGUGAAAAUUCCCCAGAGUUAGAAACAAGGAUAUGAUGCAAAUCUGAAUGUAGGCUGUUUUGGUAUCUGUGUGUAUGUAUAGGGGUGUUAUAUUGAUAUGACAUGUUGCCUAAUUUAUCUAUUUUUCGAUUGUUAGAUCAAAGAAGGAAGUUCAAUUUAUCAAGGAUCAAGGUUUGGACUACUAGACAGCACGCCGGCUUCGGUUUGAGGUAUGGAAGUCUCGAGCUUGCAAUCUUAAAUUUCUGGUUCCCGAAUAAGAAAUAUGCUCUAUUUGAUCCCGAAUAAGAAAUGACAUAGGUCUGUGGCUUCCAUCAUUAUUAAGUUGUAUCCUUUUCUACUUGGGUUACAAAAAACCAUUAUAAUGAAUUAAUCAAAUUUUUUAUUCUAAGGAAGUAUGUAUUCAACAUUGUUUUUUUCUGAACAAUUUCAAUUAAUAUAACUAUGACCAUUUGUCUACUAUUUUAUAGACUCCCAUUGCCAUGUUGGUCUCUUGCUGCUAAAUGUGUAUUACUUUGUCUUCUGGGUGAGCGUUCUCUAAUUUAGAUUAGACAACAAUUCUUCAAGCUUGGUUUGUUUUCUGUGUCUCCUUCACUGUAUCUGUUCUGUGAAUGAACAGGUAGAUGUCAACUCUAGCAUUUAAUAGUGUUGUGCACCUUGACAGGUGUAUAUGUGAACGGCUCACAGGGUUUUUCUGAAUCUGUAGGUCCAGGAUUUAUUUUUGAAAGGGUAAGUCUGUUGUGAUUCUUUUAAUUCUCAUCUUCAGUGCAAAAGUUUGUGUGCAAACUUUUUUGUUGCAGUUUUAUUCUUCUGUAUGCAUUAUGUUUAUCUUUAAGUAAAGGUUGCUAAUCUUUUAUUUAUGAGUGUGUGCUGCUCGGUCUCCAAUGAUUGUUUAUAUUUCGAGGGUAUAAAUGGGGAGGCAAAAUGCAUUCCAAUAACUCGGAAUUCAACCUCCACCAAAUUGUAAGGAAUCCAAUUCCUCCAAAUUUUGGAGUUGGAUUCCAAAAUUUGCAUGGUCUCUUAAAAUUUUUGAUUCCCCAAUAUUGGGUAAACACUGGAGUAGUCAGUAAUCGACUUUCAAUUCCUUUUUUUUGUUCCGAUUACCCUUACAUAAAUGUAUUUAUGAUCUUUUAGUUUCAAGAGCCCAACUGUUGUUGCAAAAUGUGCUAUAGAUGGAGCAUCUAAUGUCUUUCUUACUUAUUGUUGGGCUCUUCUAUCUUUAUGUGAGGCAUUUUGUACUACUGCUUUUGUAACGUUGGGAUGUUUCAAGAUUUAUGACUGUGCGUUCUCUCUCUCUACACUUUUUCUUCCCUCGCUCCCUCUCAUGUAGAGCCAUUUUAUGGUACAAUGUGUUUAUCGGUUCUCAUGUCCAAGUUUUUCUUUCUGCUUUCUAUUAAGUUUUGUUUGUAUGUUAUGUUUUCAUGGAAUCUCUUGCACUGAUUUCAAUUACGUUGUACUUGAAUGUCCUGAACUCAAGUCAAUCAGGAUUUUUUUUUUGGUUGAAACCAUUGAAUUUCGUUGGACUUAAAUGAUAUAGAUGUGGGGAAUACAUUUACAUAAGGAUUAAUUUUAGGGAACUUUAACGAAAAGCACCCGGUACUGUUCACUUUAACGAAAAACCACAUUUCUACACUAAAAAGUCAAUCCUGGUACUAUUCACUUUACCAUUUAUUUUGUCCUUAUCAUUAAAACUAAAAGUUUUCAAGCCCUUUACAUUAGUUUUCCUUUAAUUUUAACCAUAGAAUUUUAUUUCAUUUUUCCUUGGAGCUUGAGUAACAAGAUCAUCAAAUUCUUAUAUUCGUUAUCGGUGAGAAUAAAUCUACAUGCAUAACAAUAUUGUUACACUUCUACUUUUAUUGGGUUUUUAUACAGUUUGUGUGUUUGCUUAGUCUUGCCUUGGAGUUGGAUCCACUUUGUGUAAUGGAUUGUGAUUUGUUUGAAAAUAUCUUUACUGAUGAUUUUGAGUAUAAUGUGUUUUUCUCUCCCUUUGUAAUCCAGUCGUGCAGAAGACAUCUCCAUUAACCGGUAACAGAUGAAAUCGUUUGCUGCCGAGGUUCACGUGCAGAAGAGCGAAAAUGCUGCAAGUGGAUGAUAGAUAACAGCUCAAGACACAUGGUAUGAGGGUGCAGGUAAACUGUACAUAUGCAUCUGGAAAAAGUUAAAAGUUAAGGCGGGUUGGCUAUAGCUUCUCCUUCUCGCCACAACAGGAAAUACUUUUGAACUGCAUUAAGAUGUUAAUAAAUUAAGCUUAAGCUAUAUUUUACUUAUCAAGAAUGGGUAAAUUGUUUUAAAUAGAAAAAUUAAGUGCUUAUAUCAGGGAAACUAUCAAUUUUACAAAGUUUUUUGGUAAAUUAGAUAUAUAGUUUAAUUUGAAGAGUUGUGUUGACCUUUACUUUUGUUAAAUUAUAUAGUUUAAUUGCGUCCUCUUUUUCCAAUCCUUAUAUAUCUGCUCAACUCUUGGUCAAUUAUUUGCCAGUAAGAAUGUUUAAUUGCUUGAUCAAUGAUGUCCAUUCAAUUUGAAGAAGAAACAGGACUUUUGUCCAAUAGGAAUUUGAAAUAGGGAUUGAGACCAGAUAUGAGUAAGAUGUCCCAAUUGUUCAUUGAUUCUUAGAUGCUACGUCUUUUUAGUUGAUUUGUGUGGAAACUAUUCAUGCAUGUUGCGACUAAUAUAUUCAAGUCCCCGUAGCAACGCGCGAGCAUAUUUUCUCGUACAUAUACUAAAACCCAGUUUUAUGUUACUGUUUUGCACUGUUAAUGAACAGUGAAAUUACGGAUAUACCCUUGGUUUCUCCUUUGUUUGUGCAACGAAUUUCCAAUUUUGCCCAUGCUGGCGACGGGUCAGUCAUCGUUGAUUUUUAGCCUUCGACUCGGUUUUGUUUACUCUACCUUUCUGUGUGGCUUUUCUUUCUUGCCGCUCUGUGCUUCCAUCCGUUUUGGUCUCGCCUUUGUUCUCCGCACUUUAUUUCGCAAAUUAUUCACGAAAUUGGUCUCCGUGGUUUUAUCCUGCGUUCAUGAUUUCUGUUUUUUUUUUGGGAUUUCGUUUUGCGACCUGCGUUUUGAAAGAAGUGGUGCAUCUCUGUGAACCUAAAUUUGUUGGCGGUCUGUGGAGACUCAUAAAAUUCGUCUCCAUGUUUGAUCCUCCACUUCUAAUCGCUGGCGGAAGACUUUUUGUUUCUUUUUCCGCCUGCCAUACCGAAGUUGUUGCCGGAUUUCCCACGAAUUUUCAGGCCACUUUGGGCACAGCCUCUCUGCAAACUGAGGUAUUUUUUUAACCCAUUUCUAGAGAUGUUAUUAAUUUUUGUGAAAUAUUUGGUCUGGUUUUUGUUUCCCAUUGCACACCCAAGUCUGAUGUGUGUGUAAUAGUCCUCCACACUAAACUAUACGCUUCCAUCCAGUUGGAAAUCCAUGGGUUCUGUGGGUCCCUUGGCAUCCGCAACAACGUGAUCCUCCAUUUUGGUAGCUAUUUCCUUUUAGGGUUUUUGUGUGUUUUUCCUAAUGAAUUAAAAUGAUGUCAAGUUCCUCUGAUUAUUGCUACAUUGGAUCCUCAAUUGGAACUCAUCUCUCAUCAGAUUCAAUUGAUUGAGGGUAUCAAUUAACAUCACCCUUUUAACUUUACCAUGGUGUGGUUCCACAAAUUAAGUCAUACCGUUUUCUCUCAUUUAAAUUCUUGAAGUUUUAAUUGGAAUUUCUUUAACAGUUUUUAUGAAAUUUGUUAUCUUGUUGUUUUAGAUUUUUAUAAGGUUUUUAUGAUUCAAUUAAUGGGGUUUGUUUUCGUUUCAGAUUAAUUUGGUUCCUGCUAAAGUAAUCAAACAUUGAAAGCUUGGAACCAGCAAUCUUUCAAAGAGGUUGGUUGUUCAAUGUUUUCAUUUUUGUCUUUUUAGUUGUAUGAAUGUGGUGGUAUGAUUUACUGUUUACAUUUAUAAUUCCAAUGUUUGGUUAUGUUUCUUUUAGUUUAACUGUUUUGCAUAUAUUGAUUGUCCUGUGAUUGAGAUAAUAUGAUGUGUACAAUGAAACAAAAUUCAUUGAAAAAAGGGAUGUAGAAUUCCAUUUUUCAAACUUUUUUAUUUUGGUUUUUUAAAAUUAUCCUUAUCAAACCUAAUAAAAUUUUGUAAACUGAUGAUAGACAAUUUUUUUUCUUUUCCUUUUUACAGUAUUUGAACAAGCUCUAUUUUAUAAGCUUUUGAAGUGUGUUUUUGGCUUUGAAGACGUUCUGUGCUAAAGGUAAGUAAUAUAAACUUUUGAUGUCAUUUGAUUCAAAGUUUAAUUAUAUAGUUUUAUUCAUUUUUUUCUGAUUGAAGUCAAGUUUCAUAUUAUGUUUAUGUUUAUUGAGAUCAACUUUGUUUUAAACUUCUGUUUACAUUUGAUAUAAGCCAUAUUGAUUUGUAUAUGUGUUAUGUCUCUAUUAAUUUUUUUUUCUUUUUUCGAAAUCUGUUUUGCAGUUGUUUGCUUUUGAAUUAGUUGUCAGAGUUCCUUAGUAUCAUGUCUAAACGAUCUAUAAUUACAAUAAGUGAUGGUCUAGACCAAAAAGAAAACAUUGGCAAUAGUGAAUAUAAUUUUUUGAGUGAGUAUAAUUGUUGAUGCACAAAAUCAAUGAGGACUUUGGUACAAUAGAAAGUGUCAAGUUUGUUAGAUUGCUUUGGUCACUAGUGUGGAUAAGUAUGCAAAUGGAUAGGGACAAGGAAGCAAACACAAGAUGUACGUGGUUCACCUAGAUUGGCUACGUCCACGAAGUAGAGGAGUUCUCAUUAAUUGUGAAGGGUUUACACAAGUACAUAGGUUCAAGCUCUCCUUUAGUGAGUACUAGUGAAUGAUUUAGUACAAAUGACAUUAGGAAAUAUUGUGAGAGAAUGAUCUCUAUUUAUAGAAGAGAGUUUCUAGUUUCAUUCUAACAUUGACAUGUGUCGUGUUGUGAUUGGCUUCUGAUGUCGACACAUGUCGCACUGUGAUUGGCCUCUUGGUUGGAGGGAAACUUUUCUGGAUGCUUGACGGUAUAAUGUUGAUCGAUGCGCCAUAGUUUCGGGAUUGGUCAAGUAUGGUAUAAACAAUAAUCAUCAACCAAAAAGACUUUGUAGAAUUGCUUAUAUACAAAAUUGUGAAAGCACUUCUGUUAGCGAAACUGAUGCAUUAGUUUAUGAAUAUUCACGAGCUCCAGUGCAUCUUCUGUUAACCAAUGUGUUAUUAUGCUUGUGAGCGAUGUUCAAGUAUUAGAUACCACCCCGUUUAAAAAUGAAAUAUAUGUUUGUGAUCGAAAAGGCUAAAACAUUAUUGGUUUCUCGACUGGCGUUGAAAACUCUGUUGGAAAAAGCUUAGGCGCUAACAAUUAUAAUUUCAUGAGUAAAGGUCAAUCCUUUUUCCAAGCAACCAGAAAGGGUGAGUUUUACAAUUUGUAUAAUGAUUAUUUCGUUUAGGUUUGAUCUUUACCGUUUAGCUACUUGCAUGUAGUGAUUAAUUUUUUCUUUCUUUUUGUGUGUUGUCUUUUUAGGGAUUAUGAAACUUUAUAUGGAUUUGGGUGACAAAAAUUACAAAUGUGUAUACUGUGGUGCAUUCUUGGUUAAAAGAGUCUCUUAAACACACAUGGAAAACAAAUCAACCCAUUUUCACUCUAUGUUGUCAACAAGGAAAGAUUAAAUUUUCAACUCCAAAACCGACACAUGCUUUUUAGAUUCCUUGCUUGAUCCAAAUGGAGGUAAAAAAAGUUUAUCAUUUCGAGAAAAUAUUAGAGCUUACAACUCGAUGUUUUCAUUUACUUCAAUGGGAAAAAAAGUUGAUAAUUCAAUUAAUGACAUAUCAAGUCCUUACAUUUUUAAAAUUAGUGGUCAAGUUUGUCAUUUGAUGGGGUCUCUUUUGCAUGUUGAUAAUGAGUCACCAAAAUUUGCUCAAUUAUAUGUUUAUGAUACAUAUAAUGAAGCACAAAAUCGUUUAAGGGCUGUUAAUUGUGAUAGAACAAAUGAAAAACUUGAUUCAACAAUUGUUGAAAACUUGAUUAAGAUGUUUGUUGAGUCAAAUGAGCUGGUAAAACUUUUUCGAACAGCGAGAGACAAAUUUGAAAAUGAUGGUUUGGUCAAUUUCAAAAUGAUUUUGUUGGGUAGACAACCAAAUGAUAGUAAGCAAUAUGAUCAACCAACAAGUGAUGAAAUAGGUGGAUUAAUAGUUGAUGAUAUAGGUUUGUCAGACUCUAAUAGAAAUAUUAUUAUAGAUUGCAUGAGUGAAGGAUUAAAACGUGUUGCAAAAUUGAAUCCAAAAUUUAUGGCUCUUCAAUACCCUAUUCUUUUUCCAUAUGGUGAAGAUGGUUACAGGCUUGAUUUAAAAUGGAAUGAAAAUUAUAACGGUUCAAAAAUAAAAAGACAAAGAAUACCUAUGAGAGCUUAUAUAGCUUAUCUGAUUCAAGAAAGAGAUCCAUACUUAACUACUUUGUUAAAAGGAGGUAGACUUUUUCAACAGUAUUUAGUAGAUUCUUAUGCGAUGCUUGAAGAUGAAGAUAGAUUGGAUUACAUAAGACAAAAUAAAAAAAAUUUAAAAGUGAGAUUUACAAAGGAAUUUAUGACGCUGUGUCAAGAGGUAACAACGAUGCAAAUAGUUUGGGACAAAAAAUUGUUUUGCCAGCUUUGUAUACAGGAAGUCUAUGAUUAAUAAUUAUCAAGAUGUUAUGGCUAUUUCUAGAGAACAUGGACAUCCUGAUUUGUUUAUAACAUUUACCUGUAAUGUGAAAUGGCCAGAAACUAUAAGAUAAUUUGAAAAUAGGCUCGACUAUGAUUCUCUUCCCUCCUAUUUUCAUCCCCUCCUCUCACAUUCUCUUAUUUUAUCUUUCUCUUGCUAUAAAAAAUUAAUAUAAGAUAUUGACGUGCCUUAACCAUAACCGUUCAAAUAAGAGAAGAGGAAAGGGGAGGGAAAAAAAUGAGGGGAGAUAAUUCUACUCCCAAAAACAAAGGCAUCAAGAAGAUAAGAUUCCAGGGUUGCGUGCGUGAGCGAAUUUUCCAAGCUCAGCUGCCUCAUCAUUCACCAAUAAAUUCACACGUUAAGCUAAGCAAACGUAAACAUUGUCGAUUGAAAAAUGGAGCAAAGCAAAGGCAGGAGAGUUAUCCUCUUCCCGCUGCCCUUCCAAGGGCACAUAAACCCUAUGCUAGAACUGGCCAACAUUCUGCAUGCCAAAGGAUUCUCCAUAGCCAUCAUCUCUACCAACUUCAACUCCCUCAACCCUUCAACCCUAAACCCACACUUCACCUACCAUUCAAUCCCUGUUGACUUGACAGAAAACGAGGCCUCCAUGAAGGAUCCAUUCCUUCUUCUUUCUAUUCUAAAUGCUAAAUGUGUUGAGCCUUUCAGAGAAUACUUGUCCGGGUUGUUAUCCAAGGACGUUAAUUCGGAGGACCCCAUUGCAUGCUUGAUCUCGGAUCCUCUCUUCAACUUCACUCGAUCGGUUGCGGAAAGCUUUAAGUUGCCGAGGAUCGUGUUAAGAACAGGGGGUGCAGCUUCCUUCGCUGUUUAUGCUGCAUUUCCACAACUCUUAUGCUGCAUUUCCACAACUCAAGGAAAAGGGUUACCUACCAAUACCAGGUACAAUCUCAAGCCAACAAAAUCCUAUUAUCAAAUGUCUUUUUAUCUCAUCAUUGUUAGUGACCCACGUAGACUGAAGACACCGUAUCAAGACUAAUCACUUUUUUGGAAUUCUUUUAUAAGUAGCAUUUUUGUUCUUAUGAACAUUAUGCAAUAUGUGCUUUUAUUAUAAACAUGUAAAUUUUUUUAUUAAAAACUCAAGCACAUGGAAAAAAACUUCAAAGUGAUUCUUCUACUGAAAUCACUCCAUUGAUCCAAAAAUGUUUUUGGUUACCAAAAAACACUUUAGCACUUCUAGAAGCGAUCCUAAACUAGCAUUUUGACAAUUUGGGCAUAUUUGAGUUAGGCUUGUUAGGUUAGCAUUUUUAUUUCUGCUCUGCCUCGUCAUAAAUUAGCAUUUUAGAAUAUGCAUUAUUCUAAAAUGCUAAUUUAUAUAUACUUUUUAGGAACCUUAUAUUUGACUUUCUAUUUUGACAAUAAUUAGAUUCUCGACUAGAAGAGUGACGGAGCUUUCACCUAUCAAAGUUAAAGACCUACCUGCAGCGAUGCCCAAUUGCGACCCUGAAGAUUUCUAUCAACUGAUAACCAACAUGGCAAAUGAACCCAAGGAUUCCCAUGGACUCAUCUUCAAUACGUUUGAAGAUCUUGAGGAAAAGCACUUGCCACAAUUUGCCAAGAAUAUUACCCCAAUAUUCCAAUUUUCUCACCAGGUCCAUUUCACAAGUGCGGCCCUACAACCUCUUCUUCUUCAACUAGCUUACUAUCACAAGACCAAAGUUGCAUUUCAUGGCUAAACACUCAAGCGCCAAAAUCUGUUGCUUAUGUUAGCUUUGGAGAGCGCUGCCAAGAGAUAGAUCACGCUCAAUUUUUGGAGAUUGCUUGGGGGUUGGCAAACAGUGGCCAACCUUUUUGUGGGUGGCUCGACCCGGAUUAGUUCAAGAUUCAGACUUGCACGAAGCGUUGCCUAAUGAAUUUUUAGAAGCGUUGAACGAAAGAGCUCAUGUUGUGAAAUGGGCUCUACAAAAAGAAGUGUUGGCCCAGCCUGCAGUUGGAGCCUUUUGGACUCAUUGAGGUUGGAAUUCUACAUUGGACAACAUUUGUGAAGGGGUCCCUAUGAUUUGCACGCCAUAUUUUAGUGAUCAAAUGGUGAAUGCAAGAUUUGUGAGUGAUGUUUGGAAGGUAGGGCUGCAAUUGGAGCAUGGGAUUGAGAGAGGUGAGGUUGAAAGAACAAUUAGAAGACUAAUGGUUGAGAAAGAAGGGGUAGAGAUCAAACAGAGAGCCUUAAAUUUGAUGGAAAAGGAAAAUCAUUGCCUGAAAGAAGGUGGCUCUUCGUACCUAUCUUUGGAUGGCUUGGUUAAGCACAUUUUAUCGUUAUAAGUUGUUUGUUUAAGUGACUCAGUAUUAGCUAUUCAAUAAAAUAAAAAAUAAAGGCUUCUAGUAAUGUAUUAAAUACAUUUUUAAGAGAGUUUUAAUAAAAAGGGUCUUAUAAAAUAAAAUCUUAAUAAAAGCACUCCUUAUUGGUUACUUUAAUAUAAUUCCUAAUUUCAGUUUUUUGUUGGAAAUCAAAACUGAUGCAUUAUAAAGUUGGUUUUAUACUACUUAGUCUAAUAUUGUUAGUUAACCAAUUGAUCAUGUGCAGCACACCAUGUCCUAAUAUCAGUUUUCCUUCUUAAACAAAAACGGAUAUAUUUUCUUUGUAUCCUAACGUUGGGGUUAAUAAUGUUUCUGUUACCCGAUUCGCACAUUUCAACUUAAUCUCCAAUCCAUUCUACCAUUUGACAUACGUCAAAAAACCAACAAAACAAAACAAUAAUGGUUUUAAUAAGAUGGGAGCAAGUUGUGUUGGAGCCUCAUAUACCGCAUCCAAUCAAUCUACAUAACAACCAAAAAAUUAGGGUUCCUUCGUCACAACGAAUGCAUUCAAUCAAUAUACAUACAUAAUAGUCAUCAUACUUACAUUGUCUACUUUUAAUUGAUCCAAAAUACUGGCAUAUUGUUCCUUGGAUGCUUCUACUUGCCAUCAAAUGAUUUUCCAAUAGCUUUACCCCAGCUCUCAAUCAGCAGAUACUCUGUUUCUGAUGCCCUAUGAUGCAUGAACAUGGUGAUAUCCUCUCUGUUGCGAGUUAUAUAUUAGUUAAAGUGUAAAUAGUAAUUUAUUGUCCCACAUUGGUGAAAUAUAUAUGUAAUACCAAUUGUAACUCCUAUAUAUACUCCACUUUGGAGAUUAAUGAUAUAUAAGAAAUUCCCAAAUAUUGUCAUAUAUAUUUUUGGUAUUUAUCAUGUUUAGUUUAAUAUUGGUAUUUACCAUGUUUAGUUUAAUAUGGCAUCAGAGCAGUUCGCUCUUGGUGACCUGUGUGCUUUAAUUUUGUGCCCACAUUUUUCGUGAUUUCCUCUGUGAAAGAAAAAAAAAUGAAUAGUGUCGCACUACAAUACAGCGCUUUGCUACAGUGCGUGAACAGUGUCCUGCUUGUGAACAUUGGUCAUCUACAGUGUCAUGAACAGUGAUUGCUACAUUGCUAUGAAUAGUGAUUGCUACAGUGUUUUGGUAAAUUGUUUUCAUUCCACUGCGUAUCUUUUGUGCUUUUAUUGUUAGUGAUUUUGUUCAAUGGCACAAUAUAAUCAUAGUGUUGUUAUGCAUCUUGGUGGAACAAAUAAAUGGAUAAUUGAUACUGGGGUCAUUGAUCAUGUGACUAGUGACCCCAGAGUGUUUGAUGAGUUAUUUGACUAUGUUCAUGAUCCGUAUAUUACUAGUGCAAAUGGAGCACCUUCUCCUGUGAAGGGUGAAGGCACUAUCUCUCUGACUUCAAUCUUAUCACUCGUCUGUGCUUUACUUAUUCCUGAUGUUAAGUGCAAUUUUUUGUCGGUAGGAAAACUUCUUGAUACCUUAUAUUGUUCUGCUCACUUUUAUCCUACGUAUUGUUAUUUUCAAGACAUUCAAACUCAGAAGAUAAUUGGUUAUGGUAAAAGAAUAGGGGGUUUGUACAUCUUGAUUAUGGAGGAUACUGUUGUUUCUGGUUCAAAUAAUCAUCAAGUUUUAAGUGCUAAAGUGGAUAACAAACAUCAAAUUUGGUUGUGGCAUCGACAAUUGGAACAUCCACCAUUCAAUUAUAUAAAGCAUCUAUUUCCUUCUUUGUUUCGCACUUGUAGUGAUUCAAAGUUCAAGUGUGAAACAUGUGUUAUGGCUAAGAGUCAUCGUGCUUCCUUUCCUGUAAGUGAUUCUAAGCUACUUUGUCAUUUAAUUUGAUACAUUCUGAUGUGUAGGUCCAGCGAAAGUUACUUCUAAUGGAUUCCGUUGGGUUGUUACUUUUAUUGAUGAUUAUACUUGGUUAACUUGGGUGUUCUUGAUGAAAAAUAAGAGUGAUGUUCCGUUACUUCUUCAAGAAUUUUGUACAAUGAUGUCUACUCAGUUUCAGACCAAAGUUAAGGUCUUCAGGUCUGAUAACGGAGGAGAAUAUGUGAAUCACACUUUGGCAUGUUUUUUUCGUUAUCAUGGUAUUAUUCACCAGACGACUACUCCGUUUACGCCCCAACAAAAUGGUGUGUUAGAACGGAAGAAUCGUCAAAUAAUGGAGGUUGCUCGCUCCUUGAUGUUGGAUAAAUGUGUUCCUAAUCAUUUGUGGGGGUCAUGCUGUUUUGGCUGCUGUGUAUUUGAUCAAUCAUGUUCUAAGUAGGGUUCUUGAUUUUCAAAUAUCGUUUGAUGUGCUACAAAAACAUUUUUCUCUUGUUUCUGUAUCAAAGCUUCAUCUGAAAGUGUUUGGGUGUAUUGCGUAUGUGCAUGUCUACUCUCAUCAGCGGAGUAAACUUGAUGCAUGUGCUCUCCGGUGUGUCUUUAUUGGGUAUGCUAACAAUAAAAAAGGCUAUAAUUGUUAUCAUCCUACGACUCAAAAAACUUAUAUUACCAUGGAUGUCACCUUCCAUGAGGAAGUUUUGUACUUUGUGAAGUCCUCGUCCGACUCUCCACUUCAGGGGAAGAGGGGGAUUGAAGUGCAGAUUCGAAGAGAUGGUAUGGAUGAUGUGUUACAGGCAGAGUUAGGAACAAAACCUAUUAUGUUGCGUGAUAAUAAUCAGUCGGCUACAGAUAGUAAUUGGUCACCUGUUAUUCCCAGAACUAUUUCUACUGACAGAUCAGAUGUGCCCACCGAAUUGCCUGUUAGUAUGUUUGACGAAUUACCUUCUGAUGAUCGGUUGCCUGCUGCUGAUAUGUCUAACGAGUUGCCUGAUGAUGGUUCGUCCAAUGAUGAUUCUUCUACCAGUUUGGUACAAGAUGAUGACAUACAUAAGGUAAAUUCUGACGAUUCUUCUACUUAUCAGUUGCCUCCAUGAGCUAAUCGUGGAAAACCUAAAGUACAUUAUGAGCAUGAUAUGCAUGCCAAAGCCAAAUAUCCUAUCAACAAUUAUGUGUCUACUCGUUUGACCAAACCAUAUGCAUCUUACAUAUGUUAGCUAUCUAGUGUAUCAAUUCCAACAAAAUUGCAAGAUGCUUUGUCUGACCUUAAGUGGGUUAAUGCCAUGAAAGUUGAGAUGGAAGCUUUGGAAAAGAAUUCUACUUGGGAUUUGGUUCCUAUACCAAACGGGAAGAAAGUUGUUGGAUGUAGAUGAGUGUUUACUAUUAAGCACAAAGCAGAUGGUUCUAUUGACCAGUAUAAAGCCAGAUUAGUUGCUAAGAGUUAUACUCAAACAUAUGAGGUGGACUAUCAGGAGACCUUUGCUCAUGUUGCCAAACUUAAUACUGUGCGUGUUCUUCCGUCCUUAGCAGCAAACCAGGAUUGGCCUUUGUUGCAGUUUGAUGUUAAGAAUGCUUUCAUUCAUGGUGAUCUUAAGGAGGAAGUGUAUACGGAUCUCCCACCUGGUAUUGGAACAUCUCCUGGAAAAGGUGUUAUAUGCAGGUCACGAAAGGCCUUGUAUGGUUUGAAACAAUCUCUUAGAGCGUGGUUUGGGAGGUUUACAAGUUCAAUGAAGAAGUUUGGGUAUAUCCAGAGUCAUUCAGAUCAUACUUUGUUUCUAAAGCGACAAAAUGGUAAGCUAACUGCAUUGAUUAUUUAUGUUGAUGACAUGAUAGUGACUGAUGAUGAUCAGAAUAAGAUACAACGCCUUCAAAAGUACCUAGCUACUGAGUUUGAGAUGAAAGAAUUGGGUGAAUUGAAGUAUUUUCUUGGAAUCGAGGUUGCAUGAUCCAAGCAUGGUAUUUUUCUAUCUCAACGGAAGUAUGUUCUUGAUUUGUUAGCUGAAACAGGUAUGUUAGAUUGUAAACAUGUUGAUACUCCGAUUGAGCAGAAUCAUCGUCUGGGCUUAUUUCCAAAUCAAGUUCCUACUUAUAAGGAACGGUAUCAGAGGCUUAUGGGGAGAUUAAUUUAUUUGUUUCGCACUCGCCCUGACAUUGCUUAUGCAGUUAAUGUGGUAAGUCAUUUUAUGCACUCACCUAGUAAAGCUCAUAUGAAUGCACUGACCCGUAUUUUGAGGUACUUGAAGAUGGCUCCUGGCAGAAGCCUAGUUUUUUCCAAUGAUGGUCAUUUGAAUGUCGAAGGGUAUACAGAUGCAGAUUGGGCAGGUUCUAUCACUGAUCGGCGAUCUACAUCUGGAUACUUUAUGUUUAUGGGUGGUAAUUUAGUUACUUGGAGAAGCAAGAAACAAAAAGUGGUGGCUAGGUUAAGUGCAGAAGCUGAGUUUCGUAGUAUGUCUCAUGGUGUAUGUGAGUUGUUGUGGUUGAAAAAAUUGUUGAGAGAUCUUGGGUUUAAACCCAAAGGUGCUAUGAAACUUCAUUGUGAUAACAAGGCUGCUAUUGAGAUUGCUCAUAAUCUAGUGCAACAUGAUUGAACAAAACAUGUGGAGAUUGAUCGACAUUUCAUGAAGGAAAAAUUGGAUGCUGGAAUUAUUAUGUUUCCGUUUGUGGGAUCUGAAGAUCAACUUGUUGAUGCUCUUACUAAGGCUGUGUCUAAUAGUGUGUUUUCCAACUUGCUUGACAAGUUGGGCAUGCGUGAAAUCUUUGCACCAACUUGAGGGGGAGUGUUGCGAGUUAUAUAUUAGUUAAAGUGUAAAUAGUAGUUUAUUGUCUCACAUUGGUGAAGUACAUAUGUAACCAAUUGUAACUCCUAUAUAUACUCCACUUUGGAGAUUAAUGAAUAUAUAAGAAAUUCCUAAAUAUUGUCAUAUAUAUUUUUGGUAUUUACCAUGUUUAGUUUAAUAUUGGUAUUUACCAUGUUUAGUUUAAUACCCUCGUAUCCCAGUAUCAUGUCAUGUGGUAUUUCUAUGUUGUAUCAUGUCGUAUCCUGGUGUCUAUAUCCAUAUGUCUUGAUAGGUAGCCUUACAGAAAGAUAUGACAUAAACAAAAAGACAUUUGUAGUUAAUGAACACGCUUUAAUAUUUGGGUUAGAAGUUGUUAGAAUAACUGGGUAGUCAGUAGUUGGCUAACCAUCCAUAUAUGAUUUGUGUCUUAAUCUUUUAGGGAAACGUCCUGAGGGGAUUAAGAGUUACAUCAUCUUGAAUGGCUGAAGCCAGAAUUUAUUUGACAUGUUAAUCUCUGGUUAGACGAGGGGAUUUUCAGAGAGAAGAAGAGAACAUUGUGGAAUAUGACACGUGGUGGAAGAUCAACGGGGGAGCAUAUAUCGUGCUGGCUGUGGUUAUACGUUUUGGGCUAGUUGAAACAUUUUACUUAUUGGACUGCGAAGGAAUACGAGGGUAUAUGCCCAUAGACAAGAUGAAAGGCUCAGUAAAAAAUAAGCCCAAAAUCCAAUUGGUAAAUAUAUUCCUUGUGUGUGUUUAAGCAACCACAUAAAAGAAGUAAUGACAAAAGGGGCUGCCGGUGGAUUAAGCUUUCAACUCCUGGAUGCAUUCCUUUUCAUGUCAAGUGGUUGAUGUGACAAGCUCGGCGAGGUGUGAGUUCACACUUAAUCUCCUUGAAAUUACGGGAUUUAGCCCUUGAAAUGUGUUUUUCCAUAUGAAACACCUUUUGCAACACCUCCUAAUCUGAAAUAGGAGGGGAUGAGAAAGGUAUGAGAUGAGGAGGGCAGACAAUCCAAGUCCUUACAACACCCUCUAGUCUGAUUAUUCACAUAGAUUUACCGCCCAUAGCUGCCACGUCAUAAUCAUAAUUUUAAACAUUGAGUCUGUUACUGACCGCAAAUCUUCCAAUAAAAUGCCCAUUAAACAUCUAGCAGUUUAGCGAGCCUAUUGGGCCACGUUGUGAACUCAGUGCUUAAUUUUGACCCAAACAUAUAUAAUUUUCAUUAAUUCAUAAAGUAAUUUUAUUCAUUUUGAAUUAAAUUUUCCAACAACGAGGAAGGAAAUGUUGUAAUAAAACAUACGAAAUUCGUAAGCUCACAAGCUAAGCAAAACAACCGGUCUUAAAAAAUCAAAUGGAGCAAAGCAAAGGCUGGAGAGUGAUACUUUUUCUGCACUCCAAAGGCUUCUCCAUAACCAUUAUCCACACUAGCUCCAACUCCAUCAACCUUUCAACUAUAAACCCGCACUUCACCCACCACUGCAACAAAAAUCAUCAACAGAAUAUACAAUCAAAUAGAAAAAUCCUAUUUUUUUAACCAACAGUUACAACUACUGAUCCGAAAUCACCAAAACCCAAUUGGAGCACACAAGCCAAAUCAAAAUCAACACACCAAUUUGUCUAAACUCUUAAAGGUUAACUAGCUUUCAUGCACGCGCUCACGUGCGUGCAAAAGACAUUUUUUGAAUCACGGUGUGCUACGCGCGAAUUACACGUUUUAAAUGUAUUUAUAUGCGUAAAUUGACAAAAGGAAAGUCAAAUAUUUGAAGUAAAUGAAUAAUCUCAUAUCAUGCUAGAAGAAACUCCUCAUAAAUUAAUUAAAGCAGUUGAAUUCAUAUAAUAAAAACGAUCUUUAUAUAAUUUACUUUAAGAAUAGAGAAAAUAAUAUUUAAUAAGCAAUUAAUUGAAAAACAUUAUGGCUAGCCCAUUGUGAGGAGCCCACCUCUCACCUCCAUAGACCAUCUCCAAUGGUUGGGCUAAAAGCCAAAUAUUUUAGCUCGGAAAAUUUAGCUUUUAGCCCAAAAAUAGUUUUUCUGCUCCAACCGUUUUGGCCUAAAAUUUUAGUCCGGGAUUAUUAAAGAAUGAACUUAGACUAUUUUUUUCUUAAAUUAAAUUAAAAAAAUUAAAUAUGUAGACUAUCGUAAAUUAAUUUUAUGAACAUUUUAAUCUAAAAAAAAUUAAAUUCCGAUAAAUAUUGAAAAAUCACUAAAUUUUCCACAAAACCUUCUUAUUUUGAUUUGUGCCAAUUACACCAUCUCCGCUAACAGAAACUCAUGCCAAGCAUAGAGCAACAUCUUCAUCACAUGUCCAAUUACGACCUCUAAUAUGCUUUCUUGCCAUGUUGAACAAUUUGGAAAUGGAAAGAAAUGGUAGAAAGAUAAAUUGGAAGAAUUGUAAGAGAAAAUUGAGGAUGUUUGAACAAAUACAUAGGUAUUUAUAGAGUUUUUGGGUGAAUUUUGAGUUAAAUAAUUUUUUAAAAUUAUUUUAGCCGUUGGAUUUAAAUUUGGGCCGUUAGAUCUUUUUUUUUACCGUUAUAUUUGAUUAUAUUCAAUCUCAACCGUUGGAUUCAAUGUAUUUUAAAAUAACAUAUUUAAAACAAAUCAAAUUUGAAUCCAACGGUCCUUGAAAACUAGCCAUCCAAUUCAAAAUGUAGCUGUUGGAAUUCAGUGGGUGGCCCGACAAACCGCUGACAGCGGGGCCCACCCCUGUCGGGAAUGAAAUGCAGGCGCUCCGUGUGGGGCGCGUUGGAGCGUGAACCGGCCGAGACUGGCGCUCAGUGAGUCCAAUCGCGCGAGGGGGGUGGAAACCUGGGGGGUAUUUGGCCCAGAAAUAACAUUUGGCAUUUAGCCCAAAAUUUUAGCAUGGAUUGGAGAUUGUUUGGGGGGGGGUAAUUUGGCUUUUAGCCUCCCAUUGGAGAUGGUCUUAGUGUAGAUAAUAUUGUUUGUUUAAAAAAUAUCAUUUGACAACUAAUUUAAUCACAUUAUUGUCCACAUGCUGAAGACCUUUUUUAUAACCGGCAUUACACUCCUCUUAAGAUGUUUUGAAUGUGUUUAAAAAUAGAAAAAAAAAAUAUUUAAUAAACAACCGAUUGAAUCAUAUUAUUGCUAGUGCAUUGUAAGGUUAACCCCACUUGACACACCUCGACCGAGAUCAAGGCAUGCCGGCCGUCACACGGGAGUGACGUAGCCAUGUGCACAGUGCAAAAGCAAUAAAGAAAAUAAAUAUAGGAAUAAAUAAAAACAGAAAUACUAGAGUGCACCACUAAACAGAAGGUGAUAGGAGUUAGUUACAACAGUGAACACUCCUAAUCAGAGCAUAAAGUCUAGGUGCAGUCCAGUAGGACAAGUACUAGUUAUACAGUACCAAGAAUGUCAUACUAUUAUUUGGAUAAGUCAGAACUGCCGACGUCCUCUAGCCACCAACAGCAAGCUUACUUAAAACUGGAGGGGGGCAAAACAAAAAACGUGAGUGGGAAAAAACAAAUGCUUUACAAAGUCAUUUUCUUUAUCAACUUGUCUAACCUCUCGCUGUAAAACAUAUAUAAUUUUUCCCAGAAUUAGAAUAUAAGCAUAUACAUAAUUUAUAUAUAUACAUAUAUAUAUAUAUACAUAUAUAUAUAUAUAUGAAAUCAUAUCAAUUCAAUUCAUGCUUCACAUAAUCAUAUUCAAAUAUAUAUGCCAUGCUAAGAUAUAACAGAGUAAUCAAUUCAAGUAAGAAUAAAUUCAUAGAAUGUGAUAUGUUAGCCGGAACCCUUGUGGUAGUCUGUACGGCUGAACAUAUAGCUCAAAGUCAAUCUAGCCAGAGUCACUACAAUGACCUAUACGGCAAUAUACUACACAUAAGUCGGAACCCCUAAAAGGUUUGUACGACAAAAUUGGGUGUAAUACGGUUAUGCUCAAUUUUACUAUCUCAUAAUAGUCGAGCGAUAAAUUGCUAGUCACCUACGAGUUGGAACCAUAAAUAAGGUUUGUAUGACAAGACUGUGCACUUAAUUUGGAUCCAGUAUGAGCAUAUAGUGCGGGAGGUGACUUAAAUAAACAGGCAUGUACUUCAUAUCUCUGGCUAAAUCACAAUCACCCUAGGUGCAGUUUUAUGAGCUCAACAUUAUUCAAUUACAUAUCACAUCAUUGAUGAUUCACAUAACCAAAAUAUAACUCACCUGAACUUACCUGGGCCUCCACAGCACCAUGCGACAAUAUGCAUAAUUAUGAUAAUGCAUAUACUAAAAUAAAAUAUAGGCAUUGGCAUAGCAUGGCAUUUAAAUCACAUUUCCUUUAAAUAUAUUUUCUGGGAAAAACAUCAAGUAUACUGAAAACAAAAGCCCACUCACUGAUAUGUCGAUGGGUCGUAACCCCCGAGUCGCCCUUGGAUAUGCUCGUCCUCGGGAUAAGUCUCACCUAUAUUCGAAUUAACUAUAAAAACGUUAUUUUAAAGCACAUAGACAAAACUAGCUAAUAACUUCUAAUACAUUGCUCAAAAUGGGUAUACGAAUAUACCAUAGUGACCUACACAACCUUACGAAUAUCGUGAUAUUUUUUGAGCUCCCACGCGCCGGCAAGGGCACGGUAAAACGCGCCCCCACGCUUGGCCCAAACCUGACGGAUUCCCUAACCACCGUUAGGGAAUAUUCCGUUAAACCUAACAGAUUCCGCUAAAAUUGAUUGACGACGUUAGCAUAUUCCGUCCAAACUGACGGAAUAUGCCGUCAUCUUCUCUGACGAGUCGCCGAUCGCCGGGAAACUGGGUAAAAUCUCAAACCCACACAAUAAACUCUAAAUCUCAAUAUGUCACACAUACACACUACAAUUUCCUGUCCAAUGUUAAAACUGUCAUUUGACCGCACUAAUAAAUGAAUUUCGGGACGGGCUGUGACAAUCUCCCCACCUUAUAAAAUUUCAUCCUCGAAAUUACAUAUAAUAAAUACAUCCACUAAUAACCAUAAAACAAGCAUGGAUACAUCUCUCGCAUCCGAUCCUCUGUCUCCCAAGUAGCUUCUUCCACUGAAUGAUUUCUCCAUAACACUUUUAGCAAACGAACUGUCUUGUUCCUCAGUUCUUUGUCCUUCCAAUCCAAAAGAGUCAUUGGCUCUUCAUCAUAAGUCAAUUCCGAAUUGAUUUCCAAGGGUUGAGGAGGAAUCAUAUAUGAAGGAUCCGAAACAAAAUGUCAAAGCAUCGAAACAUGAAAUACAUCAUGCACAUUGGAUAACUCUGGAGGCAACUUAAGCCUGUAAGCAACCUCACUUACUCGCUCGGUGAUCAUAUAUGGUCCAAUGAACCUAGGACUCAACUUUCUUUUCUUUCCAAAUCGCACUACACAUUUCCAAGGUGAUAGCUUCAGAAAUACCCAAUCGCCUACAUCGUACUUCCGAUUAGUGGCAUGCUUGUCUACUAAGCUCUUUUGUCGAUCUUGAGCCGCUUUCAGGUUAAACUUAAUUACCUGAACAUUUUGAGUAGUCAUAUCCACAAUCUCAGGGCCCACUAAAACUCUUUCGCCAACCUUUGACCAACAUAGAGGUGUACGACAAGAUUUCCCAUAAAGUGCCUCAAAUGGUGUCAUACCAAUGCUCAAAUGAUAACUGUUGUUGUAGGCGAACUCCAUUAAAUCCAAACAAUCAUGCCAACUAUCUCCAAACUGCAGCACUGAAAAUCUCAACAUAUCCUGUAAUGUCUGAAUGGUCCUCUCAGAUUGUCCAUCUGUCUGAGGAUAAUAUGCCGUACUAUAAAGUAAUCUCGUACCAAAAGCUUCCUGGAAUGCUAUCCAGAACUUAGAAGUAAAUCUAGGAUCCCGAUCCGAGAUAAUAUUAACUGGCACACCAUGAUACUUCACAAUCUGUGAUAUAAAUAACUGAGCUAAUUGGCUUAGCGAAUGCUUCUCCCUCACUGGAAUAAAAUGUGCUGACUUCGUAAGCCGAUUAACUACCACCCAAAUGCCGUCAUAUCCAUUCUGUGUACGAGGAAGCUUGUACACAAAAUCCAUAGUAAUAUUUUCCCAUUUCCACUGUGGAACGGGAAAUGGCUGCAUCAACCUAAACGGCUUCUUCCUUUCAGCUUUAACCUGUUGACAAAUGGCACACCUACUCACAUAUUUGGCAAUUUCUCUUUUCAUACUUGGCCAAUAAUAAAAUGGUCUAAUGGUAUGAUACAUCUUAGUGCCUUCUGGAUGCAUUGCAUAUGCCGAAAUAUGUGCUUCAUCCAAAAUUUCUUUCUUUAACUCUGCAUUAUUCGGCACAUACAUCCUGCUUUCCUGCAUAAGCAUGCCAUCAGUUUCUCGAAUCUCGAAAUCUUUCUUUUUGGCUUGGUUCCUUGCUUGAAUUAUUUCAUGGGUCUCUUCAUCAAUCAUUUGAGCCUCAAGUACAUGAUCAAUUAAAAUUGGCCUAACCUGAAAAUUAGCACGUUCACAAUCUUCCACUCCUAACUCCACUCCAGUGGACCUCAAAUCUGCUAAGAGAGGAACAUGACAAUCAUAGAUGGCAUUAAGUCUGGUUGGAGUCUUUCUACUAAGUGCAUCUGCCACUGCAUUUGCACGACCAGGAUGAUACUCAAUCGUGCAAUCAUAGUCACUAAGUAACUCAAUCCACCUCCGCUGAUGAAGAUUAAGAUCUCUUUGAGUAAACAGAUAUUGGAGACUUUUAUGAUCUGUGAAGAUCUUACAUUUUUCACCAUAAAGAUAAUGUCUCCAAAUCUUCAAGGCAAAGAUGAUAGUUGCUAACUCCAAAUCAUGUGUAGGGUAAUUCUUCUCAUGAGGUUUCAACUGUCUCGAAGCAUAAGCAAUUACUCUACCAUGUUGCAUCAAUACACAACCCAAACCAUUCAAAGAAGCAUCACUAUAAACCUCAUAAUUACCGCUAUCAUCUGGAAGUGCUAAAACAGGAGCAUGAGUGAGAUAAUACUUCAACUGCUGAAAACUUUGCUCACAUUUAUUAUCCCACUCAAACUUAACAUCUUUUCGAGUCAACCUCGUCAAUGGCAGAGCAAUCACUGAAAAAUCCUUAACGAACCGUCUAUAAUAGCCUGCUAAGCCAAGAAAACUCCGUACCUCGGUGACGGUUCGAGGUUGCUCCCAAUUCUCCACGGCUGCCACAUUCUGAGAAUCCACUUGAAUGCCCUGAGAAGAAACUAGAUGUCCCAAAAAUGCCACUUGGUUCAGCCAAAAUUCACAUUUGCUAAACUUAGCAUAUAGUUAGUGUUCCUUCAAACUACUCAACACCAACUUCAAAUGUCUAACAUGCUCAGCCUUAGACUUAGGGUAUACCAAAAUAUCGUCAAUGAAGACAAUAACAAACCUGUCCAAAUAUGGCUAGAAUACUCGAUUCAUCAAAUCCAUAAAAGUUGCUGGUGCAUUAGUUAACCCAAAUGGCAUCACAAGAAACUCAUAAUGACCAUAUCGAGUCCUUAAUGCGGUUUUUGGGACAUCUUCAUUUUUAAUCUUCAAUUGGUAAUAACCUGACCUCAAGUCAAUCUUAGAAAAUACACAUGCACCUCUGAGUUGAUCAAAUAAAUCAUCUAUACGAGGCAAUGGAUAACGGUUCUUAAUGGUCACUCGAUUCAAUUGCUUCUAAUCAAUGCACAACCUCAAAGUUCUGUCUUUCUUCCUCACAAAUUAAACUAGAGCUCCCCAAGGUGAAGUACUCGGCUGAAUAAAACCUUUAUCCACUAACUCUUGCAACUGGACUUUCAAUUCCCUUAAUUCAGAAGGAGCCAUUCUAUAAGGAGUUAAGGAUAUGGGAUUCGUACCUGGAAGCAAAUCAAUAACAAACUCCACCUUUCUAUCUGGCGACAAUCUAGGCAAAUCCUCAAGAAACAUAUCCGGAAAAUAUCUGACAACACGAGCAUCCUCCACACUACUAGGAGCAUUAUUAUUCAACACCACAUGAGCCAAAUAUCCUUGACAACCUUUCGACAACAAUCUCUUUGCUUUCAUGGCUGAAAUAAUACCAUGCCUCACCCCAUUAGGCUCUCUUACAUAUGUAACUUCAGGUAAUCCAGGACAAUGAAAUGUGACUGUCUUCUCAUAACAACCUAUCUUGGCACGAUUAUAGUGCAACCAAUCAGUGCCCAAAAUCACAUCAAAAUCCAUAAUAUCCAACGGCAUACGAUUAGCCGGCAUAAUAAUAUCCUCUACUAUCACUGGACAUCCUAGAUAUACUUGAUCCAUAAAACAGCUAUCCCUUCUAGGCAUAGAAAAUUCUAAAUUAUAUCCUAGAGGUGUAGGAUGGGGUUGCGACACUUGAGCAAAUGUAUGAGAAAUAACAGAAUGUGUAGCACCACAAUCAAUCAAUACUCUAGCAAAAUGACCAAGAAUAUUUAACAUACCCAGGAUUAAAUCUGGAUUAUUCUGGGCAUCUUGCAGUGACAUGUUGUGGAUACGUGCCUGGUUCUACUAUCGUCCACCGCGACCUUUGUUGGUGUGAACACCACGUCCCUGCCUCUGCUGACCCGACUGCCUCGAAGGUCCUGCACUACUAGCAGCAAUUUCUCCCUGCUGGGGUUGUCCCCCUUGGUACCACUGAGAUCCUCCGGCUGAAUGUGGCUGAUAAGACAUAGAUCCUUCAUGAUACUGAGGGUACCCACUCUGGUACUAAGGAUCUUGAUAGUACUGUUGCUGUCCUGAGGUGUAUGGAGCGACGUCGCCCUGAUAGUGGUAGGCACAUCCUCGUCCAGUCUGAUUGUAACCACCAGAUUCUGAAGCUUGCUGAAUCGGUGCAGGUGGUGGGAAGGAAGGCUGUUGGGGUAUCUGCUGACUCUGAGGGCAUUGGGUAGCCUAAUAACCCAUCUGACCACAAGUAAAACAUCCAUUGCUGCCUCUCCUACACUCCCCAAAAUGUCGAUUAUUACACAUGCGGCAUAAGGGAGCACUAGAUCCACCUGAACCACCAAAAUCUUUCUGCCUCUGAAACCUAAAGCCUCCAGUGAAUUUACCACCUCUCCUCUGCAUAUUAGUACUCAAUCCUCCGCUAGAAGAGCUAGAGCUGCCACCAUUCCUCUUAAAGUUCUAGGUCUUGCGGAGUCCCUGAAAUGCUUACCCUUUUCCUUUGUCAUCUCGUCUCUAGCCCCCAUUCUUUCCUUCCUUAUCUUCACUUUCACUAGGCAUGUUCUCUAAGGCCUCAAUCCUCAGUAGAAUCUCAUAGAACUCCUGGCAAGAGGCACAGUGAGUCGAUGUUGCUAUGGAAUGCCAUUUCUUCUUAGUACCUAAACUGAAACGAUGAAGCAUCUCUACUGGGUUAGCAGCAACCUCCGGAUCAUAUCUCGACAGAUCAGUAAACAUCCUAUAAUACUCAUUAGCGGACAUUUUCCUUGUCUCAGGUGAGUAAACUCCUGUUUCUUAAGAUUGAUAUAUGUAGGAGGAAUGAACCUUUUCCGAAACCGUUCCUUAAACAUUCCUCAGUCUACAAUCUCUUCUGGGGUCAUCUGGUAAGACUCCUGUCUCCACCAGGAUGCAGGCUGUUCUUUUAAAACCAGGUAGUCGUCUCGACCCACUUAUCAGGAUAAAGAUUCCCCUGACUCUGCAUCACCUAAUAUGUCUUCUCCACAUGAUUCAGCCAUUUUUCUACCCCCUCAUGACCUUCAUUAUCCAUGAAGUGAGUCAACUUCAGAUUAUGAACUAUCUCAAGAUGUGUCAUCUGAGGAGUACAAAAUGCUGUCUGAAUGGCAGAAACUAUAGCUUUCCCCAAUUGAGCAAUAUUAGGGAAACUAGAUUCGGCUACUUGACGGGGCUCUCUACAAGGCGGCAUAGUUCUGACAUAAAACAUCACAAGGAUUAGAACAUUCAAGAAUUAUACAGGAUUGCUAAACCUAUGCUCUGAUACCAAACUGACACACCCCGACCGAGAUCAAGGCAUGCUGGCCAUCACGUGGGAGUGACGUAGCCAUGUGCACAGUGCGGAAGCAAUAAAGAGAAGAAAUAUACGAAUAAAUAAAAACCAAAAUACUAGAGUGCACCACUAAACAGAAAGUGAUAGGAGUUAGUUACAACAGUGAACACUCCUAAUCAGAGCAUAAAAUCUAGGUGCAGUCCAGUAGGACAAGUACUAGUUAUACAGUACCAUGAAUGUCCUACUAUUAUUUGGGUAAGUCAGAACUGCAGAAGUCAUCCAGCCACCAAUAGGAAGCUUACUUAAAACCUGGAGAGGCGCAAAACAGAAAACGUGAGUGGGAAAAAACAAAUGCUUUACAAAGUCAUUUUCUUUAUCAACUUAUCUAACCCCUCGCUGUAAAACAUGUAUAAUUUUUCCUAGAUUCAGAAUAUAAGCAUAUACAUAAUAUAUAUAUAUAUAUAUGUAUAUGAAAUCAUAUCAAUUCAAUUCAUGCUUCAUAUAAUCAUAUUCAAAUAUAUAUGACAUGCUAAGAUAUAACAAAGUAAUCAAUUCAGGUAAGAAUAAAUUCAUAGAAUGUGAUAUGUUAGCCGAAACCCCUGUGGUAGUCUGUACCGCUGAACUCAUAGCUCAAAUUUAAUCUAGCUGGAGUCACUAUAAUGACCUAUACAACAAUAUACUGCACAUAAGUCGGAACCCCUAAAAGGUCUGUACGAUAAGAUUGUGUGUAAUAUGGUUAUGCUCAAUUUUACUCUCUCAUAAUAGCCGGGCGAUAAAUCGCAAGUCACCUACGAGUUGGAACUAUAAAUAAGGUCUGUACGACAAGACUGUGCACUUAAUUUGGAUCCAGUAUGAGCAUAUAGUGCGGGAGGUGGCUUAAAUAAACAGGCAUGUACUUCAUAUCUCUAGCUAAAUCACAUUCACAUAACCAAAACAUAACUCACCUGAGCUUACCUGGGCCUCUACAGCACCAUGCGACAAUAUGCAUAAUUAUGAUAAUGCAUAUACUAAAAUAAAUAUAGGCAUUGGCAUAGCAUGGCAUUUAAAUCACAUUUCCUUUAAAUAUACUUUCUGGGAAAAACGUCAAGUAUAUAUAUACUGAAAACAAAAGCCCACUAACUGAUAUGUCGACGGGUCGUUAUUGGAUAAGUAAAUAAUAUGCCAGGUCAUCAUUGUACAUGUGCAGAACAUGUGCACAUAUAGAGUAGUAUAAAUAGUUACUUUCCUCUUGUAUUUGGGAAUGUCGGUGUAUAACAAAAACAGUUACAAAAAUAUAUUGAGAAAUUCUUCGGUUUCCUUCGCCUUUAAGCUUUCUUAGUCUGCAUAUUUCUUGAUUUCUAUGAAGCACUUCCUUGUAGUUAAGAUGGUAUCUAAAGCCGGUCUUGCUUGCGCAAUGGGUCUGGUUUCUGGGUUUCGCUGCUUCGGUUGGUGAUAAGGUGGUUUCUGUUUUUUUCGUUGCUUCGGUUGGUGAUAAGGUGAUAUUGUUUCACAAAUUCUCAAGAAUUUUGCUUAGAUCUGGAGUUUUUUUUUAAUUGAAGGCCGAUGCCAUAGUUUCUGUUGAAUUGACGAUUUAUAUGUUGUGUUCAUGAAAGGCCGAUGCCAAUUUGUUGUGAAUUUUGGGUUUUCUUGCUAUAAGUGAAUUGAUUGAAGGCCGAUGCCGAGUGAUGAAGUUUGUUUGUGAUUCUUGAAAUUGUAUAAUGAUUGGUUGCUCUUGAUUCUGUGUUCGAAGUUAAUUUUGUACAUCUUUCAUCUGGGUUCUUUCCACCGACUCAAAUUUCAUCUGGGUUUUUCUGGGUUCUUCCAUUAUCUUUUGGUGUUUGUUACAUUUGUUGAUAUUACAGUGAAUUUGUUCUUCCAAUCAUGGUUAAUCAAGUGAAAAUUGAAGGUUUGCUGGGUAUGCUUACGAUCAAACUAAAUGAUGAUAAUUUUCUUAAAUGGAGUUUUCAGUUUAGCUCUGUUUUGCGUGGAUAUGAUCUUCUUGAUCAAUUUCACAGGUGAUUAUGUAUGUCCUCCCAAGUUUGUUCUCACUCCUGAAUUAGGAGUUACUACUGAGGUUAAUGCUGAGUAUAAGGACUGGGUUAAGAUGGAUAUGGCAUUGUUAAGCUUGUUGAUUGCUACCCUUAGUGAUGAUGCAAUUGAGCAUGUGGUCGGCUGUAAGACAUCUCAUGAGGCCUGGAUUGCCUUACAUGAUCGAUGUAUGUCUAUUUCUAAAGCUAGUGUCAAUCAUCUAAAAGCUGAACUACAUACUAUGCAAAAAGGGGGGGACAUUAUUGAUAAGUAUCUGCUAAGGUUGAAAGCACUAAAAGAUCAAUUACAGGCUGCUGGAGAGAAAGUGUCCGAUAAUGAUCUUAUUAUUGCUGCACUCACAGGUCUACCUUCUGAUUAUGAUACAAUUAGAACUGUUAUUUUUGCCAGAGAGUCACCCAUUACUCUUGAGGAAUUUCGCGCUCAAUUAAUCGGUGUAGAGAAGAGUAUUGAAGCCAGAAUGAAUUCUUUGGUUCAGGGGAUGUCUGCUUUGUUUGUGAAUGCUAAUUCUUCUAAUAAUCAUACUGGGGGAUCUUCAGGUUCUUUGACUAAUCCUUCACCACCUCAAUUUUCUCCAAAUAUUGGCUAUAGCUCCUCUGAUAGUUCUUCUUCUUAGCCAAGUUAUUCUUCUGGUAAUCAAUUUCAGUCGAAUAGUUUUUCAGGCUUGAAUCAGAAUGGCAGAAUGUUUGGUAUGAAUACCUAUAGACCUCGAGGUAAUGAAGGUUAUAAACCAAGGUUCAAUAAUUCCAGAUCUGGUCCAAAUUGGCAAUCAUGGUCGGGCAAUACUUCUAACAGGUUUGAUCUUGUCCCUGAGUGUCAAAUAUGCUCUCGCAAAGGUCAUGUUGCUGUUACCUGUCUUUAUAGAAAUGAUGGUGGACAGUCUGUACAAGAGUGUCAAAUUUGUGGCAAGCGUGGUCAUAUUGCAUUAAACUGUCGGCAUAGAGGCAAUUAUGCUUAUCAAGGCGCUCAACCUCCUCCUUCCUUAUCUGCUAACUAUGCAUAUCAAGGUUUUCCUAUGUCUUCUCAAGCUAAUAUGGGAUUGGUCUCUUCUCAAUCUCAGUUUUUGAAUAACAAUCAACCUCCUCAGUAUGUGCAUAACAUUCAGUCUCCUCAGUUUGUGCACUACAAUCAGUCUACACAGUUUACCUCUCCCUCUAUGUCAUCUCCACCUGGUUUUCCAGCUAUGAAUGCACAAUCUUCUGCUGCGAUUGCAAAUGGAGAUUCCUGGAUUCUUGAUACUGGUGCUUCUCACCACAUGACACCCGAUUUGACAGUCCUUGCUCAAUCUACACCUUAUGCAGGAUCCGAGAAGAUAAUAGUGGGCAAUGGUGAAGGUUUGAAAGUUCAAAAUAUUGGUCAUGGCACUGUGCAAACUCCUUCUCAUGUUUUACAUCUUAAGAGCAUUUUACAUGUGCCAAUGUUGACUGUGAAUCUGUUGUCUGUUAAAAAGUUGUGCAAAGACAAUCAUAGUUGGUUUAUCUGUGAUGAUAUUCAGUUUUUUGUGCAGGACAAGGCAACUGGGGCGAUCCUCCACCAUGGAAAGAGUAGCAAUCAUGAGCUGUUUCGAGUCCCUAUGCAUAUUUUUCCCACUUUACUGGAUCAAGGUGCGGGUUCUGCUUAUUUGGGACAGUCUGUGACAUCUUCCUUGUGGCAUCAACGUUGUGGUCAUCCUUCUAAUGACAUAUUGAAAACUAUGCUCAGAGAAUCAAAUAUAGUUGUUACUUCUGAUGAAAAUGUCAAACUUUGUUCUCAUUGUCUUGAUGGGAAAAUGAGUAGACUUCAUUUUUCUGAUAGGAUUGAUAGAGUAGAUAUUCCCUUUUACAAAGUACACAGUGAUGUAUGGGGCCCUUCUCCAGUUGUUUCAGUUGAAGGGUUUCGAUAUUAUGUGUCUUUUAUAGAUGAAGCUACUCGAUUUGUAUGGAUUUUUCCUAUCAUGAAUAAAUCAGAAGUUUUUGGUUCCUUUGUCAAAUUCUGUGCAUAUAUUGAGAAUCAAUUUCAUACUAGAGUUAAAGUGUUACAAUCUGAUGGUGGUGGAGAAUUUCUUAGUCAUGCUUUCAAAGAAUUUUUGGCAACACAUGGUAUAUUACAUUUUAUCUCUUGUCCUUACACACCAGCAGAAUGGAUUAGCUGAGCGGAAGCAUCGACAUCUUAUUGAAACAGCUAUUACAUUGCUAUCUGUGGCCAAGUUACCUCACAAGUUUUGGUCUUAUGCAGUCAAUCAUGCUACCUUUUUUAUUAAUAGGAUGCCAUGUAAGGGUCUUAAUAUGAUUUCACCUUUUGGGAAGUUGUUUGGCAAGAAACCAGACAUAGCUAAUCUCAAAGUUUUUGGUUCUGCCAUUUAUCCUUAUCUUCGGCCCUACAAUACUAAUAAGUUACAGCCUCGAUCAACCCAAUGUGUGUUUUUGGGAUAUUCACCAGGUUAUAAAGGUGCUAUCUGCUACAGUAUAUCCACUGGGAAAGUUCUUAUUUCUCGUUAUGUCAUUCAUGAUGAAACUAUAUUUCCUUAUAGACAUGUUAGUUCAACUGCUACAGAUGCUACUUCUUCCAUGUCUUCUGGUCAAAGUAGUACUGCAAGUCCUAUUAUUGUACAGUUACCUUCUUUAAUGGAUCAUUCUUCUAGUCUUGAUUCCAGCAAUGUUUCUCCACGGGUUUCAGUCACUCCAUCACUUGGUUCUACAUCCCAGCAUCAUGUUUCUUCGAGCUCUUUGGAAAAUACACAGGACUCUACUACGCAUGCUACUCUUUCCAGCCUUAUGUUGCCUGUCCAAGUUGAGUUAGCUCCUCUCAGUUCUUCUAAUUCUCCUCGCACAUGUAAUACAUCUAUUUCACAAGGAAUUCAAACACGGUUAAGAACUGGUACCAUAACCAGAAAAGACUACUCGGCCUUAACAGCUAUAUUCCCAGAAGUGCAGUCUUUGACUCUUGAGGAUGAUGAUCACUUCUCAGGGGGUUUCACCUUUGUUGCUGAUAUUCUGGAUGCUUCAGAACCGUCUACUUUCAAACAAGCAUCUCAUAUUCCCCAGUGGAAAAUGGCAAUGCAGGAUGAGUUUGAUGCUCUUCAAGCACAAGGUACCUGGUCACUUGUUCCUAAUUCCUGUGAUAAGAAUGUCAUUGGUAGCAAGUGGGUGUAUAAAAUAAAAAGGAAUAGAUGGCUCUGUUUCCCGAUAUAAAGCACGCUUGGUUGCCAAGGGAUUUAAUCAGGAAAAUGGGCUGGAUUAUACAGAAACAUUCAGUCCUGUUGUUUGACAUACUAUGGUUCGUAUAAUCUUAGCACUAGCCGCUACACAUCAUUGGGAUCUUCGACAACUUGAUGUGAAGAACGCUUUUCUUCACGGGGAAUUGCAGGAAGAAGUUUAUAUGAAGCAACCCCAAGGUUUUGUCAAUCCUCAGUUUCAUACUCACGUUUGCAAAUUAGUUAAGUCUCUUUAUGGUUUAAAACAAGCUCCCCGAGCUUGGAAUGACAAAUUUACUAACUAUUUGCAGGCUAUUGGAUUUGAAGCUUCUCUGUCAGAUUCUAGUCUAUUUGUUAAACUCGAAGGAGCUCAUGUGAUCAUUUAAUUCUCUACGUAGAUGACAUCAUAAUUACAGGUUCUAAUUCCCAGUUGAUACAAUCUGUGAUCACAGCUCUUAGUGAAGUAUUUGAUCUUACGGAUAUGGGCAAGUUAGCCUAUUUCCUUGGCCUCCAGGUUACUUAUAAGACAAAUGGGGAUAUGUUUAUCAAUCAAGCCAAAUAUGUGCUUGAUUUGAUUCACAAGGCUGGCAUGGAUGAUUGUAAGCCGUGCUCCACACCCUGUAAGCCUCAUAAUCAGGUUCUUUCUACUGAAGGUACCUUACUCACUGAUCCUACUCUAUAUCGAAGUUUGGUUGGGGCUCUACAGUACCUUACAUUUACACGUCCAGACAUUGCCUUUGCUGUGAAUACUGUAUGUCAAUAUAUGAAUGCUCCUACCGAUGUACACUUUGCUAUGGUCAAAAGAAUACUUCGAUAUUUGCAAUUAACUGUUCAGUGUGGCUUGACUUAUACUUCUGGGAGUUCUGUGUCUGUAACUGCAUAUAGUGAUUCGGAUUGGGCUGCAGAUUUGAACACUCGGAGAUCUAUCACUGGUUAUGUUGUGUAUCUUGGCUCUAAUCCUGUUUCUUGGCAAUAAAAAAAGCAGUCCUCUGUGUCUCGGAGUUCGACUGAGGCUGAAUAUCGCGCCUUAGCACAUACCACAACUGAUAUUGCCUGGAUCCGUCUCAUUCUCAAGGAUUUACAUGAGGUUUUAUCGACUCCUCCAGUGGUGUAUUGCGAUAAUCAAUCUGCAAUCACUUUGAGUUUAAAUCCAGUUCAACACUCUUGAAUCAAGCACUUGGAAACAGAUUUUCACUUUGUCCGUGAACGAGUUCAAAAAGGUGACUUAUCUGUUGAAUAUGUGUGUACUAAAGCUCAGAUUGCCGAUGUGCUCACCAAAGGUCUUCAUGGUCCAGAUUUUCUUCGUCACUGUUUCAAUCUUAAGCUUGGUUAUCCAAGCUAAGAUUGAAGGGGGGUAUUGGAUAAGUAAAUAAUAUGCCAGGUCAUCAUUGUACAUGUGCAGAACAUGUGCACAUAUAGAGUAGUAUAAAUAGUUACUUUCCUCUUGUAUUUGGGAAUGUCGGUGUAUAACAAAAACAGUUACAAAAAUAUAUUGAGAAAUUCUUCGGUUUCCUUCUUCUUUAAGCUUUAUUAGUCUGCAUAUUUCUUGAUUUCUAUGAAGCACUUCCUUGUAGUUAAGAGUCGUAACCCCCGAGUCGCCCUUGGAUACGCUCGUCCUCGGAAUAAGUCUCACCUAUAUGCGAAUUAACUAUAAAAACGUUAUUUUAAAGCACAUAGACAAAACUAGUUAAUAAUUUCUCAUACAUUGCUCAAAAUAGGUAUAUGAAUAUACCAUAAUGACCUACACAACCUCACGAACAUCGUGAUAUUUUUAGAAAAACAUUUCGAGCUCCCACGCGCCGGCAAGGGCACGGCAAAACGCGCCCUUAUGCGUGGCCCAAACCUGACGGAUUCCCUAACCACCGUUAGGGAAUAUUCCGUUAAACCUAACAGAUUCCGCUAAAAUUGACUGACGGUGUCAGCAUAUUCUGUCCAAACUGACGGAAUAUGCCGUCAUCUUCUCCGGCAAGUCGCCGGUCGCCGGGAAACUGGGUAAAAUCUCAAACCCACACAAUAAACUCUAAAUCUCAAUAUGUCACACAUACACACUACAAUUUCCCGUCCAAGGAUAAAACUGUCAUUUGACCUCACUGAUAAAUGAAUUCGGGACGGGCUGUGACACCACUCCCUCUCCCUUAAUGUAGAUAAUAUCGUUUGUUAAAAAAAAAGAAUAAUCAUUUGACAACUAAUUUAAUCAUAUUAUUAUCCGGAUGCGAAUGACCUUUUUAUAACCGGCAUCACAGGCCGCUUAAAAUGUUUUGAACGUGUUUGAAAAUAGAAAAAAAUAAUAUUUAACAAACAACUGAUUGAUUCACAUUAUUGCUAGUGCAUUGUAAGGCUAAGGUCACCCCUUCUCCCUUAGUGUAGAUAAUAUCGUUUGUUAAAAAAAAUAAAAACAAUCAUUUGACAACUAAUUUAAUCAUAUUAUUAUCCACAUGCGAAAGACAUUUUUUAUAACUGGCAUUACACGCCUCUUAAGAUGUUUUGAACGUGUUUAAAAACAGAAAAAUUGAAUAACAUUAUUACUAGCCUAUUGUGAGUUUCUAAUUUUUUUUUAAAAGAAAAAAAAUUAAUUAUUAAAAAAAUAUUGUUAAAAUGAUGAAAAUUCCUUUGCCUUAUUUGAUGUAUUAUUUUGCAAUGCUUUUGAAGUUUUUUUGUUUUAGAGGUGUUUUUGUCCAAAAUUUUUUAUUGAAAGUAACACCAAAAUCACUAUUCAUCUUUUGCGUUCGUUAUAUAUAUAAGAUGUUUAAUAGUCAUAAUCAAUUAGUCAAUCAUCACUCUGUCCUCUGCCUGCCUCCUGUCAAUCCUUUAGGAUUUCAUAUAAUCCGGCACAGGAGAUCCCAAAGUUACAGCGGCCUGGCACCAUUUGUCUAAAGUGUAAAGUCAUAAAGUUGUGAAACGCGUCCUUUAUUGCGUUUAGCUAAAUGUAAAUCAUGACCUGAGGAAAAAGACAAUUUCCAUUGAUCCAAUAAUAUCUCUACCGUAUGAAAUUCACUUACUAAUGAAAACAAGUAUUACCAACUUUUUAUUAUUUUCUAAUGUCCCCAAAAGGCCUAUUCUUAGAUGUAAAGUCGUUGAUAAGAUCUGACAACAGUUUACAAAUGUUUGUAAAGUUGGAAAGCCAAGAGUAAUUAGGAUUUGAUACUCACUAAUGAUAUCCAAUUUCUAAACAACAGUUGGAAAGUCAAGAGUAAUUAUUUUUUUAACGAUUUAUUUUAUAUAUAAUUUCUUAAUGGCACAAGUGGACUGCCACGUCAGCAAAUAUAUGGGCCCUCCAUGUGCCAAAUCAUUACUUAACUGUCAGUUUGACAGAAUCAUUAAUAGAUGUAUGAUAUUGCAACGAAUUUAUAAGUUAUAGUAUGACAUUGCAAUGUUUAAAACAUGAGGUAUGAAAUUCUGGUGCGACACAUAGUUGAGCUAGUUUUGUGUAAUUUACUCUUAUAUUUUUUGUGGAGUAUGAUUUUCUUCCUUCCAUAUUCCUCGUCCUCCCUCCCCUUCUCUCUCUUUCCUUUUUGUCUCUCUCUAAAAAAUAAAGUCAACACAAUAUGUUGGCGUGACUUAAUUGUGAUCGUUCAAAUAAGAGAUGAGAAAGGAGAAAUUUUUCAUUGUGACGGGAACAUAGGUGGUACACCACAUGUUUUUAUAUAAGUGGUGAGAAAUUGUAUUUUUUAAGUUAUUAAUUUUUUAGCACACAAUUCUAUCAUUGAUAUAGUGACACGUGAUGUACCACCUUGUGUUCCAGUCACACUAAAAAAUCUCUGAUGAGGAAAGAGAGGAGAAAAUCUUACUUUAUUUUUCAUACCAUAUUUGUACUACUUCUCUAAUAAAAGUAGGAUCCACCAAUACAAAUAGUUCUCACUUUUAUUAGAAGAAUUAUACUAAUAUGAUAAAAUAUAGUAUUUUUGAUAAAAUAAUGUACUCCUAUCCUCGUUUUUAACUUUAAGUAAAAUGACAUACAGCUACUCAAAAUAUCGAUAACAUUAAUGAUAUAAACCCGUGUGUUCUAGAGCUGGCCAAUAUUCUACACUCUAAAGGCAUCUCCAUAACCAUUAUCCACACCGGUUCCAACUCCAUCAACCUUUCAACUCUAAACAUAGAAAAACCCUACUUUUUCAACCACAAGUCACUACUGAUCCGAAAUCACCAAAACCCAAUUGGAGCACAUAAGCCAAAUUCAAAAUCAAUGCACCAAUUUGUCUUCACUCUUAAAGGUUUAAUGUUUAAUAGUCACAGUUAGUCAGUAAGUCACCACCCUUACCUUUGCCUACCUCCUAUCGUUGGUGUGGCACCAUUUGUUUAACGUGUAUUGAGGAAAACCUCUGAAUUGGCUUAGAAGAAAGUAUUUGGUCAAAAUUUCAAUGUAGGUCAAGUUAGAUUUGAUUGAAUUCACCAUUAAUAUUAGAAAAUGGAGUCACUAAUAAAAGAGCGGUUAGUAAAAGUGGUCAAAGCGUGAGCAUGUAUAAGCUGAACCACAUAUUAACAGCUGUUUACAAAUGUUUGUAAACUACAGUUGGAAAGCCAGGAGUAAUUAGGAUUUGAUACUCGGUAAUGAUCCAACCUGCAUAGCCAACGAAAUCUUACAUCAUCAAGAUUAAGUGGGAAUUGUUGUAUGAUCAUGAUGAUGUUAGCUUUACUAUUCUCUGAAAAUAAUAAGAUGAAGUCUAUUAAAGGAGGAUUCAUUCCUAGACAAAUCAAUCCAACUUGAAAAGCAUUUUCUCUUCUUCCCCUUGGUGUGCUAUUUCUCCCUUGGCACUACCGCACAGUAAUCAAUAAUCUAACAACAUUAGAGAUUGAUCCUAUAAUCCAUCAAAUUCUACAUUAGAAAUCAUUUGUGAGGGUGUCCUUAUGAUUUGCACACCAUGUUUACUAACCAAAUGGUGAAUGCAAGAAAUGUGAGGGAUGUUUGAAAGGUAGGGCUGUAGUUGGAGCAUGGAAUUGAGAGAGGUGAGGUUGAAAGAACAAUUAGAAGACUGAUGGUUAAGAAAGAAGGGGAAGAGAUCAAAGAGAGAGCCCUAAAUUUGAUGCAAAAGGCAAAUCAUCGCCUCAAAGAAGGUGGCUCUUCGUACUAAUUUUUGGAUGGCUUGGUUAAACAUCUUACCGUUAUAAAUCAUUUGUUUAAAAAACUCAGUAUCAUUUAUUCAAUAAAAUUAAAAUUUGUUGCAGUCCUAUUAGAUUAGGAAUGCGAUUGUGUAAAUCCUAGUAUAUCUUGGAAUAUCUCUUAUUCCUAUUAUGAGUUGAUCACCUAUUAAGAGUUGUAAUCCUAAAAGGGUAAGAAAUUAACCUUUCCGACUACUAUAAAUAAAGGCAUAAUGGGGUGGAACAGAACACACCUCACACGUACACAUCUCUCUCUUCUCUCUACUAUUGCCGCACCUUUCUUUCUCUAUGGCCUCCAUAAUUGUUCAGUAAAUUAUGCCUACAACACGUUAUCAUCACACUUUCGACGUUGCGCUAAAGAAAGUUUGAAUUUCAAUCUGGGGAGUAUUACGUUUUAAUCAUUUUUUUAUGAUUAAUUUAUUAUUUUAUUGAAUUGAUCUACAUGCUAUUGAUUCAAUUUAAUUUUUCUUUGUUGAACGUGACACAACGCAUUGGAGAUGCAAUUUCGGCUUUCUGUGAAGGAUCUUCUACAAAUACAAAGGCUUUUGUUGUUUUCUGCCAAUCAAGUACGCUGAUAGGAUUAAAAUGCACACCACAAAGUAGCAUACAAAUGUCCUAUUGAUUUUCCUUAUUAACACUAAGAUUUGUCAAUUGUAGCAUAUGAAAAUAAGGGUCUUUCCCGCAGAAGACUGUUUUAUCUAACUACUUAAAAAGUCACAAAAACUGGGCUGCUGUCCAUACUGACCAGCCACCGAAAAAUAAUUAUUAGACUAACUUACGCUUAUCUAAAGUCUACAAAAUUUUAUAUGACAACACUAGACACACAGAGCUACACUCACAAAUAGUUUUGGGAUUUUUGGAGUUGAUUUGCUAUUUAAAUUAAAUUGAACAAAAACAGGACAAAAACAAAUUUUAAAUAGUUCAUAAAUUAAGAAAAACGAGUUAGGGGAAUUGCUAUCCACCACCAAAUAAUCAUGCAAACAUGUUAUGUUUCAUGCAAAAUCCUUUUAUUUCAGGAUGAAGAUGCUUAGGUUGGCUCAAUGUUAGAACUCAACCUAUUACUCUUUCUUAUGUAGUAUGUUAAGAGAAUGGCGUUUUCAACUUAACUUAGUCCCUAGCAUGCAAUCUAGAAUGGCGUGUUCAUAGAUAUAACAAGUAGAAAUCAUUAAGAACGAAAAGAGUUUGGGUCAUCACAAGGCAUCGUAAGUACUGGCGUUGUCUUACUUAUCCUAGAAAUUGGUUCACAUGUUAAUCGCAAUUAACAAGUACUACUCUAGAACAUAUGUAGGUCCUUAUUCGACAAGGGCAGACACACACAUAUUCAUAGUGUUAGAAUCCUAGAUAUGCUUACUACGUAUGCAUCCAUAGAAAACAAAUAAAGAAUUCAUCAAUGAGACAAGUAGUGAACCAAUUUUCAUCCAUUCAUAAAAGUAAUUCAAACGAAAUGUCAUAACAAAUUUGCAAUCAUAUUCGGGGCUUCAAAACAGCCCCUAACUACUAAAAAUUUAGUUACACAUAAUCCUUAAGUUAAAACAAAAGAUAGACAUGAGUUUGAGAAUAUAGAACCGAAAGAAAUCGACCGAGGCCUCCUCCUCUCUUCCUUCCUUCCCCAAUGUUGCUUUUAAACCAAUUCUUGCAUCAUUUUCUUCUCCUUAACUCACCCACUAAUAACCAUUUAGUGAUGACAAUAAGUGAGAGGAAAUGUGGUAAAACAAUUGUAACACUUUAGAUAGCCUUUAUGCCAAUUACUCCCUCUUAAUCCUCAUUUUUAAUUCCAUUUCCUCUAAUAUUUGAAUAGGUGUCAGCUGACUUGUUCUUGGCUGCAUCAGUUUUGGCUGCUAGAUUUAUUGGGUUUAUUGCUUUCAUUGCAGUUACAAACUGCUCAGCCUCUUGGUAACCUUUCAGUGUUAAAACGGCCAUAACGUCUUCUAGAAACAUGAUAUUAGCAAUCCGCGAAAUGCUCCAGAAAAUAGACAUCCGUAACUUUCCAAACAUAUAAGGCUCAUUCUCUAAUUCAUUCUGAGCUGUUCACAACUUGCUUCCAAAGUCAGCUGAUCUGCAUAGGCAUUUUUGACGAAUUUGUUACUUAAAAUCCCACUUGUGCUAUUUUUCUUUAUUUGCUUGACAAAUCCCACAAAACACAAAAACAAAGUAAAUAGCUCAAAAAUAUAAGGAACUAACUAAGAAAAGACAAGUGAAUUUGAUGUAAAAUAUAUAUAAACAUGAGCUUAUCAUACGCUUAAAAUAAAGUAAGAUAUUUGAAACGACCAUGAAGCAUGAAAGCAUUCCCCAUGAUGCAUGAAUCCCAUACAUUUAUAUUUACCUUCCGAUAUAUAUAUAUAUAUAUAUAUAUAUAUAUAUAUAUAUAUAUUGUAUAUGUUCAUAUAUUUUUCAAUAUAUAUAUAUAUAUUUGUUUCAUGCAUUACGCAAUUAUAUUUGUUAUGUGGAAUAUGUGAGUCAAAGUAUAUUCAUAAAUUAGAAGCAAUUUAGGGUUUCCUAAACCCUAACACUUUCGGAAAAAAAAGGAACAUAUUGCGAUGAACCUCGGUAGUAUCCCUCUGGGCUUUGCUGCUAACAUAUGGACACACCAGGCAUUCGGCCUGGCUGGUUUGACUCGGACCCGUAGCCCAACUUCAUCAAGGAAGCCUGCAACUUUCCUUUUGGACCUACCUUAUGCUCUCAGCCCAUGCCAGCAAGCUGUCAUGCUUGCUGGGCUUUGAAUUAAGCCCCAGCCCGCGGCAAGCUUUGCUUGCUAGGCUUGUCCUGCAUGCACCCAGGUCUGAAACAUGCUCACUCUGGUGCCAGCCCACAUAAUUAGGCUUGGUCUCCACGGCUCAAUAUGAUGCCAGCCACAUGGCUGGGCUCAUGUGCCUCAACCAGGCCAGCUCCGUGCUGGGCCCGAAGUUCCUCGCACUCCCUAGGCCCAAAAACCAACAGUCUUGGUUGCUAGACCUUCCAACCCAUCAGGCCCAUGGCCUGCAACCCACUUCUGAGGCCUUUAGGGCCUUGCCUACUUAUGGCACCCAGCCCAAAUCUUUUUGGGCUAUGGUAUUUUCGACCCUAUACUAUUAUUUAGCCUUUUAAAUAAUUUUAACUCGAAUGUUAUUAUUAUUUUUGCUUCUAUAAUCGGCCUCGUUUGGUCCCAAUUUAUUGAAUUAAUUAAAAGUGACUUGCAAUCCAUUAAUCCGAUAAUGAAUCCAAAAUUAUUGACAUGAAGAUCACUCUUGGACAUUGACGAUUCAAUAAUUUAUUUUUUUAUACUUUGAACCGUUGACAUACUUUCGUAGUAACGAAGCUCUCACACUUGAAUUCCCGAAAAAACUCAAAUCCUCUACACUUAGUUGUAUAUUGCAUUCUGUGUUCUUGCAUGAAUCUCUUUUUUAUGAACUAAACGUUCAUAAACUAAAUUGAACCUGUAAUUUCAAAUUUAGUGCCUUUGAAAUCUGAAGUUUUCUUAAAACAAUACACCCAUAAAAACCUAACGUUUUUCAUGAAAACCAUGUCUUAGAACCCAAAUGUUCUAACUUUGAUGCUUAUGGAUGAUUCAUUCCCAUAGCACCAAUUACAAAUCUUGUUCCCUCCAAAUUCAAUGGAUUCGAACCGUCAUAAGUUCGAUUUCCCUUAUUUGGAUGUUUCUUAUAGAAACCACUUUAUGUGGGGUACAACGUUAUACCGAAACUAUUGAGUACUGGUCAACGUUAUACCAUCAAAGACCCAGAAGAGUUUCUCUUAACCCAGGAGGCCAAUCAGAGCGUGACACGUGUCGACAUCAGAAGCCAAUCAUAGCACGACACGUGUCAACAUCAGAAGUCAAUCAUAACACGACACGUGUCAAUGUUAGAAUGAAACUAGAAACUUUCUUCUAUAAAUAGAGAUCAUUCUCUCACAAUAUUUCCUAAUGUCAUUUGUACUAAAUCAUUCACUUGUACUCACUAAAGGAGAGCUUGAAUCUAUGUACUUGUGUAAACCCUUCACAAUUAAUGAGAACUCCUCUACUCCGUGGACGUAGCCAAUCUGGGUGAACCACGUACAUCUUGUGUUUGCUUCCCUAUCUCUAUCCAUUUACAUACUUAUCUAUACUAGCGACCGGAGCAAUCUAGCGAAGGUCACAAACUUAAUACUUUCUAUUGUACCAAAGUCCUCGCUAAUUUUAUGCAUCAACAUUUGGCGCCGUCUAUGGGAACGACACUUAUUCCCACUCUCUUCAACUUUGUCAAGCUAGUUUCCACCGUUCGUACACUCUCUUUUGACCAGGCAUCCCUCUCCAACAUGGGGAGCGAAGGAAGCCACAGCACACAGAAUGACACCCCUCUUGCACCUAGUGCGAAACAACGAAAGAAGGAAGGAAAGAGGGCUGUUCUUCAAGCUAAAGUCGAUGAGUUAGAAGCUCAAAACAACAAGAUAGCAAUGAAGAAUGAGGUCCUCCAGGAGCAGUAUGAGAAGCUAUUUGAGACGCUCCAUGAAACUAUGCGUACUCAAACACGCGAGCUUGUUGCCCCUGUGGACAUCAACCAUCAUCUGGGUGCCCCCUAACACGGAGGGUUACCUUCCUUCGACAUGGGUAUCUCUGAUGAGGAGCAAGCUAAUCAUCAAAACAUUGAUCAACAUGAGACUUCUCUCAACCCAGCUGCUUCGACCCGAAGUAUGAGAAGUGGAGGAAGACACCUCCUUGUAGAAGGGUUGGAAGGAUCGAAAGCCAUUUAUCGUGACUGCCGAGACUUCCUAAAGUAACGUCGAGAGAAUCUCCUCCACAUAUGCUUGAAGAUCAAUGACCCAAGGGUUUCUGAAAGACUCGGUCCCCUCUCACGACCCAAGCCAGCUGCCAAUCUAGGGAAGGAACGACAUGUCCUAGAGGAACAUGAAGGUACAGGGGACUCUGAGGUAUUCCAACAGACUCGCCCUAGAAGUCAGUACGGCGAAUCCAAGGAAAAAUCACACGCCCUUGCUUAAACUUUCCUACUUCCAAUAGGCGAUGAAGACUUACGAAAGAAAAUCCCAAUGAUACAUGACUCCACUCAAGACCCCCUUGUCCUACAGCUCAUUGAGGAAGUAAACAAGUUGAAGGCCGAACGUCAGGCCGAGAUACCUGACUGGAACCAACCCAGGCCUGGCCCUCUCACAAGGAGGAUCCUCGACACCCCCCUUCAAGCAAAGACAAAAUAAAAGCUUGGUUUAUAACUCUAUACUGGAAGAGAUGACCCAAUUGAACACCUUAACCUUUUUUAGUCCACCAUGGCAUAUCGGAUGCACACCAACGAAAAACGAUGUCUUCUCUUCCCCUCCACCCUCUCUGGCGGAGCUCUAAACUGGUAUUGCCGUCUUCCAUCUGAGACAGUAGAUUCAUUUGAGGAACUGAGGAAACUGUUUAUCUCUCAACAUAUCUUCCAGACCGAUCGCUUGCAUUCUGCAGAUGACUUGUACACUAUUCGCCAGAAGCCAGACAAGUCACUACGAGAGUAUGCUGGUCGUUUCAGCCAUGAGUAUUCUCGUUGCGCUGAGGCAGAUGACAAGACCGCCCUCAAGGCCUUCACGGCAGGCCUACGGGAUUGUUUUUUCAAGUACAUGAUCAAUGCCAACACUUGGAAGACUUACUCUGAGGUGAUGGCACAGGCUUACAACAUUGCCUCCGCCGAGGCAAUGACAUAUUAAGGGAAACCCCCCACAACCACCCCUUAUCAGCAAGUAGGGAGUGGAAGCCAGAUCCAACCAAAUGAGAAGACCUCGACCUUCCAAACAGUAGCGGUGCCUCCCCCUGCCUUACUUAAUACUUUGCCAAGUCAACAGACAUAUCAAUCUCAGGGCAAAAGGAAAGAUUUCCAUCCUCACCAGUCUCAUUUUAGUAAAAGAAGUAAGUGACACUAUUGCGAUAACCAAGGGUAUCGCCAUGAUAAUCCCCAACCCUAGGUAGUCAACACAGUGGGUCAAGCACGUGUCAGGACAUCCCCUACCCUGAAAUAUGAGGCAUACACACCUUUGAACGCCACAUGUAUGGCCAUUUACCCCAGCGUAGCAAACUUGAUACCGAAGCCAAAUGUGAGGCACCCGGAUUACAAGUGCACGAAGAACACGGGCACGUUUUGCUGCUACCACGAGCAUAACGGCAAUGACGGCGAGAAGUGUAUCACCUUUCGUGAUCAUGUUGAAGCUUUGGCACGUGAAGGAAAAAUUGAUCAAUUCCUCCUUCACCCUCCAAGGGGUAACCGUAACCAACGUCAGGUGAAUGUGAUAUAUUCCAUAUGUGGUGGCACACCCAUAUCUAAAUCUUCCAACAGGGUUAUGAAAAAUAGUGAACGAGCUUUAAGGUGUGGCCACUAAGUGUUUCACGUGGAAGACAUCAGGGGAGGUAAGUAUAUGUUUCUACCCUGAGGAAGAAAGAGGUAUCAUUUACCCUCACAACGAUCCACUGAUUGUGGAAGCUCACAUAGCCAACUUUGAAGUACGACGAAUUCUGGUAGACACGGGGGCUUCGGUCAAUAUCAUGUUUGCUGAAGCUUUCAGGGCACUUAAUGUAGCUGAACACUUGCUUGAUCGCUCGAUUUCCUCUCUGAUAAGCUUCUCCAGUGAUAUCGUGCAACCUUUGGGGAACAUACACUUACCUUUCACCAUUGAUAUAGGCCCUUACAUAGCUACCAUUAUCACUAACUUCGUGGUGGUUGAUUGCCCAACGGCAUACAAUGUCAUCUUGGGACGCACAUGCAUCAAUGAUCUCAAGGCCAUGGUAUCCACACAUAUGUUGUUGAUGAAAUUUCCAACCCCCUAUGGCAAUGGUUACAUCAUAGAAGAUCAACUUAGUGCAGGAUCAUGUUACAACACUUUGGUCAAGCAACAACACCUGCCUGUGCCCAAGGAAACCCUUUCUAUACAUGACUAAGUCAUAAAGACCAGCCCAGACGAAACCAACUUGGAUCUUCACGGUGGUAACAGUCAACUCGACGAUCCUCGAGAUGACUCUUUCACCCAGCAAGCACAACCCGCUGAAGAGUUGGAGAAGGUCUCUAUCUCAAAAGAUUAUCCGGAUCGUAUAGUGAAGAUUGGCACCACCUUGUCACCACCCAUUCGGUUGGCAUUGAUCUCUUUUUUGCAAGAGAACACUGAGGUCUUUGUCUGAUCAUACGAGGACAUGUCAGGCAUCUCUCCCGAUAUCAUCUGUCAUCGCUUAAGUAUUGACCCCAAGACCAAGCCAGUGAGACAGAAGCGAAGAUCCUAUGACAUUGAACGGUGCGAGGCAAUGAAGGCAGAAGUUGAAAAACUCAAAGGCAUAGGGUUCGUCCGUGAAGUCAAUUUUCCAAUGUGGGUAGCAAAUGUUGUCCUUGUUAAAAAGAAUCCGACCAAGGAAAGUUUCCUGCUCCAAAAGGUCUUGUGGAGAAUGUGUGUCGAUUACACCGACCUAAACAAAGGAUGCCCGAAUGAUAGCUUUCCUCUUCCUCUCAUAGACAGACUUAUAGACUCUACCGCAGGGUGUGAACUUCUGAACUUCAUGGAUGCUUACUCAGGAUACAACCAAAUCCUCAUGAACCCUCCGGACCAAGAACACACAACCUUCACUACUGACAGGGGACUAUAUUGCUAUAAAGUAAUGCCAUUCGGCCUAAAGAAUGCAGGAGCAACUUAUCAGAGACUGGUCAAUUCAAUAUUCACCGAACAUAUUGGGAAGAGCAUGGAAGUUUACGUUGAUGAUAUGUUAAUUAAGAGCAAGCAUGCUGACCAACACAUCACCAACCUAUCUGAAACUUUCACCAUUCUGAAGAGGUAUCGAAUGAGGUUGAACCCCAAUAAAUGUGCCUUCGGCGUAGGCUCUGGCAAAUUCUUAGGCUUUAUGAUAAGCCAACGAGGCAUUAAGGCUCAUACUGAGAAGAUCAAAAUAAUCAUUGGCAUGAAGGAACCGGUAACUUCAAAAGACAUCCAGAGCCUUACUGGCAAGGUGGCAGCCUUAACUAGGUUCAUCUCUAAGGCAACAGACAGAUGUGCUCAUUUCUUCAAAGCACUUAAAGGAAGUAAGAAGUACAUUACAUGGACUGAUGAAUGUGCUGAGGCAUUCAAUAACCUCAAAGACUACAUGAGUAAGGCCUCUUUGCUCUCCAAACUUGAGGUUGGUGACACUCUCAUUAUCUAUUUGUCGGUAUCGGCUUCACAGUAAGUUUCGUUCUCAUUCGAAAUGAUGGUAAUGUCGAACGGCCUGUCUACUACGCUAGCAAGGCCUUACAAGAUGUGGAGACACGAUACUUUAACAUUAAGAAAUUGGCUCUAGCAUUGGUCAUGUCUGCUAAAAACUUUGCCCUUACUUCCAAGCACACUCUAUCAUUGUGCUUACCAAUCAUCCUCUUCGACAGAUACUCAAAAGUCCUGACACUUCUGGGCAAAUGAUCAAAUGGGCGAUAUCAUUGGGUGAGUUUGACAUCUCCUACCAACCAAAGCCAGCUGAGAAGGGCCAAGCAGUGGCAGACUUCAUCGCCGACUUCACAUAUCCUGUUGACAUUGUUUCUACACCUAAAGAAGUGGUUUCAUUACACUUAGAAGCUCAGAAAAUAGAACCAACAGCCCCAGCUUGGAGUCUAUAUGUUGAUGGCUUGUCCAACCAACAGGGUUGUGAAGCAGGACUAGUCCUUACGACCCCUGACAAAGUGGCGAUGAAGUAUGCUCUUCGUUUCAAAUUCAAGGCGUCGAACAAUGAGGCCGAAUAUGAAGCCCUCUUAGCAGGCUUACGUUUGGCCAAACACCUUGGGGUUAAACGAAUUGAUAUCUUCAGUGACUCCCAAUUGGUGGUUAACCAGGUCACCAACAACUUUGACGCUAAGGAUAACUCUAUGGCUGCAUAUCUGGCACAAACACAAUUGUUGCUUAAGCACUUCCACUACCAGAUCACCCAAAUUCCUCGAGCGGCAAACAGUCAUGCAGAUGCUUUGGCUCACCUCGCCUCAGCGAUGGAAGACAAGAUUGGGAGAAAAAUUUGGGUCGAAUUGUUGGCAGCACCAAGAACCAUAGCUGCGGAAGUGUGCAACUUACAACAGGGGGAUAGUUGGAUUACCCCGAUUUAUAGAUUCCUUGCUCAUGGCACCCUUUCAAAUGACAAAGUCCAAGCUAAGCAGAUUUGAUACAAGGCUACCCGUUACUUGAUCAUUAAUGACCAACUCUACAAGCGGGGUUUUAACCUACCAUACCUAAGAUGCCUUACGCCUGUAGAGGCGGAAACUGUCCUUCGGGUUUUAACCUACCAUACCUAAGAUGCCAUAUGAGAAGUUUUCCUCACUCGGAAAAUUAAGGGAGCACUACCUCAACCUACAUGCUUCACUCACAAAGCUUCAACAAAAGGAAAAAUUCAAAUAACUUAGUGAAGAAGGCCUUAGUGUAUUUAACACAAUACAUUGAAAUGAAGCAAAGCUUGUUUAUUGAUAUCUCCGAUAAGUUACAAAUAUGUACAUAUACAUGAAUCAAAAUAUACAAAUAAGAGGGAGCCUUCACAAAGGUUGCUCAAGAGAAGUCUCAGCAGUCGGCAGAGCCCCAGAAAGAGGAGGCACCAGAGGGUGAUUAUUCGAAGCCUCAGUACUAGGUAGAACCCCAGAAGGAGGAGGCACCGAAGGUUGAUCAUUUGGAGCUUCAUUACGCGGUACAGCCCCAGAAGACGAAGCAAUAAAUCCCUUUGGAACAAACCCACAAACCUCUGAUGAUCAAGAAAAAUCUGACCAUCAGAUUCCUGCAGCUGGUCGAGCUUUCUUUUCAUGUUUGUAGCAUAGUCAUGUGCGAGCCUGUGCAACUGUUUAUUCUCAUGCUUGAGCCAUUUGAUCUCCUGUUUGAGACUUAUCACUUCAGCCGCCAAUGAUUCAACUUGGCGGGUUCGAAUAAAUAGGCGUUGGGCCAUAUUAGACAUAGAACCUUCACAAUGAACACCGAGAGCCAGAAAAUCCUUAACAGCCAACUCAUCAGACCGUUUGGAUAGUAGUCUGUUAUCUUUGGGAGUGAGAAUGUUCCUGGCCACCACCACAUCGGUCAUAUCAUUCUUCAUCAUAGAGUCCCCAACGGUAAGAGGACCAGUAUGAGAUAAGAAGGAUGGUCGCCAUAUGUUGUCUUAAGAAGGCAUUGCUGCCUCUUCACAAAAGUUCAAGUCAAAACGACGGUCGGAUGGGCCAGACAUUCUCAGAAAUGAUGAAACACAAAUGAGGUGCAAUAAAUCUCUGAAGUAAGGGGAAAAUUCCUACAAGCAAUAACUCUCUGAAUGUACUUCUUGCACACAAUUGGUGCCCUUAUAAAAGAAAGGGCAACAGAGCCGUUCGUUCAAAAAUCGAAGACGCACCACUCUCCGAAUUUCGAAGAGGCACCACUUUCCACACGCAACAUCAGCUCCUCGAGUACCACAGAUAACUUUGCCAAAGAUUUCUGACAAAGUUUAGACACCUAAAUUUUGAAGAUCCAGCUACCCUACUAUUACCCAUAAGGGUAAAGGAACAGCACCACUGCUUGAUAACUAGAAUGUCCCAAUGUGUGUCAACCUCCGUGCUCCGUGGCAAAGCAGACUGGUAAAAAUACCUAACCUUUACUUAUAUUCGAGAAAACACUCCCAACAAGAUUGCUUGCUCAAAAAUCGAAGAGGCACCACUCUCCGAAUCUCGAGGGCUAGACUCCCAAUAGCAUUACUUUCUCAAAAAUCGAAGAGACACUGUUCUCCGAAUCUUAAUAGUUAGACUCCCAACAGGAUUGCUUUCUCAAAAAUCGAAGAGGCACCGUUAUCUGAAUCUCGAGAGCCAGAUUCCCGACAGGAUUGCUUGUUCAAAAACCGAAAAGGCACCGCUCUCCAAACUUCGAGAGCUAGAUUUCCUUGGAUAAAGCUUGUCUGCAAUCUUCAUAAGCAACAUCAGUUUUCUAGAUACCAUAGACCACUUUUUCAAAGCGCUCUGACAAAGUUAAAACAUGUGAAGCUUGCAGCUCCCACUACAUUGCUAUGACCAAGAAGGGUAAAGGAAUAGCAUUAUUACUUGCUCAAAAAUCGAAGAGGCACCGCCCUCCGAAUCUCUAGAGCCAGGCUCCCAACAGGAUUACUUUCUCAAAAAUCGAAGAGGCACCGCUCUCCGAAUAUUAAGAACUAGAUUCUCAACAUGAUUGCUUUCUCAAAAAUCAAAGAGGCACCAUUCUCCAAAUCUUGAGCCAAAUCCCCGACAGGAUUACUUGUUCAAAAACCGAAGAGGCAUCGCUCUUCGAAUUUCGAGAGCCAGAUUUCCUUGGAUAAAGCUUGUCUGCAAUUUUCACACGCAACAUCAGCUUUCCAAAUACCACAUACCAUUUUUUCAAAGUACUCUGACAAAGUUAAAAUACGUGAAACUUGCAACUCCCACUACAUUGCUAUGACCAAGAAGGGUAAAGGAAUAACAUUACUACUUGUUGUUAAAAAGACUCCUAUAUAUGUCGAUCUCUAUCCUUCACGGACAAGCAGACCUGCAAAAAUGUUCAACCCUUCCUCAUAUCUGAGAGGGCACUCCCAACGAAGUCUCUCGAAAUACUCAGCUUCUUUUCCUCCUGAUAAUACCUCUGCAAACAAGCCACACCUAGAGCAAUAGUAUCUCAUAUCAUCAGGGUUAAAAGCAAGAGUAUCCCAUAUCAUGCUUUUUCCCUAUCUUUUCCUUUGGCCUUGUUCUUACCUGCAAGACAAAGAGAAAGAUAGCAAUCAGUCAGCACUUGGAAUCAAGCUUCCAGUCAGGAACUGACUGCCUGGAAUCCCUUGCCUGAUUACUUACCUGGCAUUGCUCUCGAGUACUCAUCUUCAACAUCUUAUACUUCCAGAGAAGAUACCACAUCUACCUGAGGAACAGAUAUGGCAAGUGAGAAGGAUACAAGCAUGUGGAGACAAGCGUAACAGAACAUGUGCCGAUACAUCCACUACUUUGUCAACAGCAAAAGUAUCCCAUAUCAUCAGGGUCAAACGUACUCUAGAUUUAAUGGACUUGUUUUGACCCUCAAAUUCUUGAGUCGACCUUAUACUUUGGAGGAAACCAGAAAACGCUCCAACCCAGUUCAAGAAUAAGCCUGUGGAAAGUUACUUCUUCAAAAGCAAAAGUAUCUCAUAUCAUCUCUCUCCAUUUGCUUCUCCUUAUCCUUGGUGCUAUUUACGACACAAGGAGAAGGAGAACAAUCAACCGGAAGCCGAAGUCGAACCUCCGAUCCAAGUUGCUUGCUUGGAAGUCUGAUUGCUUACCUUGUCUGUUACCUCUUUCGGCAAAUCUCCUAGCUCGGCGACUUGGGGGACUCAUACUAUAGGGUUUUGUAUCGUACUUGACCAAGCCCGAAACUACAAGUAAGCUUCAAGUGAAAUUGAUACAUUACCUUGCAUCUUCAUCGGUUAAAGAUACCACCCUUGGAUGGAGGAAAAGUACUUCCAGAGAAGAUGCCACAUCUAUGUAUGAGACAGAUAAGGCAAGUGAAAAUGAUACCACACUUCGGUACUUAGAAGUUUCAUGAUUACUCAAUGGCUUUGAUCUUGCAAGUCCCCAACCGAGGAGCUUCCCUCACUCGGGAACUUAAGGGAGCACUGUUUGUACCAUACUUGACCAAUCCCGAAACUACUGAGCACCAGUCAACUUUAUACCGUCAAAGACCCAGAAGAGUUUCCCUCCAACCAGGAGGCCAAUCACAGCGCGACACGUGUCGACAUCAGAAGCCAAUCAUAGCACGACACGUGUCAACAUCAGAAGCCAAUCAUAACACGACACGUGUCAAUGUCAGAAUGAAACUAGAAACUCUCUUCUAUAAAUAAAGAUCAUUCUCUCACAAUAUUUUCUAAUGUCAUUUGUACUAAAUCAUUCACUUGUACUCACUAAAGGAGAGCUUGAACCUAUGUACUUGUGUAAACCCUUCACAAUUAAUGAGAACUCCUCUACUUCGUGGACGUAUCCAAUCUGGGUGAACCACGUACAUCUUGUGUUUGCUUCCCUAUCUCUAUCCAUUUACAUACUUAUCCAUACUAGUGACCAGAGCAAUCUAGCGAAGGUCACAAACUUAACACUUUCUGUUGUACCAAAGUCUUCGCUGAUUUUGUGCAUCAACAAUUUUUGCUUCUAUAAUCGGCCUCGUUUGGUCCCGAUUUAUUGAAUUAAUUAAAAGUGACUUGCAAUCCAUUUAUCCAAUAAUGAAUCCAAAAUUCUUGACAUGAAUAUCACUCUUGGACAUUGACGAUUCAAUAAUUUUUUUUUUUUUUUUUAUACUUUGAACCGUUGACAUACUUUCGUAGUAACGAAGCUCUCACACUUGAAUUCCCGAAAAAACUUAAAUCCUCUACACUUAGUUGUAUUCUGUGUUCUUGCAGGAAUCUCGCUUUUAUGAACUAAACGUUCAUAAACUAAAUUGAACCUGUAAUUUCAAAUUUAGUGCAUUUGAAACCUGAAGUUUUCUUAAAACAAUACACCCAUAAAAACGUAACGUUUUUCAUGAAAACCAUGUCUUAGAACCCAAAUGUUCUAACUUUGAUGCUUAUGGAUGAUUCAUUCCCAUAGCACCAAUUACAAAUCUUGUUCCCUCCAAAUUUAAUGGAUUGUCGAACCGUCAUAAGUUCAAUUUCCCUUAUUUGGAUGUUUCUUAUAGAAACCACUUUAUGUGGAGUACAAGACAUGAAUCUCCACUUGACUAUCAAGAAACUGAGAAACCAUUGUAGCCAACAAUGGCAUGGAAGAGCUGAAUAAGCCUUCGCCAUGAUCUUUAUUUGAAGAUUUAUGCUCGAAGCAUAACAAACAGAAAUACCUCCAGAACUAGGAUUCCAUGACUCUUUGGCUCACUUCUACAGACUGUUUAAUCAUGAAAGACAUUGCCUGAAGCACACCAUGAUUAUGUCCAUAAAUAAGUACAAUUCUGAAGUUUAUAAAUCUGAUCGAAUUUUGACUGGAGAAUACUUUUCUCGUCCUUCCAUGUUUCUAACUCGUUUCUGAAGCAAUAGUGUAGAAAGUGGAAGUUUACCAAAUUCUCAGAUUUGAUUACCACCACAAACAUAUGGUAGACUCAGGGCCUGCCUAGGUGUGGCAUCAUGCCCGAAGCAUGAUCUUUGGUACCUAAGACCUAAAACUUCAAGAAUUAGGGAUAAUAUUCCCAAACUUCAACCCUGCAAAAUCUACUUCCAUCUCGAUAGAAUAGAUCAUUGGUCAUGCAACUGUUCGUGCCUCUACCAAUGUCGUUAAGGAGUGUCAUUCUCGUAGUUAAUAUGUGAGACUAAUUUUUCUCCACCAAACAUCAUUGGAAGAGCAAAAUAUUGACAUGGAUGACCUUGUUGGCCGAAUCCCCUUAGUAAACCAUUUACUUUAUGAACAUUUUUCUAUGUUCUUGAAUUCAAGGUGGGUGUAUGUUUUACUUAUGGAUAAUCUUAUUGAUAUUGUCAUCAAAUACGAAUUAAUUGAAUCAUGUUUCUUAAUACAUGUGAUCGAUUCAAUUAAACACGUGAUUAGGUAGGAAUGUGGGGAAGUUAGUUGUCUGAAUGAAUGCGAUACUACGCGCACCAACUUUAAACCUAAAUCACAUAUCUAACAAUGACUUCAGGUUUAUCCAACCUGAUUAAAAGUAUUGGCACGCUCCUUGUUGUAUGAAUGGUAUUGCAUGACCAUUUAAAGGACAUUAAAUUCUCCCUGUCGUUGAGUUUUUAAGGAUAUUCGUGAUACAAUGACCAUAAAUGAAACCACUGAAGAAAAUAAAGUGGAAUAUCUUUGCACCACCUCCAAAAAUGAGCAUGCAGCUUUGAUUUAGGGCCAAUGGGUUGUCUCCCAACUGGGAACACACCACAUGUGGCUGGUCUGGAGAUUGGUGAUUCAAGCAGUUUACUCGCUUUGGCACGACCUUUUGGAACACUUAGGUCGAAUUAUGAUGCUACAAUGCAUCUCCUUACCCGAAGUAAGGAUCUUAUGCUAACAAGCACACUUUGCCAAGGCCGUUCAUUUGGGAAAUUUGAUUUUUAUAUCAUCCCUCGCAAAGAUACGAAACGACUCUCUUUUAACAGUGGAUUCAAGGGAAUAUAUGUGGACUAAUCCUACCAAAAUGCGGACCAUAUAAAUACUUAUGGUUUUGGUUGAUGAAUCGACAAACUGGUUACAUGUUUGUCCACACACAUUGCUGCUAAACCUCUUGGCCGAUUAAGGGCUCACCACCCUACUUAUCCCAUAAAGUCUGAGAUACUAGAUAACGUCGGAGAGUUUAUAUCGACAGUUUUCAAUAAAGUAUUGCAUGUAUUUUGGGUUUAUAAUUGAACAUUGAAUUCCCAUGAUUCACCCCAAAUGGCCUCGCCUAGUGAUCAUAAAGCGCAAUUUAAAUGAUCACUUGGAUUUUGGUAAACAUACCAAGUUUUCAGUUUUUGCCUAGGGCUAUGCAAUCUUGUACGCAGUUAUGUUAGUCUGCCUUGAGGCCUAUUGCCACUCAACCUAUUGGACGUUACAUUUAGUUACUGGGUACGAACUUGACGUUUUUCGUAUUUACGCAUUUAGGUGUGCAUUCUAUGUGCCAAGUUGCGCCCUUACAACGUACCAACAUGGGUCAUCAAAGAAGGAUGUGAAUCUUUGUCUAUUUUGAUUCUCCUUCACACUAGCUCUAUUCGAGCCCUUGCAUGCGAUCUUUUUACCUCUCAUUUACGGGUUGUCACUUUAAUAAGACAGUUUUCCUGCUGUUAGGAGGAGAUAAGAACGUCAAUGGUCCUGUAGAAUGGCGUGAAUUUGCACGGACUUUGCCCAUUGUCUCAUCUUGAUCCCCGUACCACACAAGUGUGAUAAGCAAGUGCGAUGAAGUCUAGCUUUCAGAAUGUUGCUCCAGACGCAUUCAUUUGGUCUACCUAAAAUGACGAGAUCAUAUACUAGCUGCAAACAUGCAUGCAAGGAUAGACAUAUUUAACAGACGUCGAGUCAACAUCCCUGAAGGAUGUGCCGCCCCUAUUGGACGGUCCGGUACAUUGGUGGGUAGCCAAUCAAUCUGUCUUAGCCUAGAGCAUGACAAAUCACUCGGUUCGUAGGAUUCACUUCCCUAGAAGAGGAAGACACGGCACAAAAAUGAAUCUGUUGAUGCACAAAAUCAGCGAAGACUUUGGUACAACAGAAAGUGUCAGGUUUUGUGACCUUCGCUUGGUUGCUUCGGUCACUAGUGAGGAUAAGUACGUAAAUGAAUAGAGACAGAGAAGCAAACACAGGAUGUACGUGGUUCACCCAGAUUGGCUACGUCCACGGAGUAGAGGAGUUCUUAUUAGUAGUGAAGGGCUUACACAAGUACAAAGGAUCAAGCUCUCAAUUUAGUGAGUUCUUGUGAAUGAUUUAACACAAAAUGGCAUUAGGCAAUAUUGUGGGGGAAUGACCCCUAUUUAUAGAAAAACUUGUAGCUUUGUCACAUUGACAUGUGUCAUGUUAUGAUUGGUUCUUGAUGUCGACACGUGCUGCGCUCUGAUUGGCUUCUAAUCUUGACACGUGUCGAGUAGUGAUUGGCCUCCUGGUCGGAGGGGAACUCUUCUGGGUCCUUGACAGUAUAGCGUUGGCCGGUGCUCGGUAGUUUCGGGAUUGGUCAAGUAUGGUACAAACAGAAUCCAUACUUGAUCGUUGUCUCAAAAUCAUUUCCAUCUCAUGAGAUUAAUCUGGAUUACUCUUAAGACUUCAAGUUCUUAGUCCAGUAUACUAGUUUGGAUAAGCUAAAUGGAAUUGAACUAAGAUUACCAUCAAUGAUGUUUUCACUUACAUGGUAGCUACUGAAGUAAAUGAAAAGCGACGAUAUCGAACCGUGUUCCAUUGAUUAAGUGACAACGUAUAACUGAUUGGACAACCGAAAUUACAAUCCAAGUCAAAUUCCUUACCAAAGUGUGUUUUGGACCUGUCGUUCCUACACUACCCAAGGUAACCCUAUUGUGUUACAAGUAGGAAAGGAAGCGUUAUGACAUGACUGAAAUAGUGUGAUAUGAUGCAUGCCUUACGGUGCAAGGUUUCUCUCAAACGUCAUGUGAUUGAUAGCAGCAUUAUGAAAUUUGGUUAGUGUUUUCUCCAUGGGGAUAUAGAUACGGAGAUUAGCAUGUAAGUUCUCGAAGAAUUACAUGAAUUGGUUCAAAAAGUUCCAAAACCAUGGAACACCCUCUUAACUUGUUUGAGGCAUUCACUUACAAUCCGACGGAUGUGGUUUACCCGUCUAAAUGAUUAUUUGAUCGGUCGGGGAUAAAUUAUGCUCUUAUGUGUUAAAAAUAUGAAGUCUUAUUCUGAAUUGCUAAAGUUACAAUUUAUGUUGUUGACACAAAUCUCACUAAGACUCUAGAAGAGCUUGAGAAAACUGCCUCGCACUUGAAGAUGAAAUUUGAGAUGAAGGAUCUUAGGAAAACUCGUUUAUGCUUUGACUUAAAGUUCAAAACAUUAUUCUGACGGUAUUUUGGUCUACCAAUCUAACUACACCCCGAAUGUGUUACCUUUGAGUAUACCUAUGAUCGUCCAUAUGUUAUAUGCAAAUGAGACCCUUGAAGAGGUUAUGGAAUCCGAAAUUCCAUAUUUGAGUUCAACUUUGCGCUUUGUUGUACUUAGCUCAUUGUAUUUAGAUAGGACAUCUACUUUGCUGUUGAUCUUGGUAAAGAUGCAGCACUACACCUACAUGCAACCAUUGAAUUGAUAUUAAAGACGUACCCUAAAGGUACUACGAAUUUGGGCAAUUCAAAUCUCAUUGCAUCUCGAACGGAUCCAACCCCCUAAUCCUCAUAAUGAUGAUGGUUACUUAUCAAAACCGCACAAGGAAAAAUUCCCGAAUGGUUAUGUCUUUACCAUUAAGGAUAUCGCAAUAUCUUGGAGGUCCACGAUAUGACCUUAGUUACAAAAUCUUCGAAUCAUUCCAAAAACUUGCCUCACUUCACUACGCCACACGUGAAACAUGGUUAAAAGUUCUUGUUGAGCAUAUUCGAAGUACUUGCUAUUUUCGUCCAUCAUUGAGUCCCAACAACGAUUCAUGAAGAUUAUGCUGCACGUAUCCACUCAACCAAGACAUGAUACAUCAACGAAGUCAACGCCAAGACAUAUUGUGUCUACAUCUACAUCAACAAAGCAUCAAGAGAUUGAAGUCAUGCAAGCCGAUCCCAGACAACCUUGUCCGAGGAAUUGGUAUGCCUAACUAUUCAUAUGCAAUGCUUGUAGUUCUCAUUUGGAAGUUAUGUCAAACUCAGGGGGAGUAUCCAGAAGUAUACUCACUUGAUCUUAAUGUACUCUUUUUUCCUACGAUUAGGAGCAUUUUUCCCACUGGGUUUUUGCUACCUAACUAGGUUUUAAUAAGGCAUCCAUCAUGGGCUGAUCAUACCCUUGUAAGCUAUUCUACUUGCGUCCAAAAGACUUAUAGUUUUGACUUAAUACAACUUCUCACUUUUCUCCUUAGUCUAUGGGUUAUAUCCCACCUUAGGUUUUACCAUAACGAGAUUUUGUGAGUUUUAUUUUUUUUUAUACAUUCUUCCAUUGAUUUGAGACUCGCAUUUGCUCAUUGUGUCGACGACUUCAUCAACUAUACUUGCUUGAUCACUGAAGCCAUUUACUUGAGUAUUUACACACUCAAGGGAGAGUGUUGCAGUCCUAAUGUGAUUGUGUAAAUCCUAUUAUAUCUUGGAAUAUCUCUUAUUUCUAUUAGGAGUUGAUUACCUAUUAAGAGUUGUAAUCCUAAAAUGGUAAGGAAUUAACAUUUCCUACUACUAUAAAUAAAGGCACAAUAGGGUGGAAUAGAACACACCUCACAAUUACACAUCUCUCUCUUCUCUCUACUAUUGCCGCACAUUUCUCUCUCUAUAGCCUCCAUAAUUGUUCAGUAAAUUAUACCUACAACAAAAUUAAAAUUGUUGGGUUGCAUUAUAUGUAUACAUAAAUAUAGAAUUUUAGCAAUGUAUUAACUGGGUUUUUUAGAGAGUUUCAAUAAAAAAGGUCUUAUUGUGAUAUACAUUCUAAUACGUGUGAUUGUACAAAUCAUAAAUAGAGAUGAAUUAGGAAUUCUUCGGGAUUUAGAAGAUAUUUCCUAUUAAACUUUGUAUAACCUGAAGAGCAAAGUUUCUCUCCUGCUUAUUGUUAUAAAUAAAGACACUAAGUCUGAGUAAUAACGCGCACAUAAAAUUUCUCAAACCUAUUCUCCAUCUCCCUCUCUUUUGCCGUGUUCCCUCUCUUUUUCCUCAAUUAAUCAUAGAAGAGUCUUCAUCCAAGGCAUGAAAGUUGCAGACCUCAUCGACAAAGAGAGAGAUGGAGUUUUCAUGUUUUUCUUUUUCCAUUUUUCUUAUUUUUCAAUUUUAUUAUUAUUUGGUAUUUGUGUUUUCCUUCUUAGUCAUAAUACACUCAUCAUCCAAGUCAUUUAAUGUUUAAAAAACUGCAAAUCACUCUUAAUCAAGAUCGUUAGUGUUAUAAGAUUUAAAGACUAAAAAGAAGUGUAAAAAUGUUUGUCAAAAUCGUUUUUCCCUUGAUCCAACCUUUUAAUUAUAAAUAUGUAAAUAUUAUGAUCUAAAUCUCCAAUCAUGGCAUAUCCCAAAUAGCCAGUAUAAAUAAGCAACUUAGGCCAUCAAUCAACCACAUAUUCCUUGUGGAGCAAAAAAUAAUCAAGAAAAUUAUGAAGGUGACAUGUGGACUUUUGAGGUGAAAAUGACAAAAUUACCCUUGAGGCACACCGGGACUCCCACGCGCAUGCAACGGACAAUAACGGCUCAAUCAAGGUCAAAGGUGACCUAAAUGGUAUUCUUUUAAACCCUCUCAUCACUCCUCAUCAAAUCUUCAUCCACAAGGUAACUCCCAAUUAUUCUUUUCAAAUUGGGAGUUAUUGUCAAAAUUAAUUGAUUAAUUUCCUAAUUAAUUGAUUAACAUCCAAAUUAAUUCCAAGAUAUUAUUUCACAUAAUAUCUUGCAAUCAAUCCCACAAAUCAACCAAAUGUGGCCAGUCCCAACCACACCCCUAUAUAUAGCCCUUCAUUUUCUAAAAAAAUGUAAGUCCAAUUAUUCUCCUAAAAUUCUCUAAACACUUUCUCUCUCAAAUUCUAACUUUGGCAUCGGAGAUUCUUCGGCCAAAGCCCCCACAUUCAUCGUGAGCGUGUGAGGCUCUUGACCUUGAUCUUAGGUGUUAAUUGUUUUGCAGGUGCAUUUUCGUCCAAGAAGAAGGCAUAAAUUUGCAUCCACAAAUUGGUGCUUUCAUUAUGAGUUUGAUUCACACACUCGAAAAAGACUCUCGCAUUCUACUUUUCUAAUUUUCUUCAUUCAUUCGUAGAUUUUCCCACACGUUCCUACUCCUAGAAUUUUUUUAUAUAAAUUAUUUGAAUAGCCCUCGGGAAGAAAUACGAUGACGAAAAAAUUAUGAAACAACAACAAAAGGCACUCCCUACAAAUUUAGGUUUUCACCCACUCGACGGAUCGCGGAGCAACAAUAGUUGCCACCACCCACUGCUACUGUCGUGGCCUAAUCAAGAAUCGGUGCAAUUUUUUGCAGCUAAAACCUAGCCCAUGCUGGUGUAACCUGUAGCCCAUUACCUCUAGUCCAUGCGUCGAGCCAUUUUAGCUAGGGAUGUAACUUUGGUAGGGCCAACCUGAACUCGUCCAUGUCCAACCCGACUUUAAACCCCGAACAAACAAGUUUAUUUUAGCUAUAACCCGCCCGAACCCAACCCGAUUUCAACCCGUUCAUUGAUUGGUUGAGUUGGGUUGAUCCCGAACCUAAACCGACUUUCUAAUAUAUAUAUUUUUAAUAAAUUACCCCUCUAAACCCUAAAGCUAUAUAUUAAGUUGUUAGUCUCCAAUUUCAUUAUGCGGCUUUGCAAGACUGCAACUCAGUCCCUCUGUCUUAGGUCUCAAGGCUACAAGUCUCCAUCUUUAUUUGAAAGCCCAAGAAAAUUUGUAGUUGAAGUAUGUUAAGUGGUGUUAUGACAAAUUUUAUGAAAGUAAAAAAGGUCACUGAUAUAAUUGCUAAGGUUUAAGAUUUGUCAGUGAAGCUUUAUCAAAUUUAUUUAUUAGAGAACCCACAAGCAUUGGAUACUGGUUUAUCUCAAAGUCCUAAUGUCUCAAGUUUGAAUGAAGUGGAAGAACUCAUUGAGGAAGAAAGCUCGGGUUGGGACAUUCAUAUUGUAUUUUAAUUCAAACAUUGCAUGGUUGAAACAUUCAUAUUUAGUUUAACUUUGUAACAAAUACAAUUUGAAGAAUUGAAUUUUAAUUUUGAAAAAGUUGGGCAACCCAAAUCCUCCCAUGUCCAACCUGAACCCGAUUAAACCCAAUUAAAACCCAACCCGAACCUAAGCCCAAAUUGUAAAAAUUGGGUUAGGGUUGGGUUGACCUUCCAACUCGCCCAACCCACCCGAGUUGCACCCCUAAUUUCAGCAAGCCAGUAGGCUCUAGAAAAGGCUAAGGCGCGGGCCCAAUGUUGAAAACCAUCAAAAUCCCAAUGCUUCAACUAAGCUUUCCAAGCCAUUUCCUAUCUGAGCCCAACAUUGGAUGCAACGGCUACGUGGAGGCAGUCCCAUGGUAGAAGCUACCCAGGCCUAUUCCCGCACUAACCCAAUGCGUAGAAGCCCCAGCACGCAAGCCUCAUCCGUGCGAGCCCAGUGUAAGAAGCCCAUUAAGCGUGAGCCAUGCUCCAGUGCAUCAGGACCUCUCAUAUGCAAACCCAGUGCGUUGUUCCAUCUUGCAGCCACUUGGGCCAAGCUACAUAGCCCAAUCCAACAAAGCCCAAUUGGACAACUAAGGAGGUAGGCCCUAGCGCAAUCAACGCGGGUCAAGUUGACCUAGAUUCGCUCCCACACGCCCAUGAUCUAGAUCCACUACUCCUAGCGCCCAUACAAGCCUAUUUUUGGAUAUUUCGAACCAUUUUUCAAUGUUUCGGACCCCUUGUUUGAUGUUUCAGACCCUUUUUUUCGGUGUUUUUUUAUGUAUAUUUGGCUCAUUGAAGCUCAAAAUAUCGUGCCCGAAAUCUAUUACACUUCUACUACUCAAGGAGACGCAUACCUUCGAAGCUCUUCCAACCCAAAUGACGAACUUUUCCAGCAGCGUCCAUGCAAGCAGCCCUUCGACUAGCCAAGAACCGAGCAUUCGAGCAAUGUACACUCCCGACUAGGCCCUAGAGAUAAUGUAUACUCUUGUCUUAGCACACAUAAGAGUUUGCAUUCUCAGUUAGGCCCACGAACGAGCAUACACUCACAGUUGGGGCCACACUCUGAUAAUCAACAUGAGCAACCUUCCAAGCGAAGUGUUCAUUUGCAGCUAAGCCUACAAGGAGCAUCAUCCACCUCACAUCGAAGUAAGCAGCAUGAUAGACGGAGAUAAACAGUCACUGAAUCCAGCUCAAGUUCAACCUGCAGCCUGCAAGGAAUUCACUCGCCUGUUAAGAACAUACCACAUGCACCGCAACAUAGACGAGCCGAACACAUAGAAGAACAGCCUAGACCAGCAGCUCACGACUAGGGGAAGCCGAGAGCUCCCCUACCCCCAACGAAAGUAAAUUCAGGAAGAAGUAUAGAGGCUCCUAACCAAGCGAUUGCAUGAUUUCCAACACAACGAGGUCAUUGACGAGGCACUACGAAAGGACAUGACCAAUAUAAAUAGAUCACCCUUCAUGGACGAGAUCGAGCAGGCAAAGCCUUCACACAAAUUCAGGAUACCACAUUUCAUAUCAUUCAAAAGAGAUGGAGACUCGAAAAGGCACUUAAAGCACUACUGGAGUGCAAUGAUCUUCUAUCGAAACAACGACGCUUUUAUGUGCAAAAUAUUUGCCACCAUUUUACAAGGCAAGGCGUAAGAUUAGUUCCAUACCUUGGCUUCACAAUCUAUCUAGAGUUUCGAUGAGCUUUCUUUGGUUUUCACCAAGGAGUAUUCAUCUUAUCGCUCGAUCAAGAAGAAGUCUGACCACUUGUUCAACAUCAAGAAACACCCAAAAGAGUCGCUUCGUAACUAUGUGAAGAGGUUAAAAAUAGAGAAGGCUAAGAUAGUCGAAUGCAACGACUCGAUAGUUAGAGCAACCUUCCAAAAAAGACUCUGAGCAGACCCUUUCGCUCGGGCAAAAAAGCAUGCAUUUUGGGAUGAGGCUUGCAGAUACACAUUAAGGACUUGAAUAAGUACCUAACAUCACAUUCCUACUAUCCAAACCAGAAGCAAUGGUUGACCUAUUCACAUGUUUGAUGGUAUUUGAAGCAGCAAUAAGCUCUACCCUCAUACAAGAAGAGUUGGGGGGCCGAUAUUCCACAGUUCAAAAGCUCUCCUCGAUGCAGAAACCAGCUACCAGAAAUUCAAAAGCUAACUUUGGCGCAUGCAGUCAUCCUCAUAAUACAUUAUUCCACCCAAUCCAGACGCGCGAUGAUAAAGGCACAGAAAAUGACAGAUGUAAAGUUUUCUGACGAACGCAACAACUCAGCCUAAAAGGCGCGCCAAGGGCAGAUGAACACUAGAAGGACACACUCGAAAGCAAGUUUUAUCUUCGUCACCCUAGAAGAUUCUACAUAGGAGCAACACGUACCGACAGUUGAGCACCACCUCCUGCUGCGCGUCACCCCAGCCGACCCUUGCUCUAUAAUUCAGCUCUAGAAUAGCCCAAUGCCAACAGGGGAGCAUAUUUUGUUGCGUGUAACAUGGCCCUAGCUCUACGGCUCCCUACCACACCUUUAAUUUUAGCCUAGGUGACGCAACAGAGCGACCUAACAACGCCUCAUAAGCAACCGAGCAUGCCCUAGCCACGCCUGCUUCACCCAAUGGAGAUUUCUAGCAUUUGCUUGUUGACGACGCAUUGAACUACAAGGGAUCGGGAGCAGGUGUGGUCCUUGUCACCCCAGACGGUUUAGGGGUAAAAAAGCUUGCAAUUCAUUCUGAUUCCCAGCUAAUCACCAUCCAGACUACUGGGGAGUACACGGCAAAACAUUCAAAGAUGGCGCAAUACCUAGAGAAUGUAUGAAAGCAACUUGAGACAUUUCAGACAUACAUACUCACUCGAGUUCCGUAGGCAGACAACGCUCAUACGGACGCGCUAGCCGGCCUAGGCUCCGCCCUCGACCACCAACGUAAACGUUAUAUUCCGAUAGAGUAUAUUGACAAGCUAAGCAUAGAGGCGGAGCCAACAACUGAGGUGUCACAGUUUAGUAUAACUCCAAACUGGCAAGAUUCCAUUAUAGACUACAUAGUCAAUUGCACACUCCCCAUGGAAAGAUUGGAGUUUACAAAGCUCCAAACAAAGGUAGCACGCUACUACAUGUGGAACGACAUUUUUGUCCGAAGAUCCUACAUUGGACCACAUCUCCGCAGCCUAGUGCCUCUUGACGACAUAAAGGUUCUAAGCUCAAUCCACGAAAACGUUUGUGGAAAUCACUUCGGAGGUCGAUCCUUAACACAGAAAACUCUAAACGUAGGCUACUACUGGCCUACUAUGCAUCAAGACGCUAAGGAUUUAGUACAAAAGUGCGACCACUACUAACGCUACAAGUUGGUACCAGCAUUGCUUGCCAGCGAACUACACCUGCAGAUGAGUCAUUGGUCGUUCAUGCAGUGGGGAAUUAACUUGGUAGGGACAAUGCCGCCUGCUACUAAGGGCUGAGGCAUGAUGAUUGUGGCAACUGAUUACUUCACCAAGUAAGUGGAAGCAAAGCCCAUGACAACCACAACUUAGAUGGACAUAAAGCACUUCAUAUGGAGGAACAUUAUUUGCCGAUUUGGCAUCCCUCAAUCCAUCGUCACAGACAACGGCCCGCAAUUCUUAGGCAAAGAUUUGGCGAAGUUCUUCCUGAAAUAUGGCAUCAAGCAACGCAUGUCCACGCCGAGGUAUCCCCAAGGCAAUGGGCAAGCCAAACCAUCCAACAAGAUGAUUCUCGACUACUUCAAGAAAUUCCUCUCCAACAAGAAGGGAAAAUGGCCAGACGAACUUCCCGGAUGUCUAUAAGUGUAUUGCACAACCAAACGACAAGAAACCAGUGAGACUCCUUUCUCUUUGGCAUUUGGUUCAUAAGAAAUCAUUCCUCUCAAUGUCGUCGUGCCAUGUAUCAGUACUCUACUGCCAAGCAUCAAGCAGAACAGAAAAGAUAUGGCCACAAACUUAAAUCUGGCAAAGGAGAAACCCGAGAAGGUCAUCACCGCAUCGCAACCUACCAGGACUAAGAUUCGGCAGUUCCAGUCUGGAGAUCUAGUCCUAAGUAAAGCCUUCAUCACUGCCUACAGAGAAUGCCCCAAAAAGAUGGAACGCCUACAAUCUGAGGAAGUACCAUGCAUGACCUUCCACUAAAUCAAAGCCCGAAGAUGCCCCAAAAAGAUGGAACGCCUACAAUUUGAGGAAGUACCAUGCAUGACCUUCCACUAAAUCAAAGCCCGAAGACUCAAGCAGCUCAACGAGCACCACCUCGCAAGCCGAAGACUAUCCAGUUGUUAUGCAGCCUUUACCUUACAGUUAAGUUUUCGUUUGUUUUACUUGUUUUUCAAUGAGGAAUUACAUGCGGGGACAUGGUGUUGGCUGCAGGCCAGGAGAAAUAAUCCCUGGCUUUUGGCCGAGGGCCAUGGAGCAGGCAUUGGGCGAGGAGAAAUAAUCUCUGGCUACGGGCGCAAAAACUUAGGAAUGGGCAUUGGGCCGGGAGAUAUUAUUAUUUGAUACCACUAUUUAGCACACUAUAUACAAGAUAUGCUUUAUGAGAUGUUUUAUGGCAUGCUAGGGUUUUCGAAAAACCUACCACUUAUUAUGCUAUUAGUUUUCAUAAAACUUUGGGGGUUAGUAUGUUGAUAACUGUUUCAGUAUAUUAUAUAUAUAUCAACUUGGUCCACUCAUGUUUGUUUUGCGCCCCCUCAGGACUUAGAAUCGAGGAGUACGAUCCCAAAAUCAAGGUACUUCCACGUCGGCUUCUUCGAGUCCUCUCGGUGUAGGACCCACUCAUUUGUUCAUUCAACUUUUAUAUUAAUUCUUUUAGUGUUCUAGAUUAGAUGUGUGCUCUGAAUACGUUCUUCAUUCGUAUAUUAAUUUUAUUUAAAUUCUUUUACCUUAUUUACAUUUUAGUUCUCAUGUUUUCAAUAAAUGGCUUUCGUUACCUUCGGGUGUCGGUCAACACGUACCUACCUUGGUAUUCAAGGAAUAUCAAGAUCAGAGCAUGUCACGUCUCUUAAGAUAUUUUGAAUGUGUUUAAAAAUAGAGAAAUUGAAUUACAUUAUUGUUAGCCUAUUGUGAGGUACUACAACAACAACAAAGCAUUUUCCCACUAAGUGGGGUCGACUAUAUGAAUCCUAGAACGCCAUUGCGCUCGGUUUUGUGUCAUGUCCUCCGUUAGAUCCAAGUACUCAAGUUUUUUCUUAGGGUCUCUUCCAAAGUUUUCCUAGGUCUUCCUCUACCCCUUCGGCCCUAAACCUCUGUCCCGUAGUCACAUUUUCGAACCGGAGCGUCAGUAGGCCUUCUUUGCACAUGUCCAAACCACCGUAACCGAUUUUCUCUCAUCUUUCCUUCAAUUUCGGCUACUCCUACUUUACCUCGGAUAUCCUCAUUCCCAAUCUUAUCCUUUCUCGUGUGCCCACACAUCCCACGAAGCAUCCUCAUCUCCGCUACACCAUUUUGUGUACGUGUUGAUGCUUCACCGCCUAACAUUCUGUGCCAUACAACAUCGCUGGCCUUAUUGCCGUCCUAUAAAAUUUUCCCUUGAGCUUCAGUGGCCUACGACGGUCACACAACACGCCGGAUGCACUCUUACACUUCAUCCAUCCAGCUUGUAUUCUAUGGUUGAGAUCUCCAUCUAAUUCUCCGUUCUCUUGCAAGAUAGAUCCUAUGUAGCGAAAACGGUCGCUUUUUGUGAUCUUCGCUAGCCUGCUCCGGUCAUUAGUGUGGAUAAGUAUAUAAAUGGAUAGAGAUAGGAAAGCAAACACAAGAUGUACGUGGUUCACCCAGAUUGGCUACGUCCACGGAAUAGAGGAGUUCUCAUUAAUUGUGAAGGGUUUACACAAGUACAUAGGUUCAAGCUCUCCUUUAGUGAGUACAAGUGAAUGAUUUAGUACAAAUGACAUUAGGAAAUAUUGUGGGAGAAUGAUCUCGUAAUCACGAAACUUCUAAGUACCGGAGUGUGGUAUCGUCUUGACUUGCCUUAUCUGUCUCAUAGGUAGAUGUGGCAUCUUCUCUCGAAGUACUCUUCCUCCAUCCAUGGGUGGUAUCUUUAACUGGUGGAGAUGCACAAGGUAAUGUAUCAAUUUCACUUGAAGCUUACUUGUAGUUUCAGGCUUGGUCAAGCGCGAUACAAACCAUGUAGUAGGAGUCCCCCAAGUCGCCGAGCUAGGGGAUCUGCUGAAAGAGGUGACAGACAAGGUAAGCAAUCAGAGCUCCGGCUGAUUGUUCACAUUCUCCCUAUCUUGCAGGCAGCAUGAAGGAUAAAGAGAAGAAAAAUGAGAAGAGAUGAUAUGGGAUACUUUUGCUUUUGAAGAAGUAACUUUCCACAGGCUUAUUCUUGAACUGGGCUGGAGGGUUUUCUGGUUUCCUCCAGAGUAUAAGGCCGACUGAAGAAUUUGAGGGUCAAAACAAGUCCAUCAAAUCUAGAGUACGUUCGACCCUGCUGAUAUGGGAUACUUUUGCUUUUGACAGAGUAGUGGAUGUAUCGGCACAUGUGCUGUUACGCUUGUCUCCACAUGCUUCCUUGUAUCCUUCUCACUUGCCCUAUAUGUUCCUCAGGCAGAUGCGGUAUCUUCCCUGGAAGCAUAAGAUGUUGAAGAUGAGUACUCGAGAGCAAUGCCAGGUAAGUAAUCAGGUAAGGGGUUCCAGGCAGUCAGUUCUUGGUUGGAAGCUUGAUUCCAAGUGCUGACUGAUUGCUCUCUUUCUCCUUGUCUUGCAGGUAAGAACAAGGCCAAAGGAAAAGACAGGGAAAAAGCAUGAUAUGGGAUACUCUUGCUUUUAACCCUGAUGAUAUGAGAUAUUCUUGCUCUAGUAUAGCUUGUUUGCAGAGGUAUUAUCGGGGGGAAAGAAAGCUGAAUAUUUCGAAAGGCUUCGUUGGGAGUGCCCUCUCAGAUAAGAGGAAGGGUUGAGCAUUUUUGCAGGUCUGCCUGUCUGUUGGGGAUGGAGGUCGACAUAUAUAGGAGUCUCCCUAACAUCAAGUAAUAAUGCUAUUCCUUUACCCUGCUUGGUCAUAGCACGGUAGUGGGAGCUGCCAGCUUCACAUGUUUUAACUCUGUCAGAGCACUUUGAAAAAGUGGUUUGCCUCUUCGGUUUUCGAACAAGCAAUCCUGUCGGGGAUCUGGCUCUCGAGAUUCGGAGAACGAUGCCUUUUCGAUUUUUGAGAAAGCAAUCCUGUUGGGGGUCUGGCUCUCGAGAUUCGGAGAGCGGUGUCUCUUCAAUUUUUGAGAAAUUAAUCAUGUUGGGAGUCUGGCUAUCGAAAUUCGGAGGGCGGUGCCUCUUCGAUUUUGGAGCAAGCAAUCUUGUUGGAGUGUUUUCUCGAAUGUGAGUAAAGGUUGGGCAUGUUUGCUAGUCUACCUUGCCACGAAGCACAGAGGUUGACACACAGGGACUUUCCAAUUAUCCAGCAGUGGUACUGUUCCUUUACCCUCUCUUCGAUUUUUGAGAAAGUAAUCAUAUUGGGAGUCUGGCUCUCGAGAUUCGGAGGGCGGUGCCUCUUCGAUUUUGGAGCAAGCAAUCUUGUUGGGAGUGUUUUCUCGAAUGUGAGUAAAGGUUGGGCAUGUUUACUAGUCUACCUUGCCACGAAGCACAGAGGUUGACACACAGGGACUUUCCAAUUAUCCAGCAGUGGUACUGUCCCUUUACCCUCUCUUCGAUUUUUGAGAAAGUAAUCAUGUUGGGAGUCUGGCUCUCGAGAUUCGGAGGGCGGUGCCUCUUCGAUUUUGGAGCAAGCAAUCUUGUUGGGAGUGUUUUCUCGAAUAUGAGUAAAGGUUGGGCAUGUUUGCUAGUCUACCUUGCCACAAAGCACAAAGGUUGAUACACCGGGACUUUCCAAUUAUCCAGCAGUGGUACUGUUCCUUUACCCUUGUGGGUAAUAAUAUGGUAGCUAGACCUUCAAAAUUUAUGUGUCUAAACUUUGUUAGUGUUGUUUCUUUGUUAUUCUUUUACCCUUCUUGGUCAGAGCGAUGUAGUGGGAGCUGCAAGCUUCACGUGUCUCAACUUUGUCAGUUAACUUUGGCAAAGUUAUCUGUGGUACCCAUGAGCUACUGUUGCGUGUGGGAAGUGGGUGAUUGAACAGUACGAUUCAUGUGCUUUCUACUUCACCAGAAAUUUUCGACAGAAUGCCCAUAAUUUCCGCAAAGCUGAGUGUGUGUGUGACAGGUGAUGACAAGGCUGAAAAAGUAGGUGCCUCUUCGAUUUCUGAGAUCGGCCCUCGUGGUCUCUGAGCAGCCCAGCUUUUGAGAAAGCAAGCCUCUUCGAUUUCUGAGAUCGGCCUUCGUGGUCUUUGAGCAGCCCAGCUUUUGAGAAAGCAAACGCCUCUUCGAUUUCUGAGAUCGACCCUCGUGGUCUCUGAGCAGCCCAGCUUUUGAGAAAGCAAACGCCUCUUCGAUUUCUGAGCAGGCGCCUCUUCGAUUUCUGAAGCUUCGUCGAGUGCAGAUUUUUAUAGGGGCUGGCAUUAAGUUCCAAAGCACACUUGAAUCUCCACUAGUAGAAGCUCUAUUCUUGCACUUCUAAGAUCUUGAUUUGUCCGACCUCUUCUCUCUUCAACACCUUUGAAAAUGUAUGGCCCCUCCGACCGUCGUUUUGACUUGAACCUUGUUGAAGAGGCAGCCUCGCCUUCUCUAGACAACAUAUGGCGCCCAUCCUUCGUCUCCUCUACUGGUCCUCUUACCGUUGGGGAUUCCGUGAUGAAGAAUGAUAUGACCGCUGCGGUAGUGGCCAGGAACCUUCUCACUCCCAAAGAUAACAGACUACUUUCCAAACGGUCUGAUGAGUUGGCUGUUAAGGAUUCUCUGGCUCUCAGUGUUCAGUGUGCAGGUUCUGUGUCUAAUAUGGCCCAACGCCUAUUUGCUCGAACCCGCCAAGUUGAAUCAUUGGCGGCUGAAGUGAUGAGUCUCAAACAGGAGAUUAGAGGGCUCAAGCAUGAGAAUAAACAGUUGCACCGGCUCGCACAUGACUAUGCUACAAACAUGAAGAGGAAGCUUGACCAGAUGAAGGAAUCUGAUGGUCAGGUUUUACUUGAUCAUCAGAGAUUUGUGGGUUUGUUCCAAAAGCAUUUAUUGUCUUCGUCUUCUGGGGUUGUAACGCGUAAUGAAGCUCCAAAUGAUCAACCUCUGAUGCCUCCUCCUUCUAGGGUUCUAUCCAGUACUGAGGCUCCGAAUGAUCCCCUCCGGUGCCUUCUCUUUCUGGGACUCUACCGACUGCUGAGACUUCUCCUAAGCAACCUUUGUGAAGGCUCCCUCUUGUUUGUUUAUUUUGACUCAUGUAUAUGUACAUAUUUUUAACUUAUCGGGGAUAUCAAUAAAUAAGCUUUCCUUCAUUUCAACGUAUUGUGUUAAAUACACCAAAGUCUUCUUCGCUAAGUUAUUUGAAUUUUCUUUCGUUGAAGCUUGUAUGUUGAAGCUUGUAUCCGAACGCAGAUUGAUGAUUUAUGAUGGAAGAUGAUCCUCUCGAAAAUACUAAUGCCUUAUUUGAUGCAUUAUUUUGGGAUGCCCUUGAAGUUUUUUUUUUUUUAUCUUGAAGGCAUUUUUGUUCAAAAUUUUUUGUUGAAGCUUGGUAACACCAAAAUCACUAUUCACCUUUGUAUUAGCGUUAUAUAUAAAAUGUUUAAUAGAGGAUGAUUAUCUACCCUCAUAAUCUCUCUACCCUUCCAUGCCCUUUAUUUGAACGGUCACGGUUAAAUCACGUCAACAUCUUAUAUUAAUUUUUUUAUAGAGAUAAUAAGAUAAAAAAUAAUAUGUAAGAUGAGGGAAUGAAAGGAGAUGUGAAUAAAAGGGUAAAGAAUCCUCCUUCAUGUUAAUAGUCACAGUCAGUCAGUCAGUCAUCACCCUGUCCUCUGCCUGCCUCCUGUCAACCCUUUUCAUAUAAUCCGGCACAGGAGAUCUCAAAGUUACAGCUAACGUUGGCGUGGCACCAUUUGUCUAAAGUGUGAAGUCAUAAAGUUGUGAAACGUGUCCUUUAUUGCUUUUUGCUAAAUGUGAAUCAUGACCUGAGGAAAAAAAAAAAAUUCCACCGAUCCAAUAAUACCACCACAUGUAUGAAAUUAACUUACUAAUGAAAACAAAUAUUACCAACUUUUUACUAUUUUCUGGUCCCCAAAAGAACUAUUCUUACAUGAAAAGUCGUUGAUAAGAUGUAUUGAGGAAAGCCCUUAGAUUAGCUUAGAAGGAAGUACUUAGUCUAAAGUUCAAUGUAGGUUAAGUCGGACUCUGCUGAAUUUGCCAUUAAUACUGGGUACGGUGGUAUUUUUCUAGUAAAGAGUAAUGGUGUUAUUUUACUUGAACGAUAGUAAAAUGGAGUCAUUGGUAGAAGCGUGGUCAAUAAAAGUUGUUAACUACAGUUGGAAAGUCAAAAGUAAUUAGGAUUUGAUACUCAGUAAUUAUAUCCAAUUUCUAAACUACAGUCGGAAAGUCAAGAGUAAUUAUUUUUUUUAAUGAUUUAUUUUAUAUAUUAUUUCUUAAUGGCACAAGUGGAUUGCCACGUCAGCAAAUAUAUGGACCCUCCAUUUGCUAAAUCAUCACUUAAUGGUCAGUUUGACAGAAUCACUAUCGGAUAUAUGACAUUGCAACGAAUUCAUAAGUUAAGGUAUGACAUUGCAAUGUUUAAAACAUGAUGUAUGAAAUUAUGGUGCAACCCAUAUUUGAGGUAGUUUUGUGUAAUUUACCCUUAUAUUUUUUGUGGUGUACGAUUUUCUUCCUUCCACAUUCCUCCCCCUCCCUCCCCUUCUCUCUUUCCUUUUUGUCUCUCUCUAAAAAAAAGUCAACACAACGUGACUUAAUUAUGGUCAUUCAAAUAGGAGGUGAGGAAGGAGAUGAGAGAAUCUUAUUCUAUUUUUCAUACCAUAUUUGUACUACCUCUCUAAUAAAGGUAGGAUCAACCAAUACAAAUGGUUCUCACCUCUAUUAGAAGAAUUAUACUAAUAUGAUAUAAAAAUCUACUAUUUUUUAUAAAAUAAUGUACACUCCUAUCCUUGUUUUAAUGUAAAAUGACAUACAACUACUCCAAAUAUCGAUAACAUUAAUGAUAUAAACCCCUAUUCUAGAGCUGGCCAAUAUUCUACACUCUAAAGGCGUCUCCAUAACUAUUAUCCACACCCGUUCCAACUCCAUCAACCUUUCAGCUCUAAACAUAGAAAAAUCCUACUUUUUCAACCACAAGUCACAACUAGUUAUCCGAAAUCACCAAACCCCAAUUGGAGCACAUAAGCCAAAUUCAAAAUCAAUGCACCAAUUUGUCUUCACUCUUAAAGGUUUAAUGUUUAAUAGUCACAGUCAGUCGGCCAGUCACCACCCUGUCCUUUGCCUACCUCCGAUCGUUGGUGGCACCAUUUGUUUAAUGUGUACCAUUUGUUUAAUGUGUAUUGAGAGCAACUCCACUGUGGGUUGCUGCUCGGGGGACAGUGGACCAAACAGGGCAUGAUAGCCUGGUUGAAGCCCUCCAGCGUGGGGAGCCCAAGGGACUAGGCCGGCCCGAGCAACAGGCUUGUGAGGAAUCGCUAGCCCGCAAGCCCGAGGUGGACCUGACUCAGGGCUGACGUUAGCCUAGCGUCAGUCUCAUUUUUAAUUUUUUUUCUGUCAGGCGCGUGCGCCUCACCUGCGCGUGGGGGCGAGUCAGCCGACAAAUUUCAGACCCCAGGGGCCCGCGAUGCAGUCUGCCUACCGUUGGGAAGCCACGUGGCUUCCCACGGUCCGUUCGAUCUCAACGGCUCUUUAAAAUAGGCCGUUCGAUUUGCAACGGUAAUAAAAAUAAAAUAAAAAAACUUAUUUAAUAUCAACCAUUGGAUCUGAGAUCGACGGUUGAUAUUAUUCUGAUUUAUAAAUAAAUAAAUAAAUGAAAAAUAGUUUUAAAAUUUUAAAAAGUUACUGUUGUGACACAUGGCACAAUCUGGAGUGUUGGAAUUCAAUUUUUUUUUAAAUCCAACGACAGAGAUUAAUUAGUUCAAUAAAAAAUUUAAAAAAUUGUAAAAAAUCUGAAUUUUUUUAAAAAAAAUUGUUUUUACUUUUCUAUAAAUACUUCUCAUUAUCAUCUACCUUACACCACAAUUUCAUAUUUUCUUAACUACUUUCAAUCAAAUUCCUAUCUUUCUCUCAAAGUUUCAAUCCAUUUUUUUUCAACAAAAUGACUACUACUGCAGGUACGAAUUGGUCGCUUCUUGAAGAUGUUGCGUUGUGUACUAGCUGGGUUGAAGUUACUCAUAGUUCGCUUAUGGGUAAUGAGAUGCAGUUGCGAGAAAUGUGGAGUCUUAUUCAUGCUACGUGGCAUGCCGUCAUUUGUUAAAAAUCUGAUGGAAAUCUAUCCUCAAAUAUUGUAAACAAAUUAUGACACGUGGCGCGACGUGAUUGGUUAAUAAUCUUAUCUGAAAUCCAUCACCAAUAAUUGUAUUUUUGGAUAAUGACACGUGACGCAAUGAGAACGAUUAAAAAUCUUAUCGGAAAUCCAUCACCAAUAAUUGUUUUUUCGGAUUAUGACACGUAGCGCAACGAGAACGAUUAAAAAUCUUAUCCGAAAUUACAAAUAAAAUUAUUUUGUAUUAUUUUAUUACCUAUAGCCAAGGGGAGGGCUCCCACACUGGAGGUGCAAAAAGCAGUUACUGUUCAUUAAGGGGAGUUACUGUUCACCUCCCACGCUGGAACUGCUAAGAGGAAAGCCUCUGAAUUGGCUUAGAAGAAAGUAUUUGGUCGAAAUUUCAAUGUAAGUCAAGUUAGAUUUGAUUGAAUUCGCCAUUAAUAUUAGGUACGGAAGGUAUUUUCUUAGUAAAAAGUAAUGUUGUCAUUUUACUUGAGCAUUAGUAAAAUGGAGUCAUUGAUAAAAACGCGGUCGGUAAAACUGGUCAAAGCGUGAGCACGUAUAAGCCGAACCACAGAUUAACAGCAGUUUACAAAUGUUUGUAAACUAUGGUUGGAAAGUCAUGAGUAAUUAGGAUUUGAUACUCAGUAAUGAUCCAAUCUGCAUAGCCAACGAAAUCUUACAUCAUCAAGAUUAAGUAGGAAUUGUUGGAAUAUAAUCAUGAUGAUGUUAGCUUUACUAUAUAUGUAUUUGAUGUAUGGAGGUGCACCAUAAGAAUGGUGUAUAAGAGGUAUGACUUAAUAAGGGUUAUACCAUUCUAUAAGUGAACUGUCUUAUCAUGAAGGGAUAAAACCAUUCAGAGAAGUUUCACAACUCUCUAAAAAUGGUACGAUGAAGUCUAUAAAGGGAGGAUUCAUUUCUCAAACAAAUCAAUCCAACGUGAAAUGCAUUUUCUCUUCUUCCCGUUGGUGUUCUAUUUCUCCUUUGGCACUACCGCAUAGUAAUCAAUAGUCUAACGACAUUAGAGAUUGAUCUUGUGAUCCAUCAAAUUGUACAUUGAAAAGUAUUAGUGAGGGGGUCCCUAUGAUUUGCACGUGAUGUUUACUGACCAAAUGGUGAAUGCAAGAAAUGUGAGUGAUGUUUGGAAGGUAGGGCUGCAGUUGAGCAUGGAAUUGAGAGAGGUGAGGUUGAAAGAACAAUUAGAAGACUGAUGGUUGAGAAAGAAGGGGAAGAGAUCAAAGGGAUUGAAUUAAAGUGGAUGGAAAAAAGCAAAUCAUUGCCUCAAAGAGGUGGCUCUUCCUACCAAUCUUUGGAUGGCUUGGUUAAACACAUCUUAUCAUUAUAAAUCGUUUGUUUAAGAAACUCAGUAUGAAGUAUUCAAUAAAAUUAAAAUUAAAAUAAACCGACAUAUGGUUAAUCAAAAUAUCAAUAAUAUUAAUGAUAUAAAUAAUAAUCGUGGAUCCAUGAAAUAUUAAUGUAAUUAUCAGUAUCAUUAGACAUGUGACGUAACGAGAUAACAUAACCUAAAUUGCACUCCUUUUUAUAAAGUCAUGAAGUUGUGAAACUUUUUUUUUUUUUUUCUGUUAAAGGUUAAACGCUUAACUUGAGGUAAAACAACAGUUUCCACUGACCCAAUAAUCUAUAUAUACAUGAAAUUCAUAAGCAAAAACUAACAUUCUUUGACCAAAAAAAAAAAAGCAAAAAUAAACAUUCUCGAUUCAAAAAUGGAACAAAGCAAAGGCAGGAGAGUGAUCAUCUUCCCACUGCCGUUUCAAGGCCACAUAAAUUCUAUGCUAGAACUGGCCAACGUUCUACACUCCAGAGGCUUCUCCAUAACCAUUAUUCACACACGCUUCAACUCCCUCAACCCUUCUACCCUAAACCCACAGUUCACGUACCAUUCAAUCCCUGUCGACUUCUCCGAAACCGAGGCCGCCUCGAGGGAUCCCAAAGGUUUUCUUUAUCUUCUCAAUGUUAGAUGUGUCGAGCCUUUCAGAGAAUGCUUGGCCGGAUUGUUAUCGGAUGACGUUAAGUUGGAAGGCCCCGUUGCUUGCUUGAUCUCGGACACUCUCCUUCACUUCACUCGACCCAUUGCGGAGAGUUUUAAGCUUCCGAGGAUCUUGUUGGAUGUCUCGUGCGCCACUAAUUUUGCCGUUUUGGCUGCGUUUCCGCUUCUCAAGGAAAAGGGUUACCUGCCAAUACAAGGUACAUCAGAUAUAUGCUUCUUUCUUUCUAUGUUGGUUACAACAAAAUAACUCAAUACCACUAUUAGUUGCACAAAAUAGAGUUGCUAAAUUUAUUUAUUUUUUGACACAGAUAGUGCUUUUAUCGGAAUAAUUGUCAAAUAUUACAAAAUGUCUUUUUACUCGCCAUUGGUACCUAGUAUUACUAAUUCACUGGUUAUAAACACGAGUGGACUGAUGAUAAUAUACAAAUACUUGAACAACUUAUAUUUGGCUUUCUAUUAUAUUGGCAAUAAUUAGAUUCUCGACUAGAAGAGGUAAUCACAGAACUAUCACCUAUCAAAGUUAAAGACCUGCCAAAGGCGCCCGGUUCCGAUCCUGAGAAUUAUUAUCAACUGGCCAUCCAAGUGUCAAAUGAACCAAAGUCUUCUUAUGGACUCAUCUUAAAUACAUUUGAAGAUCUUGAAGGACAUGCUCUGGCCAGAAUCCGCCGACACCUGCCCAAUGUUCCCAUUUUCCCAAUAGGUCCAUUUCACAAGUGUUGCCGUACAAUAUCCUCUUCAAGUAGUUUAUUGGCACAAGAUCAGAGUUGCAUUUCAUGGCUGAACACUCAAGCGCCAAAAUCUGUUGUUUAUGUUAGCUUUGGGAGCAUUAUACAGAUAGAGGAAGCUCAAUUUUUGGAGAUAGCUUGGGGGCUGGCCAACAGCAAUCAACCCUUUUUGUGGGUUGUUCGACCCGGGUUGGUUAACGGGUUUGAUUGGCUCGAAGCGUUACCUAACGGGUUUUUAGAAGCAUUGAACGGGAGAGCUUACAUUGUGAAAUGGGCUCCACAAAAAGAAGUAUUGGCCCACCUAGCAGUUGGAGUCUUUUGGACUCACAAUGGUUGGAAUUCUACAAUAGAGAGCAUUUGUGAAGGGGUCCCUAUGAUUUGUACGCCAGGUUACAUUGAGCAAAUGCUGAUUGCAAGAAAUGUGAGUGAUGUUUGGAAGGUAGGGCUGCAGUUGGAGCAUGGGAUUGAGAGAGGUGAUGUUGAAAGAACAAUUAGAAGACUGAUGCUUGAAAAAGAAGGGGAAGAGAUCAAAGAGAGAUCCUUAAAGUUGAUGGAAAAGGCAAAUCGUUGCCUCAAAGAAGGUGGCUCUUCGUACCAAUAUUUGGAUGGCUUGGCCAAGCACAUUUUAUCGUUAUAAAUCGUUUGUGUAAGAAAUUAAGUGGUAUUGCAAGUAGCCAUUUACCAUAGUGGUAAAAAUGAGUUGAGCUCUUACAUGAGGAUGUGAGUUCGAACUUCAUCGGUGACUAAAUAAAAGAAAAUCUAUCGUUUAACAAAAAAAAAAAAAGUACUAAGUGGUAUUAUUUAUUCAAUAAAAUUGUUGGGUUGCAUUAUGUGUUUACAUAAAUAGAGGCUUUUAGCAAUGUGUUAACUACAGUAUGUGUAUAAAAUAAAAUCUCGACAAAAGCCAGUCUUCACUUUACUACCAGAUUUGCACGUUUCAACUUAAUCUUCAACUCAUUCGAACAUGUGAUGUAGGUCAGAAUACCAACAAACCAAAAAACAAUAAUGGUUCUAAUUAGAUCUGGUAAAUUUUUAAACGACACGAAAAUAAAAGGUUUAGGGUAGUUACUAAGUCACCCGUUAAUAACGGGUUUACACACAGGUAACCAAUGGGUAACCCGUUUCAACCCGUUAAGAAAAAAAUAUUUUGAUGAUUUUAAAAUUAAGCUACUAAACAAACUUACUAUAAAAUAUAGUAUAUUAAAUAUGUAUUAUUGUAUUACUAUUCUACAUAAGUUAAAAAAAUAAAAAGUUUUAUUUAUUUUUAUUAUGAGAGUUUCUUAUCAUUACUAAGAUAAAUUUUACUUGACCUACUGUCUUAAAUUCAAAUCAACUAGUAUAAUAUUAGUAUAAGCAAAAUCACAGUCUUUCAAUUUCAGAGUCAACGACGUAGCAAAGCUUUUACUCUCUCUCUCUCAUACAAUCAUACUCAUAAAUGUUUUAUCCUCUUAAACGUGAGAUUAAAACAUUAUAAAACACAUUAAAAAAUUAAAUAUCAAAGUAAUUUAAAAAUACUAAACAAAUUAAAAAAUUAUAAUAAUUAAUUUACAAGUGCAAAAAAUGUGAAAAAAGAAUAUGCAAAUACUUGUGAUCACAUCCUCUAUGCUUUGAGAUGGGUACAUCAUUGUUUGAAUUUUUAAAACCGUACAAAGCCUCAUGAAUAGUAUUUUUAGGGGAGUUCAAAAUAAAUAAAAUUUCAUAAUAAUUAGUGUACAAGUGAAAAAUGUGAAAGAAUAUAUAAAUGCUCGUGAUUGCAUCCUCCACACAUAGAUGAUGGAUACAUUGUCGUUUAGAAUUUUAAAACCCUCCAAACCCUCAUGAAUAGUGUUUUUAUUUGAGUUCAAAAUUAAUAAAAUUCGUAAUAAUUAUUUUAUAAGUGUGAAAAUGUGAACAAAAAAAAAUAUACAAUCACUUAUAAUGAUAAGCUUUACAACUUUCGUGAAGGGAUCCAACUCCGAAAUCUAACACCAUAAUCCAUGAACCUUAGAUUUAUAUUUAAUCGUCGAUUAUCGUUUAUGCUUUACUCUUUCACUAAAUUUUGUUUUUCAUAUUUUCUCUUUUGAAAACAUGAUCUUUUAGCGGAUAUAGAAACAUGAAUGGUUCGGGUUGUUGAUAUUACGUUCCAAUAUGUACGGUUACCUGAAUAUGAGUCAAUGUUAUAUAGUUUUUGGAGACUUUAUAAACUCUGAGCAAUAUUUUCACUAACAGUGAAACUUUGAACGUAAUAUCAAUGAUCUGAAUUGUUCAUCUUCCUGCAUCCUCUAAAAGAUCAUGUUUUCAAAAAAGAAAACUUAAAAAAAAAUUGGUGAGAAGAAUUGAGCGUAAAUGUAAAUGAUAAUCAAUGGUUAAAUUUCAAUCUAUAGUUUAUGUGAUUAUAGUGGCAAAUUUCGAAGUUAAACCCAUCAUGAAAGUUGUAAAGCUUGUCUGUACGAGCGUUUAUAUAUAUAUAUAUAUAUAUAUAUAUAUAUAUAUAUAUAUUAAUAUCUUUCACACUUCUACAUUAAUUAAUAUUUAUGUGAUACGUGAAAGACAAAUGUGACACACCCCGACUGAGGCCAAGGCAUGUUGGCCGUCACGUGAGAGUGACGUAGCCAUGUGCACAGUGUGGAAGCGAUAAAGAUAGCAAAUAUACGAAUAACUAAAAACCACAUUACUAGAGUACACUACUAAACAGAAAAUGAUAAGAGUUAGUUACAACAAUAAACACUCAUAAUCAGAGCAUAAAGUCUAGGUGCAGUCCAAUAGGACAAGUACUAGUUACACAGUACCAGGAAUGUCCUACUAUUAUUCAAAUAGGUCAGAACUGCUGAAGAUCCCGAGCCACCAACAGCAAUCUUACUUAGAACCUGGAGGGGCGUAAAACAGAAAGCGUGAGUGGGCAAAAACAAAUGUUUUAAAAACCAUUUCAUUAUUCAGCAUAACUAACCCCUCGCUGUAAAACAUGUAUAAUUUUUCUAGAAUCAAGAUAUGAGCAUAUACAUACAUAUACAUAUAGAUAUAUCUAUAUACAUAUAGAUAUAUCUAUAUAUAUAUAUAUAUAUCUAUAUAUAGAUAUAUCUAUAUAUCUGAAAUCAUAUCAAUUUAGUUCAUGCUUCACAUAAUCAUUUUCAUAUGUAUGCCAUGCCAAAAUAUAACAAAGUAAACAAUCCGGGUAAGAAUAAUUUCAUAGAAAUGUGAUAUGUUAGCCGGAACUCCUGUGGUAGUCUGUACGGCUGAAUUCCUAGCUCAAACUCAAUCUAGCCGGAGUCACUUCUAUGACCUAUACGGCAAUAUACUGCACAUAAGUCAGAACCACUGAAAUGGUAUGUACGACAAGGUUAGGUGUAAUAUAGUUAUGCUUAAUGCUACGCCCUUACGCUAGUUAUGCGAUAAAUCGUUAGUCACCUACGAGUCAGAACCACCUAUAGUGGUCUGUAUGACAAGACUGUGCACCUAAAUUGGAUCCAAUGUGAGCAUAUGGUGUGGGAGGUGACAUAAUAUACAGGCUUGUGCCAACUCUCUUUGACUAAAUCGCAAUCACCCUGGUGCAGGUUAUGAGUUCAAUGUUCAUCAAUACAUUUAUAAUCAUUCUAUUCAUAACUAAGGCCUUUGUUUUAAUCACAUCUCAUAUAGACAAUCAACAUGUUCAUCUCAUUUAUUGAAUGGAUGCAUCUAACCUCUCGUUAGACUGCCUAUGUACCCUAAAUAAGGAUCAAGUCGUUCAUAGUUCACCUAAUCAAACAUAACUUACCCAAACUUACUUGUGCCUCCACAACACCACAUUUAUAUAUAUAUGCAACCAUGGAAAUGCAUAUUCAGAAUAUAAAGUCAUUUAGCAUAUUGUUUCAAAGCAUACUUUCAUUUAAAACAAAUUUCUGGGAAAUAAAUCAAGUAUAUAAAUAUAUACCGAAAACAAAAGCCCACUCACUGUUAUGUCGACGGGUCGUAACCCCCGAGUCGCCCGUGGAUACGCUCGUCCUCGGAAUAAGUCUCACCUAUAUGCGAAUUAACUAUAAAAACGUUAUUUUAAAGCAUAUAGGCAAAACUAGCUACUAACUUCUCAUACAUAGCUCAAAAUGGGUAUAUGAAUAUACCAACGUGACCUACACAACCUCACGAACAUCUUGAUAUUUUUAGAAAAAAAUUCCUAUAGCUUACGCGCCCUCACGCGCUGGGGAGGGCACGGCAUCACGCGCCCUCAUGCACAUCACCUUCAACCUCCAGACGCCGGAAUAGUGCCACCGGCCCCGGAUUCUGGGCAGACCUGCAACUGCCCAUUUCUCUCUCGUUUUUGCACCAUUUUCUAUGAAAUUUUCACCCAAAUGUCACAAAUUUCAAGAGGAAGAAGGUUAUACCUCUUUGGAGCCUCAAAUCCUUCGAAAACACGUCAGAAAAAUCUCAACAAAAUCGACCACCUUCGAACCUCAUGAUCCCGACGUCAAAACCAAGCUAACGAAGCACUCCGAGCUUCAUGAGAACCUCCUAGAGUUCGCUGAAGGCUUGGAUUGUCCUAAAACAUAACCAUUCAAAAGUUCAUGAAUAGUGUUCAACUCGGAGCUUGAGUUUUCAACGUGAAAUCGAACGAGUUCUUACCUGAAAUUGGUACUUUUGAACUUGUAGGGUCAUCACGAACACAACGGUACCAUUUUCUUCCUCGAUAUAUGAAGAUUUGGCUCAGUUUCAAGGUGGUCCGUACGGAGGAGAGUGAAGAGAGAGUCUGCGAGAUGAGAGAGAGAGCACGGGAAGAGAGAGAAGGGUAUGUAUUUGUGUGGUCCAAAAAUGCACACCAAUCCCAACUCUUUAAUUUUUUAGUUCUAAUUGGGUCCAAUUAGUUAGGGAUAGAACUAAUUGACUCAAUUCUUUAAUUCCACACAAACACACAUCCGACGCUCAAGGGUAAAUCUAUCUUUUCACAACCACAAUGAUAAAAUAAAGUACAUUUCUGGGACGGGCUGUGACAAAUGUGUUUUUAUGUUUUGAAGUAAUAUUUAUAUGAUAAUGUGGUAUGUAUUUACUAAUUUAGUAUUAUGUUUUUUUAUUUGAUUAUUUACUGGUUUAAAAUAAAUUUUCUUUAAUGGGUAAUGGGUCGGACCAUAUUAUCUAUUAAUAUUAACGAGUCGAGUUUCGACUUGGUCAUAUUACCUGUUCAUUUUAACAGGUGUUACACGACACAACCCGUUAAAAUAUCGAGUAUGACAUGAAAACGACACAAAUAUGAAAAACACUACACGAAUGCCAAAUCUAGUUUUAAUAACAUGGAAGAAAGUUGUCUCAGAGCCUCCUAUAGGGCAUCCAAUUCGUCACAGUGAAUGCUUCCAAUCAAUAUACAUAUAUAGUAAUCGUCAUACUUACCUUGUCUACUUUUGUGGAUCCAAAUUAUAGGCAUACAGGAAUUGUGGCAAAAAAACUCUUUCUGUGUGAGUUCUCUCUUCCUGAGAGUCGUUCUCACUAUUGUGUGAGUGGUUUCCCUUCCGUCUGAUUAUGUCACUGUCGACCCUUGCUGUGGCGGAGAUCAGUAACAGAUCAUUCCUUGUAAACUUUUAUGGAAGGCUUUUUGAAAAACUUUGCAGUUGUAGCCCUGUUGGUAGGACUGGGGGAUUAUUCUUGUUCUGGAAUUCUUGUAAGGUGGAUGUUAAUGUUAUCUCUUCCUCUUCUUGUUUUUUACACUGUGUGGUUAUUGAUUUUUCUCAAAGGUUGAACAUUAUUUCACUUUUGUGUGUGCAUAACCACGAAAACACUUGCAAUCUAUUAUGUUGGAGGACAUUUUAUUGCUUAGUCCUAAAGUUAAACCGGGGUGUUUAAUGGCAGAUUUUAACAACAUUAUGGACAUUUCUGAAGAAAAAAAAGAAGGAAGUUGCCAGGUUACUACAACUUUUAUGAACAAAUUCCUCCAAUUUCUUAACAACGGUAACCUCUUAUCUCUUAAUGCUUCUGGGGUGCCUUUUACUUGGUGCAAUAAUCAGGAAGGUAGUAAUCGAAUUUAUGAAAGACUUGAUCGUGCCUUGGGUAAUUCAUAUUGGUUAAAUGAAAAUCCUAAUUAUAAUCUUCAUAAUUAUCCUAUUUUCGGGUAACUUUUAAUUCAACAAACAUUAGUAGUAGACAUAAUAAUUCCUUCAAAUUUGAAGCGAUGUGGCUGUUGCAUCCUGAUUUCAAGGAGUUUGUGAAUGAUGCUUGGAAAUGUAAUGGUGGUUUCAAUCCUAUGAAUAAUUUUAGAGUUUGUGCAAAUAUGUUUAAUUACUUAGUAAAGAAUUGGAAUAAGACUACUUUUGGUAAUUUGAAAGUUCACAAGGAAUGCAUCCUUGGUGAACUGGCUGUGAUCCAAGAGACCAUUAUGAGAAAUAAAAAUGUUGAUGUUGAAUUGGAACUCGAAACUAAGAUAAGUGAAGAACUAAAUUCGAUACUAAAGCAAGAGGAAAUUAUGUGGGCACAAAAAGCUAAAGUCAAUUCUCUCCAGUUAGGUGAUAAGAACACUAGGUUCUUUCAAACGGUAGCAACUAUACGGAAGAAAAGACACGAAAUUAAGAGGAUGAAGGACAAUAAUGGGUUUUGGUGGAAUGUGGAUGAAAGACUUGAACAAGUUUUUGUACAGGAAUUUAAACUGUGUUUUUCUUGUGAUUGUCCUCCUUCACCCGUUGAUAUUUCUUCUUGUGCUAAUAUUAUUACCCCUUGCAUUGAUAAUAGUCAAAAUGAAAUGCUUCUCAAACCUAUGGAGGACGUUGAGGUUUGGGAGGCGAUGAAAAGCAUUCGUGCACUAAAGGCACCAGGGCCUGAUGGUAUUAAUGCAAGUUUCUACCAUGAAUGCUGGGAUACCAUUAAAGAUUUAGUUAGUGCAAUGGUGAAGGAUUUUUUCCUUAAUAAUUUCAGUCUAAAAUUGAUUAAUCAUACCAACAUAGUUCUUAUUCCCAAAGUGGAGAAUCCGGAGGUGGUAAGUAACUACAAACCAAUUAGCCUUUGUAAUGUUAGUUACAAAAUUAUUAUGAAAAUCAUUAUCAAAAGGUUAAGACCUUUGCUUGAUUUGUUCAUAUCUAACUGUCAAGGGGCUUUUGCCCCAGGGUGUUCUAUUCAUGAUAAUAUCUUGAUAGAUCAUGAGAUGUUCUCUAGCUUUAAAGUAUAAAAAAUUAAAAAAUUAAAAAAUUAAAAAAUUAAAAAUUAAAAAAAGAAGAGAAGGAAGGAUUGGAGCAACGGGAAUAAAAUUAGAUCUUGAAAAGGCCUAUGAUUUCCUUAUUGGGAUUAUAUUGUUUAGGUGCUUUUGAGAUUUGGUUUUGCGGUAAGGUGGGUCGAUUUAGUUAUGGUGUGCAUUAAGUCCUCUUCAUUCUCAGUCUUAAUAAAUGGUUCUACCCAUGGUUAUUUCUACCCGAAAAUAGGGAUUAGGCAAGGGGAUCCUUUAUCGCCUUAUAUUUUUAUGCUUUGCAUGUAACAUGUAAUUAGACAUUUUAACAGUAUGGCCAAUAACCCUAAGUCUCAUAUUGGUAUUUUAUCCUCUCCCGGGGGAUUUAGAAUUUCUAAUCUAGUGUUUGCAGAUGACUAUCUUUUGUUUGCCAAUGCAACUACUAAGGGUGCGCGGAAUGUCCUCCAAAUUUGUAAUAUGUUUGCUAAAGCUUCUGGUCAGCAGGUAAAUUUUCAUAAAUCAUCUUUAUACUUUUCAAACAAUACUAGUGCUCAAACUAGAAAUGCAAUUGUCAAUAUCCUACAUAUACAACACAAAACAACAAUUGGUAAGUACUUGGAAAUUCAUAACAUUGUGUUCUGGAGAGAUCUAGUUAAUGAACAAGAAUUAUUGAGAAGAGUGAAACAAAAGUUAGUGGGUUGGAAGGCAAAUACUCAUUCUAAAGCAGGUAGAUUAACUCUUAUUAAGUCUAAUCUAACUGGUAUGCCUAACCAUAUCAUAUCUUGUUUUAAGUGUCCCCCUAGUGUAACAAAGAAUUUAAACAAGGAAUAGGAAAUUUUAUCCUUUAGCUUGGGAUAAAGUUUGCAUGGCUAAAGACCAAGGGGGUGGUUAGGAAUUAGAAGAGUGGAUCAUUUCAAUAAUGCUUGUUUGGCUAAGUUAGGUUGGAAAGUUGUAAAAAAUGAGAACAAUUGGUGGGUGGAAGUGGUUAAAAGGAAAUACUUAAGGAAUAAUAUUUUUUUAAGUUGUAAGGUUAGACAAAACUAUUCUAUAGCCUGGAAAGGAAUUUUAAAUAGUAGACAUGUUAUCCACAUGGGAAUGAGAUGGGUGGUGGGUAAUGGUAGGGACAUCCUUUUUUUGGACCCAUUGUUAGGUUUUUCCUUAUCCGCUUGCCCACCUCAUUCAAGUUAAUUAGCGUCAGAAUAUUAAUUGGGAAGCUAAAGUUUGUGCUUUAUUGAUAAUGGGAACUGGGACAAAGUCCGACUUUCUCAAGUAUUAGAUUUAGAUGUUGUGAAAAAAUUCUAUUUGGUAACUAUUCCCUAGCAGAAUAAGGAAGAUUACUUCAUUUGGGAUCAUUCAUCAACUGGUGAUUUCUCAAUUAAAUCAGCUACUUGGAUUCAGAGUAAUCAAAACCAUGAAGUGAAGAGACAAAAGCUCCUUAAGAGGUUGUGGAGGUUAAUCAUUCCCCCUAAGGUAAUUUUUUUUACAUGGUUGCUUAUUCAAGGAAAAUUGCAUACUAAGGUAAGAUUGAGUAAAUUCAUUCAAAAUGCUAACAAAGAUUUCUUGUUAUGUGGCAAGGAGGAAGAAACACAAAGUCAUCUUCUUCGGAAUUGUGAUUUUGCAAAAGAAGUCUGGAACAAAUCCCCGUUAAUACACGACAGAGUAAUGUUGGUCAUACAAAUGAUUUUUUAGAUUGGUUAGAAUUAAUUAACAAUGAUGAAUGCAUUGGUUUGAGUGAGCUUAGUAAGGCUCUUCUGAAUUGUUGGCAAAUUUGGAAUGACAGGAAUAAUAAAGUUUUCAGAAGCAUAAGUCCUCAUCAUGUCAGAAGUAUUGCCAUUACAGCUAGAGUGGGUUUAUAUUAUUUUGAGGCCAAUUGCAAAAGGACUAACAAAAGCAACCUUUGUAAUCAAGCAAACAUUCGUUGGAAGCCUCCGCCCCAAGGUUUUGUGAAGUUAAAUUUUGAUGGCUCGGUUUGUUUAAAUAAAGUGGUUGCUGGGUUUGUUUUAAGGAACGAGGCUGGACAACCUGUUGGAGUUGGUGCUUUUAAUCUCAAUGGGGCCACCAUCUUGCUUGUGAAAGCCACUGCUUUAAAGGAGGGUCUUUCUUUUGCCAAGUGCAAAGGUGCGAGAAAGCUUGUUGUGGAUGGAGAUUCCAAGCUCAUCAUUUAGGUGGUGCAGGGGGAGUGGAACCCCCCUUGGCAUCUUAUACCGAUCAUUGAGGACAUCAAGUGGCUAGUAUCGGGAUUUCCGUGCAUUAGAUGGCAUCACAUUUUUAGGGAGGCAAAUUUUGUCACGGACAACUUAGCUCACGUGGGCCUAUCAGUGACGAAUCCAUAUUUUUAGGAUUAUUGCCUUCCUGCUUCGGCCUUGGAUGCUUUUAGAUUUGAUUGUUUGGGAAUCGAUUAUACUAGAGGCUUUUCUGUUUAAUGAAAUCUUUUUUCCUAUAACAAUAAAAAAAAACAUAUUUAAUUUUCCAAAUUUUUUAAUAAACCUUAAAAAAAAUUUAAAAAAUUAAACAAACACCACAAUUCCAAAUCAAACCUAAAACUUAAUUCGGAAUUUUUGUGAGUGCUCAAAUUGUUCCCAGUAGAAAAAUAAGCCCAAAACCCAAAUGGUAAAUAUAGACAAAACAAUGAUAUUCCUUGUGUAUCUUUGUAAGCAAUAUGCUAAUACCAAAUUCUUUCAUCAAUCCACUCUGCAUAGAAGAAGAAGAAAUACGGUGUUAGCUUUAAAAAACAGACAUGGGAAUUGGACUGAAAACCCUCCUCAGGUUAGGCGGUUGUUUGAUGAGUACUUCAUGGAUCUCUUCACGUCUUCUGGUCACAGGGAGUGGGGCAAUUUAUUAGACUGUGUUGUCUCAAAAAUUUCAGAUGAAUUGAAUGAGUCUCUAAUGGCAGUGGUCUCGAGUGAUGAGGUCAGAGUUGCUGCCAUGCAAAUGGGAAGUUUAAAGCUCCGGGCCCUGACGGCUUUCCGGGAAUCUUUUAUCAAACUAAUUGGGACACCAUUGCUGCAGAGGUGAAUGAAUUAAUUUGGGAUAUGAUGAAUGGAACGGAAAUCCCAGGGGGAAUUAACGCUACACACUUGGUGCUGAUUCCGAAGGUGCCUAAACCGGAAUCUGUGGAGCAAUUUCGUCCCAUUAGCCUCUGCAACUAUUCUUAUAAGGUGUUUUCCAAGGUUUUGGCAAAUCGUCUCAAAAUGGUUAUUCCGGAUUUGAUUUCUCCUUCCCAAAAUGCUUUUGUGGCGGAGAGGCAAAUUCAAGACAAUAUUGGAAUUGCUCAUGAGCUUUUUCAUUUCCUAAAGACUAGAAAAGCUAGGAGUCAAUUCGAAUUGGGAAUAAAGUUGGAUAUGCAAAAGGCCUAUGAUAGGGUGGAGUGGGACUUUUUAAUGGCUGUCAUGGAGAAGAUGGGAUUCGAUGAAAGAUGGCGAAAGUUGAUUUUGGGAUGUAUAUCGUCGGUGAACUUUUCCAUCUUGCUAAAUGGUCAACCGGGAUCUAAAUUUGCUCCGUCUCGCGGGCUUCAGCAAGGAGAUCCUCUUUCCCCUUACUUGUUCCUUUUGGUUAGUGAAGUUCUAUCUCUUAUUAUCCAACAGGCUUGUGAGAGGAAGUGGUUAAGGGGGGUGCAGAUGAACCCGGCAGGUCCGUGUAUUUCCCAUAUUCUCUUUGCUGAUGAUACUCUGAUCUUUAUUAAGGCUGAGGAAGAGAAUUGUAGGAAUCUUAUUCAGCUGAUUGAUAAUUUUUGUGCGGCUUCUGGACAACAUGUGAAUAAGUCUAAAUCCAGUGUGUGUUUUGGUUCCAAUGUCCCUGAGGAGGUCUCUCGACAUCUAUCUAAUAUUCUUGGUUUUGAGUGGGUGGGUGAUCCGGGGAUGUAUCUCGGGGUUCCAGCUAUAUGGGGAAGAUCUAAAAAAGCCGGGUUGGCCUAUGUUAAAGGCAGGCUUCUGGAUAAAUUGCAGGGAUGGAAAAAAUCCACUCUCUCCCAAGCCGGCCGGGAGAUCCUGAUUAAGGCGGUGGCACAAGCCAUUCCAGCUUAUCCUAUGAAUUUGUUCAAAUUUCCUGUUUCUUUUUGCAAUGAAAUGGAUGCAUUGAUAACUAAAUUCUGGUGGGGUCAAAAACUUGGUGAAAAUCGGAUCCAUUGGGUUUCCAGGGAGAGAUUGGGUCGGUCUAAGGAGGAAGGAGGUCUCGGCCUAAGGAGUUUUACGAUUUUCAAUGAUGCUCUGUUGGCCAAACAGUGUUGGAGAUUGAUCUCUGAACCUAACACAUUAUGGGCCCUUGUUCUCAAGGCCCGUUAUUUUCCUAAUAGCUCAUUCCUUGAUGCUAAGAAUGGUGGGAGAGCUUCUUGGGUUUGGGCUAGCCUUCUUGCUGGAAGAGAGAUUCUUAGGGCAGGUGCUCAUUGGCAGAUUAUGGACGGAAAUGACACGAGGGUUUGGGUGGAUAGAUGGAUCCCCCCCAUCCCUUUAGGGAGACCGUCCCCGUUGGGGUCAGUUCAAGUUUCGAAAAAUCUAAAGGUGAAGUCCCUUAUCUGUCCGGUGAGUGGGGAAUGGGACUUGGAUUUUUUAAAACCUUUCUUGGCGGAUUCUGAAGUUGAGGCGAUUUUGGAUUUGCAAACCGGUGAUCCGAUGCUUAAGGAUAGAUUGGUUUGGCCCUUUGAUAAGAGGGGGUCUUAUUCUGUGAAAUCAGGCUACUAUUGGAGUCUCAAUCGAUCCCAAGUUCGCUGCCAACAACCUACCAGGUUGGUCUCCAUUCCUUCUACCUUAUGGAAAACUGUAUGGAAGUUGAAGGUUCCUCCUAAAAUUCGAACUUUCAUGUGGAAGACCCUGCAUGCGGCUUUAGCUACAAUGAAGAAUUUAUAUAUUCGAAGAUCUUCCCCCUCUCCCAUCUGCCCUCUGUGUAACUCCUUUGAUGAGUCCAUAGAACACCUCUUUCUUUUCUGUCCUUGGGUGGAGGUGGUAUGGUUUGGAGGAAGGCUGAAUCUGAGACCUAACCGGCAGCAAGUUUCGAGUUGGGCUAGUUGGCUCAUGCAAAUGGGUGCGGCAGAGAAUGGGUCAGCGGAGGUGAGGAUUGAUCGAAUUUCCUAUAUUGCUUUUACAUGCUGGCAUAUUUGGAAAUCUAGAUGUGAUUUUCAGUUCAACAAUCAGGUUAUCUAUCCCAGCAGGGUGGUUGCUGCUGUCUCCAGAUCGGUCUCGGAUUACCAGGGGACAAUCUUAAGGCAGAGUUCCCGUUCUUUGCUAAACCAUUCGAGUUUGGGAGAUGGAGUUAAGUGGUCUCAUCCGGAUCAUGGUGUUAUCAAAAUAAACGUGGAUGCCAAUUGGGAGGCAAAGUCGGGGGUGGGUUUCACGGGGGUUGUGGCGAGGGAUGAGCAGGGUUGUUUUUUGGCUGCCUCUAGGCAGAAGAUUAAGGCUACUGGUGCUACUAUGGCGGAAGCUUUGGCCAUUUUGCAUGGGUGUAAUCUGGGGGUUAGCAAUGGAUGGAAUUCAAUAUGUGUUGAAUCUGACUCAUACGAUGCUAUCUCCUGUUUGUGGGAUCCGGCUUUGAAGGGCAAUUGGGAUGCUUUUCCAGUUCUCAGGAAGUGCCUUAGAUUGGGAAGGGCUUUUCAAGCUUGCCGCUGGUCUUGGGUUCCAAGACUAGCCAAUUCGGUAGCGGACUGUUUGGCGUCGCUGAUCGGAUCAUAUUUAUAUAUAUUUUUACUUCGAAUUCACUCGUCUUUUCUUAGUUAGUUCCUUAUAUUUUUGAGCUAUUUACGUUAUUUUUGUGUUUAUAGGAUUUGUUAUGCAAAGAAAAUAAAAAUAGAACAAGUGAAAUUUUAUGUAAUAAAUUCGUCAAAACUGUCUGUGUAGAUCAGCUUUUAAAUUAAAUUAAAAAUUAUAUUUAAUAAUGAUAAGUCAUGAUGAUGUUUGAAACAUCAUCAUGAUGGUUUUGUUUUGUAGAAGAAAAGAAAGGAACGGAUGGAGAAGAAGAAAAAAAAAGGGAAUAAAAGUAUGGAAAGCAAAGGCAUACGACGGAGAAAGAAAUCAGAAAAGGAGGGAUCCAAAGCGUGAGGGAGGAGAGGAGUAAGCUGCCCUUGCAGCUUUGAGAAGGUAAGAAAAGAGAUAUAAAAAAAUAUAGAAAGAAAGGAGAGGUCAGAGAGGAUAGGGAGACUGGCAAGGUCAGAAACAAGAAAGAAAAAUAUAAAAAAGGCAGGAAGCUGCCUUAGCAGCGGAGAAAGAAAGAAAAAAAAAGAUAAAAAAAUAAAGGAAGUAGUAAGGAGGUGAGAAGUCAGUAAGGGGCGGACAGGAGCAGAAAACAGGAAGCAGCUUGCUGCCUUGCGGGAGCAAGAACGAGAGGGAGAGAACCGAGAGCUGAGCUGCCCUUGCAGCUUUGGAAAGGUCAGAGGUGAAUAAAGAAAUAGCUGCUUUGCAGCUGGAGGAAAGAGGGGGCAGCGCAGAAAAAUGGGGGAAUAAUCAGCAGCAGAUCACAGAGGCACGGACGCAGCAGAUCUUCUUUUCUUGGUUAAAUCUUUCCAAACUUAUAUUUUAUUUCUAUUUUAAUAAUGUGUAACUAAGUUUAUUUUGGCUAGAGGUUAAUUCAAAGCCAUGAAUAUAUUUGUAAUAUGAAUUGAUUACCUUCAGUUGUGAUUUCUGAGUUGUGAUUUAAUUUGCUUAACUGCUUGAUUGAUAACUUAUUUUUGUAUGUCGAUUAAGGAUGCAUACUUAAUUUACAUGCAUGAAUUUGAUGCUAGAAUAUAAGUGAAUUUCACCUCAUCGUUAUGAACUUAUAUUCACAAGUAGUAAAGGUUGCUAGUCACAAUCACGUUAAGUAAAUUCUUGGCAAGAGUAUCAUGCUUUUCAUAGUUACGAAUGCCUCAUCAAUGCUUAUAGUUUUCACAAAGUUUAAUGAUCUUUGAUUGUAUCUCUAUUGUGCUUUUCACGUAGGGGACUUUUGAAGAAUGUUUUGAAUUGUUGUAUGCGUUUUCCCGUCCAAUUCAAUAACUUAAGGAAAACUUGAAGAUUAAAAAAAGGGCUAUUCACGGUUAAUCUGAAGUGUUGAAAUUCACAACUUAUUGAAAGAACAACUGAAAAUCAAUUUAGAUUGCAUAUGUGUCAUGUGUGGAGAAAACCUUCUAGCUAGUCCGUCAUUUAUCCUUUCACCUUAAUUUCAUGUUUUUGUCAAUUCUGUAAUUUAUUUAAGUUUAAUUUACUUCUAGUCAAAACCAAACACCCUUCCAUUAUUAAAUUAUAUUAUUUAGUUAGUUUUCAUUGUUGUUAGUUUUUUAAUUCAAUUUCCGUCCAUUGCAGUUCCUAGUGUCUAAUUUGAUUGUUUUCAUUAUUUUGAGUUAUCCUAAGUGUGUUUUGAGUUAUUAGAGUUUUUAGCCUAGUUUUGUGUCCUUGAGUCUUAUUUAAUAUUUUUAAAUUAAUUUAGAAUAGAUUAGCAAUCCCUCCUAAUCCCCGGCCUAGAACGAUACCCUACUUAUAUCUAUACUACAAUUGUCAAAAGAGGGUUUAAUUUGUGUGUCAAGUAAUUCACGCAUCAGUCGCGCAAGUGUAAGGAAGUAUGUGAUCAUGUUUGGGUCAUUAGACCCCCAUCUUCCCUGGUCCAUGUUUUAAGUAAUGAUGGCCUUCCUUGCCCUCCGUAGAUUUUUUUGUUAGUUUGAGAAGGGACGCUUUAGCAUUUGGUGCGGCGUCAUGGUUCCUUGUACCUUCUUUUUCUCCUUACUGCUGUGGUGUAGUUGUCUGUUUGCCUCUUUGUUUGGCUUUCGUGUUCCUGUUUGGCAUCUUUGCCCGGUUAUGAAAAACUGUUUGCCAAAAAAAAUAACAUAAAAAGAGGUAACGACAAAAGGAGCUGGCAGUGGACAGUGGGAUUUAGGAAAAAAACAGAAAAAUGGAUUAUCUCCGGAUCUCUUCCACCUAAUCUUCCUUAUCAAACAAUCCGCACUCUUGAAAUUUGAUCAAACGGCAAAAGUUACUAUAACUUUUAAAAUAAGCCCGUAUUUUUAGCCGUUGGAUCAGCAGAGCCAUCAAUAAGAUAAGAUUCCAGCCUGGAAUUUCCAGGGUUGCGUCAUGCGUGAGCAAAAUUCCCAUAUAGUACAUUUGCCCAAGCUCAAGCUCGGCCGCCUCAGCAUUCCCCAAUAAGUUCACAACUCACAAGCUAAACGAUUGUCGAUUCAAAAAUGGAGCAAAGCAAAGGCAGGAGAGUCAUCCUCUUCCCACUACCCUACCAAGGGCACAUAAACCCUAUGCUACAACUGGCCAACAUUCUGCAUUCCAAAGGCUUCUUCAUAGCCAUCCUCCACACCAACUUCAACUCCCUCAAUCCUUCAACCCUAAACACAAACUUCACCUACCAUUCAAUCCCUGUUGACUUGACAGAAAACGAAGCCUCCAUCAAGGAUCCCACCCUUCGUCUUUCUAUUCUAAAUGCUAAAUGUGUUGAGCCUUUCAGAGGAUACUUGGCCGGGUCGUUAUCCGACGAUGUUAAUUCGGAGGACCCCAUUGCAUGCUUGAUCUCGGAUCCUAUCUUCGACUUCACUCGGUCGGUUGCAGAGAGCUUUAAGCUGCCGAGGAUCGUGUUAAGGACCGGGGGUGCCGCUUCCUCGCUGUUUAUGCUGCAUUUCCACUUCUCAAGGAAAAGGGUUACCUACCAAUAUCAGGUGCAAUCUCAAGCCAACAAAACCCUAUUAUCAAAUGUUUUUUUAUCUCAUCGUUGUUACUAUGCAAUAUGAGUAGAUUGAAAACACCACACCGUGACUGAUGACUCGUUUCAAAUUCUUUUUAUACGUAGCACUUUUGUUCUUUGUUCGUAAGAGAUCAUGCAACAUGUACAACAUGUCAAAAACAUUAUUAAAAACUCAGGUGCUUCUUAGGUAGGAAAAAAAACUUCAAAGUGAUUCUUGUUCUUCUUCUUCAGAAAUCACUCUAUAGAUCCAAAAAUGUUUUUUGUUACCAGAAAGCACUUUUAGCACUUCUAGAAGCGAUACUAGAUUGACACUUAAACAACUUAUGCAAAUUUAAGUUAAGCUAGUUAGCCAGGUUAGCAUUUUUAUUCCUCGCUCUACCUCAUAAAUUUUCAUUUUAGGAUAUGCAUUAAAAGGCAAAAUAUAUAUACUUACUAGGAACCUUAUAUUUGGCUUUUUAUUUCGACAAUUAGAUUCUCGACUAGAAGAGCCAAUGAUGGAGCUUUCACAUAUCAAAGUAAAAGAUCUACCAAUGAUGCCCACACUAGUAGAAAAAUCACUUUGCACGACGUAGGUACCUUUGUCGCGCAAAGUCAAAAUUCGUUGCCUAAAAACUAGCGCAACGAAACCUUCGUCGCACGCUAACCGUCGUGCCAAGUCAAUGACAGUAAGGUUUGGGCGACAAAGUAAAUACAUACGUCGCGCAAAGUCAAAAUUCAUUGCCUAAAAACUAGCGCAACGAAACCUUCGUCUCGUGCUAACCAUCGUGCCAAGUCAAUGACAGUAAGGUUUGCGCGACGAAGUAAAUACAUACGUCGCGCAAAGUCGACGGACGUCCUACGUCGCACAAAGUGACUUUGCGCGACGUAGAAAAUGCGUCGCGCAAAGUGGUUUGGAUGGCUUUGCACGACGCAUGACCUACGUCACGCAAAGUUGUCAGUGGCUUUGCGCAACGUAGGUCAUGCGUCGCUCAAAGUGGCUUAGGUCGCUUUGCGCAACAUAGGAAUGCAUCGCUCAAAGUGGCUUAGGUCACUUUGCGUGACGCAUGACCUACGUCGUGCAAAAUGGCUUAGUGGCUAGCCAUGCAUCGCGCAAAUCCUUUUUUUUUUUUUGGUCCAAAUAUUUUUUUUUAAAUUUUUAAUAAAUAUUGUAAUUAAAUUCUAAACAAUAAUUAAUUAACCAAGCAAAAAUAUUUAAUUAUAAAAUAUAUGAAAAUGUACAUACAAGAUGUCCGAACAAAAAAGAAAAAACUACAAGUAGUCUUCUAGGUUUGAUACAUUAGGCUACUGGGUAUCAGUAGGGCGAGAUGGCUCUGAGAUCGAAUGUGGAGCAAGAUGAAUUGCUGGUAGCGAGAUUUGGAGGCCGGACAUCUGUAUGGCUCGUACAAGGUCUCUCACCAUCCCGGCAUAGGCCCUCAUCUCCUCGCCCUGGGCUGCAAACUGACCUUUUAGGGUUGUCACUUCCUCCUUCAAUGCAUCAACUUCUGCUGUGUUCGAUCUGGAAGAAGAGGCACCCGUCUCACGAACCCGCACUUUCCCCAUACAUGGAACAACCUUGCCAUGACGACAACCAAAGUUAUGAUCCAGGACAUUAGUCAUGAUUUGAAACCUACAUCCUCGGGUACCGUGACGUCCUCAAUCGGGGUCUCCAGGGGAAGCUGCAAUGUUGCUUCUUGGAGAACAGCAGUGCUUUUUUCCACCAUAGCAACUUGUAAUAAUAAAGAAAAAACAUAUAAUGUUUAAUAACAAAAUAUAAAUAAUAUUUGAACGAUUCAUACAUAUAAGAAUAAUAAUAAUUACAUAUACUUACAUGAAGCUGCUCAGUGGUCUCAUUACCAGGUCGAACGUAAACGUCCUUGAACAUGUCGCUCUUUGGGAACUUAGAACCCUCCUGAAGAAAAAAACAUUAAGAAAAUUUUAUUAAUCAAUAAUAAUAAAUAAAUUGUAUAAAAUUUCAAAGUUAAUAUACUUUUACCUAACGUCGUGCCUUAAGCCUAUACGAAAAGGGCUUAGAACCGGAAUGGUGGAGAAGUUUCUUUGACUCCCAAGCUUUCUUGCCAGCAAUAGAUUUCGUCUGUUAAACACACAAUAUACAUGUUAGUGCGACUAUUUGAAAUAAAUUAGUAAAAAAAGCUUAAAAAAUAAGUAAAACAAUAAUAAAUUAUUUUUAAAAUAUUAUGUACAUACCACAAAUUUUGGGUCCGUAAAAUGUUUGCAAAGUCACUCCCAAUCCUCCGACCGAUCCUGCAACUCGCUUGGAACAUGUAGGCGAGCAAUCUCCGGAUCAUCCCAUCACUUAAAAUACGUGUGAAAAUUGUUCUUCCAAUGUUUGUACCGGGUUGCUAAGAUCUCCUCUAAGUAGGCCAUGGUCUCGGGGGAUAUGUCCUGAAGAUCAUAAAUGACCUACGAAUAUGAAAAACAAUAAAAUAAUUGCAAGAAUUUAAUAAUAUUAGAUAAUAUAUUUGGUUUUUAAUAUUUGUAAACAAAAUUAAAAAAAUGAUAAAGGCUAAAAAUUAAUAUACUAACUGACAACUUGUCUCGCACCAGUUUCUUCAUCUCCUCGGGAAUUUCUGCCCAAGACUCCCAUUGAAAAGGACAAUUUUGUCGAAUAACAACACCACAGCUACUAGCGACGCUGCUAUGCUCCUGUGAGGUAGCCGUUCCACGAUAUUGCGAGUCAUACACAAUCUUGAUCUUGGAGGCGGCCUGAUGUGCGUUCUGUGCCUGCUUCAGCAUUCAACUAGGCCCCUGGUGUUUUUUUUAACUGGCCAAAAAUACUAAAAUGGUGAAAACCCUAAGCUUAAAUUUGUACAAAAAAAAAAUCGACACAACCUCCCCUAAUAGUAUAGCAUUUCCCAAAACCUUAAAACAGUAAAAUAACAGUAAUUCACAACCUACAACACAUUUUCAUAAUCCAGCAAAUUUUCACCAUCAUAAAAAUAAUAGUUUAAAAAAAUACAACGUACUGAGAAUUAGAAAAAAACUACAUGGCUGGGAGGGCUCACCCUCGACUCUGGAUGCCGAGGAAGUUUGAUCAGAAGGCUCCGGCUCGCGAGGGCACCAGUGAGGCCGCCGUGCAUUGAACGGUUGAACCGACACUGAUGACGUUGAUGAGACAGGCACCUGGGACGCCGUAGGAGUAGCCUCAGUAAGGGGUGUAGGCUCCCCAAUCAAUGGAGCACUCACGGCUAGAGCAAUAGAUGCUAAUAAUGCGGGAGGCGCAUUGGUCACACUCCGACGACGAGUGAUCAACUGAGACAUCUAUACACUUUUUGAACCAUAAAAAUAUAACAUUAGAAACUAAUCCUUGCAUUUGAAACUAGAAGAAAAAAGCAAAGAAAACUGAACAAAUAAACCAUGUGUGAAAAAUGCAAAGAAAACUGAACAAACAUUAACCAAAGAUUAAAAAGUGUAAUGAAUCCAAGGAAGCACGAUUGAUUAAAAAGAGUCAAACCUAAACCAAGAGACCUAUCCUAAUCUGUCAAACCCCAACCCAACUUUCUAUAAUUUGAUCUCCCAGGCUUAGUGUGUUUAAUCACAACAAUUAUUAAUCGAAGGCAGCACGAUGGACUGUUUUUUUUUUACUGCGUGUAAUUUGAUCUCCCAGGCUUAGUGUGUUUAAUCACAACAAUUACUAAUCGAAACGAAGAAAACAAAUUACCAAAUCCAUAAUCCUUUGCAAACAGAGCCAGUCAAAGUUAGUACCUCUACUUAUCAAGAACUCAAUUCUGUGUACACACGAAGAUCGACUUAAGACAAUAUCAGAUCACUAUCCAAUGCUCAAUUCACAUCCAAAUAUCCAAUUUCCUCAAACAAAAAAAAUAUACGAUUUAAGCAAAUAACCUGCAGACAAGAUUCACUUUAAUCAAAAUCCACAUCCGAUUACUGGUUUUCUCAUCAAAAUUCAAGCAUCAGCAUAUGACUUGCAGAAAACAAACAGAAACCAACACGUCAAAGAAAACUGAUCCUUUCUUGCAUUUGAAAGUAGAAGAAAAAAGCAAAGAAAACUGAACAAAUAAACCAGGCCCUGUUUGCUUUGGAAUUUUGGGAAAAACAAAAAGUACACACUGCCUGCAGUAACAUGUAGCAAUGGACCUUUGGGGAUGAAAGGAAAGCAUUUUCCUUCUGGUCUAUGGUGAGAUUAAAUUGUUAGCAUCUAAUCAAACUGCUGUGAAAAAAUACAACAAUUGUGAUUGACAUAUAAGUAGGAAUGAAUCUUCCCAAACUCCCUCAGUCCUAACAUGAAUUGUCAACAGACCUAAACCAAGAGACCUAUCCUAAUCUGUCAAACCCCCAACCCAACUUUCUAUUUGUUAGUAUGUAUGUACAUUUUGUGUGUGUGCAUGUGUAUGUGUGUGUGUUUGAGAGACAGAGGAGAGAGAUGGAGGUGUUGCUUCCUGCAAUUUAAAAAUACAAUAUACACCAAAAAAAGCCAGAUAUGUUUUGAUAGGUUAAAAUUUCUAAAUGACAUCACCAGAGGAAGCCUUCGUUGCCAGGCUAGCAUAUCAGGACGCUUAACCAUGCAAAUUUUGUCAAAGCAUACUACAAAUAUCCUUUUGUAGAUGAAGCCCAUUCAUAUUGGUAAAACCAAAAGACUGAUAGAUUUCUUGUUUUUGCCAACAAGUCCUCGACAUCUACGUGUUCCCACAAGGCAUUCUGUUGUUUUGUUGUUCGACAUGAGAAGGAAUGAAGGCAAAAGACAAAGUGAUAAAUGGGAGGUACACUAAAAAAGAAUGACUAUGACCUUGCAUCUAAUAAUAAUAUCAAAGGAUGAGAGGAUGUCUCCCAUUCCUCUCUAUCUCAUUCCAACUCAUCUUGUAAUCUCAUGCAUUCAGACAACACUCACAAUACACACACACAUUCAAUAAAUUAAAUAUAAUUAAUUAGCAUAAGCAUAUGGACAUUCUAAUUGUAACAUAUAUGUAAUAUGCACUAUUUUAAGGGGUGUGCUAUCCACACACCCUUUUUUACUUCUCACACACCCCUUGUUAAUUUAUGUCCGUUGAUCUUCUUCAUUUCAUCCGAUCUAACGGCCGAAAAUUAAAAGGGUGUGUGAGAAGUAAAAAGGGGUGUGUGGAUAUCACACCCCUAUUUUAAAUGCAUUUUCUCGAACUAAUAAGGAGACACAUGCAGAGAUAAGAAAGGAAAUGUUCAGUUAUUACAUAAAUAUAUAGAGCUCUCAUAUAGCUUCAGCCUGAAUUAGAAAUAUAUAGAGCUAGUUGAUUGCAAUUAAAAGAGUGUAGACGAUAAAAAAUUGUGCCAAAAGCUUAUUUGUUUUGUUCUGUUUGUAUCUUUGUUAGUGUGAGAGAACUAAGAUUUUGCUAGGCAAAUGAGAAUUUGAUGAUGUUAGAGAAAAUUUAAACAUUCAUAGAACAAAAUCAACAGACCCCCAAAUCAUAUCCAAAUCAAGAAAGCAAAAUGAUAUCCAUAAUUCUCUAAACAACCGCAGCUUGCUCCUUCCAACAGACAAACUGGGUGCAGAGGCAAAAUUUUCAAAGCAUAUCAUAGGAAAGUACCAUUUGAAAGGCAGCAGAGACAGUCAAAAUUUUAAUUUCUAUUCUGGAGAUAUAUAUUAUGUAUCUUCUCAGCUUUUUCAUGCAUUUAGAUAUCUUUUGAGAGAAAGUCGCAUGCUAUUUUAUUUCCAUUUUGUGGUGUUCUAAUCUGUCAAAAGUACUGCACACAUGCAGCGCUUCUUCAAAAAUGGAAAGAAAAAAAAAACAGGGAAACUAUGCGCCCAGUCUGAUUUUAAAGUAAGUUUGAAAGUCAUUAUACCUUCUGUUAGUUUUUCCUGACAGUUCCUUCUAUAAGUGUUCCCUCCUUAAGGUAUAACAGUUCCUGAAACAUUAUAUGGCAAACCAAUGUCAAUUCUUAAGAAAAAUAAGAUCACAGAAUCUCAGAACAAACAAUGAGAGAACAUUGCAAGCAACAAAAAACAUGAAUAAAUUAAAUGUCAAAAUCCAACUGACCCAAGCUUCUUUCUCACUCAAUAAAUUAAAAUUUUCAAAGCAUAUAUCUUUAGAAUUAAAGAAAUUUGAAAGGCAGCAGAAGUUUAGUUCAAGUGUUGCUGGCUUUGGAAAAGUUAAAUACAGAAAGCGUUUUCUGUAGAAGUUUGAAUCCGGUCCAUAGUUCAACCAUGUUGCAACUGUAUACUACUUUGGGAACAAACAGAAACCAACACGACUGCACCCACCCUAAUUCGAAACCCACAUAACCUCAAACCCUCACAAAUCUGAAACUCUAUUAAAUCAGAACCAACAUCCAAUUUUAUCUGGAGAUUUAGACAAAGUACUCAGAAAUAAACAUGCAAUUAGACCUUAAACCCUAAAUAACAAAAACCCAUCGAAAAUCAGAAAUCCUUACCUUGAUUUUGGGACUUGAUUCGCGUCGGCUUCGAGAGUCGCAUGGCGACCCGUCGUUUCGCAUGGUGGUUGGAUUUGGGUUCAAGAUUUGGUGUUCACGAGAAAGAGAGAGGGAGAGAUGAGCGAGAGGGAAGAAAUAAAUAGUUGGUGGUCUACGGGAAGAAAGACUUGGGGAAAGAAAGAGUUGGCGUCCAAACUCCAAACUCGGAAAUUGAAAAAAAACCUCCUAUUUUUUACUAUUGAACCGCCAACAUUAUCACAACUGACGCUACCUAGGUAUACAAUUUGGCGUUGCACAAAGUUGUUUUGCGCGACGAUCACAUUAAGGCUUUGUGCAAGGUUUUUUUUUUUUUUAAAUUAUUAUAAAAAUUAUUAAAAAUGUGACUUUCUUUCUUUCAAAUUCAAUUUUUUUUUACAUAAACUCCACAAUAAAUUUUGUUGCAUAUAUAUCAUUCAAUUUCUUAAGUGUUAUAAGUACAAAAUAAAUAAAUUAAAAUCUACUUUGUAAAUAUAUAUAUAUAUAUGUAUGUAUGUAUAUACCAUUGAACUUGAUGGGAAAUGCAUUGUACGAAACUAAUUUCAAAUAUUUAACCGUCAAACAUGUUUAUAUAUGCUUCGAGAUCGCAUACACCAAAAAUCACAAAAAACAAACAUUCAGAUAUCAAGUAACGGGACAAACCUUUUCAACAACUAUAAACGAAAAAUCACGAUUUAACGGUUAUUUUAACUCUGAUUUUGAUGAUUUUUUACAGCUACACUUUUUAACCCUAUAUGAAUACAAUGAACUAAUUCAAUCGUCAAUUUAAAACAUUUACACAAGUGGAUACCACAAAAUAUUAUGUUAUACUUAAUGAAAGUAUAUAUAAACUCCAUGUGUUAGUGAAUCUCUCAUUUUAAUGGGAAACGCAUUGUACGAGACUAGUUUCAACGAUCAACCGUCAAACUUGUUUGUAUAUGCUUUGAGAUCGCAUACGCCAUCGCAAAAAACAAACAUUUAGAUAUCAAAUAAUGGGACAAACCUUUUCGACAGUUAUAAAUGAAAAAUUACGAUUUAACGGUUAUUUUAACUCUAAUUUUGAUGAUUUUUUACAGCUACACUCUUUAACCUUAUAUGAAUACAAUGAACUAAUUCGAUCAUCAAUUUAAAACAUUUACACAAGUGGAUACCACAAAAGAAAAAGGCAAUGCAAGAACCCCAAAAGAAAAGCAAAAAAAAAAAAAAAAAAAACUUUGCGCGACAUAGGUACAACUGCGUUGCGCAUAGGUAGCUUUGCACGAUGCAGUUGUACCUACGUCACGCAAAGUUUUUUUUUUUACCAUUGAACUUGAUGGGAAAUGCAUUGUACGAAAUUAGUUUCAACGAUCAAGCCGUCAAACUUGUUUUAUAUACUUCGAGAUCGCAUAUGCAAAAAAUCGUAAAAAACAAACAUUUAGAGAUCAAGUAAUGAGACAAAACUUUUCGACGGUUAUAAACAAAAAAUCACAAUUUAAUGGUUAUUUUAACUUCAAUUUUGAUGAUUUUUUACAGCUACACUCCUUGACCCUAUAUGAAUACAACGAACUGAUUCAAUCAUCAAUUUAAAAUAUUUAUACAAGUGGAUACCACAAAAUCUUAUAUUAUAUUUUAUGAAAGCCAUCAAAGGAGACCACCUCCAUCAGCCAUCCAAGGAGGCGUUGCACUGUUAUUACCCGUCUUUAAUAAUCUCGUUCAACCUAGCCUGCAGGGGAAGUAUGUGAAAAAGAGAAUCACAUGAUCACAUAUGUUAAAGAAGAAGCAUUCUCAUUUAUGGGCUCCGCCACACCAAAAACUAAAACAAAUCAACCUGUAAAAUGACAAACCUUUGCUUCGUCCAUCUCAACACUUGCACCUCAACAUAGAGGAGUCCAUCCCACAUACAGGAGUCCUUGCUAACAAGGGAAACCUUAAGAAAGGGAAUAAAUUCAGUCAUGCACCUCAACAUCCUAAAGCAGUCACAAUCAUGUAAAAAAAUACUAUAGACCAGGAUUUGUGUUAGCUGCCCUCCGAGUGAAAGUAGGCCCUUAGCAAAAGCAGCUGCAGACAUCUGUAAACAGAUAUCUUGUAAGCAAUGUAACUUAUAAAUGAUGAAAAUUCCAGGGGCUAAUGAUCAUAACAGUAAGGCAAUUUACUUCAUUUAAAUAGAGGUCAAAUAAGACAAGAAGAAAAAGGGAGCAACAUACAAAAAAUAUAUAAACCCAUGAGCACUAAUGAGACUAUAACUGCAGACGGCCCUCAUCAGAGUUGUAGAUUUUAAGAUCAUGACGGUAGGUCAAAUAUGCCGGUACCUUCACCUGCAGUUGUGUACAAAUUCAUUAUGACAAGAAAAUAAUUCUGAAACAAAGUCGCACUGUGUGAGCAACCUUGUAGCUCAAUCUGGGUCUGUUGAAAUGCAUGAAUUAAAAUCAGACAUCACACCUUACAUCCUUUAAGAUCAGACUCAGUUAUAUCCACCACUUCAAACUUCUAGCCUUUCUUGUGUGAGAAUCUAUCAUACCUGUGGUUAAUUGUUAGACGCAGACUCUCGAGAGAAAAUGCAUACAAGAAUUUACAAGUAUUGAUACAAACUUACAUUUUAAAUAUGUCCAUUGCAAACAAAGAAGCCUCGUCCCCACCAGUUCCUAAUGAAAUCUUUUGUCAUAUAAAAAAUAAAAAGAUAAAAGACUCGCAAUGGAAUAAAAAUUUGUUGGGCAGGUGCUUAAUACCUGCUCUGACCUCUUUCCUCGUGGAUGGCUUGAUCCUUAGGAAGCAGGGACUUGAGCAACAAAUUGUGCAGCCCUCUUUCCUCGUGGAUGGCUUGAUCCAAUUCGGUAGUUACCAUAUCAAGCAUGUCUUUUCUUGAGAACAUUCAUCGAUCAGAGUCCUCAAAGCAUUAAUCUCCUACAGAGCAGAGAAGCAAACAAAUGAUUUAGUUCGGUCUGCACAAGGAUGAAGGUUUAUGUUGAAGGUUUUGUUCUAUGUUAGUACCUUGGUUGUGGCUCUUAGACGACUUAUAAGGUCCAUGGAAGUGCUGAGUUUCCGUAGCUCCUUGAUCGCCCUUGCAUACUCUUCUGCCGAGGCAUCAGGCUGUCUUCAAGCAAAAGGUCCAACACCAUUUCAAUUCCAAAAUUUGUUUUUUGUUCUUAGUCAAACACUACAUUUAACUAUAAUUCAGCAAGCACAGAAUCAACGACAUAGGUAAACCUGGUUAAUGAGACUGAAGAAAACCACUCCUCUGCUCGAUAAGUGAUAACCUUUGCUCCAUGAUCUUGAUAAGUUUUGGAGAUAAAUCAGGCUCCAAUUCUAAAUCAGCCAUUUCACUUUCUGUUGAGAAUUGCAAGACAAAAUGAAUCGAUAAGCAAUAAACUCAUAUUAAAAUUAUACUACAUGAAUCUAUAAAGCACAAAGGUAAAUUCAAUUCCUGAUGAAAAUAAAAGAAAAAGAAAGAGAAAUUAUAACUAAAUACAUUGAAUUACAAAAAGCAGAAAUUUCAAAUAAAAUAGAUACCUCCUCAAGCACUGCUUUAACUUGACGAAGCUUUUCAGCCUCACUAUCACUUUCUCGACCUGGUCUAGACAAUGUAAAGCUUUUCAGCAUGUGCAAUCAUAUGAGAACCAGCUAAACAAAGAUAAUUAGGGUGUUUCCUGUUAUGACUUUAAACAUGAAUUUCAAAGAAUGGGAAAAGGGGUAGAAGGUGAGUUUCAUACGAUUACAUCACCAAUUAUUUGUUAUGACUUUAAUGCACGAAUAAUAAUGUAAAUCCAAAAAUCAGAAGCAAAAUUAGCAAAUGUAUUGAAUGCCAAAAAAAAAAAAACAAAUCAGAGAAAUACCUAAUCAAAGAAUGGAGAUGAUCACAUGAUUUGUUGGGAAUAUUAGAGUUGGGUAGAAGAGAAGCGGUAUUAAACCCUCAGCCUCCUGCUUUUUCCUUUACAAGUUUAUAUUAAUCCUCAUCCGAACUACAAUAAUAACUCUCGCUAUCAUCACUACUAUCAUUUCCGGAUUCCCAUUCAUCAUCAUCUUCGUUUGCCUCUUCCGGUGCAUUGUAUUGAGGCAGAUCACCAAGGUCAAUUGAUAUUCAAAUUCGGGAACUCCAGGUACGUCAAACCGUUCUUGGGCAAUAUUAGUAACCCAGAAUGUUUCUUCACCAAUUUCUAUCGAAGAUGGUAACUGUUGGUCAGCGACGUUGUCAUCAUGAUCUAGUUCUGGAAUAUCAUAUAGCCCUCUUCGAUCAAUCUUCUGAACAACUUUCCAACCAUUACCGGCUUUAGGGUAGUCUAGAUAGAAUAUUGGUUUCGCCGUAGUUGCCAAAAUGUAUAGGUCUUCAUCGUACCAAUGUCUCGUAGUGUUUACUGAUAGUAAACCAUGGUCUCACUUAACACUUGUUCGGUUAUGUGGGUUUGUAUCAAACCAAAGACACUUAAACAGUAUCACUUGACACCUAUCUUUGUAAAACAAUUGUACCACACUAGUUAGUUUGCCAUAAAAAUCAAUGUCUUCACCGUCGCCCGCACCCAGGACAUGGAGAUACUAUUUUGAGUAGACAACUUUUCAUCACGUGUUGCCCCCAAGAACUUGAUCCCAUUGACAUGACAACCUGAGAACAAUUCAACGUGAAGCGGUCUUCUUGCCAAGUUAUAUAAUUCUUCAUCGUAAGAGGGUGAAUUCAAUUCCUUCAAUUUGUUCAUCUAAUAUAACAUAUACAAAAAGUUAACAUGUUAGUGUAACCAAAUUUAAAAACAGGCAUGAACAAGUUGGAAAAUAUGCUCAAUUCAAACCUAAUACAACUUACAUGUGCGUGAAACCACGAAGGAAACAAGUCACGGUGCUUCUUGGCAUAGAAAUGGGAAGGAUGUUCCCACUUUAUCAACUGUUCAUGCUCUUCAAGGUAUGGCAAAGCCUCAUCACAAUUGUUGAGUAUGAACCAAUGUGCUACCUCCAUGUUCUUUUUUGUAAACGAUUCGCCUUUCACAAGGUUGCGCAAUUUGGGCAAAAACAGAUAGUUUCUUUUUCUUGCGUUAAGGACGAUUGAAAGUUGUCUCAACAUCUUGAAGAUACAUUGCACAAAAAGUAAGUGACUCGUAUGUGAGCCAUGCCUCCACAACUGAUCAUUCGGGCCUUGCCUUGUUUCGAACACACUUUUUCAACUCACCAAGAUAUCUGCACAAAUAAAAGGUAUGCUACAAAUUAUUCAAAGCGUUCGUUAAUCAUGAAUUUGUUAUAUAUAGAGACGCUUAAUUAAGUACCUUACUAUUGUAAACAUUCAUCAACAGUUCACUGGUCCGGCAAGCAAUGCCUCAUCUGGCAAGUGAAUCAUACUUGUAAAGAAAGUUGGGGGAAAUAUCUGUUCGAACUUGCAUAAGACGUUCACAAUGUUAUCCUGCAAUUGUUUAACAUCCGACUUCCACAAACACCUUGCAGUCAACUGCGAAAAAAAUCUCGAUAACAACACAAUUGGUUUCACCACAUCAAGAGGCAAUAAGUAUCAAAUACCAACCAGAAGAAGGCGUUGAAGUAUCACAUGACAGUCAUGACUCUUCAUGUUUGAAAAUUUACACCCCUUCACGUUCACAUGACAGUCAUGACUCUCCAUAUGGAAACUUUACAGAAGAAAUAAAGUUGAAAAACUCUUUCUUCCCAUUCGGCUUAACUGUAAAAAAGGGAUGGCAUUUCUUCAAUGUACCACCGACUCUCUUCAUCCAUAAGGAUGACCUAAUGCCCAUUCGUUCCAAAUCGAGGCAAGCUUCGAUCGUGUCCUUCGUUUUUCCUUCAAUGUCUAGAAUUGUCCCGACCAAAGUAUCAAACACAUUUUUCUCAAUAUGCAUAACGUCGAGGCUGUGUCUGAAUUUUAACUUUGACCAGUAUGAGAGCUCAAAUAACAUACUCUUAUGCGUCCAGUUCAGAUGUGUAGUUGGUUUGGGCUUACUGACCCUUUGUCGAAAUGACCAAAUUCCAUAAGGUUUAACUUAUCCAAAAUCUCAUCUCCAGACCAUUCUCUUGGUCUUGGGCGAGUCUCUUUUGUGCUGUAGAAGGCUUUAUUGUUCUGACGCCACUCGUUGUCCCAAGGGAGCCAUCUACGAUGACCAAGAUAACAAACUUUUCUCGCAUGCCAAGACGAUGUUACAUUCUCCUUGCAUAUUGGACAUGCCAAAUAACCCUUAGUCAUCCACCCAGAAAUCAUUGCAUACGCGGGAAAAUCGUUUACUGUCCACAUCACAUCACCGCCGCUCACAUGGUGAACAUCUGCCUAGUAUACUUAUCAUAUGUACGAACACCAUUUUCCCAUAAAUCUUUUAGCUCAUCAACCAACAGCCCCAAAUAAACAUCAAUGGACUUUCCUGGAUCUCGGUAAUUAAUAGAGUCAACAUCAUGUAUUCUUUUUUCAUGCACUUCCAAGGCGGCAAAUUAUAAAGAAACAUGACGACCGGCCAAGUGUUGUGGAUUUGGUUUAAACCCCCGAACGGAUUAAAUCUGUCGGUGGCAAGUCCCAAUCUGACGUUGUACGGGUCAGCUGCAAAAUCAAGGUACAUCUGAUCGAAUUCUUUCCACUCUUCAUCUGCAAGAUGCCUCAUAACAUCGUCAUUUACCCAUUCCUUAUGCCAUCUCAUGUCGGUUGUGGUAUGCAUCGACAUGUACAAUCGCUGCAACCUAGACUUCAAUGGAAGAUAAUGCAUUAUUUUUUGUGGAAUCUUGGUCUUUCUAUUCUGUGAUGUCAUUUUAAACCUCGGCUCAUUGCAGACAGGGCAUUUAUCCAACUGUUUGUUCUCCUUAUAGAACAAACUACAAUUAUUUACACAUGCGUGAAUUUUUUCAUACCCGAAUCUGAGACCCUUCAACACUUUUUGGGCACUUUUAUGAUCUUCAGGUAAACAAUUCUCCUUUGGAAGCAUCCUCUUGAUAACUCCCAAAAAGUAAUCAAAACACUUUUUUGACAAACGAAACUUGAUCUAGCCAUGCAUCAACUCCACAAUUGCUGUGAGCACUAAAAAGUUCUUGUAACCCGGAUAUAAUUCAUGCUUGGCAUUUUUCAACAGUUUUUCAUAGUUUUUGAAUGCCUCACUGUCCAUGGUUGGACGACCAUCAUCUCCCUCUUCCUGAUUGGUGUUGCUCAAGGCGUAUGAAUAAACGUCAUUUAGAAUAUUCAUAACUUGUUCACUAGGAUCCACAUUAGAUUCAACAAUCUCCACUUGUGUCACAUAUGAAGACGAAGCUUGGUCUAAUCGUUCUCCAUGAUGAUACCAAGUACAGGUCUCCAUCAUCCCAUUUCUUACUAAAUGAAAUCGAACAUUUUCGAAUGUCUCCCACAUUAAGUUGUUACACCUCCUACACGGACAUCGAAUAUGAGUUGAACCUAGGUUGUGUCUAGUUGCAAAUUCAAUGAACUCAUCUAUUCCAUCCAGGUACUCAACAACACAUCUAUAUGAUUAUGUAUCCAUUGUAUGUCCAUCUUGCCUACAAUCCCAAUAAAAGUAUAAGAAUUACAACUUGUCACCUUAUUCCUCCGGUAAGGGCCCUAUCUCAUUCAGGAAUACACAGUUAUGUGCCGUAAUUUACGAUUCCAAUGGAUUAAAUUUCGACGUGGGCUAAUUUCGAUAGCAUCUCCUUACAGUUCUUCAAGUGCACGUCAUAGAUACAUAAUAUCCACUGUGUACUCGAAGAACAUCAAGAAAUGUUACCAAAAUUUUCACAAUCGAAACCUAAUCCGUGAACCACAAACUACAACACAUAACUAUACAUUCCCAAACUGUCCAAAAAAUGGGACAAUUCAAGAAUUAAUUAGACCGCAGUCAUGCUUUCACAUCCAUGCACGAAAUCCAACUAAUUCUCAAAUGGGAAACUGAGCUUUUCUUGAAGAAAAAGUGUACGAAGUUAAGUAGUAUUAACUUCGUACAACACAAAACAAUUUUGUAGGUGAUGUACAAAAAUAUGUGCAUACAAAUAAACUAAAUCACAAUAAUUACUAAAACUAAAUAAAAUAGAUAAAAUUAAUUUAGCGAAGAAAAUAAAGAUUUUAAAAGACUUUAAAAUCCUAGUGUAGUCAAUUAAAAGAUUUUAAAGGAUUUUAGAAUCCAUUCAAAUCUAGGUGUAGUCAAUUAAAGGAUUUUAGAAUCCUUUAAAAUUUAGGUGUAGUCAAUUAAAAGAUUUUAAAGGAUUUUAAAAUCCAUCAAAAUCUACGUGUAUUAAAAAAAUUAAGAUUUUAGAGGAUUUCAAUAAAUUGUGGAUUUUGUGGGAUUUGAGAGCCAAAAGUAUAUAUAACCAAGACUAAAAAGAAUCCAACCUCACUCCUAGGAUUUCAAAUCCUUCCACCACAAUCCAUUCAAAUUCUUUAAAAAUCCAUAUGAAUUUUGUAGGAGUUUUUAAUCCUCUUAAAUCCUAUCAAAUCUAUCACUAUUAAAAUCCUUUAAAAUCUUAGUUUGACUACACCCCUAAAUUUUUCUUAGACUUCAUUUUCAUUGUAAUAUAAAGUGAUUUAUGCACCCUUUAUUUCACUUUACGCAUCUACACAAGAGAAUCUGAAAAGGACUAUUGCAACUAGAACUAUAAAGACCCAAAGAGGUCAGGUUUCAGUCACAAAAGAGUAACUGUGUCUAGAAAUUGGCAUCCAAUAAUCCACCAACUCAAACUUGGUAUUGUCAGUAGGAACUUUUGGCAUCUACAAGCAACUGGGUCUUGCAGCCAAAUAGUCCAAAUAGUUCAUUCAUUUUAUAAUCCUUCUAAAGUUACAAACUGAAAGUGCUUAUUCAUCAUUAUAAUCAACCAGAUAAACAUUCAGCUAAUUAAAAAAAAUAACGCAUUGUAGUUGGUUUGAUAAGUUGUGUCCUAAAAUUAGAAAAGUUCCCCAAGUGGUUUGACUGAGAGAGUGUGAGUCAGUUACCUGUAUAAUGUAAUUGGCAUGCCUAAAAGAGGAAGAUAUUGCUUUGGCAUGCUGGCCUAGUACCACAAACAUAACGAGAAAACAUGAUCAUCUUAUGGGACUGGAAUGACAACCAAAUCCAUAGAUGAAGGUGAUGGGAAUUUCUCUUAGACUUCAUUUUCAUUGUAAUGUAAAGAUGCAACAAAUAGCAAGCAUUCUCUCAUCAAAUUCAACUGAUUCUAUACCGUUAUACAAUAAACAUUCAAAACAAAUGAUUGAAACUUCAUAUAUAAGCCAUCAAAAGUAUUUAAUUCACGUUUCACAAAAAAAAAAAAAUCAAUUCUCAACAGCUAAAUUAGAUCUGCUUACUCCAAAUCAAAGACCAUCAAAUAGCAAGGGAGGGAUUGCAUGAUGAAAAGAGAUGAAACAUUUAUAUGUUGAAUUUAUGAGCAAGGAGGGAUUAGAGAAGGUUUUGAAGAGAGAUGGGGGAGGGAGGUAGCUGCUGCAACUGGGUUUGCAGUUUUUGCCUCCCAAACUAAUUAAGUGGAGCAGAAAAAGUCGUUGACUUUACAUGACGCUAGUCUUCGUUGCGCAAAACAGCUUUGCACGACGCAAGUGCACCUACGUCGCGCAAAGCUAUUUUGCUUGACGCAAGUGCACAUGCGUCGUGCAAAGUUGGCAAAAAAGCGGUAAAACAUUCUUUGUUUGGUGCCAAGAACUUGCGCUACACACAAAAUGUCACGCAAAUGGUAUUUGCGCAACGACACUUUGCACGACGCAUUGUGUUUUGGGUUGCAUAAACAUACUUUGCGCGACGAAAUUUGCUCCGUUGCACAAGGUUCCAUCGGCCAAACAUGUUUUUCUACUAGUGCCAAUUGUGACCCUGAAGCUUUCUAUCAAUUGAUAACCAAUAUGGCAAAUGAACCCAAGACUUCUCAUGGACUCAUCUUCAAUGCUUUUGAAGAUCUUGAAGGACAAGCACUUGGCACACUUCACCAAGAAUAUUACCCCAAUAUUCCAAUUUUCUCACUAGGUCCAUUUCACAAGUGCGGCCCUACAACCUCUUCUUCUUCAACUAGUUUGUUAGCACAAGACCAAAGUUGCAUUUCAUGGCUAAACACUCAAGCGCCAAAAUCUGUUGCUUAUGUUAGCUUUGGGAGCAUUGCCAAGAUAGAUCAAGUUCAAUUUUUAGAGGUUGCUUGGGGGUUGGCUAAUAGUGGCCAACCUUGUGGGUGGUUCGACCCGGAUUAGUUACAAAGUCAGACUGGCUUGAAGUGUUGCCUAACAAGUUUCUAAAAGCAUUGAACGAAAGAGCCCAUGUCAUGAAAUAGGCUCCACAAAAAGAAGUUUUGGCCCACCCAGUAGUCGGAGCCUUUUGGACUCACUGUGGUUGGAAUUCUACAUUGGAGAGGUGAAGGCGUACCUAUGAUUUGUACACCAUGUUUCAAUGAUCAAAUGUGCAAGAUUUGUGAGCGAUGUUUGGAAGGUAGGGUUGCAGUUGGAGCAUGGGAUUGAGAGAGAUGAGGUUGAAGGAACAAUUAGAAUGAUGGUUGAGAAAGAGGGGAAGAGAUCAAAGAGAGAGCCUUAAAGUUGAUGGAAAAGGCAAAUCUUUCCCUCAAAGAAGGUGGCUCUUCGUACCAAUCUUUAGAUGGCUUGGUUAAUCAUAUUUUAUCCUUAUAAAUCAUUUGUUUUUGAAAAUGGUAAUCCAUCAUCUUUAUCAUAUCCUUCAGAAUUCUUCCAUUUUUUUUUCUCUUGCCCGCUUACAAAUGGUUGAUUAUCUUUUUCUUUAUACAAAGCACCAUUGAUGAAAUAAGAAUCAAAUACAGAACCUCGAGUAAAAGAUUUAUGCAUACUAAUAAACAUCCUCAAGAGUAAUGUACAUACUAAUAAACAGUAAACCACUGGGCUUAGCAAUCCAAUCCGCCACCUUUGCAAACGAACUCUUGGAAUUUUUUUUAGUAUAAAUCUUCAUUCUACAUUGUCUCAUAUUGGUCACUACCAAAAUGUUUCCUCACUUUAUAAGACUUUGUCCCUAUUAGAAAGUGAUUGAAGUGUUGGACCUUGAAGAGUAACAUUAGGCUCAAACAUUGGUUUCAGUGGCGGAGCCAAAAUUUUUUGUUAAAGAGAGGGUAUUUCGAACUCAUAGCAUGAGCAAUCGAAGUGACCUUCACAAAACUGAAAGAGCCGUUAAAUUUAAUAAAGAGAAUCAAAAGAAGUGUAUAAUACAAGUAAGUGGGAGGUAGAGAGCAAGGUACCCACUAAAAAAAUUGAAAUUAUAGGAAGAAAAUAGACAGAAAAAAAGUACGACAAAGAGGAAGGCUACAAAUAAUAGUUGAUUAGGUUGCUUUAGAAAUAAAGUUGAUUUUAAAACCUCAUCCCUGAGUUUAACUAAUCCACAAAGCCAAAGCAAACAAAAUUGUUAGAAAAAUAUAAGAUACGAUGUCGUUCAACUCAACUUCUUCACGAUGACAAUUCAUCUUCUUUCUUAUGUCUCAUGGUUCUACAACUGCAAGCUUAAGGCCGUUAGAAAUUUCUUAAACAAUGGUCAGGAUGGGCCCGUGACCACUCUGGUCCCUUAGUGGCUCUGCCCAUAAUUGGGGUUUGAGCUUUGAGGUGUGCUAAUUAAUUGAUAAUUAAUAUAUAAUUAAUUAUCAACAGAUGAAGUCUGAAGUGAUGAAAGAACGCCAGAGAGCAAAACACUCAUCUGAGAAGAUGUCUCCCAAUAGACGAAUCUCAUUCUCAUACUUGUUACGAACAUGCAUAAACCUAUUAUAUAUACAUUCAUCUUUCAUAGUUGGAUUUAGAUCUUGAUCUCUUAUUAUUUUUAAUUAAAUAAAUGUUUAAAUCUAAGGAAAACUAAUGAAAAAGGCUUGAAAACUUUGAGUUUUAACGAUAAGGACAAAAUAAAGGGUAAAGUGAAUAGUACCAGGUUUGACUUUUUAGUGUAAAAAUGUGGUUUUUCGUUAAAGUGAACAAUACUGUAGGCUUUUCGUUAAAACUCCCUUAAAUCUAUGAUCUAAAUCUCCAAUUAUGUCAUAAAAUAAUGAAUGUCUAUUAUUUUUAAGUAAUCUAAAAUAUAGCAGUACAAAUCAUAAUCGUGAGACGUAGUUGUUAGUAUUAAUAUUGGAUAAUCAAACGUGCUAACAACAUAAUGGUUUUUUAAUCAAAGUGGUACCAGAUAUUGGCAUAACUCCUCAUUUUGAUCUCUGAAAUUUAAAAUUCAUAGAACUGGUUCUUGAGUUUGUCUACCGUCAAUCAUUUUGGUCAUUCUAUGAAAAAUCUCCGUUAAAUAAGGUAAAAUGACAAAAGUAUCCUCAAAUUUUGUCAAAUCACUAAGGUCCGCUACUUGGACAUUUUGUGAAUCAACGAUUCGAUCGUUAGAUCGUCACCAAACCUUAAUACAUUAUAGUACGUAAUAUUUGAGGGCCAUAGGAACUUAUGGAUUGGGAAUUCGACAUAUAGAUCUUUCCGAAUUAAAUUUGUAAGUUCGUAAAAUAAAACGUCAGCCGCCACUUAAUUUUAGCAAUUGGCUGAGAUCCGACAUUUGGAUCAUUCUGAAACUUUAGGAUGUUGUUCUAGAAGCUUAUUGAAACUCUUGGGAAGUUAUGGAUUGGAAAUCUAAGAUGCGGAUCUUCUGGAUCGAGUUACGUAGGGCUGUGGAUCCUAUAGUCGGCCUUUGAUCGACGUAUGACUUUUGGUCAAUGGGUUUCAAAUCAUUUUAGAACGUCAUUGGGGAUUUGUUUUAUGUAAGUUACGUGUUCUAUCGAUAAGAAUUCUGAGACGUGAUUUGAUAAUUGUUCUAGGCAACAAUCGUUCGUGAUGCCUUGAUAUUCGUGCUAGGGAGUUGUAGAGCAGACUCUAGGUGAGUGGGUCUUUUCCUUUGUAUAGUGUAUAUAUAUAUGAUUGAUAGUUUCCACAAAUGCUUUUAAAUUGAUUUAUGCAUUUUACGUCAUGUCUUAUAUAUAUUUUUUUAAAUACUAUGAUAUGGUUGAGUUUUAGAUUGCAUCAUGGCAUAUCCAUAUGCAUAUUACCUGCAUAUAAUUGUUGUGAAUGCUUUGAAAUGCUAAGGUGAACGCGGGACGCGCAUGUAAGUUAUGUGAUGGAUUGAAAUGGUUGAAUCAUUUUGGUAUGCACACAUUUAUUUAGAGCUCAUCAAGGCUGCACCCCGGUAUUAGUGCUCCCGCCCGGGGUAGGGUCAGUCUUCACAUGAUUGUUCACCUCCCGCACCGCACGCUCACCUUGGAUCUAAGUAUGGUGCCAGCCUGUCGUACAGACCACAAUUGGGGGUUCCGACUCGUAGAUGACCCGUGAUUUAUCGCACAGCUUUCACAUGAUCGUAGCACUUAAGCGUACACAUUUAUACCCAGCCUGUCGUACAGGUCCACUAGGUAACUCCGACUCGUGUGUUAGCCUAGGUUGAUGAGCUACAGGUCCAGUCGUACAGGUCACAUUAGGUGACUCCGACUGGCAUGCUAGUUUAUACUGAUUUCACAUCUAGCUUACAUUUAUUAUUGUUGAGAUAUUAUGACAUGGCAUACUUCAAUUUUCGCUGCUCUGGUGCAUUGGUUUUCGUACCGAUGUAGUAUUAUUUUCUGAAAACUAUACAGGUUUUAUGGUAAGGGGUUAUAACGUUUUCAAAGGUUUUUAUUAAAACUUUAUUUUCAGGCCCACUUACCCUUGUAUUUCGCCCCUCCAGGUUUUAGUAGCUGAGCUUUUGUAUCGACGAGGAUUCUUGGCAAAUAUUGGUAUAGGCGAUUACCUUCAAUGGUAUAAUUCUCUAUCCACUUUACUAUACUUUACUUAUGCUCUGUCAUCACGUGUGAAAUGAGUUCAUUCCCGCUCACAACGCACUCUUAAAGUUAGGCACUUUUAGGUUUAAAUUUAUUCACAUUUUCCACAUCACUACACUUUAUGACUUCGUCACCUUCCAUAUGUCGACCAGCACAACUCGAUCCGGAGUCCUAGUGGACAUCUCGGAUCGGGAUGUGUCAUAAUGUAUCUACUGUUUUAUUUUAAUGGUGAUAAUUUUUCUUGGUUUAAGUUUUACGAAAUAAUUUAGGCAAUGUUUAACUUUACCAAAAUAAUGUAACUACUAUUUUAAUUUACCUACAAAAUAAAUGCUAUUUGAUUCCAAAUUAAUUUACCUGCAUUUUACAUAUAAAUAUAGAUAAAUUAUUUUUAACACGCAAAUAUAAUAACAAAUCAGAAAUGUCUAUUGUAUGUAAUAAAAUAAUUUACCUACAACAUAAAAGAAUAUUAAUUGGUUUUUUUUUUUUGUAUAUAUAUUUGUGUUACUAAUAUUUGUGAUACAAGAAAGGUAGAAUUUCCAUAUGGGGUUAAUUGCUAAACAUAAUUAGGGUUUUGUGGCAUAAGUUGUAAAUAUUUUGUAAUAAUUGGUUAUAUAUUUCUCUACAUAGUAGUCUAUUUGAAAUUUGGGUUUUAUUUGAAUGUUUAACAUUAGGUGAGUUUUUGUUUGAAAAAUAGGAUUUCAAGAGCUUUUCUCUAAAGAACCCAAAAAAUUACUGGCAUACUGUUCCUUCGGUUGCUUGUACUUGCAAGCAAAUGCUUUCCAAUAGCCUUACCCCAACUCUCCAUCAGCAGAAACUCCUCUGAAUAUUUUCUGAUGUCUUGUCCGAGACGUAAACUGCGAAGGGUUUUCAAGUGUACCAAUGCAAAGAUCCAUAACUUAGUAAUUAGAGUUUUUCCAUUUACCAUAAUAACAAAAUGGUCAUUUGUAGAAAUAUGGUCAAUAGACCUAAACUGAUAAGAAAAACACAUUGGAUUGAUUCUGGUUUUGGUGCGGUGGGGGAGAGGGGUAUUUAUCGUGAAAAUACGGGAGCAUUUUCGUAAUUGUGUGGCGGUGUUUUAUGGUUCCGGUUGUUUCAAGAGGAGGACGGAGGAGGAGGGAAGUGUUCGGUAGUCUUUGGUUCGACGAGGGGAUUUCCAGAGAGAAAAGAAUAGACCAUCUUGGAAUAUGGCACGUGGCGGAAGAUCAACGGGGGCGCAUAUAUUACUGAUGGGACUGUGAAGGAAUACGAGGGUACUGCCAAUAGACAAAAGGAAAAAUUUAAAAUACAUCUAAUUUUAUAGGUUUAUUUUGAAAUAUGUUUAAUUUUUAGUAAUUUUUAUUUUUAAAAUAGAUCUAAUUUUUAAUUAUUUUGAACCGAAAUGUCUAGACAAAAUGAAGGGCCCUACAGAAAAAUAAGCGCAAAGCCCAAUUGGUAAAUAUAAACAAUGAUUUUCCUUGUGUAUCUUUGUUAGCAACCACAGAAAAAAAAAAGGAACGACAAAAGGAGCUGGUGGUUGACAUGUGGGGUGAGUAAAAACAUCAACUUCAACAGAGCCAUCAAUAAGAUAAGGUUCCAGGAUUGCGUCAUGCGUGAGCAAAUUUCCCAUAUUAUAUAUUUUUCUAACGCACGUUAUAUGAUAUUAUAUAAAUUAAAGUAGUUUUUUCCCCUUGUUUUCUUCUACUUGUAUAAUAAUGUGUGUCUGUACAUUAAAAAUCUCUUUUUCUCGAGCCCCGCCGCCUCAUCAGUCAGCAUUCACAAUAAGUUCACAGUCACAAGCUAAGCAAACGUAAACAUUGUCGACUGGAAAAUGGAACAAAGCAAAGGCAGGAGACUGGUCCUCUUCCCAUUUCCCUUCCAAGGGCACAUAAACCCUAUGCUGGAACUAGCCGAUAUUCUGCAUUCCAAAGGCUUCUCCAUAGCCAUCAUCUACACCAACUUCAACUCCCUCAAUCCUUCAACCCUAAAUCCACACUUCACCUACCAUUCAAUCCCUGUUGACUUGACAGAAAACGAGGACUCCAUGAAGGAUUUAAUCGCUUUUGUUUCUAUUCUAAAUGCUAAAUGUGUUGAGCCUUUCAGAGAAUGCUUGGCUGGGUUGUUAUCCGAUGACGUUAAUUCGGAGGGCACCAUUGCAUGCUUGAUCACCGACCUUCUCUUCGACUUCACUCGAUCUGUUGCGGAGAGUUUUAAGCUGCCGAGGAUAAUGUUAAGGACCGGGGGUGCCGCUUCCUUCGUUGUUUAUGCUGCAAUUCCACUUCUCAAGGAAAAGGGUUACCUACCAAUAUCAAGUACAAUCUCCAGCCAACAAAACUCUAUUAUCAAAUGUCUUUCUUUUAUCUCAUAUUUGGCUUCCUAUUUUGACAAUAAUUAGACUCUCGACUAGAAAACUUACAAUUGGCCUUCAAUUUUGACAAUAAUUAGAUUCUCGACUAGAAGAGCCGGUAACGGAGCUUUCACCUAUCAAAGUUAAAGACCUACCCACGAUGCCCAAUUGCGAUCCUGAGGAUUUCUAUCAACUGAUAACCAACGCGACAAAUGAAUCCAAGGCCUCUUGUGGACUCAUUUUCAAUACUUUUGAAGAUCUUGAAGGACAUGAACUUGCCACAAUUCGCCAAGAAUAUUACCCCAAUAUUCCAAUUUUCCCAAUAGGUCCAUUUCACAAGUGUAGCCUUGCAACCUCUUCUUCUUCAAGUAGUUUAUUCGCACAAGACCAAAGUUGCAUUUCAUGGCUAAACACUCGAGCGCCAAAAUCUGUUGCUUAUGUUAGCUUUGGGAGCCUUGCCAAGAUAGAUCAAGCUCAAUUUUUGGAGAUUGCUUGGGGGUUGGCCAAUAGUGGCCAACCCUUUUUGUGGGUGGUUCGACCCGAAUUAGUUCAAGAGUCAGAUUGGUUUGAAGUGUUGCCCAACGGAUUUCUAGAAGCAUUGAACGAGAGGGCCCAUAUUGUGAAAUGGGCUCCACAAAAAGAAGUGUUGGCUCACCCAGCAGUUGGAGUCUUUUGGACUCAUUGUGGUUGGAAUUCUACAUUGGAGAGCAUUUCUGAAGGGGUCCCUAUGAUUUGUAUGCCAUGUUUCAGUGAUCAAAUGGUGGAUGCAAGAUUUGUGAGGAUGUUUGGAAGGUAGGGCUGCGAUUGGAGCAUGGGAUUGAGAGAGGUGAGGUUGAAAGAAUAAUUAGAAGACUAAUGGUUGAGAAAGAAGGGGAAGAGUUCAAAGAGAGAGCCUUAAAGUUGAAGGAAAAGGCAAAGCUUUGCCUCAAAGAAGGUGGCUCUUCGUACCAAUCUUUGGACGGCUUGGUUAAACACAUUUUAUCGUUAUAAAUCGUUUGUUUUUGAAACUAAAAUCUAGAUAUUGUUUUAAAAUUCCUUUAAUGUAUGAUGUAUUAUAUCAAUAAUUAUCAUGAUUCGUCUGUCUCAUUAUGUUUAAGGAAAAUGGUUGUCCAUCAUCUUUAUCAUAUCUUUCAUAAUUAUCGUAUCUUUUUUCCCUUGCGCCAUUACAAUUGUCCAACUACCUUUUUCUUUAUACAAAAGACUAAUUAAAAAAAAAGAAUCAAAUACAGAACCUCGAAUGAAAAAUUUAUGCAUAUUAAUAAACAGUACACCAUUGGGCUUAGCAAAGAUACCUACAAUUAUAAGCAUGAUUUAUCGUUCAAACACUUCAUCACUUCCCCUCCAAUCGAAACUAUAGUUGUUGGAUUGUGCCAGCCUGCAAUGGUUGGUUAGGGGCGCACGGCCACACUUCUUCUCACACUCCACACUUUCUACAUACGAUCCAGACUCCCCAUACUGUACACCCCACAUCCAUCUUGUGUAUACCAUUCGCCUGUUGUUUUCACAUUAGAAGGUGACGAUACUUUCUUUUGCACUAUUAACCCCAUCCUAAGAAUGGUCUUUCUCUGGGGGUUGGUUUUUAGAAAUGGGGUCAACACUGAAGCUUUGAUGUACCAUUUCUACGCUUUCCCGUCUCGUUUCUGCCGUUUUUCCUUAGUUUGUACGUCUUUGGGCGUAGUCCUUUUUAUAUUCUACUUAUCAAGAAAAAAAAAAAACUCUACGUGAAUCUUCCAUGACAUAACCUAACAGCAAAAGCAAGUCCAUGCUUAAUAUGGAUAACGAUGUCGUUGAAUCACUCAAAUAACAAAAAAAUUUGAAGUCUUAUCUCAUGUGAAGCCUACAAAACGUCAAUUUAUGUUUCAUUUGUAAAAAAAAUUGUCUUUUUUCAUCAACAUAUUUGUACUUUUAUUGGUAGAAUUCUGUUCUAGAAUAGACAGUGGGAGUGCUUUUGAGAGCUUGAAAAAUAAAUUUGGAAUACAGGUUGAACAAGAUUUGGGGUGCAUUCAUAAAUUUUGUUAUUAUUGUUAAAACUAUGAGGCCCAAAAUAGUUAUUUCAUAUUAGAGUAUUAUGUUAUUUAAUAAUAAAUUUUAAUGUAAGGUGUUCAACAAUAUGUAAAAUGCUAUUUAGAGUGCUAAUAACAGCUUUUGAGAAUAAUAAAAAUUAAAUAUAGCAAUGUUAUAUUUUGAAUGGAAGCUCACAAGAUUCAACGAUUUUUAGGGACACAAAAAUAAGCCCAGUAGGAUGAUGUAACUUUGGCCAUCAAUCAACCGCAUGUUCAAGCCAAGCAACCACACAUUCCUUAUCCAUACGAUAGUAGCACACAAAAUUGUACAAAUGGUCCCUCAACUUUAAUCAAAUUGGAGCAAUGGUCCCUCAACUAAAAAUCCAUUACCAUUGGUCCCUCAACUUAUCAAAAUGUGUAGCUAUAGUCCUUUUCAUCAAUUUUGUCAAAAUUUUGUCAAAAUAAGCUAUGUUGGAAUGACCAUUUAUAUAAUUAGGGUCCCUUAACUCAUCAAAGUGUAUAAUUAUGGUUCUUUUCGUCAACUAUGUCAAAAAAUUUGUCAAAACGAGUUAUAUUGGAAUGACCAUUGCUACAAUUGGGUUAAAGUUAAAUGACCAUUUCUCCACUUGAAUUAAAGUUCAGGGACCAAUGGUAAUGGAUUUUUAGUUAAGGGACCAUAGCUGCACGUUUUGAUAAGUUGAGGGACCAAAGGUAAUGAAUUUUUAGUUGAGGGACCAUUGCUCCAAUUUGAUUAAAGUUGAGGGGACCAUUUAUACAAUUUACUCCACUAAAUUAUAAGACUCUAACGAACUAUAAUUGUGUUGAACUCUCUCAUGAUUGAUAUGGCAAAUGAACUUGUAUGACUCUACUGAUUUAAUUGACUAUGACUCAAUAUGAUGAGGCCUUUUAUGUAGAUGUAAAAGUGACUCUUCAUAAUAAUUGUGUCUUUUCUUGACGAGUCAAGAGUUGCAUCUCUUCAAUCCAAAGGCAAAGGUUACACUCUUUCUCUUUAAUUGAACAAUCACAACUUUAUUCAUGAAUAAUCACAGCUCAUCAAAUAUAAUUUUCAUUCACAAAAAAUAAUUGAAUUCAUUUUGAAAUAAAUUUUCCAAAGGACGAGUAAAUGUUGUAAUAAAAUAUACGAAAUAAGUUCACAAGGUAAGCAAAACAGUCGCUCUUACAAAUUCAAAUGGAGCAAAGCAAAGGCCGGAGGGUGAUACUUUUCCCACUGCCUAUGCUAGACCUGGCCAACAUUCUACGCUCCAAAGGCCUUCUCCACAACCAUUACCAACACCUCAAUAUGUAGUCACAGUCACCACCCUGUCCUCCACACCUGCCUUCAAUAAUUGGCUUCGCACCGUGUGUGUGUGUGUAAACAAUCUAUUGGCAUUGUCGAACAAAUAUCGCGGCCCAUCAUGACUCACCACAUCACAUUAUUGGCAUUGUUGUGAAUGUUACCACAUAUUAAUAGUUGUUAAAUUUUAUUACAAAAUGUCUCGAUAAUAAUAGUAGUGAACCUUCUACAUUUAAAUUGUUUAUUAUUUGUUAUUUUUUUUAUGUGAUACUCUAUUUUCUAACAAAUUCUCUAUUGUAUAUGCAAGUAAAAGUAAUUAGCUAUCAUUUAAAUUUGUCUUUAGUAUUGGGAAGAGCUUAAGUCAGGGCUUUGAGUCAUUCAUGGUAGUCGAAUUUAAGACCUCUCACUUAAUAAUGAAGACAAAUAUUACUAGAUCAUGGUCAAUGCUAAGUAACUUUUUAUGAACUAUUUCUCAAUGUCCCCACAAAUACUUGAUAAAGGAUCGGCUCCAUAUAAUGCUGGCCAGGUAUAUGUGUGUAACGUGUUUUAAACAAUCACAAUCCAUAUUAUCAUUCUCUAGGAUUUUAAAGUAGUUUGAUAUUGCACUCAAAAUUUCCAGCCUAUUGUAGGAUGUGAUUCUUAUAUGAGUUCAAUAUAUUAGUAUCACACUCACUUUUUUCAGCUUCAUGUGGAAGGCCUUAGUGUAAGUGUAAGUUGUUCUAAAUGUUGUGCGUUCAAAUUUGGGACCCAAUAAAAUAAGAGUAAUGCUAUACUUACUAUUUUUUUCAAAUCACAUUUGUACCACCUCUCUUAUAGAGAUAGGACUCACUAAUAUAAAUGGGUUCCACCUCUAUUAGGUCUUCCACAAUGGUUUUUGGUGAGUGAGUGUGAUACCUAUAUGUAAGAAUCAUGCGCCCCAAUCCCGACAUACAUCCAAAAUCAACACAUGACGUCACCACAUCCCUGUUUAUCUAUCAUGUCUCACCUCCUAGAGAAGACCAAAACACAAUCAAUGAUUCAACCACGCAAUCAUUUUCUUUUGUUUCAUGCCUGCAUCUAACCUUUGUGUUAGACUGCUAUGUACCCUAAGAAGGGAUCAAGCCAUUCAUAGUUCACCAUUCACCACACUCUGACAUUUAUCACAGUACAUUCUAACAGAAAGGCAUAGCAUUCCUCAAUCAAUUAUUGGGACUUGACAUGCAUGAAUUACCAGAUUCAGGGCUACAUAACGAACCCACAUGACAUUCAAGAUUUUCAUUUCAUCAAUCAUAUAAAUCAUUAUGUUUUCAACAUAAUAUCACAACCCAUAACAUGUAACAUAUCAAAGAACCAACAAAGCACAAUAUUAUUCUUUAGUUACAUUGAUCAACUGAUUUGAUCAUAAUAAUAACAAUCAUACCAACAUCAUUCCACAAUCACUUCAAUUAAGCAAUUCCAUGAAUCAAAGAUGCGCGAUAUUAACAUUUAACUACAUUAAUCAAUCAACAAGAUCACAUUUCAUUUCACAGAAUUUAAUAAAGGAACUCUACAUGACUCCUACCUGGAUUCCAAGUAAUAAUAUGGUAAAUUAAUUUAUAAACAUGAUGUCUACUAUGAGUAAUUCUCAUUCACUCGAAUCUAGAGUUCUGACUAACUUUAUGAAAAUGAGUAAGAAGGGGUAUUCCAGACCACUCAACGAAAUCCAACUAAAAUAUGGUCGCCUAUCAAAAUGUACCAAGUACAACUAAUCUUUAUAACCCUAGGUAGGCAGUGAUCACCCAUCGCAGAUAUACCAAGCACGAUCACCCUUGAAAAACGUAUGGUCCCCAUCGCAUAUAUACCAAGUAGAACCAUAUCUUAAAUCUAGGUGGUGAUCACCUAUCAUAGAUAUAUCAAGCAUGAUCACUCCUAGCAUGCGUAUGGUCCCUCAUUGAGGAUAAACCAAGCAAAACCAUAUGCGUAGUCUAAUAACGUAGGCAAUGAUCCUCGCGGAUAUACCCAAGUAAGACUGUACUGUCACCUCAUCACGGAUAUACAAGCAUGAUUAGAAUGUGUAAGUAAACCAAGCAGAACCAUAAGCAUAAUCUAAUGGCAAGCGGUUUCUAUACCAAUGAUCACCCUGAAAUACGUAGCAAUAACUUCCAUGUACUACUAAUGUUCAGGUAACGCAUCCAACUAAUCAAAUAUAAUUCAAUAAGAUUCUAUUCGCAUGUACAUAUGGAUUUAAUAAACAAGUGGCACGUAACCAAUUAAUUUAGAAGAUCUAGGCUUUCUAAACGAAUAGGACAAAGUUAACCCCUUAAUUUUUACUGCCCAUUGGAUUUUCGAUCUUGGUUGUCAAAUCAUGCUACGAAUCGGGUUCGGUAAAUCAAAUGGUUUAAAUAUGGAAUCGGGGUAUCAAAUGUAGCCUAGAAGGAUCAAGUGGUUCCUCCGGCCAUGCGCUACCGCAAGUGGCUGCCGGCCGCCCGCCGCCCGGUUCGUCGAAAAAUUCACCUAACCCCAAAAUUUCCAAAAUUAUACCGAAAUAAAUAUCUUGCAGAGAUGAGUAAGUUUUAUACCUAGGCCGAUGUUCAAUUCAGCCGGGAAGUGGCCUGAAAUUCCUUCGAACUGCUGGAAACCCUAAAAAUAGUGUCACUCGAUUCAACGUCCAAAAGAACUCCAACACUCCAACACUCCAACCACUGCUUGGGCCUUGUUCCUGGGUUCAAGAAGAGUGGAUUAAUAGUGGUGGCUGAUAGACACAUAUUUAUUACAAUUGUUACCCUAUUAUUUCUUUUUUGUUAGUGCCUCAUUCAGACUAUUUUUAGUAAAUUACUUUAGUUUUUGUAAUUUAUAAGGAUUACGAGGUUUAUUGAUAAAAGUGGAAUUUAACAUGGUCUUAGUACAUCCUCUAUGUUUUAGUCUUCCUAAUUACAUUGACUUCAUCCAUUAUUUUAUUUUUAGGUUGAAGACCAAUAGGUGGGGUGAUUUUUUUACCAAUGUGAACCAAAAACCAAUUCCAAUCCGUGGCUUUUAAGUGAGGUGGUGGAGAUACUUCAAAUGAGGAAUUUCAAAUUGUUUGAACUCCUAUCCUUUUAGAAAACUUGGACUAGAGGCACAUAUAAAAAGGAGGGAAAGCAGCAAAUAUAACAGGUGGGGGACUCCUACUCCUUGGCUUUCUGGCGUGAAACAGAGAAGGCAGCAGCAGAGCAGCAGCAAUUCGGUUCUUUCCAAGUUUUAUUUUAUGCAUAUUUUCCAUAGGACUACGAUGAAAUCUUCGUUCAUGGGGUUCUAAACUCUUAGCUAAGGCUAAGAGGAAGCCCUAAUUAUGAUUACUCUAGUUAUUUGAUUGUUUAAUUCGUGAAUUUCAUAUUGAUGAUUAGUUUUCAUUCACUAGUAGAAAUACAAUUUUGAUAUUUGGUUCUUUGUGCUUGACCAUAGCCUAGGAUUUUGAUAUUAAAAUUAUUUGCAUAUUAAUUUAUUUCUGACCAUGAAUUGGAUUCUAUCAAUGCUUUGUGAAUGAGAAUCAUGAACUUAUAUUUUGAUCCGCCCGUAGACGAAUAUUGGAUUGUGUGGCUUCCUAGAAAAUUAGCUAUUUGUUUGACGUGACCAAGUUGAUAAGUGGUUAAUUUGUUUCUCACUUUGUUUAAUUGGAUUUCUACAUGUUUGUGUAUACCGGACCAUGGAUAUAGAGACUGUAGGAAUAGUUGAGUUUAAGAUUGGCCACGGUAAAAUUCACAUCUAUUUGGGAAAUUAUUGGCAUGUGUACCUAACCACAGACAUAUGUACGGAAGUUGUUUUCAUUAAUUUGAUAAUUCAUGAGUUGACAAUUGGAUACUAGGGUAUGGCAAUUAGUGGUGGAAUCAAAACCUUAGUGUUUUCUUACAUUUGUUCUCAAUCAUAUUUAUGUUUAAUCAUCAUUAAUUUUAAUUAAUCUUCGAUACAAACUCAAUCUUUAUUUCAACUUGUUAAGUAAUAGUUAUAGGAUUAAAUUGUCAAAUCAACUUCGGUGGAUUUGAUCUCGUAUUUACAUGUUUCCACUACAACUGAUUCGUGCACUUGCGAGUAAAUUUGGGUUGAAUUAAUCUAUUUAUUAGGUUAGUUUAAAAUCACAUUAGUGGUCGUCAGUAAAGGUUGCAAGAACAGCAGAUCGCUGUCGUGGCACUCUCGAAGUUGUCGACUUCAAUCUUCACAAAAUAUGGCCAAAAUGGCUCGGGUUUUUGGUGUAAAUGGAAGAAGGAAUGAUGUUGUGAUGUUUUCAAGUGGUGUAUAGGUAGAUUUCAUCAAAAUAAUCGAUGGAAAAUCGUCGGAAUUCGUCGCCAGAAACGAGUCCGUGUCAAGGGGGUCUGGGUCUCCUCUCCCUUUUCCCUCAUUUCCUUCCCUCUGAUUGGUCACCCUCUCCCUCAUUUUCUCUCACGCGUCUCUUUUUUUCCCUCUCUCUCUCGCUACCAUCUGGCAGCUUCUAGUCCUUAUUUUAUUUUUUUUAUUUUUUAUUUUUUUCACAACUAAAACAUCUCUAAUAUCUUCAUUUUAACUUUGAUUCACAAACAAUUUUCACCUAUGUGCUCGUAGGAUCGAGCUCUGUCCAAUUCUACGUAAUAUGACCUCGUAAGGUCUACGGAUUUUUAAUGAUUGACCAAAAUUGAAACUUCGUAAUUAGUUUAAUUAAAAUAUAAAGUUAAUAUAAUUAAUAUAAAUUUUAAAAAAUAAUAUAAAAUAUUGAUAAUACAAAUACGUAGUUUACAAAAAUAAAAUCCAGAAACGGGGUUUUACAGUGGCGAUAAUAAUUAUAUAUUAAAAAUCAAUUAAAAAACUAAAUUAAAACAAAAUUACCGAACUCAUCUCUCUCUCCCUCUUUCUCUCUAAAAUUCUUCAUCUCGCACAGCCCCAAACUCAGUGGUUGUGGCCACUGUUCAUCGCCUUCUCUGAUGAUUUUCCUGACGCACCCAGACGACUCAGACGACGGCUUCACCACCGUUCCCCGUCAACGUCAAACCACUAUCAUGGCUCAAUGUUUCCCUUGGAACAACCCCAAGUCUCGGCUUGGUGAUUUUCAAACCCCAAGCCCUCGAAUUGAAGAGCCCCGUCAGGGAGGAGGAAAUCGAAACCCAAGUCUCUGCAGCAACGCUCACUCUUGUCAUCGCCAAAACUGAAACCGUGAAGCUACAAGAUUCAGGAGACCUCGAAUGUGACAUAGCCGCGCCGAGCUCUAAGAUGCCGGGGAUGAGGAAAUCCUCAGCCACCGAAAAGAGUAGAGGUCGUCCAAGUCGUCGAAGGUGAGCUCUAACUCGCAGUUUCAGCGGCACCUAACCCAAAGCCGAGAUCGAACAUAAAUGCGUUGUCAGAGGGCACUGUGACCAUGCCGUUGUAAGAUGAGAAAAAUUCAGGUUUAAGAGGAGGGAUCGUGAGGGAACGGCGGUGAAGCAUCACUUUCGUCUGAGUCUUAAUUGUGGCCGGAGUGCCAUUUUAGGGUUUCAGAGUGGUUUCUUUGAGAAUUUAGAGGGAAAGGGGGAGAUACGAAGACUUAGAUGAUGAAUAGUUGAUUUGGCUAUCAAAUUAAAAAAAUUGAGAUUUAAUAAUUAAAUAUUAAAUUAAUUGAAAAUUUUAAUAAUUCAAUAAAUUUUAUUAGUUGUUAAGGCCAUGUGGUAGAGGUUGACAACAACGUUAAAUGCGGAAUAUAUUGUUACCACGUCACGUCAAUACUUAAUCGUAAACUUAACAAAUUUUCUAACGGUUGUUUGAAAUGAAAUUAUACUAAUGGUAUGAGAUUGAAAUGUUUUAAAGAUAUUGUAUAAGAUUACAAUUACACCCAAACUUGAGGGGAUAAAAUGUAAUUUAAAAAAUAAAGAACACUUAGCAUUUGUUUUUUUUAACAAACAAUAUUAUCUACACUAAGGGGGAGGGGUUGAGCUUAGCCUCACUGAAAUUGGUACCAGACGGAAUAUCUUGUAAGUAAAAAUAAUAAUAUGCUAAACUGACUAGUCAAGCCCACUAGUCAACUAAAACUGAUUUGUUAUUCAAUAAAUCAAAGAUUUAAUAACCAACUUCAAUUACCAUAAGCUAUCCUAGUCAGCAAAGCCUCAUAUCGAUCUAAGUUAUUAAUGUGUCAAAUGAGCAAGAUUGUGAACACAUACAAUUAAAUAGUCAUGAGAUAACUGUGGCAUGUAUAUGUAUGUGAGACAUAUCACACAAUGUAAAUAACUUUGAACACAAGAUAUUUGAGCAAGAAUAACAAUAACACAAGAAGUUUUUGGCCUGGAAAAACCCACCUCUGGGUUAAAAAACCAGGGAUUAACCACUGAGUCCAAUCCACUAGUGUAAAUAAAGGUUCAUACAAAGACCAUACAAGCUCUAUUCCUAAAUCCUUAUCUAUGGAGCAACUUUACCUUUGUGCAACCUUACCUUUCACGAGAUGAACUCCUUCGGUCUUCACGAAGUGGCAGCUCUUCUUGACCUUUUCUCCUUGUGGUUCCGAUAUCAACUUAUGCAAAUGAUGUUAUCAUGAAUUAAUGCAAAUCUAGAUUCAAUUGAACUGAAGGAAAAUCUAACCUGAAUCCAAAAGCUUGGUCUAAAAACAGAUUUAAAGCUUAAAACCAGACUAAGAAUUUUAUGUAAAAUCUUAAAACAAUACGACCCUAAUAUACAAUUAUUGGAUGUUUAAUGCAUGAACUUGGUUUUGUACUUGGAGCACGGGAUUGAGAGAGAUGAGGUUGAAAGAACAAUUAGAAUACUAAUGGUUGAAAAAGAAGGGGAAGAGAUAAAAAAAGAGAGCAUUAAAGUUGAUGGAAAAGGCAAAUCUUUGCCUCAAAGAAGGUGGCUCUUCAUACCAUACCAGUCUUUGGAUGGCUUGGUUAAACACAUUUUAUCAUUAUAAAUCUUUUGUUUUCUGAAACUAAAGUCCAGUUCUUGUUUACUGAAACUCCUUUUCUGUAUUAUGUAAUUAUAUCAUGAAUUAUAAUGAUUCGUUUGUCCCGUUAUGUUUAAAGAAAAUGGUGGUCCAUCAUCAUUAUCACAUUUUUUAGAAUUAUUCUAUGUUUUUUCCCGUGCCCCCUUUCAAUUGUCGAAAAAUGUAUAAUUAAGACUACCAUAUAAGAAAACUUUAACAAAAAACUUCUAGUACUGUUCACUUUAAUAAAAAAUCAUAUUUUUACACUAAAAAGUCAAUCAUGGUACAAUUCACUUUACCCUUUAUUUUGUCCUUAUCAUUAAAACUCAAAAUUUUCAAGCCUUUUUCAUUAGUUUUUUUUUUAAUAAUAAAUUCCAUCACCUAUGCAUAAUUCAUGUUUUUAGCAAUUCAUACAAUGACUAAAAUAACAACACUUUCAAAGCCAGACAAACAAACAAUAACGUCAAAAAAAUGUAUAGUAUUAUGAAAUAUGAGAUACUCUGGAUGCUUCUAUCGUUAGAUUUUAAUUAGAUUUUAAUUUUUAUAGGUAAAAUAUAAUCUGACUUAGAUAAAUCUUGAACAGCUACAGAAACCUCCAAUCCAACAAGUCACAUGCAAAACCAAAUGGGUUUUUUUUAGGGGCGUUUUGAUAUAGGCGCCUCGUUUUUUAAUUUUGUUUAGACUAAACAUACACUCCUUUUGAAAUUUUGAUCAAACAUUUUUCUAAAAUUUUGGUUAUUAAUUUCAGUUUUUCACAUAAGUUCAGUUUUGUUUAGAAUUUUAGUUUUUCACGACUUCUCCUAGGCAUUUCGUUUUCUUUUUUUUUCUUUUCCUAUUAUCCCUAUAUUUAUGCAUUUAUUAUCCAUCUCUAUGCAUUUUUUUAUUGUUUGUUAUAAUUUUUACUUUUUUGUGUGAAUAUAGUAGAAUAUUUAUAAAAAAAAAAAAUCAGAUCUUAUUAUUUAGAAGAUCCAACACAUAAUAAAGAUUUGUUUGAUUAUAUAGCUAUGUCUAGUUACCUAUAAUAUGGACACAUUUAGUUUUAUAGUGGAUUUGAUUUUUUGUAUUUCUCAGUACAUUUGGAAUGUAUAUGUACCAAAAAGGUUAUCUGAUAGAGACAUUUGGUUUUGUGGUACAUUUGGGAUUUUUUGUUCAUUUGGUCUUUUGGUACAGUUGGAAUCUAAACAUACCAAAAUGGUUACCUAACAAUGGGCACAUUUGGAUUUAUGGUACAUUUGAAAUUUUGUACAUUUGGUUUCUUUGUAAAUUGUAUAUUUGAAAUCUAAAUGUACCAAAAGGGUUACAUAAUAAUGGGUACAUUUGGUUUUAGGGAACUUUAACGAAAAGCUCCGGGUACUGUUCACUUUAACGAAAAACCACAUUUUUACACUAAAAAGUCAAUUCUGGUACUAUUCACUUUACCCUUUAUUUUGUCAUUAUCAUUACAACUCAAAGUUUUCAAGCCAUUUUCAUUAGUUUUCCUUUGGUUUUAUGGUACAUUUGAAUUUUUGGUACAUUUGGUUUCUCGGUACAUUUGAAAUCUAAAUGUACCAAAAGUCAAUACUUUUGUUCUCAAAUAUACCAUAAGUUUUAAGUAUAUUUUUUAUAUAUCUAUACAUGAAAAAAAAAAUGUAUUGAAGACUUUUUAUUGAGACAUUUUUAAUAGAAAGAGAUUUUUUUUUAAAUACCGAUAAUCAGAAAAUGAGGAAUUAGUUAAUUUUUUAUUUUAUUUUAUUAAAAAUGUCAUUUAAUGCGUGGAAGGGGAUUGAGAAAAUAAAAUUUCUAUAUUAUAGGCAAUUAGUUGCUAAGUUACCUUAUCUGUCUAUAUAAAUGAACUUAAAUUAAUGACGUGGAAAAUAAAUAAAUAAAAAAUUAUUGAGGUGGCAAUUGAUCAAAACACCUUAAUCAAAUCUUUAAAAUGAAUGAAUGUUUAAUCUAACAACUAUAGAAAAGACGGAGGGCAUUCUAAUUUUCUCUUUUUUUUACUACCAAUUAAAUUUUAGGAAAAUUUAUGAAAAGAGCUUGAAAACUUUGAGUUUUAAUAAUAAGAACAAAAUAAAAGGUAAAAUGAAUAAUACCAUGUUUAACUUUUUAGUGUAAAAAUAUAAUUUUUCAUUAAAAUUAACAGUACCGCAGACUUUUCGUUAAAACUUCUCAAAAUUUUUGGGCUGGAUAGGAGCUACCCCAAAUUAGUGCACUGGGCAUCCCUUCUUGAAAUUGAUAUUAUUUUGUUUUUCCCAAAAACUGAAGUUUCAAGAAGUUGAUGGAAGCUCAUGGAACCGAACUCUCUGUUUUUCUUUUCUUUUUCUUUUUCUUUCGUUUUUUCCUGGACCAUACAACUGUCUGUAAUUCUCAAAGAACCAUGAAAACACCUGAACCUUCUUUGGCAACCUAUAAAUACAACCACUGUCGCACCCACCUUUGUCAGAUAAGAUCGUCGAAAGCAAUCUAAGCAAAAAUCUCUCGUUCAAAUUCUUCGAAUUGACGCCCAGCAAAAACCAACUCUAACCCAUCAUCCAAUGGCUCUCAGUCUCUUUGGCAACGGCCGACGAAGCAACUUCUUCGACCCCUUCUCCCUGGACAUCAGGGAUCCAUUCGAGGGCUUCGGCACUCUGGCCAACAUCCCCUCCUCCGCCCGCGAAACCACUGCCAUUGCCAACACCCGCAUCGACUGGAAGGAGACCCCGGAGGCCCACAUCUUCAAGGCAGACCUCCCGGGGAUAAAAAAGGAGGAGGUGAAAGUGGAGGUGGAGGACGGGAGGGUCCUGCAGAUCAGCGGCGAGAGGAGCCGGGAGCAGGAGGAGAAGAACGACAAGUGGCACAGGGUGGAGAGGAGCAGUGGCAAGUUUAUGAGGAGGUUCAGGCUGCCGGAGAACGCGAAGAUUGAUCAGGUGAAGGCAUCGAUGGAGAAUGGGGUCCUGACUGUGACUGUGCCGAAAGAGGAGGAGAAGAAGCCUGCUGUCAAGGCCAUUGACAUUUCCGGCUAAGCUCUUGUGGUGUUAAUUUUUGCUUCUGUGUAUUUCCGAGUAUCUGUGUGUGAGAUGAGUGAUCUGAUGUGUCAAUUUUCAUGUAUGGCUUCUUAUUCUAAAUAUUAUUAUAAAUCUUUAUAAAAGCUGAGUCCAUUUUAUUUUUGAAGAAGUGUCUCUUGGAGAAGAUCUAUUUAAUUUUAUACCACGAAUAUGGAGAUCUACUUACUACGAAUAAGAGUCCUAUGGUGGUCGAAAUUCCUAGCUGCUAUUUGUGGUUUGAUUUGUGAACAAGGUUAUAAUUUCAAAUUUUGAAUUGGUGAUUGUUUCUCUUGGUUUUAGUUUGAGUCUUCGAUCAAUUGAUGUUUUUCUUGAACAUGUGAUUGAUUGAAUAUGAAAGUUUUAAUUUUUUUUGUUUAUGUGGCCGAUUCAAUUUAUUUAUUUAGGUAUAUUUUAUGGAAAAAUUAGUUGUCUGGUUGAUAUGGUUACAAUGUAUAUCAGAUUGCAUGGUUAGUUUUAUUUUGUGUUUUUGAGUCUUAACUCGUUGUAGCAUGACGGUUUGAAACAUUCAGGUUAAGCUUGUUCUUCGGUGAAAUUGGAUUCUAGACCUUCCCUACAAAGAUGUUACCGAUUUUCAUCUUUUCUCAAGAAUACAAGAGAAUAUAUGUGGACAAUUCAACCACAAUGAAGACCAUAUAGAUACUUUAUAAUUUUUUUGUUUUUUGUUUUUUUUUUUUGGUAAACUUGAUAUUAUUCCGGGACAAAGCCGAAGUACAAGGCCAACAAAGAUACAAGAAGCACACAAACUUACAAACUAAACAACCAAAGGUCAAGACCAAAGUACAUUGACAAGCAAAAUGGACCAGCCAAACCAAAGCCCAACCAACAGCGUGGCCCAAAACAAAAAAGAUACGGUCGGAUGUGUGUUUGUUAUCUGCAAGAAACACUGCAUUUGCAAAGCUCCCUGUCGCAAAUUAUCAAAUUGCCGGCUCACCAUCCCGGUUAUCGAACUUAAGGCUUGCGGCAUACAUGUGUAGUGUAGGAUUAAAACUGUAAUUAUAUUAGCUUAUGAAAUUAUUCUAUAUAUAAGCCUAAGUCGUCUAUAGACCUAGUGUAGAUUUUACGAAUUGUGAAAUUGUUGAUUUUAAAAACUACCUAGUUUACGUCGCACACAGGUUUAGUAAUUAAUAAGCUAAUUACAUCAUUCGGUUAAAUACGGGAUAUGUUAACUCGUCGGCCGAAUUUGGUCGGAAAGUAAAAUAUGUUGAUGUGACGUUAGGCAUAUUACUGACUUAUUGAUCUUGCGACCGCGGCCGAGAAAGUAACACGUCUCGAUCUUCACGUUCUAGAGUCUAAAAACAAGGUUGCUAGUUCUGCGAAGUUCAAUAUCAAAUUCAACUUUUAGUGUGCCGAAUUUAGUAACAUGAUAACACCUCACUUCGCCUAAAAAACUGAAAAUAUAACCUCUUCCAACAAGAAGUAAAAAAUUAUUGUCAACCAAAAUUUGGAUAAAUAACUAGUCGGUUUGAAAGUAAUGAUGUUUAUUUAAACAAAAGGUGUUCCUCGUAUUGGGGACAUCAAAGAGACACAAAGAAAAAAUCAUAUUGGGGACAUCAAACCUUCAGUCCUCUCUCACCUACUUGUAAAAUUAGUUUCACAACAUAAUUUAGUAUUUUUUUUUCCUUAAAUACGGUUUUUUUUUUUUUUGAGAAAAAAAUCUAUAUCCAAUUUAACUGAUACUUAAUUUAAUUAAUUUUAUAAUUACCAAUUUGGAUAAAAUAAAAUAAAAUUAAUUAUAAAAAAAAUAAAUCAAUCAAUCAAAAAAGGUUUGUAAGUGCCAACUAUGUUUUGGGCCGAAAGGUACUGUUUGGUACGUAGACGGGAUGGAACGGGACGGAACAGGACAGAACAGAUGAUAUAAAUAUUGAAAAAAAUAAGAAGAAAUUUUGUCAUAAAAUGUUAUAAAUUUGUGUUCCCCGAAUGUGGAACGGGUCGUUCUAGGAGGAAGAGGUGGAACGAAAAUCAACCAAAUUUCAUCCCAUGGACAACCCGUUUCACAAUUUUUAAGCGCAUCAAAUGUGGGACGGUUCGUCCCACGUACCAAAUGGUACCAAAAAGUAACUAAAGGCACUUUCGAGAAGUUGGUGGAAGCUGAUGGAACUCUCUGUUUUUAUUGUUUUUUUCCCUUCUGGAUAGCUGCAGAACUUUCUGUAGUUCUCGGAGAAACCUUCUGUGCCAUCCUAUAUAUAUACAACUCACUCCACAACCCUCCUCAUCAGAUAGAAUUAUCCAAAGCAAUCUAAGCAAAAAUCUCUUGCUCAAAUCCUUCGAAUUCACACCCAGCAAAAACCCAACUCAAACCCACCAUCUAAUGGCUCUCAGUCUCUUUGGCGGACGACGAAGCAACGUCUUCGACCCCUUCUCUCUGGACAUCUGGGACCCUUUCGAGGGCUUCGGCGAUCUGGCCAACAUCCCCUCCUCCGCCCGUGAAACCACCGCCAUCGCCAACACGCGCAUCGACUGGAAGGAGACCCCGAAGGCCCACAUCUUCAAGGUGGACCUCCCGGGGAUAAAAAAAGGAGGAGGUGAAAGUGGAGGUGGAGGACGGGAGGGUCCUGCAGAUCAGCGGCGAGAGGAGCCGGGAGCAGGAGGAGAAGAACGACAAGUGGCACAGGGUGGAGAGGAGCAGUGGCAAGUUUAUGAGGAGGUUCAGGCUGCCGGAGAACGCGAAGAUUGAUCAGGUGAAGGCGGCGAUGGAGAGUGGGGUGCUGACUGUGACUGUGCCGAAAGAGGAGGAGAAGAACCCUGAGGUCAAGGCCAUUGACAUCUCCGGCUAAACUAAAUUCGCAUAACCUCGAUCGGCUACUUUUGAGCUCUGUUUUGGUGUGGUGUUAAGUUCUGCUUGUGUGUAUUUCCGAGUCUCUGUAUGUGAGAUGAGUGAUAUGGUGUGUCAAUUGUCAUGUAUGGGUUCUUCUUCUAAAUAUUAUAAUAAAUCUUUAUAAAAGUUUACAUUAUAUUUCCAAGAAGUGUGUCUGGGAGAAGGUCUAUUUAAUUUGUUUUCCACGAAUAUGAAGAAGAUGACUGUUCACGGCGCGAUUAUCUUGCUCUUAAAGUCUAGAACUUUAACACUUGCGCAUAGAAUUGAUAAAGAUUCUUUCGAUCUUCACACCUGCUAUUGCUAUUAGGAACCAGCUGCUGAGCUGUGACCUACGAAGAUUGCAGAGGAGUAUCAGGCAAAGAAGAAAGUUCGAGAUGUAAAUUUUGUAUGGGAGAAGUACUGCUCAAGUCGACAGUCCAGCAAAGGCGACAUUGAAGACAUCUUACUUACUCCAAGAGCAUAUGGCGAAUGCUCGAAGUUGCUUGAUUAGGACAGGGUCCUAUAGUGGUCGAAAUUCCUAGCUGCUGUUUUUGGUUUAUUUUCAAGGUUAUAUUUUCAACUGUUUUUGGUUUAACUCGUGAUUCGUGAACAAGGUUAUAUUUUCAAAUUUUAAAUUGGUGAUUGUUUCUUUGUUUCUUUUGGUUUUUAGUUUGGAUAUUAAAAGUUUUGUACCGUUUUAAUAUAUGACGUGGAUUGUCUGCCCUUCCACUCUCGUGCCUUCCUGUGCCUUCUUGUUUGUGUGAUCACGGUAGUUAAACCACGUUAACAUUUUAUAUUACUAUUUAUUUUUGUCUUAUUAUUUCUAUAAAAAAAAUAUAAAAUGUUGACGUGUAUGCGCAUACACGUAGACAUUAGACAUGUGUCCAAGUCAUCUUGCAAUUACUUUAUAGGUACAGCGAAAUGAUGAUCGAACCCUAAAUUCUAAACCCUAAAUCCUAGGGAAAAGUAAUUGAUGACAAAAAUACUGAGAAAUAAAAUUGGACUUCCUUCAACUUUCAACCUUCCCUAAGUAGAUAUUGAUAAAGCAGCUUUUUCAACCUUGUAUCGGUCGUAUUCUUGAAUUUGGAAGGAAAAGAGGAGUAAUGCUUCCUAGCAUGGGACAUAGAAUAAGACCUAGAAUAAAACCACUUAGAUUAGAAUAGCAUUCACAUAAAUGUUCUAAAAUAGAGUUAAAUCGAACAUUGAAGAGAUUAGUUGGUCGUUAUUGGGAUGGGUUCAAACAGGAUUGCAAUAAAUAAUAAAAAAUAAAAAAUAAUGAAGGAGCGGAACCUUCAUUUGACUCAAGCCAACCCCAGGUCGGGACGAGACUUUCUUUGUGCUACAAAUUAGUGAAAUUCUAUCUCUUUCGUUACACAACUAAAAAAUGGGCAACAACUCUUGAGUCAAAAGCCUUCUAAGUUAUGCUGAUGAUGAUUAUUUAAACCGUACAAAGCGCGUUUCUAGAACUGUUUAUGUCUUUAUCAUUAGAGAUAUUGCAAUAUUGUGCAUAUCAACCAAACAGGACUUAGUUGCUACGUCUUUCAAUCACACUGAGAUUUUAGCCUGUGCAAAGUAUCGCAUGAAUGAUUUUGGCUAAGGCGCGUGAUUGAUCACAUUAAAACUUUAUGUGAUUUUUCUUACAUCGUUGAUGUUCCAACAACGAUUUAUGAAGACAAUGAUGCGUGUAUCGACUGGUCAUACGCUUGUGUGUUUUAAUAACCACUCUGAAUAUGUGAAAUAUCGAUAUCUUGUAUUAACUCAAUUUUUCUCUGUAAGUCUACUAGUUAUCCCAUAGCAAGGUUUUUAACCGAUAGCUGACAACAACAACCACAUCACCUAAUCACGAAGAAAUGAUGCAGCUACUUCUUAAGUUGUACACACUUAAGUAGGAGUGUUGUGAAUAGAAUCAUUAAUUAGAAAUGUGAUUGUGUAAACUUAAAGUAGAAUUCCACAAGGAUUUGGAGAUCAAAUAAUUAUAGGCUUUGUAUUACUUAUAAGGCAAGAAAACUCAUCAUAAUUAGUGAAGAAAACCCAUCAUAAUUAGUAUUAAAAAGUCACGUGCUAAGGGUGAAUACGCCAUUCUUAUACACAUGAGCCCUUCUUUCAUGUCGUCUCAUUCCUCUCUCACGGUCGCAGGUCUGUUGUCCCUAAUUAUGGUGUCUCCUCUCUAAUUUCUCAACACGUGUACCACCCAUUUCGCCUAAUCUUCACCCCAUUAAAUUUUUAAUAAAACUAAAACCCAAAAACAAAGAAACUAGCAGUGACUAUGUCCUCAUCCACCCCAAUCCAUGCAGUCCCGUGCGCCAGCAACCUAAGCAUUCACCCAUGCUAGCCUCCCCAUGCGCCAGCGGCUACCCUUACUUGUACUUGCCAUCACCAAAAUCCUCUUCCAUCCAAAGGCGGAUUUAUUAAGGGACCUAGGUGGUUUCAGGACCACCCGAAUACUCGGAUAAUUGAAAACUUCCGAGGACCACCCAAGUUUGGGCAGUGAAGGGAAAGAGCAACGAACUGCAUAAUGUUCUAGCUUUUUGCAAACUAGAUGGAAAGAAGAAGAACAAGAAGAAGACCAAUUCUUUUUUAAACGGUAUCCUAGGUCACGUGCUACAAAGUCACAUUAAUCAUUCAAGUAAAGAGUAAUGCUAGGGGGACUAAAUUUGUAAAAAAUAUUUGCAAACUAAAUGAUGUGUCACCAAUAGGAAAUGAGCAUGUUUAUCAAUACUUAAGUAAUAAUCCAAUCAUUAACUUUCAUGUCAUUUAGUUUAUAAAUUUUGUCUAAAAAUUUAGUUUUUCUAGCAUUACUCUUAAAUAAAACGGUGAGCACUGAUGUGGUGUUUGAAAACUCAUUCUAGGUCACGUGGGAGGUUGAGAGCCUCACCAUUUUUUUAAUAAAAAAUAAUAAAAAGAGUUCGACUUUCAAAGAAAGUCCACCCCAAGCAAUAUAGUUCCCUAAUCCCCGGAUUUGGAUCCCAUCCAAAUCUAAAUUGUGAGGAUUCUAGGGAUCCGCACAUCUUAGUCAUUCAUCGUGCAUCGUGUAGUAAAAAAUCAUCUGACUUUUUUUAUUUAAAAUUAAACACAAUUAGUACCUAACGAAAACUGGCCGCACGAUGUACGAUAAACAACUAGGAUGUAGGGAUCCCUAUGAUCCCCACAAAGUGGAUCCGGAGAUGAUCCUUUUCCCUAAUCCCCAAUUCCUACCCCGCUCAACUAAAGGUCACCAUCAUCAGCACAGAACCAAUCUCUAGUCUUCACACACCAAUCGGCACUUCAAGAUCAACUUGGUAUUUAAAUUCAUUCUAUGCGUUGAAGAAAUGACUUUUCUCAAUUGUAAGGGAUUAGUAAUCUUGCUAAAAAAUGAUGAAAAAAGGGUUACAUGAAUUGUUGUUUGUACAAAAAUUAUGAAUAAAAAGUCGUAAUUUAUCGUUUAAUGUUUCAAUUUUACUUUCAUCUAAUUUUUUGGAGCUUUUUGUGAAACUUUAUAGGCCUAAGCAUGAUCUAUCACCGAUAUGAUCCCAACUUAACCACGUAUGGCUUAGUGUUUGGUUUUAUCCCAAAAUGACUGGUAAUAUUAAGGGUGAAAACUCUUAUAUAUUAAUAGUGUUGCAGUCCUAUUAGAUUAGGAAUUUGAUUGUGUAAAUCCUAACAUAUAUAUGAUAUUCUUAUGUGAUUCUACCAUAUCUCUUAGACUAUAUAUUAUCUUUUUAGAGUUGUAAUCCUAUUGGGGUAAGGAAUUUACCUUCACUACUACUAUAAAUAAAGGCACUAUGGGAUGAUAUAACACACACCUUACAAUUAGACAUCUAUCUCUUCUCUCUCUAUGUGCCGCACCCCCUCUCUCUCUCUGGCAUUCAUAAUUGUUCAAUAAAUUAUUCCUACAAUACAUUAUUAGCACGCUCUUAACGCUACGCUAAAGAGAGUUUAUUCUUCAUUCAGGGGAGUAUUAUGUUUUAAUCAUUCUUUUUAUGAUUAAUUUAUUAUUUUAUUGAAUUGACCUACAUGCUAUUGAUUCAAUUUAAUUUCUUAUUUGUUGAACGUGAUACAACACAUUGGAUAUGCAAUUCCGGAUUUCCGAGAAGCAUGUUCUACAAAUUUAAAGGCUUUUGUUGUUUUAUGCCAAUCAGGUAUAUUUAAAAUAAAUGAAGAUAUUUGAAACGACCAUGAAGCGUGAAAACAUUCCUCAUGAUACAUGAACCACUUAAAAUUAUAUUUACCUUUCGAUAUAUAUAUACGUUUCAUGCAUUAUGCAAUUUUUGUUAUUUGAAAUUUGUGAGUCAAAAAAUUGAAAUAAAUUAGAAGCAAGGGUUUUUUAAACCCUUCAAUGGCGGACGAGGUGGUGUUGUUGGAUUUCUGGCCAAGCCCAUUUGGGAUGAGGCUGAGGAUUGCUCUGGCAGAAAAGGGCAUCGAGUAUGAGUACAAAGAUGAGGACUUGUGGAACAAGAGCCCAUUGGUGCUGCAGGUGAACCCGAUUCACAAGAAGAUCCCGGUUCUCAUUCACAAUGGAAAACCAGCCUAUGAUUCCCUCAUUGCGCUUCAGUACAUUGAUGAGGUUUGGAAUGAUAAGCCUCCACUCUUGCCCUUUGACUCUUACCUCACAGCCCAGGCCAGGUUCUGGGCUGACUUUGUCAACAAGAAGGUGAUUUUUACUCAUUAAUUUACUUAUUUUUUUGGGUAAAAGACUGUUUACCACCCUCUUAUUUCGUGGUUUUCAACAUUUAGUACAUCAAGUUUUUUUCGUCUCAGAGUAAUACCUAAAGUGUAAAUUUUGGGACAGUCUCAUACAUCUGUUAGUCAAACUGUUAGUUCUCCCGUUAAGUGAUGACGUGGCGCUCUGAUUGGACGCCACGUGUCAUUAAAAAAAUAAAAAAUUUAUUUAAAUAAAAAUAAUAUUAAAUAAUAUUAAAAUAAAUAUUAAAAUAUUAAAAUAAUAAUAAUAAUUUUUUUUUUCUUCUUCUCUUCUUCUUUUUUUUUUUUUUUUUCUUCUUCUUCUUCUCUUCUUCUUCUGGUUCGGUUCUUUUUUUUUUUUUUUUUUUUUUUCAUUCUUCCUCCUCCUCCUCCUACUUCUUCCUUCUCCUUCCUCCUCCUUCUUCUUCUCCUUCUUCUUCUUCUUCUGGGUUCGGUUUCUCUCUUUUUUUUUCUCUUUUUUUUCUUCUUCUUCUUCUUCCUCCUCUUUCUCCUUCUUCUUCCUUCUCUUUCCUCCUCCUUCUUCUUCUCCUUCUUCUUCUUCUGGGUUCGGUUUCUCUUCUUUUUUUUUUUUUUUUUUAUCCUUCUUCCUCCUCCUUCUUCUUCCUUCUCCUUCCUCCUCAUUCUUCUUCUCCUUCUUCUUCCUUCUUCUUCCUCUUCUUUUCUGGGUUCGGUUUUUUUUUUUUUUUUUUUCUGUUUUUUUCCUUCUCCUCCUUCCUUCUUAAGAAGGAAGAAGAAGGAGAAGAAGAAUGAGGAGGAAGGAGAAGGAAGAAGAAGAAGGAGGAGGAAGGAGAAGGAAGAAGAAGGAGAAGGAGGAGGAAGAAAAAAAAAAAAAAAAAAAAAAAAAGAGAGAACCGAACCCAGAAGAAGAAGAAGAAGAAAAAAAAAAGAAGAAGAAGAGAAGAAGGAAAAAAAAAAUAUUUUAUUAUUUAAAUAUUUAUUUAAUAUUAUUUUUAUUUAAAUAAAUUUUUUAUUUUUUUAAUGACACGUGGCAUCCAAUCGGGGCGCCACGUCAUCACUUAACGGGAGAACUAACAGUUUGACUAACAGAUGUAUGAGACUGUCCCAAAAUUUACACUUUAGGUAUGACUCUGGGACGAAAAAAACUUGAUGUACUAAAUGUUGAAAACCACGAAACAUGAGGGUGGUAAACAGUCUUUUACCCUAUUUUUUUUGUUGUUUUUUUUAACAAGUGAUAUUAUCUACACUAAAAAGAAGGGGAUAGGUUUAGCCUCACAAUGAGUUAGUAAUAAUUUGGUUCAAAUUCGCCCUUUGCAAGAAUCGAAUCUAAGACUUCUCACUUACAAGUGAAUAAGAAUAUUAUUAGACCAUAGUACAAAGUGGCAAUUUCACAACAUAAUUAAGUUUAGUAUUUUUUUUUCCUUAAAUAUGCUUUUUUUUAUUUUAUUUUAAAAAAAAUCUAUGUUCAAUUUAACAUGAUACUUAAUUUUGUAAGUACCAAUUUGGAAAAAAAAAAUAUUAAAAAAAGGGGUUUUUAAGUACCCACUAUGUUUUGGCUGAAAAGGAACUAACCCAAAAAAAGCUCCAGAUCUGCUGUCUCUUAAAAUGUAUCUAAUAUGAGUCUCCUUGUUAAUAUGUUGACAUGUAUUCUUUAACUUGACUUAAAACUUAACUUUGUUAAUUUUAUUUAUUUAACAUUUAAAUUAAAAAAAAACUAAAAUAAUAAAAAACUGUUGGGUUAACGAGAUGAGCAAAUCCAAAUAGGAUUCUUCACCUUCUUUUUUGGUUUGCUGCAACAAUCGCAAGGAUCAGAAAGAACAAGGCGAGUUUGCUGUGCAUUUUUCUCCUUUGAAACAAUCGUAGUUCCAAAUCUAGCAUCCACACCAACAAACUCACUUGCCUCAACUCCAUCAAUCCAAGUUCGAACUUUUACCAAAACGAAAUUGUUCUCGCUCCCAGGCUUCUUCGAAGCAGAAUCAUCAUCAUGCACUAUAUCCCCGGCAGUGAUAGAGCUCGGAUUACCGACUAGUAGAAUAGUCAAAGCUGAAACAAAAACCAACCCACAAAGCCCCUUUCUUUCUCUCUCUUCCUUCCAUGGCUACAAUCUCUACAAAUCUGUGAUGCAGAGGAGGAAGAACCAAAAGGGUUGUUCUUUCUGAUCCUCGCGAUUGUCGCAGCAAACCAAAAAAGAAGGUGAAGAAUCCUAUUUAGAUUUGCUCACCUCGUUAACCCAACAUUUUUUCAUUAUUUUGGAUUUUUUUAAAUUUAAAUGUUAAGUAAAUAAAGUUAAUAGAAUUAAGUUUUAAGUUAAAGAACAUACGUCAGCAUAUUAAUAAAGAGAUAAAUAAGACACAUUUUAAAUGACAGCAGAACUGGAGCCCCCCAAAAAAGGCACUUUCGAGAAGUUGGUGGAAGCUGAUGGAACUCUCUGUUUUUAUUGUAUUUUUCCCUUCUGGAUUGCUGCAGAACUUUCUGUAGUUCUCAGAGAAACCUUCUGUGCCAUCCUAUAUAUAUACAACUCACUCCCCAACCCUCCUCAUCAGAUAGAAUUAUCCAAAGCAAUCUAAGCAAAAAUCUCUCGCCCAAAUCCUACGAAUUCACACCCAGCAAAAACCCAACUCAAACCCACCAUCUAAUGGCUCUCAGUCUCUUUGGCGGACGACGAAGCAACGUCUUCGACCCCUUCUCUCUGGACAUCUGGGACCCUUUCGAGGGCUUCGGCGCUCUGGCCAACAUCCCCUCAUCCGCCCGUGAAACCACCGCCAUCGCCAACACGCGCAUCGACUGGAAGGAGACCCCGGAGGCCCACAUCUUCAAGGCGGAUCUCCCGGGGAUAAAAAAGGAGGAGGUGAAAGUGGAGGUGGAGGACGGGAGAGUCCUGCAAAUCAGCGGCGAGAGGAGCCGGGAGCAGGAGGAGAAGAACGACAAGUGGCACAGGGUGGAGAGGAGCAGCGGCAGGUUUAUGAGGAGGUUCAGGCUGCCGGAGAACGCGAAACUUGAUCAGGUGAAGGCGGCGAUUGAGAAUGGGGUGCUGACUGUGACUGUGCCGAAAGAGGAGGAGAAGAAGCCUGAGGUCAAGGCCAUUGACAUUUCCGGUUAAACUAAAUUCGCGUAACCUCGAUCGGCUACUUUUGAGCUCUGUUUUGGUGUGGUGUUAAGUUCUGCUUGUGUGUAUUUCCGAGUCUCUCUGUAUGUGAGAUGAGUGAUAUGGCGUGUCAAUUGUCAUGUAUGGGUUCUUAUUCUAAAUAUUAUAAUAAAUCUUUAUAAAAGUUUACAUUAUAUUUCCAAGAAGUGUGUCUGGGAGAAGGUCUAUUUAAUUUGUUUUCCACGAAUAUGAAGAAGAUGACCGUUCAUGGCGCGAUUCUCUUGCUCUUAAAGUCUAGAACUUUAACACCUGCGCAUGGAAUUGACAAAGAUUCUUUCGAUCUUCACAUGUGCUACUGCUAUUGGGAACCAGCUGCUGAGCUCGUGCGUCCUACGAAGGUUGCAGAGGUGUAUCAGGCAAAGAAGAAAGUUAGAGAUACAAAUUUUGUAUGGGAGAAGUAAUGCUCAAGUCGACAGUCCAGCAAAGGCGACAUUGAAGACAUCUUACUUACUCCAAGAGCAUAUGGCGAAUGCUCGAAGUUGCUUAAUUAGGACAUGGUUCUACAGUGGUCGAAAUUCCUAGCUGCUGUUUUUGGUUUAUUUUCAAGGUUAUAUUUUCAAGAGAACUUUAACGAAAAACUUCCAGUACUGUUUACUUUAACGAAAAAUCAUAUUUUUACACUAAAAAAUUAAUCAUGCUAUUAUUCAUUUUACCUUUUAUUUUAUCCUUACUGUUAAAACUCAAAAUUUUUAAGUCAUUUUUAUUAGUUUUUCUUAUUUUCAACUGUUUUUGGUUUGACUCGUGAACAAGGUUGUGUUUGCAAUUUUAAACCGGUGAUUGUUUCUUUUGUUUCUUUUGGUUUUUAGUUUGGAUAUUAAAAGUGUUGUACCGUUUUAAUAUAAAACAAAGCUUUUGAGUACUUCCAUGGUCAUCUUAACCCUGGAUGCAAAACGAGAUUGAUUCAAUCCUAAACGAGAUCAAUUAUUUAAGUGAAAUCAACCGCUGUAUUUUACUUGUAGACUAGAGCUGACAUAUCUUUUGUUGUGAAUUUUAGCAAGGUACAACAAUGCGCCUACACGUAGACACUAGACAUAUGUCCAAGUCAUCCUGCAAUUACUUUAUAGGUAUAGUGAAAUGAUGAUCAAACCCUAAAUUCUAAACCCUAAACCCUAGGGAAAAGUAAUUGAUGACAAAAAUACUGAGAAAUAAAAUUUGACUUCCUUCAGCUUUCGACCUUCCCUAGGUAGAUAUCCAUAUAGUAGCUUUUUCAACUUUGUAUCGGUCGUAUUCUUGAAUUUGGAAGGAAAAGAGGAGUAAUGCUUCCUAGCAUGGGACAUAGAAUAAGACCUAGAAUAAGGCCACUUAGAUUAGAAUAGCAUUCACAGAAAUGUUCUAACAUAGAGUUAAAUCGAACAUUGAAGAGAUUAGUUGGUCGUUAUUGGGACGGGUUCAAACAGGACUGCAAUCAAUAAUAAAAAAAAUAAAAAAUAAAAGAAUGAAGGAGCGGAACCUUCCUUUGACUCAAGCCAACCCCAGGUCAGGACGAGACUUUCUUUGUGCUACCAAUUAGUGAAAUUCUAUCUCUUUCUUACACAACUAAAAAAUGGGCAACAACUCUUGAAUCAAAAGCCUUCUAAGUUAUGCUGAUGAUGGUUAUUUAAACCGUACAAAGCGCGUUUCUAGAACGAUUUAUGUCUUUAAAUUCAUUCUAUGCGUUGAAGAAAUGACUUUUCUCAAUUGUAAGGGAUUAGUAAUCUUGCUAAAAAUGAUGAAAAAAGGAUUACAUGAAUUGUUGUUUGUACAAAAAUUAUUAAUAAAAGUUGUAGUUUAUCGUUUAAUGUUUCAAUUUUAUUUUCAUCUAAUUUUUUGGAGCUUUUUGUGAAACUUUAUAGGCCUAAGCAUGAUCUAUCACCGAUAUGAUCCCAACUUAACCACGUAUGGCUUAGUGUUGGGUUUUAUCCCAAAAUGACUGGUAAUAUUAGGGGUGAAAACUCUUAUUUAUUAAUAGUGUUGCAGUCCUAUUAGAUUAAGAAUUUGAUUGUGUAAAUCCUAACUUAUAUAUGAUAUCCUUAUGUGAUUCUACCAUAUAUUUUAGACUAUAUAUUAUCCUUUUACAGUUGUAAUUCUAUUGGGGUAAGGAAUUUACCUUCACUACUACUAUAAAUAAAGGCACUAUGGGAUGAUAUAACACACACCUCACAAUUACACAUCUAUCUCUUCUCUCUCUAUGUGAUGCACCCCCUCUCUCUGGCAUUCAUAAGUGUUCAGUAAAUUAUGCCUACAAUACAUUAUCAGCACGCUCUUGAUGCUACGCUAAAGAGAGUUUAUUCUUCAUUCAGUGAAGUAUUACGUUUUAAUCAUUCUUUUUAUGAUUAAUUUAUUAUUUUAUUGAAUUGACCUACAUGCUAUUUGUUGAUGCACAAAACCGGAGGGGUCUUGGAACAACGUAAAUCUGACCGUGAAUCUGCAAGAAAUUAAAUAACACAAGAUGUAUCGUGGUUCAUCCCAAUGUUCGGGCUACGUCCACACUGAUAUUGUAUUUCUCUGUUUGUGAGAGGAUUGUGAGGGUGAGAGCCUCUGUAAUGUGAGAGUGAUGCUUCUCUUUAGGGAUCUGAGACCCUUCCGUUUGUGAGGGUGAGGAUACCCCUUUUAUAGACUAAGAGCUCCUCACUUAUUACAUAUUUCCCCCUUCAUUUAUUACAUAAUUACAUUUGAGUCCCCCGAGUAUUUAUACGAGGUCUAAAUACGGAGGCCCUAAGUAUGGUACAAACAGUAGUCCCCCAAGUCUUCAGUCAAGAGAGUCUUUUGGCUAGAGACUUGAAAUUCAGUCCAUGUGUAGGCCGAAGUAACUAGAUGUCGUCUAGGACUGAUACUCGAUAUGAAGCGGUGCUCAAUCUGAAAUAAUGUUCAACUAGAAGUAGCACAUGUUGCAAGGCUGCUCGGUUUGUGGCUUAUGUUGCCUUGGUUGGCUCGGCUUGUGGCGUUGAAGGUGAGGGAGUCCCUUUUAUAAAAUAAGGGCUCGCUCCUCAAUACAUAAGUGAUGGGCUAGAGUUUAUGCUCGCGGCGAGACGGUUGCUCAGCUGGCGACGAUGCUCUCUAAUGAUGGUGAGGGAGUCCCUUUUAUAGAAUAAGGGAUCGCUCCUCAAUACAUAAGUGAUGGGCUAGAGUUGAUGCUCACGGCGAGACGGUUGCUCAGCUGGCGACGCUGCUCUCUAAUGAUGGUGAGGGAGUCCCUUUUAUAGAAUAAGGGAUCGAUCCUUAAUACAUAAAUGAUGGGUUAGGAGUGAUGCUCGCGGCGAGGUGGUUGCUCAGCUGGCGGCGAUGCUCUCUAAUGAAGGUGAGGGAGUCCCUUUUAUAAAAUAAGGGAUCGCUCCUCAGUACAUGAAUAAUGGAUGCUUUCUAAUGAAAGUGAAUGAGUCACUUUUAUAGAAUAACGACUCGCUCCUCAAUACAUAAAUAAUGGGUUAGAGUCCCCCAAGUAUUUUUCAUGAGGCCCAGUUGAGGCCCAAUAUAUGGUACAUAAUGUAGUUCCCCAAGUCUUCAGUCAAUAGGGUCUGUUGGCUGGAGACUUCAAAUUGAAUCCAUGUAUGGGCCGAAGUGGUGGUUGUUCGGAGACGGUAUUUGUAUAUCCUUGUCACACCCCGGACCCGGGGUAGGUGGAAAAUUCGAUCCCAAGUCUGAAACGCGAACUAAAAACUAAAUAAAUAAAAUAAAACGGAAACGGGUUGGAAAAUAAAAUUCUUCUUAUUUAAAAUAACUCAAUAAUUCUUUACAAGGCUAAAUAAAUAAAUACAAAUUCUAGCCUCACAUCUAUCUCGUUUCAUCCCGUCUACCAUUUUGACAGUUUAGUUAGUAAACCUGCAUAACAAUAGAGGGGUGAGCUUCAACAGCUCAGUAGGAACAUAACCUUACCACAGUAAAAUUGACAAUACUAAAUUACGUGUUAUAAAAUCAUGUAAUCAAGUACCAAAUCAUUCUCGAUAACAAUGCAUGAAUGCAAUGCAAAACUCUUCAUCUUUGCCCGUUAAUUCAUAUAAUAAAACACGCGGACCUGCACGUCCCAUACCGUGCAUUUUACCUCUGCAGUGGUGGUUCGAAUGUUUUAAUAUACAAAUUAACCCCAUGUAACUCAAUCAUCCCAAUUUCCCAAACUCUUCGUCGCCAGUCCCGAAUUACCCUUAAAGAAUUUAUGCAUUGUGGGCUCGCCUGAGACCUGGUACCUGCUAAGAGUUUGGCUCAACUACACAAAAGAUAUUUCCAACUACCCUCAUUUCCAGAAUUCCUUCCUCAACACCAAACUUCCAACUAUUCUCACACAUAAGUGAUGCACAAAUAAUCUCAUUUCAUCAUUCACAUGUACCAGAACAUAUUCUCAGCGAAUAUAACUUCACCAAUAAUUUCGUAUCCAAUAACGAGUAAACACACAAGAGCAGUAUUUGUCCAAUUAGUAAACCAUAUCACAUUAAUCAACCAACAAGAUCGAUAAUAAUAUAAUGUUUCACGAAAUUUAAUAAAGCCAAUCUCCGUAAAGGUCUGCCGUAUUUCCCUUACCUAGAGUCCAAAGCAAGCAAACAAUGUCCCUUACCAACACCUCGAUUAAACACAACCAUCGUGGUAACUGGAGUCCCUGAUCCAACAAAUAAACUAUAUCACUGUAUAAUCCCUAUAUCUAACACCCAAUAUAAACUCCUUUAUUUUAGAAUUCCAAUAUUAGGCUUAACAUCACCUUAUCUUAGUUGGACCCUUAAAACAUUUUUCUUUCUUAUUUGGGUCCUAAAAAAUUUCUCAAUUAUAUACAUGCUACCAAGAAGCAUUUGCCCACAAAACAAUUCUAAAAUCACAGUUUUGUCCCAAGCCUUCGGGUAAUAACAAAACUACCCUUAACUUUCAGAGAACUGUAAAAUGGCCCCAAAUCUGAACUUCUAUUUCAGUUUGGUCCCUGUAGGGUGAAUAGUGAUAUUCAUGGCUAUUUUCCAGAUUGGUUCCUCUUGUCUUUCAAUCCAAAACAUGUCUAAACCCAUUUAUCAUGAUCUCUAAGUACCAAAUCACCAUUCAAGUUCACCAAGUUCCCUUAAUUUCGUAACAGCCACAAAAUAUCAAGGUUUAAAAACCAUGAAAUAAUUCUAGGGUUUGCAGCAGCUAGCCCAUAAAGAAUAUAACCUCAAUUCGUUCAGUUAUGCUUCCAAUAAGCUUAAUCCACCAUAAACAACAUUUAAAUUUAAAGAUUAAAGUUUGUGUAGGAAUAAAUCCCAAAAAUGGCAGCUUUCAAAAUCUGCAGUAAAUCCAUAAAUUAUUACUUGAGAUUUGUAAUACUCUUCCCCACGAAAGUGGAAUCAAAUUCGAACUUCCAAAUCAAAAGUUAAGAGAAAAUUGGUGUUUGGUUGAGACAAGGAGAUGAAGCUCAUUGCUUCCUCUUUGCAUCUUUCCGUGAAGAGAAGAAGAAAGACCAUUAGGUCUUUCGAUCCAAUAUAUAGGUGCACUUGCACCGCUUUCUUCAUUUGUGAUCCAAUGUCCACUUGCCACGUUUCAACGUAAUUCUAUCUUCUUCUUAAGGUCCAACUAAAACCUGCCAAGUGGUAGACUUGGCACUUAUUUGAGAACCCGGAUCAUAUCCUUUUGCUGUCACCUUCAGGAGCUGUCAUGUGGUGAUUCGCCAUUGGUCCAGCUUGUAAAUUCAAUUAAAACCUACACUCCGAAAAAUCAUCUAAAAGAUUAUACAAAAUCGCAAUGACGUUCACUACCUUCAUAUGAAAACCUUUUGAAUAAAUAAGCACAACAUAUUUUUUCCAAAUAUUUUUCUUAUUCAAUAAUAAAUUCUUGGGAUAUUACAAUCUUGCACUAAAGCUUUGUAGGUGAAGCUUUGCAAGUGAAGCUUUGAAGCUAGAGCUCUGUAAAUGAAGCUUUCGAAGUUGGAGCUUUUGUAAAUGAAGCUUUUGAAGCUAGAGCUUUGUAAAUGAAGCUUUCGAAGCUGGAGCUCUAUAAAUGAAGCUUUCGAAGCUAGAACUCUAUAAAUGAAGCUUUCGAAGCUAGAGCUUUGUAAAUGAAGCUUUUGAAGCUAGAGCUUUGUAAAUGAAGCUUUCGAAGCUGGAGCUCUAUAAAUGAAGCUUUCGAAGCUAGAGCUUUGUAAAUGAAGCUUUCGAAGCUAGAGCUUUGUAAAUGAAGCUUUUGAAGCUAGAGCUUUGUAAAUAAAGCUUUUGAAGCUAGAGCUUUUGUAAAUGAAGCUUUUAAAGCUAGAGCUCUGUAAAUGAAGCUUUUGAAGCUAGAACUUUUGUAAAUGAAGCUUUUGAAGCUAGAACUCUGUAAAUGAAGCUUUCGAAGCUAAAUUGACAUGAGUGAUGCUCAUGAAUGUUUAUGUUGAUUGACAUGAGUGAUGCUUAUGAAUGUUAACAUGAGUGAUGCUUAUGAAUGUUGACAUGAAUGAUGGUCAUGAAUAUUUAUGUAUGAUUGACAUGAGUGAUGUUCAUGAAUGUUUAUGUAUGAUUGACAUAAGUGGUGCUCAUGAAUGUUUAUGUAUGAUUGAUAUGAGUGAUGCUCAUGUAUAAUUUUGGAGUACUGGACAUACUUUUGAUCACCUGGUUGGUGAUAAUAGCGGCAGGCUGCCGAAUAAUUUUGGGAGUACUGGACGUACUUUUGAUCACCUGGUUGGUGAUAAUAACGGCAAGGUGUCGAAUAAUUUUGGAAGUACUGGGCGUACUUUUGAUCACCUGGUUGGUGAUAAUAGCGGCAGGGUGCCGAAUAAAUUUGGAGCCAUAAGGCUUGGCUCUUUUGGGCAUAUGGCCCUUCGCCAUCCACAUGACAUUGCAGCCCAUUAUUUUAGGCUUGCCUUUUUUUUAUAUUUUAUUUUAUUUUUAUGAUUACCCUCUGAUGGGGUUAUACAGAUGUCUUUGAAAGAUAAGAAAAAUAAAUUACAUCAUUCAAAAAUAAAUCUGACCCUCUGCUCAAUGGGUCACGCCCAUAAUUCUCUUUUCUGCAUGUCAUCACCACAACAAUUAUGUCUGCUUUUUUUUUUUUUUAUCUUAUUUUGCUUUGCUGCUUUUGUUUUUCCCACUUCAUUUCCUGCAACUUUCAAAACGUCAAGGUUGGCAGAGCCCAUCUGCAGACUUGCUUUUGCUUUUUCUUUUCACUUUUAUGGGAGUGGUUGAGCUGUCUGAGGGCCUUUCUUUUUCUUUUGUUGGAUAAGUGCGACAAAGCAUCAAUAUGCUAGCACAUGUGAAUAUCUGGUAAAGCUAAGUCUUUUGUUGGGAAAAGUUAUUCCUUUUGUCUAAGUGGGUUGUUGAAGAUAACCCAUCAUUGCAGCUCCACCACAAGUUUGCAUCUUAGCUUCCAUGCUCGCCGACAGUACCGUAUGGACUGGAUUCCAAUGUUCAGUUGCAAACUCGCAGCCAUUUGGACCGUCACCAGGAAGCCUUGAAUUGAAACACACAUUGUUUUACUGAAAACAGCAACUUUCUCUUCCUCUCCUCAGAAACAACUUAGCACCUAGAACAGAGAGGGAAACAUCCUGCGGACGGCAAGGUCACCGAGAAGCUUGUAACGGAGAGACUUGGCCUGAGCAAUAGCGCACAGCCCUCUGUUGUUAACCUUCUCAACGUAAAGCUCAACGCUGUUUUCUGGAAACUUAAACCUCUUCUGUACAACAGAGGUUAGCUCCCUGAUCCUCAUCCCCUUCUCUCCGAGAACGUUUUGGGUUCAGGUGGCUCGGAUGAUGAUCUGGGUUCGCAUCGGCAUAACCCUAACUUCAACGCCGGAGUAGCCGUCUUCGGCGAGCUCUCUCGUCAACACCUCGUUCAGCUCGGCGAAGAAAACGUCAUUGGCGAUGAACAUUCUGCGGACGGCAAGGUCACCGAGAAGCUUGUAACGGAGAGACUCGGCCUGAGCAAUAGCGCACAGCCCUCUGUUGUUAACCUUCUCAACGUAAAGCUCAACGCUGUUUUUUGGAAACUUAAACCUCUUCUGUACAACAGAGGUUAGCUCCCUGAUCUUCAUCCCCUUCUCUCCGAUAACGUUUUGGGUUCAGGUGCCUCAAAUGAUGAUCUCGGUUUGCAUCGGCAUAACCCUAACUUCAACGCCGGAGUAGCCGUCUUAGGCGAGCUCUCUCGUUAGCACCUCGUUCAGCUCGGCGAAGAAAACGCCAUUGGCGAUGAACUUUCGCUUCUUGCUCAUUUGGGUCGCAGUCGCCAUGGUUGUGGGUGUGAAAGUUGCAGAGAUGGGAUCUGAAAUAUGGUGGCAGGAGAGGAUUCAAGGCCACCUGGGUAUCUACAACAUUGUUCAACUUGAUGCCAAACUGAAAGUACAGGGCCUCACUAUCUCGUUUGCAAUCAUGAAUGACUUUGGUGAUAUAGGAAUACUCAAGUGCAGGCUUACAGGCAUUGAUCAGCAUCACCCCUCCCUGAAUGGCAUCAACCAGAUAUAUAGCAUUUGGAAAUACAAGCUGCAUGAUACAGAGAGUUCCAUGACGACAAAGGUUAACUCCCUUGCAAUCAAAACCAAUGACAAAUGGCCUUUCAGCUGAAAGCUGGGCCAGGCGAAAGAGGAAUGUGAGUCUAUAAAGGAGGAGGUACAGAGGUCAUGCGAUCGGACCAUCCACGCCAAUCUUUAAUUUUGCCUCCAAACCAACGAAACCCUGAUUGUCUCUUAUUCUCUCUCUUCUCAUAUGCUGAUUGAAUGAGUGUGAUUGUAACUGACAAAUAAUGGUAGAGAGAGAAAAAGUUUGUGGUGUUUUGUUUGAAAAGGUGAAAGAGAUCAGAAGCAAAAGUGAGGUAGAGAGAAUUUUGGUUGUCUCUUGGGUUUUGCAGAUCCACGGCGAAGGUGAAAAUUGAGAUAGGACCGACAUAGCUUUUCGUGUCACUUCCCACAGACGACGCCAAAUGUUGAUGCACAAAACCGGAGGGUCUUGGAACAAUGUAAAUCCGACCGUGAAUGUGCAAGAAAGUAAAUAACACAAUAUGUAUCGUGGUUCACCCCAAUGUGCGGGCUACAUCCACAUUGAUAUUGUAUUUCUCUGUUUGUAAAAGGAUUGUGAGGGUGAGAGCUUCUGUAAUGUGAGAGUGAGGCCUCUCUUUGGGGAUCUGAGACCCUUUCGUUUGUGAGGGUGAUGAGGCCCCUUUUAUAGACUAAGGGCUUCUCACUUAUUACAUAUUUCCCCCUUCAUUUAUUACAUAAUUACAUUUGAGUCCCCCGAGUAUUUAUACAAGGUCUAAAUACGGAGGCCCUAAGUAUGGUACAAACACUAUUGAUUCAAUUUAAUUUUUUAUUUGUUGAACGUGAUACAACACAUUGGAGAUGCAAUUCCGGCUUUCCGAGAAAGAUGUUCUACAAAUUUAAAGGCUUUUGUUGUUUUAUGUUAAUCAGGUACGUUUAAAAUAAAUGAAGAUAUUUGAAACGACCAUGAAGCAUGGAAACAUUCCCCAUGAUGCAUGAACCCCUUACAAUUAUAUUUACCUUUCGAUAUAUAUAUACGUUUCAUGCAUUAUGCAAUUUUUGUUAUUUGGAAUUUGCGAGUCAGAGAAUUGAAAUAAAUUAGAAGCAAGGGUUUUUCAAACCCUUCAAUGGCGGAUGAGGUGGUGUUGUUGGAUUUCUGACCAAGCCCAUUUGGGAUGAGGCUGAGGAUUGCUCUGGCAGAAAAGGGCAUCGAGUAUGAGUACAAAGAUGAGGACUUGUGGAACAAGAGCCCACUGUUGUUGCAGAUGAACCCGAUUCACAAGAAGAUACCGGUUCUCAUUCACAAUGGAAAACCAGCCUAUGAUUCCCUCAUUGCGCUUCAGUACAUUGAUGAGGUUUGGAACGAUAAGGCUCCACUCUUGCCCUUUGACUCUUACCUUAUAGCCCAGGGCUGACUUUGUCAACAAGAAGGUGAUUUUUACUCAUUAAUUUACUUAUUUUUUGUUGUUGUUUUUUUUUUUUCAACAAACGAUAUUAUCUACACUAAAAAGAAGAUGGUAGGUUUAGCCUCACAAUGAAUUAUUAAUAAUUUGGUUCAAAUUCGCUAUUUGCAAGAAUCGAACCUAAGACCUCUCACUUACAAGUAAAAAAGAAUAUCCCUAUACCGUAGUACAAGAUGACAAUUUCACAACAUAAUUAAGUUUAGUAUUUUUUUUCUAAAAUAUGCUCUUUUAUUUAUUUUUAAAAAAUCUAUGUUCAAUUUGACAUGAUACUUAAUUUUCUAUGUACCAAUUUGGAAAGAAAAAAAAUUUAAAAAAAAGGGGUUUAUAAGUACCAACUAUGUUUUGGGCCGAAAAGGAACUAACCCAAAAAAAGGGCCUUUCGAGAAGUUGGUGGAAGCUGAUGGAACUCUCUGUUUUUAUUGUUUUUUUUCCCUUCUGGAUUGCUGCAGAACUUUCUGUAGUUCUCGGUGAAACCUUCUGUGCCAUCCUAUAUAUAUACAACUCACUCCACAACCCUCCUUAUCAGUUAGAAUUAUCCAAAGCAAUCAAAGCAAAAUCUCUCACUCAAAUCCUUCGAAUUCACACCCAGCAAAAACCCAACUCAAACCCACCAUCUAAUGGCUCUCAGUCUCUUUGGCGGACGACGAAGCAACGUCUUCGACCCCUUCUCUCUGGACAUCUGGGACCCUUUCGAGGGCUUCGGCGCUCUGGCCAACGUCCCCUCCUCCGCCCGUGAAACCACCGCCAUCGCCAACACUCGCAUCGACUGGAAGGAGACCCCGGAGGCCCACAUCUUCAAGGCGGACCUCCCUGGGAUAAAAAAGGAGGAGGUGAAAGUGGAGGUGGAGGAUGGGAGGGUCCUGCAGAUCAGCGGCGAGAGGAGCCGGGAGCAGGAGGAGAAGAACGACAAGUGGCACAGGGUGGAGAGGAGCAGUGGCAAGUUUAUGAGGAGGUUCAGGCUGCCGGAGAACGCGAAACUUGAUCAGGUGAAGGCGGCGAUGGAGAAUGGGGUGCUGACUGUGACUGUGCCGAAAGAGGAGGAGAAGAAGCCUGAGGUCAAGGCCAUAGACAUUUCCGGUUAAACUAAAUUCGCAUAACCUCGAUCCGCUACUUUUGAGCUUUGUUUUGGUGUGGUGUUAAGUUCUGCUUGUGUGUAUUUCCGAGUGUCUCUGUAUGUGAGAUGAGUGAUAUGGUGUGUCAAUUGUCAUGUACGGGUUCUUGUUCUAAAUAUUUAUAAUAAAUCUUCAUAAAAGUUGGAGUACAUUAUAUUUCCAAGAAGUGUCUCCGGGAGAAGGUCUAUUUAAUUUUUUUUCCACGAAUAUGGAGAAGAUGACCGUUCAUGGCGCGAUUCUCUUGCUGUUAAAGUCUAGAACUUUAACACUUGCGCACAGAAUUGACAAAGAUUUGUUCGCUCAUGACAUGUGCUACUGCUAUUGGGCGCCAGCUGCUGAGCUCGUGUCUCCUACGAAGAUUGCAGAGGAGUAUCAGGCAAAGAAGAACGUUAGAGAUGCAAAUUUUGUAUGGGAGAAAUAAUGCUUAAGUCGACAGUCCAGCAAAGGCGACAUUGAAGACAUCUUACUUACUCCAAGAGCAUAUGACGAAUGCUCGAAGUUGCUUAAUUAGGACAGAGUCCUAUAGUGGUCGAAAUUCCUAGCUGCUGUUUUUGGUUUAUUUUCAAGGUUAUAUUUUCAACUGUUUUUGGUAUAACUUGUGAACAAGGUUAUAUUUUCAAAUUUUAAACUGGUGAUUGUUUCUUUUGGUUUUUAGUUUGGAUAGUAGAGGUGUUGCACCGUUUUAACAGGAUAAAACAAAGCUUUUGAGUACUUCCAUGAUCAUUCUAACCUGGAUGCAAAACAAGAUCGAUUUCACCCCAAAACGAGAUCAAUUACUUAAAGUGAAAUCAAAGUUGUAUUGUACUCGGUACACUAGAGUUGACAUAUCCUUUGUUGUGAAUUUUAGCAAGGUACAACAAUGCGCAUACACAUAAAUACUAGACAUGUGUCCAAGUCAUCCUGCAAUUACCUUAAAGGUACAGUGGAAUGAUGUUCGCCUUCUAAGUUAUGCCGAUGAUGGUAAUUUAAACUGCAACUGUACAAAGCGUGUUUUUAGAACGGGUUAUGUAUAUUCCAUUAGAGAUAUUGUAAUAUUGUGUAUAUCAACCAAACAGGACUUCGUUACUACGUCUUUAAAUCACAUUGAAAUUUUAGCCUAUGCAAAGUAUCGCAUGAAUGAUUUUGGCUGAGGCACGUGAUUGAUCACAUUAGACCUUUAUGUGGUUUUUCUUACAUAGUUGAUGUUCCAAGAACAAUUUAUGAAGACAACAAUGCAUUUAUCGACCAAUUAAAGAAAUGAUCCACCAAAGGCAACAUUACAAAGUAUACCGUCACGAAGUUUUUCUUCACUCAUUGGCAACAAAAGCAUCAGGAGAUCAAAGUUAAGCAAAUCCGAUCCUAAGACAACUAUGCUGACCUCUUCAUGAAGUCAAUACGAAAUCUACUUUUCAAAAGCUUGUUCAUGAAAUUAGACUGCAUAAUCUUUUAAAUUUAUGUCACUGAUAAUUCUCUUGGAGAGUUUUAUCGAACUCAGGAGAGUAUCUUAUAGUAUACUUACAUGAUCUUAACAUACGUUUUUCCUUAUGAUCAAGAGUAGUUUUCCUAUUGAAUUUUUGCUAACUUGACGAAUUUUUUUGAUGAAGUACCUACACUUGACUGGUCAUACGCUUGUGUGUUUUAAUAAUCAUUCUAAAUAUGUGAAAUAUCGCAUCAUGUAUUAACUCAUUUUUUUCCCCGUAAGUCUACUGGUUGUCAGAGCAAGGUUUUUACCGAUAGUUGAGGACAACAAUGCUACUUCUUAAGUUGUACAUACUUAAGUAGGAGUGUUGUGAAUAGAAUCAUUAAUUAGGAACGUGAUUGUGUAAACUAAAAGUAGAAUUCCACAAGGAUUUGGAGAUCAAAUAAUUAUUGGCUUUGUAUUACUUAUAAGGGAAGAAAGUCCAUCAUAAUUAGUAUUAAAAAGUUACAUGCUAGGGGUGAACACACCAUUCUUAUACAUACGAGCCCUUCUCUCUAUGUCGUCCCCUUCCUUUAUCAACGGUCGCGGGUCUGUUGUCCCUAAUUGUGGUGUCUCUUUUCUAAUUUCUCAACACGUGUACCACCCAUUUCACCUAGCCUUCACCCCAUUAAAUUUUUAAGGGACCUAGGUGGUUUCAGGACCACCCCGAUGCUCAGAUAAUUCGUUAUUAGAACUUCUAAGGACCACCCCAGUCUGGGCAGUGAAGGGAAAGAGCAACGGCUACAUACUGUUCUGGCUUUUUGCAAACCAGAAUGAGAGAAGAAGAAGAAGGCCAAUUCUUUUUUAAACGGUAUCCUAGGUCACAUGCUAGUCACAUUGAUUAUUCAAGUAAAGAGUAAUGUUAGGGAGACUAAAUUUGUAAAAAAAAAUUGCAAACUAAAUGAUAUAUCAUCAAUAAGAAAUGAGCAUGUUUAUCAACGCUUAAGUAAUAAUCCAAUCAUUAACUUUCAUAUCAUUUAGUUUAUAAAUUUUGUGUAAAAAUUUAGUUUUCAUAGCAUUACUCUUAAAUAAAACGAUGAGCAUCGAUGUGGUGUUUGAAAACUCAUUCUAGGUCACGUAUGAGAUUGAGAGCCUCACCAUUCUUUUAAUAAAAAAUAAAAAAAGAGUUCGACUUUCAAAGAAGGGUAAAUUACACAAAACUACCUCACUUAUUGGUCGAACCACAAUUUCAUACCCCCAUGUUUUAAAAAUUACAAUGUCAUACCUCAUCUUAUGAAUUUGUUGCAAUGUCAUAUCUCUGUCAGUUUUUUUGUCAAUUUAUCUGUUAAAUGCUGACGUGGCUUGAGGCGAUGCCCACUCCCUAAUCCAACUGGAUUAAAAAAAUUAAUUAAAUAUAAAACAAAUUAAAAAAAAUUCAUUUCAAUUAUUUUGUAAAAAACGUGGGGCCCACCAUGACCCUCAACCUUCUUCCCAGUCUACUAAGAGCAGUUCCACCGGAGGUGGAAUAGCCUAGCACCUAGUCAAAAAACCAGGCUAGGACCCUGUCAAUCUACUCCAGCCCGUGGAAUAGACUGGCACCCAGCUCAAGCCAGUCCACAGGCCGGCCUAAAAUCGACAGAGGAAGGAGACGGCUCAUAUGAUGCCAUGCUAACGUCAUGGCCACAUCUCUCUCAUCUGGAACCCCAUUCGACGCCUAGAACCCCAUCCCGAUCCUUGGAACCCAUCCCGAUGGAGCGAGCGGGCUUGGAGGCGAGGGGGGAGGUUGAGGUUGUUGAGCUUGAUCUUGCAGAAGCAUGGGGAGAAUGAAGGGUGAACGACGGAGCGAGCGGGCUUGGAGGCGACGAGGAUCUUGAGAGCGAGAUUGCCCACUGUGACACGCACAAAUGGGCAUGGAUCCAUUUUUCACCAGCAAAAUAAAAUCAAAGGGGGAAAUGCUAAUGCGCCUAUGCCUCUCUCCCUCUCUCCCUCUCUCAGUUGAGUGUUGGGGCAAAUAGUGUUGUUGCUGCCAUUGAUUUCUGGCAAGUGGGAAGAAGAAGAAGGAGAAGAAGACGACAGGAGUCAGAGAAAAAGGAGUCGGAGAGAAAAGUCAGAAAUUAAAAAACCAAAUUAUUAUUUUAUAGUAAAAAUUAAUAAUAUUUUAAUAAAAUUGACUAGGCUAUAUUUUGUUAGGGGUGGAGAUGUUUUGGUCUAUUACUGUUCACUGUGGUCUAUUACUGUUCAUUUGAGUGGAUAAAUGCGCUGGGUGCUGGCGCAAAGUCUUUAGGGGUGGAAUUGCUCUAAGCCUUCUUUUCCAGUCCACCGACGAUCUCCAUAUCCAUCAUCUGCCACCACACCAUCAUCCCCACCACCACUUCUGCCUUCUUAAUCGUCGUCAAAUCUUAAUUUUCUGGUGCGUCUCUGUCACCGCAUCCAAACAUCGCCAGAACCCUAAUGUCUCUAGGAAAUCGCAACCCCCAGAACCAAGUCGGCUCAGUUUCUGCUGAAAAGCGAUCCGGCGACGUUGAUUGUGUGAUGACGGCCUGAUCAGAAAUGACAAAGCCCUCUCACCAAAUCAUCUUCCACUCCUCCGAUUCUCACCGGCGACGGCCUGGCAGUUAUUGUUCUUGCUGUUGCGGAACUAAUUCUUCACCAAAAUUGAACGAUUGGGAGAUCCAGGGCGGUUCACGAAUCGUACAGAUGACGACAACGGGGAAGGAGAAUGGGCGUACAUGAAGAGGUGCGUAGGGGAGAUGAAACGUGUGAAGAACGUCAACAACCUAGAGGAGAACCUCCAAGAUGUGGACGACGUGAAGCCCGAUAAUGAGGAAGAAAAUAACGGCCCAGCCUCCUUUCCCGAACCCCAAACUAAAACACAAAAAAACCCGAUCGAUUGGUGCUAAGAAUUUGAAAUUUAGGGUUAGGGUUUGGAUGAAAUUGGGGUAUUUUGUAUAAAAUUGGUUACAGGGAUUAAUUUGGUGAGGGUGAUAGGUGUGUAGGAGGGGGAGAGGGAUGAGCGCCAUGGGAGGGAGUUGGAGAUGGAGGAAGAGAAGGGGGAAGUUGCAGAGAGGUGAGAGGGAAGGAAGGGGAUUUUGGUGCGGGUUUGGUUUCCUUUUUUCUUUUCUUUUUUUAAUUUUUUAUUUUUUUUAAUAUUUAGUUAAUUUUUUAAUCUAGUUGGAAUUGAAAAUGGGCCCCAUCUCAAGUCAUGUCAGCAUUUAACAAAGAGAUUGACAGAAAACCUAACGGAGGUCUGAUAUUGUAACAAAUUUGUAAGAUGAGGUAUGACAUUGAAAUGUUUUAAAGACGGGAUAUGAAACUAUGAUUGGCCUAAUAGUUGAGGUAGUUUUAUGUAAUUUAUCCUUCAAAGAAAGUCCACCCCACGCAAAUUAACUCCCUAAUCCCCGGAUUUGGAUCCCAUAUCCAAAUCCAAAUCCAAAUUAUGGUGAUCCUAGGGAUCCUCACAUCUUAGCCAUUCAUCGUGUAUCGUGCGGUCAGAAAUUAUUUGACUUUUUUUAUUUAAAAUUAAACACAAAUAGUACCUAACAAAAACUGACCACAUGAUGUACGAUGAAUAACUAGGAUGUGGGGAUCCCUAUGAUCUCCACAAAGUGGAUCCUGAGAGGAUCCUCUUCCUUAAUUUCCACCAUCAUCAACACAGAACCAAUAUCUUCUCCAGUCUUCACACACCUAUCGACACUUCAAGAUCAACUUGGUAUUUAUAUUUAUUCUAUGAAGAAAUGGCUUUUCUCAAUUGUAAGGGAUUAAUAAUCUUACUAAAAAUGAUGAAAAAAGGGUUACAUGAAUUGUUGUUUGUACAAAAAUUAUGAAUAAAAAGUUGUAGUUUAUCGUUUAAUGUUUCAAUUUUAUUUUCAUCUAAUUUUUUGGAGCUUUUUAUGAAACUUUAUAGGCCUAAGCAUGGUCCAUUACCAAUAUCACUGAUAUGGUCCCAACUUAACCACCUAUGGCUAGGUGUUGGGUUUUAUCCCAAAAGGACUGAUGAUAUUAGUGGUGAAAACUCUUAUAUAUUGAUUGUAUAUUAUUUUGUCAUAUGAUCUAUGUAAGAUCUUAUUCUCCAACACUUUUUUACUAGGACUUCUCGAUAAUAAAUCAUGAAUCCACCACUAUCCCCAUCCACACUUGAGAAUUUCAAACAAGUGGAGCUUUCCAAUUGUCCUUGAUAACAAGAGGAUUCUUGGUUGGGUAAUGUAAAUUCAUGAUAAAGAUGAAACUCAUGUGUUUGCAGCUAGGAUGGUAAAGAGGAUUCCUAGGUAAUUGUUUGGGCCUAAAAUAUUGGUUUGGGCCGAGUUUAGAAUGUUCUCGACUUGGAAGCAUUGUUCAAGGGCCGGAUACAAUAAGGAGUCUCGGUAGGAUGAGGAUGUUGAAAGUUGGGAAUGAAUGCGGCCUGAUAAGGGGUUGAGUUCAAAGUCCUAAUAGGAGUGGAUUGGCUGAGAUAAGAUUGGAUCGGGGUGAAGAGUCCUAAUCCGAGUAUAGGUUUGAUUCGAUCAGAAGAAGGUUUGCAACUAUAAAUAGAGGGAGGGGUACAUCAUUUAAACUCUUUUCAAUUCAACACACAAACUGCCAUGCGGAAAUUCUCGCUCUACGUGAAACCUCUCAACUGUUGGAAAUGUGCCCUAAAGCCAAUCAUGUGAUGAUACUUUACGGACAUUUCACAUGUUAAACUAAUCUAGUUUUACAUAUAAAGGGCAAAGAUUAUUGUUUGAGCCGUCUCAUAUAAAUGUUAUAUGCUUAAACGAUAAAGUCCAAGGAAUAUGUGAUUGGGAGAAUGUAAUCUAAUGAAGUUAGAUUCAUGAGACCAUUCUUUCGUAGACACAUCCUAAACGUUCCUGAUCAUAGGAUUGCCAAUUGGGCGUUGACAGUCCGUUAAGAUCAGUACGUACUAUGUCUUCUCUCAGGGAGAGUGAUUAGUCUCGAAUCAUUGGUGUGUGUGACAUCAAGACAAGUACGGUAGGUGCUCAAUAGAGAAUGAGUUCACUGAACGCGAUCAACGAAGAGUUCUCAUAUUCCAUGUCACGUGAGAACUCAUGGUUGGGAUAAUGCAAAGUAGUCCUUUGACCUGAGGCAUCAUAGUUGUCUUGUGGUUAAGUCCUUGAUCUUUGAUUAUGUCAAAGUCACUCCAUCAGGAGGGUGUCCACGGCAUCGUUGGGGUCAAGCCACUUAUCUAUGGAGACAAGUGAAUGCGCAACAAGGGAUCUCUAACCUUCAAACCGUUUGAGGGAGAAUACUCUCUGAUAUGAUUUGAAUCUCUGGCCAGAGUAUGAAUGAGAUUGAGGAAUGCGUUCCAAAUCACAUUCAAGGUAAUCAUAUAAGCACAAGACACACAUUGGAUAGUAGACAUGAGAAAUAAACUAUCAAACCAAACAAUGUGGUCAAGAGUAUUAGAUUAGAGAAGGACCGUAUUGCAUUUGUAAUCUCGAACUGAAUAGGUUCUCCACCUCUUCUGAUUAGCUUGGAUAACCAUGAUAUGCUGCUAGGUGUCACUCAUGGUUUGUGGAAGCCCUAAACGUGUGUAAUCACUAAAGGGAGAAUUGAAAAUAGUUUCAAUUCACAAUCGAUGUAAAAUGGUUUUAAUCGCCCACUACCUCGCUAAAAGGAACCUAAUGGAUCGCACACCAUAAAAGGUAGAGAUUGGAGAUUAAACGGAAAUGAGUAAGAAUGAUUAAAUGGUUUAAUCAUUUAUUUAUGGCAAGGAUUAAUUAAUAUGUUAAUUAAUCAAACGAAUAAGUUCGUUAAAUGACUUCGGGAUAGUUUUGGACCUUAAGGCCCAAUGGGCUUCGAACGUCAAGCCCAUUAACUUAAGUUGUAUGACAAUUUAAUGAAUAAAGAUUCAUUAAAGCCCAAAAGCCCAAAAUCCCUAAAUGUAUAGCCAUAUGGAAUGAAUUAGGGUUUUGGUUAUUUAGGUCACUUCAAGAAGUGACUAUAUAAAUGACUUUAUAGCCAAAUAUUCAUGAGGGAUUAAAAGGUUUUAUUUUUGGGGAAAAUUGGUGAGAAUUGUCUCUCCAUUUUCUCUCUAAAGAGGCCAACACCUUGGAGGGUACAUCUAGCAAUCCUACUACUCCAAGGUCACUCAUUUCUACAAUCUAACCUUGGUGAAGAGACUUAGAGGUUCUCAAUUUUGGGAACUUGGAGAACCUAUUCUUCCAUCCAAAUCCAUGGAUCUAAGAAGCAAGGAAUGAAGGCCCUAUCUCUUUGGGUGAUUAGCCUUUGCUUAUGCAAAGAGGAAUCUACAAAGGUAUUAAUUUCAACUCACUUUGUUUUGAGUUGAUUAUUGGUUCACCAAUCUACUAGGCUUUGAAUUUCAUGGUAAUGUUUUGUUUUUGAGUGCAUACAAGCAUGAUUCCGCCUUUAAUUGUUAAUUGCAUGCUAUAUGAUGUUGCUCAAAUGAACAUGUUUUCCCAAAAGAUUUCCUUCAUCAACAACCUUGAGAUUUUUAUUUUCUUUUUCGCCGACACAUCUUCAGUUUGGAUAAACAGCAUUAUCACCGUAGAACCAGCCGACAACGGAACCCCUUCAGUUUGGAUAAACAGCACUGCGUCGAGGCCAACUGGUUAUCUAUCCAAGUCUCGGUCGAGAAAGACUUUCAGGUCUUUAUUGGCAGAGGUCAUCUCAUUAGCCUUUUUGGUGAGGUGAGGUGUUACAGUCUACUAGGGCUCGGUACAUUGAACGCCGAGUUGUUUUAUGAUUGGAUACUCACAAGUAAGCUUUAGAGUUCGGCAUUCUAAUGGCCGAACCACAUUUACCAUCAAGACAUAUAUCUGUUUUGAGUAUCUGUUCCCCUAUACUCUGGUGUCGAUUCGGUGUGCUUAUACCCUUACAAAUAUAAUCACUGUGACCGAAUCCGGCGCCGACAAUUUAUGAACUUCAUAAAAUUAGCAGCCUUGUCUUCAGGCUAUAGAACCCAAAGGCCGGGACGUGUUUCUUCCUUGGUCGCAGUCGCAAAAUCGAGAAGUCAGCCGCACGCUUAACGCAACAUCAACACAUUUUACUCUUGGGCCAAGCUCAGCCGACAAGUUGGCAUGCCCCGCAUCAACCGAAUGACGUAGUUAGCUCAUUAGUUACUCAGCUUGUGCGCCACGUAGGCUUGGUAGUUUUUAGGGUCAACAGUAAUGUAACCUUCAUGAUUAACAUGAAAUUGUAAUGUAUUAUAGUGAAAGUAUGGUUAGUCGAAUGCAAUUAGGUCUGUUAUACUGUUAGAAUUUAGGCUUUAAUUUUCUAGGAGAUGAGGCAGUGAAGGUUACUAAGAACACAGAUCCUAUCCUAAUCUGUGCAACCAGAGCCCGGAGAUCUCUCUAAAAGUUAUAAUAAUUAUAGCCGUUAUAUCAAAUUUCAGCGGUCCGAAUCCAUUGAUCCCCGGGCUCUAGUUGCACAAAUCCGGAGAGGAUAUGUGUUCGGUUACUAAGGAGAUGAUCUAUGUUCGGUUACUAAGACUCGUUGGAUACUAGUUUCUCUAAUUUUGUUUAUAGCUUUUAUUUUUUAGGAAAACUAAUGAAAAUGGCUUGAAAACCUUAAGUUUUAAUGAUAAUGACAAAAUAAAUGGUUAAGUGAAUAGUACAAUAAUUGACUUUUUAGUGUAAAAAUGUAAUUUUUAGUUAAAAGAAACAGUACAGCGGACUUUUCGUUAAAACUUCAUUUUCUUCUUUUUUUUAUAUUAAAAAUCAACAUAAUUAAAUUUGAGAUUAAGUGUUUAGAUACAUGUAAGAAAUAAGCGAAGAGACAUAAAAAACUUCAAAUUGGGGACAUCAAACCCUAAGUCAUCUCUCACCCACUUAAAAUUAGUUUGACAACAGCCAUUUAGUACUACGGUCUAAUGAUAUUCCUCUUUAUUUGUAAAUAAAAAAAUUUAGAUUCGAUUCUCGUCAAAGGCGAACUUGAAUCACAUAUUGCUAACCCAUUGUGAGGCUUAACCCACUCUUCCACUUUUUUGAGUAUAGAUAAUAUCGUUUGUUUAAAAAUUAGUUAGACAACAUAAUUGAGUUUAGUAUUUUUUUUUUUUCUUAAUUAACAUGGUACCUAAUUUUAUAAUACCAAUUUGGAGUCUUUUUAUAAGUAACAAUUAUGUUUUGGGCCGAAAAGGAACAAACCCAAAACAAGGCACUUUCAAGAAGGUGGUAGAAGCUGAUGGAACUCUCUGGUUUUUUUUGUUUUAUCCCUUCUGGAUAGCUGCAGAACUUUCUGUAGUUCUCAGAGAAACCUUCUGUGCCGUCCUAUAUAUAUACAAGUCACUCCGGUACCCACCCAAUCAGAUAGAAUUAUCCAAAGCAAUCUAAGCAAAAAUCUCUCACUCAUAUCCUUCGAAUUCACAUCCAGCAUCUAAUGGCUCUCAGUCUCUUUGGCGGACGACGAAACAACGUCUUCGACCCUUUCUCUUUGGACAUCUGGGACCCAUUCGAGAGCUUCGGCCCUCUGGCCAACUUCCCCUCCUCCGCCCGUGAAACCACCGCCAUCGCCAACACCCGCAUCGACUGGAAGGAGACCCCGGAGGCUCACAUCUUCAAGGCGGACCUGCCGGGGAUCAAAAAGGAAGAGGUGAAAGUGGAGGUGGAGGACGGGAGGGUGCUGCAGAUCAGCGGGGAGAGGAGCCGAGAGCAGGAGGAGAAGAACGACACGUGGCACAGGGUGGAGAGGAGCAGCGGCAAGUUUAUGAGGAGGUUCAGGCUGCCAGAGAACGCGAAGCUUGAUCAGGUGAAGGCGGCGAUGGAGAACGGGGUGCUGACUGUUACUGUGCCGAAAGAGGUGAAGAGGCCUGAUGUCAAGGCCAUUGACAUCUCCGGCUAAACUAAAUUCGUAUAACCUCGGCUACUUUUAGGUUUAAUGUCAUAAUUAUGUUAAAUGAUCAUGGUUUGUUGACAUUGUUGUGGUGUCAGCUCCUGCUUUUUGUUCUUGUAUUUCAGUGUCUCUGUGUCAAUUUUCAUGUAUGGUUUCUGCUUGUGAAAUAUUAUAAACCUUAAUAAGGGUUUUGAGUACACUUAUUUUAAUUCAAUCAAUUCAAAUUAACUCAUAAUUUCAAUGAAAAAACAAUUGCAAAAUUAUCUAUCCUACCGGGAAGAGUGGAGAUGCAAGAAUCGGACGGAGGUACGUGUCCGUCUUUUCUUCCUGGUCGCGCUUCCUCACCCCACUGAUCUGGAGGAUCCGACCAUCCUCCACAUGAACCUUCACCAUCUCCUUCCGGAGCCCCGGCGCGUCCGAAUCAUACGGAUGACGACGACUGGGAAGGAGAGUGGGCGUACAUGAAGAGGUGUGUAGGGGAGAUGAAGCGUAUGAAGAACGUCGACAACCCAGAGGAGAACCUCCAAGGUGUGGACGACGCAAAGCCCGAUGAUGAGGAGGAAAAUAACGGCACGGCCUCUUCUCCCGAACCCCAAACCAAAACACAAAAAAAUCCGAUCGAUUAGUGCUAAGAAUUUGAAAUUUAGGGAUAGGGUUUGGAUGGAAUUGGGGUAUUUUGUAUAAAAUUAGUUACAGGGAUUAAUUUGAUGAGGGUGAUGGGAGUGUAAGUGGGGGAGGGGGAGGAGCCCCAUGGGAGGGAGGUGGAGAUGGAGGAAGAGAUGGCGGGAGUUGCAGAGAGGUGAGAGGGAAAGAAGGGGAUCUGGGUGUGGGUUUGGUUUUUCUUUUUUUUUUCUUUUUUAACAUUUAGUGAAUUUUUUAAUUUUUUAAUCUAGUUAGAAUUGAAAGUGGGCCUUAUCUCAAGUUAUGUCAGUAUUUAAUAAAGAGAUUGACAAAAAACCUAAUAGAUGUCUGAUAUUGUAACAAAUUCGUAAAAUGAUAUAUGACAUUGAAAUAUUUUAAAGACGGAAUAUGAAACUAUGAUUGGCCUAAUAGUUGAGGUAGUUUUGUGUAAUUUACCCUUUAAAGAAAGUUCACUCCACGCAAAUUAACUCCUUAACCCCCAGAUUAGGAUCCCAUCCAAAUCCAAAUUAUGGGGAUCCUAAAGAUCUUCACAUCUUAAUCAUUCAUCGUGUAUUGUGCGGUCAGAAAUUAUUUGACUUUUUUAUUUAAAAUUAAACACAAAUAGUACCUGACAAAAACUGACCACACGAUGUACGAUGAAUGACUAGGAUGUGGGGAUCCCUAUAAUCUCUACAAAAUGGAUCCUAAGAGGAUCCUCUUCCCUGAUCUCCACCAUCAUCAGCACAAAGCCAAUCUUUUCUCCAGUCUUCACACACCUAUCGGUACUUCAAGAUCAACUUGGUAUUUAUAUUCAUUCUAUGCAUUGAAGAAAUGGCUUUUCUCAAUUGUAAGGGAUUAGUAAUCUUACUAAAAAUGAUGAAAAAAGGGUUACAUGAAUUGUUGUUUGUACAAAAAUUAUGAAUAAAAAGUUGUAGUUUCGUUUAAUGUUUCAAUUUUAUUUUCAUUUAAUUUUUUGGAGCUUUUUGUGAAACUUUAUAGGCCUAAUCAUGGUCCAUCACCAAUAUCACCGAUAUAGUCCCAAAUUAACCACAUAUGGCUAGGUGUUGGGUUUUAUCCCAAAAUGACUAAUAAUAUUAGGGAUGAAAACUCUUAUAUAUUGAUUGUAUAAUAUUUUGUCAUAUGAUCUAUGUGGGAUCUUAUUCUCCAACAUUUUUUUAUUAGAACUUCUCGAUAAUAAAAUCCUAAAUCCGCCACUGUCCUCAUCUACACUUGAGAAUUUCAAAUAAGUGGAGCUUUCCAAUUGUCCUUGAUAACAAGAGGAUUCUUGGUUGGGUAAUGUAAAUUCAUGAUAAAGAUGAAACUGUAAACACCUAGUCGUGUGUUUGCAGCUAGGAUGGUAAAGAGGAUUCCUAGGUAAUGUAAACUUCAUGAUUAACAUGAAAUUGUAAUGUAUUAUAGUGAGAGUAUGGUUAGUCGAAUGCAAUUAGGUCUGUUAUACUGUUAGAAUUUAGGCUUUAAUUUUCUAGGAGAUGAGGCAGUGAGGGUUACUAAGAACACAGAUCCUCUCCUAAUCUGUGCAACCGGAGCCUGAGGAUCAAUGGAUCCGGGACAUUGAAAUUGAAUCCAACGGCUAUAUUAUUAUAACUUUGAGUUUUAACGAUAAGGACAAAAUAAGAGGUAAGUGAUUAGUACCAUGAUUGAUUUUUUAGUGUAAAAAUGUAGUUUUUAGUUAAAGUGAACAGUACCACAGACUUUUCGUUAAAACUCCAUUUUCUUUUCUUUUUUUUAAUUAAAAAUCAGCAUAGUUAAAUUUGAUAUUAGGUGGUUAGAUACGUGUAAGAAAUAAGCGAAGAGACAUAAAAAACUUCAAAUUGGGGACAUCAAACCCUAAGUCAUCUAUCACCUACUUUAAAAUUAGUUUGACAACAGCCACUUAGUAUUACGGUAUAGUGAUAUUCCUCUUUACUUGUAAGUGAAAAGUUUUAAGUUCGAUUCUCCCCAAAGGCGAACUUGAAUUACAUUAUUGCUAACUCAUUGUGAGGCUUAAUCCACUCUUCCACUUUUUUAGUGUAGAUAAUAUCGUUUGUUUAAAAAUUAGUUAGACAACAUAAUUGAGUUUAGUUUUUUUUUUCUUAAUUAACAUGAUACCUAAUUUUAUAAAGGAAAACUAAUGAAAAUGGCUUGAAAACUUUGAGUUUUAAUGAUAAGGACAAAAUAAAGGGUAAAAUGAAUAGUACCAGAAUUGACUUUUUAGUGUAAAAAUGUGGUUUUUCGUUAAAGUAAACAGUACCGGGUGCUUUUCGUUAAAGUUCCCAUUUUAUAAUACCAAUUUGGAGUCUUUUUGUAAGUACCAAUUAUGUUUUGGGCCGAAAAGGAACUAACCCAAAAAAAAGCACUUUCAAGAAGGUGGUAGAAGCUGAUGGAACUCUCUGGUUCUUUUUUGUUUUAUCCCUUCUGGAUAGCUGCAGAACUUUCUGUAGUUCUCAGAGAAACCUUCUGUGCCGUCCUAUAUAUAUACAAGUCACUCCGGUACCCACCCCAUCAGAUAGAAUCAUCCAAAGAAAUAUAAGCAAAGAUCUCUCACUCAAAUCCUUCGAAUUCACACCCAGCAAAAACCCAACUCUAAUCCGGCAUCUAAUGGCUCUCAGUCUCUUUGGCGGACGACGAAACAACAUCUUCGACCCCUUCUCUCUGGACAUCUGGGACCCAUUCGAGGGCUUCGGCCCUCUGGCCAACUUCCCCUCCUCCGCCCGUGAAACCACCGCCAUCGCCAACACCCGCAUCGACUGGAAGGAGACCCCGGAGGCUCACAUCUUCAAGGGGGACCUGCCGGGGAUCAAAAAGGAAGAGGUGAAAGUGGAGGUGGAGGACGGGAGGGUGUUGCAGAUCAGCGGGGAGAGGAGCCGGGAGCAGGAGGAGAAGAACGACACGUGGCACAGGGUGGAGAGGAGCAGCGGCAAGUUUAUGAGGAGGUUCAGGCUGCCGGAGAACGCGAAGCUUGAUCAGGUGAAGGCGGCGAUGGAGAACGGGGUGCUGACUGUAACUGUGCCGAAAGAGGUGAAGAGGCCUGAUGUCAAGGCCAUUGACAUCUCCGGCUAAACUAAAUUCGUAUAACCUCGGCUACUUUUGGGUUUAAUGUCAUAAUUAUGUUGAUCAUGGUUUGUUGACAUUGUUGUGUGUCGGCUCCUGCUUUUUGUUCUUGUAUUUCAGUCUCUGUGUCAAUUUUCAUGUAUGGUUUCUGCUUGUGAAAUAUUAUAAACCUUAAUAAGGGUUUUGAGUACACUUAUUUUAAUUCAAUCAAUUCAAAUUUUCAACUCAUAAUUUCAAUUUAAAACAAUUACAAAAUUAUCUAUCCUACCGGGAUGAUUUGAGAUGCAAUAAUUGGACUGAGGUCCGACCAUCCUCCACAUGAACCUUCACUAUCUCCUUCCGGAGCCCCGGCGCGUCCGCUUUGAACACGUGCGGCGUCGGCGUCUCCCGAAUGGGUUCGGAAUCACCCAGAUUAUUUCAGAAUCUUCUAAUCAAUAAUGCAAUUUUGGAUUUUGUAUUUUCGGAUAAGGACCGUUUGAAUUUGGGCGAAUUCGCGAAAAAAUCUUUAAAAUUUUAGUUUUUAAUGAAAAUGAUAAAAUAAAGAAGUAAGUGAAUAGUAUUAAGAAUGAUUAUUUAGGUUAAAAAUAUUUUUAACGUUAAAAGUAGAUCGUAAGUUAAAAAUAUAUUUGACGUUAAAAGUAGACAGUAGGUUAAAAAUAUUUUUAACGUUAAAAAUAAAUCGUAAGUUAAAAAUAUAUUUAACGUUAAAAGUAGACAGUAGUUUAAAAAUAUUUUUAAACAGUAGGUUAAAAAUAUUUUUAACGUUAAAAAUAAAUCGUAAGUUAAAAAUAUAUUUAACGUUAAAAGUAGACAGUAGGUUAAAAAUAUUUUUAACGUUAAAAAUAAAUAGUAUUAUAAAUGUUUCACUAAGAAUUUUUUUAUUAAAUCAGUGAUUGGAUUUCUACGGAGUUUGAUUGCGCCGCACGUUCUCCAUUUUCAUCCUCUACGUUUUGGCGAACAUCGUAAAAUUAAAAAGCCCAUGGACUCAAGUAAGGCCCAAUGGCUCGAGCCUAUGCUCACUUAGCUCGUUUUAUUGAAAGUGCGACAUGCGACCAUUAUCUAACUAACAAAUAUUAAACUUAAUGUAGACGUUAUGUACAAACUAAAAGAAAAUAAUGAAUUUACAAUGAUUCUUGACCGCUGCUAUCGCUGUUUUCCGAAUCAUAUUCAACAUCGAGUGCAGCGACUUUCGAAGCACUAAUUCUCGACGAAGUGGAUCGAAUUUUGUAGAGCAAAUUCGAAUGCGCACUAGCGACCAUAGCGCCCUGUUUUCCUUCCUCUUCCUCUUUCUUUAGGUCACCGGGGGGCAAGAAGCAGUCCAUGGACAAACCCUUUAUGUUAAAAUCGACCUCCUCAAUUUCCCAAGCCUCCUCCAUUCGCGUUCUCGAAUGGCCUUCCGUGCUGUCACCAAACCUAAACAACGAUGCACAUGUCUUGCCCCCGUGCGCGAUGCUGAUGCCUUCGACGUUCCGGUAGUCUUGGACGUGGGACUCCAUUGUGGUCUCCCAACAAAUGCCGUGGUCGUUGCCGGCGGAUUUGAUUCGGAGGAGGUGGGAGUCCUCUAGUUGGACUAGGAGGCCGGUUUUUUGGCUGAAGUAGCCCCAAACCGUGUGCCUUAUUAUCUCAACGUUGGUGCUGCUUCUUGCUUUUAGGGUUGAGGGUUCGGCUUCUAAUUUUAGUGUGAAGCAGUCUUCUUCCUUGAUCGCUUUCUCUCCAAUGCAAAUUGAGUUGCUGAAUAAGUUGGCUGUUGACCUCGGAUCAAGACCCUGUUGAGUACAGAAUGUAGUAUCAAUAUUUGUGCAUUAAGGUUUUUUUUCUUUUCAAACUAACGAUAUUAUCUACCGUAAAAAGUGAGGAAGUGGGUUAAGCUUUACAAUAAGCUAAGAAUAACAUAGUUCAAUUUUGCCUUUGUGUAAAUCAAAUCUAAGAUCUCUUACUUACAAGUAGAAAGAAAUAUCACUAACCGUAUAAUUAAGUGGCUUAUGCAUUACGGUAUUUUUUUUAAAUGGACAAUUGGUGGAAAUUCAUGAUUAUCGACCCUUUUUGGGGGUCGGAAAGACUCAUAUAGGCAUUUUCAAUCUUCCUCUAGCUACUAGUUUGGUUUCCACACCAGAAGCGGGUUUCGAACCCGAGACCUCCACACAAUUUUUGUAGUUUUCUAAGAAAAUCUCGCAAUUCGUCAUUUACCACUGGGUUAACAACUCGUGAUUUAUGCAUUAAGGUAUUUAAUUGUGUUUUUUUUUUAUUAAAAAAAUUGAACUUUUUCAAAACAAGCAAAGAAAAAUAAAGCUAGCUAGGUAUUGAAAGUGCCGAGAAACGUGCAGUUUUGGCCCACAUGAAAGUGGGCCAUAGAUUUAUAGUUGAGAAUAGUUUGAUGGGGACAUACCAACUUAGAAGUCAGGGCUUCCUAUGGGCAAAGUCAAAAGAAACCAAAAGAGAAUAAAAGAAAAAAGUCCUCAAACACCCUCUUUGGCUAAACUUAAUGAACUAUGAGCACUUAUACGCGGCUAGACACACAUACAUCAACCAGCGACAAUAAUUUCAUUAGAUAUCUCGUUAAAGUGUAUAUAUAAUUGAUUAUCGUUGAUGCAUUGUGAGACGUUUCAAAAAUUUUAACGGAUGACAAUCAUUAAAGCAUAAAUCGUGAUUAUAAAUUUUUCUGUAACUCUGUUAUCUUGAUCGAACGGUGAAUACAAAGGCAUAACACCAAAAAAACACCCGGAAAGGAAGGAGAGGUGGAAGGAAUUAGUACCUGAAGGAGACGCCGGAGAGGGCGAGGCGGGCCUCGAGAGGCAUGCGAGUGGUGCCAUGGUGUUUGGCGCCAAGCCACCUUUCCAUCACUCCCUGCACUGAUCUUGCAACCAGACACUACCAAUUCCAAGCACCAAAGUUCUGGUCUCUUCUGCCACAGCACAAACCCACCCAUCUCACCGCCGCCGCCCACUGAUCUCAACAAGCUCUUCACCUUCAACUUGUUAUUGCCACCAUUCAAGCUCCUCUCUCCAGUACAAAACUCUGACGCCGUCAUCUUCACCUUUCCCAUUGCGUACAUGCUGUCCACUGAAUUCAAAGCCUUCUCUCCUCCAACUGCUGCUAUGUAUUGCUUGACUAUGUACUUAGCCAUUGAAACUUCCUACAAAUCAUAAAACACAAAAUUAUUAAGGAAACUUCAUAUGUGACCAAAAGUUAUAUGUCAAACGUAACUUUCAUGGGACUUGACGUCAAAUUCCUUAACGUUUAUCUUGUCAUACUAGGAAUCUGGACCACUGAUCGUAUUCGUUCUUGUCAGAUUGGGUGGUCCAAAUUCUAGUCUAACAACAUAAGCAUUAAUGUAGUGCAUAGUCUGAUAAGAGAACGUUGUCAUACUAUUAUUUUGAACAAUGAAGUAAAAAUUACUUACAAUUGGUUGAUCUUUAAUGGAGCGGCUGAUGGGUUGGUGAUCUUUUGGAAUUGGUAAGGGAAUGAGAGGGGCUCCAAUGACUCCAAGCAAGAGCUGGACUUCGGCGUUUUUGCUUCCAAAAACCGCGUUGGCUGACUGUGAUUGGUCGCUGUUUGAGGGUUUCAUCCAAGACUUCAUGUUAUGCCAUGAAGUGGUGGCGUUCUUGUGAUUACCUGAAACAUACAUCUCUUCUGGGAUUGGGACCUCAAGGACUGUUUCAAGCCCAUCUUCGCAGUCCAGAUUGGGACAAAGCUUCCUCAUGACGAUGACAAGAAGGAUCAGAGCAGAUUGAGUGGCAAAAGAGAGUUUAGGAGGAGGGAGGAGGGAGGAGGGGCGUGGGAUUGGUGGAGAGAGCUAUUCUAUGUAGGACUAGGAAUACUAAGAGCUAUUGAGGUGGUUGCGAGUUGAGUCUUGGAUUCAAAGGGAGGAAGUAGGGAGGGGUCUUUGCACUCUGCAGCUGUUAAACAUUACCAACCCACCAAUGGCUCUCACUCUAACGUGGUUUGCGUUGUCUAUGUCGUGUUUGCACGCUCCUCUCUCUCUCUCUCUCUCUCUCUCUCUCUCUCAAACUUGGUUUAUUCUUAUUUUAUAAUUGAGGUAGAUUGGCAUCCAAGGAAUAAACUUCUCAUCUGAACUCAAAGAGUAUGUUGAAUUAAAAAAGGGAUAAAAGAAAAGUAGUGUUAAAGCUAUUAAUUAAAGGUAGACUUAUUGCUUUGUGUGACCUUGAUUUCAACUACCAACCAGGACCGUUUAGGGUUGUAGGAGUUGGAUUACGAUGACUUUUCGACAGUUAAAGUAAAACUUAAAUUAAAGCAAUAAGUAUUUUUUGUCAAUAUGAAAGCAAGAAGCUCAAGGAUCUUAUGAAUAAAGAAUGGGAAAACAAAGAGAUCAUGGAACUUAAUAAUCAAUAUGGACCUACUUGAUCAAAUUUCUGAUUUUUAGGAAUGGAAAAUAAGGACUUGGUUGAUCCAAUUCUUGAUUUAGAGAAAAAUAUCGUUGUAUAAAGAAAUUAUGGAUUGUAAAGUCGUAUUAAUACAAUAAAUAUUGGAAAAAAUGGAGAAUUGAAAAUAGAAUUUGAGGUGUAAAAGUAAAUGCAGUCUUAAUCACUUGAACUCUAAGCUUCUUCCAAAAUUUAUAUAUUUUUAUAUUCUCCAAAAUAGGAUGUAGAUGAUUCUCUCGUACAUUCCUAGUAAAUAAACAUCUCAUAAACCUAUACUUGAUACUCACUCUUUUAUCAUUGCGAUAUAUAUGUUGGAUUGACGGCAUACAGUAAAACAAAGCUCAUUCACAAUACACCCAAAAAGAAAGGAAAGAGAAGAAGAGAAAAAGAUAAAGUAAAAGAGGUAUAUAACUGUGGCAUGUGUUGAAUAUAAGUUUCAUAUCCGAGAAUUAAGAAAAUAAAGUAUAACAUAUAAAUGUAUGAUUUCACUUUUAAUGACACCAAAUUCUUUUAUGAUAAAAUCUAACAUUUAACAAUAAUGAUUAAGUUAGAAUAAUAUUUGUAUCAUCAGGAGUGGAUCAAUGAUCCGUUCCUCUGAAUAUCUUACAGCAUCCACAUUGCCAGCUUUAACCGCAGCAUAUAAUCUGACCCUAAAGCUUUUUACCCAUUAAAACGGACAAGAAUAUAAUCAUAACCAUCAUCAUUGGAUGAUGCUGCCGGAGAAUGCGACUGACAUUUUUAUUGAGUUGACACUCAAUCUAAUUUUCUCUCUAUUUCAAUAUUUUUGCUGUUGUUGAAGAGAUUUUUCAAUGUGACCGUCAUACAAAGUGGUACAUCAUGUGUCUUUUUAUAAAUAAUGAGUUAUGUGUGUUAAAAUGUUAAUAACUUAAAAAUUAAAAAAUUUCACACUUGCAUAAAAUCAUGUUGUAUAUCAUCCGUAUUACCAUCACAACUAAAAAUUUCUCCUGCUGCUGCAUUGCAUUAGCUGUAUCUGUACGUGCUUAAUUAUUUUUGUUUAUUUUUUUAGUGAAUUAUUUUGCUUUGUUUAGCUAAUUAAGCAAUUUGUCUUUAGCAAAACAAGAAACUGGAGGAUACAAAGCUCCUGGAUUAAAACCCUAAAUUAACUGAGUCGGUGUUGUGGGGUUGCGACACGUGUUGCUCUGCUCUCAAUCAUGUCCAGCACGUUCGUAUGAAAUCUUGAAAAUAUUAUUGUUUUUUUUUUAUUUAUUUGGAUUAACUCUUAUAAUCCCUUGGAGUGGCGACGAGGUAACUAUGUCUUCUUGUUACAAAAAAAAUGUAUUGUUGUUGCAAACAUUCCAAGGGAGUUGAGAGAAGUGAUCUAUCAAGAUAUGUAACGUUGUCUUGUAUUGUUGUUAGCGAUAUUCAUAUUUAACCAACAAUACAAAAACAUAAACACAAAAAAAGCAUAAGGCAUUUGCUAGACUCUUAUAUAUUAGCAUAUGAGUUUAUUAUCUGAUCCAAAUAAUUAACCAUUCUCUUAAAGCACUAGUCUUUCAUACAUAUUUUAUGCUUAGGGUAGUGCUAGGGAAUGUAGGACGUAUAUUUGAAUGCACACUCAGGUCAACCACGGAAUGGGGGUGGGGGCGGGCAUCAUUCUACUAAGAUAAACACUAUCGAGUAGUACCUUUUAAUGAGAGAUAUGAACAAGAAGCUUCAAGAAAACUAGUGUGACUAUCUAUUUAUAUCAUAUUUGAUAAAUCAUAUGAUGUGAUUGUUGAUAAUUGAAUUAGUACUUAAGUGCUGAUUAACGUAGGUAUCAAAUUUAGCAUUCAAAAAUGUUGAUGCACAAAACCGGAGGUCUUGGAACAACGUAAAUCCGACCGUGAAUCUGCAUGUAAUGUAAAUAACACAAUAUGUAUCGUGGUUCACCCCAAGGUUUGGGCUACGUCCACACUGAAUAUGUAUUUAUCUGAGGGAGAGAGAGAGAAUGAGCUCUGUAAUGUGAGAGCUUUGAGAGGAUGAAGGAGCCUUAAGAAAUGGCCUCCCCUAAUUGUGAGGGUGAGGGGUCCUUUUAUAGAAUAAGGACUCCUCACUUAUUACAUAUUUGCCCCUUCCUUUAUCACAUAAUUACAUUUAAGUCCCCCGAGUAUUUAUACGAGGUCUAAAUACGAGGCCCUAAAUAUGGUAUAAACAGUAGUCCCCUAAGUCUUCAGUCAAAAGAGUCUUUUGGCUGGAGACUUGAAAUUCAAUCCAUGUGUGGGCCGAAGUAACUAGAUGUUGUCUUGAACUGAUGCUCGAUAUGAGGCUGUGCUCAAUCUGAAAUGAUACUCAACUAGAAGUAGCACACGCUGCAGGGCUGCGAGGCUAGUGGCUUAUGUUGCCUUGGUUGGCUCGGCUUGUGGCAUUUGACGGUGAGGGAGUCCCUUUUAUAGAAUAAGGGCUCGCUCCUCAAUACAUGAAUGAUGGGUUAGAGUUGAUGCUCGCGGCGAGGCGGUUGCUCAGUAGGCGGCGAUGCUCUCUAAUGGUGGUGAGUGAGUCCCUUUUAUAGAAUAAAGGCUCGCUCCUCAAUACAUAAGUGAUGGGCUAAAGUUCCCCAAGUAUUUUGUAUUUUUCAUGAGGCCCAGUUGAGGCCCAAUAUAUGGUACAUAAUGUAGUCCCCCAAGUCUUCGGUCAAUAGAGUCUGUUGGCUGGAGACUUCAAAUUGAAUCCAUGUAUGGGCCGAAGUGGCGGUUGUUCAGAUGCCGUAUUUGUAUACCCUGCACUGAAGCUUUGCAGGUGAAGCUUUGCAAGUGAAGCUUUGUAGCUAGAGCUCUGUAAAUGAAGCUUUCGAAGCUGGAGUUUUUGUAAAUGAAGCUUUUGGCGCUAGAGCUCUGUAAAUGAAUCUUUUGAAGUUGUUUGACAUGAGUGAUGCUCAUGAAUGUUAACAUGAGUAAUGCUCAUGAAUGUUGACAUGAACGAUGGUCAUGAAUGUUUAUGUAUGAUUGUUUAUGUAUGAUUGUCAUGAUUGAUGCACAUGAAUGUUUAUGUAUGAAUGACAUGAGUAAUGCUCAUGUAUAAUUUGAAGUACUGGGCGUACUUUUGAUCACCUGGUUGAUGGCAUGAAGGGGAGUACGGGUUGUACAUUUCAUCACCUGGUUGGUGGCAUGAAUGGCUAGUUGCCAAAUGAUUUUAGAGUACGGGUUGUACAUUUCAUCACCUGGUUGGUGGCAUAAAUGGCUAGUUGCCAAAUGAUAUUAGAGUACGGGUUGUACAUUUCAUCACCUGGUUGGUGGUAAUAGCGACAGGUUGCCGAAUAAUUGUGGAGUACUAGGCGUACUUUUGAUCGCCUGGUUAGAGCUAUUUUGGGCUUAUGGGCCUUCGCUCUCCACACAACAUUCCAGCCCAUUUAUUUUGGGCUUUGCCCUUUUUUUUUUUACCCUCUAAUGGGGUUUAUACAUAUCACCCUCUGAUGGGGUUUAUACAGAUGUCUCCGAAAGAUAAUAAAAAUAAAUUACAUCAUUCGGGUGGGGUGUUUAUUCCUUGCUUUUGCAGUGUUUUCCUGCUUUUGCUUUCUGCUUGGUCCACGAGUCCCCCACGAUUAUCCCUGGUCUUCCGCAAUUAUAUCCGUCCACUCAUGUUCUAUGACCUUUGGAGACCAUUUGACUUUAAGCUUUUACUUGCCAUUCCUUGCUUUUCUCUAGAAUGACAGCUACUUGGACAGACACCAACCUUUUGCUUUUAUCUCUCUACUCCAAAUUUAUUACAUCCACUUUCUCUGGUAGGAUAACAUCCUCCAUGAAGCCCUCAAUCAUCUCAUCCACUUUCUCCCUCUGCUUUUCAGUCUCUCUCUUCCUUCAAAUUUCAAAAAAGCAUUGAUAAAGCUUAUGAGGCCUGGGCCCGGUUUUACACUAGCACAUGGUGGGACUGGGGGAAGACAUAGACCACUCCACAUGACAUUGCGCUGGAGCCGAGUUGCUUGUCUAAAAUCCAGACCGAAAACUGCACCAAGCUUGGGCGGAGAAGUCCCAAAGCAGUCCUCCAGCUCGAGACUAAUCAAACAGACCAACUGAUUCCCGCGAUCUGAGACGAGCAGCGUGCACUGAUCAGUAGCGAAAACUAGCUCAGUAUCUGGUGAAACCCAGGCUUCAACGAGAACCCUCCCGCAAUCGUGCUCACACUUGAAGCGCUCAUCACAGUUGAAAACCCGUUGAACAGCUAUCUUAUCAGCCCCUUGCUGCCGAGCUUAUCCUUAAUACCAGCAACAAUUGAGGUCUUGCUGCCGAGUUGAAAACCCAGCCGCCAUUGUUUCCGGUAGGAUUGAUCGAUUCGAAGACGAAUUACGGCGAGGUUUUUGUCUCCGGGAAUAAAAGGGACUCCUUGUGGUGUGGAGCUCGUACGUAGUCUCUGGGAAAAUCGCCAAGACUCCAUCUUGCUCCUCUAGUCGCUGCCAGAGCUCCCCUCCUGAUCAUGUCGCGGAUUCUGCCCAUCCCAGGUAAUAGAUUAUUCCAAUCUGGCGUCGUGUUCGAUAUCAAAGGGUAUGCAAGGUAAGGCAACAAAGUGGCGUUGUGUUCGAGAUCAAAGGAAUUGCAGAGACGGAGGAGAUGGGAUCGAUGAGCGACGACGGAUCUUUAGAUUGAUCGUUGAGAGCGCGGUAGAUUUGCCAGAGAAGAGACGCACGGUGUCUUCCAGGCUUCAUCCUCGUACAGAGUCCCUACCGUUUCUCGCUGAUCCGCUACUCUCCUGCCCGUUCUCAAUUUUUUGAAACCUUCAUAUUUCCAUAUAAGAACUGAGGCUACAACCAUAGUAGAUAAGAUCCAUAUUGCACAAAUAAGGUCGGGAUCAGGAGCUUUUCAACUGAAGAGGAAAAGCUCCUUCUUUGUGGUGGUGGUGGUUGACACCGACAUCGAGCGCUUCGUGGACAACUGGGUUUCUCCGACCGCCGCCAGAAGACGCGAACCGCCCACCACGUUGCUGCAACUAGAGAAUGCCAUAUGUCUCUCUCGGAAAGAAUCUCUCCGGUGGAAUCUCCAGCGUCGUUGCUCAGUUGGUAGCAAGCAAAAUUGCAAAUGGAGAAAUGAGAAGCUCCAAAUGCAAGGAAUUGGCGAUCAGCCUUUAUAAAACGAAGGCGUUUUGGUGAGGUUGUGCUCUGCGUUGAAAUACUUUGGGUUUUUGCAGAUUCUGUGAUUUUGCAGAUUCACGGCGGAGAUGAAAAAUUGAGAGAGAACCGACAUAACUUUUUGUGUCGUUUCCCACAGACGGCGCCAAAUGUUGAUGCACAAAACCGGAGGUCUUGGAACAACGUAAAUCCGACCGUGAAUCUGCAUGUAAUGUAAAUAACACAAGAUGUAUCGUGGUUCACCCCAAGGUUUGGGCUACGUCCACACUGAAUAUGUAUUUAUCUGAGGGAGAGAGAGAGAAUGAGCUCUGUAAUGUGAGAGCUUUGAGAGGAUGAAGGAGCCUUAAGAAAUGGUCUCCCCUAAUUGUGAGGGUGAGGGGUCCUUUUAUAGAAUAAGGACUCCUCACUUAUUACAUAUUUGCCCUUUUCUUUAUCACAUAAUUACAUUUAAGUCUCCCGAGUAUUUAUACGAGGUCUAAAUACGAGACCCUAAAUAUGAUAUAAACAAAAAAUAUUUAUUUAUUUUUAGUACAACGAUAGUUCUACUGCUAGACUAAGAAAGCGAAGGACUUCAACCCAUAAUUUGGUUUUUAUUUCUCACUUCACCACUUGCUGCUACGGGUACUUCUAAAUCAAAUUAUUAAGCCAUUUGAUUAUUAUGAUUUUCCUGUCAUUAAAAUCUUUCUUUUUUUAAAUUAAAAGCAAUUUGAUAUAUAAGAAAAACGAAUAGAGAAAGAAGGAAAUCUUGAAGUUUCAAUGACUGAGACGCGGAUUGAAAAUUAGUUACAGAAAUAAAGAAAGAAAAGUCUAAGGUUCACUUUCAUGCUGGGCCACUUGAUGAACUGAGAAACAAAAACCAAUGUCUAAAAAAUAUUUAGAUAUUAUCAAGAGACUAAGUAGGUCACCGAAAUUUCUGAUGAAUUUUCAGGAGUUUUCAUCUGACUGUAUCUCAUUGAACUCUCAUAUAAUUUCCUUGAAAUAUACCAUUUUUCCUAACUGGAUUGGUGGAAAGUCUCAGGAAAAACACCAUCUCGAUAAGUUUCUUUGUAUACAAGUAAUGCAGCUGUCAGUGUUUACUUUUCUUUAUACAAGCUGUUUUCAAGUUUGGAGGACGAGGCAAACUAAUACAGGACCUAUUGUGGGGGAGCAACUUGUAUUAUAUGUGUAUACCGUCGCUAUGACAUCUCGCAUCAAUGAUAAAAGACACAUUAUAUUAUAAUAUUAGUACAUAACACACGGUGACUGGUAUGUUAUGCCUUGAAAGUCCUUGCCAUGGAAUGCACUUACUAUUAACUGUAUAAACCCUAAACUUAGAAGCUCAUAUACAUCGAAUACAGGAUCUCGGGUGCAGUUAUAAUAAUCACUCAAUGCAACUUAUGAGCAUAGCAGGCGUCACAACUCGCGCAGACCACCAUAAUAACAAACAAACAAUUAUUUCAAUUUGUUUUCUUUUCCAAUUUUUGGCACUAGGAAACUAUGAUUGAUUCGUCCACUUAAAAAUACAAAAACAAAGAGAAUGAAUUCCUUACCCGGCCUAAAGAAUUGGAGAUUAUUUGGAGUGAGUUCCCACCGCGACACCCAGCACGAGCUGUGUCUGUGGCAUAUUAAGAUGUCGAUCGCCAAUCACGGCACCUUCCAUGCAGGAACUCGUGCAUGGACCAAAUAUUAUCUGUUUGUUUAUGAAUUUGACAUCUCCAAUGGAAAGUGCAGACAGCAGUCACCUCCCAGGGUGCUGACAAUGUUCGUCUUUUCCAUCUCAUAACUUUGCUUUUUGGACCCCUAACCACGUGUCCCAUGUUACCAUAUUAUCCAUUCCUAAAUUCCAUUUUUUUUUUUACAUAUUUUUAUGGGAUUCACGUAUGUUUAUGUAUAUUUGCUAGCAAACACAUGACAAAUCGAGAAUCGAAUUAGUUUUAACAUCCGUGUGUUGAUAAACGUUGUAGAAGCCAGAGAUUGAAACAAGUUUAAUGCUCAUCCCGACAUAUAUCAAAAGUUUUUCCAAAGUUUUUGGAUAUAUGCUAUUGGAAAGGAUAUGAUUCAUGAUCGUAGAACAUUAUGUACAGGAACAAACACUCCUAAGGAAUUGAGCUGCAAGCCUCUUAAAUGUCUCGAAAACUUUAAGCAACGAUGUCUCAUGAGGCAUGCCAAGUUUCUGUACGAGUAUCCUUACCCAACUUUUUGUCAAACUUACCAAAUUUCAGGGUCAUUGAUAGAAAUAUAAGCAGUAACCAUUCAGCUUGAAUGUCAAACCAUAUUAUAUGUGUUUGACCUUGCAGAUGGUCAAUCCCAAUGGCCGAUUGCUAGAACACGACUCGGUCUCAGCGAACACAUUGCUUGCAGAGCCAAGGCAAUUCAAUAACCAAGUUUAAGUUGAAAUGGCUCCUCGGAAUCCCCGGUUAUCAAACUUUUCACCCAGUUCCAAUAUCUUGCCUCCAGGAAUUCAAAAUUCUAACUUGCAGAAUAAGAAAUUUUCCCACUAGUUUUUUAUGUUUGAGAAUUUCUAUUUUAACCCAUGCUACCCAAUAAAGAACCGGAUUGGACGCAGACUCCAAAUACGCCCCAUGGUAGGAGGGAAACUUAGGUAUGAUUGUCUGACUAGAAAACUCUCAUACCAAUUAUACUAACAUGGGGUAGGUUGAGACCAAAAUACAGAGAAUCUCAUGCUUUUAGAAGAGCAUCCCUUCGGAUGGCCUAAUCCAAGUGCCCCUAUACAGAAAAAUCUUACCUGCUUAUACAGCAAUACUACACAGUGAAGCAUCUGCCACAAAUCUUAUACAUAUAAUUGGUUGUUUUUCUCUAAUAAAGCAUCUUCAGUUACGACAAGAAACUACUAUGGUGAUGCAAAUUCAACUCAAGUUUUGACAAUGGAAACAUAAGUUACACAACCUGCUGAAGCUAAGGCUACUUAAUAUAUAAACAAGUAGACAGAGAGAAACAGCUAACUCCAACGUAGUUUUCGGAGGCACGGGUACAAGGAAGGUACCAUUGAGUGCUUGUUUGCUACCUCUCUAUGACCACCGAAGUAAAAUGCACAACCCUCUACACGAGGUUUUCAUGAGGGCACAUUGAAGUGAAACAGCCACGAGAUGACAAACGCAAAGACCAUACAAGCUAGUAAGAAGUUCAGGAAGCGGUGACCCUGCCAGAAGUUUCGGCUCUCUGGUGUCUGCACAGGGGCACCUGCUACUGCUGCUGCCAGUGCGGCUUCAUCAUGCCACUGCUCCGCCGACUCAGCUUCACUCAAACCAGAUACAUUACGUGCGGUUGAUCCACAUAUCUCACAGGUUCUGCAAUCAUAUAUAUUUAAUCCGAAAGUUGAGCAAUAAUAACACAAACAUAAAAUUGUAAAGGAUACCCCAAAGAAACAUGUGAAGAACAACUCCUUUGUUUGGUUACAGGUUAAGCAAUCUGAACUAAAGAUUUGAUAUUGACUAGAAGAUAUUUCUAAUUCUAAAGUCAGAGCUGAAGAAAGAAGCAGGUGCAUAGGACACCUGUCAUUCAGCAUCCCUCCUGGGAGCUCUAUGAAACUUUUUAGUUAGGGCACAGUUAGUAGCAUGAAACGCCAUUCCCUGUAUUCAUAUAAGAAGGAUUAGAUUAGAAGUUAUCACAUAUCUCAUGCCACAACUGGAAACCUGAUGUCCAGUUUUUUUAAUAACACAAUGAAUUCAUAAUAAAUGAAUACAUCAAAUGGAACAACUUCUUACUACGGUGUGGUAAAAAGCACGCACAUCUCCGUGCUCUAUGCUUGGUUAGAGUCACAAAACCUGCGUGUAAGACUUGGAUCUUACCCAAAACAAUAACCUACAUGUUCGAUUUCCUAUGGGAAAAACAAAAAACAAAAAAAAACAAAAAAACCUAUUUCGAAUUUUGCAUAAACGCACAAACAUUUUAAUCUUAAUAACAAGGAACCAAAUCAAGGAAUAGAUACAGCUAAGCUUUUUACGAUAAUGGUUUUAGGAUGUCAGAAAAGUUCAACAAGAACCGAAUGAGAUUUUUACUUUAAUAUGAAAUUUCAAAUCUUUAUCUUUUCUGGUAUGUACUUAUUUUUUACCAUCUCAAUCAGAUUGAUAAUGGUUUCUGCCAUAAUUCCCUUUAAAAACAUACCAAGCAUAAAGAAUCUAUGAGGUCAUCAGGAUUUGAUAAGCAGUGCACCUUACAACUCUGCAUGAAAAGCUUGUCACUUAUAGCAAGAACUUAAUAGAUGAAAGGAACAAAGUCGUGAAUGAAAAAGUAGAAUGCACUACCAAGCAUAAAGAAUCUAUGAGGUCAUAAGGAUUCGAUAAGCAAUGCGCCUUACAACUCUGCAUGAAAAGCAUGCCAACUUAUAGCAAGAACUUAAUAGAAGAAAGGAACAAAGUCGUGAAUGAGAAAGCAGACGCACUACGCAAUCAAUUUCUAUUUCAGUUAUUUUCCUUCCUUUUUCUUUUUGACACAAAUAGAAGGACACCAGGCAAUUUAAAGGUUUUUGUCUAAUGGGAGUAGGAAAGGUAAAAAGAAAUUCAACCUUCAGAAACCUUCAAAGUUAAAACAUCACAAAAUUCCGAAGAAUUCAAGAGUAGGUUAAUAAUUUCGGAACAUAACACGGAGCAAAACAUUUGUGGUGCUUUUGACAAGACAAACCUACUUCAUUCGGUGAUCAAUCUUCAUAAGAUGGCAUCUUACAACAGUUUGAGCCGUCAAGUCGGAAAAUUCGUAGUGGGUCAAUAUCAGAAAAAGGAAACUUGGUAAAAGCACAUUAUUAUUUCCAAAACAUCCAUCAUGAAGCUAAAUGUAUGUGGAAAACACAUGUUCAAUACAGGUUUACUGAGUCAAGUAAUUUCAGUUAACAAAUCAUAUCAAAAGAAUGUGCAGAAAAAACAAAUUAUUUGACCUUUACAAUGCACACAUCACCAACCAGCUUGUCCAACCGGGAUGGCGGAAAAAGCGUCGGAAAGGAGUGAGAGAAAUGCAAAGUGCAGGCAUUCCAACAAGGCAAGAAUGGGAGAAGAAUCAUGCAUGUGCACAGUUGGAAUUCCAUGCAGGACUGCGGGUGCUUUGGACUUUCGCUUUAUUAAGCUUUAUGCUCUUGAUUUACACUAAUAUGCUUUUUCUUUAAAGCACCACACAAACUUAUUCUAAUUUAAGUUUGCAUUAUCAUGUGCAAACUGAGUUAGGCGGGUUGGUCAGAACAGUGUGCUCCCCCUUCCAAAUCCCUUCCCCGUAAAUUAGCGUAGAUUAGAAUAUAGCUUUAGCAAAAGUUUGCAUUGUUAAGUUCUUCUCAUUAAGUAAAACAAUUUUUCCUGCAUUAUCCCCAAAUUAUACUUCAUAAUUACACAAUCCUCAGAAAAACAACAUAACAAUUUAACCUAGCAUUUCAACGAAAUCACUGCUAACAGAUAAAAGUAAAUAAAUUAACAUCUGGGUAAUUUCUAAAACACUGAAAGAUUUAACCUUUGGAUGUAAAAACAACUUACUUGUUACCCUUGAUCUUGAACCAAGCCUCAGCACACUGCUUGUGGGCAGCAGCCAAAUCAGCCUUACAAGAACACCCCAGCUCAAUAGGAAUCCCAGAUUCAUGAUUCGUUGCAUCCAAGCUCAGGUGACAAAUCCUGCAAUCCCUCUCCACUUUCGCCACGUGAAUCUUCACCUCCUCCAGAUCCACCUCCGCCGAACUCUCCGACGAAGAUGAUUCCCUCUCCACAAUCUCAGACCCUGACUCACUGGAGCACCUCUUCUCCCCGUCCUCCGACCCCUCGGAGCCGGACUCAGGGUAGCUACGUCGACCCGUGGCGGCGCUGCUGCGUCCCACUUCCCCCUCCUCCACAUCAACAACCACAUGGGCUUUGUCUACGGCUGCCAUUUGCAAAACCCAGAGAGAGAAUCCUCAUGUAAUGGCUCUGUGCGGCCGAGAUCAUCAAUGCCCACAGAGGUUGAAGAAGCUCUCAACCCAGCAGGAAGUGGGUUUCUUAGAUUUUCAGCAACUGGGUUCGGUAGCAGUAGGUAACCCUCUCUCUCACCUCACUCCUCACUCUCGGUGUCAGCGACCAAAGUAAGAUCUUUUAUAUAGGACAAUGGAGAUAAAUAAACGCGCACACUAUUAAAAACCCGAAAUGUUUGCAGUGAGCAGCUGAAACAUAAUAACAUAUACAGCUUCCUAAUUUGUGUCCCCCAAAACAGACGACUUUGACCCCUCGCUCCCUGCUGCUCUGCUUUUUUGGUUAAAUUAACAGCAUUAGUGUGUUGUUCGGUGAUCAUAAACAAUAAAUAACGUGCCACCACAUUGCAUAUUUAACUUUGCCUUUUGGGUUUAACAAGUGAUGAGGGAGAUUAGUGUGUGUUUAUUUGCUAAUCUCUCUACUUAAUCAUUUCAGUUGAGAAGAUAAAGGAGGAGGUUUUUUUUCUCUUUGCUUAAUCAUUGUAAAUGAGAAGAUAAGAGGAAUAAGGUUCUUCCUUAAAGCAACUUAUGUUAAAGCAACUUAUGUGAAACGAUGUAUUAUUACCGUGACGUUUUAAUUUAAUAGGAGAGAAGAAGUGAUUGAGGUGACUUCAGAAAACUGUCGAGCAGAGAGCACCGAAGUUGCAUGCAUCAAAAGCAGAUUUCACUGUAUUCUUCACCCAAAGCUGCUUUUUUCAAUCUGCUUCUGUUUCGCUUGCGCAACUGACAUGAAGACCCCAUUCUUUUCUUUGAGGACAAUCCACUUUAACUUGUGGAAAGACAGACAUGCCCAUGUAGUUCUGAUGUAUAACUGAUAACACUAGUUGUCUGAAGGGUAUUAUUGACUGUUCACAACAUUAAUUGAUUGAGAAAAACAUAGGCUAGCACUGUGCGCAUGGAACAGCUGUUCCUUCAUCAUGCAAUUUAGGGUAAGUUGAAAAUUUUCUUUUUAACCUCAUGUUUGCCAAAAUCCUAAAUUAAGCUUUUGGUCAAAAUUAAAAUAUGUGGGGAGGGGGGGUGGGGGACACUGACAAAUGAGUUGUCUGUGUAACGGGAAGUGAUUAUCUCUGGAUUUCUCUCUUUAAAGCUCAGGGAUUAAAUGAUCUGAGCCUUUGAAAUUUGAUCAAACGGCUAAAAACAGAGAAGUGAGUACAAACUUUUAAAAGUUAUAAUAAUUUUUUACCGUUUGAUCAAAUUUUAAGGACCAGGAUCACUUGAUCCCUGCUUUGGAGGAAGAGAUCCGGUAUAUUUCCUCCCAACAGGAUUCUUUCCGGAUCCUUUUGGUGAGGAUUUUGGAAAUUCGUAAAUCAUGUCCAUUCAUCGUAUAUUGUGCGGUCAGUUUUUAUCAGGUACUAUUUGUAUUGAAUUUUAAAUAAAAAUAUUUAAAAUAAUUUCUGAUCGCACGAUGUAUGAUGAACAAAUAUGAUUCAUAGAUCUCUGGGAUCUUCACAAAGAGAAUCUGACGAGGAUCUGGAUUCUAUUUCCUCAUCCUCUGAAAACCAAAUUUAAUGAUUAAAUAUUUGAAAGAAAAAAUAUGGUGGGAAUGUCUGACCAUGUCAUCUAUAGAGCAAUUUUGACAAAAAGAUGAAACGGUUAUAUUUUGAUCAAAUCAGGCAGCGAUUCCCAUUUGCUCUUCCAAUAUUCACUACAUGAGGGACAUACUCUUAAAUGGAGAAUAUGGGUCAAGCUUGAAGCUUGUUUUGAGUCUAAGAUCGACUUUGAUCCUAUUCAGCAUGUUUAUGAAGGGCCACGUAUCCACUUGUUUUAGCCCCUUUUUAUAAGGAUCAUAGACCUAACCAGGUAAGGUAAGCCCAAAAUCUCUUCUUUAUGGGAGAUGAUUUUCGGCACUUCUUCUGCAACCCCUGUUUAUUUCUAAUCUUUGAAUUGAACAGAUCAAAUGAGAAUUAAGGGAAUUAAGGGGACAAAAAGAUAUGAGCGUAUAGUUAACAAAAGUAAUGAUUUUGAUAUUCCGUAUAACGACUUUCACGCUCAUUUUAACUUCUAGCACUCCCACCUGAAUGUGAAUAAACUCGAAAAUAAUCGAUUUGGAGUGCCAAAGUUUUAUCAAUUAUGUUUUCGGAUUUGAGAUAAAAGCACUUGUAUAAAAGCAUUUACUAGUCAACAGCUUCUUUGCUCAUGACAAAAGGGGUAGAGAAGUACCUACAUAUAUAUCUUUGAUGUAAUGCCCUCUUAAACGAGAUAAGUCAAAAGUGAAAAGCCUUCUAAAUGAAACUGGAGACUUCAACUUAAUCUGCUGUAAAUUAACCGAAACACCCGGAAGACUGAGGAAGACCAGCCAUGAGUUCUAGCUCAAUCCCUCAACUUCAGUUGGCAUUGCAAAAGUUUGUCUAGGCACCUGGGUUGAUAGCACGUCCGUCAUCAUUCCCAUCAACUUGUUUCUUCCUUCCUCAAAGCGCAUAUGGUCAUUCAUCGGAGUGUUUGCUGGCAACCCCAUUUGCAAGGUAGUGGCAGCUGCUUGAAAGACUCUCUGGCUUGCUACGUGCUCUGGCAUCCUUAUCCCAUUACUCUCAAGGCCACCCUUAAUCCAUGCAAUCUUGUUCAAAUCCGUAGCAAUGGAGAUUAAUUCGUGGCUAGAGAAAGGGAGAGGCUCAUCAUACUCAACGAACUCAGGCCCCAACAACGAGCUUUGAGAAUGCCCCUCAAUUCGAUCACAGCAACCGUGACCACAGCGUUGAGGAACCGUAGGCUCAUUGCAUGCACCUUCAAGGAAGUUGUCAAAGCCGAAAUCUAGUUUAGUUAUUGGGACCAAAGGGCCAUGACUUGGGACUGUCCUUGACAACGAUGAAGCAUUUGCUGGAACACUUGGACGGUUAUAAACACUAAAUGCACUAACACGUGCCACUGGACAACAAAUGGUGGACUGGAGAGUCGGAUGGUCUCUUGGCUCGGCAAUAAGAGUAGAAUUGUGCUUUGAUUCGGCAGCGCCAGAGCCCUCCUUUGCAUGACUUCUUACAUCGAACUGGUUUGGUCUAUUUUCCAUCAAGACCUCUCUUCCUUCAUGAGUCUUGAAUGAACUGAUAUUCCCAACUGACAGGGUUUCUUCUGAGGAUGCAUUUUUUCUGUCAAAGGUGUCAUCUUCCAUCAUUUCCCCAGGUCCAGUAUUAAACCUUCCUUUAUCAAAGCACUUGCGCCUUAGUGUAGAAUUCCAAUGGUUCUUGAUUCCGUUAUCUGUUCUACCUGGAAGAAGCUUUGCAAUUACUGCCCAUUUGUUCCCAUGGAUAGCAUGUGCUGAAACUAUAAUACGGUCUUCUUCCUCUGCAUUAAUUAAAGUUACACUGAGCAAACUUCAGAAAAAGCAAUGAAGCAAAUAAAUAUGCAACCUUAGACAGAAAGGUAUGCCAGUAUCAAACUCAUUUAACAUAUUUCACAGAAUGUAAUGACAACCUUAGACAGAAAGGUAUGCCAGUAUUUAACUCAUUUAACAUAUGCCAGACCCUGCGUAAAGCGGGAGCCUUGUGCACUGGGUACGACCUUUAUAUUUGAUUCACUAACCUGAGGUCCUGAACCAGCGGCAACAUUUUAGCAACAAGAGAACCAGCAUGAUACAAAAUCUUAAUGCAAUUCCAAACAACAUAAACCGAGGUUAACCCAAGGACAUUUACCUUAAUCAACCAAUGAUCCCUAGGGACUAAUAAAAUAGAUGAACCACCUAAUUAAAAUGAUUUGGUGCACCAACCCUACAUGUACACAAUAUCCUUUAAAAUGUAUCACCAAAUUGUGACCACAACUUCAAAUACGUUCUUCCAUCGUGGUGUUAUAAAUCAUUCUGAACUUUCCAAAUAUUCAGUUGCAUUCAUUCCUUAAACAUUGUCCAAAAGUUGCACAUAAAGAAGAAUCAAGAAAGCUGAGAAUCCACAUACAUACAAAAUCACAAAUUAACAAACAGAUAGAUCACGACAAAAACGAGAUAUGUUAACAUUAUGGAAACAACAUACUCGAGACUGAAAACCACACUAAGAAAAAGACCGCGCUAAUUGGAGCGUCUAUGUACACAUUGGACAGUCCAAACACAAUACCAGUUCCAACAUCAACAAAAUUCGAACAAAUUUGUACCGUGCUAGACUAACUGCAUAUCUCUCAAGGUUCCAUCUUUAAUCUUGAAAUCAUAUUCGACACUAACGAAAUGCUUGGCUCCUCGAUCAACACACUAGACUUACGAUAUACCAACAUUAAUCCCACCCCUUUUGUGUGCUACUUAGAACCAUAUCCAAUGCCGACAAUUUUUCGAAAAACGACAUACUACAUCUUUGAUUAAACAAACAAGAAACCAAGAAGACACUUCCGACAUAUGUAACAAACAAGACAGUGACAAGAGUUCACAAACAGCUUCGAAUUCGAAAAAUCGACACUCGAAAAUUCAUAAUUCCACUUGGUUAAGCACAUCCUAAUCGAAUUUCAGUAACCGUCAAAAUCCAAACACAACAAAACCAAUCAAACACAAACAAAGAAAAUAUCAAAACGAAAGUGGCGGCGAUAAAUUACCAGAAAAGGGUUUACGCUUGACGCAGGGGUCAAGCUGAUUACACCACCUCAGCCGGCACGACUUCCCAGACCGUCCGGGAAUUCCUCGGGCGAUCAGGCUCCAAUUCCUCGCCCCGAAGUUGCUCACGAGCCGGCUCAGCACCGCGUCCUCCUCGGGCGACCACGGUCCCCUCACUUUCCCGUUGGGCACUGCGCCCUCGUUCAACUCGGCCUCGGUGCCGGGGCGGUCGUCGGCUUGUUUGGGGACGGCGCCGUUUGGGGCCGUCAUUGGUGGUCGGUUCGGAGGCUUCGGUUGGUUUGUUUUUAUGAGUACCUACCCAGCAGACCAAACCUCUGCCUUUUUAACUGCAAAUAGGAUAGCGAUUCAUGUGGGACUGGCCUUUUGCGAAUGUUUCGGAUUCCGGUUUUGUACGGCAGUUUUUUAAAUGACCAACGUGUCCCCGUGGGUUGCGGGACGACGUCGUUUGCUUGUUAAGAAACUUGAAGUCUUCAUGUUGACUUUGUUUGGACUAUGGCUUUUUAAUUUGAAAACUUUAACGAAAAGCUUUCAGUACUGUUUACUUUAAUGAAAAAUCAUAUUUUUACAUUAAAAAGUCAAUCCUGGUACUAUUCACUUUAUCUUUUAUUUUAUUCCUAUCGUUAAAACUCAAAGUUUUUCAGUUGUUUUCAUUAGUUUUUUUUUUUAACUUUCUAAAGAUGGGAGGGAAAUGGAAUCCAACAAUAAAUGAAUUCGGGGUGUGAAUUUGCCAAAUUACCCCUAUAUUCACCAUUCGGUCACCAAAACGACGGCUUAGCUUUUGUCGUAGUCUCAUUCAUACAUAAAUUAGUAAGGAUGCAUUUAUUGCACCAAAUUAUCGGACUGAACUCAUUUUAGAAGUUAAGUUGGACUGGUUUAAUUAAAAGAGGCAGAUUGUCUGCCCUCUUGUUACUGUGCCCUCCCAAUCCCCUCUUAUUUGUGCGGUCACAAUUAAGUCACGUCAACAUUUUAUAUUCCUAUUGUUUUUUGUCUUAUUAUCUCUAUUACAAAAUCAAUAAAAAUGUUGACGUGACUUAACCGUUACCACACAAAUAAGAGGGGAUGGGAAGGGCACGGUAACAGCAGAGUAGACAAUCUGCCUCCUUAAUUAAAUGGUUUGUACAGUAUCAAAAUAAGAAACAAAAUAAUAAAAAUAAUAACAAUUAAUUCUCUUUGUUUCUUUUUCUUCUUUUUUAUUUUAUUUUUUCUUUUCUAGAACUCUCUCUACCCUCGCCCUCUCUCUCUUCUUGUCCAACUCCCUCUCUAUCUCUCUAUUGAUGGUCUCAUUGAUCCUCCAUUUCAAUCGAUCAAAGCUCCCAAAUUCCACAACUUUCGUCCAAUCACAAAACACAAACCUCAAAAAUUAAAGCCCAGAAUUCUCUAUUUCAACAACCCCAUAAUCCAAUCCCAAAUCAAAGUGAAGAGGGUCACAAAGGUGUUUGAUUUUCACCAUAACACUAGCCCUCCCCGCUAACAAUCAUUUGUUUAAAUUAUUUCAAAUAAAUGUCUACAUAGUUUCUGAUUGAAUCGAUUUUUGUAUAAAUAAUUUAUAACUUAAAACUUAAAAUAUAAACAAUUCGGAUCGUUAACAAUGCAAAUUAGGCCGUACAACCAGUCCACGUUUCUAUUACUCUAUUCUUUGAAAAUGAGUUGGAGAGGUUAAGGCCCUUUAAAAUGGACAUGGAUCCUAAUCCUAGGGAUCCACCAAUUCGGGCCAUUGAAAUUUGAUCCAACAGCUACAAACGAGGAUCCACUUUAAAAGUUAUAAUAACUUUAGCCGUUAAAUCAAAUUUUAAUGGUCCGGAUUAGUGGAUCCCUAUAAUUAGGAUGCAUGGAUCCAGAGAGGAUCCAUGUCCCUUUAAAAUAUUUUAGCAACUCAAUCGGUCAGUCUCUCGAUUGUGAACCCACACAAUUUGCUUGAAUUAUUGUGAUCUGAUUGCUUCUAGAUGUUCUAGGACUUCUGAAAAAUAGACGUUUUUUAUUCUUGUUCAUGUUCCUGUAAAUUUGAAGUAAGCGUGCACAACUUCAAUUAACAAUAUAUAUAUUGCUGCCCUACACAGAAGAAAGUGAGAGGAAAACUACAAUAUCUGAAGCGUGUGAGGUAAGCAUGUUUUAUUUUGAUUUUUGAGGUCCUUAAUUGUGUUCUUAGACAGUGACACAGAGCAAAUGAUGUGAUUACGAUGUCUGUUUACAAUGUUGCUAAUUAUACUCGUUCACCCUUCUCUUCAAUUACUCGUCAAAUAUGUGUAACCUUAGAUGAAUAGUCAACCAUGUAUGUUUAGUGACAUUCGUUUUUUUACUUUGUUGGAGGAAAUUUUUUGCUCAAAUCGACAAUUGUUAUCACAAAACAAAAGGCAUUGAAAUGAUAAAGAGUAAUAUAGACGGUUUGACUUGAUCAACGUGUUGAAUGUUUCUUACCCAAUACCUCAACAUAACUUGUUGGAGAAUGCAAGUAAAAUCUCACAUCGAGAACUCGACAAAAUAAUCUCCAAAAUUUACACGUGUAGUUUCACUACUAAUAGCAUUGAGACUUUUCAUGACAAAAACUCAGCACCUGUCAAAGCAUAAAACUUAAUUAUGGUGCCCCUUCUAGAAAAUAUUGUACUUAUUACAGGUUUAAGAUUCUGAAAAAUGUAUGCGCGUAGAUGCCUAGGUUCAAUAUUGACAUUAACGUAGGACUUCUUCAAGCCUUUUAAUUUGUCCAAGCAUUAGGCGUAUUAAGGAGUAGAUGUGCUUAAGUUAACGAGUUAAUUUCGUUCAAUGUCCAUUUUUUCCUUGUCUUUUGGCCUCAAUACAAUCAUUCUUUCUACACGCAUUUAUAUCCAUAAUUUUGCCUCCUCCCCAAGAAGUCAAGCGUCACCAUAUUUAAAUAAAUUUGGUGAUCGGAAGCUUCAAUGGAAUUUUGUCUUUUCAAACCUCUAAUUUGACUAGGCUUGUUUGGAUCAGCCUCUCUCAGCAGGCCCUUCAAUAAUAUAUCUGGCCCUCUCUUCUUCCUCUUUCACAAUCACAACCAAAUCAUCAGCUCAGAUAAAGAAAGAAAACCAAUAAAAUUUAAACGACAGAGAGAGAGAGAAAAAAUCCUGAAAAUUACCACAACAUGUUCAGCCCUUUCAGUUGUGCCAGUUUUAGUCACCAAGUAGAAGAAGAUGAUGAGCACAUGAUUUCAACUUCGCCUCCAUCUCCAAGAAAAUCAUCGAGAUCGAGAAGCGCUGGCCUGAUUUACAGAAGACACAACAAGGACAGCAAAAACCCAUAUUCGGACCGGGGCCUUGACAAGUUUUCUGCACUUGUAGCUGACCUAGAAGAAAAAAGGCAGAAGAUUUAUGAGCAAAUUGACCCGAAAGACAAAUCUUUUGUGCGGUUCGUGUUCAAGGACGAGACUGAUACAAGUGCUCCGGUUCCAAUCGUGAUCAAACUGAAAGACAAAACAAAGACAAUUAGUGAUCGUGAAGAGAAGCAUGCAAACCCUAAUUCAGAAGCCUUUGAAAAUAUUGACCAAUCCCACAUCGACAAGAAAGACAUGAAGCAGAAGCAAUCGAGAUCGGAAUCUGAUCAAGGGAGCAAGAAGGGAAGAUUUUCAAGUUGGAAAAUGAAGUUGGAUGAGUGGAGAAAGCCGUAUUAUUAUUUGCCGGUCGUUGUGAUCUUUAUUUUGGUGCUGUUGACCUUGUUUGGGCGGUCGUUUGCCAUAUUGUGUACGUCUAUUUUUUGGUACGCGGUUCCAACUGUGAAAGAGAGCUCGAGUAAUACAAGGAGGCCGGCGGCAUCAAAGAAGAAAGAUUAUGUUAGAAGAUUGAGUGCAAUACUAUGUUAGUUAAUGAGGGAAGUACAGACGCCGUGGCUAUACCCCCAUCUCAACGACACAGUCACCAGAAAAGUUUGUGAUAUCAUGGUCGAUGAUUGUGAGAGGGGAGAAAUUGAACACAACAUCACAAUACUGGUGAGUAUUCUUAAUUACUUGAGCUGCAAGCAGGUUUCAAUAUUUAUUUGAUGUGUUGAUAAAUGUAAACAAUGUGUAAUAUAUGAGAUUAGAGUAUUUCCACGUAGGUUUAGUGACAUUUAUGAUUGAAAUUCAUUUGUUUGAUGAUGAUCCAGUUAUGGUACUUUGAUGUAAGUUGUAGAGAAUGCACAUUACUUUAAUUUGAGUGGAUGUUCACCGUAAAUUUCUAAACAAAAGCUUAAGGAUUCGAUUUAGGAUUAAGCUACUGUAUAUGAAUCAAUAUAAUCGUCUGGCGUUUUUUACCAGUCAAGAACAAUUUUUUGAGAACAAUUCAAGUCAGAUAACCAUUAAUUUAUCUAUUUAUAUAUUGGACAACAAUAUACUUUGAAAAUUCUGGUUCUGAUCCUUUUGCUAGAAUAUAUUGUAUAGUCAACGUUUCUCCUCUUAAUUUUCCUCAUUUUUUAAGGUUCUCCUCUUCAUUCUUAACAAGCAAUUUCCAUGUGUUUCUUAUGUAUUUUUUUAAGGUUUUUUUUUUUGCUAAAAUAGUCUCUGAUUGAUAUAAUUUCUCAUUUUGGUCAUUGAUAAUGAAAAUCUAUAAAAGUGAUCCCUGAUUUUGUCCCCCGUAAAUUAUUUUGGUACUUCCGUGAAAAAUAUGUCAAUAUACUCGUUAAGUAGAGGGAUUGGUUGGACAAAAAUACCCUUAAAAAUGUGAUCAUGUAGUCUUUCACGUGAUAAUUUAAAGAGGAUAUUUCACGGAAUAACCAAAAUGAUUUACAGUGGGCAAACACAAAGACCACUUCUAUCAAUUUUUAUUGUCACGACCAAUGAAGAGUAUACCAAUUUUAGAGACCAUUUUGGUUUUAAAAAAAUAUAUAUUUUUAAUGACUUUCUGAUGUUUUCUUGUGAAAACCGUUGUGUUUGGACACAAUUUCCACAAGUUUCAGACGUUUGUUGUUGAACCCAAAAAAAGGACACCAGUGGUCCAUUCUUCAAUUCAAUGGCCUCAAAUUGGGGGAUGCGUCAAGCCCAUAUUGUCCUACAAAUUUUUGGAGGUGCAUCAGGUCCAUAACCUGUAUGGGCUAUUUUAGUCCAUCUAUCUUGCUAUUUGUAAAUUAAUGCAUGAUCUUUCUUUGGCAAGGUAAAUUAGAGCAAGUCCAGCGGGGACAAAAUGUCCCAGCCCUCAGUCCAAAAAACGUGCCGGGCCUCUGUCAAUCAAGUCCACCCCAUGAAAUGAACUGGUACCCAGCCCGAGCUGGGCAAUGGACCAGCCCAAAAUAGACUGAGCAAGAAGCCGGGCUAUUGGCUUGGCGCGUGCGAUUCACGCCGGUGUGGCGCGAGUGCCCGACACGGUUUCAGAGCCUGGGCCCGCGUGACAGGCGCACUGACUCCCCCCCCCCGAGUUGGUGACGUGGCUUUCUUUCGGCCGUUGGAUUUCCAACGGCUAGUUUUCUAGACUGUUGGAUUUCCAACGGUAAAAAAAAUUUAAAUUUUACUUUUAACAUAGACCGUCGGAUCAAAGAUCAACGGUCCACGUUUUUUUUACAAAAAAGUAAAUUAAAAAAAAAAAGGCCCCAACGGUCAGAAAUAUGACCGUUGGCCACGUGGCAAGUCCCUGGCUCUUGGAUUUGAAUAUUUUUCAAAUCCAACGGUCCAGAGUAAUUAACUAUAUUAAAAUUCAUUAAAAAUUAUUAAAAAAUACAGAAAAAUUAUUAAAAAAUACAUAAAAUUUUAAAAAAAAUUACAGAAAUAUUUGAAAAAUGUUAUUUUUUUUCCUAUAAAUACCUAACCCUCAUCUUCCACCUUUACACCACAUUUCAAUAUUUUCUACACUUUCUAUACUAUCUACAUUUCAAUAUUUUCUACACUUUAAGAGAAAAAAAUGUCUUCGUGGAAGCUCAUUGAAGAUGUUACGUUGUGUGAAUGUUGGGUUCACACUACUCAUGACCCGAUUACGGGUAAUGAGAUGGAUAAGCGAGAAAUGUGGAGUAAAAUUACGAAAGCGUUUUGCGAUGUACAUGGAGAAAACGCCAGAACUAGUCAAGGUCUUCAAGGUCGUUGGAAAAAACUCAACGCAUCAUUUACUUGUUGGAAAAACGCCAAAAAAAGCAUGCCAAAUCCAUGUAUCAAAUGAAGCCACCGCUUCCAAAAUGAUGCUUUUGGCUCCUUUUCUGUCGCCAUAUGCUCCUUGCCACGCACUUGGACAGUUUUUCCAAGUCCAGUGCACGCAGUCGAUGCUUCCAAUCAUGCCAGGGAAGCCUCGCAUCUCAACCUUCCUCAGAAGCCUUCGCAUGUCCCUUGACGUGGGUGUCCGGAGGUACUCUUUGGUGUAGAGGGCUUCAAUUGCAGAGCAAAACCGCAUCAGGGACUCCAGAACAGUUGUUUUUCCCAUCCUCGCGAUCUCAUCCACUUGAUCUGCAGAUGCUCCAUAUGCAAGCAUUCGCAAGGAUGCCGUAAUUUUUUGCUCGGGAAUAAGACCUAGAACAUGAAAAGCAUCCUCUUUUUGCACAAAGUAUGAAUCAUGGUUGCAAAUAUCACUCAUGAUUUUGUUGAACAAAUGUCGUUGCAUUCUAAAACGCCGUCUAAAAAUAUGAUCAGGGAAUAUGCUAUUGGGAAUAAAAUAAUCUUCCAAUAGAUUUUUACCUCGUUUUUCCCUUUUCUAUCGAGGUUUGCAACACGUCUUGGUUUGGCUAUCUGACCCACGGCUUCCAUGACACGGCGGGAAUGUGAGGCCUUCUGCCUUCUAUGGUGAUCAUCCUCAUCCCCCUCCAUGAAGAAAGCCUCAUCUCCACCUCCACCUUCCUCGAGAUUGGCCAAUUCUGCCUGUUGUGCCAACAACCUUUGUUGUUGCUCUUGCAACUGCUUAUACACCCUUCUUGAAGAAGACAUUGUAAUAAGAACUCAAGAUUUGAAAACGAUGAACAAGGAUUCUGAGCUAAAAAGAAGGAUUGAGCUUGGUGUAAGGAUGGAUGUAGGGAUGUAGGGUUUAUAUGGACAAAAAAAGAAAGGAUGAGGUUCUGGACAAUGCCAUGUGGCACUACGUGAUUGGUUGAAAAUCUUAUCGAAAUCUUGGCUAAAUUAUUGUAAACCGGAAGUGACACGUGACGUGUUAGGAUUGGUCGAAAAUAUUAUCGGAAAUCUAUCCACAAAAUAGUACGUUUGGAUAAUGACACGUGGCAUGACGUGAUUGGUUGAAAAUCUUAUCGAAAUCUUGGCUAAAUUAUUGUACCACGAAAGUGACACGUGGCGUGUCGGGAUUGGUUGAAAAUAUUAUCGGAAAUCUAUUCACAAAAUAGUACGUUCAGAUAAUGACACGUGGCGUGACGAGAUUGGUUAAAAAUCCUAUCCGAAAUUAAAACUAUUUUAUUUUUUUAUUCUUUUAGAAAAAAUUUAAAAAUAUUUUAAAUGGGCUGAGUGCCAGCGCAUUUUGUAGGGAUGGAGAUCGUUUGUGCCAGCGCAUUUUUUCACUAGGUGCCAGCGCAUUUUUUUAGGGGUGGAGAUGCCUUGGCCUAUUACUGUUCAUUGGAGUCUGUUACUGUUCACUUGAGUGGAUAAAUGCGCUGGGUGCUGGCGCAAAGUCUUAUGGGUGGACUUGCUCUUAGAGGAAUUGGAUGAUCAUUAUCCUAUGAUUUACAUUCUUAUAGGAUAACUAAUUCUUAAACAAAAUUAAGGUGGUUAAUCCCACUAGUCCGACCUGUGAACUAGACUCACACCACGUUACGACUUUUUUUUUUUUUUUUUUUUAACGAGAACAUAAUUCUAUUGAUGCACAAAUAGUUAUAAGCAGUGCCAUGGGUACAUAAAACUUUAGUAACCAAAUCCUUGAUCUGUAGGUAAAUUUGCACAAACGUCAAAGAGAAUUAAACCCGAAGCGGCUACCACACAAAACAAAUGCACUAGUACCAAGCUGUCAUAAUGACAAUAGAUGCAACAAACCUAUACCAAACACACAUCAAAAUCAUUGCUAUACAACAAGACCACAACAAAGCUAUCGCCACAAGUCUUGACCACAAACACAACCCUCUAAAGUGGUACCAUUAACAAUAAACAACGGCUUGAACCAAAUAUAAUACUCAAUGUGUACAAGAUUAAUAAGAUGAUAACUAUUUUUAAAUUUUCGGAUAAAAAAAAUGAAUUGUUGUAUUAUUGCAAAAUUAUUUUUGUAUCGCUUUGCACAACACGAACAUAACAUGAAUAUAAACAGAUAAAUAUGAACAUGACUCAUCGUCACCCCCAUUAAACCUAAUCUAAUCUAGUCACUUAACAACAAUUAAUCAAAUCCAUUCCACCAAGUGAAAACCCAUAUGUAAUGGUGUCUAUUUUCUACUCUUUGGACAUAUAUUAAUCCCUACUUUAGUAGCUAGUAGAAGUUCUUAAUUAGACUUGAGUCUUUCACGUGUUCCAGCCAACUUUUUAUAUUCCCUUUUUUCCUAUGUGAAUUUGAUCAUGUGUUCGAUCUUUAAUUAGGAACCAAUGAAAAAUCGAAGGAGCAGCAUCUAUUCCAUCGCAUCUUAGACCACUCUUCACAUCACAUGGCCCCUACCUUUCGGCCAUGACAUGGAUUUCACACUAAAAAACUUGCUUUAUUUUCUCAAAGCUAGAGAGAAGAUGAUCAAAAGGCAAAGCAGUUCCUUUCACUUUAGGGUAAGUGAGUGUAAGCAGCAGCAUCAAUAUUCAAUGGAGAAGCAAGAUGAUGACGAAUGCCAAAUCAAGAAGUGCAUGUUUUUUCCAACCAACCAAAGUGAAUGACCAAAAGAUUCAAUCGAUGGCCUUUCCUAGGCAGACACAGAUGCCCCGCAAACGCAUUCUGACGGCGAUUUUUAGGGCAGCUGGAACUUCUCAUGCUCCAUGGAGCGCUGUCCUUGAUGUGAUUAAGAUUACUGUUCCUGGCAUUGAAGAAGAGGGCUUACCAUAGGGCAAUAUAAGGAGUAACCUUAAUUACUUAUAAACAUAUGUAAAGGUCCUUCCUUUCCCGGAUGUGAGAGUAAGAUUCAACUCUCAACACGCCUCUUCACGUAUAGCGAAUUUUUCAGUCUAACAAGUUAAUAGUACAAAUUGAGUGACGUGGAGCGUGUGUGGCCGUUGGGCUUCACUUGUAAGACAUUACCAUGAAAAAGUUGAGGUUACACCAUAAAAUCAAUUAGUGAUAUGAGGAGUAGCCUAAUUACUUUUGGUACCGUUUGGUACGCAGACGAGACGGAACAGGACGGGACGGGACGGAACAGGAUGGAACGGAUGAUGUAAAUAUUGAAAAAGAUAAGGAGAAAUUUUGUCAUAAAAUGUUAUAAAUUUGUGUUCCACGGAUGUGGAACGGGUCGUUCCAGAGGGAAGAGGUGGAACGAAAAAUCAGCCAAAUUUCAUCACAUGGGACAACCCGUUCCACAGUUUUUAGGCGCACCAAACGUGGGACAGAACAGCUCGUCCCAUUCCGUCCCGUCCCGUCCCACGUACCAAACGGUACCUUUAAGUACAAUGUCCCUCAUUUCCUUGAUGUGGGAUUCAGCUCUCAUGACGCUGCUUACUCAAUUUUUUUGAGAAGUGAUUUUUAUGCAUUAUUUUUCUCCUCACGUAUAUGCACACCCUUGACUUUUAGCCAGGAGGAGAUAAAUUUAAAAAGGAGGUGGGAAAAUCAUUAGAGUUAUGAUAAUCAACCUGAAGUAAAAUUACGAUACUCCCAGUAUCAUUGAAUUUUACAACGAAGAUUAGACAAAGCUAACAGUGGUGAAAGAUGCAUGGGCAAAGGACUAUAUAAAUGAGGUACUUAAUGAUAAAACCCACUAGAUUGAUAUGUGCCUUGAUUUUCAUUAUUUCUUAAGCAUAAAUACAAUGAGGGAUGCAGUAUAAGUUAAAAUUAGGGUUCCUCACAAAGAUCGUUCACAUUAAAUUAAUGCAUUUCACGCAUUAUAACCUUGUUUUACGUCAAGAGGUCAAAUUCAUACAUGACAUAUGCAGACACACACACCUAACUACCAAAGCAAAAACGGACGACAAAAUAUUUUGCUGCAAAAUAUUGGUCACCUGCUACCUGCAGAUAAGGACUCUAUAUAUACACCACACACCCGUAGAAUUAUACAGGUUCAAAAUUUUAAUUAAGUAGAACGAAUUGCAGAAACCAGGACAUGCCAAACACAAGAUGACCAAAAGGAUCCAACGUGACCGCUAGCUAGAUAUUACCCACAAAGUUAACAUAUAACUCACGUUCCCACAAAAAGAAAUUAUAAUAACCAAGGGUUACCCAAUAAGUAAUGACGAAAACCCUUAUAUCCUUGCCGGAUCCUCUUAUUUGUGAGGAUCCCGGGAAUUCUCAAAUCAUAUAUGUUCAUUAUACAUCGUGCAGUUAUAAAUUAUUAUAAAUUUUUUUAUUUAAAAUUGAAUACAACUAAUACCUGACAAAAACUGGCUGCACAAUAAACGGAUGUGAUUGGAGGGUCCCCAGGAUUCUCACAAAGAGGAUCCAGCGAGGAUCCUCUCUCAAAUAUAUGUGUGUGCUCGCACAACUUUUGACACACAUUUUGACAAAUUAUUUUUGUAGUUCUCAUUUAACUUCUUUUAAGAAUCUGAGUCAUCUAUAUUUUAAUUCAUCAUUUAUGGAUCAUCUUUGCAAAAAAUUAGACAAAUUCAAAACUAUUAAGACAUUUAUUUGUAGCGAAGAAAAUAGACGUAUACGGUUCUACAAGGAAAUAUUAAAAUGAAUACGAUUUAAUUAAAUUGUCAUAUGGUUUCAAAGUUAGGUAAUUUUUGGCAGAGAUGAGCAUUGAGGAAAGACCUAAAAGAUAAAUGUUGGAUCGUUGAAAUACAUUAUAGCCUAAGAAUGUGGAUCCAAUAUAGAAUAUGAUCAAGGGAACACACACGACUUUUUAUACACUUUCUUUGAUGAUCCGAAACCCUAAUUCCUAGUUCUUAUACUAUAGUUUGCAUUUGAGGGUCCAAAACCCUAAUUCCUUACACCAGUGUCGGUGUCCCACUUCUCACAGUAGCCAGAUUGAAAGCGCCAUUGACUUUGAUUCCAAACAAGCUGGGUCAGGGUGGUGAGGGGUGUGACAUAGGAAGGGGUCCUAACCACUGAUUGAUUUGUCCUUUAUGUUUGAAGACCCUCCUAAUUGAAUCCAUGUGACAUAACAUAUCCAUGUCCAUGCUAACCCUAGCUCUAGUGCCAGUGAGAAACAAACAGGGUGUGUACGUACGUUUUACAUCAGGAAUGUAUAAACACUAACUAGCUAGUGUCGAUAAGUUCUGCAGAACCCUAGCUAGCUUUACACACACAUAGACAUAUAGUAUCUCCCACGGGCCAGCCAUCAGAUGAACACCAUUUGAAUACAAUUUUUUUCUGGAACUGCCAUUCCUUCGAUCAUGUCGUGUUUGCACGAUAUAGGUUAUAGCAAUUGACACUGCAUUAAGUUAUAUAUUGUUGAAAUUUGAAAAUGGUAGAUGGAUUGUUCCCACCAACUUUUGCCCCAUGCUGCCAUGCAGUGCCAAUUCUUCUUGUAUAAAUCUAAUACAAGAAAAACUUUUGUUACCGCUAAGAUAACUAAUAAUUGACCUUAGGCCCGGAUGAUUAGUAAUCCUUUAGAAAAGUAAAGACAUGCAUAUGUACAUUAUGUCAGUUGAUUAUUAAGACAGUGUACCUCCAUUCUCUUGCACCCGAAUUUAGAUUUUGCUUUUCGUAGAUUUACUGCAACUUAGAAUAUUACUUUAUAAAAACAAAAAGAUAAAGAAAUCAUCAUCACGCACGUUCUGUUUUGAGAAGGAAACCCUAGCCUCUCUAUACCCACACCACAUAUAUUUUGAUCGAUGUUUUCUUAUUGUCCAUAAGCAUUAGUACAAUUUGAUGGAUGGAACAGAAGCUUUCUCAUCAUCUUGUGUAUUUAUGAAGGUGUCAAUAGAUGUGGUCCAAACCCUCCACAUCCAACAAUUGAAGAAUUGUAGAUGAGGGCCAAGACGGUAGUCAGCGUAGGACCUCCCAAUAGAUGAUUUUAAAUGACCCUAUUUAAAGUCCUUGUAUAUAUAGGAAAAAUACAGGAGGAUCAAUCCUUCCUUCAGUUGAUGAAAGUUUUACUUGAGACUAAAGCUGUUGUGACUGUAAUUCAUGAAAAUAGACUUCGAUUAAUCUUAGGACUCGUUUGGAAAUACUUUUACAAGGACUGAAAGCGUUUUUAAAGAGAAAAAAAAAUUGGCUCCCAAAAGCACUUACAUUUUUAUUAAGGAUUGAUUCAAAAAAAAAAUUCACUAAAAACGCUUUCAAUCAUUUUAAAAACAUUUUCAAAGGAGGUUUUAAAUUUGUAUGUCCGUUUUUCUAUUGUACUUUUGUUCAUUACUUUGGCCGGGAGAAAGUGACAAAGGACUGGAAGAGCAGUCUGAAAAGGUCGACCCCGACGUGAAUAGUGUUUUCGUUUGAAUAUUGAUUUUGAUUCAUGGUUUGUCGUUCUAUUUUGGCUGAUGAUACCUUUUCGAACUUUUUUUUUUUUUUUUAUAACUUUAAUCCUUGAAAAUUAUUGGAAUUUAAUUAAAACCUAGUGUUACAUUACAUAUUGAUAUUAGUCUUUUGAUGUGUACUUUAAUCAAUUUUUUUUUAAUAUCUGAUGUGUAUUUUAUUUAAUGUCUCCCUAUUAAAUAUUUAAAUUUAUUAAUAUACAUAUUUUAAUUGAAAAAAUUACAUAUAAAAUAUACUUUUAAUAAUUAAUUUUAUAUUGAGACUUUAUCUAUCCACAAUUCUCUUAACCUAGUGCCAGAAUUCUCUUAAGCUUCUGGUGUUCAAAAGGGUAAUUGUUUGUGAUCACUUUAUCUAUUCACAAAAUGAGAAUUCUCUUAAGCUUCUGGUGUUCAAAAGGGUAAUUGUUUGUGAUCACUUUAUCUUAUAACUUUUGUUGUGCCAGAAGUUUUAAAUUUCUUGUAUAUAUAUAUUUUCCAUUAAAUUAACAAAACAAAAAUUCGGAAUUAGUCAUGAUCACAUGAUCUUAGAUUCAAACUUACACUAGUAGAUUAUAUUAUACGGAAGUUAUUUUCACAAAUUUUUUUCUAUUGCUAGACACUUUUAUUUAUUCUUGACAUCUAAAUUGAAUAAAUCAUAAGAAUCAAAAGACAAAAAUAAAUAAGAGCAUGCAAACAACAUUUUUCAGAUUAUUUAUAUUUCUAACGCAAAAUUCCACGUUAUGAAUUCAAUAAAAGAAAAGGGUGUGUGAGUGGAAGCUGUUGGCCCUCGGUGGAUGAAUAGUAUAUCUCAUGCAUGGGAGAGAUGAAGAUCUGAAAUAUAAUGGGCAGCAGCAAUAGCCAAUUAGCAGGUAUAUUCAAGUUCCUGUGGUGAUCCCAGCAGAUGGGUUACAAGGCCUGAGAGAAAAUAAUUCUUGUGUCCUGCAAACAAGGGACAUAUGUCCUUGGAGGUGAGCCAAAACCCUAUUUUCAAAUCACAUCAGACAGUAUAAGCCAAUCACAAAUUACCCCAUUUUCACAUUAUGCGUGGGAAGGUAAAAUAUAUAUGCAUGGUGGACCGUGGAGCCACUGUAUAGCACCAUCGACAAACCUGCUCUGUGGCUGUGGUCCACCUAUAUGCUUCAGUGCUUCACUAGUGUGGACAAGAUCUAGCACCAUCCAUGCCAUCAUGAUCUGGAGUGGUCAACUGAGCAAUCUUGAUACGGCCCCGCAUUUUGAACGGCCGAGAUGACUAGAGUAGAAGCAGGAUUAACUGUUUAGCCAAGCACUAAAAUAUGUCGUUUUGCCCUAUCAUGUAUUGCACUACAGUCACCAUUUAUGGAGGAUGACAAGUAACUGUUACUAUGGAACAAGUUUUUCUUUCUAAUUAACAAGUGAGACUGUGAGAGGUUUCAAAAAGGUUGCUGCCGAAUUGAGGAAAAAGGUAAAAUUCCACUUCCACACUUAUAGACAAUAUGUAUAAUGCAUAGUCAUGUUAUGAAGAUGGAUAGUGGUUAGAGGACCCCAUCCAUAAAUCAAUCUUGCAAAAAAAAUCAUGUGGUAGGUGGCUAUAUUUAAUUUAGCAAUACACAAAGAUUCAUUUUAUGGGGUAACAUAACAUGUAAAAUUCACUAGUUCGACUUCAUUUUCUUAUCAAAUACAAGUUGUAAAAUAUGUACAGAACCAGCUUCUGAGCAUGAAUCCUGCUUUAGAGUUUACACGGUCAAAUAUCAUAGACUGUUGCUUUGCUCGUAUAGCAACGAAGUAUUGACUAGAUACGGAUUGUCUAUAGUUCAUUGUUUAUGUCAGUUUCAGCUCCAUAAUAAUGGAGUGUUAUGUAGGCAAUACAUGGUCACUAGACAAAGUAUUGAUCCCGUUCCGUGAACAGUGGAGUAGAGUCUCUUUUAAAAAUGGGCUCAGGUAAGUAUCUAUGUAUAUAUUAUGGUGAGUGGACGGCUAAGAAAUUAAUCAAUAUUGUUAGUAAGAUUGAUACCUUUUUUUUUUCUUUUUUUUUUUGCGCCUAUCCAUGUGCACCAUUUAGAGGCCUUCGUAGUGAUGGUCCUCGUACUUUGGUGUCUAAAGAAAAGAUAACAAAAUUGAAUGGAUCAUCGUUUAUGUCUUCUAUUAUCUCGUUUCUUUUUUGGUGGUUUGGUAAAUGCUCCUUUUAUGCGUACUAAACGGAAGAACCUCAUUGGACUAACACUAGGGUUUCCAACAUUUCAACUACAAUUGUCAAAGAGUGAGGACCAAUACUUUAACUUCGUAAUUAAUAAUUUGAAGUUUUCCACUAAAAUUUAAUUUUAACUUUUCUUUUUGUAAUAUUAGAGGAAUCAAACUCUCGACGUGCUUUAAAUUCUAAUAUGAAUUAAUCAACUACACCACAUAUUUUAAAUGAUUAUACUAAAUUACAUUACAUUGAGGAGAAAUUUUUCAAAGUACUAGCUAGAAACAUGGCUCGUUGCGUUAAGUUUCAUAAUACAAGCGAUUGAAAUUUUUUUUAAGUAUUGUAUUAUGCCACACCAUGUUCUGACACACUAAAAAAUAUCUCGCCUUUGAGGAAGACCGGUGCCUUGAUUGACUAAAUCACACACCUUGUGGAUCCCACUAGCUAUAACAUUUUAAUUUCAAGGGAAAGGGAUCCUUUCCGGAUCCCUUCCAUCAAGUCCACCAAGGCCACAAAUUCGGGCUCUUGAAAUUUGAUAAAACGGCUAAAGUUAUUAUAAUUUAAAAAAUGGACCCCUGUUUGUAGCCGUUUAAUUAAAUUUCAAAAGUUCGUAUUUGUGGUCUUGGUGGACUUGGUGGAAGGGAUCCGGAGAGUAUCCCUUUCCAAUCUCAAAAUCCAUUAUAAGGUCUUAUCAUUGACGGAUAUUUGAAUAUAUAUUUAGAUACCAUAAUUAAAUUUAAAAAAAUGAGAAUGUGCAAUACUCUGUGAAAGCAUAGAAAAAGAGUAGGUCUGUGAGGGGGAACAUGGUUGGACCACAGACCUUGAUUUAGAUGAGGAGAAUAUUUGAGAAAUUAAACCAAAAAUUAAUACGAUUGUACCAACUUGUUGGGGGACUUCUAAUGUGGACACACAACGUAUAAACCUUUUCCAUGUGUCUAGUUUGUUUGAGAAUGGGGUCUACAAAUAAAAAUAUCCUGGAAAUUAAACUUUUAUAUGUGAUAAGAUAGGGAAGGUAUUUGAGAUAAACCUCAAGUCAGUGAUAACAAGUUGGUGUAGAACUCACCAUUCAACAGCCGAAGCUAAGCCUUUUUAGUUAUAAGUAGUGCAAAAAUAUAAUUAGAUCAUGAUCUUAACUAUUUAACUCAUUAACGCUAUCAAUUGUUAUGGAAAAGGUUUUUAUUAUGAUUAUUUUGAUAAAUAAAAAAAUGAAGAAAACUUGCAUGUUCCUCUUUGAGAGAUAAACUCAUUCUCCGGCCACUUGUAAAUAUUGUGUCUUCAUCGUAAAAAUUUCAUAAUUGAAACUGUUCAAUGUCUUAAUUUUCAUCUGAAGAUUAUUUCUACAAAAAUUCAUUCAACUCGGAUAUUAUUUAGUCAUUCAAAUUGUAUCAAAUAAAUCAAUGGUGUAAGUACCUAGUAACAUAUUAAUGAUGAAUUAACUGUCCAUUUACUUGAUAUAUUUGGAGGAAUAAACGAUCUCCGUUUUAAAUGAUUUUUUGUAAGUAUGAUAUUCAAAUGAAGAUUAAGAGACUGAAAAUUUCUGAUUAUGAAAUUUAUAAAGUAAAAUACAUUAUUUGUAAGUAGAAGAAUAAAUUCACCCCUAAAGAAGGGAAUGCAAGUAUUAUCCAAAAAGAAUAAAAAUAUAUGAAUGGUAACAUCGAAGAUGAAGAAGUCACUCCCUCUUUUAUAUUGGAGGCUCCCUCAAAUACCAUUUUCCUCUUACACAGAGAGUUUUGAGAAGGAAGCGAAGUGCUGGGUUGGUUUCAUAUAUUAAUUGCUUCUAGAGGAGGCAUCCAAAGGGAUCGCAUUGAUCCCAGCUAACUAUUUAUGUCCAUCGCUUGGUUUGGAUCAUGCUAUCCCUUUGGAUUUCUCCUUUGGAAGCUUCAAACUUAUUUCUAUAUAUCUUGCAUCAACGACUUCUUUCACGUUCAAGGUAUUCAGCCAAACUCGACGGUUUCUUGUUCAGGUAAUUCAAACUCUUUCAUAUAUAUGUCUUCUCUUCUUCUAUCUUUCUUUUUUUUUUCAGAUCGAGCUUCCAAAAUCUAUGUUUUCAGCAGCCAACAUCUGAAUAUUUUCAUUGACUGGAAAAAAAGAUGCACAUCGUCAUAGUUAAUGAGACAAAUUAUGCAUUUCGAUUAGGGUUUUGCAUUCUAUACUUAUGAUUCUACCAUAUAUAUAUGUCUUUUCAUCAUGUCGAAAAUCUAUUUGACGCUUAAUUAUGAACUCCUCUCUAUCCCCAAUUAUUCAUGAAAUUAACUUGGUCAAAGAUUUUGGUUUGUAUAUAUUAAUCUCUGUUGUUUCUUCAAUUAAAAUUUGAGGAUGCUUUUCUGCAUAUAUGGCUUCCUAUAUAUCUUGCUAAAUUAUGUAAUUAUUUGUUGUGUUGUAUAUAGAAUAUUUGGCAAAGCUACAAGUUAACCAAACCUGAAAUCGCAUAUGAACAUGUUGGAUCUGAUUUUCUGGGGAUACAGUUCGACGCUAAAACCCAGAAAUGAACUCUGGAAAACAAUCAAUUGAUUUUUUUACUCACGUUGUUUACAGGUGUCAUUGAUGUUUAUUAAUCUUAUUUAAUUAUUAUUUUUUAUUUAAACCAGAUGUCUCACCCCCCAACUCUCUCUAACUCCCUCCUUCCAAAAACCCUAGAUCCGAAAACCUACAGCUACCUGCCUCUUGCUCCGGCUUGGGGGUCGGCGGCAACCAUUUGCCCCCUAAUUCGAGUCACGCCUAUCAUUUAUUUUGUCCCCUCCCACACACCGUGCCCCCACUCUCCCACCGCUUCCCCUACCUUCGUGCCAUGCCUCCCUUCCCUCCGCCUCGUCUUUGUCCCCCUACCUUUCCCUUACCUCGCGCCUCUUCCUCUCCCUCACCAUCCCCUCUCCCACAAUUUUUCAAGCAGCUCGCCCUUCCUUUGACGAAGCUCUUCCUGAGCUCUUUUGGGCUAGAUCCGUGGGUAUGGGUAAGAUUUGUGGUUGUGGCGGGUUAAUCCACCUCCUACGACUCGUUCUCCAGGGUGAAUUUGCGCUCCUCAGCCGGCCCAGCCGCCUUACAUGACCAAACCUGUGGCGGCUCUUGUGGUGAAUGCUAUAGAUAUCUCUAGAAGCGGUGUUGGUAUCGUGGGGAUGUAGUCCAACUAAGAUUUUAAAGGAUUUUAAUUGAUUUUAAAAAGUGGUAGAUUUGAUAGGAUUUAUGAGGAUUUAAGACUCCUACAAAAUUCAUAUGGAUUUUUAAAGAAUUUGAAUGGAUUUACUUUGUAGAUUUUGGUGGAUUGUGGUAGAUUUUCAUAUAAUUUUUUUAUUGAAAAAAAAAAAAGAAAAAUCUUUCCCCUUGCCCUACUAUACUCGAUAGUCAUUUUAUCCCCUUCUUUUCGGGUCUCCUUUCACACAACCACAGCUUCAUCUCUUUCUCAAUUAAUAGAUCAACAUAACUUUUGUGAGCUUUUGAGCACUACACCACCAACAAACAUCACCACCGACUGCCAUUUUGUCAUAGAUGUACGCUGUGGUACUUCAGUAGUGCUUGUAGUACCACAAACAUUAAAAAAUCAAAAUGGCGAGAGAGUAGUAUUAACCAAAAUCCUAGAUCAAUCAUGUCCUUUGAUGAUCAUACAUGCCUACAUCGUUGGUAGAGAUUUGAGGACUGCCCAUAUGGAAAAGGAUUUGAAAUCCUAGGGGGUGAGGUUGGAUUCUUUUUAGUCUUGGUUAUAUAUACUUCUUGCUCUCAAAUCCCACAAAAUCCACAACUUAUUGAAAUCCUCCAAAAUCUGAAUUUUGUUUAAUACACUUAGAUUUGGAUAGAUUUUAAAAUCCUUUAAAAUCUUUUAAUUGACUACACCUAUAUUUGAAUGGAUUCUAAAAUCCUUUAAAAUCUUUUAAUUAACUACACUAGGAUUUUAAAGUCUUUUAAAAUCCUCUCAAAUCCAAGUUUGACUACACUCUAGUUCCCUUUUCGAAUUAGUUAGUUUUGUUUAAUGUUUUGUGUUAUGUCGCUUUGGUGAGUUUUAUGGUCUCGUUGUUCUAGCGGUGGUGCGAUGUGGCCUAGUUGUUUUAGUGAUGGCUUAUGUGUGCAUUCAAAGCAUGAUUUAUCGCGUUUAUCAUCUUUUGUGACAUAUUACACCAUGUGCACCUAGUUUUUGUGUGUGGUAGUCAUAAGGGGUUUUAUCUUAUUUGUUGAUUGAACGAAUCUCUCUUUAGAUAAAAAAAAUUGAUCAAUGGAGAAUAUGUACCCAUUUGGCACCUCUUAGAUUUGAUUUGGGUUAAUGGAAUCUAGCUCCAUUGCUUGUAAAAAAAAUCUUAUUUACAUUAUAACAAAGAUAGGUUAAAACUAAUUAAUCUUAGCAAUUUGUAGUAUACUACUACAUUAUGGUGAAUACAUUCUUAAUCAAAUUUCCUUCAUCCUGUCGAAAUUUCCUUAAAAACAUUAUGGUAAAUAAAUUGUAAUCGAUUUUCUUUUGCAGUGAAACAUGAAAAUGUAAAAAUAAAAGUUUCUUGAUUUAGAAACUGGUAGUAAGUCUUGAUUUUCCAGUUCAUGAAUCAUGAUUAGCAUAAAAGUGGAAGCUGUCAAGGUGAUGUCUUGCGUUACAAUUUAACCCUAAUCUCUGAAACUUUUGAUCAUUACCUUCCAACACUUUGACUUCACCUUUUUGUAAAGGUAAUUUCACUUUGACGAUCAAAUUGACAAAUUGCAAGUAGAAACCACGUGGUUUAUUAGCAUGAAUUACUGCAAGUGUUGCUGCUGGCUUUAGUUAUUUUCUACAAUUGCCACCACCCGAAACUAGGGAGAUCCAGUUGAACUUGAACCUACUAGAACAGACUCACAUGGCCACAUGAACUGCAGUGGACCAAAGUCAAGAACUCCAAAUCUCGCGCUUUUAAGGACUUUAAUUAGAAUCCAAGGUAGUGGAGGAAUGAUUUUAUAAACUUAACGACUUCCUUUUCCCCCCACUUUUGGGCCUCGCAUUGAGUGCACCAAAGGCAAAGGCAAAGGCAAAGACAUUAUGUACAAGUGAUGAGAUGAGAUCUAAUUAAUAAAAGUUCUUUUAACCAUUUCUCUCAUUUUGAAAUACAGGUUCAAUUUGUUAAACUCAUUCGAAAUGUAUGAAAAUUCUAGCAUGUUCUGGUGUACUUGAUUUAUUUUGUCGCAAGACUGAUGACUCCCAACCUUGCAACACCUUAAUUAUUUUUCUUUGUUAUUAAAUUAAUAGAUAGACUUAAAUCACAAAAUUGUUGAUUGAAAAUGGUCUUGUAUGCGUCGACAUAUACAUUUAGGUACGGUUUCGGCCACAAAAAUUGAGGUGUGGGGAGGGGAAUGGGAAAGGGUUGGGUGAGAGCUAUAAUGUGGGUUGGACUCGAGCACGCGUCAACUAUCCCUAAAGUCUAUUUGUGUAUAUAUUUUUUUUUUAAACAAAUAUGUAGAUUCGUAGAAUACAUAGUUACUUAUGCUGUAUAAUGUGCAGGUGAAAGAGGAUGAGCCCCACAAAAGAAAAUGUUACUUUUACGCUAUUGUGUAGUAUUGUGGAGGAUAGCUUGCACUAUUAAGUAAUUAGAUGAUGAGCUUUCACUUUGAAUUUGUCAACAAUGAAGAAACCCUAAAGGAAUUAUUGAUUUCAGAAGCUUCCUAAAUCUAUGCAAAGUUUGGAGAAUUCUCGAGUAGAAUAUGUUGCGUGGUCUAACUAUCAUCAUUGUUCAUCAUGGUAGUAAUUAAUAGUAAUCAUCACCAUCAUCAUCUAAAUCUAAAUCUUUUACAACUAAACGAAUGGUCUAAUUCAAAUGGCAGAUGGGGUCCAAAGUGGGAGAAGAAGAAUUUGCUUGGGGGCACCAGUGUCGUGUGUGUGUGUGCGUGAGUGUCGUGUGUGUACAAAUUAUCUUGAAUUGUAAGAUAUGCACCCCAAUUGUCUCCCUCCUGCACUACACAAAGCUUUAUCAAGGACACACAAACAGCGAAAACAAAACCCCCACACACUUGAAAUUUUUUCAAUCCAUCAGAAGGAUUUGGAUGCUGCUUUUGCUGUGGCAACUACCAAAGGGACCCCAAAACCCUUGACUUGCCUGUUCAAUCCGUCUGAAGGAUUUGGAUGCUGCUUUGCUGUGGCAACCAAGGGGACCCCAAAACCCUUGACUUGCCUCCAAAUUCAAGCCCCUCCACUCCUAUUUCUUCUCGAUUACUUGUUUUAAUAUUUGCACUUUGUGAGACUCGAUUUUCAGCCGUGUAUUCGGGACCUGGAGGAUUUGAUUACUUGGGGGAUUUGAUUAAGAAGUGUUCAUAAAGUUGCACGUUACCCUUACGUUGCUAUCUUUCGAAGCUACCAUAUGAAAAAGAAUGGAAGUAUUAUUUUGUAUUCGACAUACAGGCAUAGUGAGUUCCUGCUACCGUAUCAGAAUAAUAAGAAGAGCUCUUUACAGUAUCAGGCAGAGACAACUGAGGGAAGGAAUUCAAAUUGCAUGAGAAGCUAGGGCAGAAAAUGAACAACUGCUUAAUAGGGAAGAAAAUGAACAUCUGCUUAAGGGAUUCAAGAUGAUUUGGGGGUAGUUUGUGAGAGACUUGAACACGAGCUCAAAUGCAUGGAGUCACAUGAGUUACAAAUUUCCUGAAAUAGAGAAAGACUUUCAUGCAACGAGAAUGUCAUAUUUGUAAGUCCAAAUAAAUAUGACCAAUAAACAACAUUAGACACUAACAUUUAUCCCAAUAGCGAGCUAUUCCUCACUGUCAUGGUAUUUGCAUUACUACAACGGGAUAUUAUAAAAUAACUUAGGAAUCUAUAGGCUCAUUUCGAGCUUUUCUUUUUUUUUUUUUCAAAUGACUGAAAAUGUUUUUGGAACCAAUCCUUAACAAAAAUGUAAGUGCUUCCUUAAAAAAUGAAGCACUUCAAGUAUUUUUGGUACUCAAAAAUAUUUUUAUCAAGAGUGUUUUCAAUUAUUUUAAAAGAACUUUCAGACAAGCCAUAUAUCACAAAAAAAAUAUAUGGCCCUCCUAAUCUAUGAGGACGUUGCAAACUCAUAUGCUAAUUACUCGCGUGUAAAAGCUCUUGUAAUAUUGCGUAGCGUUGAGCGCAUUGAGUUAAAGAGAAAACCCUUAAUCAACAAGUUAAUCCACCAUUUAUUUAAACGAUUCUUUGUGUUGUUGACUAAUUGUCAAUUCUUAUGGCAGAUGCCCUUGGAUUUCAAAUACAAUUCAUAUUUUGUUGCGGAUGGAAAGGAUGGAUUUGGAUAUUUAUACGUUAAAUGGGCCUUUAGAUUUGUUUCUGUUUAGGUUGUUUGGGCUUUUUUUUCUUUUUAAUAAAUAGUUGUAUUUUAUACACCCAAAAGCCGUAUCUGGACACCAAAAAUUUUGUAAAGUUUUUAAAGACAGAUGUAGCCCUCAACAAAAUGAUUCAAAAGCCCAUAUUUAAAAAAAUUAAAAAUUUCUAAAACAAGUAAAGAAAUCUCAUAAAAGCAAAAUUAAAUGAUAUAAAAAUAUUAAAAUAGAAAACGAAAGAGAGAACUCUCUCCCGUCCCUUCCCACCUCCAGGCCCUCCAUUAUCAACAAAAAAAAAAAAAAAAAAAAAAAAAAAAAACCCCCUCCAAGCUCCUCCAACGUCAUCUCUCCAAAUCCCAGGUUACAAAAUCUUAAGGUGCAAUAGACAAAGGUGUAAUUUGAUAGGGCACCAAAUUUUAAGGUGUAAUGUGAAAAAAUUGAAACCUAAUAACUUAUUUUAAAAUGACUUCAAACAUUGAGAGUGUAAAAGCGGUCUUUUACCACAGUGACGAAAAUGUGUUGAGCCCUUAUAUCACGGUAUAAGUUUAAACUUUAUCAAUUACUAAUAUAACAAAAUUUACCGUUUAACAAAAAAAACCUUAAAAAUGUAAAAUAUAGUUAGUCCAAAAUUUUAUCACCACAAAGUUCGACCAAACAAAUACCAGGGUUUUGACUCGUGACUCAUGUCGUCAACUACUUCCUAAAUCAGGAUGUCGUUGUGAAGGCAACACGACGUCGUUGAGCCUAUAUAUGUCGCGAGUUUUUUGGACAGAAAAACGCAAUACUGCUUUACCAAAAAUUAGAAAUAUCCGUUUUUCGGAUCGGAUAAAUAGAAAAUCGUUGAAUCGCUAUCGCUCUGAUUCGGGAAGUGCACGAAGACGCCUCGGGUUUCUGCAAACAACGAUGGCGAACUUCACCAUUUCCUGCUGCAAUUUCCCCUUCAUUUUCCUCCUCUCCUCCUUCUAUUUCCUAACCCUAACCCUAAUUGCAGAACCCAUUUCUUCUUCCGGGCCCAAACCUCUAAACAACAGCAGCAAUCCCAACUUCGAUUCCGAAAUGCCCUCCUCGGUGACGCCGCGCUAGCAGGCGGUGGAUCCUAUGUCAACCUUACGCGGCCGUCGGUCUCAAGCUCCGGUCUUCUCCUCCGCAGAAAACCCUUUAAAUUUCUCGACGGGAAUCUCAGCAACCCGACGUCGUUUUCAACCGAAUUCGCAUUCUCGAUGACGCCCGACGGCGGCGACGGCCUCUUGCUCGUCUUUGCUCCCGGAGAUUUGGGGUCCAGAUUAUCGGGUAAGGGCCCGUUUGGGAUUAAAGGUGACGAUCGAUUUCUGGGUAUUGAAUUUGAUACUGAAAUGAAUGGAGAUAUGAAUGAUUUGAAUGCUAAUCACAUAGGGGUAGAUGUUGGUAGCUUUGUAUCUCUAGCUGUUGGUAAUGUUUCUGAAUUGAAUUUGGUGCUUAAUAGUGGAGAAAAGUUGAAAUGUUGGAUCGAUUACGAUGCUAGUUCGAAACGAUUGGAGAUUAGGCUAGGCAAAAUGGACGAUUCGAGGCCUUAUACUCCGAUUACGGCAUAUGGGAUAGAUAUGUCGGGAAUGUGGAGAGGUGAGGAUGUGUAUGUAGGUAUUAGCUCCUCGAAUUCGAAUGGAAAUUCGUCACAGAUUAGCAGUGUGUAUUCAUGGAAUUUUAGGCUUAGAAAUGUUCCCAAGUCAAUGCAUUCUCUGCCGGUGAAUCCGAGGGGGUAUGUGGAUGGACAUGGUGAGAGUUUGAGCGUGCAGAAGCGGGGGAUUUGCCCAUUGACAGUUCUUGCCAGGAUGAUCUUCGUGACUGGGUGUGGGGCAUUGGUGGCAUUUGUGAUGCUGUUUUUGUGGGCUAUUAUCAUCAGUAGGCACACGGAGUUCCCUGCUGAGUUUUCUCCAAAGCCUGUGGAGUUUAGGUACGAGAAGAUCGAUGUAGUUGUAGAGAAAGAUGCCGAUGGUAUUAAGUAGUAGUGCGUAAUGUCUUCAAGGGCGUGGCCUUUUUUUUCCUGUGAAUGUAUGUUGCCAGUGUUGUUUGUAAUCUCUAACACGAAAAUGUGAUGAAUUCUGUUGUUUUGGUGUACCCGGCUGUGUUUCCUGCAACGGCUGUGGAUCUCAGGUAUGUGAAGAUCAAAGUAGUUGUAGAGAAAGAUGCCGAUUGUCAUUUCUAACCCGAACUAAUGUGAUGAAUGCUAUAGUUCUGGUGUGAAUUCUGAUGGCAAAUUCUAAUGCAAUUAGGUCUGAUGAUCACAUAUGUCGUGUGUAUAUGUGGAUCUGUUUUGUUCAUUCAUCAUGUAGCUCCAUUUUGUGCAAUUUAGCAAGUGUGAAAAGUUUGCUAUGUUAAAGUGUAUUACACCUCUUAUGUCUAUUUAUUCAUUAUAUUUAUGAGUUUUUUAGAUAAUGGGGUGUAAAUGCGGCUUACGUAUCGACCCAUUUACAGUUUUCAAUGCUCACCAUGUCAUCAAUUGAACGUAAAUUCAAAUAAAUCAUUAGACUAAAGGUGUAAAUUGCUACAAUUUCAAAACCGGGAGCAAAGUGAGAAAAUUGAAAACUCGUGGCUCAUUUGAAAAUCAUCUCAAACAUGAAGAAGUGAAAUGUAGUUACCCUAAAUCCUAAAUCUAUUUUUUCGGCCUACUGUGGAAGGCCUUAGCUGUUGUUUUUCGACGAUUCGUUGUUGGGGAAGAAGACAUUCUGAAUCUUUUUCUAGCAAAACCAUGGCCAAAUUGUAUUAGGAGUUUGAGUUAUCUUUAAACAAUGUUGUUAAUCAUGGAUUUUGAUGUAUGACUUGUAAGCUUGUGCAAUGGGCUGGAAAAGAGCUGGUUCAAACCAGUUUAUAACUUUUAUAUUCCUCUUCCUCGCGUACAUAUGUGGAUCUGAUCCAAUGAAAUUGGUAUGGAUAGUGUAACUCUGUAAAACAGAUUUUAGACAAUCAAUACGUAUCUAAUUGUGUAUUUUACAGUUACUCAAUACUACGGUCUGGUUGUAUUCCCCUUUAUUUAGAAGUGAGAGAUAUUAGGUUUGAAUCUUGUGGAUGGCGAAUUCGAUACUAAAUUAGGUUGCUCAUUGUGUGGCUUAGCCGACCUCCUCAUCCCUUAAUGUGAAAAUAUCGAUGUACUCAGGAAAACAAAUUGUGUUUUUUACAGAAUUUUUUUAGUAAUCUCCUGACCAAGAUCUAAAAUAUCGAUGAUAUCGAAAAUAUCAAUAGUCUAAAAACACGGAAAUUUCGAUGGAAAUAUCAGGAUAUUAUCAUAUCGAUAUCGAUAAAAAUUGAAUAAAAACCACAAAAAUUGUAAGAAAAACUUGGAAAUUUUUAUUGAAAUUUUGCAGGAUGUUUAUUUAGUCAAUUAUCUAUUAGUUUAUCACAAAAAAUUGGAAGGAAAUGCAUUGCAUGAUGGAUUUAACUGAUUUAAGUCGAUAAAGAGGUCGCACUUGGUGCGAUGGCAAGUGCCUUCGCCCAUGAGCGGUAGGUCUCGGGUUCGAAACUUGGGAGCAGCCUCUCCAUAAAUGGGGGUAAGGCUAGCCGACAUUCACCUCUCCCAGACCCUGCGUAAAGCGGGAGCCUUGUGCACUGGGUACGACCUUUUUUAUAUAGCGAGUUGGCAAACAUUGUGAGUGUGGAAAAUAUGUAGUAAUUAAUGAAAAAAAUUUAAACACACUAUAACAAUUUAUAUAUAAUGAAUUAGUACAAUAUUUUACACUUUAUACAUUGCAUGGUAAGAUACAUGAGUGACUUAGUACCACAUAGAGUUCCUAUGAGGUUCAAAAUUUUCACUAUCUUCAUCAUCUCUAUGUGUAAAGUAAGUGUAUUGUGAAGAGUAGUCAUCAAAUGAUAAAUCCCCAAAAUUGAUAAGGACAUCCAAUUGGACUCAAUCCGAAAGUAGCUGAUUUUUUGGACAUACAUCUAAAUGCCCCUUUAAUCUAAUCGAAUGUGUCUACAUUCUUAAUAUUCUAGUUACAUUUUCGUCUUAAUCAUCAGUGUGCAUUGAGAAUGCUCCAUCUACAUCUCGUUUAGUUGUGUAAUCCAAAAAGAAAGUGACGUCUACGUCUCAUCUAGUCAAUUUUAAUGUAUACAUUAAUAUGAGUGGCAUUUGCAGUAUGUUUCACCAUGUCAUAAAUGUGGCUUACGUAUCGACCCAUUUACGUGUUUCAAUGCUCACCAUGUCAUCAAUUGAACGAAAAUUCAAAUAAAUCAUUAGACUAAAGGUGUAAAUUGCUACAAUUUCAAAACCGGGAGCAAAGUGAGAAAAUUGAAAACUCGUGGCUCAUUUGAAAAUCACCUCAAACAUGAAGAAGUGAAAUGUAGUUACCCUAAAUCUUAAAUCUAUUUUUUCGGCCUACUGUGGAAGAUCUUAGCUGUUGUUUGUCGACGAUUCGUUGUUGGGGAAGAAGACAUUCUGAAUUUUUUCUAGUAAAACCAUGGCCAAAUUGUAUUAGGAGUUUGAGUUAUCUUUAAACAAUGUUGUUAAUCAUGGAUUUUGAUGUAUGACUUGUAAGCUUGUGCAAUGGGCUGGAAAAGAGCUGGUUCAAACCAGUUUAUAACUUUUAUAUUCCUCUUCCUCGCGUACAUUUGUGGAUCUGAUCCAAUGAAAUUGGUAUGGAUAGUGUAAUGUAAAACAGACUUUAGACAAUCAAUACGUUUCUAAUUGUGUUUUUUUACAGCUACUUAGUACUACGAUCUAAUUGUAUUCCUCUUUAUUUAGAAGUGAGAUGUCUUAUGUUUGAAUCUUGUGGAUGGUGAAUUCUGUGAAAAUAUGAUUGUAUUCCUCUUUUUAGUAAUCUCCUGACCAUCAAUUUCGUCACAAUUUUAUUAAUUUAAUUAUUGCGUAAUGCGCAUGAUCAACUUUUAGUGGCAUAUGAGUCAAUAAAAUGCUACAUUCACAAGGAAAAUUCGUAAAUACUUUAAAUUUUCAUAUUUGAGGAAAGUUUAACAUGAAUCGUAACAAAUUCGGAAGCUUCUAACGUACACACGGAAUAAACUAACAAUUAGAAAUAAUUUGGCACUCUGUAUUAUAAAAGCACAUUUUGGUACUUUAUUGCACCUAAAAAGCGAUUUAGGCAGAGGCUGGGCAUCUUUAUUAGGGCCUAGGAGUUCAAAAAACCUCUAGGCUGCAAUUAGGCGGCCACCUAAACGGUCUAGAGGUCUAGGCAGCUCUAGACGGUUUCUUAUAAAAUAACUCUCAAUACAUAUUUCAUUUUAUGUAUUCAAUCAAUUGUAGUCACUUAUUUAUAUAUUUUUAUUGUUAUAUAAUAAUAAAUUUAAUUGAAAAAAAAAAAAACCCGCCAAGACCGUAGGCCUUGCUCGCUGCCCGACUAACUCCUAGCACUUUUUAGAGUCUUUUUUUUUUGGGAGAAUCACCUACAAGUACUUUAUGUAAAACACUUAGGGGGCGUUUAUUGUACCGGACUGUCUCGGACUGGAUUAACUUCAGGGACUAAGCUGGAUUGGCUUAGACUAGAUUAAGCUGGACUAGUUUAGUGAAGUAUUUGGUGCAAUGUCGGAUUAAAUACCAAAAUAAUAAAAAAAUAAAAAAAUAAAAUUUUUUUUUCUCUUCUUGCCGUAUUGGAAUUGUCAUCAAUCUCACCAUUGUUAACCGCAACUGCAAAUAAAAAAAUAAUUAAAGGAAUCAAAGAACACUAGAAUGAUGUUUGUUACACAAAAAAAAAAGAUUCCAGUAAGUCUCUCUGUCUCUCCCUUUUUCUUUAGUCAAACUAUCUCUCCUCCUUUUCUCCAUCUCUUCCCUUUCCGUUUCCGUCCAGCUCCUUCUCCCCCACCUUUUCACCCUCUUCCCUCCCUCUCACAAUUUAUAAUCAACUGUGCAAAUAUUCAAAAUCAAACCACAAAGCAAAAAAUAGAGUGUAAAUUAAGGAGUUGGGGUAGGGUGCAUGUGCAAUUGGCUCGAAGGUGAAAGAUAGGUAAAGUUUGUGAUCAACAAUUUUUAUGUUUUUUGGGUUCGAUCUACAUCACUCCCAUCGUUGAUUCAAGCUCAUCUCACAGAUUUUUUUUUGGGUUUUCUGGGUUCGGUCUUCUGGGUUUUAUGGGUUUUAUGGGUUCGAUUUUCUAGGUUUUCAGGUUGUGGGAAGCCAGGAAGGAGGAGAUGGAGUGGGAAAAGCGGAGCGGUGGUAGCAAAAGAUCCAUCUUUGAUGUCGUUCGGGUCGACCCAGAUGGCGAAAAACCCCAAAUCACCGACUGAAAUGCCAAAAAGGGUGCUAGGUUUACAGGACGAUGGAGAUCGGCGACAACCGUUUCUGGUUUGGUCACUGGAGAAGAAGUGAUGAUGGUGCUCAUGUUGGUUCACGGGACGCGACUUGCAGACGAAGGAUACGGGACUAGCAUUCCCGUUGUUUUCGGGGGGUCUCGCUAAGACGAUCUAGCGAGCCCCUUAGUCGAGGCGAGUGAAGGGUAAUCCCACUAAAGCUAGUCCGGUUGUGUAACAAACAUCGGACUGCCCUAAUUUCUAAUCUAGUCCAGUCCAGUCCCAUUUAGUGAGGGCAAACAAACGCCCCCUUAAAUUCUUAAUAUAAAAUAUUAUCAUCCUUUUAAUAAGAAGGAGAAAAAGUGCUCCCUACAUAAGCAUUAUCCAAUUUACUCCUAAGAGCAUCUCGAAUGGAAAUGUCAAAAUCCUAAAUGGAAUGCCACUGUGCAUAUUUGAUAUCAAAAAUCUUUCCAACCGAAGUGUUAUUUGAUUGGAUUUGAAGACUUAGUGAUUUGAUGUCAAAUUUAACAUCAAUGUCAAAUGUAUUUUUAAUUUAUUUUAAUAAUUGGUCCCUUAUUCCACUAAUAUUUCAAUCAAUAAAAAUUUUGUUUCAAUAUUUUUUUAAUAAUUACAAUCAUUUAAAACUCUAUUUAAAUAAUAAAAUAACAUUUAACAAUUCGGUUGCAGAAGUAUAAAAUUUGACAUAAGACUUCAAAUUAUCACAUCAAUCAUUAAUUGUAAUUUGACUCUUAUAAUUUGACAUUUUCUUUGAAGAUAAUCUAAGUGCACUUAAUGAUUGAUGCGAAUGACAUAAAGUUUCGAAAGCUUUAGAGGAACAUACAUCAUCAUUUCUAAUAGUUUACAGGACCAGAACCGCAAAAACCAGAGCCUUUGAAAACAAUGGAAUCACUUUAUCAAUCACCAAAACCCUAAACAAAUGGAAAUUAAAAGCAGCCUCACCUCAAAGCAUCCAAAUUUUAGUGGAAAGCACAUAAAGAUCGAUGCAUAUUAUUUUCUUCUUUACGUUAAGCAACGGUCGUAGUGGGAUUCUGAAUGUCUGAGUGCGACCCCUCUUUUCUUUCCCUUCGAUUGUCCAAUGUUUGCAAACUUCUGAGAAAUCAUGAUUGUUGAUCCGGAAUUUUCGGUAAAAAAAAAGAGACUGUUUUUAAGAAAGAAAAGCCCACUAUUAAUAUUCGACUUGAAUUCUCUCGUCUCCCGACUCUUCUUUUAAUCUAAUGCCGUUUAAAAGAAAUUUAAUAACUUGGAAUUAUGCCACAUAUUUAACGAACUUUUUUUUUAAGGAAAACUAACGAAAAGUUCAAAAAAUUUCUCUUUUAAUGAAAAGCCAUUUAAAGGUAUAGUGAAUAGUAUCAGUUAAAUGUAAAAAUAUGAUUUUUCGUUAAAGUGAACAGUAUCGGGAGUGUCCUUUUUUUUAUUGCUUUUGUUCAACAAUCCUUCCCCUUCUAUCCCCCAAUUAACAUCACCAUUUACCCUUCUCCUCUCCCACACGCCAACCGUGGUUGGCCUUCUUCUCUCCGUGGGUGUUGAAGAGGUUUAAGCAUUUGAUGGAAAAUUUUGUGUGCAUGGUUUGUUGAUUCAAUUGUGUUUUAACAAAAGAAAUUAAAAAAAAAACUUAUAUAAGGCUCGUUAAAUACGUGGCACAACUCUAACCCAUAUGAUUCUUUUUGAAUGGUCUAAAUUAAAAGAAGGGGAUGAGAGGGGAGAGAAAUUACUUUAGUCAUGCAAUCAUUAUCCAUGAUUAUAUGGAGUCCUUUUUUUAUGCUCACCAAAUGAUACAUACCGAAGUAGCAAAAAACAAAAAUUAUGUCUGUGCAAUUUAGUACGGUUCCAAAAUUUACCGAUUUUUUUCUCUUUUAAUAGCUAACCAUCUAACUUACUAACUCUACUAAAAAAAAAUUCAAUAGGAUGCGUAGAAUUUAAUAAUAACAAAUAUAUUUUAAUUUGUGGAAUAUAUCAUUCUUUUUUUUUUUUGUGGAAUAUCAUUAAUCAUAGUGAAUAUAAAGUGUAGACUUUAUCCAACGAAGUGGAGAGAAAAAUGGAUAAAUUCAUAGUGGAUAGUGUUAUUCAGAUUUAUUUUUUAUCUCUCAUACACUCUUAUUAAUUUUUUGUCGUUGAUCUUUUUCAAUUCAUUUGAUCAUACGAUUGAAAAUUGAAAGGGGUGUGUAAGAAGUAAAAAUGAGUGUGUGGAUAUCACUACCUAUUCAUAAUCCUAGGAUUUGUUUGAAAGUGCUUUUAAAAUUACUAAAAGCACUUUUGGUAAAAAUAUUUUUGAAACCAAUCUUUAAUAAAAAUUCAAGUGGAUCUUAAAGUAGCACUACAAGUGUUUCUUGCAAAUGAAUUCUAUAGAAAUGUGGUUAGAAUAGUGAAACCUCAUUUCAUACUUCUUUUAUUUUUAUCCUUUACUUCUCUUUAAUUUAUUAAAACUUUAAGGUUGGGAUUAUUUUUUUGGAAGUGCAUGAAGAGGAAUGGUUGUGAUUUUUAUGUUCUCGUCUCUUCAUUUCAAUUUCUUUUUUAGUCUAUCAAUAAUGUUAGAAGAUUAUUUAGUUACGACACUUCAUUAGAAGAUUCUUUAAUUACGACACUUCAUAGUUUUUUAAUGUGAGAAAUGCUAAGGAGACUAUCUCAAAGUAUGACUCUUCAUGGAAUCUCUACAACCUCAUGUUUUUUACAUAAUAUUUCAUAACGUUAACACCUGUAUUAUGCCAAAGACAUAAAAUGACAAAUAAUCUAUUAAAAGUCAUACUUUUAAAAGAGUCUCUUUAGUAUUUCUCUUCCUAAUGUUUGAAAACAUUUUGCGAUUUCCACACCUAAACAGUUGAAUGAUAACGAUUUCCAAUCAUUUCAUUGUGAACAAGUUGAAAUACCAUAUUAAACUUGUCAACAUUUUAAAAGAGAUGGUUGGGUUGGUAGCCAUCAAUUCAAGAUAUAUUAGGAAAAAGGAAAUAAAAAUCUUAGAGAGAUUCUUCCUAAAGGGACCUCCAAUUAUUUGGAAUAAACUAAUAAAUGUAAAUGCCGAUGCUUUACAAUGUUUUUUUUUUUUGAAAGGACGGAUUGAUGCCUUUGCCACGAUAAUCUAGCUUUUUGGAGUCCAAGGACUCAGAGAGGCAUUUGAGCCUCAUUCUGACCACUAUCGUGUGAUUUACAACUGUCAGGAACCUAAUACAGGAUGUGCAAUAAGAAAUACAUGUCUGAAAUUUGUCCAAAACUACCAUCCCGUGGUAAUUGCAUAUGCUUUGCAAUGAUAAGUAGCUAUAAUUUUGUGCAUUGCAUUAAGCUUUGUUGAUUUAAAAUCUCUUCUAAGAUAAAUUCUCUUCUAACAAAGGCAUCGAGUGACAAACACAUAUUGAAUUGAUGGUGUACUUUUUUAACACAUGACAAGUAUCUAUUGGACAUGCGAUAUCAUUAAAACUACACAUUGAUUGUAAGAAAGUUUUACUAUCUCUCCAACCAAGUGAUGAUUGAACAUUACUAGACCAACUGAUCAGAAGUCUCCUUCAAGUUUAUAACAUACUCUUGAUCUCACCCGUCUUAGAAAAUAGUAUAAAACUAGGUCAAGGCUUACAUUCCCCAUCAUAAUGUGUCGGUUUUAUUAAUAAGCUAUCUCUUCAUUAUUGAAGAAUAACUUAUAUCGAACAAAUUUCUCGCCAAUAUAGCGUAUCAAUCCAAUAAUGUAAUGUAUAUUUUGCUCAACAUAACAUUACAGAAGCAGAAUAUCAGACGAUAAACGCGUUUCAUAUAAGUUGCUCUCAAAAUAAUUUUGUACACAACAAAUCUUCAACUAAAUCUAACGGCUCCAAAAGUCCACGACUGUCGUGGCACUUUCUCAUGCGCGCGAUCCCAAAGCGGUGGAAAACCAGAACGACACUGCGCGCAACUGUAAAUGGUCAGAACGGUCACACACUCCCAGAGAGAAAGCGGGUGGGGAACGAAAUCUAACGAACCGCCACGCGUCGAGAAUUUAUAAGAUACUUUGGGAUGCUCAACGCAUCUCACGCGCCUCCGACAAAGCAGCGCCAAACCGAUACGAGCGGCGAAGAAAUCCGGAGGGAGAUACCGAAAGCGAAAUUACACAAAAAAUAUUUGGAAUUUAAUUAAAUUUUCGAAAAGAAUAAUUCGUUGAAAAGAUUUGAAAUUUAAUGAAUUUUCUAAUUGGGUGCUACCUUUUGCUGGUUGAAGUGGAAUUGUACGCUUGAAUUCAGCUGGGGCCUAUAAAAAGGAGGGAUACGCUGGCAGUUACUGAUAUCUCGGAAGCAAAGGAGGAGGUGGAGCCAGCGGAGCAGGACGGGGAAGAGCAGAUAACCAUCACCGAGUGGCUCCUGGCGGGGCAAGGACAUCAUCGAGAGUCGACUAUGGAUUCUACCAGUGAAGCUCAUUCCGGUUCUAGAAAGGUUCAUGAUGAAGAAAGCACCGAAAUCCCAGAAACCGCUCAUCAGAUUAGCACAGGUUCUGAAAUUUUCAUUUUUCUUAAUAUUAAUUGUUCAUAUUUUUUUUUUAUGUUUUUGUUAUCUGGGUUUGUUUUUUUCUGCAUGUUUGAUUGUUCUGGUAUCACAAUUCGACCAUUGGAUGAAGGAAAUUAUUUUUUCAAUCAUUUUCCGAAAUCCCGGAAGGAAAAUUUUAUUUAUUCAUCUGGGUUUGGUUUUUUCUGGUUUUUUUCUUAAAGUUUGAAUUUUUCAUGUGGUUGAGGAAAUGAAUCGUUUUUUUCUUCUAAUUUUGUUCAUAGGUUUCCUAAAAAGUUUCAGUUUUUAGAUUCCGGAUUGCAGUUCAUGAAUUUAUAGUUUUUCGAAUUGUGGUUCUUGGUAAUUUAGUGCAUUUGUAAUGAAGUAAUUCUGAAUGGUUUCAAAUAGCUUUGUGAAUUGUGAUAUUGGUACUGAAAUUGCUCUCGUUGUGAGUUCAUGUUACCUCUUUGGUUUCCACAGAUUCAUGGUUUCAAGUGGGAUUCGUCCUCACCACCGGUAUCAACAGUGCGUAUGUUCUGGGAUACUCUGGUAAUGUCAUGAUUCCUCUUGGUUGGAUCGGCGGUGUGAUCGGUUUAAUUCUAGCCACUGCAAUAUCACUCUAUGCAAAUGCUCUCAUUGCCAAGCUUCAUGAGUAUGGAGGGGUUAGGCACAUCAGAUACAGAGACCUUGCUGGAUUUAUAUAUGGUAUGAGCGAAAAGGAUAGCAAAAGCGAAAAAUUGAUCUGAUUCGUUUGUUGAAUUUACCUUUUCGAUUUCUUCUUUCCUGGCUGUAUUGUUCCCUGAUGGGGCUAUUUCAUUGCAGGCAAGAAAGCUUACUCUCUGACAUGGGGAUUGCAAUAUGUCAAUCUCUUCAUGAUUAACACUGGUUUUAUCAUCUUGGCUGGUCAGGCACUCAAGGUGAGAGCACAUUGCAUAUUAACUCCGAUCCGAUGGUACUAUGUGCAUGUAUGAACAGGUUAAUGUCUUAUUUUUCUAAAACUUGUCGUUCAUUUCGAGUGCAGGCUGCGUAUGUUCUGUUUAGGGAUGACCAUACCAUGAAGCUACCACAUUUUAUUGCCAUUUCAGGCUUUGUGUGCGCUGUAUUUGCCAUAAGUAUACCGCACUUGUCAGCUCUGAGGAUUUGGCUGGGGUUUUCAACAGUCUUCAGCUUGAUGUAUAUUGUUAUAGCAAUCGUACUGUCACUUAAAGAUGGUAAGGAUCAGCUCACGUUCUUUCUUCCGUACUACUUGAACAAGUGUAGAAAUUUUCUGGAUGUUUCACGCUUUGAGGUCGAUUUGGAUGAUGCACAUGCCAUUUUCUUGCUUUAAAUGAAGAACUUUGUACUGUUGGAUUUUCAUUAACAAUAGCUAUGUUGUUUUAGGACUUAAAGCACCGUCCAGGGAUUAUGACAUCCCAGGGACUUCAACAAGCAGAAUAUUUACUACAAUCGGAGCGGCUGCUAGCCUUGUUUUUGCAUUCAACACGGGAAUGCUACCAGAGAUACAGGUACCAAAAGCUUCAAUCUUUCGAGUUUUUGCAAGAACGCUGACAUGAGUAAUGAGAAAUCUUGCGAAAACCACAGUCGCCUGUCCAUGGAAGGCUUUCCACACUGAAUUUUGUUUUGGCUGUGAUUAUGUGACAGGCUACAGUGAGGAAGCCAGUGGUUGACAACAUGAUGAAAGCUCUGUACUUUCAGUUCACAGCCGGUGUUGUGCCGUUGUAUGCCGUCUGUUUUAUAGGGUAUUGGGCAUAUGGAAAUAACACAUCAUCUUAUCUGCUCAACAACGUCAACGGACCGGUCUGGGUGAGGGCGAUGGCCAAUUUUGCUGCCUUCCUGCAAACAGUCAUUGCCCUGCAUGUAAACCUUCUUCCUUCUGACCCCCUCUCUUUCACUUUCCGUAAAUGCACUAACCCAACAAGCUUUUUUUCACCGCUGCCUGCAGAUAUUUGCAAGUCCAAUGUACGAAUAUCUGGAUACAAAGUUCGGCAUCAAAGGAAGUCCACUGAAAAUUCAGAACUUGAUAUUCAGAAUCACCGUUCGAGGCGGCUACUUGGCGAUUAACACUCUGGUUUCGGCUCUGCUGCCGUUCCUCGGAGAUUUCAUGAGCCUCACAGGAGCCAUAAGCACAUUCCCCCUCACAUUUAUUCUUGCAAACCACAUGUAUUUGGUGGCAAAGAAGGAGAAGCUGACUUCUGCACAGAAGUGCUGGCAUUGGCUGAAUGUUGGCUUCUUCGGCCUUUUGGCUGUUGCAGCUUUGAUUUCGGCCUUGAGGCUCAUAGCCGUAGAUUCCAAAACGUACCAUGUAUUUGCUGAUCUAUGAGUAAUCUUCUUCCUCCCCCUCCCCUUUUUCUUUCUUUGCCAUUUGAUCCCACAAUUGUAUUUAAUUUGCGCAUUUAAUUAUGUCAUUUGUUCUUCAAGGAUUAAACAUUUUAUAGCAUAGUUAACGAAUAAAAAUCAAUUAGCGGAUACAUUUGACUAAAUUUGAAACGAAACGAAACUACAAGGACGAAAAUGUAACAAAAACAAUUACGGGGACCGAAUUUGGCGUUAAAAUGUUGGAAAAGUUAAUACCUUCGAGGAAAUUACACCGUAAAAAUGAAUUUUACCUUGAGAUGGCCUGACCACCCAAUUAAUAUCUAAAGCCAAACAGCUUCUGAACAAUGAGGAACAAGAACUACUUCAAAAAUACAGCAUUCAAACAAUAUCCAUCAACCUAAUGCUUCAGCCUUCCGAGAAACGAGAGAUCCAUUUUGGCCGAUUCCUAAUAUCAAUUCGACGAAUCUUCUGAACAAAUAACCUGCAUCCGUUCAGAAGGAAAAACACAAUUAAGUUUCGAUAUGGAAGAGCUAAGAGUUCCAACAAUCCCAAAUACUAAGCUAAGAGUUCCAACAAUUCCAAUGCAAAAUACAGAGGCCAAAAAAUAACUUGGCAACAAUUUGUUGCUACUUGUAAAAAUGCAUACUUUUCUAGUAAACCAAAUCUUCUCUUGCUCUGUUGUAUUUAUUAAUGUCGAGUGAAGCCACAUUAUGGCAUAUUCAUAUGUUAACAAAACACUAUUGAAUCGUCAAAUGCAUACGACUCCAGCAAACCAGGUGCUAUUGGCUCGGGGCUGUGGGGAUAAGAAUGCUAGAAUAUAAACAUAACCAGAGUUGUUAACAAACCUCACCUGAGCAGAAGUUCAAGACUAAGUUUGUUUGGAUAAUAAUAUUAUACACUGUACUCAGACAUAGAUAUAUAUCUUACCUCAUUUGGAAUCAUCCAGAUAUCAAUUUUAGAACGAUGCAGACAGUAUUGAGUAGCACAAGAGGAACUCUCAAGUAUUGUGUUGCGUAGAUGAGACCUAUAAUCUGUCCCUUGACUGAUUUUGUCCUGCCCCCUGAGAAUUCUGAGAGGCUCCAUCCCCUAGGCGCAAGGAAGCGGUCCUCAUUUAAAAUCGCCACUGCAUUUGCAAGAAGCAGAAAGCCUUCAAGUAGUGUACCCAGACCCAUUUACCUGAAAAAUGAAGCAUUUGUCUCAUACAACGACGUAUGACUUUGAUUUUUAGGCAUUAAUCUCCAUUCCUCAUCCCCUCUUCAAUCUAAUACGUAAAUGAGAAAAAGGAGACCAGCUAAAUAACUCAUUAUGUGCGUUAACUCAAAAGAUAUGACAGCGGAAAAGAAAGCACAGAAUGCUUCUGAGAAAAAAAAAUUAGUUUCAUAUUUAUAACGAAGUUUACAUAAUCUCAAAUCUUAUUUCGAUUUGUGGCAACUUCAGCACAAACGGUAUGACUGUAUCCAGAGAUGAGUGCUUAAAUGCCACUCAGUAGUUGUCUAAUCCGUUCUGAUGGCUAAAGAAGAGUCUGCAUCUAUUUGUAGGAGAAAAUCCCUCAUAUCUUACAAAAUCGAAGUAGAUCUAGACCAUGUCGCCGAAUCAUGCACCAGCAAAGCACUCAUUGUGUGCUUUCUCACUUCCGUAAACAUAAUUUUGGGAAAUAUAUAGAACUUUUACGAUGAAUGGAACCCUGUAUCUAAAAUAGUAGAUUGACACGAACUCUGCCCUCGGUAUUUUAGGAAGAUGUCGUCACGAUUAACGCAACAACGCAAGGCUGAUCAUUAUCGAACCUUAGAUCAAUCAGUUAUACUAUUCUAAUUUGUUUAAAAGAGCAAAACUAUUUUAAGCUCCAAAUCAAAUGACCCACAAACAAAACAACCCCUUUUACAUAAAUUCUAACACUCGCAGAAAAAUGAAGACUCCACAGAAACAACAGUAACUAAGAGAGAUUACUACUCAAAUUACCUCACUUUUAAACAACCCUAAAUACCAAACCCAAAAAACGGAUGCAAAACCUAGCAACCCAGGAAAAAUCGAAUCCCCUCAAGCAGUGGGGUAAAACCUCAAAAACCCAAUAAAGCCCAUGUCAGAUUGAAGCUUUAAAAUCAUAACUUUGAACCCACCAAGCUUCAAUGGCACAGGUAAUUACAAGAAUAACCCAGCUAUGGCAAACACGAAAAGUAGGAAGAUUUAGCUCGCAAAUUAUGAAUGUGAUUCAGAAAUUGAUACAAAUCCAAGUAAUAAUUUCAGAGAUUAAGGAAGAAAAUUGAAAACCCUUGUUACUAACCUGAAUGCGAGGACCUGAUCUCAGGAGAGGAAGAGACUUGGAGGUGGAAAAUGCUAAAGCCGAAGGCUUCCAACAACGAAGACUCCAGGAACAAAGUAGAACGUGCCCUUUUGCUUUCUUGCUGGAUCAUCUCAUUUGGGCCUGGUCAUGGUGGGCCUUGUAAUAAUUGUCAUAGUUAAAAUUUUAAGAUAACGAUAGAUUUGAGUUAAGCCAGUUUGAAUCUCCCAUAAUCUACAUUAUGUUGGCAAUUUAAAAUCUCGUUUCUUAUAUUGCAAUUCUCACACUUAUUUUUGUGAUAAUCAAACGAUAGAAAAAAGAGUAAAACUACAAAAGAAAAAUACAAGAGUGUGGAAAUCGUUGUCUCGGGGUCUAUAAUCAGAACCGCGAAAGGGUUGUAACAUGCAAUGUUUAUACAAAAGAAGGACAUGCUAAAUCUAAUUUUCAAUUGUCUUCAUAUAUGAUACACUUUGUAUGUACAUUAUAUAAAGGAAAAUGUCAUUUGGAUGAACAUCUCCCUGCUGGUGAUGAAGCUGGCUCAUUGGUCCUUUCACAAAUGCAACCUGGAUAUGGAUUCGCAUAAAAGUUCUCCUCCAGUCUAGGCAAAAUUCUGGGCACUCUUGGAUAUGGUGCUCCCAUCCGAUUUUUGUGUAACCUCUUAACUCGGGACGAGAAUGUUUUCCAAGUUAUCAUACCCUUGUCUAACUUAUCGAUCAAUCUAACAAAUCUUUGUCUGCAAGGCAAGUAACAUCGAGUGUGUCAGAUACGAAACUCCCAAUGAAACAUGUUACUUACCCCUCUAUCUCUCGCCACAUCACCAUAUUACGGAGAGAGAUGUUGAGAGGGGGUUAUGCAACACGCGACAGGUAAGUUUUUCUCGUUAGAUAGAGUGCGAGUAAAGAUUGAGCUGAAAUUAGUUAGGAAAGAAUCGUGCUUACUUGUCGGGGCUGAUUGUUUUCCUAAAACCUUCAAAUCUUCUGUGGCCUUUGACUGCUUUGGCCAUGUUUCCAUCAUAGGAGUAGAUGAAAACAUCACUCUCAACUGCUAUAAUAUAAUCUAAUGCGGCAAGCUGGUUGAGCUUAUCCUUGUAAGGUUGCAACUCCUCUUCGGAUGCUAAAUUUGAGUGGAAAAAUAGAUUUGGAUACUUGGCUUGCAGUGACGUUAGCCCGUCUUGCCCGUAGACUUCACCUGCAGCUAUGUAAAUUUUUGUAUCCGAAGGAAACCCUAUUGCCUCAAGGAAAACAGCAAUCUCUCUUGGGGUCAUGGGACAUUGCCCUUGGUGUCUCUGCACUGUACCAUUGAUUUUUUUGUGCUUCCAAUGUGGCGUCUUCUCCCUUAUCAUUUCGAGUUCUAAAUCUUCUUCUCUAGUGAGAUUGUGACUGCAGCCUGUGAAAGAAAGCAUGUCCUUUUCAUACCUGCGUUUGUAACAUUCCGAUCACUUGUUAGAAACUUUACUUGGACAGCAAGAAUAUGUUAAAUAUCCCAUUUUUUUAAUUAAUUAGACAAACCUUAGAUGGAGAGCAAUGUAUUUCCCACCAUUGUUCUUUAAUCUGUAAAUCAAAUUCAUUGCAAGCUCUUCGAUUUCAACUGCGAAGCGCAGUGCCUUAUAAAAGGCGCGGCAACGGAGUCUCUGGAUCGAGCUAUCAACAUUAUUAGCAAGUCUGGAAUCUGUGAAGGUAAAUUUGACAACCUUGUGCUUCUUCAAUAAUGUCGCCAUCUGUUGUUUAUAGUAACUGGCCUGGUCACAAAUUGUUAGACAUUGUUAGACAUUGUUAGAUUCAAACAAUCAAACCUCACUGGUUUUGUCGAAAAUGGUACUGACAACGUUGAUCAUACCCCUGACCAAGAUACUGGAGCCUUAUGGCGGGGUUUCAUGUUUGCAAACUCCGACGGGAGAGACUCUACGAUCAUGAUAUCAUCUCUCAAAACUUCCAUGAAGUUCUUCCAAUUGAAAAUGUCUUUAAAGUCACUGAGAAGGAAAAAAAACUCAAUUACAAUAGCCUAAUCUAAUUAUAAACAUACAGUAAUCAGUUAGUAAGUUAAUUCGAAUAUAUAUAUAUAUAUAUUGAAAUCUCUAACAUAACCUUGGGUCGGUCCAAAAGGAUAUGUGAUCUAAAGAAGGUAGAACAAGAGUGGCAUUCAUAAGUUUUGCUAUGGCAACCAUAUCACUUAUCUGCAAUUCCAGUUUGUUCAUAAGAAGCAAUAAGAAAAAGAAAUAUAUACCGAAUUGGAAAAUCCGAAAACAGAAAAGCUUAGCGCGAUUAUUAGUGUAUACCCCGAGCUUCAUUUGAUUCAAUCCGCCAUUGGAACGAACAAGGAUGUAGCCAUUUGUGGCUGUUUCAUUCACUGCAAGAAAUGGAACUUGCAAUUUAUGUAAAAUGUUUCACUGAUGGAUCACAAAAGCUUACUUGUUGGGGAAGAAAGCUUUCGGGACGUACAAAAUUCCUUCUUCGCUCGAUUUAUGCAUUGGUAGUAGUUAUAACUCUCUGAUGGCGUCCAAAUAUCAAGGGUCUGACUAGCAGAAAUCAAAUAAAAGAUGGGAUCACAAUUUCUGCAAUUUUUUAAAAUUAAAUGCAGUAAAAGAUAACAAUCUGACCUUGAACUUAUGAGCAUUUUAGCCACAUUUACCCUGUCACCUAAUCUGACCAUGUUCUGUUUCAAUGUCGUCGUCCCUUCGAUCAGUGAAGGUCGAAUCAAACUUAUUUUCUCCAUCACCUUCAACUCUGGAAACGUGUUCAGCAAGGCAAACUUGGCCAACAUUGACAGAAAGGCCAAACCCAUCAAAACCAUUGAAGUCCAUUUGCACAACCGCCAGCUCGAGAAAUCGGACAACUUUCGCACCCUGCGGCGGAAAAACACGGCAUGAGCAUUGGCGUCAUCGAACUUGGUGGAGGAACCCGGUUGCCCCUCCGUUGCCUCGAAAUGCCGCCGCCUCGACCUAGCGCAUGAGUUGUGAUCACUAGUGGAUUUCGACAUAGGGGAGGAGGGAAACAGAGGAAAUGCAGAGGAAAUGCAGAGCACUGUAAAGAAAGAGAAAGAAAGGGGAAGGGGAUUGGGUUGAGGGGGGAUAGUGGGAGGGAGUUGCUGCCAUGUUUGAUUAAUUUCUUUUUUGUUUUUAUAUUUUUUAUGGCGUUGGAAUAUAAGUGGGAGCGAAAUAUAAGGCGGAGGAGGCUCUGUGUUUGUGAUGGUUUUUUUUUUUUUUUUUUUUUUGUCUAUAUUUAUGUAAUUCACUAGUUUGUUUAGCAAUAUGAUUAUGAUAAACUUAUUUUAGAGGUGGAGAUUUGAGCGUAGUCAAUCAAUUAUAAUUACCCUUCAAACUUGUCAUAUAUAAGGUCUAAAUACAAAAUCUUUAACUUACAAAUGAAAAUGAAUACUACUGGAUCGUCGUAUUAGUAAAAUUUAAGAAACAUCUUUUUCAAACAAAAGAAAAAUGAACAAGAAUCACGGGGUGACUGAGUGGUUGGAACAAAUUUCAGGCCCGUAUUCCACACGGUUAGUCUUAGUUUCGAUUUUUAGAGGUAAUGAAUCACACGAUGAUGGCCAAAGGAAACUAAAAUGCCCAUGUGAAUCUUUCAAGCAUCUAAAAAGAUGGACUGUCGUGAUUUCGUCACCAGCUAUUUUUAGUUUUGAAAAAAAAAAAAGGGAAGAAAAAUGGAACAUAAAUUAUGGCAAAUCUCAUGCAACAAGAGAAAUGGCUUUCAGUUUGGGUUGGGCUUGGGAUCCAAAAUCAUUGAAUCGGACUCCUACACAAACUUGGGCCUUAUGAUAAUUCAAGAAGAGGCCCACCUGUAAACUCAAACCCUUUUAUAUAAGUAGUCAUCUUCUCCCGCAACCAAACUAGGGUUUUAGUGCUUCUUCUUCGCAGGCGUCUGUGGUUGCUCGCUGUGCUCACAUAAACCCCCAAUCGCGAAAAUGGUGAAGGAACGCCAAGGAGAGCGAAUUAGGUAAACUGAUCCAUUUCUUCCCCCCAAAAACCCUAAUUUCGAAAAUGUUAAUCCGAUUACAUGUUUUCAGAUUUCUAAUUGUUUUCUCACUUUAUUUUUGUCGUAUCAGACUGUACGUCAGGGGCACCGUCCUCGGAUACAAGAGGUAAUUGAUUUCCAUCGAGCUUUUUGUGACUUUUUUGUGCAAUUAAUUUUCUACUGAUUAACUGUAAAAUGAAAAGAUAUAAAUAUAUAUGUGUGUGUGUAUGUAGGGGUGUGAUAUCCACAUACCAUUUUUUACUUCUCUCACACCCUUUUAAUUUUCGUCCGGAUCGGAUGAAUUGAAGAAAUCAAAUGACAGAAAUUAACAAAGGGGUGUGGGAGAAGUAAAAAUGAGUGUAUGGAUAGCACAUCCCUAUAUAUAUAUUUGUGUUUUGAGCUAAAUGGAGGCUCGGGUUUUGGGUUGACUAUUUUUUUUUUGGGGUUAGGUCUAAGUCGAACCAGUACCCGAACACCUCUCUGAUUCAGAUCGAGGGAGUGAACACCAAAGAGGAGGUUGCGUGGUAUGCCGGGAAGCGGUUGGCCUACAUCUACAAGGCCAAGGUGAAGACCAAUGGCAGCCACUACCGCUGCAUUUGGGGCAAGGUUUCCCGGCCUCAUGGUAACAGCGGCGUAGUUCGUGCUAAGUUCACUUCCAAUUUGCCCCCCAAGUCCAUGGUAUUGUGUUGUAUUAGAAUUAUUGUUUACUUUUUUUCUUUUUGUUGCAAUCGAUAUUUUAUUGAGCUAUUUUGUGGUUCCUUGCAGGGUGAUCGCGUGAGGGUGUUCAUGUACCCCAGCAAUAUCUAAGUUUUUAAGGUACAAUUUUUUAGCUUGCUGCUUAAUUGUCUGCCUACAUUGUUAUUUAUAGGGAGUAUGUGUUUCUUGCGCAUGGCAUGUAUGUUUAUCUUCAAAAGUUUUAGUUUAUUGUUGUGAUCUUCUGUUGUGGAUUUUUCUUCUACAAUGUGGUUCAAUACGCAACUUCAGCUUGUGUCCUUUACCUUCGUUAGACAAUCAGGUGUGUGUUUUCGGGGCAAUGAGCUUGUGUGGUGUACUGUAGGGAGUGAGUUGUUAUCUAGAGGAUCGUUUCAAAUAUUCCAAUAUGAUUUACAGUUUUAAUUGUUAUUUAUGAACUUGUGUCCACGGUACCUUAAUUUUUACAUGGCCUCGAGAGUACUCCCUUCGUAUGUUAUUUCAGUUGACUCCGAACUUUUGGAUUGUUUGCAUUCCAAAUGUUGACUGAUAUUUGAUACAUCGUAUAACUAUUCUUAUCUUUUGGGUUUCUUCCAUUGGGCUGUUUCACGACAUUUUUUUUAUGCUCAUGUAUUUCUUGUCUCUAUGGGAUACAAAUUCAGUAUAUGAGCUUAUAUAGGGAUUGCAAAUUUAUCUCUCCACGAUGAAAGUUUUGCUUAGUGUUUGUAAUCAGAAUUAUGCGGGGUGUUUAAUCAUAAUGCUCCAUGUUUGUAAUUUUAGAGGAUGUCAAGAAAUUUGAUUGGCAGCAAUAUAUAUACAUAUAUAUCGCUUUUUUGUUUCUCGCUCCAUGUUUUAACGUCUUGUAGUCAUGAUGCAUGUUACAUCCAUCUUCAUAUAACUAUUUGUGCAACUAUGUGCUCAGGUCAGCCCGCAGUUCGUAUUACUUCUUUAGCAUAUUCUUCUUACCCUGGUUCUAAGCUCAUGCUCAUUUCUUCCUUGCAGUUGCUCAGGACUUCUAGAUGAUAGAGAACGGACACUUGAAGGGGUCUACUUUCACAUGGGUUUUACGAGCGACGUUAGAUGUAUUUGGUUGAAGCCGAGUCAGUUUUGUUGUUCAGAUGGUAGAACAUUGUCUUGAUACUCCUUUACUAAUUUUAAUGCAUAUUAUACCAUUUCAAUUAUGUUUUGAAGAUUCAUUAUUUGAGCGUCUGAAGUUUUGAAUGAAGCAAGUCUUGUUGGCUAUUUUUCUCAAAUUAGAUCUGUUUAAAAAUAUGAAUCGAUAAUUUGGAAUAUUCAAGUUAAGAGGGAACAAAUGAUAUACUUAAUCUAGACUGAUUGCGAUGUAGUCUUCGUUCGUGGUCUCUCUUGUUGAAAUUUCGAUGUUUCUUUUUUGAGUUGUUUUGUUUGUUUCAUUCGGAUUGAGACUCCGGAUCUUUGUGUUUGGAGCUCGCUGUUCGAGAGAUCCAGACCACUCAAUUUCAAUCUUCUAUCCCUCUGGUCCACUUCAAAAAGAUUCAAAAUCUGAACGGUCCUGAUCUCUCUCUUCAAUGUUGGGGGUCUCUUGGUAUGCUGGCUCGGGAAACAAAAAUCCGGAGUGGAACUCAUUCCGUUUCAAUCCCGGUGGGAGUUGUCAGACAUCGGCAUUCUUCUCUCAUCUUGCCUCACUGGUCACUUUCAUAUUGUCUGGAAAGAAUUUGUUGUGACUUGUGAUGACAAUCGAUAUUUAUUCAACUAUUUGUGCGUAUUUCUCUUAAUCGGUUUUAUUUGUGUGUAUUUCUCUUAAUCGGUUUUAUUUGUGUGUAUUUCUCAAAAGGAAUGAAAAAACUUUCGAAAUAAAGGCCGCCUCCGAAGCCCGAGAAAUGCUGAAAGGAAAGGCACAAAGGGUGUUGCGAUUUAACUUGCUAUUGAGGUCGUAUUUGCCUUGGUUUUGUAGUUAAAAACCAAUUGUCGUGAACAUGGUUCGUGGAUGCGAAACGUCAAAAGUGUAGAUUUGCUUUGGUUUCGUUUGUAAUUAAGUGGCAUGUGAUGUAAAAGUUGUUUUAAACCAUACGAUACGCACAUGCAUGAACUAUGCUUCUCACAUUCACAACCCACAUGAUCCUAAUUGUAAGAUUUAAGCUUUCACAUUCACUUUUUAGCUCAUGAUCCAUGUCCUAAGUAACCCAUCAAACUACUCUCUCUCAUACCUAAUCACAAUUUUUUUUUAGUACAACGAUAUAUUUUAUACUAAGGAGAGGGCGAGUUUGGUUAAGUCACACAAUGAACAACCUAAUUUGGUAUCAAAUUUGUCAUCCACGAGAUUCAAACCUAAAACAUCUCACUUACAAGUGAAGAGGAAUACCACCAGACAGUAGUACUGAGUGACACCUAAUCACGAUUUUGACAUGCUAAUAAAUUAAGUUACUCAUAGACACUCAGUAACGACACAUAUUUGAAUAGACUUUAUUACCUAUAAGCACUUAGUACAGACACAUAAUUGUUGAAUUUUAUCCAAUAAUUUAAACUAAGUGCCUGAAACCUGUUGAAUUAAACUCAACAAUUAAUGAAUCAAAUAUGUGUUGACGUUGAUUUUAUAAGUUAUCAAGAAAAAUUGAAUUCGUUGGCCAUAACUUAUGGUGGAAGUCAGUAGACAAACAAUGUGGAUUAAUAACUGAGUUUGACUAAACCAGGUCCAUAUAAAUUAGGUAAACUAAUCCCAUUUUUCUUGGAGUAAAGAAUAUGCACUAGGUUGAGGCCGCCAAAUGGCAAAGGCCUUCCGCACAAGACAUUUCUAAGUUCGGUACCAGCAAAAUCAUGCUCAAUUUCCAGUGAAGUGGCCCCAUAAUCCGAGAGAUUUUUCAGUUUGCCCGGCAUAUGAGGUGGUACACAACGUGUCACUAAACAAAUGAUGUGAUUUGUAUGUUAAAAAAUUAAUAACUUAAAAAAUAAAAUUUUUCACAAUUUACAUAAAAACACGUGAUGUACCAUCCGUAUUCCCGUCACAAUAAAAAAAUUUCUCCACAAUCCCAAAGUAACUAACCUCAUAAUAAAUUUAACUUUUACCCUUGUUUAAUCUUUUUUCCAUUGAUUUGUCAGACAUGGCCACCACCGUCAAAACUUAUUCAACAAAUAGUGUGACAAUAUUUAUUGAUUCAAAUAUACACCUCUAACCUCUUGCAUUUUAUUAUGUAUAAGCGAUAUCGAUGGAGUGAGAGAUUCGGCACAGAUAUUUAAGAUGCAACGAUAAACGUUUUUAAUUUUAUUUAUCUUUAUAUUUUAAGACAAUUGGAAGUGUCUAAGCUAAUAAUCGAACAUCCGGUGGAUGAGCCCCUAAUUCCAAAAUCCUAAAGUUGUAGGUGCGAACGAAUGAAGUUGCAGGGACCAGGGAGGGAUUAGGGAUAUGGGUGUGCUAUCUACAUAUUAUUUUUUAAUUCUUACACACUCGUUAAUUUAUGUUCUUAUAUCUUCUUUAAUUUAUUCGAUCUGACGACAAUAAAUUAAAAAUACAUGUGAAAAGUUAAAAAAAUAUAUUCGUAUAGCACAUUCCCACAUCUCUUAGGAUAUCAGUAAGUUUGGCAGCACAUACACCUGGACUUUUGGAUCGUGCAAGUGCAGCAAAUAAUAAUAUUAUUUCCAAAUCACUAGAAUUAUAUAAAUAUUGCUCUGUCCCUGCACGACCCCUUAUUAGUUAUCCCUUCACAUGGCCGAAAUUUAUGGCAAUCUCUUCCUGAACCUUUUCAGGCUUUUCUUAAGAUCGGCUGCUAAUACUUAAUUAAUUUGCUUAAUUGACCAAACUAAUUUUUAUUUGAGCAAUAAAAAAUAAGGAAAACUAAUGAAAAGAGUUUGAAAACUUUGAGUUUUAAUGAUAAGGACAAAAUAAAAGGUAAAAUGAAUAGUAUCAUAUUUGACUUUUUAGUGUAAAAAUAUGGUUUUUCGUUAAAGUGAACAGUACCGUGGGCUUUUCGUUAAAACUCCCAAAAAAAUAUGAGUCAAGACCAGAGUUAAAAAAGAUUGAAAAGAAAAAAUACAGAUGGAUUCUAAUUUCUACAUAAAUUUUAAGGAAAACUAAUAAAAAUGGCUUGAAAACUUUGAGUUUUAACGAUAAAGACAAAAUAAAUGGUAAAGUGAAUAGUACCAGGUUCGACUUUUUAGUGUAAAAAUGUGGUUUUUCGUUAAAGUGAACAGUACAGUGGACUUUUCGUUAAAACUCCCUAAAUUUUAUAUUCUCAAUACAUCGUCUUAACUCUUCAUCCGAUUCCUUCUCAAAUACAAACCUUUGGAAUAUGCUAGCAUUUGACGUGUGUAUUUAGUGGCAGAUCUAGGAUUCAAAUCUUGGGUGAUAUGUGUUAAAAGUCCAAGUUUUUUAGAUAGAAAGAGUGCAAAGGGCGCAAAAAAAAUAAUUUUAGUUUAUUCACUGAGACAUUUCGUCAAAUGAGUGAUAUCAAGAGAAUUCGCCUAGCAGAUAUUACAUCAAACAAUUAGUAGGUAUAAAUUAAAAGGGGACCCGUACAAAAUGUUCGGAGGAUCCUUGUUAGACCUUCACAUUUAUAUUUUCUGAACUUUAAGUGGUCCUGGGACCAUCUAGGUUUCAGUGUGCAUCCGCCUCUACGUGUGUAAUGAUGUGAUGGUGAUUAAAUUAUUUGUAAAUGUCUUUCACUCCUUAUUAGUAGACAAAGUGUAUUGAUCAUAUUUUUCUUUUUUAUCAAAUAAUAUUAUAUACACUAAAGAAGUGAGAUAGUGAGCUAAACCUUACUAUGAAUUAGUUGUACGCUCAAUCGAUAAUCAUAAACAUACCGCUAUCGUUUCGCCAAAAAAAUUUCCAUUAAAAGAUAUUUUGAGCUCCACGGCAAGGAUGAUGUCGACCUAUGUGAUGUUAUAGUUUACAAGAUGAAGGUGUCAUUGACCAUCUUUUUCCCUCAAAAUCCAGACAAAUUAGUGAACCUGGACUAAUUCCUACACGGAGGCCCUGUUUGGCAGAUCGGAUAGAGGAUCGGAUAGGACUAAUUAUACGGACGCGGGUGUUUGGCGUUCACUCGUACUAAAUAAGCGCCGGAUUAAAUUAACCGGUGUGCUUAUUUAGUACGGUAUACACCGGACUAAUAAAACCAACCAAAAGGUCGGGAUUAUUAGUCGGCCAUCUCUCUCUCUCGCCUUCUCUCGGCCCUCUCUCUCUCUCUCUCUCUCUAGGCGUCGUUGUCCUCCCCCCCCCGUCACCUUCUCUCACCAUUGUCGUCCUCCCCGUCGCUGUCGUCGUCCUCCUCGUUGACGUCGUCGUCCUCCCCUGCAACUGGGUCUUGCAAAGAAGCAUGCACUCUCUUGCCCGGCAUGGUGUCUGGGAAACCUCUCUUCUCAAAACGCCAACAAACUACUCUCCUUCUCUCUGUCAAACCGCCGCCAGUCCAUUCCACUUGCGAUGCUGCAGUGCAGGAGGUAACCUUGUCAACAAAUCGUUAGUUUGUUUCGUUUGUUGCAUCUUGAUUUGGGUUGAUGUGGAUCUGAUGACUCAUGGUUGUUCACCAAAUGUGCAGGCAGGCGGGGAAGAAGAAGGGAGAGAGAGGGAGGGCGUUUGAGGGGUUCGGCAGAGAGAACAGGGAAGAAGAAGGGAUGGUUUCAGAUUUUAUUUUUAUUUUUAUAAGUUUAAUUUAAUUUUAAGUUUGAUUUAGCCUAUCCGGUAUAAAACCAAACACAGUAUAAAUAAUACGGUCAUUAAUCCGAUACUGCACCAAACGCCCGACUAAUUUAGUCAGUACUAUCCGGUGGCUAUUUAUCCUAUCCGACAGAAAUAGUCAGUACAGUCCGAGCUGCCAAACGAGGCCGGAAGGUCCGGAUUGGACUGGAUAGUAUUAUUACGGAUAUUCCCUUUUCCAUCCAGACCAAUGGUAAAUCGGAAGCAGAAUAUACUCCUUUCUCGGCUCUCUGAACUUUGCUUGUCAAAACCCCACCAGUGCCAUGUUAGCACCAGAGAGCUUCAACUCCAGCAACUCUGGUUGCAGCUUCGCAGUUGCAGGUAGCCAGCCAUGUUUGGAUGCACAAUAGCUAGCUCAAAUCAACAGAUUAAAACGACUUGAUUAAUCUGGUUUUCUAAGGUUUUUUACUCCCAAACAAACAACCCUCAUCGGAGUUUGGUGUUUUUUUUUGAACUUCUUCGAUGGCACAGAUUGUUUUGACUGCUUCAGCUCCUCCUGUUCCCGUCAGUUGUAAUUGUAUGUUUCGAUCUCUUAAUUAAUCCCCCCUUCUUAAUUAGCUGCCCAAAUUUGUUUUUAAAAUUCUUGGGGCUUGAACAAAUGGAUUCUGGAUUCUGCUGUUUGGUUGCUGAGAAAAUGUUGAGAGAAAGGGAAGAAAAGUAGAGCAAGAGUCACUGAGAACUUAUGAAGUGUUGUGUGAUUUGGUAAUCUGAUCAGAACCCAGAUCGUGGUUUUGGAUUAUUUCUUGUAUUUUUCCAGCACUUUCUCGGAUUCCAAACAGAGUGGCAAAAUUGUGAAUUUGGGGAAGGCUUUUGACAUUUCUGGGAAUUUUUGCAGAUGGUGCAAAGCCGUGGAGUAAAUCAGUGCUUCUCUGUUCUUCAAGACAAUAUGCGAGUACGAGCAGCUCUUCGCUAUCGAUUACAAGUUUCGGAGGCAGAAGCCUUCGGAUCGUUGAGUCGAAAGCAAAUGCAGCUGCAGCAGAAGCAGCCGCCAGUAGUGAAGGUUUUGAAGAGGUAGCUGAAGGGCAACUGGUCUCUUAUUCAUGGGCAGAUAAUAAGGUUAGGACUCUCUUCUCAAUUUGCAUUUUAUAAACCCUUUUUACUUAAAGCUAAAGGUUAAUUAAUGCUACAUUAAUUACAUUUAGAGGCGUUUUUAAACUGCUUAUUUGGCGGAGUUGAAAUUUACUUAUUACAUUAAUUAUUGUGAUAAACUGAUAAAUGAAACAUCACAUGUUACAUAACGCUGUUUUAAAUACAAUAUUCUCACAUUAUUAUUAAAUAAUUUAUGAGUAUUGUUACACUUAUAUACUACAUUUACUGACUACAUUAAAGACUACAUCUUUCUUAUACGAGUAAAUUUCGGUUCAACUUAUGUGAGAUAUGUGAUCGAUAAACCGAAGAAACAAUAAGAACCAUUUACAUUUUACACGUUGUGCAUAUACACAACAAUACAGUGCCCACCAAAAAUUUAUAUAGCUCCCUUUUUGGGUACAUGCAUUCCACCAAAGCAAUUUCAAACUGAAAAAAGGAAGGAAGGUACACAUAUCACUAAUUCAAGUGAUAAAUGUAUUCAUUAAAGCAAGCAAGUAAUUUUCAUCAAAGAUUUUGUUUUACCAAACAAAUUUAACGCUGAAUUGAUAGCAAAUAUUAUAUAUAGGUUUUUCAGUCAAAAUGGUCUAUGAGAUUGAUAUAACUCUUCAUUUUGUUAUUUAAGAUUUAAAAUUCAUGAAAGUGGAGUCUAUGUUUGUCCAUCGUCACCAUGAAAAUCUUCGUUAAAUAAGAUUAAAAUGACAAAAAUACCCUUAAUUUUUUUUUUCAAAUCAUUUUGGCCCAUUGGUUCUCAAACUAAGGAUAUUUUUGUUAUUUUGGUUCUUAUUCAAUAGAGAUUUUUCGUUAAAUGACCAAAAUAUUGAUGGUUGACAAACUUAAGAACCACUUCUAUCAAUUUUAAAUCUCAGCGCUAAAAUACUAAAAAGAAAUACAAACAAGAAGAAGCAUCUGAUUAGUGAUCAAGUCGAGUGGAUUAGAAGGGUACCCAACCACUAAUUAAAAUAAUAAUGUUCUGCUACUUAGUCGUUUGCAUGGAUGAUGAUCCAAAUUUCUAGUAGCUCGAAAAGAAUAAAAAUGCUGGCCAGAUUCGAACAAUUCGUAAUUUAAAAACAUUUGGACUGGAAUUUUGAUGUUGCGAUGUGGCCUAACAUAAUCUUUUAAUUUUGUAUUCAACCAAUCAAAAGAAAAUAAAAUAAAAAAGGUGCGUCGGCCGUUGAGAAUUUCCUCAUUUAUACGGACCGGCUAUUACGGCAGACACUUCCAAGUCGUAUACGUAGUUCCCAUACACGUAUUUUAAAGCAAUAAUAAUAAAUAAUACUUUAAUAAAUCUUAAGUAUGAAAUUUCUUUAUUUGCUUUCUAAUUUCUUUAUUCGAUUGGACAAAAAAGAAGAUUAUUGACUUUCUCUAAAAAAAAAUAAAGAUAUUCGUUCAAAAUAAUUGGUAAAAAUAUCAUGUCUGAAUCACAUAAAUGCGAUGACGAUACAUAAUUAUAAUUAGUUCGAUUCUGAAUACUGAUAUGAGUGAUUUUACAACUCUUUGUAAAAGUAUUUUAUAGAUUCGUCAUUUUUUUUUAAUAAAGUCCAAAUACUUUGGGAGAAAAUGAAGAAAGGUAUUGUUUUAUUAUUCAAUUCUUUAAUAAGCUAAAGAUACCAUUAAAAUUAAGUUCAUACAAUUAAUUUUAAAAACUGAAGUCCACUUCCCCUUUAGUUCACAGCAAAAGAAAAAUAGAAAAAUUAAAAACAAAAAAAAAUAAUAAUUAAAAAUUAAAAACAAAAAAACUAAUUAAUUUUUUUGUCAAAAAAAAAAAAACUAAUUAAACUACUGACAGAUAAAGGGAAAAGAAUAAACGAAGUGAAUUCUCGCGUACGCGUUUACCUCUCUCUCUGCUUUAAAACUCUCUCCCCUCUCUCUCUCUAUCUCUCUCUCUCUCCGUCCUCCCCUCCCCUAAUUGCAGAAGAAGCACAUUCCUCGUCGGUCGUCCUAAAAAAUCUGACCCAGCGACGCAGCCUCUCUCUAAAUUCCAACGCAGACCCAACUCCCCCACCUCCCUCCCUCUCCCUUUCUCCGUCGGCAUCUCAGAAUCCCCAAUUUUUCCUGCUGUUUUUCGUUUUUCAAUUUCCUCAAUAAAUUCGCAGUCUUUUCGAUGGACCUAGAUUCUCAGAUCCAUGGGAGGCCGACCCAUGUUUCUACAUAACCCAAUUCUUCAUUCUGCACCUGGGUUUUCACCAAUGCCCCAGCCCUAGCAGAUCCCAUCCCCACCUGAAUUUAACGCAUUCUGGGUUUUUCCCCAAAUCUCAGCCGUCCGAUCGAGACCCGCCUCGGAAGAUGAAGGGGAAGAGCCGCUUGUUCACGAUCGGGCUCGUCACCGCCUGGUACUCAUCCAACAUUGGGGUUUUGCUGCUGAACAAGUACUUGCUCAGCAACUAUGGCUUCAAGUACCCGAUCUUCCUCACCAUGUGCCACAUGACGGCUUGCUCUCUGCUCAGCUACGUCGCAAUUGCUUGGAUGAAGAUGGUUCCGAUGCAGACCAUUCGAUCCCGGGUCCAAUUCUUGAAGAUCAUGGCGCUCAGCCUGGUGUUUUGUGUCUCCGUCGUGUUUGGGAACAUUUCGCUGCGGUAUUUGCCGGUGUCGUUUAACCAGGCUAUUGGCGCCACCACGCCGUUCUUCACUGCGGUUUUCGCCUACUUAAUGACUCUCAAAAAGGAGGCUUGGCUCACGUAUCUCACCCUCGUUCCUGUUGUUACUGGAGUCGUCAUUGCAAGUGGGGUAUGAGCUCUCUUCCUUUUCUGUUAAUUUUGCUUUGUUUAAUGCAAAUUCAAGUGUUUUAUUGAGAAUUGCUGUGAAUUCUGGAAAUGGGUUUGCUUUGGUAUGAGCUGCUUUGGAUGGGAUUUGAGCAACUUUGCUUAGACUAGUCUGAAUUGUGGGAUAUGGGUUGGGAUGGAUUGGUGACAUUUUUUGCCAAUUCAGUUGUUUAUAACUCCAAUUGGUUUUAACCGUCCAUAGUUUAGAGAAAAACUAUUGUCAGAAGAUCUAUCAAAACCAAAAGGAAAGAUGAAUUGUUGGACCUGAGGUUUUAGUAUCUACCUGAGAUCUGAUAUAUUUCUGUUAAGCUGAGCUUAGUUCAAGAUUUAACUGAAUCGGGGUGAAUAAAAAGUACUUUGGGUGCAUGAAAGUGGGUGGCUUUUUCCAAUUUCCCUAGUUAAUAUAGCCAGUAAAGUUGUGAGAUUGUGCAAAUGUAUGUGGAGCCUUCAAUUUGACCGGAGCAAUGCAUCUCAUAGUUUGUUCUUUUUACAUGGCCGCAGGGUGAACCAAGUUUCCAUUUAUUUGGUUUCUUAAUAUGCAUAGCAGCAACCGCUGCCAGGGCGCUUAAAUCAGUGCUACAAGGGAUUUUGCUUUCUUCUGAAGGGUAAGGAAUCCUUAUGUGUUUGCUCUAUCAGUCUCUAAAUGGUUGAAUGGGUACUGAAUGACUUGCCUUUAUAUUCCAGGGAGAAGCUGAAUUCUAUGAACCUCCUUCUGUAUAUGGCUCCGAUAGCCGUUGUUUUCUUACUUCCCGCAACACUUAUCAUGGAAGAAAAUGUUGUCGGUAUAACACUAGCUCUUGCAAGAGAUGAUGUCAAGAUCAUAUGGUACCUACUAUUCAAUUCGACGUUGGCAUAUUUUGUAAAUCUGACCAACUUUUUGGUCACAAAGCACACCAGUGCUCUAACUCUUCAGGUUUGUCUCCCUUCUUGAUGUAACAUCUUUUUAAUUGUUAAUCAAAAUGUAUUUUAAAUGCUGUUAACACUUGUUAUGUUCUAGCAUUUAGAAGAUUUCAUGAAUAAAAGUUACAGUUUGGGCAGUACUGAAGUUGCAGGGAGUUCUGUCCUCAGGGUUUAAGUGGUGAAACUACUUGGAUUUUGUUGCUUAUAGGAUGAGCCAUCCUAAUCUUAUAGGGACUAGUUCUGUUUAUGGGGUUGAGAAAUAAUGGUUUAUUGGUGUGUGUUCAAUGAUGGCACCUGCUGGAAAAUAGCCGGUUAUAUGGGGCUGUGAACAUUAUACCAUGGCAGAAUUUAUAAUCUAGGACCAGAUGCGUUAGAUUGAAGGCACUAGUAGGACAAGAGGAUGUCCAUUCAUAUGUUCGCGUGGCUAUGUUGGCUAGUGUUUUUGUUUGACGUGUUGAAAAAAUGAAAUGAUCAUGAUAAAAUCUGGUGUUUACUGUAUUUUUCUAAAUUACUUCGUUGUUUCCUUUAAUGUGAAAGGAGCUGUAGCAAGUAACUAACGGAACGUUUGGUUAUCCAGGUUCUAGGGAAUGCUAAAGGAGCUGUAGCUGUGGUGGUCUCGAUAUUAAUUUUUAAAAAUCCAGUUUCUGUGACUGGAAUGAUGGGUUACACUCUUACAGUCUUUGGAGUGAUCCUAUACAGCGAAGCCAAGAAACGAAGUAAAUCAUAGUUCCGGGAAAGCAUCAAGUGAAAUGUCUUACGUUUUGUAUUUUGUACUGCGAGAACAGCAGUGGCCGUCCUGGAGGCAUAGUUGGGGGGGGGGGGGGGGUACAUGCGAGCAGUUGGUGCCGGGAUCUUGCCUCUACAAAUUUUAUUUUUUCCCCUGGAAGCCUGAGUACGUGAGUGGCUUCCAUUUGUAUCAGCAAACAACGCAGGAUAAGUCGAAAAAAGUAGGAAACUUAAUAAGUGACUAGUAUUACGGAGGAAAAUCAGUAUCGUUUUAUCGUUUUAUUCUUUCAGCAAAAGGGUUGUAGAAUUGGUCUCCACACAUUCAGUCUGUUAUUAACAUUUCUUCUAUUGAAUCAAUGAAAACAAAACCAUUCACAAUUUCACUAUUUGGUACUUGCAUCUCAGACGCAACAUUGUAUAACUGUCUAUUUUCCUACGGGUGUGCUAUCCACACACCUUUUUACUUCUCACACACCCUCUUAAUUUUAGGCUGUCGGAUCGAAUGUCAGAAAUUAACAAGGGGUGUGCGAGAAGUAAAAAGAAGUGUGUGAAUAUCACACCCCUUUUCCUACCAGUUCUGACGCCGAGGAUGCAAUUGUUGGCCAACAACACGAAAUAUCUGCCGGAAGAUUUCAAAUGUUGCAUGUUUGUAAAGCAAAAAUAUGAUGGUCCGAAAACAUUAUUUUGAUCUUGAAAGGGAUGACGAAACUGCUCAACCUCCACUUCAUUUUCACCUUCCGGCUCCGCUACGUUUCCGACAUCCACGCGAGGAGCCAAGUGGAAGAACCCUAUGUAACCCAUGUCAGCAAACUCUACUCAAUCACCACCAGCAGAUGUGAAUUCGAAGACAUUUUGGUUUUCACCUGCCUCGUGGAUGGGAUUGCCGCGGCAAGCGGAAUCAUACUGCUCAGAGUAAUGGUCAAGAUAACAGGCUCCUCCAUUUCUGUAAUGGUAGCUUCAUCAGGCUUCAUAUAAUAUGUAAUUGCAGCAUAUUAGCUGAUGUGAAAAUCCCAUCUCUUUACCAAAACUACCAUUUUUGUGACUUUUUUUUUGGGGGGGGGGGGGGGGGGGGGAGUCAUAUUUCUGCAGAAAAAUAAGAACCUUGUCGACAGGAACGUUGUGAAGAAACAGUCCCAGAUUCUCACCAUUGGUGGAGAACUUCACAACUUCAUUGCUCACAGAGAACUUCGCAGCUUCAUUGCUCACAGAUAUCCUUGCAAAUCGUAGCAAGCCUUGCCGGCAGCAUCCUUGACAGUGGUUUGGCAUUCUUCUUGUGGUCUUCGUUAGCUUCAUCAUGUAAACAGGAACUCGUAUCUCGAGUCUUGAUCUUCAUGACAGAGAAUUUUGAAAAAGAAAUCAACAAAUUUACGAUGAACAAAGUCAGAGUUGCAAGACAUGAACUGAAGUAUCAUCAUCUCUGCUUUUUCUGAAAACAAAUCAAGUUCGAUUCUCUAAAACACACAAACUAAGCCUAUCUCCGAGAACCAGCCCUGCCCGAAAACCGAGUUACGAUACCAACCAAUCCCAGAAAUGAAGAAAAGAAAGAAAAUAGAAGCGAUUCAAGAAACUGAAAGAAAAUGCAGAACAUAGGUUGAGGUUUCCGUAAACUUAACAAUAAAAUGCAAUGCGCGAAAGUUGUUGUUCUCCGCCGGAGAGAUCAGAAAGUUGUCGCCGUUCUCCGACGGAAAAAUCCUUAAGCCUGAAUCUGAAUGAAUGAUUUGUCCCAUCCGAUCCGACGGUCACCCAUUUCUUUUUCUUUCCUUUGUUCCAAUAUGGAUUGGUGUGAUCAAGUUCGCUCAUUUUGGCAUCAGACAAACCAUUCUCGAUACUCAUUUUGGAAGCGCUUAUAAAAUAACUAAAAGUUUGGCCAAAAAGGUUAAAAGUGUUCCUGGGUAAGAAGAAACACUUGAAGUGCUAUAUAGAAGCACUUAAAAGUGUUUUUUGGAAGAAACAAUUGCUAUGUGCUUGCAUGUCAAGUUCUUCAAAAUUUCGAUGUAUUUCAACUGCUUCUGACCCAAUGUGUUUUGUAUAAAAACAUUUCCAAACGAGCUCUCCGUCCGAAUGCUAUGCGAAGAACAUAAGCCAGGUUAAGGAACGGGACAAGAAAAGCCCAUUACAAUAUUUUUCAGCAGAUGAAGGAAAGGGGUGAGCGCAGAUGGUAAGAGCGGGCAGAAAAAUUCUUGACUCUUACCGUACGCACAGCCGUCAUAUGGUAUUAUCAUUCCCCAUGUUAUAAUAAGAAUGUGCAAUCUAUUUAUAUUUUAGAUAUGGUUGAAUUGUAACACCACAUGACCGUCACAUUGAAGAAUUUUCGGGUGAGAGGGAAGCAGGAAAAUGAAACGAAGAUGACAGACUCUUUUCAUAUAUUUGCCAAAUGCCGAGAAAAAUGGUGACAACAUGAACUUACUGCAAACAAAGCCCUGAAGGUCUUUUUACAACUGCCGGACCCAGAAUCACAUACGGGAAGCAAAACACAACAAUGUGCCCAAGAUUGAUGAGCCAAAUAAAAUAGAGAAGUACCAAGUUUUCUCACUCCGCCAUGGAAAAGCAUGAGGCUGAAGAGGAAUACAACACUCUUAAACAAACGAAAGCCAUGUGAUCGAACAUUUAAAUAUGGAAUUUAUGCUUCUGGAAUGGAGGCUACUGCUGCUGUUGCUGCCGCCGCCGCCGCUGCUGUGCGCUUAAUUGAUGCAGACUUAAUAAGAUGGUUGUAGCUCCCCUUCUCCUUGAAAAGCUGGGAGAAAUGGUGCUUGCAGUAUAGAAUGCCCUCCAAAGCCGCGUAGUUUGAGGGAGUAAUAGGACAGCCGCCGUGAGAACACUUGAAACACGACUUGUGAUAGGCCUGGCUCUCCACAGUCACCUGCAAAAUUUUGGUUCAAUACACUCGAAUUAGUUUCAUGGGGGUUUUUCAUAUCUUUGUGAGUUAUAUAAGAAAAAAGUUAAUUUUCCCCCAAUAACUAUUGCAGAGGAACUCAUUUGUUACCAUGGAGGUCAUGUGAAAUUCGUGGACCUUCAAACACCUUUGAUUAUAAUUAGGAAUAUUACAUAGAACAUGUGCUCAACUUAUAUCAAAGCAACGAAGUGCCAGUUCCAACCAAUUCAUUUUUGUUUGGGACAAAAACGGGAAAGCAAAAAUAGAAUGGUCGAAAGAAAAAUUAUCAACAAAAGACAUAUCUUCGGAUCCUACCUUCUCCAGUGGAUAAGCGGUUUUACCACAAGUAGCACAUUUGUCUUGUGUUCCAGAAAACAUGCUAGCAGCUUUGCUAGGAGACCUAGUCUGAACCAAACACAAACAUUUGAGAAUCAGUGUUGCCGCUAUCUGAUAGUAUAAGAAUAUUCUGUAACUAAAAAACGGAGUUUAUAACACCGAUGUAGAGAAGUUUACCAGCUCUGGAGUUAACUUCUCAGCUGACUUUGCAGCUGUUGCAAAUUAAAUUUAUAGAAGAUUAAAACAGUAAACAAAAAACCAUGCAGAGACAUCAAAGACGGUUUCAUCAGGAAAAAGAUAAAGACAUACGUGACUGAAAGUUCUUGUUGAAAUUGCCAGUCUCCUUGAAAAGUUGCUCAAAGUGAGGCUUACAGUAUAGAACACCUUCCAUUGAGGAAUAAUUGCUCAGCUUUAAAGACAAAUAUUACAAAACAUUAGAAACAAGAGGAAACUUCCAUAAACAACUCCAUAUGUUACAUAUCUUAAAUUGAACAGAAUUCGGAUCAAUGGCACAAACAAAUCUCACUAUUCGAGUCCUCUUUCUAACAUAUACGUUCAUACGUCAAUAAAUUCAAAUGUACGUUCAUAUGCGAGGGUUUGGGACACAAAUUUAAGUAUUUCUUUUCCCAUUGUAUUGUAUUAUCUAUUAAUAAUCUUCAAAUUUUGAUAUUCGAAUAAGGUUGCAAGUAAAAUGUGUGUUCCUACGCAAGAUUUUCGAUUAUUAACCAAUAUUUAUGUCAUUACACCCAUUGCCAUGAUACUAAAUAAUUUGGUCAGAAGUAUCGAUAAAACGAUAGUCUUUAUAAUUUGCUUUGAAUCAUUUGAAAAUGAUGCAUCUAAGUUCCACUUCCACACAAAACGGAUCGAAAAUCGCAAAGAAAGCAUGAAACGAGGCAGAAUUGAUGGUUGGUUGAGUACCUUCAAAGUCCCUUUGCAGUGGGUGCAUUUGAAGCAAGACUUGUGGUAGGAAAUCCCAUCAGCAGAUAGCUCCUCCACUGGGUAAACUGUCUUUUCACAAGCCUUGCAUUUCUGCUGGGUGCCAAUGAAAGACAUAUUUCUAUCUCCUUCUAGAUCUGAUUCUUCUCUUUUUACCAAGAUCACCCCCUCUCAACCUUCCACCUGCAAUGAACAAUUUAACAAAACAAAAUUCAGGAUCAAACGAGCUCUGUUUGUUUCCCGAGAAAGUAGAAGAAAGAAAAGGACUUUAAAUUAUGUGUGUAAAAGUACAGAGAUUCAUUGACCCAGAUACGGGAAAACAGUAAAGUUACAGAAUUUGGCAACUUUAUCAACAAAUCGACAGAAAACCCAAAAUCCCAUAUCUCUUUUCCAGCUUUCCCAGAAACCGAUCUAAAACUUUUAGAACAUAAACAGCUAAAUUAUAGAAUAAAAAAUUACUCAUUUUUUCUUAAGAUUUUUUCUCUGAUCCAACUUUCAAAGCACCCAAAUGCAAGAACAAAUUAAUGGAGAUCUGGCAGCAUAGAUUACGAAAUGAAGUCAAUAAAAAUCCUCCAGAAUCAGAAAAGCGUACCCUUUGAAGCUUUAAGGCUGACUGAGUGAAGCUCAAAAAUCUCGAUAAUUAAAAAGGGUAAAAUAAAAAAGAAAAGAUUUUGAAAACGAAAUGGGUGAGGAAGGGCAAAUGGGUCCUUUUCCGUACGGAAGGAGUGUGAUGGCAAGCGGAUGGAUAUGGCGAGCGCUUUUUGCAGGGAGCGGAUGCAGCGUAGUGGAGAAGACGACGAUGAUGAAAUUAUAGAGAGAGAGAGAGAGAUAGAGAGACCCCUCCAAAAUCCAAAUCCAAUGAGAGAGAUUUUAAAGGCGUUGUAAAAUAAUAAAUAGGAAUAAAAAUAUCCGCGCUGGACACACUUUGUAUCGUUCAACUUCAACUACUCGAUUUUACGCGGCUUUUCUAGCUCUUUGUUGCCUACAAAUUUACACAUUGACCCCUAUUUACGAUAAAAUUUUCAAUGUGACACGUGGUAUACCCUCUGUGUUCCGGUCACAAUAAAAAGUUUCUAUUUAUUUACUUUACUUUUUACGGGGGGGGGGGGGGACUCGAACUCAUCGCAAAUAUAUGUCAUCUAUGCAUACAUAUGAGUCGAACGAUUUUUAUAAUAGGACUAAAAAAGUGAGUGUUAUGCUAAUAUACUGAGCUCGUGUAGGAAUCACACAUUUACAGUGGGUCGAAAAUUUGUAGGUGAUACUUUUAAAGUAGUGGGUUCUAAGGUAUGAAUCGCACAUAUAUUGAACUCACACUUGUGUAGUAGUGUUAUAGGUAUCAAACUCAAGCGGCCUGAUUCUUAUAAAUAAGUAUCACAUUCACUCAAAUUACGGUAAAACCCUAAGACUUCCUCUGAUCAAAUGAAGAUAACAACUACUUUACUUAAACAAAGGCUACUCGAACUUUCUAAAAUUGUUUAUGAUAUGACAAAGUGUUUUUUAGUAACCAAAAACACUUCUGAUUGUGUUUGGUGAAACAACUAAAUAAACUUUUACGUCGUAAAAGUGUUUUUUUUAAGCACUUGGGUCAUUGGGAAUCACUUGGAGUUUUAAUAAAAACACUUGUUGAAAGCAAAUUUGAACAUAAUUGUUGUUUGUAGAGGUAGUCCCAAAUGAGCUCUCAACUCCUUCCAAUGUACUCAUUGACAAUGAGCCAAGCAAGGUUCAUGCUAAUUGGUAGAUAAAUGGUUAGUAAAUAAUUAAAAUUAAAAGGCUAAUCUGUUUCAGUUUUAAGUAUUUAGAGGAUAAUUAAAUGCAUAUAAUCUAAGGCUGUGGUUGCACCACAUCAUUAGCUACGGUAAACAUUCUAAAUUAAAAUUCGUUUCGAAAUACGGUGGUAAUUAAUUGUGAUUUGGUCAUUGGGUGUAUGAUUUAACUACUAAUUUAGUUCCCAACCAAAACAAAGAUAAACAAAACUACAAAUUUGUCGGGAAAAAAUGCCUUGACCAGUACAAGACAAAGUGGUCACCAACAAAUAAAAUAAAACAGAAUGAGGCAUUGAUUGAUGAUGUUCCACUAACACCACUUUUUGGGUGUCAAUUGUCAAAGACAUCGAAUUUUCUAUGCUCCAUCUAUUUGCCGGGAUAUUAAUGUUAUUGCUAGGAUAUUAAUAUUAUCCACUUACGUGCACUCAACCUAGCCUUAACCUAUUUUGCCUAUGUCAAGAGUUGUUUAUUGAUCAUUUUAAAUUAUUUUUAAAAUGAUUGUAAAUAUUUUUGGUGAUAUUAAUUUUAGAUUCCAAAAGUACUUUAAGUAAAAAAACAUCAUAUAUGUGAUAUGUUUUUCCAAGAUCUACUUGAAUUUUUAUUAAAGAUUUGUUUGAAAAUAUUUUCAUCAAAAAUGCUUUUAAUCAUUUUAAAAACUUACAAAUAAGCCUAUGUUUGUGCAGAGUUAAAUCCGCAAAUAAGCUCAGUCGAAGGAAGCUCUAGACAUUAUCAUGGAUAACUUGCAGGAAGACAAAGCCGAAUGGUUUGAUUUAAAUUGAUUGUACUUGUCUUCCUUUAUACGCGUUUUUUUUUCUCUCUCUCUCCCUAUCUAGAAAUCAAGAUCCAGAGCCUUUUCUCCGGCUUCAACUUUCAGCCGCCGCCCUUACUUUUGCUCAGGGUAGGCGGCAACCCGCUACUUCCUCCUCUUUCAAGUCUGCUUAUUCCCUUCUCUUUCCCUCUUUCCCUCCUUACCUCAUUUGCCUUUUUCUUCUUUUUCCUCCCCUCUCACAUUCCUCCGCUCCAUUCCCCUCCCUGCAUCCAUCUUUUCAUCUCUUCUUUCCAGUCUCAUUCUUUCGUUUUAUUCUCGGUUUUCUCUGAGUUUAUCUUAGUUUUCCCUGAGAUGGGUCUCAACUAUCCCCUGAGCUUGUCUCAGAUCUCCAUUCCCAUCCCACCACGCACUCGAAUAGGCGGGCUCCGAUCAUGAAUAGAAUACCAAAUCUACUACCCUCCUUCACUUCCCUUCCCCCAACCGACAUGCCUAUGCCGGAUCCCUUUGGAGGCCAAGUGUUGGGUAUUUUACAUACACCCCUUAGCCUCACUUUCUACUCGUAUGAUACUUUGUUUGUAUAUAUUUGCAGGGGUUCGUGAAAGGGAUUUGGAUCUAAUGUCUACUUUCUCGGUUCGGAGUUUGCCUUCCCCCGAGGAUGUGAUGGCCGCGACGAUGUGGUCUUUGAUGCUGAAAUUAGGGUAUUUUAUUGUCUGUUUUUUUACUGUUUUCGGGCCUAAGCUUGUGUAGGCCUCAUGUUGUAUCUUAGGUUGCUACUCUCAUUUUGUUUAGGCUACUUUCCCUGUAGUUGAUUAUCCAGUCUUUUUUUAGCCUUGUACUAGUUUUUAUCAUACUGAAAGUUGAUUUUUUGAUAAAAUAAAAAAUUGAUUGUACUUAUAGGGAAUAGUUGACUUCUAAGUUGCUAAUGCAAAACAUUCAUUUUUAUUCGACUGAGUUGAAAUCCUGACAAGAUUUUUAUCGAGGCACAUUAUGCCCCUGUUCCCAAAUUCUAUGUUUUUCUAAUCAUCAAUAAAUAUCGUACUUUCUAAAAAAACAAUCCGCAAAUUUGUAACUCAAGUAAGUGUUAACAAGGCCCUCGAUCAAUAUUGCUUGUAUUGCAAAAUUAUUUGGCACUAAAGCAUUAGUACACGAAGGAAAGUUUUUCUCUCCUCUGUGAGAGUUCUCUUCUCCGCUGUGAGAUCCCGCCGUAGUGCGUGGUUAUUAGUUGUCAGGCUCAAGUUCGUUUUCAGCCUCGCGAUCUUGGUGGAUCAGGUCGUUUUCUUUCCCCUUGGUUCUGUUGUUUUUACUCUUGCACCUUCCGGUCUGCUUUUCCUUUCUCUGAUCGGGUUGGGUCCUUUCUUGAUGUGAUUUGGGUUGGUGGUCAGUUAAUUAGGGUGGUUGGGGUUUGUUUUCCGCUUUUUUCUUAGUUAUUUCUUGGCCCCUUUUUCUCCCCUUUCAAGCCCUAGGUUGAUUUUGUCUGAUUUGGAGGGAGGGCUUGGCCCUCUUUGGUACUUGUAGUAAUGGGGAAGCUGAAGUCCCUAAUCUCCGACAUCAGGUGUAGGAAGGGGACUCUGACACAGAGGAUUAUGCCUGACUGCACAGAGACUACCUCCAUAACUGCAAAAGGCUCCAGGUCAUCAAUUUCCACCGAAUACAGGUUAUUCCAACCACCAUUAUUUAUUGCCAUUCUCUUAUAUGUACUACAAACUCAAGAAAUUGGUUGUGGGGUGAAGAAGCAUUCUAUUUACCCAGUUGUUCGCCUGGAAAAAGCCCCGUUUUUGUAUUCGAGGUACUCUGCGGAACAACCGAUUCAAUCGGUGCUUCUUCAUACGGAUAAUAUGGCGCAGUAGGGUGUGGAGGAGCUUGUGGUUCAAUUAGACAAAGCAAUGGACUUGUCAACUGUGGAGACAGGUAUUAAACUUGUGGGUUCGGUGCUAGCCGAUAAACCUCUGAACAGAUGGGGAGUUAGGAACAUUCUUCGUGCGGCCUGGAAAAGUUAUGGUGACAUAGAGAUUAAAUGGGUAAAAGAUAACACGUUUAUCAUCUCGGUCCCGGAUGAACGUGUGGCAGGGAAGAUUAUUGAUCAGGUGUCGUGGGGGGUCAUGAAAAAAAACUUUUUGGUCACUGUUUGGCCAGCGGCGCUUGCUCUGGAAGAAGUUGAAAUAAAAAAAGUCCCGUUUUGGGUCUAAAUACGAGGUGUUCCUCUUUGUCUCACCUCUCUCGAAAAUGUUAAACGGUUGACUAGAGAGGUUGGGACUUAUAUGGGUUUUUAAGGGUUAGACUAUUGAUUGAUUCGACCAAACCUCUUGUGAGUGGAUGCUGGUUGAGAAGAGAAGAUGAUAGAGAUACAUGGGUGGAAUUCUGUUAUGAGAGAUUACAAGAUUUCUGCUAUAGAUGUGGACGACUAAGACAUGUUAACACGGAUUGCACUUUUGAGGCAACCAAAGCUGGGGCAGUAGGGUUCGGAGAAUGGCUGAAGGCACCUCCAGUCAGGGAUGUGGAAGAAGGACCAAAAGUCAUGAUGACAGGGACGAGUGAAAGAAGGAGAGCUGGACCAGCUAGGGUGCCUGCUACACAUUUGAGGUCUUUGGGGAUUACCGAACUGGAACACACAAAGGAGUCUACUGCUGAUAGUGAAAAGGAAAAGGGUAAGCUACCGAUUCAGGGGAAGGGAAGUGCUCACCAAUUCUAUGGGAGGAAAAAGUGGCAAAGGAGGCUUCGUGCUCACAGGAACACUGAAGAACCGGUGGGGACAACUAAUCAGCUAAAUUGGCUUGUUCAGCAAAGUUUACAACAGUCUAUAUGGGGCAGUGGAUCUGGUUGCUAUCCUUUUUUACAAAAGUUGAACGUGCAGCAAACGGGGCCCGGUAUGCAAUCGGUUAUUAUACAUGAGAUCAACGAGGAGGCGACCACAGUGAAAAUCGUGGCUGAUGGGGGCAACGGAAAUGAGCAGGAUGAGGAUGGAUCUUUGGUUUUCCCACCCUACUCUCAUUCGGGUAGGAAUAAACAGAAAAAGGUAAAGGAACAUCAAGAGAUGGAAAUAUCACAAUCUCCCCAAAAGAAAGGCAGGGUGUAUGAUGGUGCUCUUGCGGGAAAAGAUGCGGGUAUUUUGGCCCGGGGUGGUGGCGGCUGGCCCUCAACAGCCGCAGAAUCCCCAUGAUUUUUCUAUUCUGAAACUGCUGUGGUCUAGGGUCGGACACGGUAGUUCGGGCCCUUCAUGGGCAGAUAAGACAUAAUAGACCCUCUAUGAUCUUUCUUUCUGAAACUAAGAUGAAAGAUCAUAGAAUUAAUGGAGUGCGCAGAAGGAUGAGAUUCACGAAUGGGUUUAAUAUUUCGCCCAUGGGAAGGGCAGGCGGUCUAAGUUUAUGGUGGGAGGAUUCACUGGAGGUGAAUAUUAUUUUUUCAUCUAAGCAUGUUAUUGAUGCUCAGGUGAAAUCUGGUGCGUCGCAGCAAUGGGUUCGUGUCACUGGGAUCUACGGCACAGCUUAUAGAAGCGAAAAAGUGGAAUUCUGGGGUUGGAUGAAGAAUCACUUUACCCCUUCGGAUAUGCCCUGGCUUUGUGGGGGGGGGGAUUUCAACGAAUUUAUGUGGGAUCAUGAAAAAUUGGGCGGGGCCCCGAUGUUGUUCAAUCGUCCUCGUUAUCUGGAGGAUUUUAUUAACCAUUCUAAUCUGAUGGAUCUCGGUUUCAAUGGGCCUCCCUAUACUUGGCGAGGGAUGAGGAAUGGUAAUCUGGUUGAGGAACGCCUUGACCGGGGUCUGAUCAACAAGAAAUGGCAGGAUAUAUGGUCACUUUCCACUACUGUGCACGGGACGGUUCUGGGAUCUGACCACUGCCCAGUAAUCAUUAAAACGGAGGUGAAUGGGAUGAAGGGAAGAAAAUUUUUUCGGUUUGAAGCUUUCUGGGUGAAAGAAGAGGAAUGCAGGAAUUUGGUGGAAAAGUGUUGGGCCCGUGCAAACGUUGGAGAUCUUCAAAGGAGGUGGGUAAAGAAAAUCGAUGAUUGUAGAUCUCUCCUGAUCAAAUGGAGUAGAAACAAAUUUAACAAUAGGAGAAUACAGAUUGAGGAGCUGCUCGACCAAUUGGGGGAACUUCAAAUGAAUUGGAGCAAAAAUGUGUCUGAGAUCAAAGAGAAAUCCAGAAUUAUUGAUACUCUCUGGGCUCAAGAGGAAUGUUUCUGGCACCAGAGGUCUAGGGUAAAAUGGUUACGAUAGGGUGAUGCGAACACCAAAUUUUUCCAUCAGUCAACUCUUCAGAGACGCAGACGGAAUAUGAUUAUAAAGUUAAAGGAUGGUGAAGAUUGUUGGGUGGAGAAUCCCAACCAUAUUAGGAAGCUGGUUGACGAUCACUUUCUGAAUGUUUUCAAAUCGGGGGGACCUCGGGACUGGGGAAACUUGCUGGAAGGCAUACAUAGUUGUGUUACUGGUGAUAUGAAUCUGGCUCUCAUGGAGUCGGUUUCCAUGGAGGAAAUUAAGGAAGCUGCUCUCCAAAUGGGGGGUUUCAAAGCGCCAGGUCCGGAUGGCUUUCAGAGGAUUUUCUACAGGUCUUUUUGGGACAUUGUUGUGGAAGAUGUCAACAAUCUGGUGAGGUCUUUUCUGCGUGAUGAGAUCAGCCCGACGGAGAUAAAUAACACCCAUAUUGUGUUGCUCCCUAAGAUUCCGAACCCUGAAUCUGCGUCUCAUUUCCGACCUAUAAGCCUAUGCAAUUAUUCUUACAAGGUGCUAUCCAAGGUUCUGGCAAACAGAUUAAAGAUCCUUCUACCGAAGAUUAUUUCUCCUACUCAGAAUGCGUUUGUGGCAAGAAGACAGAUACAAGAUAAUAUCGGGAUCACUCAUGAGGUGUUUCAUUAUCUGAAAGGGCGCAAGUCAAAAAAAUAAGUUUGAGUUGGGUAUUAAAGUUGACAUGCAAAAAGCGUAUGAUAGAGUUGAAUGGGACUUCCUCGAGGCGACUAUGGAAAAAAUGGGGUUCUGCAGCCAGUGGAGGAAACUUAUCAUGGGCUGUGUGACUUCUGUCAAGUUUGCUGUCAUUCUCAACGGGCAUCCCGGCAACAAGUUUGCCCCUUCUCGAGGCCUUCGGCAGGGCGACCCUCUAUCUCCGUAUUUGUUCCUUCUGAUUGGAGAAGUGUUAUCCAGAUUGAUCCAAGCUGCGGUGGAAAAAAAGUCUUUGGACGGUAUCAAGUUGGGAAUCACAUGGCCGGUUCUUUCUCAUAUAUUCUUUGCUGAUGAUAUGUUAAUUUUUUUGAGGGCUAAUGAGAAAAAUUGCAGGAAUCUUGUAAAUCUCCUUAAGGCUUUCUGUGCUGCCUCGGGGCAGGAAGUUAACCUGCAAAAGUCCAGUGUUUUCUUUGGAGCGAAUACUCCGGUGAGGGUUUCUGAGGAGCUGGGAUCUAUUCUGGGUAUGCCGGUUCUUGACAACCCGGGGUCAUAUUUGGGUGUCCCGACCUGUUGGGGACGCUCAAAGAAGCAGGGUCUCGCUUAUGUGAAGGGUCGUAUUAUUGAGAAACUUCAAGGGUGGAAGCAAUGUACUCUGUCGAAGGCGGGCAAGGAGGUUCUCAUCAAGGCGGUUGUCCAAGCUGUUCCUGCUUAUCCAAUGAAUCUUUUCAAAUUUCCGGCUGUGUUAUGUGAUGAGCUGGACACUUUGGUUGCUAGGUUUUGGUGGGGAACGGGGAUGGGUGACAAUAAAAUUCGCUGGGUGUCGAAGAAGGUUUUGGGCCUCCCUAAGACUCUUGGGGGUUUGGGUUUCCGAAAUUUCAUGGAGUUCAACGAUGCGCUGCUUGCAAAACAAUGUUGGCGCCUGCUUUGUGACCCUUCCUCUCUAUGGGCUAGAGUGAUGAAGGCCCGUUACUUCCCCAAUUGCUCCUUCUUGGAAGCCAAAAAAGGAGGCAGGGCCUCUUGGGCGUGGAGUAGCCUUCUAUCGGGUCGUGAUCUUCUUAUGUAGGGAACUCACUGGCAAAUUAUGGGUGGUCAGGAUGUGAGAGUUUGGGUUGACCGCUGGUUACCCUCCAUUCCUUCGGGGCGCCCUUCUCCGCUGGGUGAGGUUGGGGUGACUAGAAACCUACGUGUUAGCUCUCUAAUUUGUCCGCAAUCUCGGGAUUGGGAUUUAUCCUUUCUGAGUCCCUUCCUUUCUGUGGCUGAUCAAGGGGCAAUUGAAGGUACGCCUAUUGGAGAUAUUAGUAGAAGUGAUAGACUGAUUUGGGCUGCAACAAAACAUGGUAAGUACACGGUAAAAUCUGGGUAUAGAUGGGUGCAAUCUCGGUCUCUGAGUGCGAGAGAUCAUCGCCUACCUCAUGUUCGAUCCAUCCCAGAGAAGUUGUGGAAUUGUAUAUGGAAGAUCGAUGUUCAACCUAAGAUACGCCAUUUUUUAUGGAACUCUCUGCAUAAUAUUCUGGCUACUAAUGCGAAUCUGUACAGGAGGCGGUCUACCACUUCCCCCACCUGUCCUAUCUGCUUGUGUGAAGAUGAAUCUGUUGAGCAUUUGUUCCUCAUCUAUUCAUGGGUUCAAGCUGUAUGGUUUGGUGGGGCUUUGAAUUAUAGGAUUAACAGGCUGGCUAUUAACUCUUGGAUUAGUUGGCUGCAUGCUAUUUUUAAUCCUGAUUUUGGUAAUCGUUCUGAGUUGUUAUGGACCCAAAGAUUGGUGGCUUAUACUUGUUGGCAUAUUUGGAAGGCCAUGUGUGCUUUUGUGUUUAAUAAGGUGCGUAUCAACCCUGUAAAUGUUGUUCUGGCCAUUUCUAAUUCUGUGGGGUCUUUCCUGGCUGUUUCCUGUGUCUCUGAAGUUGAUCGGUUUCCGGAGAAUGUUGGCCAGGUUCCUGGCAGUGCUCCGUUGUGGUGUCCUCCUCCCCCCCUUUUACGAAAAUAAAUGUUGAUGCCAUCUGGUUCAAGACGUCUUGCUUGGGUUUUGUGGGAGUGGUUUUACGCGACGCUGAUGCUCAUUUCAUUGCGACUGCUCGUUACCACAUUCGGGCCCCCUGUGCUGCAGCUGCCGAAGCUAUGGCUUUGCUGCGGGGCUGUGAACUGGGUGCAUCUUUGGGUCUAUCUGAGGUUAUUCUGGAAUCUGACUCUUCCGAGGCGAUUUCUUGCCUUUCAAAUUCUAUAGAGAAUGGCAGUUGGGAGGCUAUUCCUACUUUAGCAAGAGUAAAGCUCUUUGGGGAAACCUUCCAGAACUGUCACUGGUCUUGGGUUCCAAGAUCAGCCAAUACGGCGGCAGAUGCUCUUACGUCGCGUGGUUGUGCGGAGCUGUGUGAUGUUGUUUGGGUCGAUAGGCCUCCAUCUUCGCUUGUUUUCGUGUUAAAUAAUGAUGGUCUUCCGUGUCCACAUUAGCUGUUGGUGGUAGUGUGGGGAGUGACGCUUCAGCUUAGUUGUUGUGUCUCUGUUUGUAACUCCUUACGCUGCCUUCCUUCUUGAGCUUGUUGGCUGUUUGCCUCUUCGUAGGCUCUCUUGUUUUCUUCGUUGGCCUCUGUGCCCUGGAAUGAAUCUUUCCUAGCUUUCAAAAAAAGCAUUAGUACACCAAUCACUUAUUUGGAUACCCUUUUCAUAUUAUAUGCAAGAAUUCUCAAAUCGAAAAGUAUUUUGUUAUCCAAUUGGGAUAAAAUAAAUUCGAUACAAUGUUCACAAUACAGCAAUAAAGUGUUGAUAAAAAAAUGAUUAAUAAUUUUUUUAAAUUGAGAGAAUAUUUGCAGAAAUUAACAUUAAUUGAGAUGAAAAAAUGAAGUCGUGAGAGACUAUUUUGGUAGGGAUGGGUAUUAGGUGCCUCGGUUGGGUUGAUUUUAAUCCGUUGGCCAACCAAUAGGCCUGGUAGGCUCUCGGAUUGACAUUAUUGAAACCCAAUUCCACCAUUUUCAUCCAAGAAAAUGGACAAACCAAUCAACUCAAACCAUUAUAAAGCAGGUUUGAGAUUAUUUACUUUCUUUCUUGUUUUUAAAGUGACCGUGAGUGACAAAUAAUCCAAAAUGCAUGUCAUAUUAGACUUAAAUAAUGUUAAUUUGGUGUUGUUGAGUCCCUAUUUGUUAAUAUUUGAAUUUCAUUAUUUAACUAAAUUUUAAAUAAACAAGUGUGUUUAAUAACUAUUAAAUUUUAUAUAUGUCUAUCUAUUGUAUGUUUAAAAAUUAUUGAUAUUCGAGUAGGUCAGAUUCUAUUAUUAAUAAUACUUAAACUCAACCCAACCCGACCCACUUAUUAAAUGGGUAGUCUAAUUUUUACUCAAAAAUAAUUUUUAGAGUUUACAACCCAACUAACCAAACCCAUUUUGGUUGGGUUGGUCAGUAAAAACACUAAAUUGUCCACCCCAAACUCUAUGAAAGUGAUUCAAAUGAGAUAGCUAGCAUUGCAUUAAUUCACUAAAUGACUAACGAUGUAAGUUUUAAGUAAAAUCGGGUGAUAAUUCUCGUUAAUUAAAUUGAUCCAGUACACAUUAUUAUAUAACCUUACAAAGAGCUAAGAUCAAUGACACGACCAUCUAUCUAAUCUUGAUACAUUGUGAAGUCCCAAUGUAUGAACGUGUGCGCGACAGACCGUAGUAGACGUAAUGAGUCGAAUAAAGCUAGGUCCUGAGGGAGACGGCACGCGCUUGAACUGCAUGCUGGACAUUGUAUUCGCCAACAUGAUGACCUUUUAUUACCUCAAGCCACGAUAACCAUAAUUCGGUAUCAGUGGUUUCCUGUCCUGCUAUUCAUCCGAAUUCCUGCUUAGAGGAUUGACAUUGUAAAGUUGUCCAAUGAUCGUAUGUGGAAAGCGUUUAGUCUCGUGUACCCAAGGAGUUUACGUGCAGAUGCAAAUAAGACUCGAUUAUAUAUAACGUUUCUUGCCAGUAUAAAUUGGCAAUUAAUUAAACAUGGUUUGGCUAAGAUUUUGACCUUGCUGAUCAUAUGUGCCGGUAUUUUCUAUGUCCCGGUCGAGUAGAAUCAUCCUCUUUUGAACUUAGGUACUUGAAUUCUGCCCAUGUUAAUCGUCUUCCUUGAUCGGACUGAUGAUUCUACUAUAUACUUGCGCUAAAUGCAGUAAGGAAACAAUGCUAAAUCCAUGCCAAAGCUCGUAAAUAAUUUAUGUAAGCUCAAGAGAACGUGGACAAAAUGCAAUAGCUUUUGAAGAAAUUAAGGUUCAAAUAUACAUGAAAAAUAAUUUGACUUGAAAAUAUGUUUUUUAAUCAGUGUUUUAGGAAUUGAAUCAAUGUUUUUGGAUACUGGGCUUGGGCUGAGCGUUUAAAAUAAGCCCAGCAGCAUUUAGCUGCCCGAAUUACUUGGGAGUGUGACACUAUCCGGCUAACAGCCCACUCUCAACUAAACAACACCCAGUGCGCAAUACGCACCCCCCUCAAACUCCAGUUCCCGCGCCAAAACUCCUCUGCUCCAACAGCUCUAACAAACUAACAACCACCGGCUUCCACAUCACGCCUUCCUCGCACUCUCUCUCUCUCUCUCUCUCUCUCUCCCUCUUCAUUUUCAAACCCCAAGAAAACUCCCUCCAAAGAAAGCUCCAAGAAGCCAUGGCGGCGUGCUUCUUUCUCUCCCUUGCCGCCAUCCUCUUCACCCUCUCUCUCCUCCCCGGAAGCACCUCGCUUUCCACCACCGUCGGUGCCACCUACUCCGCCAGCACCGCCGCAACCUACGCCGCCCCUCCCGCCGUCGACCGCGUUGCCCACGCCGUCUCCUCCCUCGGCCUCUCCGCGCUACGACUAGACGCCUCCGACCCCGCCAUGGUCCGCGCCUUCCUCUACUCCAACACCUCCCUCCUCCUCACCAUCCCCAACAAGCUCGUCCCGCCCCUCGCCGCAAACCGCUCCAACGCCCUCCGCUGGCUCUACAUCCACGUCAUCCCCUUCUACCCCCGCACCAAAAUUUCCACCAUCUCCGUCGGCAACGACCUCCUCGAGUCCUCUCCGAACUUCUCCACCUUCCUUCUUCCCGCCAUCCGCAACGUUCAACUCUCCCUCAAAGACCUCGGCAUCCAAAAGAUCUCCGUCUCGACCACCUUCUCCUUCAUCAACGUCAUCACCACGGCGUUCCCGCCUUCCAAUGCCCAGUUCCAAGAACCGGCCGUUGACACCGUCAUCAGGCCCCUCCUCCAGUUCCUCCAUGACACCAAUUCCUCGUUCUUGAUCAAUCUCUACCCCUACAAUCUGUACAAGAUGCGCAGCGAGAUACCGAUCGGGUUUCCCCUGUUUCAGGAGCACCCAUUCGGAUUCCGAGACGACCUCACCACCGGCGUCCGGUACCGGAACCUCUUCGACAUGAUGGUCGACGCCGUCAUCAGCGCCAUGGCUGUCGCAGGAUACGAGAACAUUCCGGUGAUCGUGACCGAGACUGGGUGGCCCAGCUUCAGCACCGACCCGGCCGAAAUCGACGCCAACCCGGUUUACGCCGAGAUGUACAUCAAGGGGCUUUUGUGUCAUUUGAGGUCCGGAAAGGGAACGCCGCUGAGGAGAGAAGGGGUUUCCGAGACGUACAUUUACGAGCUGCUCGACAAGCAAGUGAAGCAGGGGCGCAAUUGGGGGAUUCUUUACCCAAAUUUGACCAGCAAGUACAAGGAGAUUCAGUAUUCUGGGUCGGAUUGCGGAGGUUUCUUUGAUAUCUUGAUCAUGGCGGUUGGGCAACUCUUGGUGUUUGCAUUACUUGCCUGGUAAUGUUGCUUUUCCGAUUCAGUUGCUUAAUUUCAUUACUGGGUAGCUCGAUUUGUUGAUUCUUGGAGGGUUCUUAGAGAUCUUUGAUCCGCACAGUCGACUGUGAAUUGGGUUCAAUUACUUGCUUUGAUUAGUAGGUGACUAGCACAGCUUUCGAUUCAUGGAGGUGCUGUUGCUAAUUACUUAAUUGGGUAUAUGAAGAAACUGUUGUUGAUUACUUAACUGGUAAUUUUGAUUCUUAGAUGGUCCUGGGGAUUCAAUUUGUUCAGUUUGGAUUGCUGCUCAAAGGAAUUCCUGUUUUUGUACUCUGUUUUUAGGGUAUUUUGUAUACGAAAUGGUGGUUGUGAUAAAGCCAAUUGCACCACUAGUCUUCUUGUGAUGAACAGAGUUUAGUGGAUGUUUUUGCAGAGAAAAUCGAUGUUUGGAUGGUUUGAAUUUUUAAUCUCAAAACUGAAAGUUAGCAUCUUGGUUGGCUGCAAUGUUUAAUUGAAGAUUUGUUGUGUGAUUGUUGCAAGUUUCAUGCUUUAGUUUCUUUUGAGAUGAUUGAAUUCUGCAGAUUGAAUUGGAUUGGGAAUUUGGGUGUCAUAAGUUCUGCAGAUUGAAUUGAAAUUUUAAUGGACCCUUGUCUAGUACUAGGUACAUGGAAAAUGACUAGCAUCCUGUAAAGUCUACCUUUUUACUGCCCAAUUUGGAACUUUAACGAAAAAAAUUCGGUACUAUUCAUUUUAAUAAAAAAUCACAUUUUUAUACUAAAAAGUCAAUCAUGAUAUUAUUCAUUUUACAUUUUAUUUUAUCAUUAUCGUUAAAACUCAAAGUUUUCAAGCUAUUUUCAUUAGUUUUUUUAUAAAAAUAAUGUAUAUAAACCAAUAACAUGCAAAGAAUAAAAAAAAAAAUUAAUGACACAAUUAUUCGUAAAAAUGAAGAGAGUUAUCAUUUUAUUAGUACAAGAUAAUUGAAAACGAAAAUGAUGUUUCAAAUUAAUGAUCACAAUAGGUCAAAUAUAUUAUAAUUACAAAUUUCGAAUUGCAUAAUAUGUUGUGCCCAAGAUUGCUAAACCUAAUUGUAGACAUCGAAAUUUCGGUAAAUAAAUGUUGACGGAUAAAUCAAAGUUUCAACGCUCAUGUAUUACAUAAAUUUUACACGUAGCGUGUGUUUAAACAAAAAAUCGAAAUAGUUGGAAAAGUCAUCAAACAGGACACGUGUCAACACCUGGCAGAAACGACUUAUUUCAUCUGGGAUAUUAUAUUCAAAAUUAGGCCUUGGAAAUUUCUAUAAAUAGAAGGCUAAUUCAUUCAUUUAGGGGAACCAAAAUCAUUAGGCAAAAUUCUUGAAGCUCUGAAACUCUGAAACUCCGAAGCUCUCAAGUAUCUAGGUUCCCGAAGAAUCAAGAAAGCUCUCUUCGAUCUUCGAUCUUCGUUCAUCGUUCAUCCUAAGAUCAAGCCCCAACGGCCCUUUGGAUCAACAAUCAUCCACCUUCAAAAUCAAGCCCUGACGGCCCUUGAAGAAAGUGUUCUUCGUUUUUCGUUCUUCGUUCAUCGUUCUUCCAAGAUCAAGCCCCAACAGCCCUUUGGAUCAACAAUCUUCCACCAAUUCAAGAUCAAGCCCCGACGGCCCUUGAAGAAAGUGUUCUUCGUUCUUCGUUCAUCGUUCUUCCAAAAUCAAGCCUCGACGGCCCUUGGAUCAACAAACCACCGUUCUUCAAGAUCAAGCCCAAAAGCCCUUGAAGAUCCGUUCAUCACUGUUCUUCAAGAUUAAGCCCAAAAGCCCUUGAAGAUCCGUUCAUCACCGUUAUUCAAGAUCAAGCCUUAACGGCCCUUGAAGAAACACUCAUCCUCAAGAUCAAGCCCCAACGGCUCCUUGAAGAUCCGCUCAAAUCCACCUUCAAAGAUUAAGCCCAUGGCCCUUUGAAGAAACUUCCAACAGUUCAUCCAAGAUCAAGCCUCGACGACCCUUGGAUCAACAAAACAUCCACAAAUCAAUACCUUACGGAGAUCGAAUCAGAGGAUCAAAAUAGAGAGAGAUUGUAACCCUAAAUCAUCAAAUACACAAAUAUUAUUUUGUGCACGUUGUUCUUGUCUCUUUCGUUUCAGGAAUUUUCCGUGUUCACAAAUUGGCACGCCCGGUGGGACAAUCUCUACCUCUCAUCUCUUUCUCCGUUCAAGAAAUUCGAGCACACUUCCAAAAUUAAUGGCAUCAAGGAAGGCUCAAACUGUUCCCGCAACUGGCGCAAAUAACAAGAGCGUCAUCGUCGCAAGUGGUGUCCCUUUAGGCAUCACGACUCGAAGCAAGGCAAGAGCUACUUCUGCCGCCUCUUUCACCUCUGCAUCAACUCUGCCAAGGGAACAAGAGCACCUAAGGCACGAGCCUUUGAUCACCUUAGCCUCACCAAGGGGCGAAAAUCCAAGGAAAUACUCCGAAUCCAUGCUCUCCAAUGCCGAUUCGAGCGGCAGUUCAGCCAUGCAAGUCAUGACCAUUGGAGCAACUUCAAUCGAUGAGCAGCUGGCUCAAAUGAAUGAAGCAAUCGCAAGGCUAACCCGAACUGUGGAAGAAAAAGACUUGCAAAUCACUGCACUCGUCAGCCGACUGGAGCCACAGGACGACGAUAACCCUAACCCAGAAGAGGAGCCUCUAGUGGAGAAUAUCGAUGUGAAGCCGCAGCCAGACCAAGCAGCGGCACUCAUGGGAUCUCUUUCUAUCCAGCAACUGCAGGAGAUGAUCGCCAGCACCGUCAAGGCACAGUACGAAAGGAGCUCAAAUACAUCCGGGUUGUACUCAAAGCCGUAUUCAAAGAAGAUCGACGCCUUAAGGAUGCCGAAAGGUUAUCAACCGCCAAAGUUCAUGCAAUUCGAUGGAAAGGGAAACCCGAAACAGCACGCGGCCCACUUUGUUGAAACUUGCAACAACGCAGGGACCGAAGGGGACUACCUCGCCAAGCAGUUUGUGCACUCGCUGAAAGGAAACGCCUUUGAGUGGUACACGGACCUAGAGCCUGAGUCCAUCAACAGCUGGGAGUAAUUGGAGCGGGAAUUCCUCAACCGCUUCUACAGCACCCGCCGCACUGUGAGCAUGCUAGAGCUAACGAGCACAAAGCAGUGGAAGGACGAACCAGUCAUUGACUACAUCAAUAGAUGGCGCACUCUAAGCCUCGAUUGUAAAGACAGGCUCUCGGAAACCUCUUCAAUCGAGAUGUGCAUCCAAGGCAUGCAAUGGGGUUUGCAAUACAUCAUUCAAGGCAUUAAACCACGGACCUUCGAGGAAUUGGCCACUCGCGCCCAUGACAUGGAGUUAAGCAUCGCCUAUCAUGGGAAGAAGGAACCGAUCGCCGACUACAAGAACGACAAAGUUCUUAAGACAAAGGUGGAGAAGGCUGCAUGGAAACCCACCAAGGAAGCGAUGACGGUCAACACAUCUCCCGUCAAAAUCUCCACACGAGGCAAGGCGAUUCAAAUCGAAGCUUUUCGUGAUCAAGAGAUGCGUAGACGCACUUUGAAGGAGCUUGAGGAGAAGACUUAUCCAUUCCCCGACUCUGAUGUGGUUGCCAUGCUGGAUGACCUGUUGGACAAAAAGGUGAUCGGUUUGCCUAAGUGCAGAUGGCCGGAAAAGAUGAAUCGUACCGACAAUCCAAGGUACUGUAAAUUCCACCGCUUCAUCAGUCAUCCGACAGAAAAAUGCUUCGUGCUGAAAGAUCUCAUCAUGAAGCUGGCUCAGAAAGGAAUCAUCGAGCUAGAUCUUGACGAUGUGGUGAAGUCAAACUAUACCACCAUCACUUCUGGCUCUUCUGACUCAAGGUUUUUACCUCAACCGUUGGGGGCAUCCUCCAAGACAAGCAAAGUUGAAGGAUGGACUCAAGUCACUCCUAAGAAAUUGCACAAGAAGUGUAUGUCUCCUCCACAAGUCCGCCAAUCGGAAAGGGGGCAAAACAGCUCUUGUCAACCUUCAAAGCAACGUGAACGGGUUGAAGAUGAUGAAAAUUUGACACAUAGGUCGUCCAUCCCCAUCACGAUGCACGAUUUCUUUCCUGAAGACUUCUUCAAUCACUCGGUCAAGACUCAUUGCUAUGAAAAUUGCAAGGAAAGCCUCUACAGGAUCGUUUGACAAAUUCACAAAGCUCCUUGUCCACAAGAGCCUAAACUGCAGGACACCCAAGCUCCUGGUUUGCACGAGCAUAAAAGGCAACAUCAACGCUCCUGGUCUGCACGAGCAUAAAAGGCAACACCAACGCUCCUUGCCUGCAUGAGCUGAAACUGCAAACGGCACAAAAAAAGAAAUACCAAAAAAAAAUAUAUGUAUGUAUUUGAACUACGUUACGACUUGAUCUCUUCUUUGGAGGGGUACGUAGUCAGCUCGAAUGUUCAAAAUUUUCGAGUUCAGUCACAUCAAAUUAAAAAGAAUCAAUGUUUUAUUAAAGAAGGUCAAUUUUAUUACAAAUUUAUUUUGUUAAGAAAAUUUGCAAUUUUCUUUGUAAAAAAUUAAAUUACACUUUCUUCGAAAAAAAAACAAAAAAAAUAAAAAAAUAAAAAAAAAUAAAAAUAAAAUCAGAAGAUGGAAGCUUUUCUCCGCACUCGGCCUACUGGCCUGCGAUGCCAGGAUCCAUGCCAGCAAAACCCUAAUCACCAUAACCACGUGGCGGUGGAAAAGCAAAACAACAUCAAACACAAGAAAUACAAGCAGCCGAGAUCUCAGGUGGGAGGCGGAGGAGAAGGAGCAUCAUUAGUCAUUUUCGAAGCUCGAGCACCAUGGAUGCCAAGUCCGUGUAUUCCUCAUCGAGUUCAGGGUUUCGAACACCUCCUCCUUAUAGCCACACACAUAUUUCAUUUGCUGCCAGCACGAAGGCUUCAACCCAAUCUCAAGGGUUACGGCCUGCCAGUAGCAAUCAGUCUUCAUCUCCUCCGGUAAUGGUCGGUUCACCCACAACCACAACCUCAUCAAUGGCUAAGAGUGCUGGUGGAAGCCCCAGGAUAACUAGUUCGACUUCCACAGGAAAUAAAGCUGGCCAAGUAUCGUCUUUGUUAUCUCAGCAGGCCAAGAACUCACCAACAGUGCCCAGUCAGAAGUCGUCUCCUGUUGGCGGGAGGAAUGUCCCUUCGAUCAUAGGCCCACUCCACCACAACAAUGUUUUUUGGGCCAACAAUGGUUUCGACAUCGCCGUCAGGCUCUUGGAGCCCAUCAAGCAAAGGGUCUCUUCCUCUCUUCCGCCUGCAACAGCAAGAACCACGCCCAAGUCUCCAUGGCUUCUCCCAGAGAGAGCACGACAUCACCUUCUUCAACCCUUUAACCUUUAUCGUCGGCCCCAACGACGACGGCAAAAUCAUCCUUUCCCGCAGCACCCGCUACAUCUCAUGCGUCCCACCGGUGCUCUUACUCUUCCAAAUCCUCGUAAGUAGCCACGAUGUCCACACUUCCAAGAUUCAAUCGCAGACCUCCCUCUUCACAUCUACUGCUUCGAAAACAUCUCCCAAUUCAUGGAACUGCCCCUGCUUGAUCAACGGCAACAACGGCGACACCUUCACUUACGCCGACGUCGAGCUCGCCUCCCGCAAGGUCGCCUCGGGGCACCACAAAAUCGGCAUUCACCAAAUUGACGUCAGCAAACUCAUCUCCUCUAACACCCUUGGACUUUCUGGAAAGAGCAGCCGUCGUCUACGGCGACUGCCCGUCCGUUAUAUACGGAGACACCACCUACACUUGGACACAGACCCAUCGUCGAUGUCUCCGCGUGGCUUCCUCUAUAUCAUCCCUUGGUAUCAAGACAGGCAACGUGGUGUCUGUUCUUUCCCCAAACAUCCCAGCCAUGUACAAGCUCCAUUUCGCCGUACCCAUGUCUGGCGCCAUCCUCAACAACAUCAACACCCGCCUGGACAGGCGCGCCGUCAUGCGCAGCACCACUCGAUGACUUCCUUUGCACGUACGUGGACCUCGUGGACAGGGGCGACGAGGGGUUCGAGUGGGUCUCGCCGUCAAACGAGUGGGUUCCGAUGACGCUGAACUACACAUCGGGGACCACAUCGUCUCCCAAGGGAGUCGUUCACUCUCACAGAGGCGUCUUCAUCAUCGCCGUCGAUUCCCUGAUCGACUGGGGUGUACCCAAACAGCCGGUGUACCUAUAGACCCUACCGAUGUUCCACACUAACGGGUGGAGCUACCCCUACGAAAUGGCAGCCGUCGAUGGGACCAACAUCUGCAUCCGUAAGUUCGACGCCCAAAUAAUCUAUUCCAUGAUCAAACGAUAGCGAGUUACCCACAUGUGCGGUGCGCCGGUGGUGCUGAACAUGCUCACAAACGUCCCGUCCGGAACCGAAAAGCUCGAGUACCCGGUUCACACCCUGACCACCGGAGCUCCGCUGCCGGUUCCAGUUCUGUUCCGGACCGAGUCCCUGGGUUCGUGGUGAGUCACGGUUAUGGGUUGACCGAAACAGCGGGGCUGGUGGUAUCGUGCGCGUAGAAGAGGAAGUGGAAUUUGUUGCCGGCGACUGAGAGAGCGAGGCUGAAGUCGAAGCAAAUAGUGAGGACAGUCGUGCUCCCUGAAGCUUGCAGGACAAUGAAGUUCGUGGCUGGGCUUUUGACGUCGAUGUUGAUUGACGGAUGAUAGAGCUCUUGAUGGGCAGAGAUCUUCGGCGAGGCUCUCGUUGGGUAGAGUGUAGCUCGUUGGGGGAGUAGGGUGUCUUGAGAGAUUCCCUCGAGCUCGUCACUAUGACAACCCUAGUAGCAAAGAACUUCAACGACCGCCGUCAAACGACUAGCCGGUCGUGAAGCUCGAAGCACCAUCUUUGCGCCCUCCUUGCUCCGCUCCCUGCAAAAUUCCCCAUCCCGUCAUCCAAAUUUAUACAAAAAAAAUAAAUAAUAAAAAAAAUAUAUGGUGGAACACUGCACCAUGAUUAAAGAAAAAUAAAAUAAAAUAAAAUAAAAUAAAACAAUAAAAUAAUAAAAAUGCAUGGUGCGUCUGGCACCAUAUGAAAAAAAAGAAUAGUGGGUGCAUGAUUACAAAAUAAAAAAAAUAAAAAUAAAUAAAUAAAUAAAUAAAAAAUAAAUAAAAAAUAAUAAUAAUAAAAAAAAAAUGAUGAUGGUGCAUCUGGCACCAUGUGACAAAAGAAAGAAAAAAAAAAAAAAGUGGUGGUGCAUCUGGCACCAUGAGAAACAUAUGAAUAUAUAUAAAGCAUUUAGUAAAGCCCAUCUUUUAUUUAUUUGUGUAAAAAAAUUUUUACAUAAAUUCGCAUUCCACAUGCCAUAAAAAAAAAAAAAAAAAAAAAAAAAAGACAAAUCAAAUUUACAAGAGGGGAUUUUCAAGGUUGAUCAGAUGGCGCCUCAGUACUCGGCGGAACCCCAGGAGAAGGAGGCACCGAAUGUUGAUCAUUUGAGGCUUCAUUACGCAGUACAGCCCCAGAAGACGAAGGUAAAUGCUGCUGGAACAAACCCACAAACCUCUGAUGAUCAAGUAAAAUCUGACCAUCAGAUUCCUGCAUCUGGUUAAUCUUCCUCUUCAUGUUUGUCGCAUAGCUAUGUGCGAGCUUAUGCAACUGUUUAUUCUCCUGCUUGAGCCCUCUAAUCUCCUGUUUGAGACUCAUCACUUCCGCCGCCAAUGAUUCAACUUGACGGGUUCGAGCAAAUAGGCGUUGGGCCAUAUUAGACACAGAACUUGCACACUGCACACUGAGAGCCAGAUAAUCCUUAACAGCCAACUCAUCAGACCGUUUGGAAAGUAGUCUGUUAUCUCUGGGAGUGACAAGGUUUCGGGCCACCACCGCAGCGGUCAUAUCAUUCUUCACCACCGAAUCCCCAACGGUAAGAGGACCAGUAGGGGAUAUGAAGGAUGGGCGCCAUAUGUUGUCUGGAGAAGGCGGGACUGCCUCUUCACCAAGGUUCAAGUCAAAACGACGGUCGGAGGGUCCAGAUAUUUUCAAAGUGUUGAAGAAAGAAGAGAUCGGACAAAUCAAGAUCUUAGAAGUGCAAGAAGGGAGUUUUCACAAGCGAAAAUUCAAGUGUGCUUUGAAACAAACAACGUGCCUCUAUAAAAAAUCAGCACUCGACGGGAUUUCAGAGAUCGAAGAGGCGAGCUCAGAAUUCGAAGAGGCCAUUCAAAAAUCGAAGAGGCAAGCUCAGAAAUCGGAGAAGCAUCUUGCUUUUCCAGACGCGUCGGCACCCAUCACACGCAAACUCAGCUUUGCGAAAAUCACGGGCAAUUUGUCGAAGCGCCGAUCCUAGAUAUCGAAGAGGCGCCAGUCUUUUUCAGCCUCGUCAACACCUGUCAUAUGCACACUCAACUUUGCGCAAAUCACGAGCAAUUUGUCGAAGAUUUUCGGUGAAGGAGAAAGCACGUGAAGUUUACUGUUCAAUCAUCCAACGGUUGCCGACAAGAGUGAAAGAACAGUACCGGUUAUUAAUCCAUAUAAAUGUCCACCUUUACCCUACAUAGCAAGGCAGACAUACAGAACAUUUCUUCAUCUCCGAGAAUGCCUUCCCAACAAAGCCUCUCGAGUCACCCAGUGUUCCUUAUUCCUUGGGGUACCUCUGUAAGCCAAUGACUCCAAAGCAAAAAUAUCUCAUAUCACCAGGGUAGAAAGCAAGAGUAUCUCAUAUCAUGUGUUCUCUCUGUCCUUUCUUUUGUCCUUGUUCUUACUUACAAAGACAAGGAUAAAGAAAACAAUAUGCCGGAACCUCCACUCAAACUCGGGUAAGGAACCGACCGCUUGGAACCCUUCCCUGAUUGCUUACCUAGCACUGCUCUCGAGUACUCAUUUCCCAUUGCUGCUGUACUUCCAAAGAAGCUGCCACAUCUGCCUGAAGAAACAAGCAGAGAAGAAUGCAGCAUGCACAGUCAACUCAGCAGAAGGAGUCUGAGAUGAGGAACUCGAGAAGAUGCCACAUCUGCCUGAGGAACAGAUAAAGGAAAUGAAAAUAAUACCUUGAAACAUGUGGAGACAAGUGCAACCAAGCACGUGCUUAUUCAUUCGCUACUUCUUCAAAAUCAAAAGUAUCUCAUAUAAUCAGGGUUGCAAUCAUUCUGGACGGUGAAUUCGUUUUGACCCUCAAAUUCUUGGGUCGACUUGCUAGGCGUUGUGGGCUGCACGUGCCGAUUCACCACCCUUGAAUCGAAUCCUUAAAGAUCAAGUCACCAACUGGAAGAAGAGCCCAUCAAUCUUGAAGAUCAUACCGUUGACCAAACUGCUCAGGUGUGAAUUAGAAAGAUUGAACAAAGAAACAGGCUGUCACAUUUACCUCGUGCUUGCUUGCCAUGUGUUCAAAUCAACCUUCGAGAUCAAGCCUCAAAGGCCCUUGAAGAAGCUUCCAGCCAAAGUUCAAGAUCAAGCCUCAACGACCCUUGAAGAAAUCACAAGUCCGAUUCAAGAUCAAGUGUCUACCACCCUUGAAUCAAAUCCAGUUCAAGAAUAAGCUGUGGAAAGUCAACAAUUGGAGGAAACCAGAAAAUCCUCCAACCCAGUUCAAGAAUAAGCUGUGGAAAGUCAACAAUUGGAGGAAUCCAGAAAGUCCUCCAAUCCAGUUCAAGAUCAAAGCUGUGGAAAGUCAACAAGUGCAACAAAAUACGUGCCGAUUCAUCCACUACCAAAGCCAAAAAUCAUCUACCACAUGAAGUUCCUUGUGGUCCAAUUUCAACUUUCAAGAUCAAGCCUCGACGGCCGUUGAAGAAAUUUCAAACAAAAGUUCAAGAACAAGCCUCAACGGCCCUUGAAGAAAGCUCCAGCCCCAUUCAAGAUCAAGCCUCGAUGGCCCUUGGAUUGACAUCUACAUUAAGUGACUUCAAAACGCAUCUCCUACACGCGACAAGCACAUGUAUACGACGCGUCUUGAAGUGGGGGCAUUUGUAGACAUCGAAAUUUCGGUAAAUAAAUGUUGACCAAUAAAUCAAAGUUUCAACGCUCAUAUAUUACAUAAAUUUUACACGUAGCGUGUGUCUAAACAAAAAAUCGAAAUAGUUGGAAAAGUCAUCAAACAGGACACGUGUCAACACCUGGCAGAAACGACUUAUUUCAUCUGGGAUAUUAUAUUCAAAAUUAGGCCUUGGAAAUUUCUAUAAAUAGAAGGCUAAUUCAUUCAUUUAGGGGAACCAAAAUCAUUAGGAAAAAUUAUUGAAGCUCUGAAACUCUGAAACUUCGAAGCUCUCAAGUAUCCAGGUUCCCGAAGAAUCAAGAAAGCUCUCUUCGAUCUUCGAUCUUCGUUCAUCGUUCAUCCUAAGAUCAAGCCCCAACGGCCAUUUGGAUCAACAAUCAUCCACCUUCAAGAUCAAGCCCUAACGGCCCUUGAAGAAAGUGUUCUUCGUUCUUCGUUCAUCGUUCUUCCAAGAUCAAGCCCCAACGGCCCUUUGGAUCAACAAUCUUCCACCAAUUCAAGAUCAAGCCCCGACGGCCCUUGAAGAAAGUGUUAUUCGUUCUUCGUUCAUCGUUCUUCCAAAAUCAAGCCUUGACGGCCCUUGGAUCAACAAGCCACCGUUCUUCAAGAUCAAGCCCAAAAGCCCUUGAAGAUCCGUUUAUCACUGUUCUUCAAGAUUAAGCCCAAAAGCCCUUGAAGAUCCGUUCAUCACCGUUAUUCAAGAUCAAGCCUUAACGGCCCUUGAAGAAACACUCAUCCUCAAGAUCAAGCCCCAACGGCUCCUUGAAGAUCCGCUCAAAUCCACCUUCAAAGAUCAAGCCCACGGCCAUUUGAAGAAACUUCCAACAGUUCAUCCAAGAUCAAGCCUCGACGGCCCUUGGAUCAACAAAACAUCCACAAAUCAAUACCUUACGGAGAUCGAAUCAGAGGAUCAAAAUAGAGAGAGAUUGUAACCCUAAAUCAUCAAAUACACAAAUAUUAUUUUGUGCACGUUGUUCUUGUCUCUUUCGUUUCAGGAAUUUUCCGUGUUCAUGGAAAAUGACUAGCAUCCUGUAAAGUCUACCUUUUUACUGCCCAAUUUGGAACUUUAACAAAAAAAUUUCGGUACUAUUCAUUUUAAUAAAAAAUCACAUUUUUACAUUAAAAAGUCAAUCCUGAUAUUAUUCAUUUUACAUUUUAUUUUGUCAUUAUCGUUAAAACUCAAAAAUUUCAAGCUAUUUUCAUUAGUUUUCUUAUAAAAAUAAUGUAUAAAAACCAAUAACAUGCAAAGAAUAAAAAAAAAAAAAUAAUGACACAAUUAUUCGUAAAAAUGAAGAGAGUUAUCAUUUUAUUAGUACAAGAUAAUUGAAAACGAAAAUGAUGUUUCAAAUUAAUGAUCACAAUAGGUCAAAUAUAUUAUAAUUACAAAUUUCGAAUUGCAUAAUAUGUUGUGCCCAAGAUUGCUAAACCUAAUCCAUACCCAACCCAAAUCAAGAAAAUAAAGCUAAUUUCACCCUAAAAAUUAGAAAAGGUGAACAAAUUGGACCUCCAAAAAUCCAAAGAAGAUGAUAAUAUCAUAAAUGAGAGAGGAUGCUCGCCGGAUUCUUAUUGUAUAUACCGUAAGAAUUCUGAAAAUCUUCCAACCACAUCCGUCUACAUAUUAUAUUACAAAACCCAAAAACAGAAUCCCGCGAGGAUCCUUCUGGAUCAGAAACGGGCAUGGUGGACCGACUGUGAUAAUUGUUUGACCAUGGUUCUUGCUUGGGCCGAUUACAAAACCCAAAAAGAAUAAUAAAAAAAUUCGGAUUGUGCGCCGUCGUUUUCGCGUUUCAGAAACACUCAGAGAGUGAGAGAGAGAGAGAGAGUCUUCUGCUUUUUCGUCGUCGUCGUCGUCUUCUUCUUGUGGAAGGUAAAGGGUAAAGGGUAUGGUGUGAAACUGCAAAGAAGGAACUCCGGCCCUCUUUAAAUCCCAGGUAUGAAUUAUGUACCCUCUUUCGAUUUCGAUGCAAUUUUUUAAUAUUUUGUUUUAGCAUGCAAUCGCCAACGCAUUGUAGAUUCACGGAGGUUGUUUCAAAUGCGAAUUUUGUCACUUCAAUUGAGCUUUUCUGUAUGAACACUCUAAUUGCAUCGUAUGGGUUUAUAUUUAUUUGCUUCAGUUUUCAUUGCAUUUCGAGUUUUUCACUUUUGUUUUCUGCUUAUUUUUUGCAUUUAACUGUAUAAAGUUAGAGACUUGAAUUAUGAAUCUAAUCCUUAUACUCAUUAAGGUUAUCAACAAUAAAUCAACUGCAAAUUAUGUAGUUUGGCAAAAAAGGUUGCUCUUUAUUUGGACUGCAAAAUAAUUUGAAGAAAAUUAAUGGGGUUUUUCAUAAUUACAAUGCUGCUUUGGUGUUGAAGUUUGCCCAAAUUAUCCAGCUCGUCUGGAAGCUUUUAAAAUGACUGCAAAUGCUUUUGGAACCAAUCCUUAAUAAAAAUGCAAGUGAAUCCUGGAAAAGCACUUGAAGUGCUUCAUGCAAGAAGCACAUAAGAAACCCAAAAACACUUUCACCAAAAGUGCUUUCAGUCAUUUUAAAAGCACUUCCAUACAAACCCUUCAUUUCCUUUUUUCAUGUUAAAUACAUUGGGGUUUUAACUUUUUGUUUUGAGUAACGAAUUUCGCAUUGUAUCGUGUUCAUGCCUGUGAAAAAUGUCAGAGAAUUUGGAAUUGAUAAAGGAUGUAUAGCUCAACAAGAUCAAAAGCUAUCUGGACUCCGGGGCACCGGAAAGUAUUCUUUGAUCUUUGUCUAGAAGAGGUGGACAAAGGGAAUAAGCCGGGUACACACUUUACUAAGGAGGGUUGGAGGAAUCUCAUCCAAGGGUUCUACGAGCAGACGGGUUUAAGGUACACCAAGAAGCAAAUGAAGAAUCAUUGGGAUUUCACCAAGAAGCAAUGGAAAGUUUGGGUUAAGCUCAUCGCCGAGAGUAGUAUGAAGUGGGAUCCUACGACCAAUCAAUUUGGUGCUAGUGCAGAAGAAUGGGCUCACUACAUACAGGUAAUGCUAAUUUAUUUACAGCAGCUAAUGUUAUGCAUUUGAAGAACGAUGCUAUAGAGGUUUUUCGUGAUUUCAGAUUUGUAAUUGCGAGUGCUUUGUCUCAGGUGAACCCCGAAGCUGCACAGUUUCAGCAUAAGGAAAUCCCGUGCCCUGACCUAUUGGAAAUCCUUUUUGUUGGCACUAUGGAUUCUGGGGACAUGGAGCCUUGUGAUUCUCAGAGGAAGCAAAGCAAUAGCUCGGACAACUCCUUUCUGCACUCAGAAGAACAAGAUUUGGUGACUGUGGAGCUGGGAGAGGAGCAUAUUUCAAACGCUGUUCCAUUAAGGAGUUACGUGGCUCAGUCUGAACACCGUCUAACAACUGCAAGUGAGCAGAGCAUAUCUAGCUCAUCCCAUUCAAAGGCAAAGGCCGUUUGGUCGCCUGCAUCCCACGGUGUAUUUAUUGAUCUAUGUCUAGAAGAGACAUUGAAAGGGAACAAACCUGGGACACAUUUUACCAGGGACGCUUGGAGGACUAUUGUUGAAUCAUUUAACCAAAAAACUGGCCUUAUGUAUGAUAGGUUGCAGUUGAAGAAUCAUUGGGAUGUCACCAAGGAGCAAUGGAGAAUCUGGUGUAAGCUAAUUGGCACAACUUGUAUGGGUUGGAAUCCGAACACCAGACGAUUUGGAGCAAAUGAUGAAGAUUGGGCCAAUUACUUAGAGGUAUGGUAUACAAUUGCCAGUAACUAUUUCUACGAAGUUGGAAACUAGGAAGAUUAUGAAUGAUUUCGGGUUCUUAAAUCAUGUUGGUUUUGUUUUGUUACAGACCGACCCUGAAGCUGCUUCAUUCCGCUUUAAGGAACCUCAAUGCGCCGACAAACUGGAAAUCAUAUAUGAUGGAACAAUUGAUACCGGAGAGACAGAGCCUCCUGCUAGGCGUAGGAAGUACAACGAUAACUUGAGUACAUCCGUUUUGCAUAUAGAAGAAGAUGGAGGCAUAGCGAAUCAAGAGGAGAACAACGUUGGGCAACUGGAUGCUGUAACAUUUGCUUUUGCACAAGGCAAGCCCACUUAUAGCAUCGGGGAGUGCAUCAACUGCCUUGAUGCCAUGGAGGAAGUAGAACAAGGAAGUGAUCUCUAUUUGUUUGCUUUAGAUGUAUUCCUGAAAAGGGAGUACAGAGAAAUAUUUCUUCAACUGAAAAGGCCUAGUGUAAGAAUUGCUUGGUUGCAGCGGCUGCAAUCCGUCAGCCCGCCUUUGUUCUAGGAUGUUUCUUGUCUCUUGGAUUUCACUUGUUCAUUGAAAGGUAGCUGAUUUCUUUCAUCAUUUACGGGUUUUUUUUCAUCGUCACUCGAUUAAGUAAGUGCACAUAUUUAGGCAAACUUAAGCAACACAUGAAGAGCGAUUACCAAUAAUUAUACUGAAACUUUUUUACAAGAGAAUACACAGAGCAGAACUGAGGCUAUUUACAUGGCUGUGGAGAGUUCAGAUCAGAAAUCUCCUGAAAAUCUGUAUGGAAUGCAAAUAUCAAUGGUGCCAACAUGGAAGAACAACUUUUUUGGUGUAUGUGUGUAUAAGCGAUAUUCUACUUAAACUAGUCUAAACGGCAGAGGAAUUUAAAUUCGGGUGUAUACGGGAGAGCACAUUCGCUCUAGACAAUGCGGCGACGCCCACAUCUGUAUGUAUGUCCUCAAUUUGAUGUGAAAAAUUGUAAAAAAUUGGGUUUGGAAGCUUGAAAAUCCGCUCGCCUGAAAAUGGACUUCUUAGAGCAUCCAUGUGACUGCUUACGGAGGCUAUAGCGCGGAAGCCUUCUCUCUGCAUCGCGUCCCUUCGUUUGGAGAAGUAGUCAUGGCUCUCCAUAUGCAAUUCAUCUUCCGAUCUGCCGAAAACAGAACGACCAAUCAGAACUCAGAAACCUCCAACUAAUUUUACCUAAAAGACAACAGAAAGAAGGGGCAUUUGGAUAGUAACAAAUACCUCAUAAUCAAUGAAGACCAAGCUCUAUAUCCUGCAGAUAUAAGAUCCUCCAUGGAAGAAUUUCGCUCCGCCUCCGGUUUUCUUGAGAGCAGAAUCAAAGGCCAACCACCAGCAUGAAGUUCCAUAUAUAAUCUCAGAAUAAACAUCUGCUUCAGAUGCUUUGCCUCUUCCACAAAAUCACUACCACCAUACUGAUCAUAUCUGUGCACAAGGAAACGGGAUAGCUCGAAAGCCGGAACUAUGGAAGAACAGAUGCUUCAAGGACUAAAAGGAGAUUAAAUUACCGGUGCAGUCUACGAUUUGAAGAAAGAAUGUCAUCUAUGUCGAUCAAGACCACGUCGAGACCAUCGUGUGUUGGGGUAAUGCUGCUGAAAUAAUUCUGAAUCAUCGACACGGUAGAAUUUAAGUCUCUUGCGUAUUGACCUUCUUUGAUGUACUGAAGGGCAACAACCCUGCACAUUGAAGGGAAGCGAUCUGCUUCAACGGCGUUGAGUUCCAUAUGCAGAGAGAAGAUCUGGCAGUGAUUGUAAUCGAAACUCGGUUUCUGAGUCUCAACGACUCCAUGGCUCUUACUUUCGCAAGACUGCAGCAUUACAGUCAGUGCAAUCAGCAAGGUGAUCAAUAAGACCCCAACAGCUACAAGUGCACCAAUGAAGAUUGCCGUAGCAAAAGACGACAUGUAGAACCCCGUCUCCAUGGCAUAACUGCUUGCCCUCUCUGUGUCCACGAAAUGGAACAGUAUCAAUAGUUGAUUAAUUAAAAGCUCAACAUGCUUCUGAUUAUAUGAACGAAGGCCUCGGGGCUUGUUUGGUGCCUAGGGUUGGAUUGAAUAACUCGUUUGUCAUACGUUUCUUCCUUCAACAUGUACUGAAUCUAUAGAUCUUAGACACCAAACGAGGCCUAAAGAUAUAACAUUUCACUGAGCUACCACCUAACAAAAGCACUUGUAAAAAAACGCUUAUGAGCAGAAACGCUUCCUACGAUUUGAAGAAUGUUAUCACAUACCUGAACCUCCACCCGAAAGACUCUGGGCGGAGUACUCGCGCUCCAUAUGACGUCCAUAGGCAGACAUGGUUAAAAUCCAAGACAAAUCACCAGCUCAAAUAUUCUGCAGAACAACUCCAGGUCCCUUCCUGUUCACAGAAGGAUCACCCGCAAGUCUGCAACCUACAAAAGUGACAUUAAACAUCAUGACAACGCAACAGCCACCAUAACCACUUCUCAGAUUCUCAAAUUAUUCGAGGAAAACACCGCGAAAAACGCUAAAUUUACAAAAGAAACCUCAUUCUCUAAAUCUGAUGCUUACAGUUUUUCAGAUGCACCCCUUAAAGCCAGCUUGUUCAUUGUUCAGUUGAAUCUCAUCAUAUUCCGGAAUCCACCGUUCAACUAUGUCCAGUUAGACCAAAUCCAAUAAAAACAUCAAUUUCAUGAAAAAAUACAAUAAUAAAUAUAUAUAAAAAAGCAUGAGUUGCGUCGGGAGUUGGGACAAGUAAGACCAUCUGCUGAUUUGCAGAUCAUUUAACCAAUCCAAUAUUAUUUUCCACAAUUUUUACAUUUUGGCCCCAAAGGGAAAUCAAGGAAACCGAUAAUACAAGUUGACCGCCCUAAUCAGAUGAUAUUUAACUAAAUAACUGAAGCUACAGGGAGGGGGAGAGAGAGAUAUAUAGAAUACCAGAGAGAGAGAGAAACAUUGGAUUGGAGAGAUUGUGUGACAAGGCAGCUCUCUCUUCCUCUGUCGUGUUCUUGGAGAUGGGGGGGAGAGAGAGACUUGAAGAAGUUUCCUUUGUUAAAAUUAGCAAUCAUUAUGAUUAUGAUUUUACUGUUUUACAGGUCCCAUGAACCAGGGGGUACUUGUCAAACAAAGAAACACUCUACUAGGUACACUUUUGUAAUUAGCUGUCGAAUUCAAACUCAUCGUAUAACUUUUCACUUAUGAGUUAAGUUACAAGUGAAAAAAAUAACAUUAGACCGUAUUUAAUUAGUGUAAUUUUUCUAAUCAUUGACACUUUUGCCAUAAAUACCACGGUCUAGAUUGUACGUAUACGUAUAUAUUUUCCAUUUACUUGUUACUUUGUUAGUGGGAGAUCUCAUGUUCUACUCGGUGAGUUUGUUACCUAAUUAUAGUUGACCAUAUCUCAUCUUCUCAUAUUUGAUAUAUACCACCACUCAAAUGUUAGAAUUCAAAUUUGAGUUUUGAGUCCUCUCGGGCUCUGGAAUGGUGGACUACCGCGCAAGAGCCACCAGCUGGUUUCUUCUUAGGAAAAAGAAAAAAUUGAGUUUGAGCUAAAUGCUUGAAUUUUCUUUUUUUGAACAAAUGAUAUUUUCUACUCUAAAAGAAAGGGGUGUGCUUAAUCUCACAAUGCGAUAGCAAUAAUGUGGUUUAAAUUCGAUUUUGGUAAUAAUAGAGUCUAAGAUUUCUUAUUUAGAAAUAAAAAGAAAUAUUAUAUUAUUAAAUGACGAGUCUAAAUCCUUGAAUUGAAUAAUGAAAAGUUAUAUUUUGUGUUUUACUAUAUAUGACUUUUGUUGGUAAGGAUUGAGAAAUCAUAAUCUUUUGUGGUUGUGGGCCAGUUAAGGAGAAUUUGCUACCAAACCGACUCUUAAAUUAAUUAAUCUUAAUUAAUGGUUUUAGUUCCAUACUUAUCAUUAAAAAGAUGCAUUUGCUAUUGGCUCUGAAACAUUAUUGUAUAAAUGCCAACUGUCUGACAUGUCCAGCCAUCCCUACACGAUUUUCAUAUCCAGAUGAGCAUCAUCCAAUAUUAUAUUAUACAGAUCAGAAUGAACUAUAUAUAAUAUUCUUGUCUUGACAUUUGUCGUGAUUCUAUAGGUCACCAAAAAAUUGAGCCAUGUAAUGUUUGAUUCUCUUAUCAGCCACAAUAAGCACUUUUCCUGUGAGCACUUAAAUUUUGAAGAAGCACUUUUAUUGCUUCACGGCCAAGUGACAGGCCAGUUCUUCAACUGCUACAACAUAUUACUAGGUAAUUGGUUUCUUCCUUCGGUUAGUUUCUCCAAAUCGUCCUCAAGAAUACCAUUUUUUUUUUCAAUUAUCUGUAUGUAAAUUUGGUUAAAUAUAAAAUAUUUAGCACAGAGUACACUUUAAACUCAUCAAUUAAAGAGAACUUCAAUGCGUACUUCAUGAUCACCCACCUAAAUUUGGUAUAGAUGAUUGAAUUGGAAUUGAUAAAUAACUAUUUUCAAGGAAUGAUGAAAGAAGAAAUGAAAAUUCUUGUUGCGGACAAUUUUGCUAACAUGGGAUUGUCUUCUCCAUCUUUAACUUGGCAUGAUUCUCCUCCGAUGGCGGUUCGUGCUGCCCUGUUUUCAGACUAUGUUAGCUUGCUUAGUUACCGCUUAUCAAAUUAAUGUGCAUGUCAGCAUCCAGGUUUGUCUCAUUUUUUUUUUCUCCUAACUUUACGGGGUUGUUUGACUUGUUUUGCAGGUUUAGACCUUUAGGUUUGGUUUUAGAGGGGUUAGGUUUCAUGUCCCCCCCUUCCCUCUUUUCUUUGUAUAUUUCUCGUUUUUUGUUUCUAGAAGGGUAAGGUUUAUGUCCUCCCUUCUUUUUCGUGUAUUCAUUUUUAUUGUCUCUGUUUUUUUAGGGGUAAGGUUUAUGUCCCCCCUAUCUAAGUGUAACUUUUUUUUUUCGUUAUCAAUAAAAUUAUCCUCGUACCGUCGAGGUUUCCAAAAAAAAGAAAAAAAAAGAAAAAAAAAAGAAAUGAAAAUUCUAUGACAAACUUGAAGGUAGGAGAUAGAUAACUCAAGAAGAAAAGUUAUCCAUUUGCAAGUGGUUUGUAGCUUACGUGGUUAAGAGUCUUCGCUCUUGCAUCCAAACGUGUUCAUUUCCACUCGUAAUUUAGAUGAAAAUAGUAUAGGUUUAUCCUAUCGUUUGUGAAAAAUAGAAAUUAUCCAUAUCAAUUCUCCCAAAAUGAAAGGUUUCGCACAAAUAAAUUUUCUUCAUAUCUAAUCGUCUUCUAAUCCAUUUUUUUAAAUGAGACAUUGUUCUCCUUUACUUUCAAAAAUACCUAAUUUCGAGGACUAUCCGUUACAUUCAAUCCUCAAUACCAAUUGAGGCCUAAAGAUCCUUUGGACAAUACAAACGAAUGGGAAUAAUACGUAAGCAGAACCAAAGGCGGUUGGGCACACACAAACUUACAAACAGUGGGUUAACAUAUCUCUUGGGAGGAGCAGGGCAGAUAGCAGAGCCACAGAACACUUUGUCAGCACAUCUACUCGUCGGCCUCCACGUGUCGAAACACCAUUUCCCGCCUUAUCUGGUAUCCCCCAACAAGACAAAGUAUACUACCGAAAAUUGUUGAUCAGAAUAUCAAUCUCUGGAGUAGUAUUUUCCAAAAGCAUGGAGGCCACCAUAGCUUGCUGCUCAUCCGCCAGGGCGCUCCUGCCGGCUGCCGGCAUUUCGACUCACCAGCAUUCCACUUCAGUUGUGGCUCCAUCUUUCAGCUCCAAGGUUAUUAGCAUUUCAUUUCAUUUAUGCAUGUGUCAUCACAUAAAACUUAAGGUAUCAUCACAUGGUGUAAUUGGAGCUUCCUUGUGACUGCAGGGCCUAAAAUCAAGCUCCCUCUUCGGAGAAUCACUACGACAAGUGCCACGAUCAUCGCUCAAGUUUUCUACAACAAAACAGUCCUCCCAUGUGAUCAAGUGUGAGAUCGGCGAUAGCCUGGUGAGUUACACAAAAGAACAACUUUUGUUCAACGUAACAAUAGUUUGGAAAAUGAAAGUUUGUCUAAGCAACAUUGAAAAUGUAAAUUGUGCGAAAAUAUUUAUUGCCACUGUAGGAGGAGUUUCUUGCAAAAUGAAAGUUUGUCUAAGCAACAUUGAAAAUGUAAAUUGUGCGAAAAUAUUUAUUGCCACUGUAGGAGGAGUUUCUUGCAAAGGCAACCCCGGAUAAGGGACUGAUCAGGUUGCUGUUAAGCAUGGGAGAAGCAUUGAGGACUAUAUCCUUCAAGGUCAGAACAGCUUCUUGUGGAGGAACAGCCUGCGUUAAUUCUUUCGGAGAUGAGCAGCUCGCCGUGGAUAUGCUUGCUGACAAGCUUUUGUUCGAGGUAAGGAAAAGAUAAGUUUCGGUUCUUGUUGAGUUUUGGUUUUAAUAUUUGUUGUAUAUUUCAUUAUGAAGAUUACAAGAGAGUGAAGACAACUAUUAUAGAGAGCCAAAAGAAAGCUACAAUAGAUUGUAGGAUAACUACAAAAACACAAUCCCUAAAAUCUCCCCUAACAAGUGGAAAAGCAAAAACACAAUCCCUAAAAUCUGCCCUAACAAGUGGAAAAACAAAAACCAAAUUACAAGCAACUAAGAAAGGUUGACAAAAGGAAGGUAAGAUGAAUGACAAGCUAUGAAAAGUGAUGAAAAUAGGGUUAAGACCAUCACUUUAGCCUAUAACCCAUCCAUAUAAAUUGGUUUCAAUACACCCUCUCAAGCUGGAUCAAGGGGAUUGAUUGAUCCAAGCUUGCACAACAAACGCUGAAACUGAGUAGAGUCUAGUGCUUUUGUGAAUAAAUCAGCAAGUUGAUCGUUGCUGUGUGUGAACAUGGUGUCUAUCACCUUGGAUUGAGCUUGAGCACGAAUAUAAUGGCAGUCAACUUCAAUAUGUUUGGUCAUUUCAUGGAAUACUGGAUUGGAGGCAAUGUGCAUGGUAGCUUGGUUAUCACAAUACAAGGACAUAAGUGCCAUGCUUGUGAAUCCGAGCUCGAAAAGAAGACCUUUCAACCAUAUGAGUUCACAGGUUGUUACUGCCAUAGCCCUAUACUCAGCUUCGGCACUAGAUCGAGCAAUAACAGUUUGUUUCUUGCUCUUCCAAGUGACAAGGUUCCCUCCAACAAAUGUGCAAAAACCUGUUGUGGAUUUUCAAUCAAGGGCAUUUCCAGCCCAGUCAGCAUCUGUGUAGGCCAAGAUGUGAUUUGAUCCAUUGUUCUUCAUAAUUAUCCCCCUUCCAACUAAGCCUUUGAGAUAUCGAAGUAUUCUCUUGACGAUUUCCCAAUGAACUAGAGUAGGAAAGUGCAUGAACUGACUGGCUAGGCUAACUGAAUAUGAGAUAUCAGGCCUAGUAAUGGUGAGAUAAAUAAGUUUCCCAACCAUUCGCUGAUAAACACUAGGGUCCGAGAAAGGUUCACCUUUUUCAUGCCACUGAAGUUUGCUAGCUAGGGGUGUCCGAGCUGGUUUAUGUUCUAUCAUGUUAGCUUCAUCUAGAAGAUCGAGAACAUACUUUCUUUGAUUCAAGAACAAUCCCUUUGAAGAGGUAGCCACCUCAAUUCCAAGAAAGUAUUUCAAGGGCCCCAAGUCUUUAAUGAAAUUUUUUUGGUGAAGUGACUGCUUAAGCAUCUUGAUUUCACUUAUAUUGUCACCUGUAAUAAUUAGGUCGUCAACAUAUAUAAGCACAACCAAUUUGCCAGCAAUACCACUUCGAACAAACAAAAAAGAGUUAACAUGACUCAUUUUGAACCCUGAGGCUUCAAGGACUGAACUAAGCUUCGAAUACUAAACUCGAGGGGAUUGUUUGAGACCAUGUAUGGCUUUGUGAAGUUUGCAAACCUUGUUGGGUUCAUUUUCUCUUGGAUGACCAGGAGGCAACUUCAUGUACACUUAUUCUUCAAGAUCCCCAUAAAGAAAUGCAUUCUUCACAUCCAUUUGGAAUAAGGGCCAUGCAUUAUUGACUACCACAGACAACAAUACCCCCAAUGUGUUCAUUUUGGCAGUAAGAGCAAAGGUCUCUUUAUAGUCAAUGCCAUAGGUUUGAGUAAAGCCUUGAGUAAAGCCUUGAGCUACUAACCGUGCCUUGUGUCUUUCAAUGCUUCCAUUGGAGUUGAAUUUGGCCUUAUAUAUCCACCUAUUUCCCACGACUUUCUUGCCAUUUGGAAGAUCCACCGCACUCCAUGUCUGGUUGUCAUUCAAAGCUUGAAGCUUUUUAGUCAUAACAUCUUGCCAUUCAGGCAUGCAUGUGACUUCAUGAAAAUUCCUUGGUUCGAAAGUGUAAGUAACAUACUCUUGUAACGUCACUGGUGGAUGUCUAUCUUGUGUAGGAUUUCUUCUUGGUGCACUUAUAACUUGCUAAUUUGGUUGAGCUUCUGAUGGUCCAGAAGUGCUUGGCACUGCAUCAAUUACACUCUCAGUGUGUUGAGAAUUAUCAGUGUUGAUAUGAGCAUGAGUGACUUCAUGAAUUCUGCUGGAAUAGGUAGUGGAAAUAGGUCCAUAAGAUCUUCCAUAUUAGCAUUAGUCUCCAACCCUUUGUGGAAAUAAGGUGAAUAUUCAUCAAAUCGCACAUCUUUAGAGACUGCCAGCUUCCCCAUGUUAAGGUUGUACACUUUGUAACCCUUUUGAGAACUGGCUUAUCCCAUAAACACACAUUUAACAGCUUGAGGGUCUAGUUUGUCACGAUGGAGAGCUUGAAUGUGCACAUAACAAGUACAACCAAAGGUCCUAAGGUGAGACAAGUUUAUAGGCCUGCCCUUCAUGACUUCAAAAAGAGAUUUAGUAUUCAACACCCGAGUUGGCAGUCUAUUAAUGAUGUACGUGGCAGUGAGUAGGGCUUGAGACCAAAAUUUCUUAGGAACAUUCAUUUGGAUCAUAAGUGAUCGAGUCUUCUCCAAUAAGUCUCGAUUAUUUCUUUCUGUCACACCAUUUUGUUGUGGUGUACCAACACAACUAGUUUGAUGCAAAAUGUCAUGAUUGCUCAAGUAAUUACUCAUGUUAUUGGAAGUGUACUCGGUACCAUUAUCUGAUCUUAACAUAAAUAACUUAGAUGAAAAUUGAUUGGUGAUUAGGUUGUGAAAGUCCUUAAAAACAUCGAACAAAUCACUUUUAAGUUUUAAAAGAUACAACCAGGUUACUCUAGAAUAGUCAUCAAUAAAUGUAACAUAAUAUCUAUACCCAUCAAAGAAUUCUAUACGAGAAGGACCCCAAAUAUCUGAGUGAACAAGCUCAAAAAGUUUACUAGUUCUAGAAUUAGAGGAAACAAAAGGAAGUCUAGUGGCUUUUGACAUUUGACAAGUUUCACACUCCAGUGUGUUUUUACAAAAAAAGGGAAACAACUUGGUCAUCACAUGUUCUGAGGGAUGGACAAGGCGUUGAUGCCAGAGUUGGUGUUCUUGAACUUGACUUAAGUUGAUAUUGAGUUUUUUUGACAAAAUUGAACUCAUUUGAGAGAUAGUAGAGUCCAUUCAAGAAGAAUCCUUCACCAAUCUUCUUCUGAGUAACUCGGUCCUGAAACACAACAUUGUGAGGGGAAAAUAUGGCAAGACAGUCUAAGGUUUUUGUGAUUUUUCAUAUUGACAAGAGCUGAAAAGGAAAAGAAGGUACAUAAAGAGCAGUGGAAUCAAUAUGCUCACUUGGCAAUCUAAUCUUUCCUUUCCCUAGAAUAGGUUCCCCUUUCCCAUUUGCAACAGAUACAUGAAUUGGAUCAAUAGUUCUUUGAAAAUCGUGAAGACUAGAGGGUUUAUUAGUUAUAUGAUCAGUGGCACCAGAGUCAAUAAUCCAAAAAUCAUGUGUAACAUUUGUAUUAAGAGCAGUGGAAAUGACACUGAUAAUACCUGGAAUAUUGCAUUUUGAUGUGUUUUCCGAGUCAGCCAAGAAUCCAGCAAAUUUCCCUAGCAUUGCAGUAGGGUUUUCAUGUGUCAUUUCAUCAGGUUCAGUGCUUCCUUGCUUCUUUUGAAGAAAAACAGCAAACUCGUUGAUCAAGGACACAUGAUUUAUUGAGAAAUUGGCCAUCCCAUCAGUUGAGGAACAAGCUGAAUGAAAUGCUUUUGGAAUGACUCAUCAUUUCCCAUCUUUGAUCAUCUUGCCUUCCCUAUCAAACUUAGGCUUUAACUCCGGAUGAAGAAUCCAACAUUUUUCUCUCAAAUGUCCCUUCAUGUUGCAAUAAGAACAUUUCCAGUCUGCUUUCUUGCCAAGCACCCUAUCACCAGUUGCUUUGUGAUUUGUCGUGAAAACCCUAGCCUUAGAGUUGGAUUUGGGCUCAACGUUCAUCACUAUUCAUCGAGUUUCCUCUCUCUGGAUUGCAUGACACACACUGAUAAAGGAGGGCAACUCUUAAGUCAUUAACAAGUGACUACGCAUGUCUUCAUAAUCCCAAGCUUGGUAAGAGUUGAAACACCUUGUCUUCAUCAGCUUUUUUCAGUAGCACAUCGGAAUUAGUCGUGUGUGGAUGAUACAUAUCGAGUUCAUUCCACAUGGAUUUCAUACUUCCAAGGUGUUGAACAAAGGAGUGAUCACCUUGCUUUAAACUAGCCACACUCUUCUUCAGUUGAAAGAUGUGAACUGAGUUGUUUUGGCUGCCAUACAUGUCUUUGACAGACUUCCAUAGGAGAAGGGAAAACUCUGAGUAACUGAAAAGCUCAGACAAUUUUGGCUCCAUGAAGUUAAGUAUCCAGGACAUGACCAGCUGAUCAAUAGCAUGCCAUGCAUCGUAGGUUGGUGAAGUGGAUUCUGGGGGCUCAGAGCUUCCAUUAAUAAACCCUAACUUCGAUCUUCCUCCUAGAGCAAAUGACACAACUCUUGACCAAUGAAGGUAGUUGAACUUGUUCAGUAACACUGAGCAUAGUCGUUGAUUUGGAUUGUUCUCACCCCAUUGGGUUAAGUUUGGGGAGGAGGAUGAGGCACUGUCGGCACUAGACACAUUUACUUUUGCCAUCUUUAUCGAUGAUGAGCAAAUGAAGAAGUAAAAAAAAAUAUGAACAGAGUCAGGACCCUAUGGUUCCUGCUAUGAUACUAUGUUGAGUUUUGGUUUCAAUAUUUGUUGUAUAUUUCAUUAUGAAGAUUACAAGAGAGUGAAGGCAACUCUUAUAGAGAGCCAAAAGAAAGCUACAAUAGAUUGUAGGAUAACUACACAAACAAUCCCUAAAAUCUCCCAUAACAAGUGGAAAAGCAAAAACACAAUCACUAAAAUCUGCCCUAACAAGUGGAAAAGCAAAAACCAAAUUACAAGUAAAGAAGCUUUUACAAGCAACUAAAAAAGGUUGACAAAAGGAAGGUAAGGUGAAUGACAAGCUAUGGAAAGUGAUGAAAGUAGGGUUAAGACUAUCACUUUAGCCUAUAACCCAUCCAUACAAACCGGUUUCAAUAGUUCUGCUUGUAUUGUUCUGAUGAAAUUUGAAAGUCAUUCUUCCACAAAUGCAUCAGAAUAUAGGAUUUGUAUACUUUCAGGAUCAGCAAUAAAAUUAAUGCCUGUUACAUUUGGUGCCUUAGGCCUUAAGUUACUCGCACGUCUGCAAAUACGCUUGCUCUGAAGAGGUUCCGGAACUCCAAGACAUGGGAGGCCCAGUUGAAGGUCAGCAAGUCCUAUCUUAUAAUGAAUUGAUCUCUGAUCUUAAAAUUUUUUUUUUCUUGUAACGGAGGAUGAGAUGAUCAAAAGGGUUUAGCCUAAUUAUCGAAUUUGCAAUACGAGCAGGUGGAUUUAGUGUUGCUUUUGAUCCGCUUGAUGGCUCCAGCAUAGUCGACAAACUUCACAGUAGGGACAAUCUUUGGUGUGUGGCCAGGGGAUAAGUUAACUGGGGUAACAGGAAGAGACCAAGUUGCUGCAGCCAUGGGGAUUUAUGGUCCUAGAACUACAUAUGUUCUUGCUAUCAAGGGCUUCCCCGGAACCCACGAGUUUCUUCUUCUUGAUGAAGGUAUCAUUGUAACAAUAAUUUAAUUAUUUAAACCUCCCAUGUUCCCAAAAAAGGAAAAAAAUGUUCAUCAAAAGUAUGAGGUGCUCAAUCCUGUUGGCUGUAAAUCGAUAUCUCACGUGAAUGUCUUGGUCAGGAAAGUGGCAACAUGUCAAAGAGACAACAGAGAUUGGUGAAGGAAAAAUGUUUUCGCCCGGGAAUUUGAGAGCCACAUUUGACAAUCCAGACUAUGACAAGGUUUAAAGAGCAAUAUUAUUUCAUUACUGCACUACUAAUCAGUAGUGAAGCAGAUUCAUCAAUUUUUUGUCAAUUUUUUUUUUUGUUUAUCAACAGUUGAUCAGCUACUACGUAAAAGAGAAGUACACGUUGAGAUACACCGGAGGAAUGGUGCCAGAUGUCAAUCAGGUCUUCUCGACUUCCUCUUAAUCAAACAAACAGAUAACUGCUCAUUUGUGUUUGGCAAUUAGCACUCUUAAAAGGUUCACCAAUUUAUGGUUUCUUUGUGUGCAGAUAAUUGUGAAAGAGAAGGGGGUUUUCACAAACGUGAUAUCUCCAACUACGAAAGCCAAGCUGAGGCUGUUAUUUGAGGUAGCUCCAUUAGGGUUGUUGAUUGAGAAUGCUGGAGGUUAUAGUAGUGAUGGUCAGCAGUCUGUGCUAGACAAGGUCGUUGUUAACCUUGACGAUAGAACUCAGGUUGCUUAUGGAUCAAAAAAUGAGAUAAUCCGAUUCGAAGAAACUUUAUACGGAUCAUCCAGGCUCAAAGGUGUGCCUGUUGGAGCUGCAGCUUAAGCCAUGCAUUCCUUUCUCGUAUAAUGGUGCACAAAUUUUCCAAAGGUGGUGGAAAUGGAUCCAAGUUUAAUUUAGUAUAUCGUUAUAGUUUGUAUUAGGUAUAUGUGCAGUUGUGCACCUUAUUCACCAUACUAUAUAUAUAGCAACUUGGUGCGUGUUUACAAAGCAUUGAAAGGCUUUCAAAUGAUCUAAAGUAGCAAUGUUUACAUGUGAUUAGCAUGAUGAUUAAGUUGUUGGUCAAAUUUGCAGGCUUCGACGAAUGUUUUAGUUUGAACACAAGACAGUUACAUAGUCCACAUCAUGUCGAGAGUCACAUAUUUGCAAAGUAAAGCCUUCAAUAAUAGCAAUCAGAUUGAUUUUAAGUUGGAUGUUCACAUUCUAAUAUGAUAUUAGAGUGAGUGUGUUUAUUUUUCUAUUCAAUGAUAUGGCAUUUAUACGGACAAGAAAUUGAACCCUCGAAAAAACAAUAAAAAAAUAAAUUCUAAUGACUGUAGUAAUCCAAAAUUUUGUAAAUUCCUAAGUUAUGCCUUGAAGUAUCCCCUAAUAAGAUCCAACCUUUUUUGUCUUCCAAAGGUAUACAUUCCAAGACCAUAUAUUGUUUCAUGACAUAUUCCUUCAUGAACAGCUCUGCUUUCAUUGGAAAUACUGUUCCUACAACCAAGUUGUCUGUCAGGAAACACACAGAAAAGCAUGGUAUGAUUACUACAUUCCCUUUUCAAUUUUAUCCGUAUAUGAAAACGACGCUAUUUUAAUCUCUCAAAUCAUAAUAUAGCUACAAUUUUCUCUUUUCACACUUAAUUUCUUGAGGUACUAACUUAUGAAAAUUUGAUUUUGAAUUUGCUAAAGUUAUUGGUGAAAUCAUAGAACUCAAACUUCCGGAUUUUUUUCUUCAGGCAUCUGAGGCCAGAACUGCGAAAUGGCGCGGAUCAGUGGGGGGCAUUGUUGAAGCUCCUAUAGACAAAGUGUGGAGCAUGGUUUCUCAAACCAAAAGACUAGCCGAAUGGAUGCCGAUGGUUGAGCGCUGCACUGAUCUAGCUGGAGAGGAAGGCGUUCCAGGAUAUGUUCGGUUAGUCUCGGGCUUCAUGUUCCCUCAAGACGAUGGAGACAGGUCAUGGAUCAAAGAGAAGUUGGUGUCCAUGGACUCAUCACAACAUAGUUAUGCGUACAAACUGGAAGCAAGCAACGUAGGGUUGGAUGGGUCUGUAAAUUCACUGAAGCUUGUAGAUUAUGGGGAUGAGUCAACCCUAGUUGACUGGUCAUUUGAGGUCAACCCCGUUGAAGGUGCACGUGAGGACAGCACUGUAGAUUAUCUAGGGUUUCUGUUUAAGUCUUGCAUUAAUAGGAUUGAAGCUGCUUUAGAAGCAGCAUCCAAGAAAGUUUGAGUAGAAUGUUAUUGUACAUGUUUUUGUUUAAGUAAAUAAAAAAUAAAACUCAACUUUCUGUUUUUUUUUCCUAUUCCUUUUGGUACACCUAUGCUAUAUUGAACUGAAAUUUUUAUGGUUUCAAGGUUGAGGCGGUCUAGCAGCUAACUACUAAUUGAUCAAACACCAAUAUUGUUCUUGAUUUAACUACCUGUACAGUCCAAUUGUGUAACAUGCAAUUCACACACAUAAGAGGGCUCCCUGAAAAACAUGGAGUUCUUCGGGCUUCCAUUUCGAACAAUGUUGUUGGUUGCCUUCUUGUAUCUGGCAUUUGUCGAGUCCUUGAUUCGACACUAUAACUUCAGUGUCUUGUUUCAAAUUAAGCUCGCAUGUAUUGAUGUUUCAAUACUAGCUAGUGUAACAUUAACGGCUGGAUUAUAUAUGCAGGUGGUCUUCAAGAGCACAACAAAUCUUUGUUCUUCGAAGCCCAUCGUCACCGUGAAUGGGAAGUUCCCCGGACCAGCUCUAUAUGCAAGGGAAGAUUAUACCGUAAUUGUAAAGGUCACCAACCAUGUGAAUCACAGUGUCACAAUCCACUGGUGAGAACUAUUCUAUUCCCACAAAUAUACGAGAAAUUUUUAUGCGAGACUGUUCCUGUCACGUGACAAUACUGAGUGACAAAACAAUUUAACUAAAAGAUGAUAUACAUCCAAAUUUAAUGACUGAUUUUACUUUUCUUUUUAAAUGUUUGUCAUUUUUUAACUGAAUUACAUUGUCAUCUUAAAAGUUGAUGAAAUCCUAAUAAAUUAAUCAUAUAAUUUUGGUAAUGGAAGGCAUGGGGUGAAGCAACUUGGAACAGGUUGGUCAGAAGGGCCAGCAUAUAUCACACAAUGGCCCCACAAAACCUGGCCAAAACUAUAUCUACAAUUUCACACUUACAGGCCGAAGAGGCACACUUCUUUGGCAUGCACACGACUCUUGGCUAAGGGCCGCUCUACACGAUGAUAUGGUCAUAUUGCCUAAGAGAGGCUCUUCGGAUUGUGCUAGAUACAAGGCUGUCAUAUCACCAGAGAGCCAUCCAACACAUUUCCAUGGAAUUCCCCGAUUCAUUGUUUCUCCUAUUCCAAGUAGCAUGCUAACAAUUUUUACAAAUGAAUUGUAAUUUAUUAGAAAUUUAUUGUUUUUGGUGAACGGUAGGUAUUUGGUUUCUGCAUUGUCACCUGGAAGUUCACACAACAUGGGGGCUUAAGAUGGCAUUCACAGUGGAAAAUGGCGAAGGACCAAAUGAGUUCAUGUCGCCACCUCCGACUGAUCUUCCAACUUUCUGGAUUUUCCGACCCGAGCGGCUUUCAAAUUGAGGACUGAGGCUCUACACAUGAGAAGAGUGUGCAGGGUAGAAUAUGAACUGGAUUGAGAAGCAACAAUAGGGAGGAAAAUAGAAUAAGAGCAUUAUUUUGUAAAAUGACCUUAAAAAAAAAAGUAAUAUUUUGUAAAAAUGACCUAAAAAUAAUAAACGCGCCAGAUAGGGGUCGAACCUAUGACCUUCUGCUUAGGAAACAGACGCUCUAUCCACUGAGCUACAGGCGCUUGUUGAUAGGUAUUGCGGUUGAGCUUUAUUUAAUGGAUCCAAGUGAGUUGGCCAAAGGAAAACAAACAAAUAAUUGAAAAUUGAGAGUGACAAACCAUUUGUGUCCUCCAACACACCAUUGUUUAUUAUUGACUUGUUCAAUUUGAUGGUCAAAAAUAAAAAUAGUAUAGUAUUUUUAUGAAAAGUUGGAACCGUCGUAGCUAAUUUGUUUGGUAUACCAAUAAAAAAAGUCAAACUGCAUCGUAUUGGUUUUAUGUGGUUUGAUUCCACUGUAAUUUUGAGCUUAUGUAAAUGUAUCAGACCGAACAUCCACUUGUAUAUUUAUCUGUAUAUUGUUUAUACAUGUAGUACUACAAUAGGCUGAUAACUAAAAGUGUAUGUUCAACUUUGAAGUCGAGUGGGAGUUACGAAUGAGGGUUGGUUGAGUUGGUAAUGAUCGUUAUUUUUGCUAUAUUAAGACCUAUGUUUGGGUCUCGCUGUCGACAAUCGUUCUUGAUAGGCGAUUUGUGAAAACAAAACAAAAAAAGACUAAAACCCCUCUGUAAGUCCUCAAAGAAGCUCGUAGUAUGCCAUGACCUGAAAUGGUUUAGCCUUCCCUCUUCCUUAACCUUUUGUUACCAAAAGAAAAAAAAGGAUGUCGAGUGGGAGUUUAAAGCAGUUGAUUUAGUUGUAACUAUAAUAGUUAUUGAGCUUUGAAAUUUAUGUGCAAGAAAAUAAAAUAUAUGUAGCAGUCACAAAAUAUUUUGUCAUAAUUAAGCUGAUGAAGUUGAAAAAUGUAAAAGAAAUAAGAUUCAACCAAAAGAAAACCAUAAAAAUUAGGGGUGGACACUUGAAAUUGAAAACUAAAAGGGAAAUACGAAUCAAAUCGGACUGCAUCUCACGGUUCGAUUUUUUAGAUGUCAGAUUUUAAUUGAUUAUGUCACAUCCCGGCCUGGGUCCCCACCACAUCCCGGGCUCGACUCCGCCGUAACAUGAUAUUGUUCGCUUUGGGCCCCAACCACGCCUUCACGGUUUUGUUUCUGGGAACUCACACGAGAACUUCCCAAUGGGUCACCUAUUAUGGGAUUGCUCUCACGCAAACUCGCUUAACUUCGGAGUUCCGAUGGAACCCGAAGCUAGUGAACUCUCAAAAUGCCUCGUGCUAGGUAGAGACGGGAAUAUGUAUAUAAGGCUUACAUGAUCCACACCCAUGGGCGAUGUGAGAUGUUACAAUCCACCCCCCCUUAGGGGCCUGACUUCCUCGUCGGCACACUUCCAGCCAGAGAUUGGCUUUGAUACCAAAUUGUCACAUCCCGGGCUCAACUUCGCCGUAGCACGAUAUUGUCCGCUUUGGGCCCCGACCACGCCCUCAUGGUUUUGUUUCUGGGAACUCACACAAGAAUUUCCUAGGUAUCACUUGAUUUCGUUGAGUAUUGAAGAAGUUAUGAACGUUUAAAGUUUAUCCAGUUUCUUGCGAGUUUUCCAGUUUUUCCUCGGACCAGUCAACUUUGAGGCUAUUUUCCGGCCAUAUCCGGCUACCAUUGGGCUUCUAAAUAGGUAUAAUAUUAUUCUAUAUUUUCCUAUCUUCAUUUUGAUAUAUUAUGGGUCGAAUUUGGUUAAGAAACGAUUGAGUUACGAAACUUUGAAAAUUGCCCAAACUUCUGGCCAAGAGCUUUGGGACACUUAACGGAGUUUUUAACGGAAUGACCAAAAUGAUGGAUGGUGGACAAUCUCAGGGACCACUUUGAUUGAUUUGAAAUGUUAGGGACCAAAGUGAUAAUUAUGCAAAUCUCAGGGACCAUUUUGGCUAUUUACCCUUCUUUUUUUUUGGGAGCAGUCUCUCCAUAAAUGGGGGUAAGGCUAGCCGACAUUCACCUCUUCCAGACCCUACGUAAAGCGGGAGCCUUGUGCACUGGGUACGACGACCCUUUUUUUUUUUUUUUUUUUUUGGAAAACUCAUAGAUUUUGGUUUCAUCACAAACAUAUUUGCAAAAAGUUUUGGUUUUGAUUUCGGUUUCACUUUCACUCAAAACUUCUUUGAAUUGAACCGUGUCCACCACUAAUCAAAAUUAGUGAUUCUUGCUGUAAUCAAAUUCAAUUAAACUGUUUUACUGCAAUUGGUUUGGUGACGAUUUUUAAAAGUAAAAUUAAUCCAACACGAAAUCCGAACGAUAUCCAUCCGUACCUAAUUUAACCAAAAUAUAAAUUAAUGAAUAAUACUUGAAAAAUGCCAUGUUUCUCAAUCCCAUUACACAAAAGCCACAGAACACAACAGAAUCCCCCAUUUUUUAAAAACUUUAACGACUCACUCAGCAGAAAGAUAAACAUCCGAAUUUUAGCCCCCGGCAAAAAAGGAGAAGAGAAAUCCAAACCUCUCUGACUCCCCACAGUCCAAUCCCACCGCGCCGUGUGUCACGCAUCACAUCUCUCUCAACUGAUACAUCGUACACUCACACAGACUUCACAGAAUGCAACAAUUGCUGAAGUGGUUCUGAUCAAUUUUUUUGAUUCUCACCCUCCUUUCACAGUCUAUAUAUACACCUAUAUAUACACUUUCAUCUUUUCCUCUUCCUUCUCUUCAAAGCAACGAAGCCAGUAAAUCUUUUUUCCCGCUUUUCUCAGCCGUAAUUCCCCUAGAAUCUAUCUUUUCUCUCAACUGGGAUUUUAUUGCUUUUCAAUCCUUCAUCUUUCAGUCUUUUUCUGGUUAAAUUUCAGAAGUUUUCAACUUUUUACGAUGUGGGUUGCUUUCAGAUUGCUAUAAAGCCCUCACCUUUGAGCUUAAUUUCGUUCAAAUCCCAAAAUUUCAUCUGGGGUUUCCCCUUUCUCUCUGGGAUUAUACCCAACGAACCAAAUCAGAUUUUUGUCAGGGUUUUCCAAGGUUCUCCCCGAUUCCCAAAAAGUGGAUUCGUUCCAAGAUUCUUUGGUUUAUGUUAUCAAGGAAAAAGGAGAUUCUUGAUUCCCAGUAAAAAAUCUGAAUUGAAUGCCUUUUUAAGCUUUACAACAAUGGCCUCCGACUGAAUAAGUGAAGCAGUUCCUGCAUAUUUUUACGACUUGUAAAAGCAUGGAGACCUUGUAUUUCUUCCAGGAGAGCCAGGGCUCGGAGUGGACUAAGGAGGAGAACAAGAUGUUUGAGAGUGCUCUAGCUAUGUUCGAUGAGAAAAGCCCGGACAGGUUUCUGAGGGUGGCGGAGAUGAUUCCGGGGAAGACGGUGAUCGACGUGAUCAAGCAGUACCAGGAGCUGGAGGAAGAUGUUUGUGAAAUAGAAUCCGGGAGGUUUCCCAUUCCUCCGGGGUACCCUCAGGCUUACUUCAGAUUGGAGUUGGGGGAUGAUCGGGAUUUCGAUGCUAAUCGAAAGAGGCCGCUGGCGGCGGCGAGGGGUUCUGAACAGGAAAGGAGAAAGGGAAUUCCAUGGACACAAGAAGAACACAGGUUUAUCUCCAUCCAUUUUUUUUUUUACAAUUGCCUUUAAUUUUUGUGCUAGUUCUAAAUUCAAGUAAAUGGAGAAUUCUUACAUGCAACGUAGCAUUAACGUGCAAGACCUAUUUGAAAUGAUUAUUUCAUUUUCUAUGAAAAUAGAGGAAAAUAUAUGGAUUAAACUUUCGUUUUCUUUAUUUUUCGAAGUAGUUUUUAUGACAAAACGAUAUUCUAAGCUUACUCUAAUCAACCGGAAGAGGAUCUCCAAGGGGUGCAAUGGACGGUUAAUAUACUAUCUAAGCCAACUGACCUAAAGCAUGGUGUAGUCUGCAACUAGUUUGUUAUGAACCACUCUAGCUUCAUGUUCUAGAUAUAGUUCAAAAGCAGUCAUCUAUUUAAAUCUUCAAAUCCAACUUGAUUUUGAUGGAGCGGAGUGAUUUCCGCACUGCUAGUUUUACCUUCUACUUUCCUCGGCCUUAAUUAUGACUCUUGAUUCUCCUCGAAGUAUGGUGGUGAAUAAAAUAUGUUAGUCAAAUCGCAAUUGUCUAGAAUACAGUUUGAUUUCUCUGUGUUUUCUUGGUAUAUUUUUUGGCACAAAUUGCUGGUAUGAAUCGUAGGCGAUUUCUGAUGGGACUUCUAAAGUACGGGAAAGGGGACUGGAGAAACAUCUCCCGGAAUUACGUGGUCACUAAAACUCCCACACAAGUAGCAAGCCAUGCUCAGAAAUACUUCAUGAGGCAGCAUUCAGGAGGGAAAGAUAAAAGGAGGCCAAGCAUCCAUGACAUAACUACUGUCAACCUCACAAGCGAUGCUCAGUCAGAAACUAACAGGCCUCCUUCAGACCAGUUUCUGCCGGAGCAGAAGUCCACUGAAUCGCUGAACGAGCUACUUGACUGGAAUGCGGCUGAUGAUGAAGGAGCUGCCAUGGGUUUCGAGUCUACCCAUGGCAAUCUCUUUGAUCCAUCUCCGUAUGACGUAGAUGCAGAUGGAAUCAAGAUGCAGCUGCAGAAACUAUAUAGUCGCGCUCAUUAUGCUGCUCAUGCCACUCCUCAAAAUUCGCUGUAUCUAAUGCGGUCCGCAAGACAUCAGAUUCAUGGAUAAAAGCAGGCCUGUUUGUUGUCUUCAUGGAUUGAAAAUCCAAGUAAAUGAUUUUCUUCAGAAUUUCUGUGUUCGUCUUUUUAUCGUGUUCGUGUUGGAUUGAUUAGUUAAUAAGGUUUUCAAUUUCGUACGUAGUUCUUGAACAUUGCAGGAUGGUAAAACUCCAGUAGGCCACAAAGUGUAAUGUCUGAAAUGUGAAUGGGAUUGAAUGGUAAAUUGCUCUUUCCCUUCAGGAAUUUACAUACCGGCCCCGGAUGUUUUUGAACAUUUGAGUUGUAAAAUAGACAUGUAUACAUCCCGUAACUGUCCAGCAAGAUUUAUGCCGUACCGUAGAAAUCCCGUAUAUAAUAUAUGCAUAUGUAUGCAUGUAUGUAUGAUAUAUUAUAGGCAUAUUUCAGGCAUGCGCAUGAUCUUACCUUUUAUAUAUUUUCUUUGCUUUAUAAUCCUUCUUUGGUCUUCAUGUGGAUACAGAUUGAAUAUUUGCAUGAUUUGAGAGACAGAAUCCGGAACUUUUCAUCUCCAAAUCAAUCGUAUAGACAAAGAAUAAAGUUACAAAUAUCUACUCGUAAGAAUUUACCUUUUUUAUUUUUCCUAUUGUUUCAUAAUGCGCGGUGGCAUUACACUUGAAAACUUCAAUAAAACUGUGUAAUUAAGGUAUAUAUCAAAUUAAGUGCUAUCAGCGAAGAUUCGGCUUUCAAAAAACUUGAAGAAUCUCAUAUUCUCGUGACAAAUGCCUUACAAAAUGACAUGGUAGGACAACUUGACCGAAUUUCCUCCUGGAUUUGCACUUGGGAUGGCUGAGGUUGAUCUCAGAUAAAUCUUUGGCUGCAUCACACGUGGAAUGAUCUUGCAACCACUAGGGAAAAGCAGACAUGUCAUUGGCCGAUGUGGCUGCUGACUCACUCUGCACUCUUUUGAAAAUUCCACAGUAUCUAACGUAUUGCUUUACCUUUUCUUCCCAUAAAAAAAUUUACUUUCCGCCAAUUGUUUUGCUUUAUACAAAAACGACUUACCCUCCACCGGACCACCACUAAGAUGCUGAGUUUGCAUUCCACUCGAUAAGCAUCCAUCUGCGUCAAUCCAUCGUAGGAUGCAGGAUCUUCCACGUAAGAAAUGCCAAUAUGCAAUUUUGACAUUCGGCAACUUGGCCCCUUGCUUUGAUAUGUUUUUGCUGUUGGAGCCAAUGCCAUUGUUGAUGGUGGCUACACUUUUUGCGUCAUCAUUGCGCCAUUUGUUUAGGUCUAGCCAAGCAUUAUGCUUUGCUCUUUGUCGAGUGUAAUGAUUCGUUUAAUAAUUAUUUCGUUUGAUUUCAAAACUCUUAACAUUUUACUUCGUUGUGUUAUAAUAAUUUGUUAGUUUGUAAGUGGUUGGCCAUGUUGUACUUGUGUAUCAAUGUGGAUUCACUGCUAAAUUUGAUUCAAUUCUAACAUCAAUAUAAGGUGGGAGAAGCUCACUCAAGCGCGUGUCGAGUUUUAUUUCAUAUGAUUUUGGUACUAUUCAUAACGAACUGUAAUAUGCAAUCCUCUAUUAUUUUUUACUAAAGCUCUACUAUAUUCAUGUGUUAAGCAUGCGCGGGAUGAACAAAGUGUUUAAUGUGCAACCAAUGAUCCAACGGGUAAUAGUCCAAUGACUACUGUCAAAGUCCCACAUCAGUGGGGUGAAAAGAAAUCAAGGGGUUUAAAUAGUUUUACCCCACUCUAAUUAAUACCGAUGUCUUUUGUGGUAAAAUCUCACACUUGACGGAUUGGGUAUGUGGUAAUGUUGGGAACAAUAUCGGUGUCGUUAGAGUGGGAUAGGCUCGGUGAUCCAAAAAUUCCAACAUGGUAUCAGAGCCCACGGUUGCGGGCUCGUGCAAGCCAACGAGCUUGUGUGCAAGCCAAUGAGCUUGUCACCAACGAGAAGGAAAUAAGUUUGAGCUCUUAAUAUAGAGAUGACCGCUGAGUUCCAAUUGAAAACAAAUGGGCCCAAUGUGAGCUGACCUCUGAGUUUCAAUUACCGAUGUGGAUCUCCACAUGUGAACCACUAAAUGAGGUUACACAUGAGGGGGAGUGUUAAAGUCCCACAUUGGUGGGGUGAAAAGAAACCAAGGGGUUUAAAUAGUAUUACCCUACUCUAACUAAUACUGAGGCUUUUUGUGGUAAAAUCUCACACCUGAUAGAUUGGGCAAGUGGUAAAGUUGGGAACAUUAUCAAUGUCAUUAGAGUCGCGCGGACCUGGCGAUCCAAAAAUUCCAACAACUACGAAUAUCAUUGUACAAUAUACACUACUGAAAAAUCUCCUAGUUUCAAAAGUAGAAUUAAGUUCUUUUGUAACUAUUACUUAUAUCUAGCCAAACAAUAAGUAAGCCUCUACUAUUUUGGCUACUUAGAUGAAUCUAAUGAAUAUGGAUUUGAGUCCACUAGAAAUGUUCUUUUGAUCAUCUUCAUUAGAAUUUGAGUCCACUAGAAAUGUUCUUUUGAUCAUCGAGUGAUUAAAAAAUUCAUGAUCAUUCAAUCUUAGUGUCACAUUUCGGUCCGGGCCCCCACCACAUUCCGAGCUCGACUCCAUCGUAGCACGAUAUUGUCCGCUUUGGGCCCCGACCACACCCUCACGGUUUUGUUUCUGGGAACUCACACGAGAACUUCCUAGUGGGUCAUCCAUCCUAGGAUUGCUCUUGCUGCGAUCUCACUUAACUUCGGAGUUCCUACGGAACCCGAAGCCAGUGAGCUCCCAAAAGGCUUCGUGUUAGAUAGAGAUGAGAAUAUACAUAUAAGGUUUAGAGAAUCCACUCCCUUAGACGAUGUGGGAUGUUACAAUCCAUCCCCCUUAAGGGCCCGACGUCAUCGUCGGCACACUUUCGGCUAAGGAUUGGCUUUGAUACCAAAUUGUCACAUCCUGACCCUGGCCCCCACCACAUCCCGGGCUCGACUCCACCGUAGCACGAUAUUGUCCUCUUUGGGCCCCGACCACACCCUCAUGGUUUUGUUUUUGGGAACUCACAGGAGAACUUCUCAGUGAGUCACCUAUUAUGUGAUUGAUCUCGAGCGAACUCGCUUAACUUCGAAGUUUCAAUGGAACCCGAAGCCAGUGAGUUCCCAAAAUGCCGUGCUAGGUAGAGAUGAAAAUAUACAUAUAAGGCUUAGAUGAUCCACUCCCCUGGACGAUGUGGGAUGCUACACUUAGACUUGAUAACAAGGGUGAAGAAUAAACAAACAUGUUUUUAAUGUCUAAUUUCUAACAAUUAAUAUCAAAUUAAAAUAUGAUUGAUCAUGAAUCUUUAGUCACCAGUGUCAAAGAGAACGAGACUCUUAAUUUCUAAAAUGACAUCAUGGUUUUUUUAUUCUAACCGUUAAUUAUGAGCUCAUUUGGAAGUUUUUUUUAAAAUGAUUGAAAACACUUUCGGUAAAAUCGAUUUUGGGUUCCAAAAGCACAUUAAGUGGUUUUUGGAAGAAGCACCAGAUAUAUACUUCUUGCAGGAAGCACUUAAAGUGUUUUUUUAGGAUCCCACUUGAAUUUUUACAAGGGAUUGGUUUCAAAAACAUUUUCACUAAUGGUGCUUUCAAUCAUUUUAAAAACACUUCCAAAUGAGCUUUAUGUUGUGUAAUAUGGUAUGACUAUGUUUGUUUUAUUAGAGUUGUUUUUCUCGACCGACUAAAUGUAUGGACUAAGAUCGUGUGAAACCAACUUAGUGCGCGUUAUUGUCACUUUUGCACAUACCAAUUUUGUAGACACCACACACUCAGCGUUAAAAAGUUCCAAAGCAACAUGAGCAAUUUGAUUAUCCUUUUUAACCUUUAAUUUUCUAGGUAUAGUCCAUCUUUCAGCAACUAGCAUGAGAAAGCAUCUGGGCCCUUUAUUCCAAUUUUGAUCAAACCUUUGAGAAAGUUGAACCGUACACCUUUGGCUUUUUUUUUUUUUUUUUCAAUUAAUUUCUGGUGUAGUAGCUACACUAGGUUCCAAUUUUGAUGAUGUCUUCAUCGACCUCGCAUGGGAUUUAGAUUAAUCUGUCAGGAAAGAUUGUCAAUCAUACAUAUCAAUUUAGGUAGGACUUAGAUGAAUCGGAUACAUCGUUACAAUAAUAUCUCAAUCCAAUCUAUUUCAUAUGGCAUAGUGUCAGUGGAUAGAGAAGAAAUUGUGGCAGUGCACCUGAUCAUUUAAGUUGCUCACCAAAUCAGCAGACAAAUUCAUGUAAGAUUUUACUCACCAUAUGAGACUCGUCCUUGUCAGACAGUGUUGCCGAAUAUCUUUUCUUAAAUUAGAGGACAUAAUAGGUGACCAUGUUAUACAUGCAUACAUGAAUGUAUGGUAUACAAUUAAAUACAAUAACUUAUUAAUUUAUCAAUGUAUUAAUAAAUUAUUAAUUUAUCAAGAUAUUCUUUAGUUUCUUAAAUAUUGUAUAUUAUAGUUGGUUUUUCGUUUUACGAACUAAUUAAAAUGCUAUGUAUUGUUUAACUAAAUCUCACAAAUUAUAAACCCUAAACCAAACACGAGAAGAGAACUCCAAACAAAUGGAGAAGGUUCUUACAAAUUACUCUCUAACUCUCAAAUUCACAAAUUAAAGCUCACCAAAUUGUCAUACGGAUGUGCCACACAAAAUAAACUAACCCUAAGGUCCUAUUUUAUAAAGUAUAGGAUUUAGGUUUACACAAGAAUCCUAAAAGGAAAUAAAAUCGAAAACCUAGUGGGCAAGAAAAUCAAAUCCUUAUCUUAUAAGGAUAAAGAAUCCAACAAAAAAAUGAAAAUCCCAACCCAAAUGGGACACAACUGGCCUAAAUAGGGUUCUAAAACGAAAUAUGUAACAAACCAGAUUUUUGCAUCACUCUAAUUUGAGCUGCAAAUCACAACAAUCAUUGCAAAAUUUAACAGUUGAAUGUGUGCUAAAAAAGUUUAUAGAAUUUAACGGUGAAUCUUAGCCACUUAAAAGACAUAAAUCACGGUCCCUCUUCAUUGCCAAAAUCAAAUUUGAACCACAUUAUUACUAGUCUAUUGUGAGGCUUAACCUACUCCUCCGCCCCUUUAGUGUAAAUAAUAUCGUUUGUUUAAAAUAAAUAAAUAAAAAAUAAAAAAAAUAGAAAAAACAUAAACCACGCAUUGAUGUAUAGUAGAACUCCAGAGUCUAAUACCUUGACAAUAACUAGUACUUAAGGGGCCAAAACUUUGUCCCUUCACAACCGACCAUUCAUGGACGUAACUAAUUGUAAAGAAUCAUUUUUCUCGACAUAGAUGAUCACGUGAUAAAGAAGAUAAACACAUAUCGUUGUACAAGAGAAUUUCCUCGACUACAAGUUGAGUUACAUAUAAUUCUUGCAGCAUUGUAGUUUAUUACCAUGGACGAGGCCCCAACCUCACUACCUAGCCAUUAAAAGAGAUUUUGCUACUUCUUCCUCGCCUGGUUUUUUGCUCCAAGUCCAACACUGAAGAAAGAUGAGAACUGGAACACAAAUACAUGUAUUCUACACACAGUGUAGUAGGUUGCUUGUUCCCUGUUGGCUUAAUCUUUUUGGUGUCAAAUGAUCGACAAGUUGUCGCUACAUUUGAGCAUCUCCAAUGGUGCUCUAUAUCAAUCGUAUAGUCCUCAUAUAUGAGAUCCAAGGCCUUCCGAUGAAUCUGAAAACAAGAUUCUGCAAUCAACGGUGGAGAUUGAUUGUGGGUUUUGGUGCCUUUUUACAGAUGGAGAUCAACGGUUUGUAAACCUCAAAUUUAAGGUUUUUACUAUACCAACUUUUUCAUUGAAGGCAAUAUUUCGUUAAGUUCACAAAUAUUUCUUUUAAAUCCACAAAUGAGUCCUCAAAUGUGAUAAUGGGAGGAAAGGGAUCAUUUCCGAAUCUCUUUCAACUAAUCCUCAUAACCUACAAAUUCAGGUCCUUGAAAUUUGAUCCAACGGUUAAAGUUAGUAUAAUAUUUAAUGAGAUCCCCUGUUUAUAGCCGUUAGAUAAAAUUUCAAGGGAUUUGUGGGUCAUGAGGCUUAGGGGUGGAAGGGAUCCGGAUCCUUUCCAUGAUGGGAGUCCUUAAAUAUGAGAGAUUUUUCAGUGUGACAGGCACACGAGAUGGUAUAUCACGUGUCGUUAUACAAAUAAUGAGAUAUGUGUGUUAAAAAGUUAAUAACUUAAAAACUAAAUUACAUAAAAAUAUAUGAUGUACCACUCAUGUUCCCGUCACAAUAAAAUAUUUCUCCUUAUAUAGGGACUCCCAUUAGAGACGCUCUUAGAGCCAGCGGUGCAUAAACCAUGUUCAUCAUCCAAUCUGCGAUUGUAACAAUCAGCAGCUUCACAUUGUAUUAGAACUCAAGUUGGGAAACAAACUCAACGAAGUCGGAGGUUAUGACAAGAACAAGUAAGGUAGAAUCUACUCAAAAGGAAUCAAACCACGACAGAUUCACAAAUUCUGGCAAGCAAAAUCACUCUUCAAUUUUAUUCAAAAACUUGCAACAUCGCCACAUUGUGCUCCAGAAAGUACAAUAGUUUCCCAGCAAGAUUGUCCUCAGCAAACAAAUACCAGCCGCCGCCGGCUUGAAAUUGAAGCAAACUGUCCGGAAAAGAGGACCGAAACAGUUCCGGAUCAAAGAGUGCAAGUUCUUUCAGAUUACACAGGGUAACUCAAACUUAUUACGGAACUAAGAGUCUAGAAAUAAAAUUGAAAAUAUGAAAUCAAAACCCUCUAAAGAAAAGUAAAAAAGUUGCAAGAACUUAUAAACAAGGCAUGGGAGGAAAAUGACUGCUUGUGGAAUAAAAAAAGAGAGGAUGUAUUUACAGCUCUAGGAGGUGAGUAAGGAUGCCGGAUCAACGGGAAUAACACUGUCUGGAAAAUCUGUUCUCGGUCCGGCAAGUGAGUAGUAUGCAAGUAUAUGGGCUGGAUGCUCGACUCCCUGCUGAUCAGGAACAUCAACUCGUCUCGGAGGAAUCAACUCGAUAUUCCAAAAUGGGCGAGCCAUUGCCAAAAGGUCGAGACCAGUAGCAGAUCCUCUGUACCCCUGCACCCACAAGUACCUAAGGGAAGUCAGUUGCAUUACUGCAUCAGCGAGUGCACGCUCGCUGAAGCAGCAACCCCUCAUUUCCAAUUUUUGCAGACUAGGGCAACCCUUUGAGAAAGCCAAAAGCCCUGCAUCAGAUUCCCCAACAUAACCCAGAAGCAUCCAUCUCACAUUCUGACUGUACUGGCCGAUAUAACUCAGUCCCAGAUCAGUCAAGCCCCCACGACGGAGAUACAGAGCAAACCUUCGAAGCUUCUGGCAUCCCCUCAAAAGAGCUCGAACCCCAUUGUCAAGUGGCAAAUCUGUUAUUGUCACUUCUCGGUCCAGCAAGACAAGGCGAAAAUCACAGAGAUUUUUAGAGUAAGUCCCAAUGUAUUCCAGACAUGCAUUGGUGAUGUCCGAUACAUAAACAGCCACGUAUUCGAUCUCUAGGCAGCCCUGUGCCAGGGCCAUCAGACCCCGUUGUGAAACAACACCUUCUUCGUGCUCCAUGUCUGGUUCAUCUGCGCCCCGCUCAAUUCGGAGCCUCCUUAGUCUCUUGCAACUCCGAGCAAGAACUUCUAGUCCUCUAUCUCCAAUAACGUUCCUUGUCUGCCCAAAAUACAAACAAAUUAAAGUUUUUAAGUAAGUUUCAAUACGAAUCCUACUCCAAAGCAAAAUCAUUCAAAACACUCCUGAUGAUGAAUGAAAUUUCAAAUGAAUCUUUUUGGUAUGUUAAAACUUAAAACCUAUAUAUAACUAAGCACAAUAAACAGAGCAUUAUUUGUGACCCAUGUGAAAUAUUUGAUUUAGUCACAAACAAUAUAGCGAGUUCUUGAACUAGUAUUCCAAUCAAUUAUUGUAAUUCGACACACUCAACAUGCGCAUUUGCAUGGUACACGAAAGGGCAACAAAUUAAAAAGCAGAAAAAAUGGUUUUGUAAUCCUACCUCAAGAAUUUCCAGGUUGGGGCACCUUUGAAUUAAUGUGCAGUGGUCCUCAGUGUCCAGCAAUGCAUAAAGGAGAUCGAGCUUUUUGAGAAGGGUUGCAAAUGGGAAUACUAUUGGCAUUUCUUUCUUUCCCAUGUACGUUAGACCCAGACGGCAAAGUUUUUGGGGCAAAGUUACAACAGAGUACCUCUCUGAUUGCUCGUUGAAGAAACCCCCACAAAACUCUUCCAAGACAGCUGCAUUACGGAAGAAGCCCACUAGAUCCAAGAUUUCGCAAUCACUAGUUUUCACAGAGGAUAAGGAGCGACAGUUUUUGGCUAUGUGCUCAAGGUCUUCGAUUUUGACUUUGAUAAGAUCCGUCAUAUAAAAAUUCAGAGUCUCCAGGACAGUGUUGUUCUCAGCAAGCUCGUGUAGCCAAUUGCCGUCUUUCUCCUUUAUGGAGCUCUCUUCCAAAAACAAGGUCCUCAAAUUCCUACAAAAGCAUAUAGUGAAAAACAACAUCAAUUAACGUCUCUCCAGAACAAUUACAGAAAAAAAUUACUUAGUUGAGAAUGAUUGCAAAAGCUGCAUUAACAUGUAUACAAGAACAAGGGUUCGUGGAUGUGUGCAUGCGCAUGCAUGCGAUGCUUACUACACGAAUGCCCCCCAAGCGAGUUCCGAAAUGCAGCAUGUGAAUUUCUCUUCCUUGUCCAUAAACAUGAUGGUAAGAUUUCGGUACUACGCUCCCAAGGUUUCAGUUAAAUUGGGGGUCAAUCUUAAACGAGAAGCGACUUAUUUGGCACCUGCAGAAGCAUUUCUUAUGCAACUUCAAAAUUUUUGGGGAUCACAGAAGUGCUAGAAACUGCCCGAAACAAGGCUUUCGCGAACAAAUAACAAACGAAACAACAUGCUGAAUUGUGUGAGAGAUAAUGAAAGAAUGAAAGAUCCAUAAGCAAUCCCUGCAACUAAAAUUUUUACAAGAGUAAUGAAACUAUGCAGCAUGAAUGAAUAUAACUUUGUGCUUCAAUUUUUACCAAAACAAUGAAUGCAUCAAACGUUUCUGAUUGAACCCACAACAAAAUUCACCGCAAGUAAAACAAUUUCACAUAAAGUUGUGAACUUUACUACCUGCAGGAGUGGCCGAUGUGGAAAAGCCCAUCGGUGGAAAACCCUGAGCACUUGUCGAGCUUAAGCACCUGGAGCACGCGCCCGCGCGUUUCAGCCAGCAGCUCCAGGUCCGAAUCCCUAACAAUCAUCCGCCGAAAGUGCAGACACGUCAAGCGGUGGAAGGAGUCGGCGAUCUCCCUCACCCACGGCGUCACAUACCCUCCCCAGUCCUCCGGAAUCAGAUUGAACAUCGCCGCCCUCGGCUUCCCCUUCAGCUUCAGCGACUCCAGGUGCUGAAACCGCUGCCGCAGCCGAUCGGGGGUAGUGGUGUAGCAGAGCGCGAUGGUCACGUGCUUCCGCGUGAGCGCGUCGAGCUCGUACCACCGCUUGCACACCAACGACACGGCGUCGCGGUCCUUCGGGUCGUGCAGAUACGGCAUCACGACGUCCAUAACGACGUCGGUAAUCCUACGCCGGACGUUUCGGUCUUCCAUCGCUAAUAAGAAACGUCGCCGGACGAAAAUACUCUCACUGAAAAAAAACUUACUGCUAUUUAUAACAAAAAGUUUCAGAGUCAAAAGUGGGAAAAGAUUUGAAUUCUUUAAUUCAAGUUCAAGAUCGGGUUUUCGGAGCUCCAAAUCCCCAACUCCAAAUAUUUCCAAAAAUAGAAACUGGAUUCCCAAAACCAGACCCCUAAACCGUUAUAUCUCCAAAUCCACUUCCAAAAAAAGAAUCAAAACGACAACGCACCGCCGCCGCUUACAAAAUCACAAUCUCAGACAAACGCCGCAACGUGUCAAGAAACGAGCAGGGACAAACGGAAAGAGAGAGGAGCGAGAAGAAGCACGAUCUACGAGAAGCUCGCGCGGAAGACGAGCGAACCGGAUCGAAGACAGCGGAGCAGGGCGACCAACGGAGGAGCGCGGGAGCAUGGAGUCGGCGUGAACGCGAAGCGCAUGAUCUGAGAAGACGGAUCUGACACGGCGGAAGCCGGCGGCGAUUGAAUCGGACUUUGAGUAAUUAGGGGUCCUUACUAAUAAUUAUGCGCCUCAUAAAAACAAAAGGGAAGGGAAUGUAGAGCAAAGCGGGUAGGGGGCGGAAAAGAUAAAGGGAAGGCGACAAAACAAAGGCAGAAAACAGUCAAACGUCGUCGUUAUGCGUUUGGAGGGAUGUACGGGAAGUUGGAAACGUGGCGAUUUGGGGUUGGUCGAUGUCAGGUGGAGCAAUUGCAGUGUCACUGCAGCAGAUGCUGUCUAGGAGUGGUUUAACUGUGAUGUGAGUGGAAGGAUAAAAAUUAGCAAAGUAGUUUGGUUUUAUUAUUUGAUUUUUUUUCCAAUGUCAAUCUUUCUUAAAUUGGUUAAUCGCGAUUUUAGUCAUGCAAGUGAUAUUUAAUGUCAAUGAAUGAAAUUAAAGUCGUUGUGUGAUAAGUUCAUUUCUCUAUUUGCAAAUAACGUAAUGUGAACUUUCAUAAUCGAAAUUGUUAAAUUCCUCAAUUCAUGGAACUUAGACAAUUUUAUUCAUGUAGAUAAACUGGUAUUGUCUUUUGAAAUAUGCAUCAGCUUUAACCAAGAUUUUUGCUUUCUUUGUUUUCCAUUUCUUAAGGCUGGUUCUUGCUUUUAUUAUUUUAUCAAUUUAUAUGUGACAAGGACGUUCAUAACUUGGAAAGUGAUCAUUUUCGGAUUCCUUCCUCCUAAUCCACCAAGUUCGGAGAUCUGGACCUUUAAAAGUUACAACAACUUUAGCCGUCAAAUCAAAUUUCAAUGGUCCAGAUCUCUGGACUUGGUGGAUUAGGAAGAAGAGAUCCAGAAAGGAUCCCUUUCCUCAUCACUUACCUAGUUACAAGAUCAAAUGAACCCAUGAAAAAGAAAAGAAAGAAAAUCCAAUAAUCUAGAAAGGAAAGCGGGCAAUCUUUUAAAGAUAUAACCUGUCCUAAAGAAACACUUUUCUGUCUUUGUUCUUGGCAUAAUUUGACUUAGGGUAACCAAAGGUAACAGUAAAAAAAAAAACUUUGGUACAGUUGUCUGUCUAGAGCAGGUCUCAUUAUGGGUGAUAUUAUAAUUGGAACAAGGAGACGAAAUUAUAAGAGUCUCGUUUACGCAUGACAUGAUUCAAUGUAUCUACACAAGCUAAUCCAUUUCAUCUCUAUCGCACAUCGAACAAAGCUCAAAUCUCACCCAUUUGAACAGUCAAAUUUUUUACUCUUUGGACUCUGAACAGUCAAAAUAACAAUAACAACAUUUUUUUUUUUACUAAGUGAGGUCAGCAUAAGGAUUCGACGUAAAAUAAAAGUGUCAACUAUUAACUAUCUGACCCCCUUUUCUCUUCUCUUUUAUUCGGACUUGAAAUCUGCAAUAUAAGAUAAAUUUACAUCGACGGAGUUUGACUCUGAACUCUCAGAUUGGAAAAAAUCUCAAUUGAGAUUUUUGUGCUACGCAGCAUUACUCUUGUAUUUGUGGGACCUCAGGGAGGAGCUGACUCGUGACACAAUGUUUGCCGCAGUAACCUGAUCUUGUUGGACAGCUGUGCCGCAAAGGAUGGUUUUAUUGUGUGACGGGGCACAUCUCUUUUAUUUGCGCGCCAGCGACGCAUGAUAGCUGAUGGCUGCGGCUGCGGCUGCUGCCUCAAACCCUCAUCUGGUCCGUAGAACUUGUAGCUCGCUCUUUACCGUUGAUCGUCGUGAAAUCUUGUUGCAUGCUGAGUGGGUGGUUUGUUGUAGCUAGCUCUCUCAAUCUUUCCCCCCCAUCAUUUUCCUAUCUACAAUUGUGUUUUAUCAUUUUAUGAUGUUAUGACACGACAUGUUUAUCUAUUUAGAACGAGAGAAUUUGAUGCAUGUAUGAGUAGGAAUGUGUGGUCAUUGUUUUAUCAUUUUAUAAUGUUAUGACAUGUUUACCUAUUUAGAACGAGAAAAUUUGAUACGUGUACGAGUAUGAAUAUGUGGUCUGGUCACUGGUACGAGCAUGGGAGAAUCCAUGGCAGUAUGCUCGAAGCAAAUUAUGGGAAAUUUUAAUCUUUAAACUAAAAGGCCUUCCAUCUUGGUUUUCAGAAUAAUAAUUUCAUUUUUCUUCUCAAAUUUAGCGGAUGUCAUUAUUUUCUAGGGGUGUGAUAUCCACACACCCCUUUUUAGUUCUCACAUACCUUUCUAAGUUUCGAUCGUUAGAUCAGAUGAAUUGAAGAAGAUCAACGAACAUAAAUUAAUAAAUGGUAUGUGAGAAGUAAAAAGAGGUGCGUGGAUAGCACAUCCCUAUUUUCUAAUCACCUUUUCAUUGUUUGAAUGAAAUCCAUAAUUUUGAUAUAAAAAACAAGUACACAUAUCAUUAAUUUUGAUUGUUUAUAUGUUAUAUAUAUGGAGUGGAUUCGUCACACCAUUUCUUUACAUAAUUUUUUACACACAUUUUUGUGAGCCUCACUUUGUAAUGUAUUAUAACGAUCUGAACCGUCUACCUUUUAAAAUACUAUUCAUAAAUCAUCCUUGCGAAAAAUUAGGCAAAUUCAAAAUUAAUAAGAGAUUCAUUCGUAGUAAAACAAUGGACAAAUACAAUUCUACAAAGAAACCCUAAGACAAUUAAUCCAACGGUCAUAUAAUUCAGAUUUGGGUGAUUUUUGGUAAACGUAAUUUUUGAAGAAAACUUAAAAGUUAAACGGUUCAAAUUAUUGAAAUACAUUACAGAAUUGUGAUGCUAUCUUCCAAGAUUAGUUGAAAUACAUUACAGAAUAAAUCUCUUAAAAAAAGUAUGUAAAAAAUAAUGUAUCCAUCCCCUGUAAUUAUUUAGUUAUAUCAAAAGUCAUAAUCGAUCCACUACUAGGCCUGGCAUUUUUAACCCAACCCGUUAACCCGACCUGACCCGACCCGUUAAAAUUAGUAUUCGGGUGGGUGGUUAACGGGUCGGGUAGUUAACGGGUCAACCCGUUAGUCACCCGUUACAUAACGGGUCAGUUUGGGUAAACCCGUGAAACCCGUUAAGACCCGUUAGUAAGGAUUUUUGUGUAAUUUCAAUAGCCCUAAUUCAAAACCUCAGGACCUCAGCCGUCAGCCCUCACGUUCCUCACCUCUCUCGCUGCCUCACACGCCAUUGCUCUCUGAGACUGAGAUCGCUGUGCAGCCUGUGCUCCUUCCUUCUAGCUCCGGUUAUCUCCCUCAUCUUCUUCCCUCAAAAACUUUACUGAACUCCACCACUCUCUCUCUGGUAAGCUCCGAUUUCCUUCAACCUCUUCUUUCAUUUCGAUUACUUUUCGUUUCUGCAGAUUAGAUUUUUGGUUGUGUUUUGGAUAAUGGGUUUUGCGUUUUGUUCAUGGGUUUUGUACAGAGUACUGAUUUAGUGUACAGAGUAUUGAUUUCUUUGUUCAUGGGUUUUGUUCAUGCGUUUUGUUCAUGGGUUUGAAUCUUUGGAAUCUGUUUGGGUUGGUAGGAAGAGAUUCAACUCUGGGGUUUUUUUAAUUUUUCGGUCUGUCAUCUAGAUUAUGUGAAAGAGUUGUAUAUUUUGAAUCUAAGGUCAUGAUUAUUAAAAAAGGCUUUAUAUUCCCACCAAGGGAGAUUUUGUAAUUGCAUGAAAAUGGAUACCAGCUGGCCCUUGUUUAGUGUAAUGCAAUUAUCUAAUAUGAAAGGAUUUGAAAAUUUCAUUUUUGUUAUUUUGUUAGAAGAUUCUGUAUUUAAUUCAUAAUGGGAUGUCUGAAGUCUGAAGUUUUUCCUUCUAUUUUUGUAGCUGUAUGCACGAUUUUUGAAGCAUGAAUGGUGAUUUCUGAAGUCUGAAGUCUGAUUUGAAUUGUCUUAGAAAAACCCAUUAAUCUGAAUGCAAGCUUUUUACUUUGUAUGCUGUCUCUCUCUAAAUCUGGAAUUUCUAUAUUCUUUGGUAUGCAUCUUCUUAUUUACUAGGUCCAAUUUAUGAGUUUGAAUUUAAGGCACGGUUUGGAAAUUUGGAAUUAAAAGUUCAUAAAUUUGAAUUUCUAUAUUUGUUUAUGGUUAGUGCAGAUGGAUAUUGAUGAAGAGAACAUUGAGGCCACGGAAAUGUCAACAGUCAAUCUAAGUGAUACGCAAGGUACAACAAGUGCACCAAGUCCUUCAAAGAGAAAGGCUAAAGGUAUGCGAGUAGGUAAGAUACGUCAAAAGAGAUCCCGUGUUUGGACUUUGUUUGAAGAAUUGCCUGUUGGUCCUGAUGAUAAACAACAUGCGAAGUGUAAAAACUGUGGGAUAGUUUACGUAUGUGAUAGUAAUUGUGGGACGAAAAACCUAUUGAAUCAUAUGGAUACAUGUAAUAAAAAACAUCACAUUGAUAUGAAGAAAUCUCAAGUUGGAUUGCGUUCGCCUCAGUUUAACCAUGUUAGUUUUUGUGAGCUAUUGAUUGAGGCUAUAGUUAAGCAUGAUUUGCCUUUUAGGUUUGUUGAAUAUGAAGGCAUUAGAACUUUGUUUAAAUAGAUAUCUCCUGAUAUCAAACUGCCGUGUAGAAAUACAGUUAAGAAACAUGUGUUGAGGAUGUUUGAAGAUGAAAAGAUAAGACUUCGAGAUUGGUUAAAUACAGUUGAUGGAAGAAUUUGUUUGACAUCUGACCUAUAGUCUUCUGCUACAACUGAUGGAUAUCUCACACUCACAGCUCACUUUGUUGACAAAGAAUGGAAAAUGCAUAAAAGAAUUUUAAAUUUUUGUCAUAUGCCUCCUCCACAUACGGGGGUUGCUUUGUCUGAAAAAAAUUAAUGCCUUAUUAGUUGAGUGGGGGAUUGAAAAGAAAACUGUUUUCCAUUACUUUUGGAUAAUGCCUCUGCAAAUGAUUGUUCUGUUGAGCUAUUGAAGAAACAAUUAAAUUUUAGAGGCUUGUUAUUAAUGGAUGGAAAGUUCUUUCAUGUUCGUUGUUGUGCUCACAUUCUAAACUUGAUAGUCCAAGAUGGACUAAAGGAAAUUGAUGGAUCAGUGACUAAAGUUCGUGAGUGCAUCAAAUAUAUAUAAGUGUUCAGAAGGAGAAAAAUUAAGUUUUUUGCUUGCGUUGCACAAGUAGGGUUGGCAGGUAGUAAAAGAGGGUUGAGACAAGAUGUGCCUACUAGAUGGAAUUCAACAUAUACAAUGCUUGAUAGUGCUAUUUUCUAUCGUCGUGCUUUUCUCAAUUUGGCACUUGUUGAUUCUAAUUUUAGUUCAUGUCCUUCCUUGGAAGAGUGGGAUAAAAUAGAGAAGAUUUCCAAUUUCUUGGGGUAUUUUUUAUGAAGUUACUUGCUUUAUUUCCGGAACAAAUUACCCUACAUCAAACUUGUUCUUCCCGAAAGUGUUCAAAGUUCAUUAUUGUAUUAAAGAUGCUAUGGAAGAUUGUGAUGAUUUCAUGAGACGGAUGGGGAGUUAUAUGAAUUUGAAGUUUGAAAAGUAUUGGUCAGAGUAUAGUUUGAUCCUUGCCAUUGCGGUGAUUCUUGAUCCUCGCUAUAAAUUGCAAUUUGUAGAGUGGGGUUAUGACAAACUCUAUGGUAAGGAGUCAGGAGAGUUGAAGGAUGUUAGUGGCACAUUGUUUGCACUCUUUGGUAGUUACAUGGACAAGUUCUCUCAUCUUCUUGUAUCCAACCCAGUUAAUCAAACUCCUACUGAAAUAAAAGUUGGAGACAAACUUUUUGAGGUAGUAUUUAUAUUUGUUAUUCCUCUGUUUAUACUUUUUAUAUGCAUCUUUAUAUUGUACAUUGAUCUUUGUUUCUAUUUUGUUUUUAUAUGUAGGAAUUUGAUAAUAUUUAUCAAGAUGGGUCAACUUUAGUUGAAAAAACUGAAUUAAAUUUAUAUCUUGAAGAAAAGAGACUCGAUAGAAAACAAGAGUUGGAUAUUCUUUCAUGGUGGAAACUGGAGCAAUUUCGUUAUCCCGUACUUUCUCGUAUGGCUUCUGAUGUGUUAACAAUUCCUAUCUCAACCGUUGCCUCAGAAUCAGCAUUUAGUAUUAGUGGUAGGGUGCUUGAUCAAUAUCGAAGUUCUUUGUUGCCUGAAACUGUUCAAGCCUUGCUAUGUACUAGAGAUUGGCUUUUUGGCAAAGAAGGUAAAUUUCAUAUUUCUUUGUAUUUUUUUAACUUGUUCCAGUAAUAUUAGUCUUGAUUAAACAUGGUAUGUAUUUUAACUUGUUCUUUUAAAGAUAUUUUUCUACUUAAUCUGCAUGUAAUACUAGCUGAGAGAUAUUUUUCUACUUAAUCUGCAUGUAAUACAUAAAGGUGAAUGUUGAAGGCAAAAAAGCAGCAGAGGAUGCAAUACAAGAAGGUUGGCAAAAAAGCAGUAGAGGAUGCAAUGCAAUAAGAAGAAAGAGAGCUAAUUGAAAAACUUUUGUUUGGAACAAAGUGAUACAUGUGAUGAAGAACAAAGUUUACGUAUUGCUUGAUGUGAUUUCGUAUUUACUUAUAUACAAAACUUUAGUAUACGCUACGAAUUAAUUGAUGUGUAAAACGUAAAUUACAUUGAGUUAUAUCAAACAAUGAGUUAGUUGUAAUUCGAUAUCAAACUUGCAAUAGACGAGAAUCAAAUUUAAAAACUUUCUACUUUCGAAAAUAAAUAUCACUGGAUGGUAGUCGGAUUAAUGCUUUUGAUUUAAUUGCACAAAAUGAGGAGCCAAACCAAACUGUCCAUCACAUUCCUGUUUCCCAUCUCUUCCACCAAAACACGCUUCUUUAGCACUCGUCUCCUCUCUCUCUCCUCUCUUUCUCUCUCUUUUUUGUCACAUAGGUUGUAAUUGAUUUGAAUGAAAUGUGUAAAAAAAAAAAAAAAAAAAAAAAAAAACAUGAAACGGAUGAAACGGGUGACCCGUUAAGACCCGUUAGCUUAACGGGUCGGGUUUGGGUGACCCGUUAACUUAACGGGUUGGGUUUGAGUGACCCGUUAAAAUAACGGGUCGGGUUCAACCCGACCCGAACCCAAUAAACCCGACCCGUUUACAGGCCUAACUACAACCACCAUAUCAUUUAUAGCAAUAUGUGUAGAAUACAAUGCAUGAUAUUCGACAAAAUUGUUGUGCUAUCUUCCAAGAUUAGUUGGGAUGGAUUUGAGGAUGACACUCAUGUCGGAUAGCUAAAAAGGAAGAUGUCCAAUCAGUUUAUACAUAAAUCACUCACAGCAAAAACCUAGUAAACCUAUUCACUUCACACUCCAUGAUAUUUUAAUAUGAACUUUAACAAAAUGUUUCAGGUACUGUUCACUUUAACGAAAAAUCACAUUUUAACACUAAAAUGUCAAUUCUGGUACUAUUCAUUUUACUCUUCAUUUUGUCCUUAUCGUUAAAACUUAAAGUUUUCAAGUCAUUUUCAUUAGUUUUCCUUAUUUUAAUUAAUGAUGAUUGAGACAAAAUUCUACUCAUGGAUUUCAAAUUACUUUGGAGGAAGAAACUCAUUUACAUGGAUUUCACUCAGCAUUGUAUUUCAUCGAUUCGAGUAGUAUAGGUAUUAAGUCUUCUUUCAAAGUUCACAUCAAUAAUAAUUGACGUAAAUCGAAAUAUAUAUGAUUAUGAGAUUAAAUAAUAGUUAUAUUAAUGUUUCCUUAAGGCAUUGUGUAUGCAAGUAAAAAUAGCCAGUGUUCUAUAAGUAUUUUUUCAAGGUGCAUUUUUUUUCAGAAAUUUGAGCAAAAUUAUUGUAUGAAUAUAAUAUCCAAUCAAUGGAUGGCCCAUGGUUUUGGAAUUUAAAAUAUAAAUAGAAUAUAUGAAUAUUAACAUACAACUUGCAUUCGGUAUCGUCUACAACUCAAUCUUGCCCCACAAAAGAAUAUGUUGUUUAUAUGUGGUCAACUAAUCCAUUGUUUAACUAAAUCUAAUUACAAAUUAAAUUAAUUUGAAGCUACCUUAAAGGUUUGAUCACUAUUUGUAACACUUAUAUAUGAACAAAAUUAUUUGACUUUUUUUUAAUGCAAAUCACAACUUGACACAUGUGACAGUCCGUCCCGAAAUAUAUUUUCGAUAGCAUGAAAUGACUAUUUUGCCCUUGAGUGUUGGGUUGUGAUUGUGUGAAAUGAACUUAGGUUGUGGACCAAUUCAUUUUCUUCCUAAGUUGUUGGACCCAAUUGGAAGUUAGAUUGUUUUGUUUGUUUUGUUGGCCUGCAACAUGGACCACACACUCACACUCUCCCGUUGACUCUCUCUCUUUCCUUCCUUCUCGGACUUCUUUCCAUUUUGGUACAAUUGUACGGACAAGCUUUCAACCAACCAUUUCAUGCAUGGAUCGAGGUUGUGGACAUGAUUUUCGUGUUCUUUGCAAGCUCAAUAGUUGAUUUAUACCCUUGGUUGGACGUGAGGACUCAUAGAACUCAAGUUACCCGAACUCCGGUGAGGGGUAAAUUUUCUCCAACAUGAUCGCGAAGGUUUUAGGUUGUUUUUAGACCUAAAAAGGUAUUAUUCUUGCUUUUCUAGCAUGUUGGAUCAAUUUUGGAGUGGUUUUAACAUUAGAACACUAGGGUUUAUCAAGUUGCAUGUUUGGCCGAUUUUCACGAGAUUUUUCUGGCGAAUUUCCGUUGAUUUUAGGACUUUGAAAGGUACGAUCAUGUCCUACUUGUUGAGGGCUUCAUUUUGGUAUAAAAUUUGUGAAAUUUGGUGUAGAAAUGAGAAAGAUAUUGAAGUUUAAAGUUUUUCCAGAAUCCGGCAAUAGCAGCGGUGGCCGGCGCCGGACUCCGACGAACCAAGGAAGAAUGAGGAGAAUAUUCUAUCAAAGUUGACGGAAUAUUCUAACGGCGUCAGGUAUCUUUAACGGUAUAUUCUAAAAUUUAACGGAAUAUUCCCUAACGACGUUAAGGAAUCCGUCAGUGUGCCAAACACGUGCCUAUGCGUGGGCGGCGAGUGUGGCUGUGCCUUGGCCGGCGCGUGAGAGCGCUUGUGGCAUCCGAAAUUUUUUCUAAAAAUAUGGGGUUGUUUGUGGGGUUGAGUAGGUCACGUUGGUAUAUUCAAAUACCCCAAUUGAGUAUCAUAUGAAAAGUUACUACCUAAUUUUGGUUAUGUGCUUUAAAAUAACGUUUAUAUAGUUGUUUCGCAUAUAGGUGAGACUUAUCCUGAGGACGAGCGCAGUUAAGUGAGACUCGGGGGCUACGACCCUUCCACAUAUCAGUGAAUGGGCUUUUGGUUUUUAGUAUAUAUAUAUAUAUACACACACACACACACACUUGGUAUUUUUCCCAUAAACUUUAAUUAAAUGGUUUUAUAUGUUUAAAUGCCAUGUCAAAUGCUCUCUAUGUUUAAUUGUGCAGUAGUAUGGUUAUAUAUAUUAUUGAUCGAUGUUGCGGACGCUCAGGUAAGCUUCAAGUGAGUAUAUUAAUGGUAGUGAUGGUGGUGAGUAAUUGUGUUGAGAUGUAUUUAAAGAUUGUUAUCCUGCACCUUAGUGUUAGUCCUCCGCCUGAAGAUAGGGUCUAGCCUUCACGUGAUUGUUCACCUUCCGCACCACACGCUCACCUUGGAUCCAAGGCAGGUGUCAGCCUGUCGUACAGACCACUUUAGGUAGUUCCGACUUGUAGGUGAUUUGUGAUACUUCGCACAGCCUUCACGUGACCGUAGCACUUAAGCAUAUUUAUUUACACACAGCCUAUCGUACAGACCACUUUAGGUGGUUCCGACUUGUGUGCAGAGGACUAGUUGAUGAGUUCUAGAUCCGGUCGUACAGGUCACGUUAAGUGACUCCGGCUGACGUACCAUCUCAUAUUGAUUUAUUUCACCUGACUUACUUAUUUCCUUGCUGAGAUAUUUGACAUGGCAUGAUUAUGGAUUUGCUAUCUUAAACAGGGUUUUGAGAUAUAUUUAUAUGCAUGCUAUUUUCUGGGAAUUAUACAGGUUUUAUGACGAGGGGUUAUUACUUUUGAUAAGUGAAAUGGUUUUGAAAAGCUUUGUUUUUGCCCACUCACACCUUAUGUUUUGCGCUCUUCCAAGUUCUAGUUAUGAGUGCUUGUUGGUGGCUUACAAGGAAUUCACGGCAGCUCUGACAGAUUAUCACUAAUGUAGGACCAUCUUUGGUAUUGUGUAAUUAAUAUUUGUCCUGCUGGACUACAUUUAUGCUACUUAUGCUCUGAUUAUGUGUAAUUAUACCUACAUACCAUAUUUGCACUUAGGUUUCCUUAGUGUAAAUUAGUUAGCUUGGUUUUUAUUCAUUCAAUUCCUUUAUAUCCUUAUCAUUUCCGCAUUGUGUACAUGACUACGUCAACCUCACGUGACGGCCAGCAUACCUCGAUCUAGGUCGGAGUGUGUCAACACAUAUACAAAAGUAAUUCAUUUUGAUCAUAAAACGAAAAUUUAUAUACAUACGUGUCAAUUUUUUUUAUAUAAAAAUGAAUGACUUCUUACAUAUAAAGAACCAAUCUUUUUCUAGUGCAACAAAGAAUUAGUGAAUAUUAUUUCAAGUGGAGAAUAUAUUUUUCAUCAUCUCUACUGGCAUAGCAUAUAGUAUUAGUAUAUAUAGAUAUAUUUUCAGCAUUUUAGCUAAAAUAGUUUAUGAGAUUGGCAUAAGUCAUCACUUUGAUCCUUGAGUUUUAAAAUCGAUAAAACUGGUCCUUGAGUUUGUCCACCAUCAAUCAUUUUGGUCAUUCAAUGAAAAUGUUUGUUUAAAUAAGGAUCAAGAUAACAAAUACCUUCCAUUUAAUGAACAAUGAGUCAAAAUGAGUUAACAAAAAGUAGGGGGUUUUGUGUCAAUUUAUCCUUAUUUAAUGGAGGUUUAUCACAGAAAGACCAAAAUGAUUGACAGUGAACAAACUUAGUGACCAAUUCUAUCAAUUUUAAGUGGAGAAUAUAUUUCUCAUCAUCUCUACUGGCAUAGCAUAUAGUAUUAGUAUAUAGAUAUAUUUUCAGCAUUUUAGCUAAAAUAGUUUAUGAGAUUGGCAUAAGUCCUCACUUUGGUCAUUGAGAUUUAAAAUCAAUAAAACUGGUCCCUGAGUUUGUCCACCAUCAAUCAUUUUGGUCAUUCCGUAAAAAUGUUUGUUUAAAUAAGGAUCAAAAUGACAAAUACCCUCAAUUUAAUGAACAAUGAGUCAAAAUGAGUUAACAAAAAGUAGGGGUUUUAUGUCAAUUUAUCCUUAUUUAACGAAUGUUUAUCACAAAAAUACCAAAAUGAUUGACGGUGAACAAACUCAAUGACCAGUUCUAUCGAUUUUAAAUCUCAAAAACUAAAGUAAUGAAUUAUACCAAUGUCAAAGACCAGAGUGAGAACUUGUACCAAUUCCAAAGAAAUUUUGACUAAAAAGCCUAUAUUUUCUUAUGGUUAAUCUCAGUUUAUUACCCUAAAGUUUAUUGGUUUUCAACAUUUGGCACAUAAAGUUUUUUUCAUCUCAGAGUGGUAUAUAAAGUUAUAAUUUUGGGACACUUUCAUACAUCCAUUAAGGUUGCUGUUAAAUUUGUCGUUAAUUGAUAACGUGGCAUCCACGUGAACAAUGAUUGAACGCCACGUGGGUAUUAAACAAAAUUAAAAAAAAAACUUUUGGUCUUCUCCCUCACCUCUUAUGACCCUCAUCCCUCCCUUCUCUAAUUUGCACCCACCCUUCCUCCUCCCUCUUUACGCUAGUCAAUCAAAAGUCGGAUACUGAAACGCCUUGUCGUUUAACAUCCACCCUCGUCUACUUUUUUGUUUCUUCUUCUCCUCCCAAAUCUCUCUUUCUUCUUCUCAUAGUUCAAUGCCAUGGCAUUCCCGCUCGCCGUUGACCACCACAACCCUAACCCUAACCCUAACCACCUCCACCUUGAAUCCCUCCCUCUUAUAGACCUCGACAUCCUCUCUCAAUCAGGCCUCUACUCUCUCUCCUUCACCUCAUCCUCAUCCUCUUCUCAAUCCCACCCCACCCGCCACUUUGACGAUGACGUAUUGAUCCCCAAAAUCGACUGUUCUGUCUUCAAUGAAUCCACCAUUCCCCCUCCCUCUCGAAGUCCACAUUCUCCUAAACCCUAUCAGGCUCCAGAUCUCCUUCUGCACCCACAUCACCGUUCUUCGGGUUCCUAGGCGUUGCCGCGACGCUCAUCUUCUCUUGUAUGUUCCGAUUCGACCCAGAUCUAAGCGCAUAGGGUUUGGUCCGGACAGAUAUAGGGAUUUUGAUCAGAUUUUGUGUGUUUUGCAGGUAUGGGAGCGGCGUAUGGGACAACAAAGAGCAGAGUAGGAGUGGCAUCGAUGAGAGUGACAAGGCUGGGGCUAGUGAAGAAGUCGAUCGUGCUGGUGGUUAUGGAGGGAGUGUUGAGUAUUUACGAACUCAUCAUCGCCGUCAUCAUCAAUACCGGUAUCAACUCCAAGGCUAAGUCCUAUUACCUUUUCGAUGGCUAUGCUCAUCUUUCGAUGAAGUGGGUGGAGUCGAAGAGGGAGGGGGAAGGGUGGGCGCAUAGGAGAGAAAGGAUGGGGGUCGGAAGGGGUGAGGGAAAAGACCAAAAGUUUUUUAAUUUUUUAAUUUUUUAAUUUUUUAAUUAAUUAAUUUUUUUAUUUUUUAAUAUUCACUUAACGUUCAAUCAUUGUCCAUGUGGAUGCCACGUCAUCAGUUAACGGUAAAUUUAACAGCAACCUUAACGGAUGUAUGAAAGUGUCCCAAAAUUAUAACUUUAUGUACCACUCUGGGGUGAAAAAAAAAUUUCAUGUACCAAAUGUUGAAAAUCAAUAAACUUUAGGGUAAUAAACUGAAAUUAACUCAUUUUCUUAUGUUUUCAAAGGAGGCAUCUCAGUCAAAACAUACGCCCGUCUUAUCAAACAAAUUAACCUCUUUUUGACGUAAUUAGUACAUGACUGACUUCCACUUUAUGACUAAUAACGCAAGUAGUAUACUAUAUGUGGAUGCAAAUUUUCUCCGCUUCGAUCUUGGACGAUUUUGCACCUACAAAACAACUAGCACCUUAGGUUAAGGCCAAGAGCCUCACGCGCCCACGAUGAAUGGGGGGGGCUUUGGCCGAAGAACCUCCGAUGCCAAAGUUAGAAUUUUAGAGAGCAAUAGUGUUUAGAAUAUUUGGGAUUUUUUGUAAGAGAAUUGGAACUAGUGUUUUGUGAAAAUGGGACCCAAUUUAUAGGAGAGGAAAUGGUGAUUUAUUUUGGGGGGUUAUGGAGAUAAUGGGCUAGUUAUUUUGGGGAGUUAUGGAAAUAAUUGGCUCGUUAAUUAGCAAAUAGUAAUAACCUAAUUAACUAGCUAUUUGAAUGUCAUAAAAAGGGGGAGAAAAUGGCAGCAACAAACAGAAAAUAAAGGGCAUGGCCGGCCCUAGUGGGGUUUUGGUUAUAAUUUGGAGGUUUAGUUGAUAAUUAAGGGAUUGAUUAGGUAAUUAAUCCCUUAAUUAGUCAAUUUUAGGAAAUAUGAAAGGAAUAAGUAUAUUAUUUAGCUAAUUGAUUAGCUAAAUAAUGAAAUGGGAAAUAUAUGAAUAAAUUAGGUUUUAAGUUGAUACCUAUUUUGGGUACUUUUGACUUGGUUGAAGGAUAAUUGUCUGCUGAUUGCACGUAGGAAUCCCGGUAUACCUCAAGGGUAGUUUUGUCUUUUUUUGUCAAAAAUCCACGUGUCGCCUUGUGGUUAUUUUUUGCUCUACACUAUAAAUAAAGGCAAUCUACUUAAUUAAACUAGUCUAUUAGUCAUGGUCCACCAAAUAUAUAAGAGAACCUAUGUAACGGUUUUCAUAUCUAUAUUAACCAAAAGAUGAACAAAUUAUUGGAGAGAGGUUAUGGGAAAUUGGUCUACCUACUACCAUACGAUAUAGUGUUAGUUGUCUCUAUUCGGUUGCGAAAGGUCUCAAUUCCGAGUUUUAUGGAUAAGUAAGACAAUAUAUAUUGCAACGAGUUUGAAAUAUAAUUAUGAGUAAAUCAAUUAGAAUGAUGUGAUUUUAUUAUGAUGACCUGAUGCGACAUAUCGUUCGUGCAUAAGUAACCUAAUUCAUGCAUGAAUACUGGAAGUGAAAAGUCGCAAAUUAAGUAUGGUAGAUAUAAUGAUAUAUAUAUAUAUAUAUAUAUAUAUGUACGUAACUAAUAGUGUAACUUGAAGAGAAAUACAGUGGGAUUUCCUUCAACCUAGAGAAACAAAAACUAGGUGCUCAAGUGAGGAGAAAUUUUUCAGUGUGCUGGUAACACGGUCUGAUACACUAAAUGCCAUAAAUACAAUUAACAAACAUAUUCUAUGUAAAAAUUGACAAAUAUUUUAUUUGGUUGAAAAUUGUCGACGUGAGGUGCGAGUAGGGAUGGGCAACGGUUAUGGUGGGCGGAUAAUCAUGAUUAUUUACCCAUAACCGUUUAUGUUCAUACCCGCAUAACCGUUUACCCGUUGGGUAAUUGCAUAAACGGUUAUACCCAUAACCAUAACCGUUUAUAAACGGUUAUCCAUACCCAUAACCAUGUACCAAUUUAACCAUAACCAUUUACCCAUUUAACCAUAACCAUAACUAUUUACCCGUUUACCCGUUUUUGAGCCCGUUUAUCCUUUUUUUACCCAUUUAUCAUUUUUUCACCCGUCUACAUGUUUUUUUUAACAACUUGAAAAUUACAAAAGAAAAAUUUGUCAUAAUUUUUGUUUUCUGAUAAUUAAACACCAUUAUAAGUACAUUUUAGCAUGCAUUUCUCUAUUUUAAUCAUUUAAAUCCUCAUACAAUUCUAAUAAUUGAAAUAAUAGUUCACGCCUAUUUCAUAUUUCUUGGAGAGAAAUGCGACUUUCAAUUAUUGUAAAAUAAUAGUUUACGCCUAUUAUAUUAUUUCAAUUAUGGUAAAAAAGCGAAGUUGGGGAAGCUUUGAAUCCGAACUUGGCAACGUGCGGAAAUAUAAUUGAAGUUUGGCUCUGUUGGUUGGGGUCGCAGGUCGCUGGGAAGGAGAGGAGAGAGAGAGAGCCUGCUUCUAAAACCCCUCAAAAUCCAUAAUUUUUUAUUAUUUUUACAUAUAUUAAAUUAAAUGAAUAAAUGGAUAUUUGUAUAACCGCGGGUAAUACCCAUAAACGAUGGAUAUCCGUUAUAACCGCAAGUAAUACCCAUAAUCGUCCAUUUAAAUUUCAUGGAUAAACAGUUAUACCCAUAACCGUUUGUUCGUCUAAACGGUUAUCCAUAACUAUAACCGUGAAUUUUAAAUGGACAGAUAAUCGCGGUUAUUCAAACCCAUGAAUACUUUACCCAUCCCAGGUGCGAGUGAGUCGUUGUCCUCCUCAUCAAGUUGGGGACUUAGAAAUCGACAAGACUAUGAACAAGCCAAGCCGUUUUCCUCCUCUUUAUCACUAUCUUAGAAAAUUCCACAGAAAUGGACAAAAACUGAAACCCAAAAUUAAGUUCUUGAAAAAAUUAGUGGCUGCAGAUUCAAAACCUUCUGGUCGGCUAAGAUCUUUAAUUUCCAAGGGCUUUCUGCUUCCCGUAUUUAGGGUUAGCCUUAUCAUCUAGUAAAUUUUUCAUUCACAUUUUCUUGUGCGAUAUUGGAAUUUUAUUAAGUUAGGAGAAUGAGAAUUUGAAUUCAAAGUGUAGAAAAAGGAUUACUGCUCUAGCUAGCCGACUUGCAAGACUCAAUAUCAUUUGAACGGAGUAGGAUUAUCUCCUAUUUUUUUCCUCUUCUAUUUGAACGGUCACAGUUCAACCACGUCGAUAUCUUAUAUUAAUUUUUUAUAGCGAGAAAAAGACAAAAUAAGAGAAUGUAAGAGGAGGGGAUGAAAGGGAAUAGAAAGAAGAGGUGAGAGAAUCUUAAUCCCAUUUGAACCAUCAAGUUAAGAUAAAUAUGGGGAUCUGUGACAAUUCUUUUACACAAUUUUUGACACACGUUUAUGUAGGGCACACUCCAUAAUCUAUUUUAACCAUUCCAACUGAUUAUCUUUUAGAACAACAUUCAUAGAUCAUCCUUAAAAAAAAAAUUAGAUUAGACAAAUCUAAAAUCAUUAAGACGUUCAUUUGUAGUGAAGAAAAUAGACGAAUACGGUUCUACAAAGAAACCUUAAACUCUUAAUCCCAUGGUUAUAUGGUUUCAGCUUUCAAUGAUUUUGGGUAAACAUUAUCUUUGAGAAAAAAUUUAAAAGAUUGAUAUUUCAGAUCGUUAAAAUACAAUAUUACGAAAUGAGUCCUAAAAAAAACUUUGUCGAAAGUUAUGCACAAAAAAAUAGUAUCACGGAUCUGUUCUCAUUAUAUAUAUAUAAUUACAAAUGUCAUAAUAAAAUAAUAAAUGAAUGUAGGAGUUGUAAAAGUCAUGCAGUGUGUAUGACAUAUGCAUUGUAUCUAGAGAAACGCCGUACAGAAAAUAUCAUGUUACUAUACAGUUAUGAUUACUCUUAUAAUAAUCGAGCUGAUGGUGUGACUUGACCGUACAGAUUCAUGUAUAAAAUAAUGAAAUGAUGCAAAUCAAGGAAAAAUAUUGUUUUGUGAAUCAUGAGGCUGAUAGGGUAUCCGAAUCAUUUCUCUUCUUCAUUUAUGCCAUUUUGGAAUGUAGAUGAAGGAUACUUUGUAUUGGAAGUGAAAGUGAAAUAGAGAUGUGAAAAAGGAGAAAAAUGAUACACGAAAACCUUGCUUAGAAUCCACGUUCUCUAGACUCACAAGUCCAAAUCGAAUAAAUUGUUAUUCGUCUCUUCUUUUAAAAUGUUUUUAAUAUAGUAAAUAGUCAUAUCCAAGAUAAUCUCUCCCUAUCAAAUGAGGCUAUAUUGUUUCUAACUUCAUUAGUUUGGAGACAAAGACCCACCACAGUUACCACUUAUUAUAUUCUUUUUAUGGGAAUCAUCUCCGAAUCUCUUUCAUCAAAUACACCCAAUCAAUGAAUCUGUAUAUUUGAAAUUUGAUCCAAUGACUAAAAACAGGGGGUCCCUUUAAAAGUUAUAAUAACUUUAGACGUUGAAUCAAAUUUUAAAGAUCCGAAUUCAUUGAUUGGAUGAAUUUGGUGGAAGAGAUUCGGAGAGGAUCCCUUUCUCUUUUUAUGAGCAAUUAAUUACAAAAAAAUUUUCCAGCUAAUUUUUUUCCAGAUUGUCUGCACUCAUGUUUGGGUGCCCUUCACAUCCCCUCCUAUUAUGUGCGGUCACGGUUAAGCCACGUCAAUAUUUUAUAUUAAUUUUUUUUAUAGAGAUAAUAAGACAAAAAGCAAUAAGAAUAUAAAAUGUUGACGUGGCUUGACCGUGACCGCAUAAAUAGAAGGGGAUGGGAAGGACACCCAAACAGAAGGGCAUACAAUUUGUCUCCCUUGUUAAAUGAGUACUCCACUCAAAUUAUGAUUAAACAUUUGAUUAAUUAAUCUAAUUGUGUCAGAAACCCUAAAGGGGAGCGCAAGAAUAGUAAACAAUUAACAUAAUCUGAUUAGCGUUUAAGGGUUAUCUACGUUGGGAACCUCAGUACGGACCCCAUUUGCACCGGCAAGGCCAUGCACCUAAUCCAUUUCAAGAAUUAAUAUGCAUAUAUGCUCUUCUUUUUCCAGAAGCCACUUUCAUACUUGCAUUAUCAUCAACGGUAUAUAAUCAUCGCAUGAUUUCUCAUCAUAUAACUAAUCACGUCACGAAAGAUGGAAUUUAAAUUCUCUUUGGAUCUCGUAAUCUAGAACUGACGGACCAUGUAAUCCGGAUCGUUCAAGAGAGAGAAAGAGAUCUGAACCUUUGAUUUUACGGAGUGAUCAAUGAGAUGAAUUAAUAGAGACUGUAAAAUUUGAAAUAAGUGGUCCGGACUAUUAAAUCUGUUAACUCUGGAUUGCGAGAUCCAAAGAGAUCUCGAUUCUAAAAGAUGCAGACAAAUGAAUUUCAACCGGCGAGCGGUGACACUAGAUUCCGUGCGCGAGAAAGGUAGAAGAAAAAAUUUGGGAAAAUAAAGUUCAUCUAUUGAAUUAUUAAAAGGAAGAUGCUCUUCUUGUAGUGCAUGAUAUGCAGGGAACAUAAGUAGAAAGCUGUUUAGCUGCUUUAGAGGAGUUGGGGGACCAUCUGAUGCGGCUUUAGAGCAAAUUAGGUGAACUUGUUCUCUUCAUUUACCUCGAAAAUAUUUCAUUUAUUUUUCAACAACUUAGGCCAUCUCUAAGGCCAUCUCCAACCGAAGGGUCCAGAGGGCCAGAGGGCCGAAAAUAGCCCUAAAAUCGUCUCCAACCGAGGGCUAGGCCAGAGGGCUCUGGAAUCUGGGAGGGCCCCACGGGAUCGGAGAGGGCUGGAGGGCUGGCUGCUUUCGGCCAGCCAGCCAGCCCCGGGGCUGGCUAUUUUUUUUUUUAAUGUUUCCUAUUGCUGUCGGUUAAAAUCGACAGCAUUAAAGAGCUUUUUUUUUUUUUAAAUAGUUCUACUAUUAGUGUCGGUUAUAACCGACACUAAUAGUUUGAAAUGUUUUUGAAUGUAACGGCUAGUAGCCGUUGGAUUAUUAGGCCUCUCUUUUUUCUUUUUCUUUUUUUUUUUAAUGAAUUUAAACUUCUUUUUUUCCCUUUUUUUUUCCUUUUCAUAUGAAUCAAAUUUUUUUUCAUAUUUUUUUUCCUAUAACUUCUAUUUCACAAAAUUUGUUUCAUAUUUUUUUUCAAUUCUAUUUUUUUCGUAUAACUUCCUAGGCCAUUUAUACAACAUUAAAUUGUAGUUUUUAAAUAAUAAAUUAUGUUUGGCCCUAUGGCCCUUUGGCCCUCGGUUGGAGACGGUUUUUUGUGACAGGGCUAAAACGAGCCCUUUGGCCCUCUGGCCCUCGGUUGGAGACAGAGGCAAAUAUGGCCCUGUACUGUUCAUUAAAAUAUUAAUAUCUUGGGGAAUCUUGGAGGGCCAGAGGGCUCAAACGAGCCCUCUAGCCAGCCCUCGGUUGGAGAUGGCCUAACCGAGGGCUGGCCAGAGGGCACGUUUUAGCCCUCUGGCCCUCCAAGAUUCUCCAAGAUAUUAAUAUUUUAAUGAACAAUACAGUGCCAUAUUUGCCUCCGUCUCCAACCGAGGGCCAAAGGGCCAGAGGGCUCGUUUUAGCCCUGUCACAAAAAACCGUCUCCAACCGAGGGCCAAAGGGCCAUAGGGCCAAACAUAAUUUAUUAUUAAAAACUACAACUAAAAUGUUGUUUAAGUUUCAUGUUGUAUAAUUUUUAUGUUGGUUAAUGUUAUUUAAUGUUGUUUCAUAUUGUUUAAUGUUGUUUCAUGUUACUUAAUUUAAUUUAAUGUUGUAUAAUGGCUUAGGAAGUUAUAGGAAAAAAAAUAGAAUUUAAAAAAAAUAUGAAACAAAUUUUGUCAAAUAGAAGUUAUAGGAAAAAUGGAAUUUAAAAAAAAUAAUAAUAAUGUAAAAAAAAAUCAAAUCAAAUGCAACGGCUAGUAGCCGUUUCAUUUGAAUUUAAAAAAAAAAAAUCCUGUCGGUUAUAACCGACAGGAAUACACCAUUAUUUAGUAUAUUAAAUAAUAGCAUGUAUUCCUGUCGGUUAUAACCGACAGGAAUAACAAAACUAUAAAAAAAAAAAAAAGCCAGUAGCCAGCCCUUUGGCCCUUUGAAAUUCCGUGGGGCCCUCCCAGAUUCCCGAGCCCUCUGGACCCUUCGGUUAGAGAUGGCCUUAACUUAUAAGUGAACUUGGAAUACUUUGAUACGAGAAACGCUAAGGAGAUUCUCUUAAAAGUAGAACUCUCUAUGAAUUUUCUACCGUCUAAUAUUUUUGACACAAUGUUUUAUACUACCAACACCAGAAUUGUUGUUAAAUUGUGAGGUGACAGAAAAUUCCACUUUGAGAAACUCCCCUUAACAUUUCUCCUUUUAUACUAUGCGUAUGAGAAAUGCUAAGAAGUUUUAUGUAGACUCUUCACCUCAUUUUUUUGGCACAAUAUUUUAUAAUAUUUGCACGAAAAAUAACGUUAAACUGUAAAGUGACAGAGAGUUCAUAGAGUCCCAUCGGCCGUGAACUGACAAUUUGGGUUACAGUAAGAUAAUAUUCUCCAAUAGUUUCGAAAUAAUUGAUGUCGCGAAACGGCGAGACUGAAUCAGACGGCGAGGCGAAAUCAGGGAGUUAAAGUGACGAUUGUUCAGCUCGAGGGAGCAAAAGUCAGACUCGAAGUUAGCUUGAGGAGCGAAUGAAUAAUUGAGAAUUGAAAAUACUGCUUCUGUGGCCGCCACAUCUGAAAGCGCUUUUUGUUCUUCCAAAAGCACACACAGCAAGAACAACACAAGAAGAACACUAAACAAUGCAGGUAACAAAAUGGAACAAAGCUAUAGGCGGUGGCAUUAAGCGCUAAUUACACUUCAAACGCCAAAAACUACAGCAACCUAUAUCUACAUUCUGUAAAAUUGAACAACAGAAACCUACAUAACGAAACAACAGACGGACGCCAUUCGUUUAUUCAUCGGCCCUCUUCGCCCUAAAAUCCGAACACCAGGCGGUACCCUUAUCUUCCGAACAAGAUCCCUCCAGCCCACUAGUUCCCUCUUCCUGUACAUUAAAAUUGUCACGGCCGCUACGACUAUCUAAAACACUUGCCAUAUUGGAUAUCCCAGGCAGAGAGACCAGACCCAUGGCUGCAAUGCUGUUUGCAAUGACGUCAACGUCCCUGGUUCCACUAUAGAGACCCCUGCUCCCAGUAACAAGCAUGUUGCGAUUCUCGUGUGCAGUUGUUAUCAUAGCAGGCAAUACAUCCAUCAGCUGUGAGCUAUUCUGGGUUGAACCACUGAUUAGAAGUCGUCGUAGUGUCUCUCUGGCACCCUUCUCCAGCAUGGAAUCAGUUUCAGGAAUGUUCACAAGUUUCGAGUGCAGGGGAGAUAUUGCAGUUGAAAUAGCAGGACCGGCGCUGACCAAGUAUCCUUGACCCGACGAGCAAAUAUCAAUAACUGGAAUGUGAACAAUUGGGUCGCACAUCAAGGGUAUGAAAGUUGGGAUCUGCUGAGAAGAUGGCCUUGGUAGCCUAACCAGUGGGUCUGGGAGAAAUGCAGGGAAAUCAAGCAAGGGGGAAUCAGCCAAAUGAAGAGGUGGUUUUGUUGUCAACAUGCUGGAGGGCAUAUUGGGUGGUAAUAAAGAUGAAAGUGGUGGAAGCAAUGCUGACUCUGUCGAUAAACUGGGUAGUUCAGGAAGUCCUGGCGAGUAUUGCAAAUCCGAUGAACCUGGAGGGCACCAACAAUAGUAAGGAGAGAGCAGAGGGGUGACCAUGUAAGGAACUUGUGAUGCAGGGUUCCUGGUUUUCUCUAGCGACUCUAGGAAACCUGAAGAUGAUAACGAGCAACUUCUAAUAGGUUCUGGACACCAGUCACUUUCAGCAUGAUUUGAACAAGAUGAAUCGACUGUGAAUGUGAUUGGUGAAGCAACUGUUGGGUUGUCAAUGGCUGAAAGAUAGAUGUCGCCUCGCUUCCUUAAUUUCUCCCUGGUAAUAUUCCUCAGAGAAGACAAGGUUCUGGGCAGAUCUUUGAAGGAACUUGACCGUGGACUCAGGCUACCCUGAAAUGAUGAAUUUGCCUUCAUUGGUUGAUUGACACCAUGUCGGGAACGCAGGGAUUUUGAUGAUGUGGAUGAGAAGUGUCCGUGUUGAGCUGUAUCACAUGGUUCUGUGGUGGUAUACGUAUCAGAAGGUGAGCCUGCAGAACUUGACGCACCGCCACCUGCUGUUGAUCCCACCAGAUAGGCACGUAGGUGAGUUGCAAAGCAACCGAGGCGAGAUUCACUGAUACCAGUUAACUCAGCUAUGGUGGGCUUCCUCUUGAGCAGAUCCUUCAUCUGUACACAAACAAAGUACGUUGAGUUAAAACUACUGUUGGAACCAAAUACAUCAAAUCAAUAUUACUUGUUAUAUACACACCUUCAAAAGCAAUUCAAUUCCCAAAAGUCGUGAUGUCUCAGAGCACCAAAAGUAAAAAUCCGGUCAUCUGGAAUUUUAAUAAGGAAAGAUCGGCCAGAAUUGUCUGCUGGAAUCUCAUUAACUUCUACAGCAGAGCAUUCGGAUUUAUUAUGUAAGGUGCACAGUCUAUCUAUACGACCAUCAUCCCCAACGAAUGAAAGGCGUAAAUUUGAAGUUGGCAAAACUGUUAGAUUUAAAUUGCCCCUGAGAUAACAUGAAAAGAUAAUGAAAGCUUAGAAAUACAGAUAUAAACAAUAAACAAAUAAAACACAACAAUAUCAACCAGAAACUACAUUACACGGUUAUGUUUUGAAAGUGGUUUCAAAGGAGAGGAACAAAGAUAUGAAGACUAAAAUUGAAGGAGCACAAUCACUCGAUAUAAAUCUAAUUGUGCUUUCUCAAUUAACAAAAUUAUUUCUUUUUUCCUUUUGCUUUUCCAUUGAUAAAAUCCAAAACAAAUUCAAGCAAUUAAAUUGCUAAUUUGAAGGCUUUACAGACAGAGGUAUCUGUUCACCAUUCUAAGAAAACAAAUCACCAUGCAGGAUCACAACCAUUUUCCUUGAAAGUUCAAAUAUUAAGCCCUUUAAAAUAGCUAUCACAAAAGCUAUUAUUUAGAGAUGCAUCAACGUCAAUUUUGUAUCUUGAAUCCUAAAAAUACUAAAACCUGAUAAAAGUUGGACUCUCCAGUGACCAGCAUAAAUGAAAGGUACACAACCAAGGCAAAAAGGUGUAUCUUCCUGUUUUUCACUGAUAAAUGGGUUAUGAGAUAAUGUUACUUUUAUCAAGCAAAAGCAUUUCACACAAAUGUUUCUUUUCUGUAAAUAUAUAAAUAAACAGGAAGUUCAAGUAACACGCCGUCAAUACACCAUAUGACUGGAAGAAAGACAUAAAGUAGUACAUUGAUGUCCAAUUCAGUUAAGAAUAGCUCGACGUUAAUAAAGAAACAUAUGCUUGCAGAACCAAACAAACUUCUGGAACACAGUAGGAAGAAACGACAUAACUCUGAAACACAACAAUCAGUCACACUCGAUUUUGAUCUCCAUCAAGAUGUCAAUCAUUUAUAAUUAAAAUGCAGCAGCAAGCUAUAUAAUAUAUAGGAUCGUGGAACUACCUUUACGUCCUCUUAAUUCAGAGAUCAUAAUAGAAUAUGCCCACAUUACCUACAAGUCAAAAGACAUAUUUACUUGGAAGAAUGAACAUUGUCACUACUAAUAAACUAAAUAGAUUCCCCUACCUACGAAAACAUUAUUUACUAAAGAUACACUCCUCACAACAUAAGAUUUGUUCACAAACUCAAUACUAUAUCAAAAUUCCUUCUACCAAACUAAGGGAAUUGUUUAUUUUGUAACCACUAAGGUAACUAACCCGCAAGUAAAAGUUAAUGAUACAUGCCAAUGAUGUUAAUUAUAAUAAAAGGAAAUAAGAACUGCAAACUAUAUCAGAAUAGCCAUAAAUUGAUUUAUUGACAAAAGACUGAUAAGUAAAAGAUACGUAUAAAUAAAUGCAGACCAAAACAUUCAAUGGAAAAUAUAAGCUUCAUCUGACAUCAUUCUGCUUAUGUAUUGUAAACAAAUGUCCCUUUCUUCACAUAAAUUGAUUUAACAAGUACAUCAUUAAAACUAACCUCCAAAAUGUGUCUCCAUGUCUGACUGCAAAAACCAUGAUGCAGUACAAAGUGACAUCAAGAUGCAGUGCUUUUCACAGCAAAUAGAAAUCCACAAGUCAAACAUGGUUAAUAUGAUGGUAUUUCCCAUGGCUAUCACAAAAUGCUACUACCCUCAAAAUCCACAAUCAGGGAUUCAUGAUUCCAAAAAUUGUUACACUAAAUUAUAUGGUAAUUUUGGUGAUUGAAAAUACCUACCAUCUCUAAAUGAUAAACGACACAUUAAGCUUUUGUAGAUUAUGAUGUUUCUUAAUAAGAAGCCAAAACCAUAAAGACAUUUGACCUAAGAAUGUCUUCCCCACAUUCAAAGUUGUAAUUGAACAUUCAGUCUAUAAGAGUGAAGCCCCAUUGUGCAUUGUUCUGGCUAGGUGACAUCACUUUCCGAUUCCCAUACGACAAACCAUAACAAAUCCAUGUUUUAAGUAACGAAAGUAAGUCCCAACCCAUAUGAGAGCAAGCUUUCCAAUCAAUUUCACACAUAAAAAUUUAACUAACAAACAUACACAGCAAAGAGUUUCUGCUGAGUUGUAUAAUAAUCCAAAACAAUAAUUCAAAACUAACUUGAGUGAACUUUCCUAGAACAUUCUCUAAAGGUGACCCAGAAAUAUAAAUGCAUACAAAGAUUCACAGAAAGACUACUUUCUUAAGUUCAUAAUCAACAUGAAAGAUGCAGUCCAAUCUCCCAAUAAAAAUCAAACACGCACAAUUACACAACUAAUACUUUUCUACACGAGGACCUGGAAAUUAAUAUCGGACAAAUUUGAACUUACGGGAGUAAAUUAAAUGUUUGAUUAACUGCGAAACAUCAGACGGUACUAACAUCAGGACAUUACUAACAACAGUUAAAUCGAAGGCCAAAGAUUUCCAGCAAAGCUAUCUAAAUGCAAAGACAAUCAGUUGUUCUAAGUGAUUGACUUUGUACGGUUCUUGUUCAAACUAUUUAAACGAGCAAAAAUAAUGAAAAACAUCAAUUACAAACAACAUUUCAAACAAACAAACACACAGGCGAAAACACACCAAACCAGAGCACCAAUGGAUAUCGAUAGUCGGAUGUUUACCUAGCAGCAGUGGGACACAAGAGAGUCCCUUGCUUGUUGAUCUUCCCCACACGAAUAGAUACGAGAGGUAUACAGAAGCACCUCGCAAGCAUUCCAACUUCCGCCGGCUCGAAAUGCUAUUCAUCAAACACAAAGUGUGAGAUCAUCAAUUUGCAAAACCCGAAAUCAAUAUAAACUUAACCCCCAAAAUUAUGCCCACAUUUCGACAGAUUUCAACAACAUUCCAUCCAAUUCACAAAGUAUUUUGCAGUUACUCCCACCAAAAACCAUUGAAUGGCAAAUAGAGCUUCAAUUCAAUCAAGUUAGGCCAUUUCUAUCAUACCUGGCUCAAUUGAGCUAACAAUCGAUCCUCUGCGACGUCGUUCGACACAUUCAUCUUCAACAACGGUUUCAACCUCUCGUCGACGCGACACGCGCCCAUAACCUGCAUAUCAAGCGCUUGUAGGCACUGCAAAACGCGGUCCUCUCGAUUGCUCUGCUGCAGCAACAGAUCUCCAUCUCCUUCGUCAACAAGUAUCCCCGUCAACCGCUCCUCGAGCCCGGUCUCCCUCCUCGCCGCCGGUCCAGCUCCGUUGCUCUCCACACCGUUCGAAGACGACGAGUCCUCCAUUUCCCCACCGCUCCAUUGAUCAGAAAUGCGAUCGCCGCCAUUGAUCUCGUUGUUCGUGUCUAAAUCUCGGUCUCCAUGGUUAGUCAUCGCGAAUAAUAGGGGAAAUUUCCUUCAAAUCUCAACUCGUCUUGACAGAUUCGAAACCCUAAUCGAAUUCAAUUCUUUUUGUUAAAUUAAACUUAUUUUUUUCAAAUUACGGUUUCCAAAUCUGAAUCGGAAGCCCCGGAGAUGGUUGAGAUUGAACCGGAAAAGCAAGAUUGUUUUGCCGAUUGCGUGGGUGAGGAGAGAGAGAGAGAGGAGAUAAGGCGGUGUUUUUAGAGAGAGAAGAAAUAAUAAUUGGUUUUGUUACAAAAACGGAAGGACGCAAAUGGCAAUGGGGUCGGUUUAUAUAAAUACAGCUGGGCAGGGACUGGAUUAUAAUACGAGGCGGACUUGAAAGCCGCCUAUCCAAUUCGGUUGUGUUCGGUCUUGAAAUCCGGGCGUGAUUGCAUAGGCACCACGUCAGCUUAUCAGACUGUGGGGACGAUAAAUUUUUAGGUGUGACGGAAACACAGAUAGUAUAUCAAGUGUUUUUAGCAAGUGGUGGAAAAUUUUAAUUUUUAAGUUAUUAAACUUUUAACACAUAUAACCUAAUAUUUCUAUAGAAACAAGUGGUGUAUCAUUUCAUGUGACGGUCACACUGAAAAAUCUCUCAUGUAGGACCUGAGUGUCCGAUGGAGCCAGCUGCAUUGGGGGUGGGGAGAGACGCCACGUCAGACGCUGAGCGGAUCAUGGUCAUUUAAUUCAGCAACAGGAGAGCGAGUGAGCUGCGGCGGCGUCGGAUAAGGGGGUGGCUGCUAGCGUGCGCGUUGGAUGGGGACGGGUUGAGGAACAACAAAACAAGAUUAAUUUAUUGGUUUUUUCCCAAGAGAGGAGAUUGGAAAUUGAGACAGCUUUCUUCUUAUUCCUUUCUUUUCAAAUUAAGGAAAUGUUAACGAGAUCAAAUUUAUAGAUAAGAUUUUGUAAAUUAAACGAUGUAGAAGUUGAUUAGAUUAUUAAGUAUUAAUGGACAUGUUCAUUUAUAUUAGUGACAAGUCAUUCAGUUUGUAAAUUUAAUCUAUAAAUUUAGUCUCUCAAGUAUUAACCUUCAAUUUAUAGCUAAUUGAGGCUUACUAUUCAUUUAGGUGUGUUGUCAGUUAGCUUUUAGUCUAAUAAUCUUUUUCUUUUUCUCAAAUUGAAAGUUUGUCUAUAGUAUGAACCUUUUAUAGAUAAUAUUAUUCGCACAUCUGCUUUUACUUUUAACGCAGGGAUUGAAUGAAUUGAAAAAAAAUCAACCGACAAAAACGAACAAGAAUGUAUGAAAGAUAAAAAGGAUGUGUGAAACUUACAAAUUUUAUCUACAAUUUUAGUCUCUCUAACUUUUUCUUUAAAAAAUUAUCUUUAUGCUAGGUCCCAUGAUACGUAGAGUUUUGAUUGGGUGCAACCUUGUGCCCACAUUGAAAGUGAGUGUCACGUUUAGAGCAAAAAUAACAAUUUAUGGGAAAGAUAUCUUCUCUGUGAAACUUACAAAUUUUAUCUACAAUUUUAGUCUCUCUAACUUUAUCUUUAAAAAAUUAUCUUUAUGCUAAGUCCCAUGAUACGUAGAGUUUUGAUUGGGUGCACCUUUGUGCCCACAUUGAAAGUGACUGUCACGUUUAGAGCAAAAAUAACAAUUUAUGGGAAAGAUAUCUUCUCUGAAUUUCUUCCACUAAUGUCACCCGAUCAAGUGAUUCGAGACUUUCAAAUUUCAUCCAACGACCUAUCUGUUUUGACCACUUAAAAGCUGUAAUAAUUUUUUUACUGUUGGAUGAAAUUUGAAAGGUCUAGAUCACUUGAUUCGAUGACAUUGGUGGAAAAGAUCCGAAAAUGAUCUCUUUUCCAAUUUAUGCAUUGUCUAAAUCCCAAAAUUUAAAUUCAUCGGCAAUCAAUAUAACAUGGUGAGCAAAACUAUUUCGCUUUUGCUUUUCUUAAGUUUACCUUUUUGUUCCGUUGAUUGGGGUAAAGGAUACUACAAUAAAAAUUCCAAUACAAUGGAAGUUUGAUGACAAGGGAUCAGGAUCCUCCCUUCACCCUUAAAAACUGAACAUGCUAAGUAAGCAAUUGUGGCCGUUGAAAUUUGAUUCAACGACUACAACAGGAGGAUCAUCUAAAGUUAUAAUAAUUGUAGCCGUUGAAUCAAAUUUCAACCGUCACGAUUGCCUGCUCAGCAGGCUCAGUUUUUAAGGGUUAGAGAAGAUCCUGAUCCGAUGACAAGGAAAAGGUUAGAAGAGGAAAAUAACACCAAACGGGGCAUAAACCAUAAGAUCAGCAUCCAACAGGAUCAUCUCCCGAUUUUUUAUGAGAAUUUUGGAGAUCUGUAAAUCUUAUCCUUUCAUCGUAUAUCGUAAGAUCAGUUUUUAUCAGGUACUGUUUGUGUUUAAUUUUAUAUAAAAAUAUUUAAAAUGAUUUCUUACCAUACAAUGAACGAUGAACAGACAUAAUUCAUGGAUCUUCGGGAUCCUCACAAAGAGGAUCCGGCGGGGAUCCGGACCCGAUCAGCAUAACAUCUUUAAUCAUAAGAAACAUGACUUUUACUUUACAUUUUGUCACUCCACAGUGGAGUCUCCACUCACAGGCAGAGGUUAAACAACCAGUGUUAGAAUCGCUACCCGAGUUCAUUUCAGCAGUACUCUAACAUCCACAGAUAACAAAAUAGCCUAAUUGUUAAAAAUUCCGUCAAUGCGCUUCAAGUCUUGUAAACGAUGAGAUAUAAGUUUAAACUGAUUUCGAUUCUAAAGUUACCGGUGAGACAAGCUAAAAUUGUCAAGGAGCUACAUCUAUAGUCGCGUCACAGCUAAACUAAAGCUCUUUCCGUUCCAACCAGGUUCUCCACCAACGACGAUAUGAUGUAGUUUCCAAUCACUUGCUCUUUUUUGGUUCUCUCUGAUAUUCAUUUAUUAGUGCUUCGACAUCUUUCCAGAAGAGGCCCUCCACCAAAACUCCGUCCUUGGUGAACCUGAAAUGUUCCCAAAUGUUAAGAAAAUAUUGAUUAUGCAUCCAUGUAUGUUCAUCUCUAUAUGUGCGGGUAUGAUCUUCAGAAGUGCGUUCAAGUCUUGGUCUGUGUGUGUGUGUGUGUGAGAGAGAGAGAGAGAGAGAGAGAGAGACCACUGAGUAACGCUCUUGGUGAACUGUACUGGUUGAUUAGCAGAAAUAGAUUUGGGGUCUGAACUUGCUAUCACAAGUGUGUACAUAUCAGAGAAUCUUGGCAAUUUGGAAGAGACCACCAAUCCAGUGCUUGUGAAGGAAUCCUGCGCGAAUAAACCGCAACUGAAUAAAGCUUACAAACCUUCACCGAGUCCAAAAUUUAGAAACACACUAGGAUAUAUUUAUUAACUGACCAUUCUGACUUAAAUUGUAGGAACAAUCAUACUUUAUAUACAACAUUAGACCUUAUUGUAGCUUGUGUGGUCCAACAUAGAAGUUGUUCAUGAACGAGUACAAAAAGAAAACAGUACCGUUAAUUGCUUAUGCAUUAGGAUUGAGUUCAAAAUGGUAAAUAUUAACAAGAAAAAGGAACUAUAAGAUCGUAUAAAUCAAUCGAAAGAGUAAUUCUGUUUUACUAUAGACUACAUCAAAACGAACAAAAAAUGUAUCAAAUUCUGAAAUGGAAUUUUAAAAUUCUUGCACCUAGUAACAGGGGUAAGCAGUUGCGUCAACCAGAGAAGAAAACACAAAAGCUCCCUAUCAUCAAACAACCAUCGGUCUUGCACACAUACCACACAUGUACAAUUACCUAACUAUGGACAGUAACCCUCAAAAGGCAGCUCGGCAAAAAACACUCAACAAAGAGCGAAAAGAAGGAACAAGAAACUCUCAAGACACAUUUGAGUAGAGACUACUUUAUAUUCCACCCUACGGUGAUGGCAGCAAAGACCUGAGCAUAAUGUCCGAGACAUGUCCCAGUUACAUAAUGCAUAUACAACUAACAAGAGGGAAGGAGGAAGAUACACCACAUUACAGAUGAAGAACAUAUAAUAAAUUAUCAUCUAGAUGUAUUCGGGUCCUUUAGACUCGCUAAUAGGUAACUGAGCUUGCUAUAGGUUAUAAAGCUAAAAUUUUGAAAAUAGGAUCCUCGGUUAAUAAGUCACUACUCAACCUCCCGUCGACAAUACCAAGCAAACACCCUAAUCUAAAUUGCAGGUGAUAGAGCAACUAUUCCAGCGGCGAAAGGUAAAGCUUUGAAAAUAAAGCCUUCAAUGGGCUGUCGACAAGGAUUGCGCCCACAUUGAAGGCAACUCCAAAAUGGUUAUGCACAGUGUCACGGGUUCCACCCCCAUGCCCUGGAACCUCAGGAAGUUGAGUAUGGAUGGAUGCAAUAGUAUAUAUAACAAGGGAAGCUAGACAUUAUGAACCUAAUUAUAGUGUGCCCCGUUACACAGUCUCGUAUUAAAGUUUAUCAAAUCACGCUUUUAUCUGCAUUCGGUUAUCAGCAUAUCGUCGAAGAGAGACAACGACGCUCAUAUAGCCCGGAAAUUCCAUAACCUAGAAGUAAAAUAUCAACGUACAAUCAAGCAAUGUAGCUACAUUUCCAAUCCAAAAGAGAAAACAUACCACGGGAGGAUACGUAAAGAGAAUGGCAUUCUUCUCCUUGGUGAAUAUGAUGAGCUGCAACACCGCAUUGAAGACUAUAUACGUGCAAGAGUCAAAGAUCAAACACACUUCAAGCUAACAUCAACACAAUUCGCAUCAACCAAACAGAAACUCAAAGCAAUUGAACAAAUAAUAAACACAAAUAACAAGAUAAGCUAGGAUAUAAGACGAUGCAGAGGAUGAGAAAAUCUCGGUUUUCGGGGAACUUCUUCUUGUAAAACUGAGCGAAGAGAGCGAUGGCGAUGAUGAUGGUGCCCAGAAACAGCCUCACAUUGCUCAGCCGCACGUCCUCCACAUAUCCGCGGCCCGUCACGAUCUGCUCGAAUUGCAGAGAGAAAAUUCAACAAAAAAAUUAACCAAAAAUUGAAAAAAAAUAAAUAAAUAAAUAAAGGAAAGGGAAAGGAAAGGGAAAGGGAAAACGGAUCAAGAGGGAAGAGCGAGAGACCGACCUCGGUGACGGACUCGUCGAGGGUGUGUUUGAUGGAGUGGUGGUCGAGGAGAUUGGCCUUCUUAGGGUUUUUGUUGGGCGAGUCUGAUUUAUUUUCCUGCAUUUUUAUGGGGAUUUGGAUUGGAGGACUGAAUUUGAAGGGCUUUGUCCGAAGAUGGUGGAAACUGAGAGAAAAAGAGCGGGUACAGUUGCAGUGGGAUUAUAAUAAACAUGGAUUUGGUGGGUACAUUUAGUGAAGAUUCCUAUACACUAUUUGCACCCACUUUUUUUUUUUUUUUAAGAAACUAAUGAAAAUGAUUUGAAAAUUUUGAGUUUUAAUGAUAAGGACAAAAUAAAGGGUAAAGUGGAUAAUACCAGGAUUGACUUUUUAGUGUAAAAAUGUGAUUUUUCGUUAAAGUAAACAGUACCGGGUGCUUUUCGUUAAAGUUCCCUUUUUUUUUUACCAUCAAAUUUUCCACUUGUUUGAGGUUAAUUUGACUCACAUGAAUGCGAAAAUGAUUCAAAAUUUUCAUUUUAAUCAACAAGGAAAACAUUGAGCGCGAGUCUACUUUGUUUUUUAAAAACAAACUACCACUAGACCAAAAGUCAUUCUCAAACAAGGAAAAUGAUCCAAUAACUUCAAAAGAAUUGAACGAGGAGCCGUAUGAGAUAAAAAUCUCAUGUACGGUUCUGUAGAAUGGCAGUAAAGAUGACUUAUCUGUCAACUUUUUCACUAUCAAAACCAAACUCUACCAUACAUAGAGUUGCCAGAGUACGCUUAACCUCUGGAUUUGAAAUCACUGCUUAUAUACCUGGUAUUGGGCCUAUUGGCCAUAAUUUACAAGAACAAUAUGUAGUCUUAGUAAGAGGGGAAAGGGUUAAGGAUUUACCGUGAAAACCUAAUGCACACAAUUCUCUAUUGCCACAUUGUUAGUGUAAAAGAGGGGCAUCUAAAAUCAAAUGAUACCACUAAAUUCAAACUUAGGGUCUCCUUUUCAAUAUACAACUAUUCAUAUGGUGGAUUAACUAUAAUAUGGUUACACUAAUCAGAUUAUCCCAAAUUGAUCCCCCUAAAAAUCCCUUGUAUUCAAGGUUAUCAGUUUGCCAACAAUGGCAAUACAUUUCCAAACAAUAAAUAUUUGAUCCUGCAGUUUCUUGAUAACAUGAUGAGAUGAAAUAAUCGGAAUCGGGAUCGAAGGGAGUGACAGCAAAAGAGGGAGGAUGAAAGGUUCGCGACUACGGAGGUUUUGAUUUUACUUUGCUGGUGAGCAAGAAUCGAGCGGCAUUGACAAGUUCCUCCUUAAUCAUGAACAGAACAGCAGCUGCGAGUACACUUUGUACUAUUUUCGUUCCCAUCCCUUUGUAGAACCCGUAAAGUCCUUCAUACCGAAUCAUCUUUAAAAUAGCAUCGGAUGUGCCUGAAAGUAAACAAAAUAAUAUGCAACACCAUAAUUCAUGGACACGAAACUUUUAUCCGAAAAUAUUCAGAAAUGAAGUUUUGAGGUAUUAGUUUCUCAAUGUAAAGCAUGAUUUAUGCGGUAUAAGAAGCUCUGGCUAGCAGUUGGAAGUUCAAACCUUUAUAGUGUUGCCUUUUGUCUCCGUUUGUAACCUGUUUUGCUUGAAGCCUUGACUGCAACAGCACGAGACUCGGUAAGAAACUGAAAGGUUAAUGCAACCAAAUCCAAGGUAAUAAUAAUACUACAUUGUCUCUUCCUGGAUGUAGCAUGAUAGCAGUGUUUUUUCAAUUGAAAGGAGCUUAAAAAGUGGAAGACAUUUCAGUCGGUCGCAAUCCAUUCACAUUAUAACUCAAAGUGUGUAUUGCUUCGCAUAAACAAAGAUGUAUAUGCUAAGUCCUUUACCUUUACGACUAGAAGAGGAUAUGUCACAACCGUAGCCCCUAGUUUUGCCAAGGCACCAAGAGAAAAUAUCUAGCAGAAUUAGGCAAUCUAUUAGCUCAGAGGAAAAUCAAAAGAGUGAGUAACAUAGGUUAGUACUGUAAGUACUCGGGUUAAAGGUUAUCAUAAAACAUUUACUGAAAAGGUUAUGAUCUAAAUGAAACCUAACCUCUAAAGCAGUAACCCCGCUGUUACCCUUCUUAUUCAAGGCACGCCUUUGUUUCAGCUUCUUCAGCAUAGUUUCAUACAGCAUAAAUUGCAUGGAAGGAUUACUCACCUGUGAUCAAAAUCAAGAACAAUUAGUCGUACUCCCUUAGCCUGUAUAAGAAUCACUUCUCACAUACCAUGAUCAAUGUCGGGAAUACACCUCUCCAGAAGCCGAAAACUCCACCCUCAUCAUAAAUUUCCUGAAUCUGUAUGCGUCCAUAUAUUGUUAUGAUAGGAAAAAUUGUUGCUGGAACUAAAGCCAAACUUGUGUGAAUCAGAAAACAAAAUUCUGGAAAUCAAUAGAAACACUAUUGUCACCCCAUGCGUGCACAAGUAGGGGACAAAGAAUUAAGAAUUAAAAAAUAACAUAAUACUAACCGCAUGAGUAGUCCCAAAGGGAGGAAGCUCAGCUGCAGCAAGGAUUGCUUCAUCUGGAGCAGUUGACAGCUCCUGACCGGGCUGGCACUUCUUUGAGGAUUUUUUAUAAGUCUAACAGUGCAAAACGAGAACAAACAAUAAAUUAAUAACAUCAAACUUGUAUGCAUUGAGUGAGAGAUGCAUAAGCUCAGUUUGUUAAAUUAGCUACACAGAAGGAUAAGAUAAUUUGGUGAAAUUGGUAACUAACAUCAUAGGCAUUUCAAAAUUCUGAAAUAAGUUCUAAAUCCUGGAAUGCAGUGCUCUUCAAAGGUCACUUCUAGCACAAGCAUAGAUACGGGAAAACAAAACUACCCAAAUAAGACAUGCAAAUAUGAACUAUCGUGUCACUUGAUUUGGAAAUUCAAUGAGAUUUGAGGCUAACGUCAAUUAGCUCUUCGUUUUUACCUGCAUACGCGUAACAACUACCCAUAUAGGAUUUGUGAACAGCACAUUCACGCACCUGCAAGAAUAAAAUUGUGAUGAGAUUUUCAGCCAUAAAUCCAUGAAAAAAAAAACUCAUAAUAAAAAAAAUUAAAUACUGUAAAAGCUACCAAAUCUUUACUGUUCUCUUGAUUUUCUUCUUCUUAAAAGCUUUCAGAAAGAGCGAAUGCAACUUUUUGAGGAAACGAUGCUUUUAUAGCUUCGAAAAUAUUAGGAAACAAACAAUGUCUUAAGGCCCAUCAUCAUAUAAAUAAAGAAAUACCCAGAUAAUGCAGCAACCAAAAGUGAAGAGAGCAUUCCAACAGAUCCAUCACCAACCCCCAUCUUCCUCCGUUCAAGUGCAGCAGUUUCAGCCUUGUUCCUGAAUAUUUGAUAGAAAUAAUAGUAAACACCCUGUACCAAUAAAAUCGCGCGUAGAUAAGAAACCAGACAACCAAAUAAAAAAUUAAUGAUGCAGAUUUAUACAACACAAGGUUUAGUGGUAACGUCCUUUGUAAAAAAAGGCUGCAAGCUGCUCUAUAUCAUGUCAAAGUUCAAACUAAGGAAUUUCUGACUCAAAAAACACUACAGAAAGAGCAUUAAAAUUUAUGUAGCUAGCGUUGGGUAAGAACAUUGCAAUUUAACGCUGGCAGUCACUUUGUUAUUCAGACGACCGCAUAAGCAUAAAAAAAAUGCUCAGGGUGUUAUAUUAGCAGAUCAAAUGCUUUCACUGAUGAGCCAGGUCAACACAAACUGUUACCAUUACUAACUCGCAGAAAGCAUUUACUGCUAAUAUUGACCUCUUAAACAUUAUGAACUAUACACAUGAUUUAUCAACUGGACUCAACUUAUAAACGCUAAUGAAUGAAGGAUAACUGAGCCAAUACGCAUAACAUAUUUUGAUUAGGUGUAGUGAUGGUCGGGGCAAAAAAACCAGCCAUGGCUCCAUCGGUUUGGGCGGCUUCAUGCACGCAACCUAGCAAUGGAGGGCAUAUAAUUUUGGGAUGACACAAUUGUAUUUGUUGAUGCACAAAAUCGGUGAGGACUUUGGUACAACAGAAAGUGUCAAGUUUGUGACCUUCGCUGGAUUGCUCCAGUCACUAGUGUAGAUAAGUAUGUAAAUGGAUAGAGACAGGAAAGCAAACGCAAGAUGUACAUGGUUAACCCAGAUUGGCUACGUCCACAGAGUGAGAAAACAUAAUGAUGUUUCCUUUCGUACAGUGCACACAGCAGUAGUCAUGUAGCUUUAAUAUAAUGACAAUGGGGAGAUACACAAUAUAUUAUAUAAAUAUAUUUUCAUUCAAAUAAUGAAGUUGUCUAAUUUGGUCAGACUUGCCACAUGUUAUGGGAAAUAGUCAGGUGAUAAACCAUUAAUAAUAAUGUAAAACAUAUUAUUAUAACAUGUCAUCUCGUUCAUUUAGGCAAUCAUGCUGGCGUUUCCACUGUUUUUGUCAAAAAGCAACUCCUGCUUUUCCACUUGGUACUUUUCAAAAAGCAGUUUCCCUUUCAAAAUGAUGAUACUGAUAAGGGUCUCGUGGUGCAAAUAUAAUAGUAAUAAAGUAAUAAUAGUAUUUGAUGUGACCGGCAUAAUAAGCAUACAUCAGUAGUGGAAAAGCAAGAGUUUGUACUUUUCCAAUGGGUACGCACUAUAUAUAUAUAUAUAUAUAUACAUAUAUUGUGAGGUGCCGCACUAUAUGUACACAGAUCAUGAAAACAAAUAAUAUAUUGCUAACUGUGCACUAAAAUAUAGGUGAUGUGGUCUCCUGUUAAAGAAUAUGCACACUGUAAAUGCUGCAGUAACAAGACCAACACAAAAUAAUAAUAAAUUAUUAAAUAAUAAACUAGUUAAUGAAUUAGAAGAAGACUUAUCUUCUUCGUUGGUUCUCCCGUGGAUUUUUUCAGUGGGAUAGGUACGGCAUGGCUAGAAAUUUCUAAGCUACCUCAAGCAAGCUUGCAGCGGCGACGUCGCUCGGGUUGAGUGGGAAUAACAAUCUGAGUCCCCCGAUUCCACUAGUGGUGACGGCGUUGCUAGUAGACGAACGAAAUUCCGCCAAUCGCGCAGCAACCUCGACCUGGGUUCGAUGACGACAGUUUCGUCUGGGUUUUGUAGGUCGAAGCCUUCCGAGUCUGGCAGAGAUUAGGAGACGCCUUUGCAAUGGGGGGCUUCGAAAUCGGUUUAGUGACAACCAUGGAAGCUUUUGCGGCUAACCCAUUUCCCAAUCUCACACCAAAUCGCAAGUCGUGCGAGGAAAGUGGAGGGCACGGCGAUGGAGGUAGGACGAGGGUUUUGCAAGGUUUUGGAAGUGACAACGGGUUUUGAUUGUAUGAGAGAGGUCACUGUGGCCUCCGUUGCUAGAAAGAGAAGAGAGGGAGGCUGCAAAGGUUUUCUGGAAAAGCCAAAGAUGAGGUUUUGGGUUCUUGGGUUUUGCAAAUUCAUGGUGGUGGGAUGAAAAAUUAAGAGAGAACCGACAUAGUUUUUCGUGUCGUUUCCCACAAACGGUGCCAAAUGUUGAUGCACAAAAUCGGGUCGAUCUUGGACCAACGUAAAUCUACUCGUGAAUCACACAAUCGCACAAGAACACAAAGCUUCCACGGUCGUCACUGAACCGAUUUUAAAGCCCCCCAUUGCAAAGGCGUCUCCUAAUCUCUGCCAGACUCGGAAGGCUUCGAUCUACGAAACCCAAACGAAACCGUCGUCAUCGAACUCAGGUCGAGGUCGCUGCGCGAUGGCAGAAUUUCGUUCGUCUACUGGCAACGCCGUCACCACUAGUGGAAUCGGGGGACUCAUAUUGUUAUUCCUACUCAACCCGAGCGACGUUGUCGCUGCAAGCUCGUCGGAGGCAGCUUUGAAAUUUCCAGCCAUGCCGUACCUAUCCCACUGAAAAAACCCACAGGAAAACGUUCGAAGAAGAUAAAGUCUUCUUCUAAUUCAUUAACUAGUUUAUUAUUUAAUAAUUUAUCAUUAUUUUGUGUUGGUCUUGUUACUGCAGCAUUUGUUUUACAGUGUGCAUAUUCUUUAACAGGAGACCACAUCACUUAUAUUUUAGUGCACAGUUAGCAAUAUAUUAUUUGUUUUCAUGAUCUGUGUACAUAUAGUAUGGCACCUCACAAUAUAUAUAUAUAGUGCGUACCUAUUGAAAAAGUACCAACUUCUGCUUUUCCACUAUUGCUAUAUGCUUAUUAUGCUGGUCACAUCAAAUACUAUUAUUAUUUUAUUACUAUUGCUAUGUCUUACAUGGCCGGUCCCAAGCCCGGAUAAAGGAGGAGGGGGGAGGGCGUCAGGUAGUCGACAGCCGGCACUCCAUGAUCACGUCGAAUCCUUAUGAAUUUUAUUACUAUUAUAUUUGCACCACGAGACCCUUAUCAGUAUCAUCAUUUUGAAAGGAGAAACUGCUUUUUGAAAAGUACCAAGUGGAAAAGCAGGAGUUGCUUUUUGACAAAAACAGUGGAAACGCCAGCAUGAUGGCCUAAAUGAAUGAGAUGACAUGUUAUAAUAAUAUUUUUACAUUAUUAUUAAUGGUUUAUCACCUGACUAUUUCCCAUAACAUGUGGCAAGUCUGACCAAAUUAGAUAUCUUCAUUAUUUGAAUGAAAAUAUAUUUAUAUAAUAUAUUAUGUGUCUCCCCAUUGUCAUUAUAUUAAAGCUACAUGAUUGUUGCGGUGUGCACUGUACGAAAGGAAACAUCAUUAUGUUUUCUCAAUAUCAUCAUCUAUUUAAUAUUUUUUUAUUAUUAUUUUAUGAUAUUUGUUACAAGGUGUCGUCCACCUCCUUUUAAAAUAACAUAGCUUUAAUCAUUUUUUAAUAUUAUAUUCAUUAUUUAAAUGUUUGGAUGAACUUUAGUGACUCAGGGCACACUACACAAUGCAAGUAUACAGAUAUAUGAUUAUUUAAAGAUUUUAUUUAUGAUGAUAAUCUUUUGUCACAUCAUUACUACUAUGCCAACACAGGCUGCUAAUACCACAUACUCGAACAGUGAUAACACCACAUCCAUGCUUCUUAUUAUAAUAAGUCUUUUCCAUCAUGAUUAUUCCACUACGUGGAAAGUUUGACACAUGAUAUAUUUUCACUCUUUCACUAUUAGGACACAGUCCACACUCCACAAUACAAAGUUGUGCAUAUGUACAUAUAUGCGCAUUAUCCCUACAUUCAUCUUAUUAAGAUUACAUGCUACAUGCUACAAUAAUUACAUAUGCUCAGGGUGCCAUCCAAAUAAUAACUCAUUUUGUGAUCGCACAUAUUUACUUGUGCAAAUAUUUAUUCAUUGCCUAGUAAUAUGUAAUGCCUUUAACUAUGUCACUUAUGCAACAUGUGAUUUACCACGUAACUUAAUAAAUUAUUUAUUUGUAGUAGACACAUGGUACCAUAUUUUGCCUUGCCAAACUAUAUCAAUUUGAUUUAUUAAUUAUGCAUUCAUGCUUAUACUAUUAUUUAUUGUCAGGACUCCGUUGAUCAACAUUGUUACUGAUCAACUUAUAGAUCGAUGAGCCACAUGCUAAUGAUGACAAAGAUUUAGUCUGAAUGGUAAUUUCUUGUAUGACCGGACACCCACUUGCUCGGACACUCGCUCAUUUGGAUACCUAUGUGCUUGGACAUCCAUUCAUUCGAGCACUUACGAGAUUGGACACCCUUGAGCUCGAACCCCGACUCACGGAUCCAAUUUGUGGACCCAACUCACGGACCCUACGGAUGACCCCAACUAAAAAACCCGACAAGCAGACUCGAGUCAUGUCGAGAGUUAACUCAUAUUGAGUGCACGCUGACGUUGAGUGCAUACUCGCAACGAGGAACACCACGAGCCGAGCCGCCUUGCAACGAGCACUGCCUCUAGCAAAGCAACCGCCUCGCCGCAAGCAUUGCCUCUAGCCAAGCAGUCUCGUAACGUGUGAUACAUCUAGCUGAGUAUUACUUUACGUUGAGCAUUGCCUCAUGUCAAGUAAUGGUUCAGGAUAACAUUUAGUCACUUCGGCCCGCACAUGGAUUGGGUUUGAAGUCUUCAGCCAAAAGAUUCACCUGACACAUAGACCCAUAUACAAACCCAACAAACGGGUUCGAGUCAUGUCGAGAACUAACUCAUAAUGAGCUUAUGCUGACAUCGAGUGCAUACUCACAAUGAAGAAUGCCACAAGCUGAGCCGCCUCGCAACGAGCACCGCCUCCAGCCGAGCAACCGCCUCGUCGCGAACAUUGUCUCUAGCCGAGCAACCUCACAACGUGUGCUACCUCUAACUGAGUAUUGCUUCACGUUAAGUAUUGUCUCAUGUCGAGUACUAGUUCUAGACGACAUCCAGUCACUUCGGCCCGCACAUGGAUUGGAUUUGAAGUCUCCAACCAAAAGACCUUCUUGACUGAAGACUUGGGGGACUCCUGUUAUACCAUAUAUUGGGUCUCAGUAUUUGGCCUUCAUUACUUAGCCCAUUAUUCAUGUAAGAGGGGAGGAAACCUUAUUCUAUAAAAGGGUUCCCUCACACUCACUUAAGAGGGGGACUCGACGAGAAAGAAGGAAAACAUACAUAGGGAAACAGGAGAGCAAACAGAAUAGCAACGAGAGCAAACACUGCCUCUAUAGCCUCCAUGUAUAUUCAACAUUCAUUUACAUAGUGAAACGGAAUCAACAUCAAUGUGGACGUAGCCUCAACUUGAGGUGAACCACGAUAUAUUUGUGUGUUUGUGUGAUUUAUGAUCGGAUUUACGUUGGUCCAAGAUCGACCCGAUUUUGUGCAUCAACAGCAUUCACUGGUACUAAUCAAGAGAAUAACUUAAUCAAUGAUAUCUGCCAAAUCGUCCUACAGGAUUUUGGCCAAUCGAAAACCCAAGUUACACCGUUGCUCGGAUGGUAUAAGAGACAUCUGUAAAUAGGGCCAAACUCCUCUACAAUCAGUUUCCGCUCCGUUAAAAACUGUUCCAAUUUUUCUGCUCUUUCCCAUCAAUUCCUCGGUUAACAAACAAUGAAUGUCAACUCUACGCAAUACUUUCCUACAAGCACGUAUAAUUUCAUUCACUCCAUCCUAGUUUCUAAUCAUUGUAACAAUAAGAACGAAAAUACUAUUCGAAGAAGUAAAACAAUCCAGCAAAGAGCUAAAGCUUUGCUCACCUGAGAUGCUGCCGUCCCCACCAAUGAUGGCGUCAAACCGCCGUACAACCGCUCCCAUCCUUCAUUUUUAAUAACCUGCACAUCAAAUUCACACACUGGCCGAAUAAUCAGAUACAAUGAAACAAACAGAGAAAUGUGUCCCUUCUCAGAUUUUCCCGUCCAUUUUCUCAGCAACCAAACAAGGUAAAAGUUUCGGAAUACUUAAAAACGAAGCUGAAAUUUGAUAAAAGGGAUGACCUGACAUAUUUGCUCAACAGUCCGAGCUUGUUCUUCUCCUUCUUCAGACCACGGUCUGUUUGUUGGCGAGUAUUCACCUGCAGCAGAUCAGGACCCAAAAUUCAAACAAAAAACAAGGACUAUCAAAAGCUCAAGAAAAACAAUUACGAAAUGAGAAAAUUUGUACAGUCUGGAGAGGAUAUGUGAUGAGCUGGGCGAUGAUCCCGCCGCCAUCUCCGGCGAGGCCAUUGAUCAAAGCGUCGGACAUAUUUUCUCGAGAAAAUGUUUGUGAAGGUUUCUUAUUUUCUCGGGAAACUGUAGCGAGCCAUGGAGGGUUCGGAGAUCUGUACUUUUUACUUGUAUUUUUUUGGAGAGAGGACUAUCUCUGACUUUGGCUUUGUCGAGGUGAUGGCACUCGCUAUCAGAACCCUCCUAAUCGGUUGGUUGUUUCGUUCAAGAAAGCAAAUAACGUUUGGUAGGUGCUUUUGUUUUUGAGUGCUAAUCCUUUCAAUAAUAUUUUCUUUAUUUUCUGUUGACAUUUUAGGGGGUGUAUUCAAUUAGGAUUCUCAGAGAGUUUUAGGGAAUUUAAAUCUAUAGAAUUUGAGAGAGUUUGAGAGAAAAAAAAAAUGAAUUCCUAGAGAUUUUGAGUGAAUUAAUUAUAACUUCCAGAGAAUUCACAUGAAUUGUGAGAUAAUUCUUUACAUGGGGUUAGAGAAUUGAAGAGAAUUUGAUCAACAAUUUCCUUCUCUUUAGAAGCCAAAUUUUCAUCCUACUAAUACCAAAUUGCAAUACCAAGUUCAUAUGCAAUGUUUUCAACUAGCUAUCAAAAUGAAAGAGGAACCCGAUCAAUUAGUGUCAAAAUAAACUAGCUAUCAAAGUUUUUUAAAAAAACCCAACAAUUUUAUAUAAACAUAACUACUCAAAGCAAAAAGAUUUAUCCAGCGUUCAACCAUGUUUGAAUACUCUCGAGGUUAUAUCGCUGCUCUCCAGGUGUUUGCAUACUCCAAUCUGUAUAAACAAUUAAUUCUCUAUUUCUCAUCUUUGAAUGUUAUCAUUCACAGCAUCCGUCCACAUAUUUGUAGCUAUGCCAGCUCUCCAUGCAUUAGCAAUCUGUCGUUGUUGCUCUUGAGUUUGAUUACCUAGUUCAUCAUCAUUAUCUUCAUCUUCAGAUUCAUCAUCUUCUGGUUCAAUUGGAAAUUCAUCAGAAUGACACUCCUUGCGAAGAAAGUUGUGCAACCCUGCACAAGCUAACACUAACUCUGCUUGUGUUUUAAUUGGAAAUGGAGGUGUAGACUUAAAAAUUGUGAAAUGAGAUUUAAAUACACCAAAUAUCCUCUCCACUACGUUUCUCAAGGAAGCAUGUCAAAGAUUAAACAAUUCAUUCGCAUUUACGGGGUCACGACCGUUACCAGCAAAAUCUUGGAGAUGAUAUCAAACACCUCGAAAUAGAGCUAAAAAGGGCUAUAAAAGCAUAACAUGAUAAUAGAGAUUACAAGUAUAAAUGACUAUAAAAAGGAUUGGGACAACAGAUUGACAUAUUAUUAAUAGGGAUUACGCAACAAGUAUAAUGACUAUAACAACAAAUGAGCAGGUCGUUUUUUCCCUUUGUUUCUUCGCUUCAAUUAGGGUUUUAAACCUGCUUGGUUUCUGUAGUUAGAUUUUUGUUUUAUUAACCCUAACAUAGAAAGACUUGGCACUGGAAGACUUGGCAGUUGACUAAUUAUAUUAUAUAAAUUUCCACUAAUCUAGAAAGAACAACAUAAAAAUAUUAAAUUUUCCUUAGCAUGACAUGGAUGAUAAGAUAUUCAGGGUAAAUUUUCCUCGUGCCUAACCAAAAAAUAACCAAAAAAUAAAUAAAAAAAAUUGGAGACUGGACAAGUAAGCUUUGAAUUUAUAUUUGUCUGUCGGUUCGGUUUCUGCAUAUCCCAGAUUUGUAAGAUAUCUAGGGCAUAUGGGAAUUUUCAUUGGCCGUAGUUGUUUGGUAAAAGAAACAAAUUCGCAGCCUUCACAACAAGGACAAAAUCGAAGCAGACGAAUAAUGGGAAGAAGUUGCAGAGAUUGUACCUUCGCUCGAACGGAGACUAGAGAGGAGAGAGCAGCACGCUCAAAAUCUCUCAAAGUUUCUAGGGUUGAGGUGAGAUUUGCCAAGCUCUUUGGUAUUUAUACAUAUCACCUUGAAAUCCUCCAAAAUCCACCAAAUCACAAAUCCGUUAAAAUCCAAUUCCUUUUUCAAUACACCUAAACUUUUAGAGACUUUCAAAACGUUAUAAUUGAAUACACCUAAAUUUAUAGGGAAUUGUAAGAAGUCUUUAAGAAUCUCAAUUGAAUACACCAAGAUUUUUAUAAAAUCUUUUAAAUUCCUAAUUGAAUACUCCUGGAAUUAUUAAUUCCUUGAAACUCUCUGAGAAUCCUAAUUGAAUACACCCCCCUUAGUUUAAAAUUAUUUCUGAGAUUGACAUAACUCUUCAUUACAGUGAAAUCAACAAAACAAAUUCCUGAUUUUGUAUACCAUCAAUCAUUUUGGUCUUUUCGUUAAAAUCUCUAUUAAAUAAAGAUCAAAAUGAUAAAAAUACCCUCAAUUUAAUAACAAUGGACUAAAAUGAUUUGACAAAAUUGAGUGGAUUUUUAUCAUUUUAUCCUUAUUUAAUGGAGAUUUUUUACAGAAUAACCAAAAUGAUUAACGGUAGACAAACUCAGGAAUUAGUUAGUUCUAUCGAUUUUAAAUCUCAAAGAUCAAAGUGAUGAGUUAUGUCAAAUCUACCAUUUGGCUAAAAAAACCUUUUCUAGUUUAAUAGUGUAAUUAUUGUUCAAAAUAUUCUAAUAAAAUAAUACUUAUAAAAUUUAAAAUUGAAAUGGAAGAUGAGAAAAAGAAAUUGGGCUUGAAGAGGUGGGAUUGGGUUGUAGCGAAUUUGAAAUUGGGCAUGAGGGUGAAAUUUUGGGAAUGCGGUGGAAUUUGAAAACGGGUUGCGUUGGGAGUCUAGAGAGAGUGAAGGAAUGAGAGUUACAAUCGGUUAGAGAUCUAAGAAGUGAUUGGAUUCUUGAAUUCUAACCGAAAUAAAAAUCAUGAAAUGAGGCAUUGGUGGUGAGUUUAAACUCGGCUAGGCUUAUCAGCAUUAUAAUAUUAUUCUCUUGAAAAAUUAAAAUAGAAUUUAGAUAUAUAUUAGGGAUUACUUUGGGAAUAAUAGUUGUUGAAAAAGUAGCAUUCAAUUUUUUACUUUUUUUACGGGUGGGAUUAUAAUAUAGAUGGGGAAAAAAGACAUUAGGGUAAGUCUAGCGACACUCUUGUUUUUUUUUUUGUUUUUUGUUUUUUUUUUACCAAUUUACCCUUCAUAUUUUUUUUACCAUUUUACACUUCAUUUUUUUUUGUUUGUUAAAUGUUAUUUAUAAGGACUAUGGCUCCCCAAUAAACAAAAGAAAUGUAGGAGGUCCCGUGUUUGAGGCUCCAAGCUGGUGAGUCUGCUUGACUAUGGGUGAAAUUCCCCAUAGCCUCCCGAGCUCGAAAGGGAUUGAUAAUCGUAACUUACCACAUGUUGUCUCUCUUUAAAAACAAUUAGUGAAACAUUCAUUAAUGUAAAAAAUGCUCCUAUCUUCUUACAACUUUUAAAAAUAACAAUUUAAUUAAAUUUUUGAAAAGAAACAACUGCAUCCCAUAAUGGCCUUUCUAAUGAAUUUAUUAUGAAUAAAAAUUAUAAAAAAAGUUAGUAAAAAAAAUAAAGGAUAAGGUAUUUAAAAAAAGUAUAGAAGAGACAAUUGCCACUCUCGUAAGAUGAGUUAUAUACUUGGGAGUCAUUUGAUAACCGUCUCGUUUUUAAGUUUUCGUUUUCAAAAGUGAAAACUACUUUCAAAAUAUGCCUUUCAACUUUAAAAAUGUAACUACUUACCCAACGAGUUUUCAAUUUAAAAAAAUUAAAAAAUAAAAACGAAAUAACUAUCAAAUAACUUAUUAAUGUUUUUACUGCGUAAAUUGAUUGUAUGAGAAGCUCUAAAGAAAUAGUUUAUAUCAUCCACACAAAUAAUUUAUAGGAUUUGGAUUCUUUCCUGAUCAAGGCGGAUCAUCCUGACCCAAAUACUAUUGAACUAAACAUGGUAAAUACCAAUAUUAAACUAAACAUGGUAAAUACCAAAAAUAUAUAUGACAAUAUUUGGGAAUUUCUUAUAUAUUUAUUAAUCUCCAAAGUGGAGUAUAUAUAGGAGUUACAAUUGGUAUUACAUAUGUACUUCACCAAUGUGGGACAAUAAACUACUAUUUACACUCAAACUAAUAUAUAACUCGCAACACUCCCCCUCAAGUUGGUGCAAAGAUGUCACGCAUGCCCAACUUAUUAAGCGAGUUAGAAAACACACUAUUAGACACAGCCUUAGUAAGAGCAUCAGCAAGUUGAUCUUCAGAUCUCACAAACGGAAACAUAAUAAUUUCAGCAUCCAAUUUUUCUUUAAUGAAAUGUCGAUCAAUCUCCACAUGUUUUGAGCAAUCUUAAUAGCAGCCUUGUUAUCACAAUGAAGUUUCAUAGCACCUUUGGGGUUAAACUCAAGAUCUCUCAACAAUUUUUUUAACCACAACAACUCACAUACACCAUGCGACAUACCACGAAACUCAGCUUCUGCACUUGACCUAGCCACCACUUUUUGUUUCUUGCUUCUCCAAGUAACUAAAUUACCACCCACAAACGUAAAGUAUCCAAAUGUAGAUCGCCGAUCAGUGAUAGAACCUGCCCAAUCUACAUCUGUAUACCCUUCGACAUUCAAAUGACCAUUCUUGGAGAAAAACAGGCCUCUGCUAGGAGUCAUCUUCAAGUACCUCAAAAUACGGGUUACUGCAUCCAUAUGAGCUUCACUAGGUGAGUGCAUAAACUGACUUACCACACUAACUGCAUAAGCAAUGUCAGGGCGAGUGUGAGACAAAUAAAUUAAUCUCCCCACAAACCUCUGAUAUUGUUCCUUAUGAGUAGGAACUUGAUCUGGAAAUAAGCCCAAACGAUGAUUCUGCUCAAUCGGAGUAUCAACAGGUUUGCAAUCUAACAUACCUGUUUCAGCUAACAAAUCAAGAACAUAUUUCCGUUGAGACAGAAAAAUACCAUGCUUGGAUCGUGCAACCUCGAUUCCAGGAAAAUACUUCAAUUCACCCAAUUCUUUCAUCUCAAACUCAGUAGUUAGGUACUUUUGAAGACGUUGUAUCUCUUUCUGAUCAUCACCAGUCACUAUCAUGUCAUUAACAUAAAUAAUCAAUGCAGUUAGCUUACCAUUUUGUCGCUUUAGAAACAAAGUAUGAUCUGAAUGACUCUGGAUAUACCCAAACUUCUUCAUUGAACUUGUAAACCUCCCAAACCACGCUCUAGGAGAUUAUUUCAAACCAUACAAAGCCUUUCGUAACCUACAUACAACACAUUUUCCAGGAGAUGUUCCAAUAUCAGGUGGGAGAUCCAUAUACACUUCCUUCUUAAGAUCACCAUGAAGGAAAACAUUCUUAACAUCAAACUGCAACAGAGGUCAAUCCUGGUUUGCUACUAAGGACAGAAGAACACGCACAAUAUUAAGUUUGGCAACAGGAGAAUGUCUCCUGAUAGUCCACCCCAUAGGUUUAAGUAUAACCCUUAGCAACUAAUCUAGCUUUAUACGUGUCAAUAGAACCAUCUGCUUUGUGCUUAAUAGUAAACACUCAUCUACAUCCAACGGCUUUUUUUCCGUUUGGUAAAGGAACCAAAUCCCAGGUAGAAUUCUUUUCCAAAGCUUUCAUUCCAACUUGCAUGGCAUUAACCCACUUAGGGUCAGACAAGGCAUCUUGCAAUUUUGUUGGAAUUGAUACACUAGAUAUUUGACAUAUGUAAGAUGCAUAUGGUUUGGAUAAACGAUGAGUAGACACAUAAUUGUUGGUAAGAUAUUUGGCUUUGGCAUGCAUAUCAGGCUCAUAUUGUACUUUAGGUUUUCCACGAUUAACUCGUUGAGGCAACUGAUAAGUAGAAGAAUCGUCUGAAUUUACCUCAUGUAUGCCACCAUCUUGUACCAAACUGUUAGAAGAAUCAUCACUGGACGAACCAUCAUCAGGCAACUCGUUAGACAUAUCAGUAGCAGGCAACGGAUCAUUAGAAGGUAAUUUGUCAGACAUACUUACAGGCAACUCGCUGGGCACAUCUGAUCUAUCGUCAGUAGAAAUAGUUCCAGGAAUAACAGGUGAUCGAUCACUAUCUGUAGUCGACUGAUCAGUAUAAUGUAACAUAAUAGGUUUUGUUCCCAACUAUGCAUGUAACACAUCAUCCAUACCAUCUAUUCGAAUCUGCACUUCACUCCCUCUCUCCCUCUGAAGUGGAGAGUCAGAAGAGGGCUUCACAAAAUAUGAAACUUCCUCAUGGAAGGUGACAUCCAUGGUAAUAUAAGUUUUUUGAGUCGAAAGAUGAUAACACUUAUAGCCUUUCUGAUUGUUAGCAUACCCAAUAAAGACACACUGGAGAGCACAUGCAUCAAGUUUACUCCGCUGAUGAGAGUAGACAUACACAUACGCAAUACACCCAAACACUUUCAGAGGAAGCUUUGAUACAGAAACAAGAGAAACAUGUUGUUGUAGCAUAUCGAACGAUGUCUGAAAAUCAAGAACCCUACUUGGAACACGAUUGAUCAAAUACACAAUAGCCAAAACAGCAUGACCCCAAAAAUGAUUAGGAACACAUUUAUCCAACAUCAAUGAGCGAACAACUUCCAUUAUUUGACGAUUCUUCCGUUCGGACACACCAUUUUGUUGGGGUGUAAACGGAGUAGUCGUCUGGCGAAUAAUACCAUGAUCACGAAAAAAACAUGUCAAAGUGUGAUUCACAUAUUCUCCCCCAUUAUCAGACCUGAAGACCUUGACUUUGGUCUGAAAUUGAGUAGACACCAUUGUACAAAAUUCUUGAAGAAGUAACGGAACAUCACUCUUAUUCUUCAUCAAGAACACCCAAGUUAACCGAGUACAAUCAUCAAUAAAAGUAACAAACCAACAGAAUCCAUUAGAAGUAACUUUCGUUGGACCCCACACAUCAGAAUGUAUCAAAUCAAAUGGCAAAGUAGCUUUAGAAUCACUUACAGAAAAUGAAGCACGAUGACUCUUAGCCAUGACACAUGUUUCACACUUGAACUCUGAAUCACUACAAGUGCGAAACAAAGAAGGAAAUAGAUGUUUCAUAUAACUGAAUGAUGGAUGUCCCAAUCGUCGAUGCCACAACCAAAUUUGAUGUCUGUCAUCCACUUUAGCACUUAAAACUUGAUGAUUAUUUGAACCAGAAACAACAGUAUCCUCCAUAGUCAAGAUGUACAAACCCCGUAUUCUUUUACCAUGACCAAUAUCUUCUGAGUUUGAAUAUCUUGAAAAUAACAAUACGUAGGGUAGAAGUGAGCAGAACAAUAUAAGGUAUCAAGAAGUUUUCCUACCGACAAAAGAUUGCACUUAAGAUCAGGAACAAGUAAAGCACAGACCAAUGAUAAGGUUGGAGUCAGAGAGAUAGUGCCUUCACCCUUCACAGGGGAAUGUGCUCCAUUUGCAUUAGUAACAUACGGAUCACGAACAUAGUCACAUAACUCAUCAAACACUAUAGGGUCACUAGUCACAUGAUCAGUGGCCCAAGUAUCUAUUAUCCAUUUAUUUGUUCCACCAAGAUGCAUAAUAACACUAUGAUUAUAUUGAACCAUUGAACAAAAAUCACGAACAAUAAAGGCACAAAAGAUACGUAGUGGAAUGAAAACAAUUUACCAGAUACUGUAGCAGAGCACUGUUCAUGGCACUGUAACAGAGCACUGUUUUUACAGCACUGUAGAGGACCACUGUUCACAAAGCAGACCAUUGUUCACGCACUGUAUUGUAGCGCCACUAUUCACUUUUUAUUUUUUUUUAUUUUUUAUUUUUUUAUACGAAGGAAAUCACGAAAAAUGUGGGCACAAAAUUAAAGCACACAGGUCACCAAGAGCGAACUUCUCUGAUGCCAUAUUGAACUAAACAUGGUAAAUACCAAUAUUAAACUAAACAUGGUAAAUACCAAAAAUAUAUAUGACAAUAUUUGGGAAUUUCUUAUAUAUUCAUUAAUCUCCAAAGUGGAGUAUAUAUAGGAGUAACAAUUGGUAUUACAUAUGUAUUUCACCAAUGUGGGACAAUAAACUACUAUUUACACUCUAACUAAUAUAUAACUCGCAACAAAUACACGGGCCGUUGGAUUUUGAUCCAAUGACUACAAACAGGGGGCCCUCUGAAAGUUAUAAUAAUUGUAGUCGUUAGAUCAAAAUCCAACAACCCGUGUAUUUAGGUCAGGAGGCUCUGUCUCCUUUGCUCAGGAGGGGAUCCAAAUCCUCAUUUAUAAACGACUUAUGAUUAUUAGUGCAAUAAACAACUGCCAAAUGACGUCCAAACAAGAUGCCAAAUCCAGCAGCCAAAAGCUUAAGCAGCAUGUUGGACUAAAAUACUUGUUAAUGUUGCUACAAAAUGUCAUAUGGUCAUGUUUGUCAUUGUCACUAAAUUACACACUGAUAAGUACCAAGUGUUAAGUUUUAUGAAUCUUUAAGGUAACACUGGAGGAGAUUGAGUCUUAAGGAUGAGAUUUUGAUUGGCAAAGAUGGGUUACAUAACCCAUGUGUGUGGUUGGAUUACAUAACCUAUCGCAUUUUCUCUUAUUUCGGAUUUGUAGCCAAUCCAGUUUAGGAUACAAUUUUUCUCACCAAACAUUGGCUGGUUUACAAGUCCAAUUUAAUUGAAAAUAACUCAUCACAUCUUGUCCACCAAACAAGGCCUAAGAUAAUUCAUCACUAGCACCAUUGUAAGCUAAGUAACCGAUGUACUGGAUGAGGGCAUGAGGCCCAGGGCCCAUUACCUUUCCAGUUCUUUGGUAUCUCUGUCCUUAAUUAAUGAAUUAUGAGGGCACGGUCAAACAAUUAUUAAUUGGCACUGAAUGGCAUGCUAAAUUUGUCGUCUUAUUCAUCAAUUUCUUUUUUAAUAAGGUUUAAAAUUGACAAGGGACAUGUUUAUCAAUGCAUGCACUAACACGUAUCCGCAUAUCUUGAUUGUACGUAUAUGAUCCACGGACGGAAACCGAUAAUUAUUUUUUUUAAGAAACUUAUUUAAAAGAAAAUACUUGGAAAAAAGUUGUAAUUGUCAUUUUAAGAAUGUUUUAAAGACCGUCAAAUCUUAUCUCGCCUACAAAGCCCCUAUUUAUCUUAGCCGAACAGGGUGAGAAUUGUCAAUCGUUGUGCGGAAAAACAAAAAUUAUAAUACCCAGUCCCAAUCGCCAUCUCUUUCUGGUAAGUCAAUUGAAAUCUGAAUAUCAUGUUUCGUUUUAGGAGGGUGUAUUCAAUUAAGAAUUUAAAUUAUUGUAAAAGAUUUUGCAAGUAGAUACGUAUUCAAUCAAGAUCUUAAAUGAAUUCAUAGAAGUUCAUGCGUAUUCAAGCAAGAUCUUCAAAGAGUUUAUAAAACUUCAUAAAAAUCUGAGUGGCUGACACUGAUUAGUCUGAUUAUGUACUGCGAUAUAAGCCUUGCAUAGAAAAGGCCUCCGUCAAUUUUUUUGUAACUUAAUUUGAUUUUUUUAUAUGUUGCUUUGUAUCUCUAAUUCUUGUGAUUUUUGUUUUUCACAUUUGAUUUGUAUCCCUUAUACUCUCACAUUCACAUAGCAGUAGAAUUUGUGACUGGUAGAACAUGAUAUCAAUCUUGAUAAGUUAAUUUAUUGUGUAUUUAUAUAUAUAUAUAAAUUUUUUGGCGUGUAGUACAAAAUACGUUCUAAUAAUUUAAUUUAUUUAUUUGCAGACAAGGGUCUAAUUUAAUUUUAUUUUCAGCUUGGUUUUUCUCUGUCAUUUUUGUUCUAUGCCUUGUAUUAGGUCUUUAAUUUUUCUAUACAGCUUGACCAUGGCAAGGAUGAUGAACAAUGAUAUAGAUAACUACAACAGAGCUCUGAAGAAGAAAAGGAUGACAAACAUCGAUGAUGGACAAGAAAAAUACUCAUGCUUGGACCAAAAAGUCGUCCUGAGUGUUGACAUCUACCAUGCCGAAGGCCUCGACGGCCCUAAUUAUAGUACAAUAUGUUGUACUAAUAGGGUUUAUCAAUUUGUAUUAUGGGUUGAACCUGGCAAAGAGUACGAGUCAAAAUUUGUCUACGGGUCGCCAAACCCUAAAUGGAAUCGACAAGUGAAUUUCCAGCUCAGCGCCAGUCUUUUGGAAUGGGGAUCUCUACACGUGGAGAUCUUGAAGAAAGAUGACUCCGAGCCAGGGACCUCCAAUGGGAUAUCCGGUGUGAGUAGGACUAGAAUCCCAUUGCCGAAGAUCAACCAGAAAAAGGAAGGCAAGUUUGGAUUGACAAAAAGCGAAGGGCAUGUAUUGAAAGCCGAAGGACACAUUUUUUUGUCGAUGAAACUUGGUCAAUAUAUAAGCUUAGAUGAGUAACCUAGUUAGUUAGAUAGUUCCUCAUGAAAUUUGAUGAAGGUGACUUCCUUAUCUAGAUGUACUCGUACAAUUUAUUUUAUCCUAAUUCCAGUUUUGGACUUAUUGAUACAAAAAAAAAAAAAAAAAAAAAAAAACCAAAAUUAUAUGCAUAUGAUGCUUAAUUACUUUGAAAAAGCAAAUUAAAUCUGGAAUUUUCAACUUCCUAUUCUAUCUAAAGAUCUAAAAACAUAAUAAAGAUCGUAUACACAUCGGAAAUGCAAACCCACUUAAAAAGAAAACACAAGAAUUAGAAAUAACUAGUAGACGACAAAGGGCAUGCAAAAUAAUUGCGAUUAUGAAUAUUUGCGAUUAUUCAUGCACCCAAAUAAUUUGACAUGUAAUGAUUAUAGAUAAUCUUUAUCUAAAUUAUAUUGUCAUAGUAAUAGCUUAAUAUUUUUUUCCAAAGAAGUUUGGAUACGAAAAUUUUAAUGUAAUUACGUACCAUUUAUACUUGAAAUUUAUAUGGAAAUGUUUAGGUAAAAUUAAUAUUUGGGCAGCAUAUAUGGAGAAUGCCAUCAUAUAUAGUAAUUAAUGACGUAACAAAUUUUCCAAACAAGUUUCAGAUAAAAUAUUCAUGCAUCAUCCAACAAACAAAAAUAUCCAUGCAUUUUAGUUUAUCCAGUCAUGUAAUUACCUAAUUGCUUGUCAAUUACCCAAUAAGUACAAUUUAUAUUCGAUUUUAUAUAUGGAAAAUGUUAGGUAAAACAUUCUUAUUGCCACGUAUUUUUCCUAGUUUGUGAGUGUGACAUAGUUGACCAAUCAAAGAUUGCCAUGUAUGAGGUGGUCGUUGGCAAUGCUUUAAGGUGCGGCCAUAGCCCGCAUGCCAGACCUAGACGCCACUAUUUCCUAUAUAUACAUGCAUCAACUUUCAUCUUCGACUCAUGCACAAACUCUUUUUAUUUUUAUUUUUUCAUACAGUUUGGCUGCGACAAGGAUGAAAUCUGCAGAAGAAGAAGAAGAAGAGCACGACUCAUACCGGCAAGCCCUAAAGAGGAAAUCUGCAGAAGAAGAAGAAGAAGAGUACGACUCAUACCGACACGUAGUUUUAAAGGUAACAUUGUAAGUUGUUGCCAUAUCCAUUAAGAUAAUUCAUCAUCGGCACCGUUGUAAUCUAAUUAACUUAUGAAUUUGAGAGCACAGUUAAACAAUUAUUAACCGGCACAAAAUGACAUGAUGAAUUUGUUGUCUUAUUUGUCAAUUUCUUUUCUAUUAAGGUUUAAAACUGACGAGGAUAUGUUUAUCAAUACACGCACUAACAUGUUUUCGCAUAUCUUGGCCGUUUGUAUUUGAUCCAAUGACGGAAACCAAGUUUUUUUUAAGAAGCUUAUUUAAAAGAAAAUACUUGGAAAAAAGUUGUAACUGUCAUUUUAAGAAUUAUUAUUUUAAAGACUGUCAAAUCUUAUCUUAGUUACAAAACACCUAUUUAUCUUCGCCGAACAUUGUGUGGAGAAACAUGGAUACACUAUUAUAUCCAGUCCCAUCUCUUUUUGGUAAGUCCAUUGAAAUUUGUAUUUCGUGUUUUGUUUUAGGAGGGUGUAUUCAAUUAAGCGAAAAUAAUUGUUAAAGAGUUUACAAAUCCAUAUGUAUUUAAUCAAGAUCUUAAAUGAAUUCAUAGAAGAACAUAGGUAUUCAAUCAAGAUUUUAAAAGAGUUUAUAAAACUUCAUAAAAAUCUGAGCAGCCAACAUUAAUUAUGUACUACGAUGUACCUACACAAGAAGUCUUGUACAGAAAAGGCCUCCAUCAUUCAAUUUGUAAAUUAAUUUGAUUUUUUUUAUGUUGCUUUAUAUCCCUGAUUCUUGUGAUUUUUCUUUGUUCAUAAGUUAAUUUAUUUUGUAUUUAAUUUAUUUAUUUUAAUUUUUCUUCGGCGUGUAGUACCAAAUACGUUCAAGUAAUUUUAUUAUUUUGCAGAUAAGGGUCUAGCUUUCUUUUUGCUUGGUUUUUCUCUGUCAUUUUUGUUCUAUGCCUUGUAUUAGGUCUUUAAUUUUUCUAUACAGCUUGACUAUGGCAAGGAGGAUGAACAAUGAUAUACAUAACUACAACAGAGCUCUGAAGAAGAAAAGGAUGACAAACAAGGAUGAUGAACAAGAAAAAUACUCAUACUUGGACCAAAAAGUCGUCCUGAGUGUUGACAUCUACCAUGCCAAAGGUCUCGAUGGCCCUAAUUAUAGUACAAUAUGUUGUACUAAUAGGGUCUAUCAACUUGUCUUACGGGUGGAACCUAGCAAAGAGUACGAGUUGAAUUUUGUCUAUGGUUGCCAAACCCUAAAUGGAAUCUACAAGUGAAUUUCCAGCUCAACAUCAGUCUUUUAGAAUGGGGAUCUCUACACGUGAAGAUCAUGAGGAAAGACGAGUCUGAGCUAGGAACCUCCAAUGGGAUAUCCAGUGUGAGCAGGACUAGAAUCCCGUUACCAAAGAUGAACCAGAAAAAGAAGGCAAGUUUGGACUGGUAAAGAGCGAAGGACAUGUACUGAAGGCUGAAGGACACUUUUUUUUUUGUUUAGGUCAAUGAAACUUGGUCAAUAUAUAAGCUUGGAUGAGUAAUCUAAUUAGUUAGAUAAUUCCCCAUUAAAUCCGAUGAGGGUGACUUACUUGUCUAGACGUACUCAUACAAUUUCGGGAACUUUAACGAAAAGUUUCUGGUACUGUUCACUUUAAUGAAAAACCAUAUUUUUACACUAAAAAGUCAAUCAUGGUACUAUUUAUUUUACCAUUUAUUUUAUUAUUUUCACUAAAAGUCAAGUCAUUUUCAUUAGUUUCCCUUUUAUUUUAUCUUAAUUGCAAUUUUGGACUUCUUGAUACAAAAAAAAAAAAAAAAAAAACUAAAAUUAUAUGCACAUGAUGCUUAAUUACUUUGAACAAGCAAAUUAAAUCUGGAAUUUUCAAUCUCCUAUGAUUGGAUAGAUUCUAAAGAUCUAAAAACAGAAUUAAGAUGCAUCUACUCACUCGAAAAGAAACACACAAGAAUUAGAAAUAAUUAGUAGACGACACAUGAGAUGCAAAAUAGUUGCAAUUAUGAAUAUCCACGUUUGUUUAUCGUAUAAAUUUGACAUGUAAUGAUUAUAGCUUAAUAUUUUUUCCAAAUAAAGUUGAAUAUGAAAUAACUAGUAGACAACAAAAGACAUGUUAAUAUUCACGAUUAUGAAUAUUUGCGGUUACUCACUCAAAUAAAUUUGACGUUUCAUGAUUAUAGAUAACCGUUUAUCUAAGUUAUAUUGUUAUAGUAAUGUUUAAUCAAUUUUCCAAAGAAGUUUCUUUUUUGAUCGAAUUCCAAAGAAGUUUCAAUAUGAAAUGUUCAUGCAUUGUGACUUUUUAAGUAACCAAUUCCCAAUACCUAAUUUGUUGUCACCUAGUAAUUACGUACCAUUUAUACUGAAAUUUAUAUGAAAAUGUUUAGGUUAAAGUAAUAUUUGGGCAGCAUAUAUGGAGAGUGCCAUCAUGUAUAGUAAUGACGUAAUAAAUUUUCCAAACAAAUUCGGUUGAUGCACAAAAUCAGCGAGGAUUUUAGUACAACAGAAAGUGUUAAGUUUGUGAUUUUCGCUAGAUUGCUCCGGUCACUAGUGUGGAUAAGUAUGUAAAUGGAUAGAGACAGGGAAGCAAACACAAGAUGUACGUGGUUCACCCAGAUUGGCUACAUCCACGGAGUAGAGGAGUUCUCAUUAAUUGUGAAGGGUUUACACAAGUACAUAGGUUCAAGCUUUCCUUUUGUGAGUACUAGUGAAUGAUUUAGUACAAAUGACAUUAGUAAAUAUUGUGAGAGCAUGAUCUCUAUUUAUAGAAGAGAGUUUCUAAUUUCAUUCUGACAUUAACACGUGUCGUGUUGUGAUUGGCUUUUGAUGUUGACAUGUGUCACUCUAUGAUUGGCUUCUGAUGUCGACACGUAUCGCGUUAUGAUUGGCCUUCUGGUUCGAAGGAAACUCUUCUGGGUCCUUGACGGUAUAACGUUGACCGGUGCUCAGUAGUUUCGGGAUUGGUCAAGUAUGGUACAAACAGUGCUCCCUUAAGUUCCCGAGUGAGGGAAGCUCCUCGGUUGGGGACUUGCAAGAUCCAAGCCAUUGAGUAAUCACGAAACUUCUAAGUACCGAAGUGUGGUAUCAUUUUCACUUGUCUUAUCUGUCUCAUAUGUAGAUAUGACAUCUUCUCUGGAAGUACUUUUCCUCCAUCCAGGGGUGGUAUCUUUAACCGAUGAAGAUGCACAAGGUAAUGUAUCAAUUUCACUUGAAGCUUACUUGUAGUUUUGGGCUUGGUCAAGUGAGAAAUAAACCCUAUAGUAUGAGUCCCCCAAGUCACCGAGUUAGGACAUUUACCGAAAGAGGUAAUAGAUAAGGUAAGCAAUCAAACUUCCAAGCAAGCAACCUGGAUCGGAGGUUCCCAAGUCACGACACGUGUCGCGCUGUGAUUGGCCUCCUGGUUGGAAGGAAACUCUUCUGGGUCCUUGACGAUAUAACGUUGACCAGUGCUCAAUAGUUUCGGGAUUGGUCAAGUAUGGUACAAACAGUGCUCCCCUAAGUUCCCACUGAGGGAAUCUCCUCGGUUGGGGACUUGCAAGAUCUAAGCCAUUGAGUAAUCAUGAAACUUCUAAGUACCGAAGUGUGGUAUCAUUUUCACUUGCCUUAUCUGUCUCAUACGUAGAUGUGGCAUCUUCUAUGGAAGUACUUUUCCUCUAUCCGGGGGUGGUAUCUUUAACCGAUGAAGAUGCACAAGGUAAUGUAUCAAUUUCACUUGAAGCUUACUUGUAGUUUCGAGCUUUGUCAAGUGCGAUACAAAACCCUAUAGUAGAAGUCCCCCAAGUCACCGAGCUAGAAGAUUUACCGAAAGUGGUAACAGAUAAGGUAAGCAAUCAAACUUCCAAGCAAGCAACCUAGAUCAGAGGUUCGACUUCGACUUCCGGUUAAUUGUUCUCCUUCUCCUUGUGUCAUAAACAGCAACAAGGAUAAAGAGAAGCAAAUGGAGAAGAGAUGAUAUGAGAUACUUUUGCUUUUGAAGAAGUAACUUUCCACAGGUUUAUUCUUGAACUAGGCUGGAGGGUUUUCUGGUUUCCUCCAGAGUAUAAGGCCGACUCAAGAAUUUGAGAGUCAAAACAAGUCCAUCAAAUCAAGAGUGCAUUCGACCUUGAUGAUAUGAGAUACUUUUGCUAUUGACGAAGUGAUAGAUGAAUCGGCACGUGUUUUGUUGCGCUUGUCUCCACAUGCUUCCUUGUAUCCUUCUCACUUGCCCUAUAUGUUCCUCAGGCAGAUGUGGUAUCUUUUCUGGAAGCAUAAGAUGUUGAAGAUUAGUACUCGAGAGCAAUGCCGGGUAAAUAAUCAGGUAAGAGGUUUCAGGCAGUCAGUUUCUAACUAGAAGCUUGAUUCCAAGUGCUGACUGAUUGCUCUCUUUCUCAUUGUCUUGCAGGUAAGAACAAGGGCAAAGGAAAAGACAAGGAAAAAGCAUGAUAUGAGAUACUCUUGCUUUUGACCCUGAUGAUAUGAGAUACUAUUACUCUGGUGUGGCUAGUUUGCAUAGGUAUUAUUGGGGGGAAGAAAGCUGAGUAUUUCGAGAGGCUUCGUUAGGAAUGCCCUCUCAGAUAUGAGGAAGGGUUGAGCAUCUUUGCAAGUAUGCCUGUCCGUGGAGAAUGGAGGUCGACAUAUAUAGGAGUCUCCCUAACAACAAGUAGUAAUGUUAUUCCUUUACCCUUCUUGGUCGUAGCAAUGUAGUGGGAGCUGCAAGCUUCACAUGUUUUAACUUUGUCAGAGCACUUUGAAAAAAUGGUAUGUGGUAUCUGGAAAGCUGAUGUUGCGUGUGAAGAUUGCAUACAAGCUUUAUCCAAGGAAAUCUGGCUCUCGAAGUUCGGAGAGCGAUGCCUCUUCGGUUUUGGAACAAGCAAUCUUGUCGGGGAUCUGGCUCUCGAGAUUCGGAGAACGGUGCCUCUUCGAUUUUUGAGAAAGCAAUCCUGUUGGGAGUCUGACUCUUGAGAUUCGGAGGGCGGUGCCUUUUCGAUUUUUAAGCAAGUAAUCCUGUUGGGUGUCUGGCUCUCGAGAUUCGAAGAGCGGUGCCUCUUUGAUUUUUGAGCAAGCAACCAUACUAUUGCCCACAAGGAUAAAAGAACAGCACAAUUGCUUGAUAACUAGAAAGUCCCUGUGUGUGUCAACCUCUGUGCUCUGUGGCAAGGCAGAUUGGCAAAAAUGCCCAACCUUUACUCACAUUCGAGAAAACAUUCCUAACAAGAUUGCUUGCUCAAAAAUCGAAGAAGCACCACCCUCCGAAUCUCGAGAGCCAGACUCCCAACAAGAUUACUUGCUCAAAAAUUGAAAAGGCACAUCUCUCUGAAUCUCGAGAGCCAGACUCCCAACAGGAUUACUUGCUAAAAAUUUGAAGAGGCACCGCUCUCCGAAUCUCAAGAGCCAGACUCCCAAUAGGAUUGUUGUCUUAAAAAUCGAAGAAGCACCGUUCUCCGAAUCUCGAAAGUCAGAUCCCCGACAGGAUUGCUUGUUCGAAAACCGAAGAGGCACCGCUCUUCGAACUUCGAGAGCUAGAUUUCCUUAGAUAAAACUUGUCUGCAAUCUUCACACGCAAUAUCAGCUUUCCAGAUACUACAUACCACUUUUUUAAAGUGCUUUGACAAAUUUAAACACGUGAAUCUUGCAGCUCCCACUACAUUGCUAUGAUCGAGAAUGGUAAAUGAACAACGUUACCACUCGCUGUUGGGACAAUUCCUAUAUAUGUCGACCUUCAUCCUCCACAGCCAGACAGACUUGCAAAUAAAAAAAAAUGCUCAACUUUUCUUCACAUCCGAGAAGGCACUCCCACAAAGUCUCUCGAAAUACUCAGCUUCUUUUCCCCUGAUAAUACCUCUGCAAACAAGCCACAUCAAAGCAAGAGUAUCUCAAUGUGGAUUAUAUAUAUAUAUUCUAAUAACUUACAUAUUUAGGCAAUACCUAAUAUAUAUUGUUGAUUUAUGUAACAUGUCAUUUAUCACACAACAGAAUAAAUUAUUUAUUUAUAGAAGGCAUAUAGUACAAUAUUUUGUCUUGAAAAACUUUAUCAAUUUGAUUUAUUCAUCAUACGGUUGUACUUAUACUAUCAUUUAUUGUCAAGAAUUAUUGAGCAACUAGAUCCACUGAUCAACAUUGUUACUGAUUAAAGAAGCCUAUUAACUUAUAAACUGAUGAGCCACAUGCUCAUGGUGAUCUCUUGUCUUACCGGAAACCCACUUGCUCGGACAUUCGCUUAUUGGGACACCUAUAUGUCUGGAUCCAACUUGAUGACCCUACAGAUAGCCCCAACUCGAUGACCCUACGUAUGGCCCCGACUCAAGGACCCGACUUGCAGACCCGAUACGAGGAUCUGAUACAGAGACCCAAAAUGCGAACCCGACAAGCGGACCUGAGUCAUGUUGAGAAUCAACUCAUACUGAGUGCAUGUCGACGUAAAGUAAAUACUUGCAAUGAGGAAUACCACGAGCCGAGCCACCUUAUAGUGAUCAUAGCCUCUAGCCGAGCCGCCUCGCAACGAGUAUUGCCUUCAGCUGAGCAAACACCUCGCCGUGAGCAUAGCCUCGCAACGAGCAUCGCCUCCAGCCGAGCAGUCUCGUAACGUGUGAUACCUCUAGCCGAGUAUUGCUUUAUGUUGAGCAUUGUCUUGGGUUGAGUACUGGUUCAAGACAUCUAACCACUUCAGCGCGUACAUGGAUUGGAUUUGAAGUUUCCAGCCAAAAGACUCUAUUGACUGAAGACUUUGGGGAUUAUUGUUGGUACCAUACAUAUUUGGGCUCAACAUUUGGGCCUCAUCACCCAGCCCAUAAUUAUGUAAAAGGAGGAGCCCCUUAUUCUAUAAAAGGGGACUCAUCCCCCUCAUAAGGAGGACUCAGUGAACCCAACAAAAGGCAAUACCCUCACAAACUCUCCCAAAUUCUCUCUUUCUCUGGGGGACUCCCCCUCACCCUUGUAAUCCAUACAUAUAGUCAGAGAAAUACAAUCAAUGUGGACGUAGCCCAAACCUUGGGGUGAACCACGAUACAUCUUGUAUUAUUUACAUUUCUUGCAGAUUCACGGUCGGAUUUACAUGUACCAAGACCUCCGGUUUUGUGCAUCAACAGGUUCCACACAAAAUAUUCAUGCAUCUAUCAACAAACAAAAAAAUGCUAAAUUUUAUUUUCUCCAGUCAAGUAAUUAAAAUUAUGUAAUUGCUUGUUACCCAAUGAGUACAAUUUAUAUUGAAUUUUAUGUGAUGCUUAAUGGUAGAGAACCGUGACUUGUCAUCAGUUGUCCUCAUUUAAAAAAAAAAAAACUAUUGUCAUUUAGUAUGACGGUCUAAUGGUAUUCAUUUUCACUUGUAAGUGAGAGAUUUUAGGUUUGAUUCUCGCAAAAAACAAUUUUGAACCACAUUAUUGUUAGCUAGGCUAAGCUCACCCUCUCCUCUUAAUGUAGAUAAUAUAUAAUAUCGUUUGUUAAAAAAAAAUAAUAACUAUUACAAACAGAAAUGUUCUUAAUCCCUAAUCUUCAAGGACUCUUUUAGAGCAGUUUUAGCGUGGGAUAUACCUAUAAACGGGUUGGGUUUACUGGGUUUGGGUUGGGUUCAAUCCGACCUGUUAAGUUAACGGGUCACCCGAACCCGACCCGUUAAGCUAACGGGUCACCCGUUUCACCCACUCGAACUUAUCCUCCGCCAUUAAUGCCCUCUCUACAUCCACUCAUUCCUUACUCGCUGCUGCUCGACUCACUGCCUCUCCAAACUCGGCCGGUCUAUCGAAUCCGAAAUUCAAGCUUGGAUCGACCGCGAAUGCUUGGAUAGCUUGACACGAGCUAUGGAAGAGAACCCAAUUUGCAACGAGGACGAGUUGAUCAAGCUACUGACUCAAUUCAAGGACCGAGUUGCGUAGGGGUUCAACCAUGAGUUGCGAGAUUUGAUCUUGAAGUUCAAAGUUGUCACCUCGCUCGAGUUAGUUCUGUGCGAGUUGACUAGGUCAUCGAAGCGAGUUAGAGAACAUUGUACUUUCGUCAUUGCAGCUCUGAUCAAGUUCAAUAAAGAAGUUUUCGUGGGUCAAGUUUUGAUGGGUCGGCCCACGAUCAGCUCUCUGAUAAAAAUCGCGUCUACGAACUUGAUCAGGGUACUCUGCGCGCUCUUCAGGCUGAUCAAAUCGCCGCUCGUCGACGAGAUCGAGUUCAACGGAGAAAUACCUAAGUUCAUAAGCUUCCUGAAUUCCAAAGAUUUAGAAAUGUGAGUGAUGACGAUGGUCUGCGUGUUCAAAAUCGGGUAUUUCGGGCGGAAUGAGGCUAUUGACGUUUAACGCGAUGCUACAUGAGGGGUUGAUUGAGAAGCUUGUGGAGUUGUAGAGGUCGGAGCAUGGCAAUGAUUUAAUGAGGGAGAGCACGGCGGUGAUUUGAAAUUACACAAAAGUCCUCAAUAAACGAGUGAAACGGGUGAUGAUCGGGUUUCGCGAGUUCACCCAAAUAACUUGUUAUUUAACGGGUUGACCCCUUAACCACCCGACCCAUUUAUCACUCACCCGAAAACUAAUUUUAACGGGUCGGGUCAGGUCGGGUCGAGUCGGGUUGGGUUAAUAGGUCGGGUUGAAAAUGCCAGGUCUAGCGUGGGAGCCCUCCCUCCCAGGCAAUCCACUAUUCAAUCCACCCAGUGAAUAGUAACUGCCCUUAAUGAACAGUAAUUGCCUUUUGCAUCUCCAGUGUGGGAGCCCUCCCCUUGGUAAUAAGCAAUAAAAUAUUAGUAUUUUUUUAUUUAUAAAAUAAUACAAAAUAAUUUUAUUUGUAAUUUCGGAUAAGAUUUUUAAUCGUUCUCGUUGCGUCACGUGUCAUAAUCUGAAAAGUUAUAAAAUAAUACAAAAUAAUUUUAUUUGUAAAAUAAUUCAAAAUAAUGAGAAGGUAUUUAUAGAAAAGUAAAAAAAAAUUAAAAAUUUUCAGAUAAUUUUUCAGAUUUUUAACAAUUUUUUAAUUCAAAUAAUUAAUCUAUGCCGUUGGAUUUAAAAAAAAUGAAUUCCAACAUUCCAGAUUGUGCCACGUGUUACAACAAUAACUUUUCUUAAUUUUAAAACUAUUUUUUUUUAUAUUUAUUUAUAAAGAAUAUUAAUAUCGACCGUUGAUCUCGGAUCGAAUGGUUGAUAUUAAAUAAGAUUUUUUUUUUACCGUUGAGAUUUAACGGUCCAAGUUAAAGAACCAUUGAGAUCGAACGGACCGUGGGAAGCCACAUGGCUUCCCAACCGUAACAUUCAGACUGAAAAGUGGGCUGCUUUUUCUGAAAAGAUGUCGGACGACACGCCCCCACGCCAGAGUGGGGUGCACGCACCUGACAGAAAAAAAUAAAAAAAGGGCCUGCUGAAGGGUGAUAGCCAAUCCACUCGGGCUUGCGGGCUGGUAAUUCUUCACCAACCCGGAGCUCGGGCUUCCACCUCAACUCGGGCUCCUUCACGCUGGAGCGAAUCCACAUGGCCUCGGGCCCUUUUCUCUGGCCUGUCCCCCGACCAAUCCACCACGGUGGAGUUGCUCUUUCAGUUGAGAAACGCGUUUACUAUCGGUAAUUUUACUAUUUACUUUUUGCUAAGAAAGUUAGGGCGUGCUUGACAUGUCGGAUAACACACCAGAUAGUUCUAUUUAAUACUAUCCGGUGUUUGGUGUCAAUCCGUAUUAAAUAAGCAUCGGAUUAUUUAUGCGGUCCGGCCUAUUUUAUAUGACGUACGCUGAAUAACUUAUACACUCCAAAUCGUCGGUAUUAAUUAGUCGGGUCGCUGAAAUCAAAAUCAAGCUAGCUCAUUUUCCAUCCCUCUUGCUAGUUUUAAAUUGUGAAACUCAUUGUCAUAAAUGUUCUUCAAUCUCCUUUUGAGGAAGUAAAUGAACAUGAUAAUCUUUGAUGAAUUGAGUUUUUAAUCCAGUAUUGCACUAAAUGCUCGAUUAAAUAGUAUGUAAUCUCGACUAAAUAGUCAGUACUAUCUGAUGACAAAUUAUCCUAUUCGACUGAAAUAGUCCGUACCGUCCGAGUUCCUAAACAAAACCUUAAUAUAUAAGGGAAGGUAUAUUAUCGUCAUCAUACCGAUUGGCACCAUCCCCCGCAACAAAGCAACAAUCCCAUCAAUCCUUCUUACCCAUUAUCCAACGCACCCUCAGCACCAUCCCCACUAGCGCACGUUAGAACAGAGACGCUUUAACCCCAUGGCUUCCUCCCGCCCUCCGCCGCAGAAGCCGCUCGAUCUCGACCUCACGAUCGUCUCCGCCAAGCAUCUCAAGAACGUCAACUGGAAGAACGGCGACCUCAAGCCCUACGCCGUCUUCUGGGUAGACCCCGACCGCCGGCUCGCCACCAAGUCCGACGACUCCGGCUCCACCCGCCCGGUCUGGAACGAGCGGUUCACCGUCCCGCUCACCCUCUCCCUCCACGACUCCUUCCUCACCCUCGAAAUCUUCCACUCCAAACCCUCCGAAACUUCCAAGCCCUUAGUCGGCACCCUCCGGGUCCCACUCAAGGACCUGCCCGAUCAGGACGACUCGACCCGAAUCCGGACCUUCCAGCUCGUCCGUCCCUCCGGCCGUCCCCAGGGCAAGAUCCGUGUUAAGCUUGCCGUUCGAGAACGACCUUUGCCGCCAGAUUACCAUAUUAGCCCUCCUCCUAGCUACUUUUACGGAGGUGCCCCUAUGCCCCCACCGCCUGUUCGCGACUUCAGGUCAUACUCGCCGUCGUCGUACAGCUCUACUUUACCAGCUUCCGCUCCUAGUCCAUCGGCUUCGCCACCGCCUCCGCCUCCGCCUUACCAUUACAGCUCCUAUUCCGAUCCGUACUCGGGUUACUAUCCAGCGUACUACUCCAGUGCGCCACCGCAUCCACCAAGGCCGUUCUUCGACCGACCGGUGAACUAUGGCGGGCCUAGUGGGCCUUCAGCGCCAUUGGACUACUCAAAUUAUGACCAGAAUCAGAAGCCCAAAAGUGGGAAGAUGGGAUUGGGCACCGGAUUGGCUGUGGGCGCAGUGGCCGGAGGUCUUGGUGCAGUGGCAUUGGAUGAGGGGUUGAGGUACGAGGAAGAUAAGGUUGCACAGAGGGUGGAGAAUGACCUGCGCGAGCGUGACGAGUACAGCAAUUAUCAUGCCGAUUAUUGAUUGAAUCGGGGUUUAGCCGUUUUGGUAUGGUUUAAUUACUAAAGCGCAAUGUUAAUUUGCCGGUUCACAGUGUAUAUGUAUAUAUGUUUUUAUGUGGAAUUUGGUUUGGGGCUUUUGGAUUGCUGAAUGAAUUAAGACAACGGUUUAAACUUUAUUGUUAAGUGGGUGUUUUAUUCGAUGGAAUGAGUGUUUAUGUAUCUUGGAAUGAAUUGUGUUAUUGAUCAUCUUGGAAUGAAUUGUGCGUUUGAUCAUUCUUGGAACGAAUUGUGUGAUUGAUCAUUUUAGAAUGAAUAGCGGGAUUGAUUGUCUUGGAAUGAAAUGCAUGAUUCAUCUUGGAAUGAAUUGCGUGAUUGAUUAUCUUGGAAUGAAUUGUGCGUUUGAUCACUCUUGGAACGAAUUGUGUGAUUAAUCAUAUAAAUGAAUAGCGGGAUUGAUUGUCUUGGAAUGAAAUGCAUGAUUCGUCUUGGAAUGAAUUGCGUGAUUGAUCAUCUUGGAAUGAAUUGUGCGUUUGAUCACUCUUGAACGAAUUGUGUGAUUAUCAUUUUAGAAUGAAUAGCGGGAUUGUCUUGGAAUGAAAUGCAUGAUUCGUCUUGGAAUGAAUUGCGUGAUUGAUCAUCUUGGAAUGAAUUGUGCGUUUGAUCAUUCUUGGAACGAAUUGUGUGAUUGAUCAUUUUAGAAUGAAUAGCGGGAUUGAUUGUCUUGGAAUGAAAUGCAUGAUUCGUCUUGGAAUGAAUUGCGUGAUUGAUCAUCUUGGAAUGAAUUUGUGCGUUUGAUCACUCUUGGAACGAAUUGUGUGAUUAAUCAUAUAAAUGAAUAGCGGGAUUGAUUGUCUUGGAAUGAAAUGCAUGAUUCGUCUUGGAAUGAAUUGCGUGAUUGAUCAUCUUGGAAUGAAUUGUGCGUUUGAUCACUCUUGGAACGAAUUGUGUGAUUAAUCAUUUUAGAAUGAAUAGCGGGAUUGAUUGUCUUGGAAUGAAAUGCAUGAUUCGUCUUGGAAUGAAUUGCGUGAUUGAUCAUCUUGGAAUGAAUUGUGCGUUUGAUCACUCUUGGAACGAAUUGUGUGAUUAAUCAUAUAAAUGAAUAGCGGGAUUGAUUGUCUUGGAAUGAAAUGCAUGAUUCGUCUUGGAAUGAAUUGCGUGAUUGAUCAUCUUGGAAUGAAUUGUGCGUUUGAUCAUUCUUGGAACGAAUUGUGUGAUUGAUCAUUUUAGAAUGAAUAGCGGGAUUGAUUGUCUUGGAAUGAAAUGCAUGAUUCGUCUUGGAAUGAAUUGCGUGAUUGAUCAUCUUGGAAUGAAUUGUGCGUUUGAUCACUCUUGGAACGAAUUGUGUGAUUAAUCAUAUAAAUGAAUAGCGGGAUUGAUUGUCUUGGAAUGAAAUGCAUGAUUCGUCUUGGAAUGAAUUGCGUGAUUGAUCAUCUUGGAAUGAAUUGUGCGUUUGAUCACUCUUGGAACGAAUUGUGUGAUUAAUCAUAUAAAUGAAUAUCGGGAUUGAUUGUCUUGGAAUGAUAUGCAUGAUUCGUCUUGGAAUGAAUUGCGUGAUUGAUCAUCUUGGAAUGAAUUGUGUGAUUGAUCCCGAAUAGUUGGUACAGUUCCAGGUUUGGUUGAUUGGUUUACUAGCGUUUUGAGCUACUUUGUGUUCCAGGAGCAUGUUGAAACUUUAAAUAGAGUAGUUUUUAGAAUGAAAGCACCAUUUGGAAUGAAGAAGAAUGCCAGCCAUGGUAGGCGUUGAGCUUACAGCUGAUUGAGGUCUUUUUAUGGAGCUUAGUUAGAUUUUUAUCCUUGCAACUAUGAACGUUAGAUUUCUCUGUAUGGAUUCUAUGGAACCACGGCUAAAUAUCUCUUGCAUUCUUUUCUGUGGAUCUUAAUCGAGUUGUUUAAAUGACUGGUAUAUGAUUAAAGGUUAUCUUAGAGACCGAUUUAUUACCAUUUCGUUUUUAGAUUUCCUCGUUUUGUUAGAGAUGAAAGAGAAGUACAUUAGAGAAAAGAAAGAUGAAGAAGGGCGGAGGAAUGAUGACGGGAGGGGUGUGGAAAAUGUAUUUUGAAUGGCACACAAGAAAAAAAACGAAAAACCUUUUCAACCUUCUGGAGUCCAUACCUUUCUCGGUAUUUUGGCUAAGAUCUAGUGGAACAGUACAAAGACUCUUCCACGGCAUGUAAAACGGUUUGCUUGCCCAUAGAGGAGACGAUGAAAAGCUUUGGGAUCCUUGGCCGUACAUUAACUGGAGUUCUCUUCUCAGUGCAUCUGUUAUGCUGAGUAACAAAUUGGGAUGGCUUUAUGCCAGAGAUACCAAAGUUUAGGUGAAGGGAUAUUGCUUUCUUAACAAGAAAGUUAAAUCUUUCAAGUUCGAAGGUGCACAAAAUACUGCCCGAAAGAGCUGACGCUCUCUCGGGCCUUGACCUUCACCUUUUUCUCCUCGUCAAAACAAUGUCCAAAGCGGGAAUUACAGCACCUCUUUUCGGUCUACUUCGCAAACUUCUCAUGAUCUUGUCGAGUCAGUGGAGGCUCUAAGAUCCAAUAUGAGGAUGAAGAGUUGCGGGGACUAUUGUGCUAGUUAUACUGACUGGGAUUUUGCAGAUGCCAAUAGUCUGUCGGAGAAGGCGAGGGAGGAAGGGGCGGUGAGACUGGUGACUAAGGAGGAGGAUUUUGAAUUCUUGAAUGGGAGCUUUAACGAAAAGCUUCUGGUAUUGUUCACUUUAACGAAAAACCACAUUUUUUACAUUAAAAAGUCAAUUUUAGUACUAUUCACUCUACUCUUUAUUUUGUCCUUAUCGUUAAAACUCAAAAUUUUCAAACCAUUUUUAUUAGUUUUCUUUUCUUAAAUUGUAACAAACGACGUAUGGAUCAAAUAUUAACAACAUAUACUGACGGCAUUUCGAUCAACUAUUGACAUGUAUCAAUCGAGUAUUGGUGACAUAUUGAUUGGUGUAAUAUUGACUGAAUACAAAUGAUAAUAUGGGCAAGAUACACUUUCGAGUUAUAACUUUUUGUAUUGAAUCGUUUUAACCCUGUUUAUUUUUUAUUUUUUGUACACAUAUAUUUACAUUAAGAGAGCAGAGAAAUAAAUUGGUACCUUAGUCAUCAUCCACGAAAAUUGAAACUAAGACUACUUACUUACAAAUAAAGACUAAUAUUAUUAUAUCGCACUACUAAGUGGCUUUAUCCGUUCAAAUUUUGUACCCGCAAUUUGUUCCCCUUUUUAAGCUCUCAGUGUAGAAGUACCUAUUUUCUUAAGCCGACGUGGCCACCUUACGUAUCUGAGCCCAAAACCAAAUAAACACUAUUUUGGGCGUAGUGGAAUGGGCUUAUCAUCAGAAGGCAGACUUGACACACAAACCAUGUCAUUGCCAAGCCCAUCUUAGUAAAUGUACUAUUAUUUUUCUUGGCCCUUGCAAAAUUCAACAUAGGGAAAGGGAUAGUAUUGCCAUUUUUUUUUUAACAAACGAAAUUAUCUGCACUAAGGGGAUGGAUGAAUGAGUUAAGUCUCACAAUGGACUAUCAAUAAUAUGGUAUUCAUUUUCAUUGGUAAGUAAAAGGCCUUAGGUUCGGUUCUUACCUUCUUUUUUGAACAAACACAUCCCUUUCCUUAUGUUGAGUUUUGCAAAUUGCCACUUAAUACUACAGUAGUAAUGGUAUUCCUCAAAAGAGACCUGACAAAACACAUCAAUUCCUAAAUUUCCGAGGACGUAAGCUAUAUCUUAUAUUUGCAUGCAAAUUAUUGAUAAUAAUAAAAUAGCCAUACAUGCGAUGUCAAAUUAUAAUUUGUCCACAAAACAAAAUAACUCCUUAUCUCUACGAAGCAAUUUGUUCUCUUAUUCCAGAUGAGUGGACCACAGACUGGAUGAGGGGACCUAUUUGUAGACAACUGAAGAUUUGAUCAAAUUGUCGUUGAGUUUGUGCUCCACAAUCACCAUAUACAUUUCCAAUUCCCCAGAACAUAUGCGUAUGUGUGGAAACAAAUCAUGGUGUCCAAUCUACUCGUCCCAAAAAGAUGCAUAUUUUAUCUUGGAACUCAAGUGGAUUGGAAUUGAAUUCCAAUACAUUUUGAUAUCAAAAACUUACCUUUUUAUUUUUUUUAUUUUUUAAUAUAUAUAUAUAAAUUAUUGGAUGAAUGAUGUUACAUGAUUAGAUUACAAUAUAAUCAGAUUCUUUAUCCAAAGGGAUUUUUCAAUUUUUGGUAAAAAUUGAGACUAAUUGUAUGGCCCAAUCCACAUCGAACUUUAAGAUCCGAAUCAUCUAUUUUUCAAGUUGCACUUUACAGAUCAUCCUUUUAAAAUAUUAACCAAUUCGGAAAAGUUUAAGGCAUGUAAUUGAGUUCAUAGAAAUUGACGAACAUUAUAUUAUAAGAUACAUUGAAAUUUCACCAUAACAAUCAAAUGAGUAAAUGGUUUCAAAUUGUUGAAGUUCGAUGUACAAUGGACCCAACAACUAGUCCUAAUUUUUACAAAACUUGGAGAUUGCUUCGCAAUAUAAUUAAACAAAUUAUUUUGGCACGGCUCAUGGGGAAUGAGAACAUGAACAUCUUAUCUUAUAACCCUUUCCAAUGCGUAACAUUCGUUAUUCUUCUUGUUUAUUUUUUCUUUGACUUAGAUUGUGUGUGACAAUGUUGACCCUAAAACUAUUUAGCCUAUAAGUUAACUAUGUCAUUCAGUCGAAUGCGGGGCGUGCCAACUCGUUGGUUGAACUCGGCAGAGGAGUGAAUGAAUGUUGAUGUGGCGUUGGGUGCGCUGAUGGCUUCUAAAUCUUGCGAUUGCGGCCGAGGAAGGAACAUGUCUCGGCCUUCGGGUUCUAGAGCCUAAAGACAAGGCUACUAGUUUUGAGAAGUUCACGAAUCGUCAGCACUAGGUUCGGCAACUGUAAUUAUAUUCGUGAGAAUAUAAGCGCCGAAUCAGUACGAGACUAUCUGGACACAAAUACUCAAAAGAGAUGUGUGUCUUGAUUGUAAAUAUGGUUCGGCCGUUUGAAUGCCGAACUCUGAAAUGCACUUGUGAAUAUCCACUCAUAAAACAAGUUCGGCUUUCAAUGUGCCGAACUGUCGUGACUUGGUAACACUUCAUUUCGCCGAGAAGGCUGAUGGGAUGACCUUUACCAACAAGGACUCAGAGAUUCCUUGCUGACCAAGACUUGGAUAGAUAACUAGUCAGUUACGAAGCAGUGCUGUUUAUCCAAACUGAAGGUACUCCUCAAUCGGUUGAUUAGGCUUAAAUGCUAUUUAUCUAAACUGAAGAUGUUGCUGGUUGCCCCACAAUGCGGUUUAUCCAAAAUGCAGAUGUGUUGGUGGAAAAAAGGGGUAAAAUAAAAAGAUCUCAAGAUGUUUGAGAGGUUUGGCAUAGAGCGAGAGUUUGCGCAAGGCAAAUUUGUGUGUUGGUUUGGAGGGCUUUGAAUGAUGCACUCCCCUCUCUAUUUAUAGUAAUAAUUCCCACAUGGCCGAAGUAGAGUCCUACUCAGAUUAUAAUUCCUUGAUCCAUUAUCACGUGUAGAACUCUGAAUCCAACCCUAUUAUUCUCCAAAUUCAAUCCAAUUGAUCCUGAUCAUCUCCCCUAAUUCGGGGUAUCAGUGAUAUCCAAGGAUUCCUUGUUACAUUAGGACUCGGCCGACCAUUCUAUCCAGGUUUAAGAUAAGAUCAACUUCUGGUAGAACUCGACUGAAUCUCCUUGGGCUGGGCUUUCCUUGGGUAUAUUCCAAGAUACCCUAAAUUAUAUACUGGGCCCAUGAACAAACCGUACAUGGAUUCCUUGUUACAUUAUGCCCCAUGAACAAACCGUACAUGUAGUAAAGGGCAAAAGCUCAGGUGCAGAGUUGGUUUUGAUUGUCGGAAUGCAGUUUGCAGUGAUGGGGCUAACAAUUUGACAGAAAACGACCACUUCUGGAGCGUCACAUUUCCAAUGGUUUGAUGUCCAUGCUCUUCGAAUGUUGGUGAGAGAAAGGAAGAGAUGAGCGUGGUUACGUAUAUAUGAUUGGAAUCUAAAAUAUUCCUUUAGACUAAAAUGUCUGUUAAUUAUCAACUAGACCUUUUGUAUAAGGAUAAUGUUAGGAAGACCAAUUAUUUAGACUAAAUUUUGUAAACCAUAUAACAUAGUUGUUAGUGAUUGUAUUAUUACAUUACUUAAGUAUUAAUUAACGUACUUAUUUCCUCUAUUUUUCCCUUAAAAAACAAUCAUUUAUUCCAAAAAAAAAAAAAAAACCUCAAGUACAACCAGUUGCACAUGAUCAAAGUUUAAAGCGAGAUCAUCUCUAAACAAAUAGCUUCUGCGACUGAUCAAACAAUCACUUAUUCACAAAGCUCUGUAUGAUGAAAUAGUUUUCAUUUUCCAUCUCAUGGAAAACUCUUUUUGCUCCGCUUAGCCCUACAUACACUAGUUGCUUCCUGCCCCCUCUUUUUUCUUCUCCACUAACCAAUCUUCUUUAUUUUUUUUUUAUUUUUUUUUAUAAAUCCUUAAUCUUCCAUUAAUAUCCCACAAGGAUAGGUACAAUUUAAUUUAAAUGGAAAGACCUCUUACGGAUAAGAGACAUAGGGCUAAAGAGAGAGCCAAAAAGAUGAUCCUUUGUGUAUAAUCCUGCAUAAUCUCAAAGGUUAUCAAUUCCAGUACGUAUAUCAAAUGAUACAAUGCAGAUUAUAAGUCCCUCUAUUAGAAGUGUUCCAAAAAUGUUUGCAAUCAAGUAAAUAACUCUACGAACGAAUUGAUCGUUUCUCCUAAGCACCUUAUUCCCGCCACAAUAAGACACCCACGAUUAUCUCGAGUAAUAAAUCCCGCAACAGCAUUCUGAUUAAUAACUGAACCAUCAAAAUGUAUUUUAAGGUAGCUAGGCUUAGGCGGCUUCCACUUUAUAAUCUUCUGAUUUCUAUCAUCACUUUCCUUUUAACUUUUGUGUUAGCUUUAAAAUAUUCUUUCUCAAGAAUUCUGUGUGGAUGUUGGUCCAACUAAUCCAAUUUGUUGGAGAUAUUUUCUGCCAGUGGUUUAGACUGAGUUGCAGCUUGUGGAAAGGGCUAUGGAAGAAAUGGUAGAAAGCUUUGCCUCACGGUUGGCGCUCAUUGCACGAAUUGUAACCAAUCAGUUUAGUAGGUUGAAGACCCCCUGAGUUGCAUAUUUUGUUCGAAGAUAGUUCGGAAUUUGUUUAUGGAUUGGAGGAUAGGUCUUUUAUGUUGUGUGGGACACUCUUUUCCCUUCGACCGGAGUGAAAUUCCCAGCAAGGUUUUAUCGGGGCCCAGUAUGCACACUAUCCUUAGUUUGUUUGUAUUUUGAAUUUGCUUGCAAUGAAUUAUCGUACUUCUCUAAAAUAAAAAAAAUAAAAAUGAAUGUGACACAUUUCACGGUUUACGAAUUUUGUCUAAAAUAUUGGUCUACCUAGUAUUACUCUUUAUAUAUUAUAAAAAGAGUGGUCAUUAUAUAUAUGUAUAUUUCUAAUAGAAGCCAUAAAGUGUUUCAUUACUAAGACCAACCAAAUACGUGCGGUGCUAAAUUAAUAUAUGUGUUCCAGUAACUAAUUUUUUGAUUUGAAGACAAUUCGCACAAAUCACAAAUAAUUUUAAACCCCUAUACAAUUAGAAUAGAACUUGGCCGCUGAAAAAUCAGUAGCAGCUCCUGCAGCUGGCCAAUCACAAAUGAACACGUGUCUAAGUAAUUGAUUUUUUAAUCAUAUAUUGAACACGUGUCUAUCUAUGAUUAGCUAGCAGCAGGAGCUGUUGCUGAUUUUUCAGCAGCCAAGUAUUGUCCAUACGAUUAUCACAUUAAACCAGCACAAACUAGGAUCAAGAAGCGGACUUGGAUCCAAGUACCCCUUAAAAGUUAAAAAUAAUAUUACUCUAAUGAACCACAAUGAUAUGUAAUGAUGGUUAAACGAAAAAAUUAAUAUUUAAAGAUAAUAGUAAUCACAGCAAAGUAAAUGUGUUUAUUGUAUGGCAUAUACGCAUGCAGUUGGGUUGGGUGAACCUUUCAGAACCAUGGGAACUUCUUGACAGGCCGAAACAGGCGAUGCCCUAAUUCUAAGAACGUCAACGAGGAAUAUACAUAUUAAUUCAUGCAGAAGGACUACUCCAGCAGGUACAUGAACGUCGACUGCUCACUCACUACAUGAUAAAAUUACAAAUAAAAUAAUCCAUAUAUAUAUAUAUACACUUUGUAUUUUUCAACAUUUUGGUGAACCUUUCAGAACCAUGGGAACUUCUUGACCGGCCGAAACAGGCGAUGCCCUAAUUCAAAGAACGUCAACGAGGAAUAUACAUAUUAAUUCAUGCAGAAGGACUACUCCAGCAGGUACAUGAACGUCGACUGCUCACUCACUACAUGAUAAAAUUACAAAUAAAAUAAUCCAUAUAUAUAUAUAUACACUUUGUAUUUUUCAACAUUUUGAUGAUCUCUGUCAAGGUGUCAUACUCAUGCAUAAAAAAAUAUAUAAAAGCCAGGAAAAAAAAGGCCACCCGUCAAGACAAAGACGUCAGUGAGAAUAAAAGUGCCCUAAAUAGAUUCUUUUGAGAAAUGUUGUCUAUUUUUGGUUAGUCACAUAAAAUUGUGGGUAGGGAGUUGGUGGCAUGAGUGACGCAAGGUCCUUUGGUCUUUCAUUUUAUGUGCAUUGAUGGAUGUAAUUAACUUAAGAGGAAAACUCACAGCUUUAAGUGAUUAAAAGUGUUUAUGAUAUUGUAUUCAAAUUUUUCUUUCAUUAAUAUUGUAUGUGUAAUAAAAAAACUCUCGUAUUAUGGGGUAAAAAACAUUAUACAUAAAGAGAGUAAAUACGGUCCUUAUCAAACUUUAACCGCAUAAAUAUUUAAUGAGAGCGGUGAAGUUGUGGACUUGCCGGCAACCAUGGGAAUUUCUAGCACUUUUAAUGUCAUUGAUUUAUAUGAGUUUCAUCCUGAUGAUGCUCUUUUAUAACAUGUUGAUCACUUGUAUACGAGUUUUUUUUAAGAGGGGGUGACUGACGUAGGACUAGAAGAGCAAAUAAUUGUAGCAAAUCCCGACAUGAAUAGUAAUCUCGUAUGAAUAGUAUUUUAAAAAUUUUUGUUGUCCGAUUUAGUCCAAAAAUACCUUUUUUUUCCGAAAGAGAACAACGGGAUGAUUCAAACUUAUGGAUUUUGGGCAUUUGAAGCCGUUUGAAGGGUCAAAACAACGAUUUAAUUUAUUUUUGGGUUGUUUUGUUAUUUUUGGAUAUUAAGUUAUUUCCUGUUUAUCUCUAUUUUUUCGUUAGGGUUUUGUGGGACUAUGUAAGCAUCCUUAAGGUUGUAUUUUGUGUGGUUAUUCAGUUGAAAAUCAAAAGUUUCUCUCAAAUGUCUAAAGUUCCAGAAUUCUUGUCUUUCCUUUUUAUUUUAUUUAAGGACAGUCAAAAGUUUUGGUUGCAUCCAAAGUACAUAAAAAACAUGCGAGAUUAUAUAAUUGUAAACUCAAAAAAUAAUGAGAUGUUAGGUAAAUAAGGUUAUCGUAAAGACAAAAUACAGAGGUAAGGUGUUUGAGGUGAAAUGAGGGGUAAUUAAGGUUGUCAAAUAAAGUACUCUCAAACACGUUUUAAUCACUUUCAUCGAGCUUUUCAUGUAAUCAAUAAUUCUAACCUAGUGUCCAUUUUAUUUUGUCCUUUAAUUACGAAAAGAGCUAAUUAAGGAGAUCAAAAUGUGUACGUAAACCCCAAUGCAUUAGUCCCUUCUUAUUUAAUGGUAAAAAAAAAGCUAAUUAAGGAGAUAAAAUCUUUUGCAUUCAUUUUAUAGGUUGUCUCUAUCAUUGAUUGAUACAUGUUAAUAACUUAAUCUUCAUUAAAUUUAUUAUUAUAAACUUAACACGUGUCAAUUAAUGACAAAGAACACAAAAAAUAAAUACAUACUUUUAAUCAAGUUGGUAUAUUACGUAAGAAGAUUGAGUUGGGGUAAAUGUAAAAUGGGUCUUAGUAUUUAGACAGCACGGGCUGUCACAAUACUAUAUUUUUCUUUCUAGGUAAAGGAGCAAUGGACCUUCUGAAGUAAAACAAUUAAUUUAUCCACAUACAUAAGUUAGUACUUCACAACACAUAUAUAUAAUCCUCCAUUUUUUGGAGUAUUUAUAAUUUUAUUUAAAUAUCGCCAUCUGACUGGUGGCAAUUAAAUAUUAAUUAGCACCAAAAGUCUGGCCCACGCCGACAAAUCAGAAUUAAGGGUUUUAAUUAGAGGAUUCUCACGAAAAUAUAACUUAAUUAGCCGACCAUUUCCUUCAGGUAAUUUCAAUCAUAAGCUAAAUAAAAUAAGUGCUUAUGAAAAAACAAUAUUAGUAAGGACAAUUAAAUGAUUAAUUUGCAGAGGACAGUUCAAGGUUAGCUAACUGAUUAACAGUUGAGAUUCUUUGGGGCCCUCCUUCUCUAGGGAUUGGGAGAAGGACAGCCAACCUACAGAAUGUAUAUGGUCGGCGCUAUUCUUAAUUUAAUUAGUUAAUUAAUUAUAUGGAUAAUUAAGUUUUUGCAUGAGGAAAAUAUUUGAUUAUCUUGGAAUCUUCACAAAGUUUAACUCGAUCACAAUACACUAACUGGCAAGUGAGUGCUGUUUAAGUUAACAGCCUAACACUGCCAAUGUUAGGGAGAGAAAAUAAAUAUAUUCCCAUAGGGCUUCUAGCAAAAAAAUAAAACAAUAGUGUACAAAUAAAUUAACAUCAAUCACACUAGCUAGUUGACAACUUGGGAUGAAGAAAUAAAAGAAAAGGCUUAUGUUUCUACUACCUAUAAAUCAAGGGGAUAAAAAAAAAAAAUAAGAAAGGUGAGUUGGUUUUGGUAGCUGUUAUUUACACUGAUAUUGUCAUUAAUUAUACGUUUUAAAAUAACAGUAUAUUUUUGUUCCAUUUCCGUGGAAAGAAAAUUAGUGGAGCGUGAACUUGCACAAGGAUACAUAAGAAUGAUUAUUUGCUGCCACUUCGUACAAUAUUAUAUGCUUCUCCAAUAUGGUUAACUAUAUUCAUUUAAAAUGUGGGUAUAUAAAUUGAUGGUAUAUAAGUCGUCGAUGCAACUGAUAUUGUCCAUGAGUACUCCAACUAAACACGUCAAAAAACCAAGCUACCUCGUUGAUAUAAGAGAUAUACGUCAUUAAUUAUAUAUAUAUAUAUAUAUAUAUGAACGUAUCAAAAUCCAAGAAUGUCCCGGCCCUAUGAUAGAUCAUAUGACCUAAAUAUACGUAUCAAAAUCCCCGGACUCCAUCGGAUAUUGCUGGAUCGGACUUUGUUGGCUGCAUAUAUUAGCUCAGAUUUGCAAGUAGAGAAUCUCAUCACACAGAUUCUUAAUCAUAUGUGAAAAUCUCACACAGAUUCUUGAUUAGUUUGUAAUCCUCCAGAAAACCCAUCUGCUUUUGCUUCGCUGCCAUUCCAAAAAUAUUGAAUUUCGUAAAAGAAAUUAUACAUGGCUAGCUCGUCAACAGUCAACACGUACAAUAUUUUAAGGUUACGACGGUGGUGAGAGAUCUGCAGCUGAUCAGUUCCGUUUGGCUUUCGAAAAUGUACUGAAGUCAGCAAAAGAUGGCACCAGGCUGUUCAAACUGUAUCUCUCUCUUCCGGUGCACAUGCAUGAUGAAAAUUUGUACUUAUACUUCGCCUUUGAGGAAAUAAAACUCAUUGCAAGCUAGCUCGCUAGGGACUUCGACAAAUGGUUUCCAAUAGGAAGCAACACGAUUAGAAGAAAAACUUUAUGACACUGUUUCAUACAUAUUCUAAAUCUCUCCCCUCACACAUAUUUCGUGAGGAAAAAGCUAAAACGAAAAGACAUACAAUGAGAGACUAAGCGCGUUUUCUAACAGCCAAAAUUGCUUUAAUUAUGUUGGCCAGAAAAUUAUAAAUGUGUCUAGUUCAUAGAAGUACCCUUUGAAGAAACAUCUGCUAAAUAAUUUUUUUAUAAAAUGAGAAUGCUAGAGAUCCCACAUUGAUGUUCUAUAUAAUGUGACAAAUAACACAUACAAUCACAUCUAAUAAGAUUAUUUUUUAAUUAAGAUAACAUGUACGCGUCACUUGUUACAUUAAAUACUGGAUAAUAUUGCAUCACCUAUAUAGGGAUGUACAUAUCAUCCAUUUGUGAAUAACAUACCUUGAUCGACUAAAUGAACCAUCGGAACCGUACAUCAAUUUAGUAAGCUUCAUUUGAAGAUCACUCCUACAACAAACAUACAAAUAAAUAGACGUGGUACCUACACAAUCGAUUUAUUCUAUACAUUUGAACUAAAUGAUUUCUGAUUAAAUUGAUUUUUCGUAGAGGUGAUCUUCAAAUGAAGGUUAAGAAAUUGACAGUUCCAAUCGUUAAUUUUAUUCGGUUAAGAUACGUUAUUCGCAAAUAAGGACAUGUGCAUCCCUAAAUGGUGCAAGUGUUAAAUAUUACACCAAUAUGGUACAAAAAAACAUGAUCUCUCCAAUAUUUUCCUUGGAAAAUAUAUCUACCAGUAACCCCAAACUAAACUGCCCAUAAUCAAUGUAUCAUCAUAUACACAUUCAUGAAACACAAACAUUAAAAAAUUAAAGGGUAAUGCUAGAAUUAAAAAGUCCAUGAUAGCCAAAUCAGCAAAUAAUCACAAAGGGGAACAACAGUUAACCACAGAUCCUACGUCAGCACAUGCAUGAACUGAACCAAAAUCCCCAACCCCUCCAAGGCGCCAACCCAUCCCUAUAAAUACCACUCCCAACUCCCACACUUUUCCUCACAACUCACACUUUCAGUAUUACCUACAGACUUGGCGAAGAUCCACCGAAGAAUAAGAAGCAGCAACAAUUUUUGAAUUUUUGAUCCCUCAAAUACUUCAAAAAAUGUCUUCUUCGGAUUCGCCAACGUCUCUGAUCAUUUCCAAAUCCACCGUCUUCCCCGAACGGCCCUCCGCCCUCGCCGACCUCCCCCUCUCAGUCUCCGACCUCCCCAUGCUCUCCUGCCACUACAUUCAGAAGGGUCUCUUCUUCCCCCUCCCUCCCUCCCCCAUCAUCCCCCUCCUCAAAUCCUACCUUUCCCAAACCCUCUCCCGCUUUCCCCCAUUGGCCGGCAGACUAACCACCUACCCCACCGGCCACGUGCACAUCACCUGCAACGAUGCUGGCGCGGACUUCAUCCACGCGUCGGCCCCCAGUCUCUCAAUCGGAGAUGUUUUGAACCCUACUGACGUCCCCGACUGCAUCAAGGAGUUUUUCGCUUUCGACAGGACCGUCAGCUACUCCGGCCACCAUAACGCAAUCCUGGCUGUCCAGGUCACCGAGCUCAGCGACGCCGUUUUCAUCGGAUGCUCCGUCAACCACGCCGUCAUGGAUGGCACCUCCUUCUGGAACUUCUUCAACACCUUCGCCGAGCUCUGCCGAGCAUCGUCAUCGUCACUAUCACCAAACGAAAAUUAUAAUUACACGAAAAUGACAAUCACAAGGCAGCCGGACUUCAGCCGGAACUCGGUUCUGAUCUCUCCGGCGGUGCUUCGAGUUCCGGCGGGAGGUCCCAAAGUCACAUUCAACGUCGACGAGCCGGUGCGCGAGCGAAUUUUCAGCUUCAGCAGAGAAGCCAUUCAGAAGCUCAAGGCACGAACCAACAACAAAAAAUGGUCCGAAAACGGCGACGUUUUGCUGAGCGCCGUCGAGAUUCUCGGGAAGCAGAGUAACGAUCCCUACCAAAACAAAGACAAUGACGCGAGAGUGACGUCGAUUAUCGAAAACUGGUCCAAAAAUUCGAACGCGAACUCCAAAACAACGGCGGAGAUCUCGUCGUUUCAGUCCCUGUGCGCGCUGCUCUGGCGAUCCGUGACGCGUGCGAGGAAUCUUCCGUCCUCGAAAACGACAACGUUCAGAAUGGCGGUGAACUGCCGGCACAGACUUGAGCCGAAGCUGGACGCAUUCUACUUCGGGAACGCGAUUCAGAGCAUCCCGACGUACGCGACUGCCGGGGAGUUGCUGUCGUACGACACGAGGUGGUGCGCGGAGCAGCUGAACAAGAACGUGAAGGCGUACGAUAACGACAGGGUUCGGGGCGUCGUUGGGGAUUGGGAGAGGGACCCGCGAGUGUUCCCGCUGGGCAACUUUGAUGGGGCAAUGAUGACGGUGGGGAGCUCGCCGAGGUUUCCGAUGUACGACAACAACUUCGGGUGGGGGAGGCCGAUGGCGAUUCGGAGCGGGCGGGCGAAUAAGUUCGAUGGGAAGAUAUCAGCGUUUCCGGGGAGGGAAGGAGGCGGGAGCGUUGAUCUCGAGGUGGUUUUGGCGCCUGACGCAAUGGCUGGUCUCGAAACGGACUCUGAGUUCAUGCACUACUUGUCCAGUUGAGCUUGUAAAACGACGUCAUAUUAUAUUAAAAAGUAAUAACUUAAAGGGAAGAGAAAAAGAUAGGAUGUGGAAUUGUGGAUGAUGGGUUGAAGCUUGAAGGGUUCGGUGCGGUUGAUAAGUAUCCAACCUUGAUCUGCACUGUUAUGUGACCGUUGUUGGAUUUAUCCAAUAUAAAUCAACUUUUAAGCGGUCUAUUACAUAUAAUAAAAAUGUAAUAUUUGAGAAUAAUGUUUAUUGUGAUUUAAUCUCUUAACGAUAUCAAUCAUAUAUAAGGUGUCUUAUAUUAGAAAUAGGAUUGAUAGGAAUUCUUAAUUGAAUAUGAUUAUGAUAUUUGACUGAGAGGCUAAGAGGUAGUGAACCUAUAUCCAUUCUUAUAUGAGAAUUAUGGUUGGUCAUGUGAUUAUAUAUAGGUUUAGUUUACAAAGAAGUAGUGAACAUAUGAAGGCAUGAGGUAUGUAAUCCAUUCAAAGUAUGUGACUUAGUUGAUAAGCAUGAAUUUUCGAACAUGUAUUAUUGUUUGUGGUUUUUUCUACGCCUGAAGAAUUUAAACAGUGCUUUGAUUAGUAAAUUUUUAUGUGUCGUAAGGGGAGAAGAAAAUAAAUUUUUCAAGGCUAAUGUAGGGCAUAUAUCGGAGAUGUUUUCUAUGGAAGAAAAUAAUUUUGGUUGUUCCUUUAUUUAAUUUGGUAUUUACAAAGCUAAUGCAUGAUUUUAAUGUUGUGUUUGGUAGUCUUGUACUACAUAAAGAAAUAUAUAAAAGGAAAGGAACCCGUUUGACUUAAGAAAACAUUUGAGCGAUUUUGCUUUUAAAUUAAAGGAAUGUAUUGUUCUUUCCCAUUACAUAAAGUAUUUCUAUUUUAAGUAAUUGACUCCAUAAUGAUAAGUAUUGACAUUCUUGCGGUGGAAUAAAACGUGUUCUAUAUGUGAUUAAUCUCUUUCAAGUAUGUUGUUAGGUUUCUUGAGAUUAAUUUAAUGUCAAAGGGAGUCAUGAAGGAAUUAGUGUCAUUUGUUGGCAAGACUCGAAUCAGGUUAUCAUAAUUUUGUCACUUACAGUUAAUGAAUCCAUGUGACUUCUUGUAUUAUUUCAGGACGAAGUUGAUCAAUGCCUUUUCAACUAAGCAAGCCGCAACGGCUUAGUUGACAAUGGGACUAUGUUUUUUUAGUUACUUCGGUCAACAUUACAUCUUAAUUAGAAUAAAAGGGAUAAUCUUCAGGUGUGGGUUAUUUCUUUUAGUUUAAUUAAGAUGGCAUAGUAUGAAUUUUAUUUCACAGAAGUUGUGAAAGUUUCAUUUGUCCACAGGUGUUGAAGUUUUUCAUGAAGGUACUCUUGUGACCUAAUCUAGUACUGGAAACUAGUUAAUUUUCUUGCCCGCAUGUGUUAAUUAAUAUAGUUUCAUGAAGUUUAUGGGGGAAUAAAGUUCCAUGUCUUCAUUUACAAAUAUUUCCACUAUGAGCCCCAUUAUAGGUUGUGGUUUUAAGGCAUGGAAAUUGAUUGCAUCAUGACAUAUUUUUGUGUCUCUUCAUGAGACUUGUUGAUGCAAAGUACGUAUUGAACCCAUGAAGGUUAAUCAAGGAUUGCUAAGGUACACAUUGUUUAAGUAUAAUGCUUGUAAAUAUUUUCAAUUUGAACUGUGAUGUCUGUUUAGAGGAUGAAAUUUGAUCACUUGAGAUUCCUUUGACAUCGAAAUUGAAAUAACAUGAAAUUGAAUUUGUUAGAGAUGUUUAGAUUCAUGAUAGAUGAACAUAAUUUUUCUGGCAGAUUGCUAUCUUGAUUAAAAUCAGACGAAUGACACGUGUAACGAUUACCAAAUGACCUGAAUGUUUGAUAUGUUAAACAUAUAUAUGUCUUGUGUGUGCAAAUUUUCAUAAUUUUUUUCUGUAUAUUUUAAUUAUGGUGAAUUUACUAGUAACCCAUGCUCAUAUAGACAGUUUUACUGGCAGAUUGCAUUGGGUUUUUGAGUUGUCACUUUAGACUACUAUUUUGACCCAAAACUCCUCUAUAUUUUUAUUUUAUGAAGAUUAGUAUGUCUAUUUUGAUCUGUAUAAUUUGGUUGCAAUCAAGCUUAUAAAUUAAUUAUGAUUAGUUCUAAAGUAAGUGUAACUCGUUGCUGAAAUUUUGUUUGACAACUUUAUGUUAGUUGUAAUGUCUAUUUUAUUAUGUCUAAAAUAUAAAGCAAUUUUAUUUAGUUACAUCUUUAAAGAGUGUUUGCCCAAGUGGGAGAAUUAGUGAACAAAAAUUGGGCUUCACACUCAUUAACUUAUUUGCAAGUCUAAACUCUAAAAACUUAGUGGGAGUUGUUCUAAAAUUUUGAGCAUUAAGUGGACUUGCAUGAUACUAUUAAAGCGUUAUUCUAUCUUCCAUGAAUUUGUGUUUUGGUUGAUAACUCGAAUGACAAUAACAUGUUUAAGUUGCAUGAAUUGAUACUUCAUAUAAGUGUACAUUUUUGCAAUCAUUCGAAUUCCUCAACUGAUUAUUUGUUAAUCUUGACAUAGAAUUUUGGGGCUCAUAAGGAUUUAGCAUAAAUGUGAAAUUAUUAAUACAUAUAAGAUGGUUGUUGGAUGCAUGUUUUUGUGUAACAGUGGUGAAUGCUUUCAUGCUUAGUUGUUUGAGGUAAUAUGCAUUCAUUGACUGAGUAAGGCUAUUCCCAAAGGCAUAUUUUAAAAAAAUAUGAUUUAAUGAUGUUGCAGAUCAGUGGGAGCUUAAGGUUUGUGUUGGCAAUGUCUUACAUUUGCAGAUGACCUAUAAGGUAUGUAUAGAAUCCAUGUAUUCAUUUUAAUCUCCAGUUGGAUUCAUUAAGUCACAUUUUUCGUGUGCUAGUCAAUUAUCGGAUGAAAUAUAUUUCGGAUAUCAAGUUGUUAUCAAAUUGCAUAUUAAAUGGCAUGGCAUGGUUUGUGCACUGCCUUAGUUGUGAGGAUUUCCAUCUGCCCAUAGGUGUUGGAAAUCACCAUGAAAGUAACUGGUAUGGUGCAUAGAUCAGUGUCAAAAACAUGUUAAUUCAUCUUACUCACAAGUGUUGAAUUAAUUUGCUUUAUGAAGUUUUGGGAUAUUUUACUUGGACAUGUGCCUAUUUGCUAUUUUUCAGUUGUGUCCAUUGGCUACGAACAUUGUUUGUCUUGUUAUUGGUCUAAUGAAAGUGAUGCAUGAUUGUUUUGGAGAUGUAUUCACACCUGCAGGUUAUGUUGGUUUCAUUAGAUGAAGGAUAUCUGUGUUGGCAGAUUUAAGACUUUGAAGAAGCAUAAGUUGGGCCUGAGAUGAUAUAAAGUAAGACAUUUUGGUUUUUGCUUUAAAAGUUUCAUCUCUUGAUCAUAAUUUGUGUUUCAUGUGAACGAGGAUUUUAGCAUGUGUGAUUAUGAAGGUUAUGGGUUUUGUCAACCUUACAACCUUGUUAGUUCCAUGUUAAGAAAUGCACUUGACAGAAACUGCAUUAAGGAUGAGAUGUAAUCACUGUUACAUGGCCACUAAAGUGACAUUAAUCUCCAAUCUCAAGUAUAAACGUGAAUAUUACAUUUUGUAGACCAAGUGGGAGAAUGUUGGAUUUAUCCAAUAUAAAUAAACUUUUAAGUGGUCUAUUGCGUGUAAUAUUGGAGAAUAAUGUUGAUUGUGAUAUCUCUUAAAGAUAUCAAUCUUAUAUAAGGUGUCUUAUGUUGGAAAUUAUAUAUUAUAAUAUGAAAUAUUGUAAUAUAUAAUUUUAAUAAUUGAAUGAAAAAUAGUGUUAACCAAUUUCUUAGAAGGGUUAUGUUGUUUAGGUGCAUUCCCUUGAUAAGUGAUGUAUACUUAUAGAUGAAAAGUUACAUCUCUUUAAUAAGUAGAAAUUGGAUUCUAUAUAAACCCAUGAAACCAUUGGUAUUAAAUAUAGAGAAAAUUAGAGUUAAUUUUUACUCUUGAAAAAUAGGGUUUCCCCACUUUGUUUCUCAAAUGAUUCGUAUGUCAAAUUCCGAGUUGUGUCUUGAGAGUACGGAAUAUAUAAAGUUCGCCAUAGUCCGAAGAUUGAAGUGCUUUGACUUCGGAAUAUAGAUUGUUGAAUCCUGGGAGAUAGAUGCCUAUCGAACUACAAGCACAAGAGUAUGGGCGAAAUUCUAUCUUUAGGACAUUGCAUUUAUGCAAGCCUCAAUCUCCAAAGUUUGUCAGUUUUUCUAACUUUAUCUCUAAUUGUUUAUAUUAAUCUCAUACAUAAUUGAUGUUGUGAUUUUCUUUAUGAUUACUUUCAUUGAAAUUCUUUUAUUAUUUUCAUAUUUUCUAAUAUUGCUCCAACAAUCUAAAGAUAGAAUUUUUUUUAUCUCUAUGGAACAAUCAGAAAUAUGAAUGUUCACGAUUCUCAUAUUGAGAGUUUAAAGCUGUGGCUUUAAAAGUCUUGGACAACAUAUGGUGUUGUAUUCGAUGUGAAGCCUAGAAUUGAUGCAAUUAAGACUUUAAUAUCUGAUUUAGUCUUGAUGAUUGGGUUGGAUGAUGUUGUGGUAUUAUCCAUGUGAAGCGGUGUCAAACAACCGCCUGUUUCUUUUUGAAAAGAUAAAAUUUAAAAUUAUAACUUUCUGGGCAAUGCAUCACUUGAUAAAAAGACGUAAGCAGUUUGCAUGGGUAAUUUGGAUCUAGUAUGUAUAUGCAUGCUUACGUCUAUAUGUGUCUGCAAAUUAUCUUGAAAGCAUGAAUUGCAUGACUUGUGUGAUAUAUCUUAUGGAUAAAUUUCUUAAUUUCAAAGAUUAAUAUUAAUUUUCUACAUGCCUGGGCGUUCAUUCCCAUUCGACCAAAUGUGUGAGUUAUAUAUGUGGAUUGAUUUAUUCAUACGACCAUGAUGCAUCUCAAUAACUGGGCAUAUAUUUCUGUGAUUAUUCUUCUUGAGUAUUUAUAAGUAUUGCAACCCUUAAAGUCUUGUACGUAAGAAUGACUUCACUAUUUGGGCAGAAUCAAUAACUAUUUGUGAGAUAUCCAUUCAAAACCAUGUUAGUUGUUGACUCUUUCAAAGAGAGGUGUCGGUUAAGGCAAAGGCAAAGCCUUAAAAAAAAAAAAAAUUUGCUUUAUCAGCAAUGCUAAAACGAUGCUAGAUUUGGUUUUGCCAAAGAUCGUAGUAGUUUCUGGAAAAAUUUCUUUUACAGAAAAUAAUUAUAUCUGUAUAAUCCCUAUGCGAAGUUCUUUCUACGGGAAAGAAAAUAAAUUCCUUAUGUCAGUAUAUAAUGCCAAAAGAACUUGUGAAUGUAAGAAGGAUUGAAGGCAAUGAUAGAGAAACUUAAACUGUCAGUUUUGUUUCUCAAUUAAUUACCCGAUCAUGAUGCAAUCUUUAAUAUUGUGGCUUGACAUCUACAAACAUAAGAACCUGGAAGUCUGAUAUGAUGUUAAGGUUGACGUUAAUGUUGUGCAAAUGAAGCUUAAUGCUUCUUGGUAGGGUUACAUGCAUGAGAAUGGCUUUUGAUUGCGUUGACCUAUUUUCAUCUGGUACUUAUUUCUUUGAAAUUGUGCUACAUGUGUGUUUUGUUGAAAUGAUUAUUUCAAUUGUAGUUGCUUCUCUAACUAAAGGGGCAUCUGGUGUGAACAGAAAGGUCUGUGGAUUUGAACAGACGUAUAUAUAUAUGGGUUGCUAAACCGAUGCGAUAAAGAUAGGGUUGUAUCUGUUCAAAUUGAACAAGACUGUCUCUUCCAAAAGAAAGCACUCCGGCCAAGUUCUGUAAUUAAUAUAUACGGUUGAUUCAACGACUUUUGGUUCUUUACCAAAAGAGUGGCUGGUAUCUUUUGGAAAUUACAAGGUUGGUUCUCAUUUUAAGAAGUGAAGUAUCCAAACCGGGUAUCACGUUGUUAUAAAUUUAUGACUAUAGUUCUUGUUUAAUUUCAAGAAACAAAAGGUCUGAAUACGUAGUUGAAUGUGAAAGGAGUGCUUCUCAUAUAAAGGACUUGUGAGGCUUGAAAGCCUAGAAGUGAAGAAUAGAUAAAGAGAAAAUAUCUUCACUGGUUCCUACUUCUUAAGUAUGAUGAAGGAGUAAUUGAUACCAUUCAAAGUAACCACAAUGUGAGUGAAUUGUGGGGGAGUGACAUAGUUAUCUUUGGAUAAUAUGUCAACUUAAGAAGAAUGACACAGUAAUUUGCUUAUAGAGAGAGAUAAAGAUUAUCUCUUACAAUGGUAUUUUAAGGCAUUGAAAGGUUAGAGACCUUCUGGAAAGUACCUUAAAUGUGGGGGUGUUUACCCAAGUGUUAGUGAAUUACAUAGUAAUUAAGUCCUAAUAUAAUUUUGAGGACUUGACAUUUCAAACAAUGUCAAACAACUACUCUCAUAUGAAAUACAAUUUCAUAAGAUGGAUUGUACGCACUAUUAAAGAUAGUUAUCCUAAAUGGUACCAAUUAUUAAAGGUUAGACUAGAGAGUAAGUUGAUCAUCGAGUGGAAUGAGGCUAAAGCCAACAUAACUAAUGAAUCAGCCGAGCGGAAACCUAACUUAGUUGAUUGGAGAUCCCAUGGUCUAAGUUCAAUAGGCAAACUGGUUGGGCAUGAUUCAAAAAAAUUAACACACUAUAUACCUCAUUCCUAUGAUGGAAGCAGUGUGUUGUCUGCAGACAUUUUAGGUUGUAUAUUUAUACCUAAUGACAGUGAUAUCUUAUAAAUAAGAGGAAUAGAGCAGACUAUUCUUAAUCAGUGGUCACCUAUGUGAGAGUAGAAAUGGGUCGCUUCUAUGAGAAUGAGAUGGCUAAAUUCUCUAAAGCUCUCAUGAAUCCGGGAUUUGUUCAGGACCAAAAUUAACACAACCGUAUGAACCGUAAUAUAUUAGGAUUAGUGAUGUGUGUUGCUUAUUGUCUCGGUUUAUUGCUGCGGUGAACAGUUCAAGAUCUUCUACAUCCACUGCGUCACCAAGUAAACCCGAUAAGUAUUCACUAGGGUAGGUUCAAGUCCAAAAGACACCUCUCCCGAUGCAUCUCUUGUCCGCCUGUACUCUCAAAUUCUUCCUAAUUUUUCAUUCAUGUGGGGGAUUGUUGGAAAUUAUAUAUUAUAAUAUGAAAUAUUGUAAUAUAUAAUUUUAAUAAUUGAAUGAAAAAUAGUGUUAACCAAUUUCUUAGAAAGGUUAUGUUGUUUAGGUGCAUUCCCUUGAUAAGUGAUGUAGACUUAUAGAUGAAAAGUUACAUCUCUUUAAUAAGUAGAAAUUGGAUUCUAUAUAAACCCAUGAAACCAUUGGUAUUAAAUAUAGAGAAAAUUAGAGUUAAUUUGUACUCUUGAGAAAUAGGGUUUCCCCACUUUGUUUCUCAAAUGAUUCAAGUGUCAAAUUCCGAAUCGUGUCUUGAGAGUACGGAAUAUAUAAAGUUCGCCAAAGUCCGAAGAUUGAAGUGCUUUGACUUCGGAUUAUAGAUUGUUGAAUCCUGGGAGAUAGACGCCUAUCGAACUACAAGCACAAGAGUAUGGGCGAAAUUCUAUCUUUAGGACAUUGCAUUUAUGCAAGCCUCAAUCUCCAAGUUUGUCAGUUUUUCUGACUUUAUCUCUAAUUGUUUAUAUUAAUCUCAUACAUAAUUGAUGUUGUGAUUUUCUUUAUGAAUACUUUCAUUGAAAUUCUUUUAUUAUUUUCAUAUUUUCUAAUAUUGCUCCAACAUCUUAUAUUAGAAAUAGAAUUGAUGGAAUCCUUAAUUGAAUAUGAUUAUGAUACUUGACUUGGAGGCUAAGAAAGUAAGUUUAGGUUUCUUUUAUGGAUGGAAACCCUAGCUUUUAGCUUAUAUAAACACCGGUCUCUAUAAGCCCUAGAACACAGAACAUAAUGCUUCCUAUAGAGUAGUUGUAUUCAGCUAAGUGUUUGUAGAAGAUCUUGGUAUUGCCAUGCCCUUCACCUUCCUUGCUCAAGUACCAUGAUUAUAAUUGGAAUCAGGUUUGUCACUUCUUUGUUUGUGCUUUAAUUGUAUAACUUUAUAAGGCUAACAACUGUUGGAUAUGUGUGGGCCCUCCUGGUGUUGUAAUGCGGACAUGGUUUGGACGGCGGCGAUUAAUCUGGUCUGUACGGACAAAUGGAGGAUGUCUUCUGUCUAUUUGUGAAUUUUACCUUUGUUUCAAAAUCUCAGUAAUCGCUUAUGCUAUUUUAGAUGGGUAUCAAUUUUCUUAACAAUUGUAACUCUUUUUUGUUUUUCUUUUCUCAACAAUAUAUAUAUAUAUAUAUAUAUAUCAUAAACUACUAUAAUUUACGAGAUAGGGUAUUUGUUCACGGGCGAGCAUACGCUGUUGGUCAAUUGACGUAACUCAUAUUUACACUCUUGUUCUUUUUCCAUAUGACAUCAACAUCGCGUUAGGGGGCAAUAAGUUGCAAAUUUCAGAAAUGAGUUAGGAUUAGGCUAAGCCGAAACUGAGCCUAACACAUUCCAUAAAAAUAGGCCCAUUUGAUAAAUAGUUUUGUGACCAAUUUUUGGGCCGCCUUCAUCUUAGACUCUUCACAUGGUCCAUGAACACCUAUACGACGUCGCACCAAUGUCAAUGCUUUAAAUUCUAAUAUCUUAACAUCUCAGGCUUUACCAUCUCCGUCUCAACCUCUCAACUCCCGGAGACUUGGAGUUGGACCUCAGCAGCAACUCCAUCUCAGCUGAAUCAAACGCCUUCCCUAUCGCCCCAUGCCCCGAUCCCGACCGUCCGGAACCUCAGGCGACGAGCAGAAUACAUGUUAUGGAUGGGGUGGUCAUGGAUGCUGAGUUCCAGCAAGCGUUCACAUUGAUGAACAAGACUGAGUGGAAAUGCUGCACCCUCCACAAUUACUGAGAGAACAUAAUAUUUCAAACACCAUGAAAAGUAACUGAAACUAAAUAAUUCAAACACCUCCUUGCAUUAGCAAAAUAGCAAAUCACGAAACAAUCAAGAAUCGAAGUAAUUUCAAUUUCAAAUAAAUAAACGUGACGCGCUAGUAAUGUUGUUAAAUAAGAUCCUUAAAUUGGAACAGAUUCUAUAUUUUUCGGAUCCCACUGCAUACCACAAUGCAUGUCAUAUAUUUGAAAGGAAGUGAAAGCACCGUCUGGGACAUGGCAUAAGAUUAGGGGUGAUCACUAAAUCAGGCAUGUCCUAUGCAUCCCUCCAAAUCUAACUUUAGAUUCAUCGAGGAUAUGGAAUGAAAAGAAAGUACGCAUCAGUUAUCUUCAUUGAUAGAUGACGUCCCUCAAUCGUCCAAGCUGUAUUUAAAUACUCUUAGCUUCCAGCUGCAGCUGUUACGGCAACUUGUUUAGAGUCUUCUGCCCUUUCAUGCUCCUUAUUGUGCAUCUGAAAUAUUCCAACAUUUUUACAUUCCAAUACAAUAUGAGAAGCAUGUUGAGAAAAUUAAGGAAGAUGAGAAUCCACAUUCAUGGAAAUGCAUCUCACCUUGUUGUUGAUCAAGUUGUGAAGAGCAAUAACGCUUCGGAUGAGGGAAGAAAGAUAUAUAACCAACAUCAUAUCAUUUGUUUUCACUGCACAUGACAACAACAACAUGAAUCAACACUAUUAACAAAAUAGGCACUAACGCAGGAACCAUAAAUCUAAACAAUAAAGCAGUCUAAGCGAUAAACAUGGUAGGUUUUUUUUUUACCUGAAAAGGCCUUGAUGAGAUCAGAAACAUUAAGAUUUGGAAGUAGAUUGAACACAUCCUACAAGGAUUUGGGAUAGAAAAAUAAGAAAAAUGUAUGAGUGUGAGGGUGAAAAUAUCAACAGUAGGCAAAAGAAUUACAAUAUUUCAUUGUUGUGAAAUAAAAGUUAUGAGACAAAUCAAACUAGCACUACAUUAAGAUUCUAGCCUACACUACAUGUAGGUUAAGCCAAAACCGAACCUGUAGGUGGUACAAAAUCUCGUGGUUUAAUGGGAGCUUGCCAUCAAUAACAAGGUCCAGAUAACCCCGAAUCUCCUUAAGUCUUGCUUCCAAUCCCUUCAAGGCUGUGAGUUUCCCUGUAACCUGUACAAGACUUGGAAACUAAGUUUCUUGUAUCGCCUCUUAUAUGCAUUAAGAAAAUCUAAUAAAAUUGACUUCAUACAUACAUACAUACAUACUGUGUGCGCAUAAAUAAAACGAGGAAGCUAAUGAGAAUAAAAUCACCAAAACCAAACCUCUGUUGCAAGAGUGCUGAUGGUUGUAUCUUUCACAUCUCUAAGCAAGUGUUCCACUCCUGUUAAAGGGUAAUAUGGUCAAUAAAAACCAUAAGUAGAAACAAAAUGACCACCAAACCACAAAGGAAAGCAAGAAAUCAAUAUGCGCAUGCAAUAACUUAAAAGUCUUAUUCAAUGUUACAAGAAAGGGUAGUUCAGUUUCCAUGGGCUUACCAAUUUCCUCAACUUCAUGGGCAGCAAUUUCAGAAGGCACAUGAACGAACACCUUCUGGCUUUUCUGGGUAGCAUUCUGUAAUCGUACCAAAAUGUUCAUUCAAAUUUAUAGCAUUAAAACCAGGUUUCAAGUCAAAGUAGCUCCAACCAUAACGCUUGUUUUGGAAGAACUUAGUAUAUGACCAGACCAAUACAAAAGGCAAGGCAUAUCCGAAAAAAUCAUGAUUCUACCUCUUUCACCUCUUCAACGGCACAGUAAGCUUUUGUUGGUAUUCCCAGCUCCUUAGGUUGGACAUCAAUUAUGACCAAGACAGGAUUUGGAACAUAACUGCAAAAUCAAAAGGGAAAUUGUGAUAUAAUGGAGAAGAAAAGAAACAGGAAUUCAUACGUCUCAAGGAUAAUGAAUAGAAACACGAAUUCAUGUAUCUGCUGAUGGGUGCAAAAUGCUUAAGCAUGUUUCACCAUGAUAGAGACAAAACAAUUAAACAAAAAACAAAAUAUUUCCACCAUUUUAUAAGAAUACCACUUACAGGUAUACGGCUUCCUCAUAACCAACCAUCAAUAUUUUAUAGAAAACUGAUGGAGAACCUCAAGGUUUCCAAAAUCUCAGACAUCUUGAUUAAAUUUACCAAUAUUCAAGUUACACAAAAAAAAAAAAAAGGUAUCACAGUAUAACAAAAUGAAGACAAGAGUUAAGAAAUAAGGGUUGAAGAACACAUUUGCUUCUUCUAGUCAGUUGAGAAUUAGUUUCUCUGAUACCAAUUUAAACGAUAUGAACCUUACACCUUUAAUUAUCUCCAUGUUGUCCUUCCACUUAAACUUUGUUGACCAGACUGGUUAUAAGAAGCAUUCAUGAUAUUCAUAUUCUAAUGGAAUCUCAAGACCAAGUAGAUGUUUUUCAUAGGGUUUACGCUGGCUUACCCAUUAAAUAAACCGUGAAUGUCCAAGUCAUUUUCUCUCAAUUUUGGACCUGUGCUGUACCAUCCCACAACGUGCUCCUUUGCUGGAAAAAAAAUUAUUUGUCAAUUUUUGCAUCAUAACAGAUAAUGUGCGAAUCUAGGGAAAGAGACAUAGUAUAUACUCAUACCAUUUAUUCUCUUUGCCAUGGAAUACAUGGCUUCAUGGUAGUUGUGAUCAAGAAACCAGAUACUGGGAUCCUUAUCAUCUUCUUCAAAGGGAACUGUGAAUAAAGAUCAAUACUAAUAUGAGUCAAAAGUAACGCACUUGAUCUAGAAACAUAGAAGGUUCUACAGGCAACAAGAUGAAAACGCAAAAUAAGAAAAAAAUUUAAGUCUAACAAAAACACAAAAACUAAACCAGUAAGUUAAAUUUAAGACCGCAAUCAUGAAAUUCGAGACUGAUACUGCGUCAAAUUCUUUUGAAAAACCAAUAAACAAUAAAAUCAAAAUGGUACAAGAAAGCAAGUGCUACAGGCUAUAGAAUGCACGUGCUACAGACUAUCAACUAAAAAAAAAAAAGGUCGUACCCAGUGCACAAGGCUCCCGCUUUACGCAGGGUCUGGGAGAGGUAAACAACCUAAAAUGCAAUGGGAAAUUAAAAAGAAAGCGCAUUGAUCAGCAAAUAUAUAGAAAGUAUGCUGAUAAACAAAAACAUAGGAACUGCACUGCCCGGUACAUAAAUCAAUUCAAAUUGUGUAGGUCUAUGCAUUUGGAAAGCAAAUUAAAGCAGAAAUUUCGCAACUUCACACCACAACAACCUCAGCAGCUCUCGAAUUAAACUUCGAAAUGCCUUAUCAAAAGGCAUGUCUGGAAUGCGACAACCCCUCAUAACUAAUUUAACUUUCUACAUCUCAAUUCUGAAAUGCAGCCUAAACCAACUGAAAUUCAUUCAGCAGCAUGCAAACGUAACCUAAAUUUGCUUAACCAAUUCCAAGUUCAAGCUCAUAGCAGCAGAAACACACUCAUUCUUUUGAAUAAUUUAACAAAAAUACACCUUUUCACAAUGCCGUAGAGCCUAAACACAGAUUUUCUCACUGACCAAACAAAAAUUUACCACAGUUUGGAGCAUAAUUCAGAACAAAAAUUCCUUAAUCAGAUAAAAAAAAAAGGAAAAUUCACCCAAAUAAAUUUAAAUUAUUCAAAAAUAAAUAAAAGCAAACGAGAUUCAAACAUAGCCGAGAAGCAGAGGGACUAGGCGAGCUUGAAAUAAACGAACCGGCGUAGCUGUUGGUGACGUCGACGGUGCCCUUGUACGACGAGCCGAGCAGAACUCCGACGACGCGCUUGCGAGUGUCUUUGGCGACCCUGUUGUAGUUGUCGACGAUGCUGAGCAGAACCAGUGGGUGAACUAUCACCCUCUCGAUCGGCCUCGCCGAGAUUUGCUGCGUUUUUACCACAUCCAUUGCUGGAUUUCUUCUGCUUUCUCUGAAUUUUCCUGCUUUUUCUGCAGUAAUUUUGAGUUAGCUUCUUCUGCAGGAAACCUCUGUCUCUCUCUCUAAUUUAUAUGGAAAAAGCUCUUUGCUUGCCCAGCUCUUCUUUCUUCUCUUUCCUUUCGGUUCUCUCACCGGACCUGAUAAUUUUGUAUUUGAAAUAAUUUUGUUUGUUUAUGAAGGUUGAGCCCAGAAUUUAUGGGUUUUAUUAUGGGCCAACUACAUUUGCUUUUGGGCCUUUUGUAAAUUGUUUUUCCUUCUUUUAUUUCUUUGGCUAAGUGAUCUAGAAUUAAAAUAUCAAUACAGACUAAAUUUUGACGACACAACGAUGAGAUAUCAACGACAUGCUAAAAAUCAAUUAUUUCAUCAACCAUCGCCUCAAGUUAGAUCGUUUCAGCCAAAAACCUAAAUUUUUUAAGAUGUUCUUGUCAUGGCCCAUGAUACUUAGACCUGUAAAGGGGUCGGGUUUGAGUCAGGUUCAAUCCAACCCGUUAAGCUAACGGGUCACCCGAAUCCGACCCAUUAAACUAACGGGUCACCCGUUUCACCCGUUAACAAUUAUUAUUUUUUUUUUUUCAUAGAGUUUAUUUUUUGUUGUUAAGACUUUACUGAAAUUACUAAAACAUCCUCAACUAACGGGUCUAACAGGUUGACCCCAAGUGACCCGUUAUUUAACGGGUUGUUAACAGGUUCACCCGUUAACGACCCGACCCGUUAAGCAUCCAUCCAAAUACUAAUAUUAACAGGUCGGAUCGGGUUAACGGGUCGGAUCCAAAAUGCCAAGUCUAAUGAUACUCGUGUCAAAGUACUCAUACAUGCUCCUCUCACCAUCACCCAAUGUAAGGUGAAAUUCUUGUGUCCCUGACAAUCAGGCCAGGUAAAUUGUUCAACUCAUUUACAAAGGAAUGAAACUUUUUCAAUAAAAUUUGUACCUAAAUGAGAAGAGAUUCUUGCAUCCAGCCGGGCAUAUGGGGCAUAGACUAUUUGGGUGGGCAAAGGUGAGAAAAACAAACAAGGGGACCCUGGGUUUAUGAGUAUGGCUGUAUGGCCUUAUUGGUUCGGUCGGCCAUAUCCAUAUAUAUUCCUCUUGCAUAAGGUCAAGUGGUACCUAAAUAUUUCGGGACCGGCUUCUUUGUAAGUGAGUCGAACCACCUAGUUUAAUUGUCAGACGCAAAGUUCUUCAAUGUUAUGGAUACAUAAGAAGUAAACAAGUUGUAGACACUCCCAUACCAACUAACUUCUAGUCUAGUAACACUCCUCUUUUCAAUACUAAAAUAGGUUUUAAGCUCGAAUUUCAAUCUCCUCCCGUUAAUUCAAACUACGAAGAGAGUAAUUCAAACUCGAGUGCAUACGAGAGAACACAAUCUAUUAAACAAUGUAGAUACACUCACAUCUGCAAUGAAAGAGCAGUUUUAGAAUUUCCAAAUGAUAUUUAAGAAUAGUAUAAAAUGUGAUGGAUAAGAUCAAGGUAAGUGGAUGAGAAUUGAGUAUUACUUUACUUAGUAAGGAUAAAUGAGGGCUGUGGGGAAGUGGGGAAGCUCUAAGAUUAGUACAUGAAAUUCAAAGCUGGGAAGCAGACCCAAGGUAAGUAAUAGGUAUAUGUCAUACGACCAAGGCCAAGCUUAAGUAUUUUAUUCACAAUUAUGCAGCCCAAGGAGACAUUGCUCAUGUGGAGCAAGAGAAAAUUCCAAUUUCCAAGCCAUUCAUACAAACAAGAAAUCCGACAGAGUAAAUCACAGAGAAAUUAAUAACAACAAGAAAGUGCACAUGCAGAGAAGAAUGUCCAAGAAUUUCCAAUAUCUUAAUUCAACAACUCAAAUUAGCGUCAAUACUACGUAAACUAUUCAACAACUAUCUCUCCCUCGCUACCUUUCUGUUCACCCUUUCAUGCCAGCUGCUAAACCCCAAAUUCUACAAAUGGCAACCAUGACUACUAGCUAGCUAGGAGCUUUUUUUUCCGUUUUUUUCUCAUAUAUUUGAAGCAUGUAAUUCAAAGGAAACUUAAACGCAGAUCCAAAGGUGGAAGGUCCAUUUCUGUCCCAACAGUGCAGGUAAAAGCUGAUGCCUCCUUGCAAUAUUCGUUUGCGUGAAAUCUCAGCUUCUCUCCCUCAGAUUCGUUGAAAGAGUUUAUAGGGAAAAGUUGAAGGGUCUCAAUCACUCUUGCCGGCUCCGAAACCUGAUUUAUUUCUGCAAAGAACGGAAAAUAAAACCGUGAAAAAAGAAUACAAGCACCAUAUCAGAAAAGAAAAUUCAGGUGCAUAGUGCAUGCUAGAAAAACCCUAAACCGAAGUACUUCAAGAAAGAGAAAUUUUUUUUUUGGUCAAUCAAGAAAGAGAAAUUUUAACAGCUAUGAUUAACGGACGUUUUGGAGACGAUAUGUUCUCCAGAUCUCGACGAAUGAUAUCCUUGUCAUCAAUAGAAACUUUACGCCGCUUUUGUCUUUCUCUGGCUUUGUGAUUCUGAAACCAGUAAAAGACGUUCUUGCUCUCGAUCUUGCCAUAAAAGCUUAGCUGAGAGGAGAUUUUCUGAAUCUGAUCAGUGCUCGGCGUUCGGAGUCCAGACCUGAACAGGUCAGUCAGAACUUUAACCUGUUCUGUAGUUGGAUUCCAACGCCCGCACUUGGUUCCACUAUUACCAUUACCACCAUCGCGAAAACUCGAUGCUUUAAUGCAAAAUCCUGACAUGCCCUCGUCCAUAUUUCAGCUUCAAAUGGCUAGAAACAAAACCAGUCUGUGCUGCUGCCUCAGGAACUUCCUUUUUCUGAGCUUCUGAACUCAAAACAGUGUGAACUCGUGUGCAUAUAUAAUACCCUAAAGUAGACAGUACUUUGGUUUUUUUUUAUUAUAAUUUUUUUGUGUUAGAUCUUUGUUUAUACACUAGUCUGCGUUGUUUUUAGAGAAUUUGAGAUUGAAUAAUUAUGUGGAUUUGUUCGGUUUUAAUUAUCUUUGCCCAGUUUUCUGUGCUGAGAGAAAGAGAGGGACAUGCGCGAAAGCUGCCAAUGUUCAACAUUUGUCGGCGAGCAGACAAGAUGAAAGUUUUCCCUAAACUAUAUGGUUUUUACUUACGUUGAGUUCAUAUGCAUUAUAUAUUUCCACAUAUUUUUUUUAGCUUUUUAAACACUGUGUUUUUAUUUAUAGUCAUCGAAUUGGAUAAGUGAAAUAGAAUCAACCGUCCAUAAUUAAAUAUGAGUGUAAAAGGUUAAAAAGAUGUGUAAAAUUACUUCCCUAUCAAUUUUUAGGGUUUUUUGUGCUUUUCAGUUUUAGAUGAGCAAAACCCUUCUAACAAUGUUUAUAUUAAAAAAAAACACUACUUCAUAGAAGAACAUUUAUUAUAUAUGUGGUUUUUUGUACUUCAAGGGAUUUUGCAUUUUUGUUAUAAAAAAAAAAGGGAAAAUUAGGUUAACAUCCUUCUUUUUGUUACUCAAUUGAUUAAAAUCCUAUUCAUUUUCAAUUUUUGAUCAAGGUCCUUGGGUAUUAAUAACAUCAUUAAUUAUUUGAAUAAUAAAAUAUUUUUAUUUUUAAAUAUAUUCCUUUAAUGUUAAAAAUGUUACAAUUAGUAUAUUUAUAUUUAUGGCUAAAUUUUUUCAUCAUAUAAUUUUAUUUUUAGUUUGUACCUAUUUUUAAUUUGCAAAUAUUUUUUAAUUUGUACCAAUUUUCUUUUCAUUUUUAAUUUGUACCCAUAUAUUAGUUCCUUUUUGUGCCCAUAUUUUUUAAAGUUUUAUUUGUGUUUGUACCCAUGUAUAUACUGUCACGUGACAUUGUAUAUUUAAUCAAUAAUAGAAAAAUUACAUAUGGUAUAUUUAUGUUUUAUGCCUAAACUUUGUAUCAUAUAUUUAUAUUUUUAGUUUGUACCCACUUUUAAUUUGUAACAUUUUUUUUUUAAAUUUUUAGUAUUUUCUUUUUAUUUUAUUUUGUACCCAUGUACUAAUUUUCUUUUAGCGACUAUAUUUUUAAAAAUUCAUUUGUAUUCAUAAAUUUUAAUCUUUUAUUUGUACCCUAAUUUAUUUCUAAUGUACCCAUUCUUCUUUAUUAAUGUACCACUUUGUUAUAUGUGAAAUGUACCAAUUUUUUUAACACUAUGGAUACAUUCUUUUGCCAUUUAUUAUUUCUUAUUUUUACAUAUUUUUUAUCCAUUUAUUCAAUCAAAAUGUUUGAAUUUUUUUAUUGUAACCGUUUCUAAUAGUAUUAUAAUGAGGGAUUUUAAAUUUAUAAGAUUAUAAAUCUCAUAAAAUAUCAAAUAAUUAAUGUCAAAACUAUAAAAAUAUAAAUAUUAAUAGUAAUAUAAUGAGGUAUACAAAGUCAAGGGACCUUGAUCAAACUUUGAAUAAUAUUAAGGUUUUAAUCAAAGAAUGUUAAGGAUUAGGGACCGCAUCCAAAAUAUCCCAAAAAAAAAAUUAGAGAAGUACUUUAUAAAAAUGCAUUUCCAAACAAUUCAUAAUUAGUAUAGUAAGUCCAAGAUAACCAGACAUUGAGUAAGGCCAAGCAUCAUUUUUAAUUAGUUGGUGUCUGCUAAAGAUCAUAUAGAAGAGUGCAAAUCUCCUGGAUUAUCUUAAUUGGGGUAUUAGCAGAAAAACGAUCGAUGCAAGUGAAGGUCAAAAUUACACAUUGUCUGAUUUGCAUUGGACGGUUGUGAUCGCAACAGACUGACAAAGAUACUGAGUUAGGUUGACCCUAAAUACUGAUUACAGCUCAGUCAUAUAGAGUGGGGAUAAUUGAUAUAUAAACCUCCUUUUAAUUGAGGAUGUGUGGGAACAUAAACAAAGCGACAAGAAAGCCACCAAAAAUUGAAAUUUAGGAGGGACGGACAACGCAUGACCAGCCAAAAUGGGAAAAGAGAAGAGGAGACAUAUUGGAUUUUCUUAUGUCAUGUGCCUCCUGUCGUAAGCAACUGCAUCCCCCUUUUUCCAGUCACUUGGUUUGCUUCAUCUUUUAUCAUUUGAUUGAAUGUUACCCAAUUCUGGGAGUGAUCAAAAGUGUAGGAGAAGUUUUGUAUUUUAGGGUUUGUCCCUACACAGGGAUAUGUUGGAUGAGAAGGUUUGAACAUUAAUGGUCAUAUGCAUGAUACAUACACCAUUAGAUUUGCAUGCGAUUUACUUUUUUGAAAAAUGGAACUGAUCUAUACGUUACACAUGCUAUACUUUUUAACGAAUGAACAUAAGUUUCAUUAAUAAAUGAGUGCACGACAAAGUGCAGAUAAAAAAGUAAAAAAAAAAACACUAGCUAGAUUAGCUAGAGGAGGGUCUUCGAAAAUAGCUAUGGGGUUUAGUCGAUGAAUGCAAAUCUUUAAUUAACAUGAACUAGAAGUGUAUGUGGUGAAUGUUCAUUGGAAGAGAAAUGAAGCUCUGAUAUGGUAGCUAAAUUGGGGAUUGAUUGGGAUGCAGAUAUUUAAGUUCUUGUGGAGCCUCUAAUAUACUUUCUGUAUGUAUACAGUCUACUAAUAUUAUCAGAUUUCGUACUUUUUUUUCUUUAGAAGAAGAUUCGAACUUGAAACAUAUUCCAAUGCGUAAAAAAUAAAUAAAACUAAUCAGGAAGAACGAUAAGUUUUGUAAUAUUUAACCUUAUUGAUUACUUCAAAACGAGGAUAAUGGUUUCAUGAUCCAUUUAAUUCAGACGUUUGUGACAAAAUCCCAAGAAAAGUCUUCGAGCAUGCAUGGUUUGAUUUGAUCUCGCAAGAUUUUGAAUAAGAUAUAAUAUGUUUUGGUAAUUGCUAGUCAAGAUCGAAGAGCAGUGUGGCCAAGUUGUGUUGCGCACUUUCAACAAUUCCCGAUGGUGUUCGCAUUCACGAGUAAAAUAUUUGUCUGUUUGCACUUGGCGCAAUAGUUUGCUGACUGCUGUCUGUGAAUGUGGUCUUCUAUCUAACUCUUAGGAUAAAUUUUUAAUUGUGACGGGAAUAGAAAUGGUAUAUCACGUGUUUUAAUAGGAGUGUUGAAAAAUUUUAAUUUUUAAAUUAUUAAAAAUUUAGCACAUAUAUCUUACAAUUUGUAUAGUGACACAUAUUGUACUAUCAUGUGUACCGGUCACACUAAAAAAUCUCUAACUCCUAGGACUCUCAAUAAUUAGUACUAAACUAAGAAAUAAUCUUGUUAAUUAGUGAACAGGCUAUGCAUGUCAGGAUGGAGGUGGAUUGUCUGCUCUCCCAUUUUCAUGCUUUUUUCAUCCCCUCCUGUUUGUGUGGUCACGGUUAAGCCACGUCAACAUUUUAUAUUAAUUUUUUUAUAACAUAAUAAAACAAAAAGUAAUAGGAAUAUAAAAUGUUGACAUGACUUAAUCGUGACCACACAAAACAGGAGGGGAUGGGAAGAAUAUGGAAAUGGGAGGGCAGACAAUCCACCUCCCUUCAAAUUUGGUAUCCUGUCAGGAGGUGGAUUGUCUGCCCUCCCAUUUCCAUACUCUUUCCAUCUCCUCCUGUUUGUGUGAUCAAGGUUAAGUCACGUCAAUAUUUUAUAUUCCUAUUACUUUUUGUUUUAUUAUUUUAUAAAAAAAUUAAUAUAAAAUGUUGACGUAGCUUAACCAUGACCACACAAACAAGAAUGAAUGGGAAGAAUAUGGAACUGGGAGGGCAGACAAUCCACCUCCAAUUUGGAGAGAUGAUGGAUUUAAUUAAUUUGUUUAAUCGUGGUAAUACCGCACUAGGAUUUUUGCUGGGUUGGCAUAAGCACUAGGGUUUGCAUUUUCCAGGGUAAGGGCCAACCCACGAUCAUCGUCAUCUUGAACAUGUCUCCUUUGGAAGCAACUUUUGCCCCUCUUUCUGCUUAUGCAGAUGAAUAAUAUUUGUUAGAACUGAGUUCGUAAACUAAUGGAUAGAGAGGUUCAAAUCUCUUUUAACAAAGACUUCCAUUCUUCUAAAUAUUGGCUCUUUUAUAGUUUCUUCAAUUUCCGAUGUCAAACAAUACUCUACAUUUUACAUAAAAUAUAACAUAGGCUUAGUUUUAACUGACACAUGUACUCUUCAUAAAACCUGACUUUACUGUAUGAACUCUAUUUUGUUUCACUUUACCCAAUGUACUUAUACUUUGUGUCUCACUUUACCUUAUUCCCUUAACUUCGUCACAUAAACCGUUAACUUGCUGACUUGCAGUGUCUUUAAUGUGAUAUUGGUUAAAAGAAAAUUAUAAAAUAGAUUAAAAUGUGACAAGUUAACAGUUUAUAUGACGGAGUUUAACAAAAUAAGGUAAAGUAAGACACAGUAUAAAUACAUGGAGUGAUAGAGUGCAAGAAGUAAAGUGAGAUUUUUUUUUUUUUUUUUAUCAUAGCUAAAAAUAAGCCGCAAAUAUAUACUCACUAACGUGAGGCAUUUUUGUAUCUAACAUGUAGACAAUUUUUAACAAGUGAAGUGACGUGUGACUUAAAUGCUAAUAUCUAACCCAUAAUCAUAUAGCAAGUUAGCAAUGGGUGGAAGGGCUUAAAACUUUUUAAGCUCAUAUAUUUUCUUUGAUCUUUGUAUGUGACAUUCUAUCAACAAAAUUAGGGUUUACGAACUUUAUUAUCUUAAGGAACGCAUGCUUCUCGAUCAAAGCAUUUUACUACCUACAUUUGACUGAAAAUCCCAACUUCCAAAUUAGAACCAAAACAUUUGAAACCAAGCCAGUACUAUUAAACAUAAAGAGAGUAAGUUGGAAGUGUGAGAUUGGUAAAAGUGCCACGCUGUCCUGUUUGUGUGUCUUUUGUAAUUGUCCAUCUAUCUAUCUUAAUUUAGUCUAAUAGAUAAUUAGAGCAAUGGUCUCUGAAUUUUACCUCAAUCGGAAUUUUGAUCUCUGAACUAAAAAUCCGUGAGCAUGGGUAUCUGAACUUGCUAUAAUAUGAAAUAAUGAUCUUUUACGCUAACUCCGUUAGAACUUAUAUUCAAAAUAAAGGGUUUAAAGGGACAAAAAUAAAUGAAAGUUCUAACGAAGUUAGCCAAAAUGAUCUUUGCUCCACAUUAAAACAAGUGCAUAAACCAAUACUCACGGAUUUUUUAUUCAGGGACCAAAUUAUCUCUAUCUAACAUAUCUACAAAGCUAUAAACCCUAAGUAUAAACAUUUUGUCAUAAUAUUUGUGGAAAAGAGUCGGGUAAAGAUUUGUGUUAUGGUGAAUGUGUAAAACGUGAGAUUCAAGAAGUCGUAAGCUAGAAUUAGGGCACGCGUGAAAUCCAGGCCGCCCCAUAAACAUCUUGCCUUGUUUUCUACUUUCUUGUCUUCCAUUGCAGCUGCUGCUGCUGCAGUGGAAGCUUCACCGCCAUCAUCAAGACAAAAGGGCCAAAAGCCACCCCCACUCAAAUCAAACAUUCCUUAUUUUAUAAAUUAAGAGAAGAGAAUAUGAAUUUGGGGGAAAAAGAUCCAAUCAUAUGUACUGGUUGCUUGCUGCCUGGCAUCUAAUUAGUGGCCAAAGUCAUUAGAUUAUUAGGUUUCCUGUUAACCCAGACCCACUAAAUUAAUUUUGGUUUUAUUAAUUAUGAUCCGUGUUAACCCACUAACUUAAUUUUGGUUGUUAUUAAUUAUUGUUCAUGCAUAUGCACAAUUGGUGAAUUGCUCCGGCGCUCUCUUCAAUCCGUUAUGUCACCAGUUCAAAUUCACAGUAUAAAUAAAUAUCGAAUGUAUUCAAAAGGAAAAAAUUUCAUGUACAUGCACUUAGUGUGAUUCCUAAUAAUAACGUGUGAUAUUUUACCCGCUCCAUAUUCAAAUUAACAGAUUCAUUGGGCAACUCAAUGUGUACAAAGCGGAUAUUUAUGGACAAGGGAAGUACAAUCUACCAGAAAUAAAUGCUCUUAACUAGUAAGGCACGGACCCAACCAACAAAUGUUGGGGGGGGGGCUGAGCCAUCUGCAUAGGAGAGUUGUCCAAAGGUAGGUUAGGACAUUUUUGUAAGGCCAUCUCCAACCGAAGGGUCCAGAGGGUCAGAGGGCCGAAAAUAGCCCUUAAACCGUCUCCAACCGAGCGCUAGGCCAGAGGGCUCGGGAAUCUGGGAGGGCUGGAGGGCUGGCUGCUUUCGGCCAGAGCCAGCCAACCCCAGGCUGGCUAUUUUUUUUUUUCUAGUUUUCCUAUUGCUGUCGGUUAUAACCGACAGUAAUAGGUAUUCAUAGGCAAAAAAAAAAAAAUUAUUUACUAUUACUGUCGGUUAUAACCGACACUAAUAGUUUGAAAUUUUUUUGAACAUAACGGCUAGCUAAUCAGCUAGCUGUUGGGUUUUUUUUUUUUAAUUUAAACAUUUCUUUUUUUCUAUAAAUAUGGUGAAGUUCUUUCAAUUCUUCACUUCAUUUGAAAUAUUUCCUUCUUCAAUAUUUCCUUCAAUAUAUUUCUCAAUAUUUCCUUCAAUAUAUUUUCCAAUAUUUCCUUCAUCUAUAAUAUUUGUUUCAAUUUUUCAAUAAUUUCCUUCAUUUUGUUCCUAUAACUUAUUUUUCACAAAAUUUGUUUCAUAUUUUUUUUUAAAUUUCAUUUUUUUCCUAUAACUUCUAUUUCACAAAAUUUGUUUCAUAUUUUUUUUAAAUUCUAUUUUUUUUCCUAUAACUUCCUAAGCCAUUAUACAACAUUAAAUUAAAUUAAGUAACAUGAAACAACAUUUAAGUUGUAAUUUUUAAAUAAUAAAUUAUGUUUAGCCCUAUAGCCCUUUGUCCCUCGAUUGGAGACGGUUUUUUUGUGAAAAUGCUAAAACGAACCCUUUGGCCCUCUAGCCCUCAGUUGGAGACGAAGGCAAAUAUGACAUUGUACUGUUCAUUAAAAUAUUAAUAUCUUAGAGAAUCUUAGAGGGCCAGAGGGCUAAAACGAGCCCUCUAGCCAACCAUCGGUUGGAGAUGGCCUAAGUUGGAGUGGGCUAGAGGCUAGGUCCGUUCUUGUACCAAGUUGACUUACCGGCUCCUUCCUCGUUGGGAAACUAUUACGGAAGGCUGCAAAUUACCAACCAGAAGAGUAGCGCUUACAGGGCUGGGCAUACCGGCAUACUAUAAAACGAAGACAAACUAUGCCCCAAGUCAGCAACGGCUUCGUCAAUAAAGUUCGCCUCUCGAAAAACAUUGCAAAAAACAAAAUUAUCUCAAGUCUCCUGAAUUUACAGCAAAGGAGAUGAAAUUUACAGUGUUAAAUAUUAGAUAUGAGCCCGUCAAGAAAGUAAAGGCGUAGGGAUGAAAAACCAAGUUAAGCAGGAGUAUCAAAUCAGUUUUGAGAAUUAGGGAACAACCUAUUCUGAAUUUGGUAAAAUAAACUAUAAAGUUGAAGCUUCAAACAACGGUACAGAAACAGGAUACGAACCAUAAAAUUAGCUCCAAAAUUGAUCGCGUUUCUAGCCAACAAUUAAAGCAGUAUUGAAAAGAUUGAACGAUCCUACCUAUAUUUUCAAUGGAAAUAAAAAUAUUACACCCUUCUCUGCAAACAAAGACCCCGUUCUCACAGUUGGUCAUAUAUCCUUUGACAGAUUACUUUCAAAAGUAGAAUCUCAUGACAUAGGUUCUGUAAGCAAAGGCAUUACAGAACCUGAGCAGCCGUGUUCAAUUUUUCGGCUAAGGUGAGCUGUGUCCUUGUGAUGCUUGACAAGUACAGUAAGAGCAAGUUGUCCUGUAAGCAACAAACAAAAGGACAAGUCUAAUGUCAAAGAAACGCUCGCCAAACUUAUAACCCUAGUAUUGAAGAACUAUUUUGCAUCAUUACCCUACAACCGACAACAGGAGGCUGUGAACAACACUGAUAAUAGAUAACUAAAGUAACUGAAUAUUUUGAACUGUAUCUUUCAUGAUACAACAAAAUGAACAAAAAUAUAUCGCACCUGCAGGCUGUCAUUGAUAAGCUUAUCAAAAGCUGAUGGAGACAGUUUCGGAAGAGAUGCAAUCGUAUCAAAAAGAAAUCUCCCUAUAGUGUUAUCUUGUUCAACACGGCCUUCCUGGAAACAUGAACCCUCAUUAGAAUUAAGUAAAAUAAAUGGAAUGACCAGCUUAAGAAGGUUAAGUAUCAUUACUAACCACAACAUUGUCAACAUAUUUGUAAACAUCAUCAAUUAAAGCUAGAAGCCGCUCCAUUGAGGCUUCCAUUCCUUCAAGAUCAGUUGGGAGUUUGUCAACCAUUGGGGUCUUUAAAAUAUCAUCUGUCAUCAUGGAAAAGCAUAUGAUUUUGAAUCAGAUCUGCAUCGUGCUUAAAAGCUCAAACAAUCAUAUCCAAAAAUUAGUGGGAAGCUAUGAGUUCAACCAAUGUACUAAAUAAAAGCUUAGGCCCAAAAUGACAAACUACUUUUUAUUGAUGUGAAAAGGACAUAUAACUAGUUCCUUCAACGGAUUGUUAUUCUCAGAAAUACUAGUUCCUUCGAGUUUCCUCCAAAACUUAGCGUAAAAGUUACUUCUGUUCCAUGAAGUCAGAAAACUAUACAGGGAAGAUCAAGUGAAUGUGUUGUGUGUGUGAAUACCAAUAUGACCACAAAUGAUGCUACAAACAAUAAAAGUUUAGAGGGAUAAACUUACAUCCAACUCGCUCAGCUUCAACCAUGCGAAGAUCAAGAGGAAUUUCUUGAAACUGCGCAGCAAGUUGCCGAUCUCCAAGAGACAAAUUCACUGAAACAUAGCUUUUAUGGCACCCACUCCAUUAACAAAUCCAGUAUCAACAGUCAAAUGAACGGGGUUGGGAGCUUCUCUAGAAUAGAAUUCAUGAAACAGUGCACUACCACCAGUAACUCCAAGACCAGUUGAAUACCUACAAGUAAUAAUCAAGGCGUAACAAUAAGCAUUCCAAUCAACUUGAAAACUUACAAAUCUCUAUUACAUAUGCUUAAAACAAACUCGUAUGAACUUUUCGAAAUUUGUGAAACUAUCAUUGGGGAGCAUUGAGUUCGCGCUCUCACGUGUACCAUGACAUACGAGGAUGUUCCCUAUUCCAUUUAUGAAUUCGUAUUUUUGGCUACCAAGCUUACGCACUAGUUACAGGUUCCGCACCAAAUUAAACAUAAAUUACACAGAGGAAGCAACAUUUCACCGGAAUGAAUAUCAUUAUUAAACACGAUAUAAUUCGAAUUCGUCAAUUAAAACUGCCUGAAAAGUUGCACGAUAAUAACUAAGAAAUCUAAAACAGAAAAGAUAAUGAUAUUUACCAUCCAACGAUGACUUCCUUGGGAUUCACCUUCUGGUGGGAUAUCAACAUAUUGUGAUGGUACUCAAUAUCUAAAGCAACCUGCAAAUUACACACCGAAACAAAACGUCAGUAAAUUCUAACACAGGAUCACAAUUUCCUCGUGUUCAAGAAAUUAACCACAAUUUUCUCAUCAACCAAACAGGGGGAAAACCCAAAUCGCUAAAUAACAAUAAAAUUAAAGAAACAAAUGAGGAAGAAGAACCUGCUCGGCGCUCAUAUGAGGAACAGCGUAGGAGUUUCUGAUGUCGACAGUUCCGUCAGGUAGGACGGAGCCGAGGAGCGUGCCGAUGACUCGCUCCGACUGGUCGGGACGCCUGACGUAGCAAUCGCAGAUGUUAAAGAUGACGAGAGGAUGAACCUUCGCCGACAAGCUCGACGACGGAGACGUGGAGAACUGCAACGCAGUGUGCUCGAUCGCCGCCAUUCUCUCUCACCGCCGAUGGAUCUGGAUUUUGCUUAGGGCUCGAGAGUAAGCGAGAAAGAGCACGGAGGGUGGAGCGAGCACUAGGGUUUUGGGGGAUAGAGAGAGAAGAGGGUAUUGGAUUUCACUUGUUUUUAUUUUAUUUUAUUUUAGGCCUUUCAUCAUUAAGAAGCCCAAUGGUCUAAUGGGCCUAUCUUGGCCCAAAUAGGCUUCAAGAAUAAGAGUUGGCAAAAUCGAAGUAAGAUUCUCUCAUCUCCUCUCCUCUAUUAAUUUUCUAUUUUUCUUUCUCUUUCUGCAAAGAAGUCAACACAAGAAAUUGACGUGAUUUAAUUGUGACUGUUUAAAUAUGAGGAGACUAGAGAGAAGGAGAAUUUGGAGAAGAUAAAAUUCUACUCCAGCAAAAUCUGGGACAAGAAACUUGAAGCCAUUUCAAUCUUUAAAUAAAUUUCCUUAAAAAUCACAUAAUAUUGGAUUAAAUAUGAUUGCAAACUUCAUUUAAGGUAUGUUAGAGGGAAAAAGUGGAGCUAACUUUCACAUUUUGGCCAAUUGAUGGUAGAGAUGCACUAUUUGUGAAGAAAACUAAUCACUUCUCAAUCUUGGUUAUGAACGAAUAAAACUUUACCAUAUUGGGAGAGUAAAAGGGACAUGUUUUAUUUCUGAACAGAUAAUCUAUUUCUUUCAACUCGAUAAAUUUUGAAAGUUAAUAUUUAUUUCUUACGUCAACAUACCUCAAAAAUAGCAAAUUGUUAAAUUCAAUCAUAGGCAUCAAACCUAGUAUCUUCUAAGAGCAAGUCCACCCAUCAUUGAGCCAUUUAAUACUAUGGUUUAGUGGUAUUUAUCUUCAUAUGUAAAUGAGAGGUUUUAGGUUCGAUUAUCGUUAAAUGUGAAUUUGAACCACAUUAUUGAUAACUCAUUGAGAGUCUUAUUCCACUCUCCCAUUCCCUUAAUGUAGACAUUUUGUUUAAAAAAUGAAAAAAUAAAAAAAUAAAGUCCACCCAUCCUUGGAUGGCAAGGGCAAGGGCAUAAAAACAAGGGAAAGGGAUUCGGAGUCCCUUCCAUCAAAUCCACCUCAUCAAUCAAUUCGGACCUUUGAAAUUUAAUCUAACAGCUAAAGCCGUUAUAACUUUUAAAAGAAUCUCCUAUUUUUAACCGUUAAAUCAAAUUUUAAAAACCCAAAUUGAUUGAUGGGAUGAAUUUGUUGGAAGGGAUCCGGAAUCCCUUUCCAAAAACAAGGGCCCAAAAUGAAGAAGGCAAUCAGCUCCACCAAGCCUGUCGGACUGCCCAGCCAACAUUACGCGCAUGCUAGUGCUAUGUUCGGCGGAGCAGGCUGUCAUGUUUUGAUAGGUACAAGGAGGACCACGACAUGAUUUGAUCAAGUAUGAAUGCUACCAUGCUGAUAUGAAUUUAAUUAAGCGUCCCGAUGAGCUUUCAAAACGGUAUCCAUUACUCUGACUCUAAAAUCAGAACGACGACGGUUCCUUGAAUAAUUAUUGGAUCUGGAUGUUUACUUGGGACGAGAAAGUUUAUGAACCAGAUUAUGAGAAAAGUCGGGACCAAAAAACAAAACAUGUAGGAUUGAUAAUAUGACGAUACUAAAGAAAUCAAAAUUUUAAUUUAUGUUUUAUAAAUCACGUAAUGUGAUGAUUGAUUGUUUGACUUAUUUUUUAAAUCAUUAUAAAAGGGAGUUUUGCUAUUAAUCUCUACAUCAUAUGAUUUACAAAAAAUGAUCAAUUUUUUUUAUCUAUGUAGCAUUUUUCAUGAGAAUAACUACUCUUUAGUCAAUGGAAUUCAUGGUUGUUAAUAAAUGUAUGGUAAAUCAAGAAUUACAAUAAUUUGAAUAUUUGGUGUAAGAAAAAUGAAAUCUGAAUCAUAUUCAUUCUAAUCCUCAAUUUUAGUAAAACGUGCCAUUAGUAUAUAUAAUGUCGGUAUAUGAGCAUCUACAACACUACUAAUUAUAUAUUUGUUAUUUUAGCAUGAAAAUAAUCAAAAUAACUCAAAAUCUUUUAAUAGCCACAGUUUAAGCAUAACCAUCUCCAACGCUAUUAGGCCUGAAUUCAGCCUUGUGCCUUCGAGAAUUUCUGGAAGGGCAAACUCUUUGGAGUAAGCCAUAGUACACAACCACCACAGGGUGGCUCAAGUGACAAAUUUUCAGAUCCGUAUUUCACACGAUACGUCUUGGAUUCGAUUCCUGACAUUGGUGAGUCACACGAUAGUAGUCAAGUGGAUGCUGAAAUACCUCUGUGAGUCUUCCCUGCCCGCGGAAUAGUCGAUUGUCAUGAUGAAGCUACUAAAUGGUCCUUUUUUUCUAAACAAAACAAAUAUUACAUAUUUUAUUAUAGGAAAAUUCUAUUCUAAUCCUUGUCUAAGAUUACUUUUUGAAUAAAAUCUUAUCUAAGAUUAAAAAUUAAUUCUAAUCCUUGACAUUUAAUUGUAACUUUUUAAUAUUAAAUAGGUUGUAAUUGUAACAUCCCACAUCACCCAGGGGUUAUGAUCAUGUAAGCCUUAUGUGUAUAUUCUCAUCUUUACCUAGCAUGAGGCCUUUUGGGAGCUCACUGGCUUCGGAUUCCAUCGGAACUCCGAAGUUAAGCGAGUUCGCGAGAGAGCAAUCUCAUGAUGAGUGACCCACUGGGAAGUUCUUGUGUGAGUUCCCAGAAACAAAACAGUGAAGGCGUGGUUGAGGCUCAAAGCGAACAAUAUCGUGCUACGGUGGAGUUGAGCCCGGGAUUUGACAAUUUGGUAUCAUAGCCAAUCUCUGGCCGGAUGUGUGCCAACGAAGACGUCUAAGGGAAGUGGAUUGUAACAUCCCACAUCGCCCAGGGGUGAGGAUCUUGUAACGCCUUAUAUGUAUAUUCUCAUCUCUACCUAGCACGAAGCCUUUGGGGAGCUCACUGGCUUCGGGUUCCAUCGGAACUCUGAAGUUAAGCGAGUUCGCGCGAGAGCAAUCCCAUGAUGGGUGACCCAUUGGGAAUUUCUCAUGUGAGUUCCCAAAAACAAAACCGUAAAGGCGUGGUUGAGGCCCAAAGCAAACAAUAUCGUGCUACGGUGGAGUUAAGCCCGGGAUGUGGUGAGGACCCAGGCCAGGAUGUGAUAGUAAUAAUUGUUGAGUUUUUUGUUUGUAGGUUAUAUAUUGAUUCCCAUAAAUAAUAAAAAUGUUAUUUAUCAUUGAUAGUUAUUAAGUUCACAUAAUAAGAGAAGUCAUAUAUUAUCAUAUUUUUUUUAUUGUGCGUAAAUUUCUCCAUAUAUAUGUAUAUACAUAUUACGUACAUAUGUAUAUUUAGAUACUAUAGUUACGUACCAAUACAUUUGUAUCGAUACAUUCGUACCGAAAGUUAUUGUUUGGGCCCAAAAAUAGUGUUGGUUGGGCUGAGUUUAGAAUCCUUAUCGGCCCAGUGUUGGUUGGGCCGAGUUUAGAAUUCUUCUCAGCCCAUAAGCCGUGUACAGGUGUCGUUGGGAGUUAUGUAGCUCCUGGGCUGCACGGUCGAAGUUGGCCACGUCCCAUUGGGGAAUUGGGGAUGUGGAUGAGUCAUGUUAUGAGAAGGAGUUUCGACAGGAUCAGGAUGCUGGAAUUGAAUACAGCCUGGUAACGAGUUAUGUUCAAAGUCCUAGUAAGAAUAGGAUUGGCCGAGAUAAAGUUGAAUCAGGGAAAUGAGUUAUAAUCCGAGAGUGAUUGAGAUUCAAUAUAGGUUGGCUGCUAUAAAUAGGGAGGGAAGACAUCGAAACAAGAUCCCUCUAACUCAACACACAAACUGCCCAUCGCAAACCCUUGCUCUACGCGAAACCUCUCAACAACCUUGAGAUUUUUUUAUUUUCCUUUUUUGCCAACACAACUUCAGUUUGGAUAAAUAACACUGUGAAGGCAACUGGCGAACACCUUCAGUUUGAAUAAACAACAUUGUUGCCGUAGAAUAAGCCGACCUUAAAGCAUGUUCAAUUUGGAUAAACAACACUGGGACAGGGCCAACUAGUUAUCUAUCCAAGUCUCGGUUGAAAAGGAUUUUUGAAUCCUUAUCGGCAGGGGUCAUCUCAUUAGCCUUCUCAGCAAAGCGAGGUGUUACAAGUUACUAUACUCGGCACAUUGAACGCCGAGUCGUUUAUGAUUGGUUAUUCGCAAGUAGGUUUUAGAGUUCGGCAUUCUGACAGCCGAACCACUUUCACAAUCAAGACAUAUAUUUAUUUUGAAUACAUGUGUCCUUAUACUCUGGUGUCGAUUCGGUGUGCUUAUACUCUUAUGAAUAUAAUCACGGUGACCGAAUACGAUGCCAUCAAUUUGUGAACUUCGCAAAACUAGUAGCUAUGUCUUCAAGCUUUAGAACUUGAAGGCCGAUGCGUGUUCUUUCCUCGGCCGUAGUUGCAAGAUCGAGAAGUCAGAUGCACACCCAACGCAACAUCAACAAAUUUUACUCCUCGACCGAGCUCGGCUGACGAGUUGGCACGCCCCGCAUACAACUGAAUGACGUAGUUAGCUUACUAAUUAUUCAGCUUGCACGCCACGUAGGCUUGGUAGUUUUUAGGGUCAACAAUUAUGUACCACUAUAUUCUUACCGAAACUUACGAACCGAUACUUAUGUACUUAUAAGUAAUAUAAGGUACCUAAAGUUAUGUACCAAUACUUCCGUACUUAUGAUAAAAUAAGAUACCGAAUGUUAUGUAUAAAUUGAUUUUGUUAUGCUGUUGAAUUUUUUUAAUAAUGAGAAUUUGAAUUUUGAAUAAAUUUUUAUCUAUUAAUAUGAUUAGAGCACAAAAUAAAAAACAUAAUUAUGGAUGGGUAAAUAAUUUCGAAUGGCAAGUUCAUAAAUUAUAAAUGUGCUAUAAUUACUUAAAUAUGUAAGUUUUAAAAAUAGAGACUUAUAUUAGAUUUUGAAAACCAUUCAGGUUAAAAUUUAAAAACAAUCUUAUUGAAACCCUAAAAUCUAAAAACCCCUGUUAUUAUUAACAACUCAAUCCUUUUUAUUAUUUUGUUAUUUAACUAUUAACCACUACUAUCACCAAAGUUUUGAUAUAUUUCAAGUUGAUCUUUUUGUUAAAUUAUCUUUAUACUUGUGUUGACCCCUAAAAACUACAAAGCCUAUGCGGCGCGCAGGUCGAGUAACUAAUGAGCUAAUUACGUCCUUCGGUUGAUGCAAGGCGUGCCAACUUGUCGGCUGAGCUCGGCCGAUGAGUAAAAUAUGUUGAUGUUGCGUUGGGUGCGCGGCUGAGUUCUCAAUCUUACGACUGCGGGCGAGGAAGGAACACUCUCAGCCUUUGGGUUCUAAAGCUUGAAGCUAAGGCUGCUAGUUCUGUGAAGUUCAAUAUCAAAUUUGGCUUUCAAUGUGCCGAAUGUAGUAACUUGUAACACCUCACUUCGUCGAAAAUGCUAAUGAGAUGCAAGGUUCUAAAAAACGCUAGGCGCUAGUCGGGCGGCGGGCUAGCGCCUAGCGCCUAGGCGGCUAGGCGGAUUUAGGUAAAUUUCUUGUAUAUCAUGUAAAUAAGUGCAUAUUGACACCUUAAAAAAAACUAUACUUGUAUGGAUAAUAAAAUAAUGAUAAAAUGCAAAUUAGGUACACUAUUUCCAUAAGUAUUGGAUGAACUUGUAGUAAAUCCAUCAUUUGCAAAUUAGAUACACCAUUUCCAUAAGUAUACCACCAUAAAACCAAAAAAGAAAAAAGCACGCAUUAAUAAAAAAUAAAAAAUAAAAAAAACCUCCUAGGACCGCCUACCCCGCCUAACCCGCCUAGCCGCCCAGCCCGCCUAGACCGCCUAGGCGCCGCCUAGCCCGCCUAGGCCCAACCCGAUUUUUCCUCCCGAUUUGCCCAAAAACGCCUCGGUUGCUAGGCGCCCAGCGCCUAGGCGGCCGCCUAGGCCGUUUUUUAAAACACUGAUGAGAUGACCUCUGCCAAUAGGGAUUCGAAAAUCCUUCUCGACCGAGACUUGGAUAGAUAACCAGUCGGCCAUGUCGCAGUGCUGUUUAUCCAAACUGAAGGUGCUUCACAGUCAGCUGAUUCUACGGCAACAAUGCUGUUUAUCUAAACUAAAGAUGUUCGCCGGUUGCUUUCACGGUGCUAUUUAUCCAAACUGAAGAUGUGUUGGCAAAAGGGGAAAAUAAAAUCUCAAGGUUGUUGAGAGGUUUCGCGUAGAGCGAGGGUUUGCGCAGGGCAGUUUGUGUGUUGAAUUGGAGGUCGACCUUCCGUUGCCAUUGCAUUUGUAUUUAUAGGACUGAAGUACUUGCUUUGCACGGUCAAAUAAUGUUGCAGAGUUUAAUUGCAACUCUAAUUCCUAAAAUUAAUCCGCGUCAAAAGCCAAGCAUAUCCUCAGAUUCUAGUUUGUGACUUCUAAAAUAAAGCCUAUCUAAGCUUCCACAUCACAUCAGAAACCUAGAGGACCUAGGCUUCAGAUCUCAUAAAAAAAAAUCUCCACCAGAAGGCUUUUAAAACCAUUUGAUCACUUCCAUCACCAUAGCCUACCUAGGUUUCCUAUGUCAUCAUUACAAACCUAGCUUUUCUAGGCUUGUCUCAUCAUCACCCAAAGCCAUCAACUUUAUUGUGGCAUGCAUCAUGACCCUAUCUGAAUGCAUUUCAAAUUCAUUUUUAGCUUCCAUGUACCAUCGGAUAUCCCAAAUCAACUCGAACUGUAAUGCUCGCUUGGGAUAUAAUUCACAUCAUAUUUAUUUGGUUGAAGAAGACGCUAGGAUAAUGCAUAUUAAAAGAUAAUUUUUAUGAUAAAAAUCAUAAUAUUAUCCUUUAAUAAUGACAAAACCUAUCUCCACUUUUCCAUUCAACGAUUGAGAGUUAUGCUCACUCAACGGUCUUGAUUACACGGCCCAAUGGUGUAAAUUUGGGUCCAAACAACUUAGUUAAAUAUAACUUUUGGAGAGUUCAAAUGGGAAUUGUUUUUGGCACUCAAAAAAUCUCAUUUUACACUCCAAACUUUCUAUAAUUAGAAAAAAGCCGAUGGUUUUCUUAAGAUGCUCAAAAUGAUUAGUUGCGAAAAAAAAACUAAUGAAAAUGACUUGAAAACUUUGAAUUUUAACGGAAAAAAAAGCGUUGUAAGUGAAUAGUACUAAUAUUGACUUUUAGAGUAAAAAUAUGGUUUUUCGUUAAAAAAAAAUGAACAGUACCAGAAGCUUUUUAUUAAAGUUCCCAAAAAAUUAUGAUUUAAAAUAAUCUCAUGUCGGGGCGUUGCAGUAGAUAAGUUUUUUUAAUAAAAUAAUUCAUCGACCACUUACAAGUUGGUACACAAUUUUGUAAUUUCAUAUUUCAAUAUACCUUAAACAUCAGAGGUAAUUUAAUCCAAUCCUAUCCAAUCCUUUAAACCAAACUACGCGUAAAGUGAUUUAUUUAAAAACAUAGUUAUUAGUAGAUAGGAUUUGGACCAUUGGCCUAAUAUCAUUUAAAGACAUGCCCACAAACUUUUGUUUUUUAUAUUUUUUUAGAAGAGAGAGAGUAAACCUCAAUUUAUUUGAAAAUGAAAUUGUUAUUAGCACUUUAAAAACAUCAAUAUUUCUUUCUAAUUAUAAAAAGUUUUAAGUGUAAAAUAAGAUUUUUAGAGUGCUAAUAAUAAUUCAAUUUUCAAAUAAAUUGAGGUUUACUCUCUCUGUUCUUAGAAAAUAUAAAAAAUAAAAGUUUGUGGGCAUGUCUUUAAAUGAUGUUAGGCCAGUGGUCCAAAUCCUAUCUACUAAUAAUUAUGUUUUUAAAUAAAUCACUUUAGGCGUAGUUUGGUUUAAAGGAUUGGAUAGGAUUGGAUUAAAUUACCUAUGAUGUUUAAGGUAUAUUGAAAUAUGAAAUUACAAAACUGUGUACAACUUGUAAGUGGUCGAUGAAUUAUUUUAUUAAAAAAACUUAUCUACUGCAACGCUCGAUGUGGGAUGAAUUUAAACGAUAAUUUUUUGGGAACUUUAAUGCAAAGCUCUCGAUAAUGUUCACUUUAACAAAAAAAUUAUAUUUUUACUCUAAAAAGUCAAUCCUGGUACUAUUCACUUACAACUUUUUUUUUCCGUUAAAAUUUAAAGUUUUCAAGUUAUUUUCAUUAGUUUUUUUUUUUGCGUCUAAUCAUUUUGAGCAUCUUAAGAAAACCAUCGGCAUCUACAUUCGUUAUACCUUAAAUUUUAGCCGACUAUUGAUUCUGAUUCAGACAUGCAUCCGCAUCUCAGAUUCAACUAUUAAAUUGCUAAUGAAAUGACCUAUGGUUUUGUUUAUGCGUCUAAUGAAUUAUUAAACAUGUAAUUAAGCUCAAUUAACAAGAAGUCACCACAUCAUCGUUGGCUUGGUGGCUACUUGCUACCUAACCUCAACAACUCUUUUCCUUCUCUCUCCAAUAAUUUCUUUACGACUUAAUUAGAUUAAUAGUUCUGUGGUUAUAAGAUAGUUGAAAGAUAGCAUUUGUGGUAAAAAAAAAAAACAUUAUGAUUUAAACCAUGUGAUACAAUAUGUUAGAAUUGAUGCUCAAAAUUGAAAAUUUCGUCAACUUUUUAUUAAUUGUUAGUACAUAAGCCGACCCCACGUGUUAACAAUUAACGGAAAUGUUCAUUUUAGCCUAAUAUGUGUAUAGAGAUUAAAGAGUUCCGUUUUAGUCUAAUAUGUGCAGCUUAUAUACUAAUAAUCAACAACAAAAUUGACGAAAUUUUCAAUUUUGAAUAUAAAUCAUAACAGACUUUACCACAAAAGAUUAGAUCCUAAUUUUUUAACCACAAGAAAUAUUUUUCAACUAUUUUAUAACCACAAAAACUAUUAAUUCAAUUAGGCCUUUAUUUAAUUUCCAAGUAAAUGGCGACCCGGAAUAAAGGUGGGUGUAAUUUCCGAAAUUGAAAAAUAGAAAUAUUUACUAAUUUACCCAUGAACUUGUAUGAAGCUGUAAUUUUUUUUCUGAAUUUUAAUUAGUCAAUUUUCCUUGAACUUUAGUCUUAAGCCAUUUACCUGCUAGAACUUUGAUAAAUAGACAAUUUUUCCCUUGGUGUUAGUUCAUUCAAGAAAUAAACGGUUAAAAUUAAAAUUCAGAGAAAAUUUGAUUAUGUAUAAAAGUUCAAAAAAGUAAUCGGUUAAAAUUAAAAUUAUAAAAAUAAUUGAUUAAUUAUAAAAAUUCAGAAGUUAAUCAACUAAAAUUAAAAUUCAGAAAGCCAACGACAAAUGUGCCUUAGAAAAAUACACAAAUUCACAGCCACUUGAUGCAAAUAAAAUGAACACUCACCAUCAGAUGAUUCAGAUGGAUGGGAUUGGUGGGGCCUCUCCAUAAAAAAGAAAGGAUCAGAGGGCCCUUUGAGUCUUGAAAGUUGAAACGCAUCCACAACACACAUGUUUUUGCUUGCUCAUAUCACGAUUAAUUAACAGCUUAAUAACUUAAUUACGUACAAAAUACCCUUAAAACGAAAGCAUUACAUAUGAGAAAAUAACAAAAACUCGAUUGAAGAUUGGCUUGAAUGAUGAUCGUACAACGAUUUGAGACGUAAUUAACGGUAAUCACUUGGACUUGAAAGGGAUGGCCCUGAUCACAACCACGUGGUACAAAGCUGCAAGUGCUGCCCCAAUGAACGGUCCAACCCAGAAUAUCCACUGCCACAAUGAAAAAUAAAAUAAACUAAAAGUUAGAACAAAAGUUCAGAAGCCAUUGAAUGCGUUUUUGAAAUUGGAAUACAACAAUGGCUUUUGGAGAGUGCUCCCCACAAAAGCACUUUCAUUCAAGAACAGUAGUGCUUCUUGUAAAAGCAGUUUUGGAUCAAUUAGGAAGGCUUACGUGGUCAUCCCAGGCAUGCUUCUUGUUGUAGAUGAUGGCAGCGCCAAGACUUCUUGCUGGGUUGAUGCCAGUUCCGGUGACGGGGAUGGUGGCCAAGUGCACCAAGAACACGGCGAACCCAAUUGGCAACGGAGCCAAAAUCUGUUCAAAACCCAUUCAAAAUUCACAGCCAGUUAAUCACCAAACCAAAUAAAACGCCAACAAAAUAAUAAAAUCAGGAAGUUCAAGCUCAGCUAGGCAAAUGAUCGGAGACUAGACAUGCGUACCGGAACGUGGGAGUCUCUGGCGCUACGCUUAGCGUCAGUGGCGGAGAAAACGGUGUAGACGAGGACAAAGGUGCCGAUGAUCUCAGCACCAAGUCCUUGACCCUUGGUGUAACCAUGGGCAACAGAGUUGGCACCACCGCCCAGCAUCUCGAAGGUGGAGCUCUUCUCGAAGCCCUUCACGACGGCGGCACCGGCGAUAGCUCCGAGGGUCUGCAUAACUAUGUAGAACACCGCCCUGGUCAGCGACAGCUUCCUGGCCAAAAACAGCCCGAAAGUCACCGCCGGGUUUAUGUGACCACCUGAGAUAUAAACAAUAAGAUCAACCCCGUUAAUCAAGAUUUAUUUAUAAUUAAGAAUGGAUAAAUGACACGGCUGCGUUUUAUGGGGGGAAAUUAAUUACCGGAGAUGCCGGCGGUGCUGUAGACGAGGGCGAAGAUGGUCCCGCCAAAAGCCCAAGCGAUUCCUUGAAUCCCGACCGUCGUGCACUUCGACUUCGACUUGACAACGCCCAUCACCGUCAAGAUUGUGAUGUAGAGGAACAGGAAAGUGGCGAUGAACUCGGCGAUCCCGGCCCUGUAGAACGACCAUGACGUCAGCUCGCCGGGCUCGAACAGUGGAGCAGGCGGUGGUUCCUUGUAGUCCUUCCCGUCGUCCUGGCUCUGAGCCGACGUCCCGAUCGGCUGCCUCUCUGAGUACUUGUUCGCUCCCAGCCUAACAUCCUCUUCCUUGCCCUCCAUUAUCGCUUUACGUACAAGAUCAGACCAAGCAGAUAUCGAGCUCUCGGUGACUGAUGACCGUUGGAUCUUUUUGAUCUGAGAGUGUGAGGAAUGGCUGUGUUAUGAGUGGAUUUACAGGGAGGGACUUAUAUAGCACAGCGAGCGCCUGAGUUUUGGAAGCUGGUGAAGUGAGGGAGGGUGGUGGCGGGACCCAACGGCUUUAUUAAUUUUGAUUUUAUUUAACUUAUUUAUUUUUAUUACCAUGUGAGCGACCAAUGAUUUUUAACAAGCUGUGGUAAUUUUUUGCACAGAGUCGUUAAUUUGACAUAAACGACAUAAUAAUAGUAGGUAGUUGUUUAAUUCGUCAUCUAGUCGGAUUAUUAUCAAGUUACAUGUUAAUAAUUUGUUAACAAAUCAUGUUGUUAUCGAAUUAACGGUUAAGAACAUGAUAAGAUAAUAUGUAUAACAUGAAAAUGAUCCAUUUGCUAGGUCUAGACAUUAGCAUGAUAAUUUUAUCAUGACACGUUAAACCAAUACGAAACGACAUGGCUUGUUAAGUAAUCGGAUUGUUAUUGUGUCGGCAGUUAACAACUGUUAAAAUAAUAAAUUUGAUACGAUAUAAUUUGUUAAGAUAACUAGAAAAUGCCUAGAAAAUAAUACAAAACAUGACAAAUAUGAUUCGUUUGUUAGGUCUAAUUUUCUAGGCAUUUCACGAAAAGUGACGUGUAAAUAGGCUAAAGAAAAUUAGUAAGUUACUUUCCACGUGGCGCGAUUGUGUUCGCAAAUUGUAUGAGGUACUGCACCGUCCAAUCACAUCAUCUACAGUUAAAUAGUGCUUCAGACUGCGUAUUUCAAUUGAUGAGAUGAGACAGAACAACGGGUCUAUCAUUUGAAUUUUGGUUUGUUUGACAAAUUGUUGUGCCUAACUCUUAUUAAUGCGUGGGCACGGUUCGGAAUGAAUCCGUUUGUUUCUCAACGUAAGCAAAUUAAUUGGCAGUGAAGUUAUGCAAUGCAAUUUGUUUUAGUUAUAACUAAAUUAAGAAGAGAUAAUAAUCAAAUCACGAUUGAGUCAUUUAAUCGAUUCGAUUUAUAUAUAGGUCGCGUUGCAUCAAAGCAAACUACUUAUAAUUUGGUUCGGUUCGUUUGAAAAUACUUUCUUAGUGCUAAAAUUGAAUCAAACGCGUGAAAUCGGUUUGAUUCAACUAGUUUUGUACCUACUCUUUAAGUUAGUUAUCCGUGAUCGAGCGAGUAACUCUUAAUUGUUUAUUGGGUUAUUAUCUGAAGCAAAAUUCAACAUCUACUAUCGUCUAUAGUUAAGUUUAUACGAUAAUGCUUGGCUCGUGCUUUUAAUUAAUCAAUUUUUAUGCUAACUGCUAGGUGGCAGCAGGUAAAGAAGCCUUCAAUCAUUUAUCAUCUGAUGUGUUUGAUUCUCUCCAUCCAUUUAAUUAUGUUAUUUUUAUUAUAUAUAAAUAAUAUGAUACCAACCCAUGAUUAAUUUUUUCUUCGUUCUGCAAAGGCUGCAAACACUCAAAGGAUAUGAACUGCUGUGUACAAAGACAACUCCUUUCGCUUAAACAACAAAUUAUCAAGGCUGUAAUGGGAUCAUGGAAUUAAAUAUGCUAUAAAAAUUAUGGUACCGCUCCACUAUCACAAUAUGUGGCCUCGCAGUUUUGCGAUGAUUUAUACGGUCGUUGUGUUGAUCUGUUGUGUCUAUUAUGUUUUUGUUAUAAAUUCGUACUUGUAAUAUUUUGUAUGGUAGGAUAGUGUUUGUGGUAGCCGUAUAGGGUUUACUGUUGUUUGUUUCAUUACACAAAUUUACUUCAGAUUAAUUUCUUGGUCACUAGAACUGAUGUCCUCGAUUGGCAACCUUUGUAAUUAUUUGUGAAGUUCAAUGAAAUACCAUUCUAUCGCUUCUUGUAAAAAAGAAAUUCUAAAAAAAUAAAUAAAAAGGCUUGCCAAUGCAUUAGUAAUGGAGUCUCAUAGUUUAGUUUUGUAGUAAUCGCAAUGACGUUUUUGGAUAAUGAAAAAUAAUGUUGCAUGUCGUUAUAUUUAAUCAUCUCCCAUUCUUUAUGGGAUAAUGUUUCCCCCAUUUUUUUGUGCCAUAAUUCAUAGGUUAUAUAUAUAUAGAAUUUGGAGGCAUCACAUGGGGUGGAGCUUUGAUGACCUAGCCCGACGGCCCGUCAUUUGAACGUUUCAAACUCAAAUACAUUUAGAAAUUGAAACGCGUAUGAUUGAUGUCGUUUGGACCACAUGCGCACCAUGGUAGUGGCUGGCUAGUCAGCUUCACAAGUGGGCUCUCAAAUUAGUACUGGAAAAUUUUCUUAUUUUUGCCAAAAGAAAAGAAAGACAUACUUUUUCUUAAAGCGUAUGGCUGAAAAAAGUUAUCUUAAUUAACAUACUAUGUAUUUUUGUUGUUGCCGAUGGGAUGCUCUAUAUCAUAUAGCUUGAAUUGCAUCGCGGAAGGUGUCGCGUGGGAGAUAAAGCUAUGCAAUGUCGCGUUAUUUAGUGAUUUUGUGUAAAUUAUUUGAGACUUCCAUGGCGUAAAAUAGUAAUAAACACACACACACACUAGACUUUACUCAUUAGAAUCAUCACUAUGCAAAAAUCCUUACCGUCUUUAUCACGUCUUUCAUUUUCCUUCUUCAAUUUGUUGCAAAGUAUCAUUAGUAGUAUGAACCUGGCUUCUCUGCCCUCCCACUUUCCAUACACUUCCAUCUAUUUCUAUUUGUACGGUCACGGUUAAGGCACGUCAAUAUUUUAUAUUACUAUUGUUUUUUAUCUUAUUAUCUGUAUAAAAAAAAAUCAAUAUAAAAUAUUGACGUAGCUUAACCGUGACCGCACAAAAUAGGGGGGAUGGGAGUGUAUGGGAAGUGGGAGGGCAGAGAAGCCGGGUCCUAGUAGUAUAGUCAUUUUCAGUGAAUGGAAGAAUGUAGUGAUCGAUGUCAGCUAAAGGAACAUCAAACAAAUUUCGUGUGGGGUAUUCCAAUAUCGCGUAAAAAUUGACCUUUUUUAAACUAUCGUGGUAUUUUGCGUUAAAUCGUAAAAUCUCUUCCGUGACGCGAUAUUUCGCGCUAGAUUGCAAUAUCGAGUGUUUUUUUUUAAACUAUGCUCUAAACUACUUCAUUUCACGAGAAUUGAUUAAUUAAUCUAAUUCAUAUUUGAUGUGAAAUUACUAAAUUGUCAUGCUUAACCUCGCUACGUAGUUGUAAAAAAAUUGAUAUAUUUAUCUUCAAAUGAAGACUAUGUAGGAUGGAUAACAAUGACACAAGAGACAAUUAUUCUUUAAUCAGAAACAUAAAUAAUAUAAUCAAAUGGCUCAAAAUCUUUUAACACAUGUUGACAAAUCGCUGAUUACAUAUUUUGAUUCUUAAAUCAUGAUUAGGUAGCUGCAGCCGCCCGUUGGAUUAGGGCCACUACUUUGCUUCUUGCUGAUUUGGCAGCACAUGGUGUUUUCUGGAGUAAGCUUGACCAGCUACUCUAUGCAAACAAAUGAAUACAAACGACAUUAGAGAAAGAAGAACCGAACACAGAACUUAAGGUCAGUGGCGAAGACAGAAAAUCAAAUUACAACGAUCUUUAGGCUAUAGAAAGAAAUUAGUUUUUGAAGUAUAAUUUUUUUUUUGUACUCGUAUGGAAAAUUUUGAUCAAACAAGAAUGGUGGAGCUUUAAAUUUUGUAUGAAAAAUUUAGUACUGAAAUGAUUAGAUCGUAAGAGACAAAUUUAGUAUUGAAAUGAUUAGAUCGUAAGAACAAAACUUGUUUAUAGAUGUUGAUAAAAUAAAAAAAAAACACAUUCGAACAAAAGUUUAAGAUGAUGACUUUAAAAUUUGAUAUUGCUCUAGACUGUAUAUGCCUUUGUUUUAUAUUGACGGGCCAAAAAUAAGGCAAAUUAUAAGGGGUUUUUUUUCCUUUCAAUUUAAAAAAAAAAAAAAAUCUAGAAAGUGUUGGAAAGUGUUGGAAGACUAGAGAGUCCCGAGGCUAGAUGGAGUUGCAAAACCCCACUAACCAAUAAACCACAUUUUUGUAAAAGCAUGUUGAGAGUACAUACAAAAGGUUAAAAUUUCAAGAGAGGUCUGGAUUAAUAGCAUUGGUCUCCAUGUGGUUCUGUCACUGCUUAAGAUGUUGAUGUAUUGAUUAACGUCCAUAGCUAAUUGAGUGAUGUUGAAAAUUUUCAUAUAAUGAGAAUUCAUCUACGAUAAUAUCUCAAAUCACUAAUAAAUAUCGUGUAAAAAAUUUAAACACGUAAUAAUAUACCAUUGAUUAUGACCAUAACAUCUGCUUUAGAUAAAAAUAUAAUAAUUAUAAAACUGCUGCAACCAAAAAGGUCAGAUGUUCUAUCAUAUUCACUUCAUGACACAAAAGAUGGAAACAAGUGAUUGGGUAAUUAGCAUGCGACUCAAAAAGAUAUAUAAAAAAGAAAAGAUUACUUAUUAUGACAGAUCUUGAAACUUAAUUAGACUUUGGUUGCAAGCAACAGACUAAUGAAUAUCCUUUGUGGCAGACAUUAUAAUCAAAGCAUGCAAUCAUAAUUAAUCUCAGGUAAACUACAAAUAAUGAGACUUAGUUGGUCAUGUUGGGAUAUUUUCGAUACAAACUUUAGUCUGCCCUCACUCCUACAAAAUUUACAUUUUUAUACUAUUGUUUGGACCUGAUAUUAUGUCUUCGGCCUGUGUAAUCAAGGUCAUUGGAUAAAUAGAGUUCUAGACCGUUGAAUGUGAGAGAUGCUAGUUAUUGUUGGGGAUAUUUGAUCAUAAUAAUUGUCUCUUAAUAACGUAUUGAAUUAUCUUUGCACUUUCUUGUUGUUUGGGAUUGAAAUAACGGUAAAAAAUGAGUUAACCCAAUUUGAAAAGCCAUGAAACUCGGCCCAAUAAUAAUUCCUCUAGCCAAUGGGCUUUCAGCCCAAAAGAGGAUUGAUUUGACAGAGUUCUUAUGGAAGUAGGAUUGUGAAAGGAUUAAGUUUAGACGUGGCUCGGUCGAGGUGAACUGAAUUUGCCAAGGAUGAGAAAGAGCUCUAUUUAGAUGUGAAUAAUUCUAAAGAUCAAAAUUCAUUCUUCGUCCGCCCAAUCUCAGUUAUCAGUUAGUACGCCCGCAUUUACAAAAAGAAUGUAGUUAGCUCAUAGUUACUCAGCCUGCGCCACGUAAACUUUGUAAUUCUUAAAGUCAAAAAACUAUAGGGCAAUGUUAUUGAUAGUUCAAAAAUCUCAUUCUAUACUCCUCAAAAGUGUAUUUUUAUUUCCAAAUAUAGAAAGUAAGGAGUGUAGAAUGUGAAUUUUGGAGUGCUAAUAACAAUUUCCAAACUAUAUAUUAAGUAAUUAGCUAGGCAUUCGGAUCUUGGAUUCCCUCUAACAAGCAAGAAAUAAUAUAACUACAUAAGCGCGAGCCAGAAACACAAAAAUAAACCAAUCACAUAUACUUAACCAACACAAUAAUUUACUAGUUUACUUAAUAUGAGCUAUCUAUCUCCCUGAGUUGCUAUCAUAUGCAUAUUUUCACGGAGUUAAAUUACAAUUUAGAAGUGUUCAAGUAUCUUCCUCACAUGUAAGUAGUCUUUACUACAAUGGUGGAAAGAUGUUAAACUCUUGCAUGAUGGCUUGAGUUUGAACCCUAUCAGUGACUAACCUUACAUCUAACGUAAAAAAAUCGAUCAUUUGACGGGAAAAAAAAUAAAUAAAAAAAUCUUCCUCACUCACUCGUAAUCGCUCGUAAAUAGGGUUCACAGAUCAUGAAUCAUAUGACUAGUAGAAAACCAAAACACUGCAACUUUCAUGCAGUCCUCGCUCCAGUCACUCAACGGGAGCUUUCAAUCUUUCCAUAAGAUCCGACCGCUCACCUACACUACACCGACCCGUUAUUCCUCAACAUAUAACUAAACAUGCAUCAACUAAAUCAUUCAUUGAUUUCUUAUACAACUCUAAAAAUGUAUAGGCAAUCUAACAUAUAUUAUCAUGUGUCUAUCUCUCUUUUUCUGCACUGUAUAAAGUCGCUCUCCUAGCUAGGUUCUUAAAAUGGACGUGCACCGUCAAGUUUACUAUUUUAUGGGCCUCCUUUGGCAUUUCCUGUCUAAUCAUAUCGAACUAUUAGGGUUUAUUUACGAUGUCCUGUAUCGACCUAUCGGUCUGGAUCUGGUUGAUGUACAUUGCAUUUAAUUUGUAAAUUUAAUUUUUUCUUUCUUUUUUCAAGUGGGUUAUUCUUAUCAUUUAUUUAUGUCACUUCUCUAAGGCUUUUUAUAUUAGCAUCCCACAAAAUGUUGAAUGCACCCCACAUUAAAACAUAAUAUUAAUGACUUAUUUACUCUAUUAUGUAAUGACAAUUUUGACCUUAUUAGGUUUAAAAAAUAAUAAUAAUAUUAACUUUUAACGUAUUAUUUAUCUCAUUCAACUAUCAAAACUCCUCACACCCUCCAUUGUUGAAUAAAACUCUAAGCAAUGAAACUACAAACAUGUUGAUUAAGAAAAAUUAUUUUUGACGAAUGGAACACGAAAUUGAUGUUUUGAAAACUUUGAAAUCAUUAUUAUUGUUAUUGAUAAACAUUCAAAUGAACCUAAACAUUUUUUCAAAUCAUUCAAUUUCAAAUCAUUCGACAAACUAAAGUUUAGAUGGUUUGAAAUCAUUCGGCAAAAUUAAAAAUGAUUGUUAUAAGAUUUGAGAAAUGUGGGGUGUAUAAAAAAUGUGAGGUGUGUAUAGAAAAUGUAAGGUGUAUAUUAAGAAUGUGGGGUGUGAGGGUAUUAUGGGAAAGGAGGUGGGGUGUAUUAAGUAUGUGGGGUUUAUUCAACAAUUUAUGAGAUGCUAAUAUAAUAAGCCUUUCUCUAAUAGUGAUAGAGUCUACCAACGCAUGUGGAUCUAAUCUUUAUUAUAAAAAAAUAAAAAAAAAGAUAGUAAAAAUACAAUUUUUUUUUUCCUUCUCAUGACGAAACCACCAAUUCAAGAGAAAUGUUGUCCAAUAUUUGGGAAGCAAUAAUGCUAUUUAAGUAAGGACCGACUUUCACCGCCCAUUGCAUCAUUCUUCCUCCCUUGUCUUUGACUCGUUGUAAUGCGCAUGGAAUUCAUGUUUUUCAAUUCAAUUAUUGACCACUGACCGACUCCACUCUGGCCACUAGCGCGUACCCAUUCACGUUCAGUCCAUCGACAUGUCGCAUGACGCAAGAUAUUUGAAUAAAAUGUCUGUACGAAGCUGAGGAAUGAAUGAGUAGGAAGUUUAAAGUAAUUGAUCGAGUAACGUGGUUUGCGGACUUCAUCUUUACCAACUAAAAUAUACCGACACUAAAUGUUUCGUUUUUCCAACAAGAAGUGGUAACGGUAUUUCAUUGAUCGUCGCUCAUAAAUACAAGGGUGCCAAUUGUGUGCCCUGCUCCCUAAACCAUUGAAUAUGUUAGUGAUGCUGAACAAUGUGGCGUGUGAAUUUCAACUUUUCGGACGGAAUUAACAAUUACAGGCAGCGUUUUGGGCUAAAGAAGCCGGUAGGCCCAGUUAACUGUGUGGACCAAGGUCUGAGAUUGAAAUCGGUCUGUCACUAUUUGGACUAUGAUCCAUGACUUUGAGUCCUUCAUUGGAUGAGGCCUUCGUAAUAUUUUUGUUUUAUGACCGAUAUGAUAAUUUACAUUAGAUUUAUCUUGUUAUGAGGAGAGAAAUUUCAACACGAGAUCUUAGAUAUAAGGACAAAUGCUCUUAACCAAUAAAUCGUACUACUAAUUGGUUAUACAUGUAUAAUUUUACGAAAUACCAAACAUGUGACGAAGUGAAUACUCUUUCUUUAUGUCUCUCCUAGGAUACGAUCCUCUUCGGAUCCCAUCCUUCUAGAUCCUGGACCUUACCCGCCCAGCUGAAUUCCUCCUAAUUUGAGGUAAUUUAUUCACCACUUGUCUCAUUGACGGUUUCACUUCAUUGCCCAAUGCAUAUUUCAGUUAAUCUAUGAGUUUUUACCUUGUCGAAAUGCGCAAUUUCAGUAUGACGAGCUAAAGUACAUCGUCAACGACUACUACAAUAUUGCCAACUUCGACGAUACCAAUGCUUUUACUGGUAACCAGCUCCGGAAAAGGCACGACGCCAACUCGGACUUUGAAGAAUAAGGAUAUGAAGGAUUCAGAUGAAUGAAAUCUAAAGAGAAUCCCAACACAAAAAUAUCUUGUCUCUCUCAUCGAAUAGUAGUAUAUGUUUGGUUAAGGCUUUGUUCUUUCUUUUUUAAUUCCCCUCCUGACAGGACCUUAUAAUUCAAGAGGUAGAUUGUCUGCCCUCAUGUUUGGGUGCUCUUUCCAUCCCCUUCUAUUUUAUGCUGUCACGGUUAAGUUACGUUAACAUUUUAUAUUAAUUUUUUUUAUAGAGAUAAUAAGACAAAAGACAAUAAGAAUAUAAAAUGUUAACAUAGCUUAACUGUAACGUACAAAUAAAAGAAGAUGAGAAUGGUAUCCAACAAUAGUGGAAAUUCUUGGAAUUGACAUUUGCGAUGCUCAUUCUUGUGCAAUCUGAAAAUCCAGUAGCGUCAUCUGGGUUUUUUCAACAUUUAGACUAAUAUGCACACAAACAUUGACUUUCCAAUCGGAAAAGUUAAGCGUAAAUAUUUAAGUUAAUUAUGACAUUUGAUCUCAUCUUAAAAUCGUUAAAUUUCUGAUCUAAAAUAUAAAUAUUUAAGUUAAUUAUGACAUUUGAUCUCAUCUUAAAAUCGUUAAAUUUCCGAUCUAAAAUAUUGACAUGUAACUUGUGUUUGGAGUUAUUUUUGACAUUUUAUUUUAUUUUUAUUUAAUUGUUUGCGAUGGGCAAUAACGUAGGAACAACAAUAUAAGUUUAAUAUUUAUUAUUAUUUUAGAGGACAACUAUAUUUCAAGAACAUGUGAAGAUAAACUGGAUCAGAAUUAUGUCAUGUCGCUACACUAAGUUUGAUUUUUUGUUUAAGAAUAAAAAAUAUUAUCUAAUUGCCUAAUCAUUAUCAUUUUUUAGUUUGUAGAAACCCUAGAUUUUUUUGCUUUGUGCAAGACAAAUUUUUAGAAAGCGAUUGGAGAGUUGAAAUGUCCCAAAUAUCUCUAAAUAGUCAAUACUAGUUAUGUGUAAGGCACACAACUUUUUCUUUUUAAAGAAAAAUCUAACAAAAUUAGAAACAUAUGAUAAAAUAAUUUCAAAAAUUUGACACCAUAAAUCGCUUGAAGUUUUAGUUGAUAUAUGAUAUUGUUACAGAAGACAUGUAGAACAUGUGAUAUUGACACGAAACGACGUCGUCAGGCGCAUUGAAAAACUGGCAAAGGGAAGCGUCCGUUUUGACUACCGGGCAAAAUAAAAAAAAAUCCUUUUCUCUCUUUCAAACAUGGCGUGCUAUUUUUCCAUUACCAACGAUAAAUUUGACAAAAAUCCGCUACGUCAACGUCAUCGACGUCGUACACGUUCGCUCACACCAAUCUUUCCGUCCACCCGUUCACACCCUAACCAAACCUCCUCCCCCCAGUCACAGGAGAUCCCAAGCGACAACUUAACUCCUCAUCAGCCACCUCCGAUCUGAGAACUAAACGUGAGUGCGGCCGUUGCUUACAGCGUCGACGAUAAUAUCAAAGGCUCCAGCUGACCCGUCACAAUACCCAAUCUCAUCUCAGCCAUCCAUUACUUCUCGUCUUAUUAUUACACCAGCGCCACACCGUAUCAAUUUCUCUCUCUCUCUCUCUAUCUCUCUCUCUCUCUGUGCCGGCGAGGACGAAUGCGAAGUGGGGGAAGACCUCGCGACGGCUGAGUUUCUGACUUGUAACUCGUUCGGACUCGGACGCAUCGGCGCGGGCCUUGGCGCGCGAGGUUUGUUGCGACGGCAAAGGUGGCAAAAACCACGGCGGCCAUGAGAGGGAACGUGUGGAACCGUCGGACGGUACAGAGGCUGCGGCAGUUGCUGAUCUCGACCGUUGGAUCGAUGAAGGUGAAGCUUCUGCUGUGCUGUUGCAUCGGAUUCACGCUCAUCGUGCUCGCCAGUCGAGCUUCGGAUUUCAUGGGAUGGACGAGUCACACUGCGGCUCUGGAACGGUUCUCGGAUUCCCGGUUCGUACGGUUGCUUAGAUUUUUUUCCAAAAACUCUACAUAUCCGUAUUAUUCGCUAAUUAUUUAAUUAGGCAAACUUCCACUUGCACAUAACUGUUAAUCAUUAUAUUUUUAGUAAAUAAUUAAGAUCGUUGUUUAUACUUUGAUGUUCUACUUUCUGCUAAUAUCUAUAUUUAGAAGGACUGAUUCCAAAGAUUGAUUAGAGGGAAGAAAACGGCUUGGUAGUCUGCAACAAUUUCGUUUUUUCGAAUAUGAGUGUUUGAUGCUCUGUUUAUACCGGUAUUGUUCGGGUCUGUUAUGAGUUGUGGUGCAUAUUAUGAAUUAUGGAUGUUGUAGCAGGCAUGAUUCCGAUGGAAACGGAACAUUAGCUAUUCGAAGAUUUGGUCACUUUUCUGCUGGUUUUUUAGCCAGAAUGGUCGCUGAGAUUGACAUAACUCCUCACUUUGGUAUUUGAUAUUGAAAAUCGAUAGAAGUGGUCUUGAGUAUGAUUGACGGUGGACAAACCCAGGACAACUUGUAUCGAUUUUCAAUGUUAGGGACCAAAGUGAGGAGUUAUGUCAAUCUUUUUGGCUAAAAAACCCUGCUUCAACUCAUUUUCCGAAUUGGAUAAGAUUGGGAAGAUUAAGCUAGCUUUGUGUUGUUCUCAUUUGCUUCUUUAAAGAGCACACUCCUAGAAAAUUUUCAAUUGGCUUAUUGUUGAUUGUAUCAUAGUAGAGAGAUACUGUUCAUUAAGCAUCCAUGCUGAAAUUUGCAAUUUGUAUGCAGGAAAGGAUACUCUAUUGUAAUGAACACAUGGAAGAGAUAUGAUCUUCUGAAGCAGUCUAUUUCUCACUAUUCUAGAUGUCCUCGGCUUGAUUCAAUACAUAUUGUGUGGAGUGAGCCAAGUCCUCCGUCAGAUUCUCUCAGAAAAUUUCUGGACCACAUUGUACAUCUGAACACUAGAGAUGGGCGACAAGUUGAAUUGAAAUACGAUAUCAAUAAGGAAGACAGUUUGAACAACAGAUUUAAAGAAAUUAAGGAUUUGAGAACAGAUGCCCUUUUUUCAAUCGAUGAUGAUGUUAUAUUCCCUUGUUCUUCAGUGGAAUUUGCUUUCGAUGUUUGGCAAAGUGCAUCGGAUACAAUGGUUGGCUUUGUGCCUCGUAUGCACUGGAUUGAUCCGGUAUGCCUCAAUAUAUACAUUUUCUUGUUAUUUAGAGAGAGUAUUAUCCAACAUUCUUGCUGUCUUCUCUAUAUCUUAAGCUUCUAUGCUGGAAAAUUCGUAUAAAUUUCUGUUUGAGGUAGAAAGUUGGUUUUGAUCUAUUUGAGCUCGAAACUAGGUAUUGUUCUUUACUUUUUAGGCUAGCCAACGUUUACUGAAGAAACACCGUUUCUUAUUAACAAUUUUGCAAACUCUGUAUGGCACACUUGGUCAGCUGUCUUACCAAAUAUAUGCUCACUGUGCAGAAAGGUGAUAAGAAUCACUACAUAUACGGUGGAUGGUGGUCGGUUUGGUGGACAGGUACAUACAGUAUGGUACUGUCUAAGGCAGCCUUCUUCCACAAAAAGUACCUAAGUUUGUACACAAAUGAAAUGCCAGCAUCAAUCAAAGAGUUUAUAACCAAAAACAGGUUUGCACUUUUGCUUUGUUCAUCUGUUUCUUUCUUUUCGAAUGCUUUCAUCUUAUGAGCUCUCUUUGCGGGUGUGCCGGUGUGCAGUGCGUGUGUUUAGCAAAAGUUUUUUCUUAAAUAUGGGGUUUGAUUUCACCAGGAACUGUGAAGACAUUGCAAUGUCCUUUCUUGUAGCAAAUGCAACUGGUGCUCCCCCUAUAUGGGUGAAAGGUAAUCAUAUAUCCUCUGCAAUGAAAUUGUGUUCGUUUUGGCUUUUGAAAACUUGGACAGGAUGUUUCUGCAUAUUGUAUUUUCACUUGUUGCAUAUCAGAAAGCGCUUUUGCAGUACCUUUGUCCGUUCACCGUUCAUUUUUCAUUUCUAUUGUGGUAUUUUCUUUCCUGAUUGCUUAUGUCUCGCUACGCAUUACUGUACUUUUCAUUCAGGUAAAAUAUUCGAGAUUGGUUCAACUGGCAUCAGUACCUUAGGAGGUCAUACUGAAAAAAGAACCAACUGCGUCGAUAGGUUUGUUGCCGGGUUUGGACGGAUGCCAUUGGUACCCACUUCCGUGAAGGCCGUUGACAGCCGCAACAUCUGGUUUUGGUGAUUCCACAGCACGCUUACAUAUUCCUCGAUCAAAUCCUCGAACAACAAGAAUUUCCACACUUUCAACCGGUUCUUCUUUGUCCCUCAGAUGUAUAAUAUUGAAUUCUACGAAAUGUAUGCGUUUUUGUAACAGCAGCCAGUUUAGUGCGCUCAUGUAGAUUGAUAAUUCUUGUAUUCUUACCGUGUAACACAAGGCAGGCAGUCGCUAUAUGGGUAAUGAGAUAGGUCUUUCCGUGGAAAUCUUCUUACCAUUUCGGCCGAACGGUUGCGAAAUCGUAUCUUCUUAUACAAAAACUUCAUCCAAACUCAGCGUCAGAUCAUUCUUAUUGCGAUCAAACUGGAUAACAAAACUGAGAGAUUUCCAUCAACUGAUGGGUUGCAUGUAUUUAUAAUAAUUUUGAGAUUACAUCAGGGGUUUAUCAACCCUAUUUAGACGGCAACAUUUGAAUUUGAACGAUACAACAUCUGUGAAAUCAAACUUUCAAACAUUGAAAAAUAUGCUAGACCUAUCAGAAUUAUCCUUGGAUAAGGACUGCAUUCCUGAAUAACAGACUUCAGAGUUUAAACAUGAGCUGGAUUCUUGAUAACUCUGACUUGGUCUAACAUACCCGUCAUAAUUUGUCAAUUAGUUUUAUGGUGAAACCUCAAUUUCAUCAGUUACCCUAGGAUGUACUGAGAGGGAAGCAAGUAUCUUCGGCGCCAGUGCUCCAGAGGAAAUUGGCAUAUCUGGAGGCGUAAUAGGGAUUGUCUGGCUCCUCUGCCACUGCUUGCUGGUAUCUCUCUUCUGCACCCCACAGGUCUUUCCUUACUAUCCACAAGAAGUCCGCGUACCGGAUCAAAGCCUCAGCGUCUGGUUUCUCCCCUUGCACGGCACGCCUGAAGCACUCCUCGGCCCUGCAAACGCAAACAUAGAUCACACAACACAGGUCAAACAAAAUUACACGACAAUUUGAGUCCUAUCGUAUGAAAAGCAAAGAAACAAUUUGAUCCUAACCGAAAAUCCAACUCCGGUAGAGGUCUCGAUGCUACAAAAUCAUCACAAUUACAUCAUGCUUAGCUGCUCAAAUUCGAAACCAAAUCAUUUACAUAGAAAUGUCGCUUGAAGCAUCGAAAAACCUAACCAAAUCUAGUCGUUUCCCAAUGAUUUUCGGUCAAGUUAGAUUAUGCAAAAUAGUAAGCAUAUUGAAGCAGAUAGUUUGAUAAAUGAUGCUCACCUAUCGUGAUCGCGAGCCACGACAUGGAGGAAUUGUGCAUAGUUUGAGAGCAGAAGUGCAUUCUGAGGAUCCUGAGCUAAACCCAUCUGGUACAAAAGGUCAGUCCUAAAGUAGUGCUCAUGAUAAUCCGGUUCGAUAUUCACAGUUAUCGGUGACACGAAUUGCUGCACCGUUGCGUGAUCAAGAGCCUCAUCCCUCAUUUCUGACUGCCUUCUCGAAGCUUCCUCCAUCACAGAGUUCCACAACUUCACAUCCUCCUCUGCAGUGAACUCCUUAUCAUUGAACAAGGAGACACCAUACAUCUUCUCAAGAUCAACAAUGGCAUGCCUGAUUGAACUUUCCGAGGUCACAUUGUCAAGAAAAUCGGCCUUACUGCCCUCAUUCGAGGUCUUUUUCACAACCCUAGUAGAAUCGUUAUCGGAAAUAUAAUCGGGUUUCGAGUAGGGUUGUUCCUCUGUCUCAGUCUCGGUCAAAGUCUCGGCCAUAACAGGCAGAGGUGCUGCAGCAACAACAUUGCAAUUCAUCGAAUACACACUGAAAUUCGCCAGCAAGAUCAUCACGUAAACCAUCAAAGUCGGCGACCCCGAAAACACCUGCUGGAACAACCAUACAAAUGACAUGCUCAUCUCUCUCUUCUGCACCGUCGCUAUCACCUCCUGCAAAUCUUCAGAGUACAAACUUUCCCUUAUACUCAAAGCGUGGCUAUGGAGCUCAUGGAUUAUAAACACCAUGGAAGAGAAUGCCUUGUUCAGGGAGCAAGAAGUAAUCUCCCCUGCUCCUCCUUUAGGACCCUCUUCCCUUUGCUGCCGCUGCUUCUUCUUGAUUAGCCGGAGCGAAACCGGAAACUCGAGGCUGUUGGCCUUUCUUUCCAUGGCGGUUCUGACGAUUUCGCUUCUCUCCGGCCAGUCCGGCGGCUCCGGAUGAAUCCCGAGCAGAGAGGGUUCCAACGCACUGAACUUGAAGCUUGAAAACCGCGUCGAAAAGCCGCCGCCUUUGCUGUUUUCGCCUUCUGGGUAAGUCAAAAUCGGAGAGAUAUUCGAGGUCUUCGACGCCACAAAAGCCGGUUCCUCGACGUUCUCGUCACCGUCCUCGGAAAGAUUGAACCUUUGCGCCAAUCCCUCAAUCUGGUUCGACAAUUCUUCGUACGAGAAAUCAUCAAACUUUGAUCUGCAAGACUGGUUCGAAGUACGUCGACGUUUCAAAUCACCCGACCCGGAAGAGUUUAACCAACGAACGAACCCGCAACCCAGAGCUCCACUGCUUCUUCCACAUGGUUUUGUCACAGAAGGGAAAGAAACCGAAACCCACGACGCUUUCGACGAAGAAGAAGAAACUGGUGCUGAAAUCUGCAUCGUGCUCUGCCAGCUCUUAGAACAGGGUACGAUUCUGGAACCCAUAUCUCGAAAUCAACGAUCAGAAUUUGGAGAAGACGAUUGAGAAAUAUGAAAUACGGACAGGCCCAAAGCCGAAAAUUGCAAGGAAGAAGACGAGUGGGAAAAUGGAGAAAAAGCAGUUCAGUUCACACUGAUAAAGUGACAUGGGAACUCCCGUGUGCAACAAAAAGUGUAGCUGCUGGAGAUAUUUUUAAGAUAAUUUUUUUUUUUUUUGGAUUUUUUUGGAUCCUCCAAGAAGUGUCUAACUGGGUUCUAGAAGCCUCUUGAUGAAUAAGUUGCUUUUGCUUAGUAUCCAACCUGACAAAAACGCAUAAACACAUUCUAAAUUUCUAAUCAUGUUAAAAAAAUUCAAAACCUUUGAAAUCCAAAAUCGAUAAGGAUUUGGAUAUUAGCAUAUAACUCUUCACUGUUCAGUGAUAUUUAAAAUAUGAUACAUUUGGUCUCUGAAUCUGUUCAACGUCGAUUAUUUUGGUCAUUCCGUGAAAAUCUCUGUUAAAUAAGGAGAAAAUGGCAAAAAAAUUUCACGAAAAAACCAAAAUGAUUGAUGGUCGACGAAUUCUGAUACCACUUCUAUCGAUUUCAAAUUUUAGGAACAAGGUGAGUAAUUAUGCCAGUCUCAUGAACUAUUUUGGCUAAAAUUCCAAAUAUAAAUUACCGAACAAAAACAAAAGAUGUGCAGAAAAAAAGGAUGCAGUUGCAAAAAAAUUUGUUGUAUGAUAGAGAAAUAAUUUUCGCACUCAGAUUUCGACAUUAUGCACUUGUCUUGCUCUUUCUACUUAAAUAUAUCAAACGGAAAUCAACGGAAAUGAAUGUGAAUAUCACACAAUCCACGACCUCAAAUUAUUGAAAAAGAAAAUCCGAAGAAAAAUUUGGAAAACAAGGAAUGAAAAAAACAAUGUGUGAGAUGAAGAGAACAUUACAUGAUGGGAGACGAUUAUUUGGAGAUCAUUUCAUGAUUUCUCUAAACCAUUGGAGCCAUCGAGGAGCAGACAACCUCACCUUCAAAUUUGUACUUGUAUUUUCCUUCUUUUCUUUUCUUUCUGUUGGAAUUGACAGAGAGACCCAAAAAUUUUGUUGAGAAAAAAUGGGCAAAAGAUGGGAAGAACCAGAAUAGGUUACAACUUUUUCAGGUUCUUUGUUUGUUGGCCGUAGAAAGGUAUCACACUUACGUGGACAAUUCCUAUUGGUUCAUUUCGAUGAUCAAUUACUUUAAGAUUUUUUUCCCUUACCACCGUAUUUAUCAUGUUUGAUGAGUUUAAAUUUCGAGAUUUAUACAGUUGAUAAAUACAAAUUUUAAAAUUUAAACUCAUAUAUUAGUGAUAAAUAAAGGGGUGUGAAUUACAACUACUUAAAGAUGAUCAGCAAAAAUAUGCUCACUACUUUAUAUAAAUAAGUUCGUAAAUAAUUUUUUCGAAAAAAUAAGUUCUUAAAGUUUUUAGUGAGUGUAACCUGAGACUUGUGGUUUCAAUACAAAUAUUAUUCGUCAUCGUCAUUCGAGCUGAACUUGAAUUCUUUCUGUCACAUUGAGAUAAAUUUAGUGAAUUUAAUAACUUUGUGUAUUGAAAAAUAGUUUAGGAAUUAAAUUUUAAGUUAAUUAAAUAAAAAGAAAACUAAUAAAAAGAACUUGAAAAUUUUGAAUUUUAACGAAAAGAACAAAAUAAAUAGUAAAGUGAAUAGUAUCAGGAUUAACUUUUUAUUUUUUAGUGUAAAAAUAUGAUUUUUCGUUAAAGUAAACAGUACUGAAAGUUUUUCGUUAAAAUCAUCUUAAAUGAAUUAGUUUAUAAAAAUAAAUAAAAAUCCAAAAUUUACAAGUUUGCCAGAAAACAAAGGGAUUAUCUUUUCCGUGUAUAAUGAUUGCAGUCGGUAAGUUUCUUUUGAUAGAAAAAGGUUACAAAUUUGUGGAGUAUGUCGUCACAGUACCGAGUCACAUGCUAGGAGUCAGGACCAUGUUUUUCUCCAGAUGCAGCUGCAGUUGUCGAUGCUACCGACUCAACUACACACGUCUCACCACGAUACGUGGACAUCUGUUGCUGUGCGGUUGGCUCCAACAAAUUGUUUGCACCGCAGAAGUAAAAAGAAAACCAAAUUCAAAACCUAAAAGAAGAAAAUCAUGAAACUCUUGGAUUGGAAAUUGCAACCCAAAUGUACAAAGGAAUGGCAAUAUCUUGAUAGGUUGGCUUGUAAAAAAAAUGGUCAAUAGACCUAAACUGAUAAGAAAAACACAUUGGAAAAAUCUUAACAAUCAAUGAGAAAAACACCUUGGAUUAAUCUAAUUUUUGUGCGUGUGUGUUCAAAUUGUUCCCAGUAAAAAAAUAAGCCCAAAACCCACUCGGUAAAUAUAGACAAUGAUGUUCCUUAUCUUUGUAAGCAAUAACAUAAAAGAGGUAACGACAAAAGGAGCAGGCGGUCGACGUGUGGGAUCCCAGCCUGGAAUUUCCAGGGUUGCGUCAUGCGUGAGCAAAAUUCCCAUAUUUUAUAUUUUCCCAAGCUCAAGCUCAGCCGCCCCAUUGACCAAAAACAAAAAAGGCUCAGCCGCCUCAGCAUUAUUCACCAAUAAGUUCACAGGUCACAAGCUACGAUUGUGGAUCCAAAAAUGGAGCAAAGCAAAGGCAGGAGAGUCAUCCUCUUCCCACUGCCCUUCCAAGGGCACAUAAACCCUACGCUAGAACUGGCCAACAUUCUGCAUUCCAAAGGCUUCUCCAUAGCCAUCAUCUACACCAACUUCAACUCCCUCAAUCCUUCAACCCUAAAUCCACACUUCACCUACCAUUCAAUCCCUGUUGACUUGACAGAAAACGAAAACUCCAUCAAGGAUCCCACCCUUCAUCUUUCUAUUCUAAAUGCUAAAUGUGUUGAGCCUUUCAGAGAAUGCUUGGCCGGGUUGUUAUCCGACGAUGUUAAUUCGG
RNAcentral lists this long non-coding RNA (475618 nucleotides) under Malus domestica (apple). Lineage: Eukaryota; Viridiplantae; Streptophyta; Magnoliopsida; Rosales; Rosaceae. The record is from RNAcentral.